RNAcentral lists this long non-coding RNA (669294 nucleotides) under Olea europaea (common olive). Its description in RNAcentral is "long non-coding RNA (OEUR_LNC007017)". The record is from RNAcentral. Lineage: Eukaryota; Viridiplantae; Streptophyta; Magnoliopsida; Lamiales; Oleaceae.
UUGUGAUGGUCUAGAAUUGUUUCCCAAUGGAGGCUUGCCCACACCAAAUUUAAAACGACUGUGGAUAAGAGAGUGUCAACAUCUCAAGUCCUUACCUGAUCGGAUGGAUCUACUUUCGUCCCUUUCGUCACUGUGGAUAAGUAAGUGUCAACAUCUCAAGUCCUUACCUGAUCGGAUGGAUCUACUUUCGUCCCUGGAUGUAUCUUCUUGUGCUUCAUUAAUGGAACUCUUUCCCCAAGAGAAUAUUCCUCCAAAUCUGUCUAGCCUUCAAAUCAGAAAUUGCGGAAAACUAAAGCCCCCGGGGGAGUGGGGCCUACACAAACUCACCUCUCUUAAUCACUUUACAUUUGGUGGAUGUCCUGAGCUGGUUUCCUUCACUAACAAUGCUGACGAAGAACACUGUGUGCUUCCUCCAUCUCUAACAAUUUUGUCGUUGGAUGACCUGCCGAAUCUCGAAACACUAUCAAAGGGCUUCCAAAGCCUCACCAUUCUUCAAGAGUUAAACAUCUAUCGUUGCCCAAAGCUUGAGGCGUUGCCUAUGGGAGAUUACCUUGAAAAGCUUUUGAGCCUUCACAUUCGAGGUUGCCCACUUCUUGAGAAACGGUGUUUGAAGAACAAAGGAGACUACUGGCCCAUCAUUGCUGACAUUCCAGACGUCCAAAUUGAUUCUCGAUCCAUCUAUUAUCCAUGUCCAUGAAUUCAAUUCCACGAGGUAACAUAUUUAAUUUGAUACCUAUGAAUCCAACAUCAUUUCAUGCAAAAUACUUUUCGACAUUUCUGUUAAUUUUGUUUUCAAAUCAGAAUGUGAAUUUUCUGCAGCAAAUAGUGGAUCUCCCUUUCUGCAAUAGCUAUUCAAGUGUUCAUGCCACUCUGUAUCUUAUAUUUGUGCUUCUGCUCUGCAGCAUAAAUCAAUAUCAGAGCCGAUGUACCAACAAUCAAGUAAUUGAUUGGCUAUGGCGCUAAAAUUAGCCUCUUUUUGUACUAACAGUAAAAUUCUAUCAAAUAGAUAAAAUCGGAGUGAUAAUUGUUAGUCGAAUGUGGUUAAAUUAUUAAUAUUUUGCUUCGAUCUGCUUUAGCAAACUGGAAAUGCAUUGAUUUGACUUACUGCAUGUUUAUGCAUUUUUAGGUUUUUAUGUGGCAUGCGUUUUCAAACUUUUCUUGUAGAUUGGAGGUUCCUACGCCAUUUGAAUGGAACUAAUAAAAAUGACAUCGUUUUGGUGUAGGCAUUUUCUGAUUACUUGUAAGAACACAAGAUGGAAUGAAUGUGUCUCUUCAUUAGACCUUCAAGUAAGUUUUUUGUUCGAUUCUUUUGCGUUUUAAGUGUUUGUAUAAAUUCCUCAGUGAAAUUAUAUGGCAGGAUUUGUGACUGAAGCUAUGUUCAGGAGUAAACAUUUUCUUGCUUUUUUAUUAUUAUUAUUAUUAUUAUUAUUAUUAUUAUUAUUUAUUUUUUUAUUUUUUUCAUGAUUUUAGUAAUGUUUUCUGAUUAAUUCUUUGAUUGAACUUUUCCUUUUGGGGGUUGCCUUCUAUAAAGGUCAAGAAAUCUGUUUAGUCUCUGAAAAUUUUCUUGACUGGCCGACAAUCCUUUCUCGUGUGAUUUUGGUGUGGUUUAAGGUAUGAGGUACCAUGUUUUACGAUUGCUAUUUUAUAAAUUUUCUUUUUCAUUUUUAUUCAAUUUCGUUUUAAUUUGGGGUCUAUUUUGACGUUCUUUGUUAUGUCCAGGGUUUUGGGAUGAUUUAAAGUUACAGGAUUACAUUCAUCCGUAUGAAUUGGAUGUUUUAAUCCAAUCUGAAGAUUUGAAUCAUUGCUUCACAAUUUCAUGCAAUUAAAUUAAGAAACCGAUUAAUUUUUUAUGUGAACGCUUUUUAAUCGAAAACUUUAUUUCAAUUUGGAAAGUUCAAUCAUUUUAAGUUUGCAGUUAUACAUCUUCUUGGUAUGCAUUUUUUUAAUGUUAUUAAUUCAUUCUAAUUCUUAUGGAUUCUAUUCCUUUGUAUGGGACUUCUUCACUGGUUAUAAAUUUUGGCUUCUUUGAAUUUUCACUUUCGUAUUUAUUAAUUUUUUUUUGGUAAAUAUUUUAAAAAAUUAUUGAUAAUAUUGAAUUAUCCUAGACCUUCUAUAACAUAAUAAAUUGAUGUACUAAUUUGUUAAAUUCAAUUAUUCAGUAUUCUGUUUCUUAAUUUAGUUGAUCAAGUAGGUUUUUUUUUUUUUUUUUAAUCCUAAUCUGGAAUAUAUGUGCCCAGAAUGUUGCUGUGAGCAUAUUGCCUGUCAAGAAGAAUCAUUUGAGUCGAGGACGAUAAGAUGUUACAUUUUUUAGCUAUGCUGUUUUUCAGCUCACUCCAACUUGAACUCGGUACAACUUUAAUUUUUUGAAUUAAUUCAGUUUCCUUCAGCUGAUGAAUUAUUGCAGUAUCUGUGUGAGUUUGUGUGGUUAUUUCAUAUUUGCCUGUGAUUUUGUAUUAAUCAUUUGAGUUGAAAUCCUGACUCGGGUUUAUAAUCAUUGUGGACCCAAAUUGCUGAUUAUAAGAUGUGUUUUUAUAGUAAACUAAUUGCUGAUGUCAAAAUUCUUUUCAUUAGUUUUGGGUUGAUUAGUUAAUAAGUUCUUCUGUCUUUUACUGUUUGGGGAUUUCAGCAUGUGUUUCAUUAAUUGGUUCUAUUCUUUUUUUAUAUGGUAUGUACUGACUUCAAUUUGGCAAUUUCUUGGGGAUAUCUUUUUUGUCAAAUUGUAUUUUCACAGAGUUCAACUGUAAAAAUGUGAAAUAUGUCCAAUUAUUUGAAUUUUUGUUGAUAUUUUGAAAUUGAUAUUAUGUAUUGAUGAGCCAUCAAGUUAAAUUUAAAACGAAUUCCAUGUUGCAAAUGCUAUUUGGAAGUUGAAUUUGCUCUGCUGGGUUGCAAAGUAUACUUGAAUUUAUUUUAUCAAAAGAUGAAUAUUUAUCAUCUCUUAGUUUCCCCUUCUUUGUCAUAUAUCUUUACGGAAUUCUUGUAGAAGUAUUUAGAUGAUAAUUGGAUUGUGUUGAUAAUGUAGUUGGAAGAUCAUACGAGGAAUUUCAGGAAAAUAGGUUUUGUUGCUUGAGUCCAUUUUAUUUAAGGUGUCCGGAAAAAAAAAGGUUGUGUGAGUGUGGAAAGUAUAUCAUCCUUGCGCGUUUGGAUCUGUUAUUCAUAUUGAUAGAUGGCAUUCCGUGUGUGGAAGCAGAUUUCACUUAAAACAUAUAUUCACCUUGUGUUGUUAGGUAACUAGUGUAGCUUUUCACAUCUGCUUUCGUAAUGGUUUAUUGUUGUACAUUUUAUAGGCUAAUGUUGCUAGAAGAAAAUCGAAUUUCUUUCCGCUCAAACGAUGGAAUGAUGAUUGAUGGCGUUAAAGAUUACUCUCACCUGGUUGCUGAAAUGAUAGGAUUGUCGUAAGUUUUAACUUGCUAUGUAUAGCUUCAUUUCUUGCUUUUAGUUUUGGUCGACUUCAACUCUAUUAAGUAUUUUGAGCCAAAUAUUUUUUAUUAACAGCAUCAACAUAAUUAAAUUUAUUUUACUCUUGAAACAACAAAUAUGUUUCCUCUUCCUUUUUGAUGGAAGUUACAUCACAAUAGAUCUGUCUUUUAUAUGAAGAUUUUCUUCUUCUCAAUUGCUAUUGCACACUGUACUUGAUAUUAGUUGUGGGUCUGGUAGCUUUAAUGCUCGUCUUCUAUCGCUUAAGCUGAUCUGUGACAGCAUAUGAGCCAACAGGUAGACAUGUUCAAUUGGCACUUGAUAGAGGUCUCCCUUCAAUCAAAACUUAAUCUAAAGACAGCUCCCUCUUCAUCCUUCGUCAUAUGAAGUGGUUCACUGCACUCAAUGUAGCAUUGUCUGUGAUAACAAAGGUAUGAUCCUCAUUAAGGUUUGGGGUUUUGUUUUUUUCCAUUAAAUCACCAUUUCUUCAUCAGAUUAAGUGCAGUGGUUUUUAUUGAUUUUUCACCGAUGAAAAUACUUGAAAUUAAUUUGACAUUUAGCCUAAUGUAGUGCGAACUUUUCUGUGGGUUUUGCUAUUUUUUGCGUGCAUUUCUAUUUCUUUUUUGUUUAUCACAUUUUGUUUGAUACUAUAGUUAUCUGUGAUAAAUUUUGCAAUGGUAAUAUUAGGCUUGCUGUAAGGAAGGCCAAGAAGGAAAAGAAAGCGUAUGAUCCAAACAAGCCAAAGAGACCUCCAAGUGCUUUCUUUUCAUGUAUGCCCAUUUGCAUUUUUGGUCUCUAUCAUUUCUGUCUAUUGUUCUUAUAUAUUAUCUUUUUUAUGCUGCUUGGCAGACUACAACAAUAAUUUGGUAAUCCAUCUAUGAGAAGCACGGUGUUAUACACAGUUUAGUUUGAAUUGUGAUACUGAAACGACUUGUGCCAAACUGUUUUUAUAGGCUAGAGGGGCUGUUGAAUUCGACAAGGCAAAGUCUGAGGUUAAUGGUGAUGAGGACGAUGAGAACAGUGGAGACGUUAGUUGAAAUUAAGCUAUACAACUUUUUUGUACUUGAAACUUAGCUACUAUGUUGACUUUUUAUUUUGUUUUAAUUAAUUUAGGGGGAAGACUAUGAGUAAGCACUAUCACAGAAAACUGGAUUUUGGAUUCAAGGUGAGAACCAACAAUCAAUCUUCCUUCAUUAUUUGCAUUUAUGGCUUCAGGUUUUGUAAAAUGUUCGACUUGAAAGUGAGUUAAUUGGAUUGGUAGAUUUCAUGAAGAAUUAUUGUGUAAAAUUUGGCUUCAGGUGAAUUUUACUGAAAUUAAUUGAAAGUAAUUAUCAAUAAUACUCCUUUUUUUAUUUUUUUAUUUUUAUUUUUUAAAGUUGCUAAUGUGUUUGUUCUUCCUUUCAGUGAGGGAACAAGCGUCUCUUUGCCAUUAACUUGGGGCAAAAAAAGAGAGGAAACGUAUGCCUUGUUUUUCAUUAUUGCCUAUUGGUACACAAGACGUAUUUAGAGGAAAGGGGUGGAGGAAGAGGGGGUUGAGUGCUUGUAGACCAUGAGCAAAAAAUGGCAGACUACAAUAAGAAUUUGGUAAUUUCAUCUAUGAAAUUCUCUAUUACAAUGCACUACGUGCAUCUCACAUGCGAAGAACUAGUUCGAUAAAUAUUCAAUAUUUUACAAGCAGCUUCAUAUCUUGUUAAAUUUUAAAGGUCCUUCCUUUUGUGAAAUCAUUUAAGUUAAAAAUGUUAAGAGAGAAAAACAUUAAUUUAUUAAUAUCUUCAAAACUCUUCUUAUGGUGCAGGUAGAUUUAAUUUUUCUAUAAACAUUAAAUUUCUGACUUUGAUGGGGUGAUGAUAUUAUUUUACAGAUUUUCAUCUGGUCGUCCGUUCCCAAUACAAUUUCGAGACUCGAUUUGAUUGGAGACUCAUAGCUCAGUCAUCUACCAGGUUGAGAAAGUUAUGAAUUGGGUUAGUCGUUGUAAGCUUGUGGGCUGACCACCUAUAUGCCUGCUUUGCAUAUAUUUUGUUGCCAGCUCCGAUCCACAUCAGUUGAUGACGUGUUGUUUACACCAAAUUUGACUUGUACACAAUAUCCGUUAUUACAAGAGUUAGAGAAAGACGCCAAUUCAAACCAUCAUUUGGUGACACAUUUUUUAAGAGCAAUCGUAGAACCUAUAUUUGUUAAGUGAAGCCAAUGUUAUGCUGAAGCAAACAAAAGAUUAUGACGAUUGGGGAUGGUCAAGUUCACAUUUCACUUCUUAUCUUUCCUCCCUCUCUCUUUUAGAGUAAAGAUCAUUUGUAGUAUUUCGUGGCUACCAAAUAUUCAAAUACUCCAGGGAACAUUGGAGAUGUAAAAUUCUGUAUUAUAUAAUAGGAGGAAUUUCUUUCUUUUUUUUCCUAAAUGGAUUAUCAGGUAAGCUGUCAUUAUUUGCAAUAGUAAUAGGCUCUUUAUUAUGAUGUGCAGUUGCACAUGUCCAUGUGUGUGCACGUAUACGUGUGUGUGUGAAAUGUGGAAUAAUGAUAUUUGUAAGCAAUGCACUGCAAACAACAAUCUAUUCUUACCUAUUAGCAAUUAGCAUUCUAUGUAGAGGUAUUGUUACUGCCACAUUUUCCUAUAAUUUUAGAGUAAGGAUAUUUGUAAGCAUUGUACUAAAAACAACAAUUUGUAUGACAGUGAGAUAUCUAUCUCAUUCUCCUAUGAAUUGAGUUCGGUUUAAUUUAUUGAAGAAUGUGAUAGUGAUCCCAUUGUUACAUCAAAUAUUGGUAAUAAGUACUGUCAUAAACUUAGCAUACAUUUAAUUUAUUGAAGAAUGUUACAAUAAUCCACUGUUGCAUGGAUGGUUGAUGGAUAAGUACUACUUACAAAGAGUAUUACUCCUUAAAAAUGGAAAUUUACUAGGGAUAUGAAGCCAAGUGGACAAAUAUCUGGACAAAUAUCAGACCUUGCUAAAGAAAUUUCACUCUUAACAAAUACAAUUCUCCAUGAUAGACCAUAUGAAAAAUCAAAAUUGAGGUACAUUCUAACAAUAUCCCUCUACACCCAUCUCACCCUUUUAACUAUUUACCCACCAACACCCACACUUUAUAUAUAAAUGUUUUUUCUUGUUUUUUUUCUCAAUUUUCAGGGUCAAAAUGUCAAACAAAGUUAAAAUAUUAGAAUUUUAAUAUCAUUUUGAAGUGCUCAUAGCUUGGCUUCUCGCAUCAUUAACAGCGCAUGAAAUGACCGACCACAGCAAAAGUUACAAUGCGUCAAAAUAGGUCAUUCAAAAUUAGUAUUUCAAGAAUUUCGAUAAUAUACUAACUUUAAAAAUUUGUUGGCGAUCGUAUACUAACUGAAUUCAUAAAUUGCUUGUCAUCUUGAUCCAAACAGAUAUAGGUUGUACAUUGAAAAUAAUUAAAUUAUUUGAAAAUUUUUGACGUCAUGUGUCAUGUAAAAUUAUCCUAAUAAAAUGAUGUAAAUUAUAUUAAUAUAUUUGUUGAGCAAAAAUAAUAAACGUUAAUGAAAUAAUUGAAAAAUUUUAAAGGAAAAAAUGAGUUAUGCAUCUCUUUUUGACACGAUCAUUUAAUUAUUUUUGAUAUUCAAAUUUUGGAUCAUUCGAUAUGUCUACGAUAUAAUUCUUUAAACUAAAGCAAAUUUUUAAAAUUAGCAUAUUAUCGAAAUUCUCUAAAUACUAGUUUGGAAUGACAUAUUUUAAGACAUCAUAACUUUCGCUACGAUUGACAGUUUUACGCGCCGUUAACGAUGCAAAGAAUUAGACCGUGAGCACUUCAAAAUAAUAUUUAAAAUGUGAUAUUUCGAUUUCAUUUGACAUUCCAUAAUGACCUCAAAAAUUGAGAUGAAAACAAGGGAAAAAAAAAACCUUUAUAUAUGAAGAAUGAGUGAUAAGGAUGGUGAGGGGUAGGUGUGGGGUGGGGUAAAAAGGUUGGGGGUCGGUAAAAAGUUAAAAAAUUGGGCAAGUGUAGGGGAAAACAAAAGUUGCCACAUUAGUAGUGGGUAGAAUGUUCUCCUGCACACCAUUGCCAGCAGAGCAAUUCUACGAAAAAUAAUACGCGAAGAAUUAAUUUCAUAAUUUGUGAUCGAUAAAAAGUUAUAACCUAUAAAAUUUGUGAUUUUAAGUGUAACGUUUUGUAACUGUGACUAAUACGCAACUGUGAUCAUAAACUGUAUGAUAUUGCGAUCUUAAUUUAUUAAUUAUAUAUUUAAUUAAUGUACUAAAUUUAAUAUUUAUGACCCGGGUUUUGGAAAAUAAAAAAAUAAAAAUCUCAAGUUCGUCAAAAUUGAAAUUGUAACUUAAAAUCUAUCUAAUUAUGUAUUCUUCCCAUUAUAAAAAGUAAUGGUGGAUAUAAUUUACCCAUUGAAAAAUGCAAAAUCCUCCAUUUGACUAGAGGAACCGGCUGUUUCGGCAGAGUUAUAUAUCGAAUUUUACUUGUCAUGCUGAGGUCGAGGGCUAAGAUCUCUAGCUUACGCGUAUAUAGGCAGGGGCGGAUCCAAGCAUGAGCUCCACUAUGCUAUAGCCCGUGUUCGCCCCUGAAAAUGUCUACUGUAUUUUAUUAUUAUUAUUAUUAUUAUUAUUAUUAUUAUUAUUAUUAUUAUUAUUUUAUUGAAACAUAAAUCGAUGUAUAUUUGUAUUGUAACCCGUGUCCAAACUCAAGGCUGGAUCCGCCAUUGAUAUAGGCGUUUAUUUCUAACCAAGUAAUGAACACCAUCACUACUAGUAGUUGAAGUGGGUAGAUAUACAACAGUUACCAUCUAAAAAUGGACCAAAAGUAGUUCAAUGUGUUAUAGCAGAUCGAUGACCACACACCAUGAGCCAUCUAGGUAUCAACUGAUCAUUUACUAUCCUAGAUUAAGAAUAAGUCAUUUUAAGUGAAGUGUGACCUCCCAUUUCCCUUGAGGAGACCCACUGAUCAUUUACUAUCCUAGAUUAAGAAUAAGUCAUUUUAAGUGAAGUGUGACCUCCCAUUUCCCUUGAGGAGACCCAAACUAACCAUAAUCGUAUAGAAUAGAUGUAGUUCAUAAUCACAAAUCAACAUAGAAUCAAGUAGAAAUAAUACAACCAACAGACGGUAUACUCUGUUACAUUAAAUGUUGUUUUAUUGAAUUUCUCAACAGACGUUAAAAUGUUAUCAAACCUCUGUUUGAGUCUCAUUCUUUCAAAAAUUCAGUUUUUCAAAACUCAUUUUCAACCACACAUCCUUCAAUAAAAUAAUAUUACACGUAAAUUCAAAAUUUUUUUUUUUACUUUUUAACCAUAUAUUCUCCAUCAAUCUACUAUUCAAAAUGCAUUAUUUUCCAAAAAAUGGGGCUCAAGCUAAGUGAAGACUUUACAACAAUGUAAAUGGUAUUCUAGCAAUCAAUAUUCCAGUUUCAAGUUGAACUGAAAUUAAGAAAAGAAACAUGUUGACCAGCCUCAAAAAAUGGUCAUAUAAAGAUAUUAGAAAGCACAUAGCAGUCAAGUGUGUGGAUGGAACCACCUUUACAACAAGAAGAGAAACUGGAUGACAGGCAACAAAUACAGUAUCAUAAAGCACAGCUAAUUGAAGCUAUAGGAAUUAGAAAAAUACAUACCUCGAUAGAUUGUAUGAGACUCUUAUGUAUACGUAAUAGUCUAGUUCAGUACAUUUGAUCAGCCAAGAAGAGGAUUAAGAACGUUCCCAAUGAAUAGCACUACCCCAGUCAUAUCUUCCCUGAUGAUGAACAAAAAUGGAUGAUCGGCAACAAAAUCGAACUCAUCCUCGACUAAUAAACCCCUCAGUUUAACAAGACCAGCAGAAGCAGCAGCAGCUUCCGUGCCUUCUUCAUUUACCUCAAUAAAUGACUUGUGGAAAAUGCUAGAAACAUAAAGGUUCUGACCAACUUGUGAGUCCACCAUCUCUGUGAGACCACCACCAGAAAAAGGCAACACGACUCACAGUCCCUUCAGAACUUCCGAGGCUUCAAACCCAAAUGACAAUUUGAAUUUUGGGAUACGGAAUUCACCAACUUCGACCUUUUGAUAUGGGAGGUGAUGCUCCAAGAAUCCUGAUUCCGAACUGACUUUCUCUACCAAAGCCAGCAAUCCAUCUUUGGUGUCUGGAAGAAGGAAGUUCAUAGAGAACUUGCGCUUAUCUUCACCUUGCUUAUACGGAAGGCUCAAAAUUUUGAAACCAUCAAAGGAACGUAUAUAUUGCUUCUUCUUGCUACUCAUGAAGGGUACUUGUACUGAGCUCCCAUCUAGGAGGAAAAAGUCAUGGUCCUUUGUAAUUGAUGCAUCAAACUUCUCACUCCAAGCUCCUUUGAAAUACACUGCAUUUGCAAAGAUGAGCCUCGUGGAAGCAUCGACUGAGCCAGGUGGAAGAAUUUCUUCGACAAGGCCACUUGUUUCCUUUUCAGCCCAUUGAUUGACUUCACCGAUUACCUCAACAGCCUUCAGAAAUAUCAAGAAUAAAGAACAUAACAAUUAAUACAUUGUUAAAGAAAUUUACUUGCAGAAGUAGAAGUUCUACAACAUGAAUGAUUUCACCCAGCCAGUUCCUCUUUCUCCUACAACUCAAGGUGUACAAGCAGAUAAAUAAUUGUUUACAGCAUGAAUUCGUUGACAUUACAAUAGAAACUAUUUCUUUGUAAGGUUUAUUCUAAAUGUCAUGGGCCAUGAGUACCAUUUACAGAUAUACUUGAAACAGAAGUUGGUUACAUGCUUAUGAACAUAACCACCACCAAAAAACAAAAGCAAAAGCAAAGCCGUCCCCAAUAAAUUUGGAGUCAGGGAGCUAGAAGCAUUUUUCAUCCAUUCGACAGGGAUUUCUUGGUGACCAAUACUAACAUGAAGACAAGAAUAAAUCGGAUGUUAUCCAUUUGAUAUUUUCAUAAUAUCAAACUAUCACAAUUCUGUAAACAAUUACAGAAUUUACAAUUUUAAAAAAAAAAAAAAAGGAGGAUAAAAAUAAUGCAAAUUUUCUUACAAUGUGAAGCACCACAUGGAUUUACAACCACUGGUGUAUGGCAAGUGUUUUAAAGUUUAAAAUUACAUGUCAUUCUAUUUUGGUAUUUGGGAAGAUGAAAUCUAAGUAAUUAGGAGAAAAUGCCUUCGGCUUGCUUGGGCUUAGUUUAGCAACUUUUGAACGUACAAAGGUCAAGUUUUCAGUUAGAAACAGAAAAAAGUGAAAAUUUUUAAAAAAUGAGAGAUAUAAUCUUCAAUGAUUUAACCUGGGUCAAACCUUACGAGAUCCUAUAGUACAAUUUUGACAUGAAGCAGCCUUCCAAUUGGGUCUAUGGUGAAGGACAAAACCUUUCAGUUGUUUUUUCAUACUUAUGACAUUCCAAUAUGCUGUUAAAUAAAUGAAAUCAAGUUCAAGUUAAUCGCAACUUAAUAACCAAGAUUUAUUGAAUAGCCAAGGUCAAACUCAAUUCCAUUGAAACUUGGAAAAUUCAUACAAUAAACAAAUCGUUCUUUGAGAUAUACUGACUCGGACCAAACAAGUUUGUUAAUGGAAAUCCAAAAUCUAUAUUUAAUUCAAGCUCAAAUUCCUCCAGCUAAACUUGCUUGUGUUUAUUUACAUAGUAACAUGUUUGGGAGUGUUUUUAAACAGUUCAAAUUAUAAAUGGAUAGAAAUGAGCGGUUCCUCAAAAUGUGUAAAUAAACAGAGUGUUCACAAACAAUUUAUAGAAACGAGCAAAAGUAGUUUAACUAAUUGAACUAAAUUCAUUUUUCAUUGGUAAUACUGGACAUCAACUCCAGCUUUCCCCUAACAAAAUUUACAAAAGCACGGAUAAAUCGACCAAUUGCAAUAAGUUCAACAAUCAGUUGGAAGAAACAGCUUUUCCAUUAACCAAACGAAUAAACAUGGAUGAAAUGGACCAAUUGUAAUAAUUUUUGAAAUAUGUUUUGAAAAUUUCAUCACCUAUUUUUCCCAAAUGUAAUCAUAUUAAUUGUGUCAAAGCCAUCAAAUUGAAUUUCAGAAACAUACACAAUAAAGUAUCAAUUGAUUAAAAAAAAAAAAAAAGAAAUUUGACAGCACACAAACCACCUAUAGACACCAAUAAUAAGCAAAAAAGGUUAUAAGGAAACAAUCAAACCUUGAUCAACGAUAAACAGAUUAAUGAGUUCUAUAAUUGAAAAUAGAAAUUAAACUAACCUUAGUUUGAAAAUCAACAGGAUUAGAAGCAGCCUUGUAAAUAUUAUCAACAAUUUCUUUAAAACUGGGCUUCAAGCUGAGACUCUGAUCUAUCCAACCCCCAUUAGCGAAUGACAAGCAAGGCCCACCAAGGGGGCCACCGUCAGCGAAAAUGAGAUUUACAAGCUGAGAGGAGAGUGAGUUGAGUUCAUCAGUGGACUUCGAUUUGAGGAAAUUAAGCAACUGAUUAAGGGUUUGAUCUUUGGAUCCGGCCGCGAUCAGACCCAACACCACGUGAAUCGAGAGCGGCGAGAACACCAAAUUCUUAUCCUUGGCCUCAGUCGAAACCAAGUAAUGUGCAAGCUGAAGUGAUGCUUGUGUUUGGUUCUUGAUGGAUUCUCUUAGGUCCAUUUCUGUCUGCGUCUGCGUGUGGAAGAGGUGAUUGAAUCAAAAUUCGUGCGCGUUUGGACGUUCUGAAAAUCUGCACUGUGUUCACCGACCCAUCAGAGGCAAUUUAUAUGUGCCAUUUGUGAUGGUUGACUCAAGCGUGUCUUUCAAUGUCUACUCAACACGUUAGGAUUCGUUUCUUCGAGAUAAAGAUUACAAAUUGGGGGAAUCCAUUGUUCAUCCAAACGACCUUGAAGAAUACUUCGACGUUGAUGUUUUGAAAUUAAUUUUGUGAAUAGUGAUUAAUUUAUAGGCUGUAGGGUUAAAAUAGAUAUAAUUAUUUACGUGUAAAAUUAUUUUAUCAAAAGAUUGUGUAAGAAAAAUUAGGUUUGAGGAAAAUAUAAUUUUUUUAGUAUCAUAAUCAACCAUCCUAUAAACUUCUCUAGGGUCUAAAAAUUUAUUAGUAUCGUAACCAACCAUCCGAUAAACUUCUCUAGGAAUUUAGACUCUGUUUGUCACCCAUCAUUUGAGAAAUUAAAAAGUUAUGAAUAGUAUUUUUUUGAAAAAUAUGUUGUUAAAAAAUAAAGAAAUUUUAUAAAUUUGUGUGUAUAAUAUUUUAUUGUGUGAAUAUGAGGAGUAGAAUGGUACUCUAACAAACAAUUUUAAAUUUUAAAUGGGGCAAAACAAGUUUCUUUCACCGCGGAUAUUUCUUGCUUGUUUGACUUUCUUUAAUUUAUUUUAUAGAUUGUUACGUGAUCAUUUUCAACAUAUUUACGCAAUAAAAUAUUAUACAUAUACACUAAAACUUUGUCUAUUUUAAUCACACAUUCUCUUAAAAUUACUAUUUAAAAAUCAUUUUUCUGCCAAAACAGUUGUCAAACAGGCUUCAUCUUGUGUGAUUUUUUGAAAAUUACUUUUUUUGAUAUUUAUUUUCAAUAUACAUUCUUUAAAAUUAUUUUCCAUAUUUUUCAAUUUUUAAACUUUUUAACUACACAUUUUCAAGAAAAUCACAUUUCAUAAUCUCUAUCCCACACACACACACACACACACACACAUAUAUAUAUAUAUAUAUAUAUAUUUUUUUUUUUUUGUAAUUUUUUUUCUCUAAAAGCAUCUUCAAUAGCAUAUUGUAUAUGAUUCAUAACUUUUUCUUACUUUUUAACUAUACAACCUCUAAAAAAAUAUAUGUCACUUGAAAAAUCCAUGUCAAACAAACUCUAACAGUGACAUGAUUGAGGGGAAUUCUUCAAAGUAGAAAUGCCAAUUUAAACCGUCAAAAUCGAAAAUUGUGACUAACCGAACCAAAUAGAGCGAAAAAAAUCGAAUCGACGGUGCAAUGGGGCGGAUAUGGUAUUUGAUUUUAAUGAAUCGGUUCGUGACGGUGCGGGUAUGAUAUUUACGCCGUCGAACCGAAACCGAACCGAUAACUCGCUAAAAAAAGCAAAAAAUAAAUAAAUAAAUUGAAUUGAUUAUUGAGCUUUACACUAUAUUUCUAUCUAGCCGAAAACAAAAUUUCCCCAUUACAUCUACUUGACCUAGCAGGCCAGCUCACUUAUCAUUAGCCCAUAAUAAUAGCAUUAGUAUGAAAGUAUAUAAAUGCAAACCCCAUUUUCCACAAACCACAAGCUCACGCACGCUCCACUACCUCUACGGUCCAAGCCGUCGUCACCUCCAAAAAAUUUCCCACACGACUUCAGUUUUAAAGAAAAGACAGGACCUCCCUUCUUAAUCAAGAUUAUUGGAACAAAAAUUUCAUCUCAAUCAUUUUUGUUGUAUCUGUAAACUGAUUGCAUUUUGCAUCCAAUUCCAGGGACGCAUUUUUCAGGAUUUGAUGCAGAAAUUGUUUCAAAUUUUGUCGAAAAGAGGAUAAAUUCAAUCAGUACUGAUUUAGUAUAGACUUGAGCCAAGUCCGAGGCGUGGUCGAAUAUAAUAUAUUGUGUUUUUGUUUUCAUUGAAUUUUUUCAUAAAUUGUUUUAUAUCAAUUUGAUGGAUGAACCUAUAAAAAAUAAUUUAUUUUCGUGGUUAUUAAUCGAACCGAACCUAUUUACGUGAUUAUGGUGCGGUUAUAGUAUGGUCAAAAAAUUGAUCGUGCGAUUAUGAUUUUGGCCGAACCGACCCAUAACUGAACCGUUAUCAACCCUACUUCAAAGCAUGUUCACAAGAACAUGGAGAGGAGCUGUGGGCUUUAGCUCCAGGACUGUACCCAUUUAUUAUUUUUGUAUUAAUUCUGUGCAAAUAGUUUUUUAUUAUCCCUCGACUCCACCUCUAAUAUCAACCCAUGAUGCGCAAAUCUAAAUAUUCUCACACUAUGCAAAAAUCUCUUUUUGGUUGAGACAUUUCUCACUUCUCAGUUGUAGUAUUCAGAUUUAUAUGAAAAAGGAGCUCAACAAUAGUUUAUACUUUUCCUAAAAAUAAGACAAAAUAAUGCAAAAUUUUGGACAAAAAAUGAUGAAUGAAGUAAAAUAACAAGAUGUAUCUCUUCAACGAAUUAUUCUACUCCAACAUGUCUUCCUGAAAAAACAAGGCCUAUGUGGCCCUGUUUGAGAAGUAGAACCCCUCGUAUAUAGUGUUUUCUACCUUGAAAUGCCACUUCUAAAAAUGCACUUACUUGACAGUUGACACCUCCUUAUGAUAUUUUGACUAUGCUUAGGAAGCUCAAUUUAAAAAAAAAAAAAAAAAGCAGCUUCUAAAAUAAAAUUUUUAUUGGUAAAUGUUUAAAAUAAUUAUAUUAUUUAUUAUAAGUUUUUGUAUAGAAAUGUGUGGAGGGUAAGUUGUUCGUCGAUCAUGAUUAACGAGGUAGUUUCGACCCUUCUCUAUCUCUUUCUCAAAACCGUUAAAUUUGAUAUAUUUUUCACUUGUAAAAUUUGUUUUCAUUUUUUUUCCUUUUUUUUUUUUUGUGCAUUUACGCAUUUUACAUAUUGUUUAUCUCAUCAUCUUCAUCUCACAAAAUAUUUACAAGUUCUUGGAGAUUUCAGAGAUCCAACGAAAUGAAAAUUUGGGUUACAAUGUUCGAGAAAAUGAAAUAAUAAUUAAAAGUAUUCUUCCUAAACUAUUAAUAUAGUAUUUUUAUUUUUUUACAUUUGAUUCUACUUAUUCUUGUGGACAUCAUUGAUACGUGUUUUUAGUAGUCAUGGGCGGACCAACUGUUGAGAUUCUCCUCCCUUUUUUUUUUUUAAAGUCAUGUUUGGCAUCGAUUGAAAUUUAAAUUUAAAUCUAAAUCAAAGUUAAUAAUUAAUUUUAAUAACAUAUUUCAUGGAUUCUUGAGCUUCUAAAAUUUUAUCAAAAUUUACUAAAAAUCGGACUUUAGUCCCCACCAAACAAAGAUACAAUCUCAAUAAAUUUGAAUUUUUUCUCUUUUUUAUUGCUCUAUCCUAUUCUCUCCCUAAAGCCUUUUACCAAAAUCUUAACUCUUCUAAUUUUUUAUAAUUUAUUUAUAAUUCCUCUACGAUUGUCACAUUUAAUAUAAAUUUUCACUUUUCAAUCAAAUUUUUAACUAAUUAGAACCUAAAAAUUUGCAUUUUCUCCUAUUCUAUUUGUGUAUAUAGCACGUGUCUAAACUGAUGAUAUAAAAUUGAACUUAUAUCUAACGAAUUGUGCUUAUCUGACUGAUUAUUAGUAUUGAAUAUUGGUUAUUUGCUAUUACUUUCAAUUACUUGAAUUGAUUGUUUGUAUCAAAUACACAAUUUUUUAAAACAUAAAUAUAUAUUUUCUUGUGAUGAGCAAAAUAUUAAUAAAAUUAUUAUUCAAAAUCAAAUAGAUGAAAAUAAUUAGCAAAAUAUUAAUGAAAAAAUAAUUUUGAAAUGUAAAUCUACAUUUUUUCGGGUCAAAUACGAAUCAUUCAAAAAUAAAAAAUAAAGUAAUCGAUUUGUACAAAGUUUGAUUGUGCCACCUAACUCAAUUUCUCUACGUCCGCCUUUGUUAAUAUUAUUAUAUUUUGAUGAUGAUGAUUUGCUCUUCAAAAGAAACUAUUUUAUUUUAAAUCACCUCCAUCAAAUGAACCCAAUGUAUAUAGUCACGUUGCACAUACUUUACAACAGUAUUAUAUAAUUAACAAAAUAUUUAACCUCUUUUCUUUUGAUUGCGUGCUUAAUAAUAUUUUACGGCACCUGCAACAAUUAGUUAUUUUAUUUUAUUUUAUUUUAGUUUUAAUUAGGGUGGAGCUUUUGAAUACAUUUGUUAUGUUUUGUGUUAUAAUAAUGAGAGAAUUAAAUGCUCAUUUAUUGAACGAUCAAUUAGGUAAACUAGGAAGGACAAAAUUAAAAAUAUGGAUACAUAAAUGCCGAUUAUAGCAUAAUUUUUCUAAUAUUCUAGAAAACAUAACAAUCUCUCCUAAACUAAUAUUGGAUUUUGCUUGUUGUAUGUCGGGCUGUACAUCAACAUGUCCAUAAUGCUCCUGUAGCAAUAUAUUGGAUUUCAAUUUCUCGUGUCCAUUGAAAAGGACGAGAUAUUUACUGGAAAGCCCCUGCCUUAUCUGAUAUUUGAAAACCUUCUCUUUGGAAGCCAAAUUUAUGCAACAUUAACCAUCUUUCUCUAGGAAUGUCAAUUUGACUUACCAGCUCGAGCAGCCCAAGAAAAGUCCGAUCAUGCCCAAUUCGCGGAUCGUUAUAAUCCAGCUGAGGCUUGAGCUGAGCUUCAUUUUGGAGUUUCGGCCGAAGCUCAAGCUAGCCAGUGUGGCUUGACGAACCACAUGGGCCAUUUUCGGCUUGUGAGCAAAUUUGUGAAAAAAAGAUAUUUUGGCUGCUGUAGCUGCCUGUGUAUUACAGGCAGCUAGUAGCUACUGUUGCUGUAGCUCCAGCAGCGAAUUUGCUUGUGUAUUGCAGGCAUCAAUACAUAGUAGGAAGUCACGCGGUUGCCUUUUCAAAAAAAAUAAUAAAAAAUAAAAAAUCACGAGCUGUCUCGGUUCGAUUGGAUUCCAUAAGGCCAGAGCCAAAGCUCAGAUUGAGCGUUGAUAUUUUGACCGAACACAAACUCGACUCGACUCGAGCUAAAGAAAGCUUGAACCAUUUUUACUCAAAUCGAACACGAGCUUCAAAUUAGGCUCGCGAGCCAGUUCAACUUAGCUCGUUGACCUCCGUAUCUCUCUCAGCAAAAUCUUCGACAAUCUUCGACAACUGAUGAUGAGUAGAUCGACUAGAGACAAAUCGGCGGUGAGCAGAUCAAACAGGGCAACAACAAUAUUUUUUACUUGUAAGAAAAUGGAUUUAAAUUUCUUUUUGGGUGAAUUUCUUCAUUUGUUGUUUAAGUGUUAAUUUCUGGAGUUCUGUACUUGCCGUUCGUCGGACAUUAAAUGGGUAGAUUUUAGUUUGUACCUGAAAUGGGUGGAUUUUAUACUAUAAACUCGGUGUCUUGUGAAAUGCGUAUAAAAUAAUUUUUUAAUCUUGUGGAACAGGGUAGAUUUAAGUUUUGAGCUCUUCUUUUGUGACUACUAUAUGCAAUUUCAUGUUACAAAAAAUUCUCGGAUCGGCUCAAGUAAAGAAUGCUUGAACUAGUUUUACUGGAGAUGAACCAAAGCUUCGAAUUUCUGCUCACGAGCUGACUUAGCUCAACUCGUUCACAUUCCUAUCUUUUUCUCAACAAAAUCCCUAGAUGACUAAUGACAAUGGAUCGAUUGGAGACAAAUCAAAGGCGAGCUGAUCUAACAGGGUAACGACGAUAUCUUUUACUUGUACUAAAAUGGAUUUAAUUUUUGUUUGGGUGGAUUUCUUCAUUUCUUGUUUAAGUGUUAAUUUCUGGAGUUAUGUACUUUACCGUUCACCAAACAUUAAAUGGGUAGAUUUUAGUUUGUACAUGAAAUAGGUAGAUUUUAUAUUGAGAACUCGAUAUCUUGUGGAAUGCAUCUCAGAAAAUUUUGAAAUCUUGUGGAACUGGAUAGAUUUUAAUUUUGAGCUCUUCUUUUGUGACCACUGCAUGCAAUUUCAUAUUACAGAAAAUCAAGGGAAUUUUAUCUUUACACGAAGUCCCGAAAACCCAACUUUUUUUUUUAAAAUCAAGAUACGAAAGUGAGGGCAGAAAACAUAUCAUGGUUGGAGUGGUGGUGAGAAUUGAUGAUUCUUUAUUGGAAUCCACACUUUUAAAAACUGAUAUUGGAUUUAAUUGUUGCUUCGCCAAGAGACAAACCCUUGUCCCGUUCCUUCUUUAUCACAUGUUUCUACAAAGUCUUAGCUGCCGGAAGAGUGUGAUUUUCUUAUCCAGACAUUUUCUUUUGGAAGCCUCCAAAGUGUAAUUACAGUCUACGAGUGGAGAUUCAAAAUCCAUGCUCCAAAUACUUGAGAUGUCAAUUUCAAGACACCUUGGAUCAAGUUUUCAUGUAGUAUUUUUCAUUAAGCAUAUAACAAGGAUUUUUUUUUUUUUUUUUUUUUAAAAGUGAUAUACACAAAUGGCAUGAAAUUAUAAGGAAAAAAAAAAAUAACAACCACACAUGAAAUCAAACAAUUAAUAUUUUACCCCUCAAACUUAAAUUAAAUAUUGUCCCCAAUGUAAAAUUAAAGACAAAGGAGGAUGAGGACUUUCUUGAGUGAAGACAUCAAUUGGCUUCAUUGCUAUCGGCAUCAUGGUGGGGGCAGUGAUGGAUGUUGGUUCUAGUUUUGCCCCCAAACUUGAGCCUCGACCUACAAGAAGAGAAAAAUGAUUAAGAAAUUAUAAACAAAAAUGUAAACUAAUAUCUAAAUAAUUAAAAAGAAAAAGAGCUUGGGUUGCCUCCCAAGAAGCACUUAUUUAACGUUGUUAGUUUGAAGUUGUCGGAAUGCCUUAGGUUAGGUCACCAAGGGCACUUCUUCUAUAUUCAGCUCGUCCUUUCCAUAGUAUUACUUAUGUUGCUGGACAUUAUUUUAAAAUAUGAACCUAUUCUUGUCCUUCAACUUCACAGCACCAAAAGGAAAUAUGUUGUGGCUAAUGGUCGUGGCCAUCGUGAAUUAAGAUUAUUCACCGUCAACUUCUAGCGGGACUUAUGGACAAGUACUUGUUUCGGAAUUGGCUUUCUUCUCCAUAUAAACUUUUGCACAAGAUAAUUAGUACUGAAGAUCUCUUUGGAUUCAAAAGAGUUGACAGGCUUCACAAGAUCCUUUUUCUAGUUCUCAUUACUCUCAAGUGGCAAAGCUUCACUAGCCAAGAUAAAAUCAACCAAUUUCCUGCUCUCCCUGUAUAACUUUUUGUAGCAGUUAUGUCUAUUCUUGAAGCACUUGUUACAAUAUACUACAGUAAAGUGUCAUCAAACAAUUCCUUUUUACAUUUUUCUCCCACUGAUGCAACAAUUUCUUAACUUGGUAUAUAGUGAACCUGACUUCUUCUUUAUUAACCCAAAGUGUUAGUUGUCCUCUUUGUACAUUAGUAAGUGCUCUACCAGUUGCUAAGAAAGGUUGACUAAGAAUUAAUGGUAUUUCUUGAUCUUCCUCCAUAUCCAACACCAUAAAAUCAAACGGAAAGAUGAACUUCUCAAGUUUAACUAACACAUCUUCCAUAAUUUCCUUAGGAUAUGUAAGAGAUCGAUUAGCAAACUACAAAGCGAUGGUGGUUGAUUUCGUUUAUCCAAGACCCAACUUCUUGUAUAAACAGAGGCAUUAAAUUAAUGCUAGCCCUAGAUCACAUAAUGCUUUGUUAAUGUUAGAAUCGCCAACUGUGCACGGAAUUGUAAAGCUAUUUGGAUCCUUUAGUUUCUAAGGAAGCUUCUUUGACAUUAGUUUUUUUUUUUCAAGAAUUUGGCAUAAUUCUGCAUGUGUGCUAAAAUAUCUACAAUAGAGAAAAUUAUAUGGAUUUUCUUGAAAAUUUCUAGAAAUUUUGCAACCUGUGCAUUAAACUUUUUCUUUAGGAAUUGCUGUGGAUAUGACAGUGGUAUCUUCAAGAUUGGUGGAUUAUCUAGGAAUGAGACUGAAUUAGGCUUAGAAGCCUUCUUUGUUUUCUUGUCCUGCAACCUACUUUUCUUCCUCUUGUCUGGAAUUUGAGUAGAAACUAUAGCCUCUUUAGGCUUACUUUCUCUAAUCUCCUUACCACUUGUAAAUGUGAUAGCAUUGCAAUGUUCCCUUAGAUUUACCUUUGUAUCACUAGGAAACUUUCCUUUAGGUUAAGUAUUCAUUGCAAUAGCUAGUUGACCAAUCUGUAACUCAACAGAUUUCAUAAUGGCCUCCAUGUUGGUUAUAUGAGUCUCAAUGUUGUCAGUCGUGACUCAUCCUUGUUGAAUCUUGCCCUAGUCUCUGAAAUAAAGGCUUUCAAGAUGUCUUUUAAUGAUGGUUUCUCUUAAAAGGAUUGAUUAUUGAACCUAGGAGAAUGCUAGAGCACAUUCCUAUUAUUACCAUAAGUGAGUUUUUAUAUCAAGCAGCCGCUUGGCAGAUUGGUACAGAAGAUUUCCAGUGGGGCGUGAAGAUGCUUCUUUGGUGAAUGAGAGGCUGGGUGCCUCGUAUACCUGCGUAGCGCGGCUCUCACCAGGCUGACCUUUUCGAGUUGGUCAGGGCGAUCCACCAAACUAGUUAGUAGAAGAUUUGACCAAAUGGAGCGUCAGCUUACGCGCUCCAUCGCCUUUGCUAUUAGUUGGGACGACAUGGCGUGGACUCUGUAGGCUCUGGGACUACCACGUGGUUAAUGAUUUGGCAUCUCUCUGGACGCGUAAGAACAAUCCUCUAAGUCCAUGUAUGGAAUAUUUAUAUCGUGUGCGGACUUUUAGUGUUGGACUAGAAGUAGAUUGUUUGUUGGGGCUACCCAUUGGCAUGGAGAAUUGGUGCAAAGGUGAUUUGGCCGAGGUGUAACAAUAAUAGUCCUCCAAGUCCAUGUAUAGAUUAUUCAUAUAAUGCGUGAACUUUUGGUUGAUGAGGUGUAGGCAUAGUUUCUAUUUGGGCAAGUUUUUUGUUGUUGAGAGCUUUGAGAGAAGCUGUUGAGGCAGAAGCGUGGUCCCUGAAUCAUGAUCGCUAAUAAUUGAGUCUGACUCUGCCUUGAAUCUUGACUUGGAUCAAAAGAUUCUUCAUACCGUAUGAAGAAUACGUAGCUAACAAUAUCUCAAAUACGUAGCUAACAUAUAGCUAGAUUUUAAGACGGCAAUUGAUAUACUUAUAGGAAGAGGAUUCAGAUUUUCAGGUCAAUAAUUAUAAUUACGUUUGAUUCAUUGAUAUCUUGUAUCAAAGAAACGAUGUCUUUCUUUUGAGUUAAAACAAAUUAUUUCAGCAAAAAUUUAUUCUACUUCCACAACUUUCUAUGUUUUUCUUGUUGUGUCACUUAAACUUUCUCUAGUCUUGUUUGUAAAGAUUUAUUUUUAUAGGUUUUCAAAAAUAUGUUAUAGAAAUGGUUAGUACCAUCAGUGGUUAUUAAAGUUUGUUAAAAACUUUAAAAUGAUCGUUGAAGUAUUUUUCUAGCUAUAAUGGUAAUUUAUUCUAAUAGUUACAUUAAUAGUUGGCUGGAAACAUUAACCAAAAUCUUGUAUGUCACCAUUAAAUGUCAACUUUGACGCAAACAAUGCUAAUUAUUACAUAAUGCAACGUAUUCCUAAAUUUUGUAGAAAUUAAUGGAAUAAACACUUUUAAAUUUAAAUUUUCAUUUGGGUAAUAUGUUUUAAAAGCUGAAUGUUUCUCCAUCAAAUUUUCAUGAUAAGGAUUGAUUAUAAGGAUUUAAUUUCUUCAAAUUUGCUCUCCCAACUGUCUUCUCUCUUCUGUUACGUUAUCUGCUUCUUUCUUUUUUGCUGUCCUUCCACUGCGUUUUCUAUUUUUUCCCCCUUCUAUUCUCCUAUCUUCAGCUUCUGUUUGCUUUCACAAAGGAUUCUAAUUCCUUUGAAUUUGAUUCCCAUCUAAUUUCAUGUUUCAAGGCCCAUUAAUGUAUUAUUUAUCUCAAAGGCCUCACGUCUUUGAAAUAAUGUAAUAUAGUCCUUGAUAAAAAUUUGUUUGUGUGUCUCAUGUCUUCUUUAAUUCAAUCAAUCACUUCAAUUAUAAUAAAAAUGUGGAAUUUGAUCUCAAAGCUACAGAUUUUAUUCAAUUUCAUAAUUCUUGAUCAAUAUUUUCUCCGAUCCCUAGUUUCUCCUAACAUAAUAAAAAAAUAUAAAUAAUUAACCAUCAAGUUUACAAUACUACUAACUAAAGACACUUUGGCGACUUAGAUAAGUGUAACUUUAAUACUUAUCAAAUACCGCCAAAUUUGAGCAUUUGUUAGUAUUCAAAUAAAUGAUAAUAGAUACUUUACUAUACUCUAAGAAAAAUACUCAACUCGAUAUAUGCAUCUCAAUGUUUCCUCAAAUACCUAUCACAAUCACAAAAUUUAAACAGGUUAAUGAGACACAAGAACCAAAAAUUAUUCUAAAACUCCACAUAUCGUAUAGUGUUCGUGUGUGUGUGUUGAACAUUCUCAUAUCUACUGAUGUUACUCAAAUCAAAUAAUCUAUUUUAAUUUCCAAACUCUCUUUUCCCAGAUAAAAAACUAAGUCCCAAUAAUGUUGAUAUACUCUUUCAUCACUCGUGUUUUUCUAUUUAUUUUUCAAUUCUCCCAAAGACAAAAUAACUAUGAGAUAUGACUUGUUUUCAUCAACCACUCAGUCACCUUCCAAUUUGUAAUCAAUGAGCUGGACUCAGCUGGACAGAGGUAGCAUUUAUAUAGUUGUUUUGGUACUAGCGCAACACACUUUAGUGUGUUUUACUUUUCUUUUUAUUUUAUCCAUUUUUCUAUUUUUUUGUGAGUAGGGUCAACUUACUCAAUACCAGCUUCAUACUAUAGUUUAGGUAAAUUUUUCCCUAUGUGUCAAAACUAGUGCAAUGUCUUUUACGUUUUAGGCUAACAAUAGGAGUUAAAAGAUAAUUAAGUGGUGAUGUUUUUGGUGUCGAAUGGAUCUAAUCAUUCCUAAACUUAUUCUAAAAGGAUUUUCAAUAUGGUUCUAAACGAAUGUUGGUUUAAUAAAUAUGUUCUAAGGUCUUAAAAAAUUCUGAGGUGAUUGACUUGUACAACUCAAUUUUUAAUCAAUUAUAAGUGUAGUCAAGAAUGAGUACGUGCUUGAAUUGUUCAAAAGACAAGUAUAAAAUAAUAGGAUUCAUAAAUAAUUAAAAAUCUGAGUGUCCAAAGGAAUCGAUUUACAUUUUGCUCUUAUUUGAGAAUCAUCAAUUGAUAUAAAUUACUUUGUCCAAGUCAAAUCACACACAAGCAUACAUAAUAAAGCUAAAAAGUUUUUUUUUUUUUUUUUUUUUUUUUUAAAAAAAAUUUUUAUGGGUUUUUUACAACAAAAGCCCCAAACCUUUAAUCACACCCAAAUUAUUCGUGUAGAAUAAAUUAAAAUAGAACCUAGAUUUUCUCCUCGACGUAAUGCUAUAAAGCAGAAAAUAUCAAAAUUAAAUAAAAGAUAGAAAAUUUAGACUUGACUGAUAAUUUUUGCAAGAUGGAGUUAGCCUUGAAACUAGAAGAAUAUUUUCCUUCUCUUUAUCUUCUCUCCUCCUUCAAAGGAAUUUCUCCUUCUUUGUGCCUUUUUUCUACAAAUAAGAUUAAGUAAUUAUAAUCAAGAUUCCAAUAAAAGAGCAACACAUCAACUACUUAAUCCAUCUAUCUCAAUUCGAUUUUGCUAGUGGUACAUUGAGAUGUAACUAAUGGUGUACACUCCACUCACAUAGGUGAGGGACCCAAUCGAAUAAAAUAUCAUUUCUUUCACAUGGAUCCCACACCCAUGUGAGUGGGGUGUACACCAUUCGGUACAACCCAUUAUAUACCACUAGACAAAUAAUAAGUAAUUAUAAUCAAGAUUCCAAUAAAAGAACAACACAUCAACUACUUAAUCCAUCUAUCCCAAUUUAGUAUAACAAAAUUAGAAAAAUUCCAAGAAAAAAAAUCUCAUGUAAUACUAUUGAGUGAAACUUGAACUUUUCAUGAUUUUUAAAAACAUUGAACAUAUUGAUGAUGAAUAAGUUGGUGAUUAUGUGAAUUUGGGUGUCAAAUAUAUGGAGGAGGGAGAGAAUUUUGAAAAUUUGAAGUUAAAACUUAUUAAAGUUAAAAACUAAAAUAAAUAAAAAAAUUAGAUCUCUUAGUUCUUUUUCUAUGUUUGACCACGGUUGACCACGACGAACAACAAACAUUUGGCGACUGUAUGUCAUCGCAGUUGACUGCGGUCAACCGUAUUGUUUAUUUUAAUUUUUUGCAGUGGUAAUAGAAUGACGACCCCAAAAAUAAUAAAAUAUUUAAAACAAAAUUUAUUUUUAGCUAAAUAAUAAUUAAACAUGCCUAAUCCUAAAUGCAAUUGUAUCAUUUAUAUGUCAUGCAGUAAUAGGAUGGCAAUUCAUAUCGCUGGCUCGAGCCACCCGUGGCUCGGCCUGGGCUAAGCCCGAGCCAGCCCGCAGGCAUUAUUUAAAAAAAAAAAAAAAUAGAAGCCCCAAAAAAUGCUGCCUUAAUAGGUAGUCAGUAGCUGGCUGCCUUUUACGACAACCUUAUAUAAAUAAAAAAUAAAAAUAAAAAAAUAAAAAAAAUAGAAGAACCAUAAAAAAAAUGAGCCUACCCUGCUCGAGCCUAAGCCCGGCUAAAAGCUCGUACAUUUUACUUGAGUCAAGUCUGAACCUUGAGUUUUGGCUUAGGAGCCGGCUCGGCUCGUUAGAAAAGUGGUUUACUUCCCAUUAAAUUCUUGGUCUAUAGUCCGAAGCUAGACUUUGGUCAAGUCUUAAUUAUGAUGGCUCAAGUCGAAAUGUUUUGGCCUUGUAAUCCUUCCAAUUUCUAGCUUUGCAUUCUCUUCUUGCUCUCCAAACUUUGAAUUUUUCAUUCUUAUCUCUACCAAGAAUUUCAACAAAUUUAGGUUUCUCUUCUGAUAGCUUUGUUGAAAUGAUAAAUCAUCCUCAUCAACACAGUUGCACUCCUCAUAUUCAGAUGGUUGCUUGCACUGCUCUCUUCUGUCAUGCCACAAUUUUAAAUUUUGGCAGCUCUCUCUUCUUUAAUAUAAUGUCUUUCAAGAACCUUACAUAACUUGAAAUUUGCCUAAUUGCAUCAACGAAUUGUAUGUUGAUGUAAAGCUUCUUCAGCACGUCCAGGAACUUUUCAAAUUGAUGGUCUAGCUCGUGUUACUUCAACCUUUGUGGGAACGGGAUGAGAAGUACAUAUUUUCUGACAGAAACGGCCACCUUAGCAUGUUGGUUAUCUGAAUUCUCUUUCAAAUUUUCAUCAGUUGAUGUUUUAGAUUCAUCUAAUUUCUCUUCUUCAAUAGUUGUUACUUAAUUUAUCUUUGCUAUUGAUAUUUUGAACGUAAUCCCAAGCAGUUGUACCUCGCUUCUUAUUGUGAUUUCUUUGAUCCUCUCCUCCUCUCUCCACUUUGAAAUCCUUACGAAAAAGGAAUGGGAGGCAUAUGUUCUCAUAAUUUUGGAGCUGCCAUCGGUUGCAGGGUAUUUAUUUGUUCAUCUUCAAUAACUCUGAUAGAUAUUACCUACUCCUUUGAAUUAGUUUCUGUAUAGAAAGGUAAAGCUCCUUGUAGCCUUUCAGAGAUAUCAGGGGGCCAGCUGACCUAUUUAAGUUUCCAAUUCUGUUUAAUGGUUGUCGAAUGACUUUGUAAGGUUGUUUCAAUCUUAGCCAUGUAUUGGUUAGUCUUCUGUAUGAGUUUACCCAAUAUAUCCUCCAAAGAAGCUCUCUUUUCUUCUUGUUGGAAACUAGGAGUUGGGGAUCUGCUGAUGCUUAUUUUGGUUGUUGCUUCAGGAGAAGUUAUGAUGAUUACGUGAUCCUCAGUUAUAUGCAUUGCUCUAUUGGUUAUUUUGCUGGUGUUAAUAAUUAUGUGCAAUCCUCUCUCUAUUUUGAUGCAGCCUAGCAUUCCAUAUUGUUGUGAGCUCCCCCAAAUGUACUACAAAAUUGAAAUCCAAAUUUUUUUUUUAUUUUUUAUUUUUUAUUUUUUAUUUUUGGCAUUUGAUGAAUUUUUAAUGGCCAGAUGGCCUAUAACCUUCCUUUCUAAAGAAGAUAUUUGUGCUCAUAGUUUGUAGAUGGCAUCUAUUUCAUGCAUACCUGAUGAAAUCUUGUAUAAAGAUCUUUCGAAAGGCCACAAGGCAUUGUCGGCUGCAAUUGUCUCACAUCCUUAACUUUAUUAGGUGACCUCAAUGUGAUAGAUCCAUUAGCACUGAUGUACGACAUGCUGGGUUCAAUCCGGUCUAGAAGUACAAAACUUGCAAGGAUUUCUUAAUAUCAUGGUUAGGACACUUUCUGAUCAUGUUCUUGCAUCUUUUACAUGCUUCAUGAAAACUCUCUAAAUCUGCCGGUUGAAAUGUCGAGAUCUCAUGACUUUUAGUUACCUUUGACGUUGGAAAGUAUUUUGUGACACACUUAUGUACUAUAUCAUCAUCCUAAUGCUUUCUUCGCCCGGGGAAUCCAACCAUUCUCUUGCUUUAUCACGAAGAGUAUAUAGGAAGAGUCUCAACUAAUUGCUUCAUCGGAUACUCCAUGAAAAUUGUAGUUUUAGUAGAUGUCCAAGAAGCGUGAGAUAUAAUUAUGUAGAUUCCCAUAAUAUUGAAAUAAAACAAAAAAGGUUAAAAGAUAUCACCAACUUUAAUUACAAUAAACAAGAUAAAAGUUACUCCUGGCUUUCGUUGAUUUUUGUCAUACAAUUCCAACAAUAUUUUUCAUUUCCUUCCUUGCGUAUUGUAAAUCUCACGAUAAUUAGUUGAUGGAAUAUGAUAUAUUUUCUUCAAUUUUGCUCUCCUAGCCAUCUUUUCUCUUCCAUCACAUUUUCUAUUUCUUGCUUUUUGUCAUCCUUCCUCGGUGUUUUCUGCAUUUUUCUUUUAUUUGCCUAUAGCCAGCUUCCGUUUACUUUUAAAAAAAAGGAUUCUAAUUCCUUUGAAUUUGAUUCCCAUCUAAUUCUAUGUUUCAAGGCCCAUUUUUUUUUUUUUAUGUAUUAUUUCUCUCCAAGGCUCACUUUUUUUUGAAUAAUGUAAUUUAGUCCUUGAUAAAAAUUCAUUUGUGCAGCACAAAUCCUCUUUAUUUCAAAUCAAGCCCUUCAAUUUCUAAAGUGUUGAAUUUGAUCUCAAAGCUGUAGAUUUCAUUCAUUUUCGUCAUUCUUGACCAAUAUUUAUUCCAAUCCCAAAUUUUCUCGUAACAGAAUCCAAAAAUACAAAAAAUUAAGUAUUAAGUUCACAAUAAUACUAACAAAAGACACUUUAUGUGGCUUAAAUAAGUGUAAAUUUAAUACUUAUUCAUAUCCACCUUCACAUCCACUCCCUUUUCAAUGAAUUUUGUCAUUUUCGGUGUGUCUUCGAGUUCCUAGACCUAAAGAAAAUGCAUGGAUACAAUUAUAGCAUUUAUAUCUUGUUGCCGUAAAUCUGCGUUGACAUAAUCUAUAGCCUCCUCAUAUGAAGUCUUAUUAUCUACUUGUAUUGUGGACAUCAUCUGUUUGGACUGUCCAACCAACAAGUAUGUGAAAAAUCUCAUGAUGACCUUAUAACCUUAUCUAAGUGGUUGUAGCUCCUAGAUCGUGGCGUUAUUAAGGAAUCACAAUGUUUUCAUCAAAGCUAGUAUCACCAUCAAGUUGACUCCAUUACUUUUGACAAUUUUUUCAUCUAUAGGAUCAUAUGAAAGAUCAUAGCUCCUACUCUGGUCAUGAUGUCUUAAUAUUCCUAAAACUGUAGUUUGGUUUUCAUCAAAAAUAGCAUCACCAUUAAGUCGAAUCCAUUACAUCCUCAGUUUCAACAAUUUCUUCAUCUAUAGGAUCACAUGAAUGAUCAUCCCUUCUACUUUUAUCAUGUUGUUUUAGUAUUCCUAAACUGUAGGUUGUUUGUCACCGGGGUUGUGUUUCUAGAAUUGAUAUCGUAGAUUUAUUCUCACUCAUUUCUUUGAAAACAACCUUAUUUUGGUUUGAAAAGACAUAUAUUGAACACAUUAAGUCAUAAAUAUUAGUCUAGAAUUUCAUGUUAAAACUAAAUAGUGACAUUACAAAUAUUACAAAUCAAAGUUUACUUAUAAUUAUUACAUGCAAUAAUAUGAUACAAAUAUUUUAGUGCUAACCUAUUAGUCGAUGCUAAUUUGAGCCACAUUUGCAGCUGUAACACGUUAUUGAUUCUUUAUAUAAAGAUAAGAAUAUAGCCAAUUUAUUCAUUAAUUACAAUCACAAUAUAAAGCAAUUAAUAAAAAACGAAUAAGAAGAUCAAAUACGAUAAUAUAUUCUACAGCUUUCUGUGAAUCAUCCAAUACUUCUACAUUAUUCAAAUAUUGACGAAUUAUUAUAGGUUCCUUAAUACAACAUUUUAGGACAAAUCAUCGCCUCAACAUCUUUAAGAUCAACCAACGCCUAAAAGAAUAAAAAAAUUCAACAACUAAUAGGGAUUAUAAAUUCAGUAAUUUUGAAUAUUUGAAUAGCUAACACAUAUUUGACAAUUUUCGAAGGUAAUCUCAUACUUAUUUGCAUUCAAUUUCCACCAAAGUAAUAGGUUGAAAGGCUCAUUAGUCAAAUCUUGACAUAACCAUUUAAGAAAUCUAUCAAAUUAUUCUAUCGAUUAAAUAGUAAAAUUUAACAACUAAGUUUAAAUAUAAAUAAUAAAUCGUAUGAUCUAACCAGAAAAUUGAGAAGUAAAUAAACAAAUAGUAUCGUCUAAAAAAAUUAAGGGCUUCGAAAAAUCACAACAAAACAAAAAAAUUAUCAAUAAAAUAUAAUAAACAAUUACAAAAAAUAAGAAAUUUUGGAUAAACUUACAUGGAAAUUUCGGCAAAAUUCGAGAAAAAUAUUAGUAGAAGGAAAGGAAAUGGUGUGAGUUUAUUAAAAUUUAAUUGUCUACUCAAUGUGAUGGACAUUCGAUGAUUAUGGUUUCAAAAAAGUUCAAUACUUCAGCCAAUUUGAGAAUUUUUCUUUCACAAUUUUGAUGACUUAUGGUUAUUUAUUAUUUAAUUAAUUGGAAUGGAUAGUUGUCUAAUUGUGUGUUGAAUUUAACUGGGUUGGAUAUAAUAUGAAUGUAUAUUUUGAAUUUGGAUGCUUUACGUUUUAGUUGGGUUGAAUAAAAUUUAAAGUAACUUAUUUUUCAAUUAUUUUUAUUUUUUGUAAUAAUUUGAUAAUUUGAAAUGGUUUGCAAAAAUUGAAAUCUAAACAAAUCUAAUUUGAAACGAUUUGGUUCGAUUCAAAAUAAAAACAUUGAGGGAUCUAUGUGAACCCAAAUCAAUGAUUUCAAAAACUAAUUUUAGUUCGAUUUCAUAGUUUGACGAUUUUGCUAUCUGGCCCUAGUAAUAGCUGUUUUUAUUAAAACAAUGGAUUUUUGUUUAAAGUUUAAAAGUUCUUGUUGAUCAAUAAAAUUUCUUUUUAAGUUAUUUUAAAGAAGCUCAAAUUUUUCAAAAAGCUUUGUAUCCAAGAAAAUUGAAAUAUGUAUUUAAUAAAACUUUUCAAUAAACAAAAUUAUCCUUCAAACUAUCUUAACAUCGAAAUAACAAUGGACUAAUAUAGCCCCCCAGGGCACAUCCGAGUUGGUGGAUCAAUAACUUUGGCGGGCUCGCAACUUCAGCGUGGAGAGUUCGAUUCCUGGUGGGAACCUGUAAUCCAACAAAUGGGCAACUUUGUUGGUGGAUCAAUCACUAUGGAGGAAAGCUCUCUUGAGGCCAAGAGUAAAAAUCGGGUGGGAACCUGUGAUCCAACAAGGGCACAUCCUGCGGUUUACCUCCGCUAGUCACUGAGGGGCCGAUGGCUAGGGGUUCAGGAUUUAGUCUGGCGAAGCUGGGACACCUGGGUAUAAAAAAAAAAAAAAAAAAAAGGAAAAAAAAAAAAACAAUGGACUAAUAUAAUAAAUUUUAUAAUUUAAAGUUUCAUUUUGAAAGGUUAACAAAUAUGUUUCUAUCUUAUUUUUAGUAUUAUUUAUCAUUUUAACUAUGAAAUGUCACAUACAAUCCCCAUUUCAAUUAGUUAAAAUAUAUAAUAAAAUAAAUAAUGUGAUCUACACAAAUAAAUAACUUGAUAUUCAUUUAAAUAAUAAUACUUCGUUAUUUUAGUUAAAAUAAAUUUUAAUAGUUUCAAUGAAUGGAAAUAAAUAUUAUAUACAAAUAAAUUAUUAAAAUUUAGCCACAUAAGUAUGUGGUAAGCACUUUUUAGUUACACUACCAAACAAUCUAUUUAGUACUCACAACAUUUUUCAGAUUGACUAUCAAACGAACAACUUUUUAUUAAAAGCUUUUCUUGAAAAGGCUCUACUAGUAAAAACUCUAUUGAUAAAGUUCUACACACAAUAGUUGUACUUAAUGGACCCUAAAAAGAUUAGAUGCAACAUCAUUCUCCAAUUUGACACAACAACAAAGAUGUUGAUUUUUCAUUAAAUCUUAGUAGAUGGAAUGGCUGGGAUAUAAAAAGCAACAGUGGCUUAUUUAACACAUUUGAAAUUUAUUGACCAAAUAGUAACAGGUGGGAAAGUUUAGUGACCAUUUCGAUAAUUAACCCGACGUUACUCUAAAACAGAGUAUUAUUAUAUAAUUUUUGACCACUUAUAAUAAUGUUUUGUGUUUCUUGAUAGAUCCUUCUAUGACCAGUUUUAGUACUUUUCCAAACUAAAUAUUCUAUGACAUUUGUGGGACAUAGGAAAGAUAAUUGACAAUUGAUAUAUACAAAAUGACAAUUAGAGUUGUUAGGGUGAUCAGUGGUUAAAUGUGAACAUUACGGGAAGUCUAAAAGCUAAAAUAUUUUUUUAUAGAAGUCUUACCAAAUGUUGAACGGCUUAAUUGCAAUUAAAUUACUUGUGAAAGGAGAAUUUGACUCUUCAGGAUCAUAUUCUCAAAAAAUUCUCCACGACUAGGGAAUUAUUUUCAUUUUAAAUAUAACGGAGAGAUGUCUAAUAAAUAAUAUGUCAAGGUUCGGGAAUUUUAUUGUGUGAGAGAUCUUAACUUUGUGAUUCUCGCCUUAUUUUCAUAUAUAGUAAAAUUUUCUUGCAACACUAUUUUGUCUAAGAAUAUUUGAUUAAUUUUCUCACCACCUUUGUAUCUGAAAUUGAAAAAUUCAUAAAAUUGAAAAUUAUCAAACAAUAGAAGGAUUGGUGUGCAAUAAAUAAAUAUUAUUGUUCCGGCAUAAUCCAUUAUUUUUCUUUCCGUAGCAGUAAUAUUAUGAAACUUGUACAAAAUAUUUUUCACAAAGUAAAUCGUUAGUUUUUGGUUCCUUUCAAGAAAAAUAGUAGUUAAUUUUAAUCUAGAAUUAUUUAAUAAAAAAUUAGAAGUAAAUAACUUUGGGGACCAAUUUAGAAAUCUCUAAAAAAUUCCUCUCCAAUUUUAACAUUUUAAGAUUUAAACGGGCCAGUUACCAAAUACGUUCAUUUCUUUAAUAACAAACAAACGUGGAACUGUGGAAGUCAAAUAUAAUAAAAAAUACAUAUCUAAUAAUUAACAUUCAAGGUUGAAUGUCAAAUGUUGAACGAAAUCUUAACAUUUUAUAAGAAUUUAGAGGAAAGAUAAAUUUAAGUCAAAUCUUGGUUGUUAAAAGGGAAAAUUUCAAAUAAUUAAAUCCAUCCUCUAUAUAUCUAAUAAUUUAAGAAUUUAAAUUAAAUUUUAAUAUAUAGUGUCGAAAAAUUAGACAAAAUGUCAUCAAAUAAAGCCUCAUUGUUACUUUUAAAAUUUGUAUAUGUAUAAGAUCUUUAAUAAAAAAAUUAAUCCGAAAAUUGUGAAGAAUUUGGUCAAGUAAAAUGAAGAACCCAUUUUGCAAACUCAUAUAUUGUAAAUGCAUGUUUUAUAAGAACCAGAGGCGGACCCACAUGGUGUCAUGUGAGAUCAAAUGACCUCACAAUUUUAUUUUAUUUUUUUUCCCUGCUGAAAACGUAAUUUCAUGCCAAGUUGGUGAGCCAACCCAAUUAAUUUUCCUAGCCCAAUACUCAAAAAGCCCAAAUCCUAAAUCUAUAUCCAUAUCACAUUGUCCAUAUCCAUUAGUUUGUCCAUAGAUAUAUCAUAUAAUUCACCGAUUUCUUCUUUUUGUUCAUGAUACGUUGUUCUAAAUAAAUUUCAUUUUUAACUCCACAGUUUGAACUGUCUAGAUCCGCACCCGAUAAGCACGUAUAAUGAAGAUUGAGAUGUAAACAAACUGGUGCAAGCCUCAUCCUAACUGUAAAAAAAUUGAAACUUCGACAAGGGAUCCCAACAAGUUGGUCCCACUUCUUUUUCCUAACUUUCCUUGGACGAUAACAAUUAAUAGUGCAACACUAACGAAAAGUUACGGACCAACUUGAAAAAUGAGGCAAUAGGUUGGGGACCAACGGUGAAAUUUUUGCAGAUUUUGACAACUAUAUAUACAGGUCACAAGUGACUCAUCUGAUAUUCCAUAAAUUUCUCAAAGCUAGUUGUCCCCUGCAUUCAUUGUCUCUUUAUUCCACGGAAGGAUGAAGGUAUGCACACACACAGUUGAAAUGCAAGAAAUGGAAAGAGAAACCCUUGAAUCUUCUUAUAUGUAUAUUUACUCUUUCAAUGUUUUUCAUCAUCAGCAAAAGGUGGUCAUUGAGGUCUCGUUAAAUGGCCAUAUCUCUCAAGGCAUCAUUGAGAUGUUGAUGUGCUGCGUAAAUCAAGAGUCGAACGAAGCUACGAAGAUUAGAACGAGGGCCAUGAAGAUUGCAGUAUGCAUCCCAAGUAAGUUAAAUCUUUUUUAUGAGUAACAAAGCCUGUGUUUGAGCAUUUUUAUUUAUUUAUUUAUUUAUUUGGUGAAAAUGAGCUCAAAGACCGGCAAAAAUAGCUUGUUUGGUACUUGAGACUUACAUAAUUAUAUCUAGGACAUCAAACAAGGUUCCUUUUUUUUUUUCCCCCAAUAUUGUCUAGUCAACUUUAUCAGACAUGCAAUAAGAAGACUUCAAUUUAGAUGGUGUUAUUUACGUUAUUCUAUAGGGGUAGAGUCUGCAGCAAUGGAGGGGGAGGAAAGGAACAAGCUAACAGUGAUUGGCGAAGAUAUCGACACGGUGACUCUUGUCAAAUUGCUUAGGAAGAAUGUGUGCUUCGCGAAGAUCGUGAGUGUUGGCCCUACAGAGACUGUCAAAACUGCCGAGGACAAGAAUCAGGCGGCUGUGCAUCCCAUAUGCUAUAAUCAUGUGCCUCAUUAUCAAUUAUUGGAAAUCAGAGAACCCUACUAUACCCCCUCAUGUUUCAACUUUUGAAUGCUUAUUGGUGUUGAAUUUGUCCAAAAAAUUAAUAAUAAUGAAAAAAAAAAUUAUGUUUUGCAAUGGAAAUGAAUAAAGUGACAAAUUUUGUUUGAAAUAAUCUUACAGAUAGAACAUAUUGUAUAAUUAUUGUUUGUUGUGGAAGCUCGCUUCAAGAUGUUCAAACGGUGAUUUUCUAGCUCAGUUUCACAUUAACUUUUUCUACCAAACAACCAAUCUAAACAUCUCUGACUCACAAGCAAUCUAUUUUCCUUAAUUGCUUCUCAAUCUUACCCAUAGAUGACAAGAUAACGGUGUUGAUUUGUAAGUUACAAUGAAACAAGAAAAAUAAUGAAUGAGGCACAAAGAAGAGACCAAAACGAAGGAGGAAGUCACCAGCUUUCACUCUCAAUUGCACACAUUUUUCUCCAAUAGUAGGCAGCCAUGUUCUCUCUUUACACACAAACCACACACUAAAAAAUGCCUAGCUCAAUACACCAUAUAUAUAGAUAUAGGUUAGGUUUUAGUCUGACCAAGAAAGGGGUUAAAUUGACUAAGAUUUAAAAGCCAUCCAAUAGAUAAAUAUAUGGGCCGUGAAUAGCAUUAAUUUCUUAAGCUACUUUCAACAGUCCACGUUGUUUUCGUGUUGAGCCUUUAGACUUGGUUGUUGGUAAUCAAUUCAUCAUUGUCCAAGACCUGUGAAAAUAUAUUCAAACGUUUUACAUCAUCGCCAAAGAUUUAUUGGUUAUGAAAACCCAACAAAUUUUCACCUUGAUACACAAUCAACCUGUAAGCUAUCAAAACCCAAAAUCAAUACUCACAUAAUAAAUGUAACCNNNNNNNNNNNNNNNNNNNNNNNNNNNNNNNNNNNNNNNNNNNNNNNNNNNNNNNNNNNNNNNNNNNNNNNNNNNNNNNNNNNNNNNNNNNNNNNNNNNNNNNNNNNNNNNNNNNNNNNNNNNNNNNNNNNNNNNNNNNNNNNNNNNNNNNNNNNNNNNNNNNNNNNNNNNNNNNNNNNNNNNNNNNNNNNNNNNNNNNNNNNNNNNNNNNNNNNNNNNNNNNNNNNNNNNNNNNNNNNNNNNNNNNNNNNNNNNNNNNNNNNNNNNNNNNNNNNNNNNNNNNNNNNNNNNNNNNNNNNNNNNNNNNNNNNNNNNNNNNNNNNNNNNNNNNNNNNNNNNNNNNNNNNNNNNNNNNNNNNNNNNNNNNNNNNNNNNNNNNNNNNNNNNNNNNNNNNNNNNNNNNNNNNNNNNNNNNNNNNNNNNNNNNNNNNNNNNNNNNNNNNNNNNNNNNNNNNNNNNNNNNNNNNNNNNNNNNNNNNNNNNNNNNNNNNNNNNNNNNNNNNNNNNNNNNNNNNNNNNNNNNNNNNNNNNNNNNNNNNNNNNNNNNNNNNNNNNNNNNNNNNNNNNNNNNNNNNNNNNNNNNNNNNNNNNNNNNNNNNNNNNNNNNNNNNNNNNNNNNNNNNNNNNNNNNNNNNNNNNNNNNNNNNNNNNNNNNNNNNNNNNNNNNNNNNNNNNNNNNNNNNNNNNNNNNNNNNNNNNNNNNNNNNNNNNNNNNNNNNNNNNNNNNNNNNNNNNNNNNNNNNNNNNNNNNNNNNNNNNNNNNNNNNNNNNNNNNNNNNNNNNNNNNNNNNNNNNNNNNNNNNNNNNNNNNNNNNNNNNNNNNNNNNNNNNNNNNNNNNNNNNNNNNNNNNNNNNNNNNNNNNNNNNNNNNNNNNNNNNNNNNNNNNNNNNNNNNNNNNNNNNNNNNNNNNNNNNNNNNNNNNNNNNNNNNNNNNNNNNNNNNNNNNNNNNNNNNNNNNNNNNNNNNNNNNNNNNNNNNNNNNNNNNNNNNNNNNNNNNNNNNNNNNNNNNNNNNNNNNNNNNNNNNNNNNNNNNNNNNNNNNNNNNNNNNNNNNNNNNNNNNNNNNNNNNNNAAUUUUACUACUUUACAACCAACACUAUUCACUAAUCUCCAAUAACCAUGCCAACCAAUAGAGAAAAAAAGGGAAUCCUAAGUGCACAAGGGGCAAAAUUGUCCAGAAUCUCAAUUUUGCCUAAGGGGUAAAAUUGUCCAGAAUCUCAAUUUUGCCUAAGGGGUAAAAUUGUCCAGAAUCUCAAUUUUGCCUAAGGGGUAAAAUUGUCCAGAAUCUCAAUUUUGCCUAAGGGGUAAAAUUGUCCAGAAUCUCAAUUUUGCCUAAAAUAGAAAUCGAACACCACAAGUCUAUCUCGUCAUCUGGAACAAUCUGUUAGAAGAUAACGUUAUCGAAAUCACCUCUACGCUCUCUCACAUGCAUCUGGUUGAGUUUCAUGCGCUGUCCGACCACUUCAUGAGCUGAUCAUGCAGCUGUGCCUCCACCUAUACGUCACGCCAAUAGUUUUCGUUUCACCAACCAAUCAUUGGAUUAGCUCGAAACACAGAAAUAUGUUCAGUAGCCUUGAAGAAACUGGGCAAAUUUGGUUUCUAUUUUGAUUCUAUAGAUUUUCUAGUUAGUUGUUAGUCAGAUUUUUGAGCCACCUUGAAGCUCUAACCAAUUGUUGCAGAAGCUCGCUCCAAUAUCAAAAUUGUUAUUUUUGAGCCCAGUCUCACAUUAUCUUUCUCCAAUUCAAAUGGCACUAACCACAAUCAAUCCAUUUACCACAGUUGCUUCUCAAUCUCACCCAUACAAGAUAAAUAACGGUGUUGAUUUGCAAGCCAAGAAGACAUGAGAAAAAAAAUGAAUAAGGCACAAAGAUGAGACCAAAACGAAGGAGGAAGUCACCGAUUUUUUACUCUCAAUUGUACAUGUUUUUCUUCAACAAUAAGCAGCCAUUUUUUUCUCUCUUUACUCACAAAUCGCACACUAAAAAAUGGCUAGGGAAAUACACCAUAUAUAGUGAUAUAAGUUACGCUUUAGUUGUACCAAGAAAGGGGUUAAAUGUGCCAAGAUCAAAGAGCCAUCCAAUCGGUAAAUAUAUGAGUCGUAAAUAGCAUUAAUUUCUUAAGCUACUUCCAAUGGUCCUUGUUGUUUUCGAGUUGAGCUGCUAUACUUGGAUAUUGGUAAUCAAUUCACCAUUGGUCGAGGUAUAUGAAAAUACAUUCCAACGUUUUAUAUCAUUGUCCGAGAUUUAUUGAGUAUCAAAAUCCAAUAUUGUUGAAAGAUAAUGAGAAAUAGGUAAAAGAGAGAACUCAACAAAUUGCAGAACCUAUAGGUUUUAAUACGUAAUUGUUGUACUCAAAUGGUAUAGGAUGUUUUAUGGUGCUUAAAGAGAUUCGCCAGCAAAUGAUUUGUAGAAUAAACAAGUAUUUAAAAAAAUUAAAUACGUGUGUUUUCUUCCAAGAACUUGAUGAACAUUAAAAACAUUUAAUAUGUAUAAAAAUGGGAGAAAGAAACACUUAAGUGGAUUUUAAGAAUUGAUAUCUUAUGGUUAUAAUUGAAAACACGUAUUAUAGUUUUCCACAAACAGUCCACAAAUUAGUAAAUAACUUUUAUGAAAGUUGUUAAUUUUCAUGAGAGCUGCCAAGAGAUCAAAAUUGGAAAUUAGACUAAUGACUAGUUCUUGUAACCAUGUAUAUGCAUUGUUCAAGGAAUACAUGGCACAAAGAACAUGGGCUUAAAGUUGCCCACCCUCCAAUUUCUUCCCAUUUUGAUCUCAUAUUGAUUUUUCUUUUUCAAUGGUAAUUAUUUUUUCAAUUCUCCCUUCCAAUAUAAUUUUUGAACAAAAUAUAACAAUCCUCCAGCUAUUCAAAAUUAUAUAGAUCACAAAUAUAAAUUAUCAACACUUACACAUAAGUUUAGAUAUCUUUUGAUUUGAAUCUUACUUUAGUAUAAUUCCCACAAAGUAUAAUCAAAAUUUCAGGUAGCAUAAUAGCUUUGAAACAAUUAUUACUUGUGAUGAAAUCGAUAAAAAUAUACGCAUAAGUGCCGUGUUUCAUAGUUCCUCAAACUCGCUUAGAGCUAAUAUGGACUUAUCCUUAUCCUAUUUGUUGAACUUUUAAGAGAGAAACUCUAAUUCUCUAUGAGUUGCCUCAAAGUUCAUUUAGAUGAAGUUCUUUCUGUUUCUUUGUUACUUUUAAAGAUACUUGUACUUUGUAUUGAAUUUCAUUAAGAGCUUAAAGCUUACCCCUCCUUUAAGUAAUAACCAACAUUAUUACAUUUUAGGAUAGGGUUCUCGCAAAUAUAAUAAUGCUGAAACUAUCCACUUAUUGAAUAACUUAUUGUUACCUUUUGAGCCCAUAGUUACUAUUUUGAAAUGACAAAUAAGAUUGCCUUCAUUGGUGGAUCUUUUAAUUUAAGAGUUUUAACCCCAUCCUACUCAAUGUAGAUAUUACCAGAUCUCUAUUAAGAGGUUUAGUAAAACGAUCCACCAAAUUCUCAUUUAAAUUAAUGUAAUUUGGGGAAAGUAUUCCAUUUUUGAUCAAUUUUCUUAUGUAGUCAUGUUUUAGACUUAUAUAUCUAAACUUUCUAUUGUAUACCUCAUUGUAUGCUUUUAUUAAUGUGUCAUGACUAACACACAAAAUAAAUAUCAAAAAAUAUAUUCGUUAUUCCCAAAGACAUCUCAUAUAGAUCUUUUCUUAAGCAACAUAACCCCUUUCUAGGUGUUGGCUAAUAACACUAAUUUAGAUUCCACGAUUGAAUGUGUUAUACAUGUUUGUUUCUUAAACUUUCAAGAAACUACACCGCUUCUAAGAAGAGAAACCCAACUCGAAGUAGAUUUAUUUUAUCGGUGCUAGGUAUCCAACUAAUGUCAGUAAAUCCUUUUAAUACAGUAAAAUAUUUAGAAUAAUGUAGAUCUAUAUUUUUGGUUUCCUUUAAAUAACAAAUAACCCUCCCGAUGACCUCCAAUGUUCCAUCCUUGGAUUAUUAGUAAACCUACGAAGUUUACUAAUUGCAAAUGUUAUAUCAGAUCUUAUGUAUUAAGCUACAUAAUAAGGCUAUCUAUAGCCCUUGCAUACUCUAGUUGAACAAUUGCUCUUCCAUCAUUUUUUUUAUAAGUUUGGAGUUUGUAUCAAGAGGGGUAUUGAACUCUUUUGUCUUCAAGUGAUUAAACUUAUUAAUUACAUUCUCUAUUUAAUGUAAUUGACUUAAAAUUAGCCCUCACUAGUUUUUGUAACCUUAGUACCUAAUAUGGUGUCAAAUUGUCCAAAAUCCUUUAUCUUGAAUGUGAAAAAUAGAAACUUGUUUUUCUUUUAUUUCAUUUAUGUAAUUACUCAAAAUCUACACAUCGUCAACAUAAAAGGCAAAUAAACACAACAAAUUCAUCAUACACUUUGAAAUAUAAACGCUUAACUACACUAUUAUGUGUGAAACCAAACUUUUCAUGCCAUUUCUUUGGUGCUUGUAUUAAACCAUAUAAUGAUUUUACUAACUUGCACAUUUUAUGUUCAUUACUAGAGUGGCCAAAGCCUUUCGGUUGUUCUAUGUUGAUCUCCUCUUCAAGAUCCCCAGUUAGGUUUUUAUAUCCAUUUAAUUUGAUGAACAUUCAAGUUAUAUAUGGAAGCUAAUGUAAAUAAUAUUCUAAUUGAUGUAUUCUAGGUACCUAUGCAUAUUUAUCAAAAUAACCAAUUCUUUUUUUUUUGUCAAUAAUCUUUAGCCACUAAUCUUACUUUAGCGGUAUUAAGAGUACCAUCUACAUUGUAUUUUCUCCUAAACACCCAUUUACAACCAAUAUGUUUAAAUUCAAGUGGUAAAUCGACAAGUUCCUAAGUAUUGUUUGACAUAAGUGAAUCCAUUUUGUCUUUUGUGGCAUCUUUACAAAAUAUAAUAUCAUAAGAAGCCAUAUUUUCUUUACAAGUCUUAGAAUCGGUCUCUACAUGUGGAAUAAAAGGCACUGUCCUAAUAAAAAUUUUAUUAUUUUUCUCUACCAAGUAAAGUGAAAAGAGUUCAGAAACUAUCUCAUUCUGUCUGAAGGUUUUUUCUUUCUAAGUUCUUUUGCUUCUUUUAAACUCACAAGAUUUAUCAACAUCUUUAGAAGAUGUUUCCUAUUGUUUUCCACCUAACACUAGGAAUCUCUUCUUGAGUUUUCUUAAGUCAUUAUCCAAAGAUAAUAAAUUCUCAAAGAAUUCAACUUCAUUUGAUUCGAUUAUUACAUUUGGUCUCCAAAUUUAACAAUAAAUAGGAUUUGCUAUUACUAGCAUAUCCAACAAAGGCAAUUUUGUUGCCUCUUGGUCCCAAUUUGGUCUUUUCUAGGUCUAUGUUCUUAUAAUAAUCAAGACACUCUCACACUUUAGAAUAUUCAAUGUUUCGAUUUUCUUCUUUUCCACAAUUCAUAAGAAGAAAUUUUUGUGAUUUUUAAAGGAAUUCUAUUAUAGAAUCUAUAUGCACAUAACAAAACUUAACCCCACAAGUUAAAUAGCAAAUUAACAUAUGUUAAUAUGGCAUUUAUCAUUUCAACAAAUUUUCUAUUUUUUUUUUCCAAUUUGGUCUUUUUUAGGUCUAUGUUCUUAUAAUAAUCAAGACACUCUCACACUUUAGAAUAUUCAAUGUUUCGAUUUUCUUCUUUUCCACAAUUCAUAAGAAGAAAUUUUUGUGAUUUUUAAAGGAAUUCUAUUAUAGAAUCUAUAUGCACAUAACAAAACUUAACCCCACAAGUUAAAUAGCAAAUUAACAUAUGUUAAUAUGGCAUUUAUCAUUUCAACAAAUUUUCUAUUUUUUUUUCUUUCCAUCGAAUUGUUAUGCCCCUCACAUAGGCACAGAGGCGUUUUCAUGUGCCGAAGCACGUAAGGAAGAGGUGCUCCCAAAAUAUGAUAUCGUCUGAAGCGUCUUCACGUGCCAAGGCAUUGCUUUCGAAAUAUGAGGCCUGAGCCGCAUUGACAAAGGCACUAUGUCUGAGGGGAUAUGUCGGGGAGAAAAGGAUAAGCACCUCUUCAUUGCCAAUUUCAGAGAUCUUCUGGCCAAGAUCUUCUAUGUGUCUUUAGAAAUGAUUGAUGUGAUGUCUCUGCCAUGUGUCAACCCAGAAUCAGUAGAAUUAAUUGCCCACCCACCUAGGAAGCGAUUGGUGGAUGCCUACUAGUGACACCUCGUACCGUUGGAUGAUUUCACGUGUCACGCAUCUAGCGGUGCUCUUAAAAAUCUUAAAAAUCAUCUAUGAAGGUGAUAAAAUACAUAUUUCUCCCAUGUAUAACGUGUCAUUUAAUUCACAUAUUUUCAAAUGGACAAUUUCUAAAUAUGUAAAGUCCUAUUCACACAAUGAUAAAGUUUCUUAGUCAUUUUCGGUUCCACACAAUUUCUAUAUUUAUGUGUAUAUUUUAUAUUGUAAGAUUUAUAUUGUAAGAUAUCAUAUCAUAGUUUAACAUAAGAAAGAAAAACUUGAUUACGAGAACUUCAUGUUAGGCCGAUUACAUUAGUACAAAUAUACCUAAACUGGAUUGAGAACGUUGGAGUGAGAGUGAAUGCUAAGUUCCUAUUCAUGUUGGAAACAUGUAAUAGAUUUAUUAGGGCAAUUGUUUUUCCGAAAGUGAAGACAAUAUCAACAUUUCAUUUACCAACCACUUUGAAGUAGCCUUCAUUACCCAUUUGCAUCCCUUGCUCACCAUUCGAUUCGUGACAAGUCUUGAAAAAUAACUUAUCAUAUGAUACAUGAAUGUUGUUGCACAUGUAUCAUACUUCCAGUCAGGAAUAUUUUAUUUGAUAGCAUUGAUUUCACUCAUAGUAGAUGCAAUGUUAUCAUCAAAUGAGUUUAUUUUGCUCUCAUUCUUGUUUUGUUUUCGAUGCAAACAAUUUUUCGCAUAAAUUUCGGGUUUUCGUCCCAUAAAAAAAUCUCUCUUGGACUUUUUGUGAUCCUUAUUAAAAGAAUUCCUUUCGUUUAUGUUGACCUAUGGUUGAUUGUAACCUUAAGCCUUUGAUUUAUAACAAACAAGUUAAUUUCGUUUACUCAUAAAUUGAAUUCAAGUGAUUAUAGUCUUUCAAAGCAUACAAUGAAAAAUUGAUUGAUGGUGAUUGAAAUAUCAAAAGCUAUUAUAAUAAUCGGACUUCUAAAGGAGGUCAAGAUCGAAGUCACAUACUCAAGAGCUUAAGAGCCAAACUUUGAAAUAGAUCAAUGAUUAGAUUUCUUAGAUAAAGUGCAAAGAUAUUGGUACUUUGAUAUUUAGCAAUGACCAUUUAGGCUCCAAAUCCUUCUAUGUAUUAAAAAUAAUUUUAUGCAUUAAAAGUUAUUUUUGAUAUAAUUUUUGAUUAAAUAUAAAAAUGACUUUUAAAAUGGUAUUCUAACUGGAAAAAUAUCUUUUAUCUUGAAAAGUUAUUUAAAAAUACUUUUCAAAAGUCAAACGCUUUUCAAAACCUUCAAAUUGGAUCAAAUAAGGCCAAAACGUAAAAAUAUCGAAACUGUUAGACAGUUUACAAGCUAGAAGAAGCGAUCAAUCAAAAAUUUUCAAAGGUCCAAAAUUUGACCAUUUUGACCUCUAUAUUUUACUAUACAAAAAGCUAUAUUUAUCAUCCGAACAAGAGACUGUCGAUCGGACAUGUCAUCCGAACAUACAAUUUUGACGUUUUGAACUAUAUAAAUACCUCCAUUUCUUGCAUUCAUUAUAGCAAUGUUGGAGAGCAUUGAAAGUGAAAAAUGACUAAGUAUAUCUCUUGAGCUUACAUCUCAUUUAUUCUAUCAAACAAUUACUUAAAAAUCUUUAAUUUAUUAAACUUUUUAAAAUCAUCUUUUUAUCAAAUCUUUUUCAUCUAAUACUUGAGCUUCAUUUAUUGCUAUUCAAUUGAAGUGUUGAAUUCAUCCUGUGUUUUUUCUUUUCCAUUCACUUGGAUUUCUGGCUUUGGUUUUUUCAUAAAAGUGCAGCCGUGGUAUUCAGAAAAUAGAGAUCUUUUUUAGUGUUUUUACAAGAAAUCUCUAGCCAACCCAACGCGUUUUGAACUAUUUAAAAUUAAAAUAUCUUAAUUUCCAAUUCCAUUGGACUCCUAUUUCUCUCUUAGCACUUAAUUUAUUUAUAUCAUUUAUUAAGAGAGAAGUUUCAAAUUGUAAAAUCAUUUCUUAUCAGAUUUGUGGGUCUUAUUGAAGUCCUAUAAAGCUCAAUAUUAUAUAAAGAACGGAGCUUCUUGUUUGUAAGGCAUCAAAAGUAUUGUAAGGAUUUGGAUUUUACCAUAAGUUAAUCAAAUAUAGUGAAUGGGUCUUGCUCGUAACUGGGAACUUGGUAACGUAGGAUAUAGAUAAUUGUUUUGGAUCAAACCUCUACAUUUAUAUCAUUUGCAUUCUCUCUUUUAUUUUAUUUAUUGCUUUCGUAUUUGUGCAUUUUGUUUGAUUGAUUUAUUCAUUCCCAAUUUGCUUGAAUUUGAAUCAAUUUUUCGAAAACAUUUUGAAAACCAAUUCACUCCUCUCUUGAGCUGUCAAUUUGAUUUGUUGGAUGGUUCGUUCUUUUUCAUGUCAUUGGCUUUCAACAUGACUUCGCAAGAGUUUUCAUUCUUGUCUCUUGCCCUCAAUUCUUCUUCAUUUUGGAGAUGCUUUUGAAUUUGGAGCAAAGAAAAUGAAACGAUGAGGGUUCUAUUUAUAUAUUUCAAUGCAUCUAUCUUAAUAGUUACAUCUUUGUACAAAAAUUCAUUUUGACCAUUAAAUCAUACCUUUUUAUUGGAACAUGGUCUGAUGAUCUAUAUCGCACACUUUAUAAAGGUAAUGACUCUUCGCUAUGCACCAAUAACAUAUGAAGAGUCAUACCUAAUCAUCAUAACUAUUAGAGACUUAUUCCAAUUCAUAUAUUAAUCAUUAAAUAACCCGAUAAUUCCAACAAUCGCAAACACAAACAAAAUAAGUGACUCAACACAAGCAAAAAUAAGAAAAAUUCUAUUUGCGAGAUAAUGAAUCAAGAUAGGUAAAUUUUCCUUUGAACCUCCCUUAGUAAGAAAAUUCAUCAGACUUGCUUGGGUAAUAAGUGAAACAACAUUUCAAACUAUCAACCAUUAUCACAAGUUUAAACAAUAGAGCAAACACAUUAUUUCUUAUAUUAGACUUGAUUCUUCAUUAUAUUCAUUAAUUCGAUCCUAAACUCUCUUGAGUUCUAAGUACUUUGGAGAAUUCGCCUAAGUAAAAUUCAAAAGAACCUACCAAGUUUUCACUUUCAUAUGUUAUGUUCAUUGAGAUAGUUAAUGAUUCAUUUAGUGUAAAUUGAGUUCUUUGACUUCAAUUGGUCAACAUUCAAAGUAAUUACAAAGCAAGUUAAACUAACUAAUUAUCUACAUUCCCUUUUGUGUUUGAGACUUAGUUUGCCCUUUCCUUAUCCUCAACAAUAUUUGUAGACAUCACUUAUUUACAUUAUAAAAAUAAGGAGAAGUUAAACUCCUAAGUGCUUCUUGUCAAGUCAUUCAUAGUUAGUUUAACUUUUAAAUCCAGUGUUCUGAAUAGUGUGUCUAGGCAUGAGACGUGACAAAAACUCCACGCUUAAGACCUAUGUGCUAAUUUUUUGGUCAAUGGAAGCGUUGGCCGCUUUAAGGCAUGCAUUAUCAUUAUUUUUUAAUUAAAUUUUUGAACAAUUUUUAAUAAGCUCAUUUGUCCUACCCUACAUAAAGUUUUCAACUUUUAGGCCAAUAGAUUGAAAGAUCUAACAAGUUGCUCACUUAUUAGUCCACUAAUUUAUAGAGGGCAUCUCCAACGAUUUUGCUACAAACUUUCGAUGUGGGAUAAAAAAUCCUUCGUUUUGGCUACAGUGCAUUAUAUCUUUGAUUUGGUUGUAAUGUAUUGUACCUUCGAUUUGACCGUAAUGUAUUGUACAAUUGUAUAAAUAGUUAUUUAUAUUUUAUUAAGUUAAUUAAUCAUUUUCCUAUCUUUUACUAAUUAAUAAAAAUUUAAAAAUCUCCAAAUAUUUCAGUUAGCACUAUAUAAUAUAUCUUGUUUAUUGUUUGAAAAUAUAUUUGCUUCGUUGAACUCUUAAAACUACAUUUGGUAAUAUAAUUUGUAUAUAUUAUUAAAUUAUUUUUAAAUUGAUUAAAAAUUUAAAAUAAUAUUAAUGUAAGAAAAUACUUUUUUUACGCCUAAGACUCAUCUAGGUAUGCAUCAAUCGAAGUUUGACCUUCACACAUCGUCAUGCAUGACAUUUUUUUGGAACACUGAUUAAAACUAGUUCGUGAGAUCUACAGUAGUUAGGUUAGGUUUUUUUAGGAUAUCUCUUUAAGUUUUAAACUCAUUUCCCUCGAUGUACGAUCUAUUUGCUUUCUAGAUAAUCCUUUUAUAAAUGAAUUGCUAGGUUUUCUCUUGAUUUAACAACAUCAAACGAUAUUGUUCCAUUAGAAACAAAAGGUUGAAUGUCAUUAUAUUUAUACCUAUGAUGUAUGAAUCUUGACUUAACGAUACACGAAGUUUUAUGUUGUAGCUAUUGUUCGGUUAUUUCUAUAUGCAAUAUGGUUAGCAAUUCAAAGGAUUGGUGGGUCGAUAAUGGUGCAACCCAUUAUAUUUGUGUAGAUAAAGCCAUGUUCUCAGAUUAUCAUGAAUCAAAAGGAAAACAAUUGUUCAUGAGGAACUCUACGAGUUCGAGCGUUGAAGGACUUGGAAAGAUCACAUUGAAAAUGACUUCCGGGAAAGAACUAAUCCUCAAUAAUGUUCAUGUACCAGACAUUUGCAAGAAUUGGUUUCGAAGUCUUUACUUAGCAAGAAUGACUUUACAUUUGUAUUUGUAUCGGACAAAUUUGUACUUACCAAAAAUAAUAUGUAUAUUGGUCAAGGUUAUCUUUGUGAAGGAAUGUUGAUGAACGUUCUAACAAUUGUACGAAAAAGUAUUAUAAAUAAAAAUUCUAAUUAUGUUUAUAUGCUUGAAUUGUCUUGUUUAUGGCAUAGUCGAUUAGAACACAUCAAUUACAAAUCUAUGUUCAAACUUGUGAAUGAAAGUUUAGUUCCGAUGCUUAAGAUUGAUCUUAAUCAUAAGUGUGAAGUAUGUGUUGAAACAAAGUUGACCCAAACACAUUUUCAUUCAAGUCAAAAAGUGAUUAAAGUAUUAUUUUCACGAGGACUAGCUAAAUAUCCAAUUCGAUUUUUAAUUAACAUAUAACUAUCUAAAUGCAAUGCUAAGAAACUAGUAUGAAGCAUUUAUGAACUUGAUUAACAACAAGCAAUAGGACUUCGAAUCUCUCUUUAUAUUAUGUUUUAACAACCAUCAAAGAUAUUGACAACAUGCUUAAACUUGAUGAUUAAUGUACUUAUUUUGUUUAGUAAUCUUUCUCGAUGAAUACUAAAUAUAUUCUCAUAUGUGAACCUACAGUAUGUCUAUGAAAAUUGUGAACGUGUGACAAUGCAUUUAAUCACUAUAUAAUAAAAUCAUGCAAGAUAUAUGGUAUGGGUAUAUAUCUCUAUCACAUAUAGAACCCUACAAAGAUUAUCAUGUGUAUAAUACUUAUUCUUUCUCUCAGACAUAAUAAAGAUCAUUAAUCUGUUCAACUAAUGAUCAAUUAAUUGAAGCAUUAAACAUGUAACAUACUGUUCAAGCUUAACAAGAAUUAAUAGUUAGUCUCGAAAUUAAAAUUAAAACAUCAUAGUCAUAGGCUUAUCGUCAUCCUAGUGACUAGGAAUUUAGUCAAGCAUCAUAAAGUUACAAAAACAAAUGCUUGCAUAUUUAGCCCCGUCUCUUAUUUUAAUUGUAGGAAAAAGAAGGGAAAAUGUCUUGAACUCAUGAAUUUCUUCAAUUCUUAAAUAAUAUCCGUGUAUGAAGAAGCCAAAAUCUAAAUUAUAAUCUUCAAUUUUGGGUAGAUGAUUGUGAGUUCUUGUAUCAAGCUUCUUGAUUUCUCUCUAACGAAUGGUCCCCCAAUGUUUGGUUAAAAAUGAGACUAGAUUUUAUUCCAUGUACAAGUGAGUCAAAUUAGGAAACAAAAUUUUUGUUAUCGGACACUACAAUACAAUCGUACGGUGUCAUGUUUCCACUUGCUAGAAUUCAUGUACCUUGUGAUUUUCGGUCAUAAUGCCUUACUUUUCAUUCUUGGUUAAUUUUUGUUUUUGAAUUCCUUCUUCGGCUCAACUUGAUUCCUCUUCUAUUUUCACCAUAAGUUCUUCAACUUUCAGUUCUUCUCAAUUUAACCAAUGUUAUCCACUAUUACCCAUUCUUGGUCUGUCUCAAGUUUUGGAGAUUUACAAUUCAGUCCCCAAACUUUCACAAUUGUUCUUCUUCGUCCUCUUCAACCGACUUUCACUUCUUUUUUAAUCUACAAUCCAAUAUCAGAACUUUUACAUAACAAUCAAUAUUUAACUAAAAUUAAGUGGAAAUUCAAUUAAUGUGACUCCCAACAUCCACUUUUAAAAGCUUCGAUAAAUGUUAAAUUACGCUUAUCAAUAACAAAAAUCAUGGGUUUGAGAAUUUUAAAAUUUCAGGAAUUUUAUAGAUUGUCUUUCAUGAUUCUAACUUAUUAUAUUCUUAAACUCAUUAAUUUAAUUCUAAAAAUUAACUAUUUUUAAAAUGUUAAGGAACAUAUAUUGAACAACACCAGUACUUAAAAAUAAAUGGAAAUCUUAUAUACCGUAGAGUUUAGUAAUCUCCGACGUUUGAUUUCAUUUGAAUACAUCCCAUAAAUACAUGACUCGGUCCAACACGCUAACGUAAAGUAUCGGUAUGGAAUUUUCGACCACUUAUAUAAUUUUUUGGGUGUCUUGUUGAUCAGUUUUACAGCUUUUUCACAUUAUGAAAUUUGUGGGACAGUGUUUUUAGGUUGAUUAAUGUAGUUACAUGUAAACACUAGGGCCUAGGGAAGUCUUAAAAGGCAAAAGCUUGGUUAUAAACGUCUCGUCGAGGGUAGUGGAAUGGCUUAUUAUAAGUAAAAACUUGAUUAUGACUGGAGAAUUUGAACCUCAAAUGCACGUUCUCAAUUAUUUCUGACUUUUGAAUUAUUUUCAUUUUAUUUUAUUUUUAUUUUAUUUUUUUGUGAGUCAGGUGCUCGAGUUUUGAUUGAUUAAUCUUGAGGAGUGGUUCCUCCCGGUUUGGUUCACCACCUGGGUAAAUUCAAAUGCAAUUACAGCGUAUAAACACUUGGGUCAAACAUUCGGGAUGCGGUUUUCAUGUGCGGACAAGACUCCAGAAGGACAACAAAGCGUAUCAUAACUUUGCCUUCACAGGACAUCUACCUUCCAACGUAAAUGUUGACUUCAAGCUAUCGCAUGGAUCCAAACCUCCGAUACUCCAUAGAGAACUCUCCUAUUUUACUACUGUGCCUUGCCCCUGGGGCUAAUUAUUUUCAUUUUAGAUACUUCGUAGAGAACUUUAUUGUUUUACUACUGUGACAUUCCCGUAGGGCUAAUUAUUUUCAUUUUAGAUAUAGCAUAGACAGGUGUAAUAAGCUAUCAUGGGUCCAUUGAGAGCUGGGAUAUUUUUUGAGUACGAGAGAGACAGUGUCAACCUGAAUUUUCCGUUGGUAAAGAUGAUAUCUCUUUACCAACCGAUAUUCCGUGUCUAAUGUAAUCGUUUAACAUUUAGAUCUUCUUCCAAUGGAUAUUCCAUAAGUUAUGUACCGAAUAUUACCAACGGAUUGCAUCUGUUAGUAACUAGAAACAGAUUAUCCGUUGGUAAAAGUAAUUCACUUUUAGCUACAAUAAUCAGUAACAAAUUUUUCGUUGGUAAAAAUGAUAUCUUUUUAUCAACGAAUAUUCCGUGCCUAAUAUAACCGUUUAACAUUUUGAUCUUUCAGCAACGAAUAUUCCGUUGGUAAUUAAAAACGGAUUAUCCGUUGGUAAAAGAAAUUCACUUAUCCCACAUCGGAAGUUUACAACAAUAUCUUUGUAGUUGCCCUCUAUAAAUUUGUAAUCCAAUAAGGAGUUAAACAAUAUUUUAGCUUUUCAAUUCAAUUGGCUAAAAAUUAAAAAAAAUUAUAAUUAUUAAAUAAAUAAUAAUAAUAAUAAUAAUAAUAAUAAUAAAUAAUUAAAUAAAUUAAUUAAUUAAUUUUUUACCAUACGGUUAUUUACAACAUUGAUUUUUACCAAUUGUAAUGGUAGACAUUUACCAACGGAAAGUCGAUUGGUAUUGGUUAAUACUUUUCCCAACGAAAAUUUCAUUGGUAAAAGAUUCACACUUUAAUAACGAAAAAUCCGUUGGUAAAAUGUUUACUAUUUACGUAAGACAUGAUCUAUUGGUAACUAUUAGCGACCCUCAAAUUACCAGCGGAUUUGUGAUUGCAAAUAUUCCGUUGGUGAAAAUUAUUAGCAACGAAUAUUGAGGUUUUAGGAACGAAAAAUCCGUGCUUGAAACUCUAUUUUUUAAUAGUGUAUAUAAUGAGAGAAUCUCUCACAUUGAGAGGUAUCGAGUUUUAUUGAGUAUAUUUGACAUGGUAUCAGAGCGUGCUUAAUUUUAUUUAGGUUAAACUUACAAACUUCUGUUCUCCAGUGAGCGGCAUUGUGCCGCUCGUCCAGUCAAAUUUUCUUGUUUUUGUUUUACUUUUUUAGACCUUCCAUGUCGAUGUAUUCUCGAGCAUCACCAAGCAUGCAAAUCUUUAGCUUGGACUGAGGGAUAUGAAACCCUUGUCCUUACGAUCAUACUUUUUUUUUUAUCAACCCAAUAUGGAGCUCAAUUGUCUAGUCAAGUUUUAGUUGGAGUUAUUUUGGAGAAGAUUUUGUGUUCUAUUGACUGACCAAUUGGAGUAAUACCCAAUUGCUGGUGACGUGAUUAAUGGCGAUGUUGGUUUCGGCUAUCGAAGGUUCAAGUUACAGAUUUAGGAGUUGGCAUCAUCGACGCCAGAUUGUGGUCGAACUGGCGCCGCUUUUGGAAAUAGCUUGGAACACCCAAACAGAGUGGUGAGACACAAAGGCACGGCCGCUUUCACUAUAAAUCACGGGAUGCUUCACACCAUUACGUUCACACACGAAUUUUACCGCCCGAGCAACAAUAUAAGCAUAAUCUUCAACACUGUAACCAACAAAAAUUUUAGAGUUCUUCCAAGACCACUGCCAUUGUCAAUGACUUUCAUACAAGUACCGAGGUAGAUUAAUUCACAGUAGAUUGGGAAAGCUUCACGUACUCCUUCAGAUGUUGUUGAACUCGUUGUGGAUCUGCACUCGCUAAGAAUGGAACAGUGGAGAUGGAGGCUAGCAUCAUGGAUGGUUCCAGCAAGAGAUGAGGCGUCGUUUCUGGUAUCACCACCGUGAAGAACCCUAUUUCCCUUGCCCAUCUCGUCAUGGAAAAGUCUCCCUAUUCUUAUCUUGCAUUCUCUAGAGCCGAAGAAUAUGCUAAACAACAGGAUUGUGGUGUCGAAUAGAGGUUUCGAUGAAGAACAGAGGCAUUGAUGCAGAUCUGUUUAAGGACUUGGGCUAAUUCUAGUGGGCUUCUAUUGUCUUGGGUUAGCUUUGCAAUUAAAUCUUUUGGGCUGUAUGUUACUUGAGGGUGUUUAUUUGAAGUGGGCUUAUUUUUUUAUUUUUUUGUUGUGUGGGCUGAUUUUGGAGUGGGUUGAAUUUAGGUGGAAAUUUGUUUGGCUUGGAUCUGAUUCGAUUGGGACUUCAUGUGGAUUGUGUCUAUUAGUUUUAAGCUUAGUGGGUUUACAUAUAAAUUAAAGAUUGUUGGGCUUCAAAGUUUUAUAAGGCCUACUAUCAUUUGGGGUUAUUGGCUUUAAGUGAUUGGGUUGUAAACUGUGGAAGCAUGGGAACUUAAGGAGUUGAUGUCUGCUAGUUUUGAAUUGUGUGGAAAAUUCUCUAAUAUGUAGCUCAUGAUUUUCACAAAGGCGCUGCUAAAAAACAAGGCUUUUCGUUUUUUGAUUGAAGAGACAGAGACAUAGGAGUGCAGAGGAUUGAGUUCUUUGGUUGCUCGGAUAAUGAGCUAAAGUUUUGGAUUCUUGGUGGAGGAUUAUCUUUGAAGUUUUUAGUAUUGGCUGUUUUGUGGAAUUUCUUUGAACUACAGCACCUUGGCCAGCAAUAUAUUGCUGAAAUUUUGGCUAGUGUAUUGGCGUUAGAACUUUUGUCGGAGCAUGAAUUAUGUGUUCAAUCGAGUUUUCCCGACAAAUAGAGCUCAUUGUGUAUCGGCACACUUCAUGAAUUUCUUUUGGAAAUUUUUCUUAGGGUAUGAGCUUUUUGGAGUGGUUUUGGAGUAGUUCUUAAUUAUUUCUACACUAUUUGUUAUUCUUGGUUUCUAGUCGUUACUAAUUUUUGUAGAUGGUUGCUCUGAUUUGGGCUUCUUCUUCGUGGGCACAAGUAUUGUCGUUGUCAUCAGUUCAUGAUUGCAAAUUGAUACUUUUACCAACAUCAAUUUGAGGGUGAUGUCAAUGAGAUUGAAUAAGAUUAUAGAGAUUUUCAAAGAUUACGACUUGAAGUCUAUUUUAUCAUUAUAAUUAUAUUAUAUAUAGAUAGAUUAUUUUUACCAUAUUUAAAUUAUAAGUUACUAUUAUUUAAUAUUGUAAUAGAUGCUACAAUAUUUAGUGGUGAUUUUGAUCCUAUAUAAUGAGAGAAUCUCUCACUUUGAGAGGCAUCGAUUCUUAUUGUCUGACCUCUCCUAUGUUCAUACAUUUAUCUUUUGCUAUUCAAUAAAUUAUGCCACCAUGCGUGGAUUUAAUUUUUAAGAAAAAUAAAAGAUGACGCCUGAAUACUGAUACGAUUUCGGCACAAUAAUAGUGAUUCUUCAAUGAAAAUAAUAUUUUGAAACUUCUUGAAUAUAUUUAUUUUAUGUUUUGUAAAGUAAAUAUGAGUUUUUGUCUCUUUCAAGAAAAUAUUGGUGGUGUUUCAAAUAAGGAAAUAAUAUUAUGUUUUUAUUUACUUAAAAAAUGAUAAUAAUUUUUUAGACCAACAUAGAGAUAUCUAAAUAUUGUACUUCCUUAACAUUUUUUAAGAUUACUAAGGUUGAAAUGUGAAUUUCAAAUGUUGAUGAAAUCUUUAAAUAUAGAAUUUAUGAUUGAUUUGAUCGAAGUUCUGGUUGUUAAAAAGAUAUAUAUAUAUAUAUAUAUAUAUAUAUAUUAUUUUAAACUUUUAGAUAAAAUAAUCUAACAUUGUAUUUCCGUAACUAAAAUUUUCAAUUUACGUCUCUCUUUGCUUAUUUAUAAAAUUUGUUCGUGUAUAAGAUCUUCAGUGAACUAUAAAUUUACUUGCACAUUGGUGGCGGAUAAUCUACUUUUGUGGCUGUUGGAUAAGUAAAGCCACUAUUUUUUACCACAAAAGGAUAACUUUGCAAUUUCUUAAUUGUUAAGCUAAGUACAUGCAUGCAAUGGAACUUGACAAAUUCAAGUUUUCUUUCUCCAACAAGUGGCAGCCGAAAUGCUUGAAAAAUUCCAACCACUUGACAGGCCAAAUGUGUAGAGAAUUCUAGCAAAUGAAGGUGGUAGAACUUUGAGUCUUUGAAGCAGUUAAAGGUGGUAAAACUUCUAGCAAUAUCCAACCCACUUACAGCCAAGUUUAGCCAUUAUUUUUGACAAUUGAAGGCGGUUCCUACAAAUGACCAGCCAAGUUGCAGAUAAUUUUCUUGAAUUUUCAAACAAUUAUGGUGACCAAAAAUCUUUAUAAAUAUGGGUAAGACUUUGAGAGAAAAGUGUGUGGUAUGGAGAAGAAAAAUUGAGAGGAAUUAAAAGUAGAGAGUAGAGGGAAAAUUGUGAGUGGAACGAUAAAAUUAUAGAGAGAAAAUUGUGAGUUUUUCUCCCAAGUAUUUCCUACUUGUUUUCUCUUAUUACAAGAGAGACUAAUUAUUGUUAUUGUGUUGUAAUUCUCCUACUAUAAUGAAAUCUUCAUAUACUUGCACGUAGACAUAGUCUAAAUUAGGUGAACCACGUAAAUACUUAUGUCUAUUUUAGCUGCAUUUUCUCAAUUCUAUUAUUUGUCACCCAAACUCGACCCACAUUUUUCCUAAUAGUGGGUACAAAGGUUUCCAUGGUAUUGACUUUUAUAAUGGCUUAAUAGCACAAAACAUUCCUGUGUUUAUCUAUAGUAUGCAAUAUGUCCCCACAUUUCAAUUUUUUGCAUUUUCACCCCAAUUUUCAUGUUUCAUUGCGAAAAACAUUAUUUUUACCAAUUUUUAAUGUAAAAUGACCAAUAUACCCUCCUAUUUAAAUAAAACAAAAAUAAAAGAAAAUAAAGAUGAAAUUGCAACUACAGGCCCAAAUUUUUCAAAAGGCUUAAUAGCACAAAAUGUCCUUACUUUUUUCUCACACCCUAUCCCACCCCAUGCCAACCUAACCCAACCCAGCCCAACCCAAUCCACUCAUUCUUUUGAAGAUUCAAGGAACUGUCGGACUCUAUCUCAUCAACUUUCACCUAAUUGCCACCUAAAACACUAGAACUCAUAUUACAAAUAGCUGUCAUCAACACCCAAACACUUUCUUAUAAACAAAUUGAACAAACAACAAAUUUAUAUGGUUAAAUCAACAAAAAAUGCAGCUUAUCGCAUGAGCAACACGCUGCCUUUUUUCGUCAAUUUCGACACAGGUAAUGGUUCCCACUGUCGCGAACCAUCCAUUCCGACUUCGCCACAUCUUGCCACACUGCUACAACAAUAGGUUACCAUCAAUUUCAUCUAUUAUGCCCCAGAAUAUGUGCCCAUUUAUUGCCCAAUAAGAAAUUGAAAGAUGUUGCUAUAGAUUUUGAUUUUGUGCACCUGUUCAAGUUUUAAGUCCAUGAAGAGAGGUGCUUUAAUGAAUAUAGUUGACUGGUAUGUUGGAAAUGAGAUGGGUCUUGUCGGAACAGGUGGUACCGCCAGUAUUUACAUUCACGAGUUGGGUAUUUUGGCUUGCAAUUCUGACAAAAUCUAUUGGCAUGAAGGUUGGAUGUUGGGUGGUAUGUGUAGAGGGGAGUGAGACCUUUCUAGUGGUAUGGAGUUCCAGUGGUUUAGGCGAUGGUCAGUUGACAUUUUUUGGUUUCUAAGGUGGUGACCCCAUUCAAAUUUUAGGGCUUAGUGAUGGUUUUUUCAAAUUUGUUCCUUUAAUUGUACUCCUUCACCGGUAAAAUAUGUCGUAGAAAUGACAAUGGAGAAUUGAAAUUUCGAGGAUUUUGGCAGCGAUGGCGGUGGUAAAGGAGGUGGAGGAAAAGAAAAGAAGAGAAAAAGAAUUUUAUUUUUUUUUCCAAAAUUUUUUAUUUGGACUCAUUUAUACUUUUUAAAAAGUUGAGGAGCAAGAUUACAAUUUGUUCUUUAUUUGUCGUUUCUUCUCUUUUUGGUUUUAUUUAAAUAUGAGGGUAUAUUGGUCAUUUACAUUAAAAAUUGUGAAAAUGAUGUUCUGCAAUGAAACGUGAAAAUAAGUGUGUAAUGCAAAAAAUUGAAACGUACGGACGUUUUGCAUACUACAAGCGAAACAUAAGAAUGAUUUGUGCUAUAAAGCCUUUCAUAAUUUCUUUAUGACUUUGGUAGAGGGCCUAGAGGUGUAAUUGGUCUAGUCUUCAAUCUGUUCACAUCUAAAAUCAAACGACAAAAUCAGACAUCAUAGGCCUACAAAUAUAGAUAAAUCACACCUUUGGUCUUGAACCAUUUUUCGAAUCUUGAACAAAAUUUACAAGCACCAAAAUAUCCAUUUAUGCUGCACCAAAAUCAAGUCAAGGAAGAAUCUAUUUUGCAAAUCUAUAAACAUAAUUUUUCACUACACAUGCCAACGAGUUGGUCAAGUUUUUUUCUUCUUGAUCUUGCUAUUAAAUAAAAAAUUUGUUGGAGUCAUCUAGUGGGAUUAAGCUCUUGUUUGACAACCUUUAAAGCAAACGCUUUUUUUCUUAAACUAAAUUUUUAAAAUAAAAUAUUCGGUACAUAAAUCUAAAUUUUUUCCUACUUUUGAUUAUAUAUUCCUCAAAAAAUCACUAUUCAAAACCUUGCUUUCUCCAAAAUACUCAUUUUAAUGAUUGUUAAACGGGGGCUAAUAUUGCGACACUAAUGAAAGGUUGAGGAAAUAUUUGCUCCUAUUCAUAGGCUGGUGACUAACAUGCAACUAACACAAUAGAUUGGGGCUGCUAACUUACAACUUUCACAAUAGGUUGGAAAGGAAGGGAGAAAUUUUUGAAUUUUUCCACAAGUAUAUAUAGGACGCAAGUCACUCAUAUUUUAUUAGAAUUAAUUGUAGGCAUUGUAUGUAAUUGCACAAUAGCUUCUUUUCUUUUCAAUUCAUUAGUCGGCCAGCUGUGUUUUCUUUCUUUCAUUUUUGGUGCCAAGCUCCAUUCAUUUUCAAUUGAUUGAACGAUCAACAGAGUUUCAAUUCAUUUUCUCUCUGUAAAUUGAAUAUGGUAUCAGAGCAAAAUCAUUUCCACGCUCUUCUCUCAUCAUCACAGAUUUAAUCUGUUGCUGGAUCUCGUCUUCAUAUAUAUAUAUAUAUAUAUAUAAAUUAAUCUGUUGUUCGAUCUAAUCUCUACAUAGAGUUAUUACAAUCCGGAAAUUGGUUUGAUUCAAGGUCAUCAAUGAACAAUCGGCCAUUGAUGAACCUUCAAGUCCUUACUCCUUACUUCAUUCAAUGAGUAAUUUCCAGAUCUCCUCCAGAUCUGCACCGAAUGAAGAUAAAAUGCUUAAUUCACAACAACCUGUGAUUGGAAGUUUAAUUCAGAGUUUGAAUCCUGCUCAAUAUCAACAAUUGAUGACGAUAUUGUCCACUCAUCUGGCAUCAAGCUCAAACACAGCAGCUUCUGAUUAUCAGGGCAACAAAAUUACAUCAUAUAAUGCAGGUCUAUGCCAUUUCAUAUCCGUUAAUCCAGUCUUGUAUUCCAAAGAAAUUUGGAUAGUGUAUUCGGGAGCCACUAAGCAUGUGUGUUUUAUUGCUGCCUCAUUCAUGAACAUGAGGAUUAUUGAUGGUUCAAAUGUGACUUUACCCAAUCACACACAAAUUCUAGUUAGAUUGUGUGGGAAUAUCAGGCUGAGUCCAAAUAUUUUGCUGCAUGAUGUGUUAUUUGUACCACAAUUCAAGCUAAACUUACUGUCAGUUAGUCCGUUAACUGCUGAAUUACAAGUUUCAUCAAGUUUCUCUCAUGAUAGCUUCAUUAUUCAAGAUGCCAAAACCAAGAAGAUGACUGGUAGGGGUGGUCAAAUGCAAAAUUUGUAUGUUCUAGAUACCAGAAUUCUGAAUUCCAUUUCUAAUGUAUUUGUUAAUACUAUGUCUAUCCAUGUAUGGCACAACAGACUUAGGCAUCUUUCAUUCAAAAGGCUAGACUGGUUGAAGGAACAAUUAUUGUGUGAUGUUACAAAAUUUCGGAGACAUAUGCCUUGUUAUGUUUGUCCACUUGCUAAACAGUGGAGAUUGCCUUUUGAAUCGAAUAAUAGACUGUCAAAUAAUCCCUUUGAUCUCAUUUAUUGUGAUGUGUGGGGACCUUACCAUGUUACUUCACACUCAGGAUACAAUUAUUUCUUGAUAUUGGUGGAUGAUUGUUCAAGGUUUACAUGGGUCUAUUUGUUGAAGCACAAAUCAGAUACCAAGAUUGUUAUUUCCAGAUUUUUCAACAUGAUUGAUACCCAAUUCAAUGCUAAAAUAAAGACAUUCAGAUUUGACAAUGCUUAUGAAUUAGCCUUUAUAGUUUAUUUUGCUGAAAAUGGAAUAAUGCAUCAGUUUUGUUGUGUGGAAAGACCACAACCCACACAACAAAACUCCGUCGUUGAGCGCAAACAUCAACAUUUGUUAAAUGUGGCUAGGUCUCUGUACUUCUAAUGACGAAUCCCCAUCAGUUUCUGGUCUAAAUGUGUUUUGACAGCCACAUUCUUGAUAAAUAGAACUCCAUCUUCUGUGUUGAAGCACAAAAUGCCAAAUGAAGUUCUAUAUGGAAGACCUGCAGAUGAUUCCUCACUUAGAGUUUUUAGAUGUCUAGCUUUUGCAUCCACUCUAACUACGCAAAGAAACAAAUUCCAGCCACGAGCUAGGCUAUGUGUGUUCUUGGGAUAUCCAUCUAGAGUUAAAGGUUACAAACUCUAUGAUGUUGAGUCAAAACAUUUCUUUGUAUCACGUGAUGUUGUGUUUCAAGAAAAAAUCUUUCCUUUUCAUACAGUUAUGGCAAAUGAUCAACUGAUAGAUCCGUUCCCUGACUUAGUCUUACCAAAUCCUUUUUUACACCUUCAUCAAGACUCACAUGCAUCCUCAACUCAGUAUAACUUACCGCCUAUUCCUUCAGCUAAAAGUCAUAAUUUGCAUCAAGAGUUAUUCCCUACUUCACCAUCCCUUGAUACAAUGUCUGCACCUGAUAGUCCUGAUAAAAAUGGUAUUCCACAUACUAACAUUAGUCACACAUGUCAACGUACUACUGUCACUAAUUUGAGACGUUCACAAAGAGUUGCUAGACCACCACAAUACCUUAGAGAUUUUCAUUGCAACUCCUUUCUCAACAAGAUCAACUCCCAUCUUCAUUCACUCAAUCAUAUUAGCCAAUUUAUUUCCUAUAAUCAUUUAUCCCAAAACCACCGGCAAUUUGUAUUGAACGUAUACUCUCAAUUUGAGCCUCAACUCUUUCACCAGGUGGUUAAAUAUCCACAAUGGCGUGAAGCCAUGAAAGCUGAAUUGGAGGCUAUGGAAGCCAAUCACACUUGGUCAGUAGUUCCUUUACCAGUUGGUAAACAUGUUGUUGGAUGCAGGUGGAUCUUCAGGGUAAAACAUAAUUCUGAUGGGUCUAUUAAAAGGCACAAAGCAAGUCUUAUAGCUAAAGGUUAUACACAAAAAGAGGGCCUUGAGUACUUUGACACUUUUUUCCCAGUAGCAAAGAUUGUCACUGUCAAAGUAUUGUUAGCUCUUGCAGCCUCUCAAUGGUGGCACUUGUUCCAAAUGGAUGUAUAAUGCCUUCUUGAACAGUGAUACGUUCGAUAAAGUUUACAUGGAUCUCCUGCCUAGUUAUGAGGUUCUCAAUGCUGUCAAACAAGGGGAGAAACUGGUUUGCAAAUUGCAAAAGUUAAUUUAUGGCCUCAAGCAAGCGUCAAGGCAGUGGAAUUCUAAAUUCACCCAAGCACUGGUCCAUUGUGGUUUUAAUCAAUCAAAGGCUGAUUAUUCCCUAUUCACUAAAGGUUCUGGGAAUGACUUUGUGGCAUUUCUUGUAUAUAUAGAUGACAUUGUCACCACUGGACCAAACAUUCAAGUCAUUGAUUCUUUAAAGAAGUUCUUAAAUUCUCAGUUCAAACUCAAGGAUUUAGGGAAGUUGAAGUACUUCUUGGGCAUAGAAGUGGCUCGUUCUAACUCUGAGAUUGUCAUAUCACAAAGAAAUUAUGCCAUAGAUUUGCUUGAGGAUUCAGGUUACCUGGACUGCAAAUUAACAAAUACUCCUAUGGAUCCAAAGGUUUCCUUAAGUAUUCAUGACGGAGACCUUCUGCCCGAUGCAUUUUCUUAUCGCAGGUUGAUUGGAAAACGGAUUUACCUGACAAUAUCACGACCAGAUAUUACUUUUGUUGUCUACAAACUGAGCCAAUUUUUGUCAUAGCCUCCACUAUCUCAUCUCAAGGUAGCUCACCAUCUUCUUCGAUAUUUAAAGGGUAGUCCAGGUCUGGGACUAUUCUUUCUGUUCACGAAAUAUUUUCUUUCGAUUUAAAUCACCACAAGUGUACGGUUAUUCAACAAGUAAUAAAGUGGAUUAAUUGAGUCCGAAUAUCAUCCCACAGAGAUUGAUUAGUUUAAUUUUACCUAACUUGGCCUUAACCGAAAUUGAUUUGUCAAACGUGAAUUGUAGUAACUUAAAUUAACCUUACUUGGACUAAAUAUGCAAAUAUGUAUGAUUUGAAUGAACUAAAAUGCAAAGUGAAUGUGUUGAUUGCAAGUUGGUGUACUCAAUCAAUGAAUAUAAAAGCGUACUAGGCUCAUGAAUCCCCAAGCAAUGCUCAAUUUAACCUUAAUUCAACACUUUGACAACACGAUGACAUUUUGAAGAAUCAAUAUUCCUAAAUCUAUCCAACACUCUCUUUCGAGAUGAAUUGAACCUAUUCUCAUACACCACCAGCCUAUAUCUCUAUGACGGAUGCAAAUAUAUGAGAAUGCAUGUAGUUUUGUGAAUACUUAGAGAUUCACACAAAGCAUAGGGGUAUAUUUCUAUCCCCCUAUCAAAUCCUACGAUGAUUUAUACCUUAUCGAAUUUAUUCCUCUUCUUUCGAGUAGAUGAAACAAACCACUAAAACUCACACAAUUACGAGCCCAUAAUCAUGGAAGCAAUUAAAUGCAUAUAAAUCAUUCAAAACAAUCAAUACGUGUUUUAGUGUCAAAAUAUGGAACAAAGAAUUAAAUAUCACAUUAUAAGAUUCACUGAUCUCCUAGUAUAGAUUUUUCUAGCCUAACAUGACGGGAAGAAAAACAUAACAACAAGAAUCAAGAAAAGAGAUCACCCAAUCGCCCUUUGAUUUGAAAUCUUGAAUCUUGAAUCUUGGAAUGAAUCCUCUCGUUCUUGCCUUCUUUUUGCUCUUCAAAUCCUCCCAAAAUAAUGUAUAAUACGUGGUGUCUGUUUUUGGACGUUCCUAGUGCUUUAAAAGACUCCCAAGAUUUGUUUCCAUAAGAGUUUUAAUCAGAAAAUGAAACCAGAAAAUUUUCGACGCGAUUGGCCUGGGCAACAUUUUCUUCUCGGUAAUAAGAAAAACAUAUGGGGCGAUCACCCGAUUUUUAUAACUGGGCUGUCGCACAGGCAAAAUUUCUUCCAUAUGUUGCAUUUUAGCCCUCGAAAUCGAUUUUUGAUUCUUUUAGGCCCUUUCUCUUGCAAUUUCAACUCUUUGACUUUCAUUUGCAUCCAAUUGAACCCGCAACAUCUUUAAUCUUCAUUUUGUGAUCCGAAUCAACUAUUAAAAUGUUGCAAUUUAGUCCUCAUACUUUGAAUUUUCUUCCUUUUUGGCUCUUUUUCAUUUCUUUUCUCUUGAAUUUCAUCACAUUCAUCAAUAUAGUCCUACAAAACAUAAUUACAUAGAAUUAAGUCAUAAUUCAAACUCUUUGAUCAUAAUUAAGUCAUGUUUAUGAACUAAAUAAGUGUGUAAAAACACACUUAUCACUUUCCUUCAUCAUCUGACCCACAUUCACUUCUCAAGCUUUAGGCCUUUUCAGAUGCAGGCUGGGGAACUUGUCUUGACACAAGAAAAUCAACUACUAGUUUUUGUAUUUUCCUUGGAGACUCGUUAAUAUCUUGGAAAGCUAAGGCGACGGUCCACUGUUUCUCGAUCUUCAGCUGAAGCAGAAUAUAGGGCUCUAGCUACCACCAUCAGUAAAGUCAUCUGGAUCAACCAAUUGCUCAAGGAUUUUCAGACAUGCGCUAUCUCUCCAGGUGCCUUAUUUUGUGAUAACCAAGCUGCCAUUCAAAUAGCCACAAAUCCAAUUUUUCAUGAACGAACAAAACACAUCAAAUUUGAAUUUUCUUCCUUUUUGGCUCUUUUUCAUUUCUUUUCUCUUGAAUUUCAUCACAUUCAUCAAUAUAGUCCUACAAAACAUAAUUACAUAGAAUUAAGUCAUAAUUCAAACUCUUUGAUCAUAAUUAAGUCAUGUUUAUGAACUAAAUAAGUGUGUAAAAACACACUUAUCACUUUCCUUCAUCAUCUGACCCACAUUCACUUCUCAAGCUUUGGGCCUUUUUAGAUGCAGGCUAGGGAACUUGUCUUGACACAAGAAAAUCAACUACUAGUUUUUGCAUUUUCCUUGGAGACUCUUUAAUAUCUUGGAAAGCUAAGCGACGGUCCACUGUUUCUCGAUCUUCAGCUGAAGCAGAAUAUAGGGCUCUAGCUACCACCAUCAGUAAAGUCAUCUGGAUCAACCAAUUGCUCAAGGAUUUUCAGACAUGCGCUAUCUCUCCAGGUGCCUUAUUUUGUGAUAACCAAGCUGCCAUUCAAAUAGCCACAAAUCCAAUUUUUCAUGAACGAACAAAACACAUCGAAAUCGAUUGCCACUUUAUUCGGGGUAAAGUUGCAGCUGGAAUUAUUAAGCUCCUUCCAAUCCGAUCUCAACAUCAACUAGCUGACGCAUUUACUAAGCCACUUUUUGCAUCUGUCCUUCUCCCUUUAAUGUCCAAGAUGUCUGUAAAGAACAUUUAUCAUACAUCUUGAGGGGGAGUAUUAGAAUUAAUUGGAGGCAUUAUAUAACAUUUAUCAUACAUCUUGAGGGGGAGUAUUAGAAUUAAUUGUAGGCAUUAUAUGUAAUUGCACUCAUCUUAGUUUCUUUUCAGUUCGUUAGUUAGCUAGCUUUGUCCAGCUAUGUUUACUUUCUUUCAUUUUUGGGCACCAAGCUCCAUUGCUAUUUAUGUAUCUUAGUUGAUUGAACGACCAAUAGAGUUUCAAUUCAUUUUCUCUUUGUAAAUCUAAUAUAUUUUCUACAUUGAAUCAUAAAUUUCACGAAAGAAAUUGUCUCCUGUAUCCACCGGCUACAGUCAAGCCCAGGAUGAUGGUAUGUACACACACAGUUGACAUGCAAGAAAUGGAAAUCUAAAAAAGCCCAAGGACCUUCUUAUAUGUAUAUUUGCUCUCCCAAUAUUGUUCCUUAUCAGAAAAAGGUAGUCAUUGAGACCCCCCCUCCCCGAAUGGCCAAAACUCUAAUGGUCAAGGAGGCAUCAUUGAAAUGUUGUUGAAUCAUCUGUUGUGUGGACGAAGAGUCCAACCAAGCUAUGAGGAUUAGAAUAAAGGCCAAGAAGAUCGUGGUGAGCAUCUCGGGUAAGUUAAAUCUUUAUAUGACUAAUAUAAAUCUUUUCUUUGGUAUUGUGUACUAUACAUCAGUAUGUCUAGGAUACGAAACAAGAUUUUAGUUUUUUUAUUUUCCUUUCUUCAAUACUUUCUAGAAUAAUGCUAUCUAUGUAUGACCACUAGUGGAUGUGAUGCAUUUUCACUCACAAAUUGGAUAGAACGGCAAACAAUUUCACUGAUAUUAGGAUCCAUUAAGACUUAAAGUUGCAUUUUAAAAGGUCAAACUUGGUAAGAGAGGUAACCCAAGUCUUUAUAUGUUGGUCUAUAUUUCAUCAAUUUUUGAUGUGUAAUUUAUUCUUUAACAUAUAUCCGAAAGAAGGUGGUUUGUUUGAACAAACCAAUCUGAAAAUUUAUGUACUCUUUUAUGGGUCUUAGUCAAAUCAAAUUGCUUUUCAGAGUUUAAUAGACUCUGAUACCAUAUUAAGAUUUAGAGUUCUAUCUUAAAAUGUCGACUCUAGUUAGAAGAGUAGCUCAAGUUUUUAUAUGUUGGCCUAUUUUUCUACUAUUAUUCGAUGUGGAUAAGGAUCUUGAAGCUGCAAAAAACAUUUUAUAUUUAACAUUCUUUUCAUCUUCGAUGGACGUUGGAUUUACCAUUAUAAUCUUCCCUACUCUCAUGAACAUUAUUUCUAGGAGUUGAGUCGAUGUCAAUGGAGGGAAGCGGGAACAUUCUAACAGUGAUUGGUGAAGAAAUCGACUCGGUGAGUCUUGUCCAAUGCCUAUGGAAGAAGGUGUGUUUUGCUAAUGUAGUGAGCGUACCAAACUGAGAGGGUUGAAACUAAGCAACCGAAACUUGAGAACACGAAUCCGGCUACCUGUGUGUGUGCCUCUUCGAUGCUGUAAUCACUCGCCUCACUGGAAAAUAUUGGAAAUCAGGGAACCCACAUCUUACUGCUUCAACUUUUGAAUGCUUCUUAUGUUAAGUUGUCAAACAAGAAAAAAAAUGAAUCUUUUGUUGUGAAGAAAAUUAAGCAACAUUAAUUCACAAUAGAUUUUGUUGCAAAUUCUGUUUGAGAUAAUGUUACAAGUGGAACAUUGUAGUAUAAUUUCAAGAGAUCAGAAGUAUAAGUUGAGAGAAAACUUUGAUUUCAUUUCUUGGAUUGGAUAGAUAGCAUUACUCUUAUUGAAUGUGUUGGGCUGUGAUGCCAUUUGAUCAAUCCAACUAAUAGGCAGUGAUGAAAUAAGGCCCAAUAUGGAAUCAAUAGAUGAUCCAUUUAUUAAAACCUAGAAGGCCCAAUUAAACCGAGCCCAAUAUCCAGCCCUUUUAACCCUAGUCGUUCUUGGACCGUUGGAUUAACCCACUCAAUCUAACGGUGGAUUGGUUUACUAUAUAUACAUCCCUUAUCCCUUGUUUGGGAGAGAGACGGUCAUUUUUCUUGUUCUCUUUUUCUCUGUGUAUUCUGAAACCUUCAAUGACUUUCGUCUUUGUGACCUUUUCUUCUUCUCUGUGUGAGAACUUCUGUUGAUUAUCUUUGUGAUAAUCAUGUCAUUGUGUUAGUCUCCUUUGUGAGAGUAAACUGUUGGAAGUGGUCUGUCCAUUUUCGGUUCCAGUGAAGCGACUUGGUGUUUUGGGGUUGUAAGGGCUCGUGUGUUGAGUUCAGUGCCUCUGUGGUGGUUAGAAAAGGGCGUAUGGUCUGAGCCUAUGAAUAGAUCUAAACCUUGAUCCAGUGGCUUAGGUUUUCUGUAAAUCUGCUGCGUGUGUGUGUGUGUGUGUGUGUGUGUGUGUGUGUGUGUGUGUGUGUAUAUAUAUUCUGAUUUGUAUAGUUUGAACAGAUUCUGGAUUAAUAGUGGUAUCAGAGCUUUCUUUGUCCGUUCUUGAGUCUUCGAUUGAAGGUUUGAACACUGGAAAAUUAAUUUCCAAGUGUUCAACUGUAGAUCGCAAAACCCUAGGUUUUGAUUUGAGAGGACCUUGUGGUCUGUGGAGUUGAUUCAUUACUGGACUAUGAAAUGCGAGGGAAUUCUGUGUCUCCUCGCCUUGAUCUAUGAAAGAACCUGAAAUAUGAGUCCCUGUGGGUUUCGUUCUUGAGCUGGAACCCUAACUUCGAAAUUGAUUGGAAGGACUUGAAGCUGUUAUGGCUUGACUUGAAUUUUGGUGACCUGCAGAGCACUUAUCCCCCACUGCGAUAACCUGUUUUGAUUUCAGCUGGUGGUUAAUUGUUUAACCACCUUUCGGUUUGCACUUUCUUGAACCCUACACGACAGCACACACUCUUAAUUAUACUUUUAUGAGUAUAUGCCUCUAUGUGACUAUGUUGAUAUGUUCAUUUCCUGUAUACUGUAACUUGUUACAUUAGUUAGUGAUAUCUUGUUAUAUUUGCCUGUGAUCAUUAAAGUGUGGGUGAUUCAAAUUGAGCCUUGACCUGAGAACUUGAUUCUCACGGAAUCCUAGUGAAUUUGAUCAACCCUAGGUCCUGUAGAUACUGUUUUUGAUACUGAGAUAUGGUUUUUUGCCUACAUUAUUAUAUUCUCUGGUUCUUGUGGUGUUUACAUUAGUAUGCUUACUGAUCCUGUUAUUGAUUGAAAUUAUUUGUGAUUAAAAUAAUUGUGGCUCAUUUAUUUGAUUGCAUAUUUUUUGUGACCUAAAACAUAAAUUUUUGUGAAGGUCAAAUUCAACAGUUUUUUCAAAAGUUGAUCAUUUGUCUUGUUUUAAUUUUUUGGAAAACCCUGUGUGUUAGUUUUUCACAAUAAAACAUGACAAAAUCUUUUGAACUUGGUGUUUUUGAUGGAAAAGGGAAUUUUCCCAUUUGGCAACAAAAAAUGCGAGGUGUUUUAGUUCAGUAAAAAGUUUCUAAAGCAAUAACAGAUGAAUUUCCUGAUACCAUGACAGAUGAUCAAAAGGAAGAAUCUGAUGAACUUGCUUAUACCUCCAUUAUUUUGCAUUUGUCUGAUCAAGUUUUAAGAAAAGUAGGUAAACAUGAUACUGCUAAGGCUCUAUGGGAUGAAUUAGGGAAACUUUAUCUACCUAAGUCUUUGCCUAAUAAGUUGUUUCUAUUAGAGAAAUUUUUCAGCUUUAGGAUAGAUCCAACUAGAGACUUAGAAGAUAGCUUAAACAUUUUUAAUAAGUUAGUUCAAGACAUUAUCAAUACAAGUGAGAAAGUUUCUGAUGAGUAUAAGGCUGUAGUACUACUUAAUGCUAUACCUGAAGCCUACAAAGAGGUUAAAGCCGCCAUUAAGUAUGGUAGAGAUACUCUUACACCUGAUAUUGUCAUAGACUCUUUAAGGAGUAAGGAACUUGAACUUAAGUCUAAGAGAGGUAAUAGUGGCCAUGAAAACUUGUUUGCUAGAGGCAGGACUUUAAGUAGGUCUAGUAGUACUCAUGAAAGCCAUAAUAAUCAGGGAAACAACAAUAGGAGGAAGUUUAAAAGUAGAGGCAAGUCUAAGUCAAGGACUAGGACUUAAAAGUGUUAUGGGUGUGGGAAAACUGGACAUUUCAUUAAAGACUGUUAUAAAAAUAAAAAUGAACAGAAACUGAAGGGUGUUGAUGAAGGUAAUGUGGUAGAAUCUGAAGGUUCUGCCACAGUUGAUGUAUAUGCUGUGACUGAAAAUUUACCUAGCUCUGCAAAUGUGGUUGAUGAGAAUCAGAACCAAGAAUGGAUCUCGGAUUCUGGUUGUACCUUCCAUAUGACCUUUAAGAAGGUAUAUUUAGACAAUUUUAAGAAAAUUGAUGGAGGAAAAGUGGUUAUGGGCAAUAAUGUAGCCUUCAGAGUUGAGGGAGUUGGGAAUGUCACUUUGAAAUUCGAUAAUGGAUACAUUCACCCUUUUGAAAGGGUCAGGUAUGUUCCUGAAUUAAAUAGGAAUCUGAUUUCCAUGGGAUAUCUUGAUGAUAUGGGAUUGCAAGAAAAAAUAGGAGAUGGCUUCUUAAAAGUGAUAAAAGGAUCACUUGUUAUUUUGAAAGGUGUUAAAAAAAAUGGGAUUUAUGUGACCAGAGCUAGUACAGUGUCUGAUCACAUAGGUGAGUCUUCUAGUGUAGAAGCUGAUGCUACCUUAAAGUGGCACAAGAGAUUGGCCCAUGUAGGUGAAAAGGGCCUACACAUCCUUUAUAAGAAAGGAGUGUUUGGAAAAGACUCUAUAUCUAAGGUGUCCUUUUGUGAAAACUGCACCUUAGGUAAGCAGCAUAGGCUGCAUUUUAACACAGGAAAACAUAGAACCACUUCUAUCCUUGAGUAUAUACAUACUGAUUUGUGGGGACCUUCAUCCACUAUUACUCAAGGAGGAAAUAGAUAUUUCUUGUCCUUAAUUGAUGACUAUUCUAGGAAGGUUUGGAUUUAUUUGAUGAAACACAAAUCUGAAACCUUUGAGAAAUUCAGAACUUGGAAGAUUCUAGUUGAAAAUGAGAUUGGAAAGAAAAUUAAGAUCCUUAGGACGGACAAUGGCCUUGAGUUUUGCAAUGCUGAAUUUGAUCAAUUGUGCAAAGAAUCUGGUAUUAAAAGGCAUAAAACAGUACCUUAUACACCUCAGCAGAAUGGAGUGGCUGAGAGGAUGAAUAGAACCUUGCUAGAUAAGGUUAGGUGCAUGUUGAUAGGCUCAGGUGUCCCUAAGGUGUUAUGGGGUGAAGCUGUAAUGACAGCUUCAUAUAUUGUUAAUAGAAUCCCCUCAAGUGCUCUAGGUGAUAAAACCCCAGAAGAGCUAUGGACAUGACAUGUUCCUGAUUAUUCUCAUUUAAGAAUUUUUGGUUGUGCAGCCUAUACCCAUCAGAGUAUAGGAAAACUUGAACCUAGGGCCCAGAAAUGUGUUUUCUUGGGAUAUCCCGAUGGGGUUAAAGGUUAUAGGCUUUAGAGUAAAGAGGUAAAAGGUUUUAAAAUCAUCACCAGCAGAGAUGUGACCUUUGAUGAGUAAAAAUGCCUUGUUUAGAAAAUAAAGAGCCAAAGGGUUUAUCUGGUGAUGAAAGGGGUGAUAAUACCAAGCUGCAGGUGGAGCUUGGCUUACCUACUGAACCUAUUGGUGAUGAACAGGUGGAUGAAGAAGCUGAAAUAGCUUCUGGUCCUCUAGAAAAUGAAGAGGAAGAUGUUCAAGAAAAUCUGGAAAGUCAGCCUGAUGAAUUAGGAGAUUACCAGUUGGCUAGAGAUUGGACUAGGAGAGAAGUUAGAGAGCCUGUUAGGUAUGGGGAUUACCUUUCACUUGCUAUUUUGUCCUAUCAAGACUUAGUGUUUAAAGAACCAAAAUCUUAUGAAGAGGCAAUGAGCAGCAAGCAAUCUGAGAAAUGGCAUGCUGCUAUGAUAGAUGAGAUAGACUCCUUAAUGAAAAAUGAGACUUGGACUUUAGUCCCUAAACCUGUAGGUAAGACCCUUGUUGAUUGCAAGUGGAUCUUUAGCGCUACGGAGGGAAAUUCUGAAAAGAUGCCCAUAAGAUUUAAAGCUAGACUUGUAGCGAAAGGAUUUACACAAAAAGAGGGCAUAGACUAUAAUGAGAUAUUUUCACCUGUGAUAAAGUACACAACCAUUAGAGUUAUGCUUGCUCUUGUUGCUCAUUAUGAUCUUGAACUUGAGCAAAUGGACGUGAAAACUGCUUUCUUGCAUGGUGACCUUGAUGAAGUGAUUUAUAUGAGGCAGCCACCUGGUUUUAUUGAGGAAACUAAUUCUGAUCAUGUGUGUUUGUUAAAAAGAUCAUUAUAUGGUUUAAAGCAAUCUCCACGACAAUGGUACAAAAGGUUUGAUAAUUUUGUAUCCGCUAUUAGUUUCAAAAGAAGUGAAUAUGAUCAUUGUCUUUAUUUUAAAAGAAAUGAUGAAAAUGCUAUUGUUGCUUUUAUACUUCUUUAUGUGGAUGAUAUGUUGCUGAUUGGUCAGAAUAUGCAUGUUAUUAAUUAGAUAAAACGGUCUUUAAGUGUUGAAUUUGAAAUGAAAGACCUAGGACAUGCAAAGAGAAUUCUAUGAAUGGAAAUCACUAGGAAAAGGCAUCAUAGGUUACUGUACUUGAAGCAAACUGCAUAUAUUGAAAAAAUGUUGAUUAAGUUUGCCAUGCAUAACUCUAAAUCUGUUUCACUUCCAUUGGCCAGUCAUUUUAAACUUAGUAAGGAGCAAUGUCCCGUAGAUGAAUCUGACAUUAGACAAAUGGAAAAUGUACCCUAUGCUAAUGCCGUAGGUUCUGUUAUGUACACUAUGGUAUGUACUAGGCCGAUGUAGCUCAUUCCAUUAGCACACUUAGUAGAUUUAUGGCCAAUCCAGGACCUGACCAUUGGGUUGCUUUAAAAUGGCUGUUGAGAUACUUGAAAGGAUCUUCACAUGUUGGAUUGAUUUUUAGUGCCUGUAAUGAAGGUGUUGUACUUAAGGGUUUUGUAGAUUCAGAUUUUGCCGGAGAUAGAGACAAUAGGAAAUCUACUACUUCUUAUAUGUUUACUUUGUGUAAUACAUGUAUUAGUUGGAAAUCUCAACUUCAACCUAUUGUUGCUUUAUCUACUACUGAAGCUGAGUAUGUUGCUACAACUGAAGCAAUAAAAGAAGGCUUAUGGCUUAAGGGUUUGUUAUCCGAAAUAAAUGAAUUAAGUAACCCUGUUGUUUUAUAUUCAGAUAGUCAAAGUGCAAUUCACCUAUGUAAAGACCCUAUUUUUCAUGAAAGAACCAAACACAUUGAUAUUAAGUUGCAUUUUAUUAGAGAUGUUGUUUCUAAAUAACUAAUUUUACUUGAGAAAAUUGCAACCCAGUUUAAUCCAGCUGAUGUAGGUACUAAGGUAAUACCUUUAAACAAGUUUAAGUCUUGUUUACAAAUUUUGAACAUUGAUGUUGGUUAAGUGUUUUGUUCUGUACAGGUGCUAAGGUUGAUGCUUGUUGAGAAUACGGGGAAGCUGUCUUUUUGAGAAGGACAUUUAAAUUGUGUUUUACAUUUAUUAGGCUUCUUGUAUGAUCACUGGCAUCAAGGUGAAGAUUUGUUGGGCUGUGAUGCCAUUUGAUCAGUCCAACUAAUAGGCAGUGAUGAAAUAAGGCCCAAUAUGGAAUCAAUAGAUGGUCCAUUUAUUAAAACCUAGAAGGCCCAAUUAAAUCGAGCCCAAUAUCCAGCCCUUUUAACCCUAGUCGUUCUUGGACCGUUGGAUUAACCCACUCAAUCUAACGGUGGAUUGGUUUACUAUAUAUACAUUAUUUAUCCUCUUGUUUGGGAGAGAGACGGUCAUUUUUCUUGUUCUCUGUGUAUUCUGGAACCUUCAAUGACUUUCGUCUUUGUGACAUUUUCUUCUUCUCUGUGUGAGAACUUCUGUUGAUUAUCUUUGUGAUAAUCAUGUCAUUGUGUUAGUCUCCUUUGUGUGAGUAAACUGUUGGAAGUGGUUUGUCCAUUUUCGGUUCCAGUGAAACGACUUGGUGCUUUGGGGUUGUGAGGGCUCGUGUGUUGAGUUCGGUGCCUAUGUGAUGGUUAGAAAAGGGCGUAUGGUCUGAGCCUAUGAAUAGAUCUAAACCUUGAUCCAAUGGCUUAGGUUUUCUGUAAAUCUGCUGCGUAUAUAUAUAUAUAUAUAUAUAUAUUCUGAUUUGUAUAGUUUGAACAAAUUCUGGAUUAAUAGAAUGGAGGUUUGCAAGAGUAUAUAUUGUAAUUUUAGCUUCCAUGAAGAGCCGUAGAAAGCUCAUUUUCUAGUUGUCAGAUGUCUCCGGUGAUUGAGUGUUAUUGGACUGAACUGAUAGAUUCAUGUUUGAACUGGACUCAUUGAGUCUUAUUUGAUUUGUGUUUAUGCAUCGAAAAGACAAAAAAAGAUUUUUAUCUUUUUAUAAGAAUUGUAUCUUUCUGAUAAAACUUAGUCACGAAACUUUAGUUAUAGGACCACAAAAACUCUUGUACCUCGAGAUAUUUUUAGUUUAUUUUGAACAUAAACAAGUAGCUCUCAUUCUAUCAAAUCGUCGAGAACGUACAAAGAAAUAAGUGAAGCAAUCAAAAUCAACCCAUUGAUGAGAAAUUGCAUGAUUAGCGAGACAAUGGGCCACAAAUUGAUUCCAUAAUCGUAUCCCAAGAAAAUGCGAGUUGCAAGCGAUAUUAUAAUAAAAGGGUAAAAUGGUCAUUUAAUCAUGAUUAAUUAUUCGAUGUCCGACAGGUAUAAACAAGUAGCUCUCAUUCUAUCAAAUCGUCGAGAACGUACAAAGAAAUAAGUGAAGCAAUCAAAAUCAACCCAUUGAUGAGAAAUUGCAUGAUUAGCGAGACAAUGGGCCACAAAUUGAUUCCAUAAUCGUAUCCCAAGAAAAUGCGAGUUGCAAGCGAUAUUAUAAUAAAAGGGUAAAAUGGUCAUUUAAUCAUGAUUAAUUAUUCGAUGUCCGACAGGUAUACUCGUCGUCCAAUACACAUAAAGAGAUCGCUUUUUAUUGUUUGAUUCCUCAACUUGAUUCUUGAUUUGGCUUUCAGGUUUCCACUCAUUAAUGGCUGUUCAUACUUCUGGAGAAUACCAAAGAAGAUAUGGGGUUGAAAGCUGGAAGAUUGAAUAUCAAUAUUUAAAGAAAAAAAUUGGAGCAGCUUCUAAAGAAUUCAGAUCUAAUCACACUUCAAGUGUGAUUCCACAAUCCUUUAUCUGAUUAAUUCAACAUGUUAUAAAACGAAUUUAACCAUAUAUUCUUGGAUCAAAACUUAUUAAGAAAAAAAAUUUAUUGCACAUGUUUUUACUUAUUGUCUAACAUUAGUCUUAUAUUUUCACUUUGGAUUUGUGAACACAUCUUUUCAGUUCAGUGUUUAUGAGUUAAGUUUGUAUCUAAUAACGCUAAAAGAUAAGGUUCUUUAAUACAUUUAUCAUUGUUCAUGUACUAUAAGAAGCCUCCUUGUGUAUAAAGAAAUAUACAACUUUAUUAUGGAUCUUUCCUAUAUUUUAUGUAUUUUAUAUAUUAAGUUUUAAUUGGAUAUUUAAAGAAAGUUCACCUUGACCUGCUAUUUAGAGUGCACACUAAGCAGUGGUCUAUCGGUUGUUGAAUUUUGGAAACUGAUCGCUUAGACUCUAUUGCACCGAAUUACAUAUUCCGAGGGGACAACUAUUUAUUGUUCUUCAAGCUACCAUUUUCAGGCUAAUUUUCAUUGUUGAUUCUUAAAGUUAUCUUAUAAUGUGUGGACAUUUGAAAUAGAUUAUUUAUCUUUAGCUUCAUCUUUUGUGUAUAUUACAAUUUUCCUAACAAUCUUAAAUUCAUUUUGGAUAAAACCUCUUUGCCAGGGCCACAUGUGCCCUGGUAUUGGCGCCCCCUAUAGGUGGGGUGCCUUGGUAAUGCCUCACAUUUCACCAAGCCAACUUUGACUCAAGUCGUGCUUCUAAAGUUCAUAUUUGGUGUUGGUACAAGAUUUGAUGUGUUCUCUAAACUUGGCUCAUUCAUUGAAGCCCCACCUAUAGGGGCGCCAAUACCAAGACACAUGUGGCUCUGGUAACCAAGCAUGGUUCAUUGAUUUUAUACAUAUUGGGUAUGCCUCACAUUUCACCAAGCCAACUUUGACUCAAGUCAUGCUUCUAAAGUUUGUAUUCGAUUUUGGUACAGGAUUUGAUGGGGUCUCUACACUGGGCUCAGUCUGGGUUGCUGGACACAGUAAAUUGGUACUUUCAUUUGAAAGGGGCUAAUCUCAUUUCUCACACACAUUGUGCUCGUUUUCCUUUCUUUAGACAUUUUUUAUGUGUUCUAAAGAAAUCUGAGUGAUUUCUUCAAACAUUUUACUGAAUUUGUUCUUGAUUUUCAUUCUAAAAUGAAAGCCAUAUCUACUUUGAUAGAUGCUCAAUGGGCGAAUAAUGUUGGAGCACAUGAACAUUCGGAUCCAUUAGUGGACGAAAAAUUCUUGUGUUAGAAUUUCUUUAAUUUUUUACACAUUUAUUUCAAUCUUUUAGGGUUAAAACAUAUAUUUAGGACUAACAAGUUGCAUCAGAGUCAGAACCUUAAUUUUGAUAUGGUUUCUGGCUUUAAAAUGGAAACCUAGUCCGUUCUUUUUGAAAAAUCUUUGUACCAUACUAGCUGUCGAUCUAGAAUUUUUUGUGGAAACCAACUUAUUUCCAAAUCCCUGUGACUUGAUGUAUCUUCGAUUCAACAUUUGGCUGAAUUUUUUGAUGAACUCUUUUGGGUUUCUAGUGAUUCUUGAUGGCUCGUUUGUAUUCCUUGUUGGGUUGUGAUGACUUUACACAGUUUCUGGCAAUUCUCGGUGACUCCUUAUUUUAUGUUGAGUUGAGGUGACUCAUUCAAUCUACUACCGAUUCUUUGUGUUUCAGUUGGCAUUCUGGGAUAAGUUUUAGUAGAGCAAAGUUUAAAUAUAGAAAUUAAUUUGUUUUAUAAUGAAGACACAAACUGAACAUUAGACAAUUUAAAAGUUCUAAUGACACAGGAAGGAUGUUAGAACUAUUAGGUAGAGAAGAGGGUGAUAGAUUGUGCUAGCCAUGAAUAUGAUGUAUAUUAAGAGCUUUGUGGGAAACAUUGACAAGAUGGUACCAAAGGAUGGUUUGGCUUCGAAGUGUUGGAGAUUAGCCUCAAAGCUUAUUUGUUUCUUAUGGGGCUUAUCGAAGGUAAUAGGUAUAUCGCGAGCACUAACAACAGAUGAUAUGUCCUUAUGGUCACCAGGUAGGCCAUCAAGAAUUUUUAGAGUCAGAUCUUCAUAGUGGAUGGGAUAGUCCUUGAUAGCAAGUUCGACAAUCUUGCUUUUCUAAGAUUCUAGAAACUCGAUAAUAGUUAAAGAUCCUAUAGUAANNNNNNNNNNNNNNNNNNNNNNNNNNNNNNNNNNNNNNNNNNNNNNNNNNNNNNNNNNNNNNNNNNNNNNNNNNNNNNNNNNNNNNNNNNNNNNNNNNNNNNNNNNNNNNNNNNNNNNNNNNNNNNNNNNNNNNNNNNNNNNNNNNNNNNNNNNNNNNNNNNNNNNNNNNNNNNNNNNNNNNNNNNNNNNNNNNNNNNNNNNNNNNNNNNNNNNNNNNNNNNNNNNNNNNNNNNNNNNNNNNNNNNNNNNNNNNNNNNNNNNNNNNNNNNNNNNNNNNNNNNNNNNNNNNNNNNNNNNNNNNNNNNNNNNNNNNNNNNNNNNNNNNNNNNNNNNNNNNNNNNNNNNNNNNNNNNNNNNNNNNNNNNNNNNNNNNNNNNNNNNNNNNNNNNNNNNNNNNNNNNNNNNNNNNNNNNNNNNNNNNNNNNNNNNNNNNNNNNNNNNNNNNNNNNNNNNNNNNNNNNNNNNNNNNNNNNNNNNNNNNNNNNNNNNNNNNNNNNNNNNNNNNNNNNNNNNNNNNNNNNNNNNNNNNNNNNNNNNNNNNNNNNNNNNNNNNNNNNNNNNNNNNNNNNNNNNNNNNNNNNNNNNNNNNNNNNNNNNNNNNNNNNNNNNNNNNNNNNNNNNNNNNNNNNNNNNNNNNNNNNNNNNNNNNNNNNNNNNNNNNNNNNNNNNNNNNNNNNNNNNNNNNNNNNNNNNNNNNNNNNNNNNNNNNNNNNNNNNNNNNNNNNNNNNNNNNNNNNNNNNNNNNNNNNNNNNNNNNNNNNNNNNNNNNNNNNNNNNNNNNNNNNNNNNNNNNNNNNNNNNNNNNNNNNNNNNNNNNNNNNNNNNNNNNNNNNNNNNNNNNNNNNNNNNNNNNNNNNNNNNNNNNNNNNNNNNNNNNNNNNNNNNNNNNNNNNNNNNNNNNNNNNNNNNNNNNNNNNNNNNNNNNNNNNNNNNNNNNNNNNNNNNNNNNNNNNNNNNNNNNNNNNNNNNNNNNNNNNNNNNNNNNNNNNNNNNNNNNNNNNNNNNNNNNNNNNNNNNNNNNNNNNNNNNNNNNNNNNNNNNNNNNNNNNNNNNNNNNNNNNNNNNNNNNNNNNNNNNNNNNNNNNNNNNNNNNNNNNNNNNNNNNNNNNNNNNNNNNNNNNNNNNNNNNNNNNNNNNNNNNNNNNNNNNNNNNNNNNNNNNNNNNNNNNNNNNNNNNNNNNNNNNNNNNNNNNNNNNNNNNNNNNNNNNNNNNNNNNNNNNNNNNNNNNNNNNNNNNNNNNNNNNNNNNNNNNNNNNNNNNNNNNNNNNNNNNNNNNNNNNNNNNNNNNNNNNNNNNNNNNNNNNNNNNNNNNNNNNNNNNNNNNNNNNNNNNNNNNNNCAGGUAUAUAUAUAUAUAUAUAUAUAUAUAUAUAUAUAUAUAUAUAUAUAUAUUGAUGAUAAGUCAGAAGAAUAUAAAUUAACCCCCUGCAAAUAGGGCUAGUUUUUGAUUGGCAUGAUUGCAGUGGCGGAUCUAGGUGGUGGUGAGAUCCGUUGGAAGCCAUUUUUUUUGGUUGACAAUAGAUUAAGGUUUUAGAUUAUGUUACUGAUAAUUCUUUCUUCUUCUGAAUUUUCCUUCUAGUUGAAGUGGUUAUAUAUUUACAUUUUGCAAGUCCUGGUUUCGAUUCUCUUCCCAACCAAUUCAUUGUGCAAUUUUUUUAGUUUACAACAACUAUCAAAAUUAAUGCAAUAGGAAAGAGUUGGAUGAGAUUCAAACCUUGAAACCCUAUUAUAACCAUUGAAAGCCUGACCACUGUGGCAUCUAUUGGUUUUGGCACUUAAUUCAAUAAAGUAAUAUAUAUUAUAUUUAUUGGGUUUAAGAUUCCAAAUCAUGUUCUUCCUUUAAAUUAUACGAUACUUGACAACAAUGUCAUUUGGUGAAUAUACGAUUUAUUCUUAUAACAGAAUUAUAUAUGUUCAAUAUGAACAAAUUUUAGGCAUUGUUUUAUUGUCAUUUUUUUUUCAAAAUACAUUUUUAUCUAUCUUAUUUUUAACCAUAUAUUUUUCAAUAAAAAAUAAUAUUACACGCAAAUUCAAAAUAUUUUUCUUAUUUUUUACCUCACUUUCUCCAUGAAAUCAUUAUUUCAAAAUGCAUUUUUUGUUUAAAAAAAAAAAAGACAUCAAACGGGCUCUUAAUACUUUAUUGCAGCUGACGGUCGACAAUCAACGACUAUCCGUGCUGACUCAAAAUCCUAGAUUCGCCACUGCAUGAUUGGAUGUAAUUAUUGUAGUUUCAAUUAUUUAAGUCCGAUUGGAUCCUUUUGAUAGCUUCAGUAAAAGUUUUGAGCUUUAUUACAUUAUUAAUAAAAUUUCUUAGACCACUUUGAAAAUAGUCCAAAAUAGAACUUGCAGUUUAGUGAAAUUAGGGAACAAAGUCCUAAACUUACUUGAAGGGUUAAGGGGAUGCCCAUGGCAUAAGUGAAUGCCCUCGUCGUCCAAUACACAUAAAGAGAUCGCUUUUUAUUGUUUGAUUCCUCAACUUGAUUCUUGAUUUGGCUUUCAGGUUUCCACUCAUUAAUUGCUGUUCAUACUUCUGGAGAAUACCAAAGAAGAUAUGGGGUUGAAGCUUGAAGAUUGAAUAUCAAUAUUUAAAGAAAAGAAUUGGAGCAGCUUCUAAAGAAUUCAGAUCUAAUCACACUUCAACUAUGAUUCCACAAUCCUUUAUAUGAUUAAUUCAACAUGUUAUAACACGAAUUUAAGUAUAUAUUCUUGGGUCAAAACUUAUUAAGAAAAAAAAUUUAUUGCACAUGUUUUUACUUAUUGUCUAACAUUAGUCUUAUCUUUUCACUUUGGAUUUGUGAACACAUCUUUUCAGUUCAGUGUUUAUGAGUUAAGUUUGUAUCUAAUAACGCUAAAAAAUAGGGUUCUUUAAUACAUUAACAUUGUUCAUGUAAUAUAAAAAGCCUCCUUGUGUAUAAAGAAAUAUACAACUCUAUUAUGGAUCUUUCCUAUAUUUUAUGUACUUUAUAUAUUCAGUUUUAAUUGGAUAUUUAAAGAAAGUUCACCUUGACCUGCUAUUUAGAGUGCACACUAAGCAAUGGUCUAUCGGUUGUCGAAUUUUGGAGAUUGAUCGCUUAGACUCUGUUGCACUGGAUUACAUAUCUCGAGGGGGCAACUAUUUAUGGUACUUCAAACUAACAUUUUUAAGCUAAUUUUCAUUGUUGAUUCCUAAAGUUAUCUUAUAAUGUGUGGGCACAUGAAAUAAAUGACUUAUCUUUAGUUUCAUCUUUCGUGCAUAUUACAACUUUCCUAACAAUCUUAAAUUCAUUUUGGAUAAAACCUCUUUACCAGGGCCACAUGUGCCCUGGUAUUGAUACGCCCUAUAGGUGGGGCCUCGAUAGGUGCCCCACCUAUAGGGGGCGCCAACCAUGGCACAUGCGGCCCUGGUAACCAAGCACGGUUCAUUGAUUUUAUACAUAUUGGAUAUGCCUCACAUUUCACCAAGCCAACAUUGACUUAAGUCGUGCUUCUAAAGUUCGUAUUCAAUUUUGGUACAAGAUUUGAUGGGGUCUAUACACUUGGCUCAUUCAUUGAGGCCCCACCUAUAGUGGGUGCCAAUAUCAGGGCACAUGUGGCCCUGGUAACCAAGCACGGUUCAUUGACUUUGUACAUAUUGGAUCUGCCUCACAUUUCACCAAGUCAACUUUGACUCAAGUCGUGCUUCUAAAGUUUGUAUUCGAUUUUGGUACAAGAUUUGAUGUGGUCUCUACACUUGGCUCAUUCUGGGUUGCUGGACAGAGAGUAAAUUGGUUCUUUCAUCUAAAAGGGGCUAAUCUCAUUUCUCACACACAGAGUGCUCUUUUUCCUUUCUUUAGACAUUUUUUAUGUGUUCUAAAGAAAUUUAAGUGAUUUCUUGAAACAUUUUACUGAAUUUGUUCUUGAUUUUCAUUCUAAUAUGAAAGCCAUAUCUACUUUGGUAGAUGCUCAAUGGGUGAAUAAUGUUAGAGCACAUGAACAUUCGGAUCAAUUAGUGGAUGAAAAUUCUUGUGUUCGAAUUUCUUUAAUUUUUUACACAUUUAUUUCAAUCUUUUAGGGUUAAAACAUAUAUUUAGGACUAACAAGUGGCAUCAGAGUGAGAAACUUAAUUUUGAUAUGGUUUCUGGCUUUAAAAUGGAAACCUAAUUUGUUCUUUUUGAAAAAUCUUUGUACUAUACUAGCUCUCGAUCUAGAAUUUUUUGUGGAAACCAACUUAUUUCCAAAUCUCUAUGACUUGAUGUAUCUUCAAUUCAACGUUUGGUUGAAUUUUUUGAUGAACUCGUUUUGGUUUCUAGCGAUUCUUGAUGGCUCGUUCGUAUUCGUUGUUGGGGUGUGAUGACUUUACGCAGUUUCUAGCAAUUCUCGGUGACUCCUUAUUAUUUGUUGAGUUGAGGUGCCUCAUUCAAUCUACUACUGACUCUUGGUGUUUUACUUGGCAUUCUGGGGUAAAUUUUAGUAGAGCAGAGUUUAAAUAUAGAAACUAAUUUGUUUUGUAUUGAAGACACAAACUGAACAUUAGACAAUUUAAAAGUUCUAAUGACACAGGAAAAGAUGUUAGAACUAUUAGGUAGAGAAGAGGAUGGUGGAUUGUGCUAGCCAUGAAUAUGAUGUAUAUUAAGAGCUUUGUGGGGAACAUUGGCAGAGAUGGUACCAGAGGAUGGUUUGGCUUCGAAGUGUUGGAGAUUAGCCUCAAAGCUUAUUUGUUUCUUAUGGAGCUUAUUGAAGGUAAUGGGUAUAUCGCGAGCACUAACAACAGAUGAGAUGUCCUUAUGGUCACCGAGUAGGCCUUCAAGAAUUUUUAGUGUCAGAUUUUCAUAGUGGAUGGGAUAGUCCUUGAUAGCAAGUUCGACAAUCUUGAUUUUCUAAGAUUCUAGAAACUCGAUAAUAGUUAAAGAUCCUAUAGUAACGUUGGGAAGUCGACUUUUUCAUUGUAUAAUGCAACCUCCUGAGGGUUUGUCAUAUAUUGCAAAAAUAUUGUUCCACACAUUAUGAGAUGUUUUGAAAGAAGCGAUGUAUGGUAUAAUAGUGGAAGAACGGAUCCGAUAAUUGCAUUUAAUAGUAGUUGGUUAUGUUCGAUACCAUAAGCAAAUGAUUGAUUUAGUAAGUAUUGACAUUUUUUAUAAUAUGUAGCUCAUAUGGAGUAAAACACAUGUACACUAGAAAAGCACGUUGACGCCAACGUGGAGCAAGGGGAGCGCACCUAACAGAAUGGUACAAGGAUAUUUUUGGAUUUCUAUAAUAUCUUGUACGGGCUAGGUUAGUAUAUAUAUUAUAACUCUAUUAUUUUCAUAUUGUGAAAAUUAUAGCCGCUUCACUCUCGUAGAUGUAGGCUACUGUCAAACCACUCUCUCUAUUGAAUUUGUACUAUUCAUCAUUAUCAUUAUUGUCGUACAUAACACAACACCAUUGAUAUAAGCUAGUCAUAAACCCAUGAGAUCAUACCUUAUGAGUAUUGUAUUAUAUUGCAAUUUCUAUGAGGACUAAUUUCCUACGAGCAAGAUACUCUAGUGUCUAGCGCUUCGACCUUCUUCCUCCCGCUCGAAUAAGCCCUAGUUUCGCUUGAAUGAUCAAUGACGACACUUCUACAAUGUCAUCUAGUCAUCUUGUCCUACUCUUGUGCCGUAUAUUUCCUCAUUGUUCCCAAUCACGACCUAAGUGCCUCUAUAGCUCUACCCACUUCACACGCUCAGUUCUCACCCUAUGAAAACCCAUGACAAAGAUCAUAUUCCAAAGCCAAUUCAAAAACUAAAUAUCACCCCUUGAUCUUGAUUCCAUUAUUCUACAGUCUUUUGCCACAAUCCUUAAACGUCCACUUUGAUUCUAAUCCAUGUGUGAGGAGUUUGAUGGCCUAUUAGGUAAUGAAUUUAAAAGACCUCCUCUCCCUUCUAAUUCCAAAUUAUUUUCAUUUGUAAAUGGGCUUUUCAUGUUAAACGGAAACCUAAUGGUUACAUUCAUUGUGCAUGACGAAUGUUUUUCAUCAACGCUCGUGGUAGACUACAAUGAGAAUUUUAACCUAGUUGUCAAUUCCACCACCAUCCAUCUCAUUUUAAUCUUACCUUGGCACAGCAUUGGUCUCUACGUUGUUCAAUGUUAGUAAUACAUUUCUUCGGGAUUCACUAAUGAAAAUUAUUUACAUGUCUCAUCUUCAACAAUUUGUCGAUAUAGAAACUUCCAUUAUGAUUGUCCAUUUCAUAAAGGUAUCUGUAAUCUCAAACAAGCUCAUCGAGCUUAGUACAAUGAAUUACGAAACUUCUUGCUUGCCAGUGGGAUUACCAAUUCCAAAUCUAACACGUACGUCUAUAUUCAACUGCAACUCCAACCAGUGUUGAAUCUUAGUUUUGGUUUAUGCUAAAGACAUCAUUGUCACGAGAAACUCAAGUUUUUAAUAUCUUUGUUACUCAUUUGGUACCAUUUUUUCUAGAGAUGUCAAAAAUCCUAACCGAACCUAAUCCCCAUAGGGACAUAUCCCAAAGUGGACAAGAGUUUCUGGCUUUAAUCGAGUUUGCAUCCAUUUAUAUUUUAACAAUAUUAAUAAAAAAAAAUGCCCAAUUUGUAUUAUAAAAAUUUUUUAAAAAAAUGAAUAAAUAAAUUUACCUAUCAUGCAAUCCAAUCUAACAUCGCGUUCCAUUCAAGAAAAAAGAAAAAGAAGGAGAAAAAAUAGAAAAUUGAUUAAAAAAAGCAAAAUAAAAUAUAACGGUGCUAUAAAGUGGAUCCCACUUUAUUGUCAUCCCUAGAUUUGGAUACUUUUUUCCUGGGGAUAUAAGUUAUUUUUCUCUACAAGGCCUUUUUCUCUCACAACAUUAGUUUGUAUCUCAGUAAUCUUCUGCACAACAUAAGUUGCAUGAGUGUGAGUCAGUGUCAAUUUCUAUGUACAUGACAACUACCUUGAGCUUAAUUGAUGUCACUACUUUUCAUGAUGCUUUUAAAUAUAGGCAAGUUCUUGGCAACUUGCAAUAUUCUUUACUCACUCGCCAGGGCAUUGUUAUUUAGUAAACCAUCUGUAUCAAUAUAUCGCUGAUCCAUUUCUCACACUUGGAUCGCUGUUAAACUUAUGUUUCUCGACUUUUUUGGCACUUUGGGCUCUUUCUUUGUCGCCAUUCUCCUGUCUUGUUACAUGCCUUCUCUAAAUCUGAUUGAGAAGAAAAUGGUAAUGAUUCCACAUCCAUCCAUGCCAAUCUAGUGAUUCUUGAAUGGAACCUAAUUGUUGCUCAUUUUUUUUUAUUGAAAUCGACUAUCAUAUGGCUUAAAUAUUUAGUACUUGAAUUCAGCGAACCAAUUUCCACCAAUCGAGUAAUCUAAUUUCAUACUAUUAGCACCACAUACUUAAUGACCUAACACUAUUUCUCACCUCGAAUGGAAUACAUUAAGAUUCAUGUGCACUUUGUUCAUGACAAGAUUUAGACCGGUGAACUCUGGAUUUCUUGUGUUGUCUUGUCCAAUCAAUUUGUUAAUGUUCAAACUAAACAUUAAUCAUAUGCGUCCGCAUCUACUCCUAUCUGAUAUAGGUGUCACUAAUAAGACUGCUUUCUUGUGCGGGGCAUAUUAUAGAUAUUAAAGUAAUUAGAGAUAGCAUAGUACGAUAAUUAGAGCUUGAUCUUGUGAAAUAAUAUUAAAGUAGUUAUAGAUAGUGUUACACAAUAGUUAGAACUUGUCAUUACUCAACGUGCAUCAUAUAUUUCUGUUACAGAAUGUAUACAUAUAUAUAGCACAUACCAGGAGAUAUUCUAGACUAUGCACUAAUUUAGGCUAUGAUUGAGAUUGACCCUCAUUGUAUGUGGAGUCAGAUGACAAACUAUACUUCCCUAUAAUUAUUGAAUAAUGUUAUUUAAUAUUAGUAGAAUUAGAGUGCCAGUCUAAGUUGACAUACUUGAUAAGUUCAAUUAAAUUAAUAUUGUGGUAUUGCAUUUAAAUGAAUUUAUUGUUUAGUGUCAUGAAAUUAGGGUGGCAACAGUUCGGUUCAGGUUCGGUUUGGCCAAAACCAUCACCGAAUCACCAAUUUUUUUGUCAUACCAUAACCACGUAAGUUGGUUCGGUUCGGCUUAGUUAGGACGAUUAAGAACAACGAAAAUAAAUUAUUUUUUAUAAGUUCAGCUAUCAAAUUGGAAAAAAAAAUUAUGAAAAAAAAGGUCAAUGAAAACAAAAACACAAUACCAAGUCAAUUUAACAAACAAUAUCCCAAUUUCCAAAGGCAAAAUCCGAAUUUAACAAACAAUAUCCAUAAAUGUUUAAUAUUUGUGUAGUAGGGUGUAGGGUUAUUGGGUUCAGUUAGUUGGACUUAAUGGGUUGGUAAUGGGCCAAAAAUUUGAACUGAACAGAAUCAUAGAAAGACUAAUGGAAAGCCUAAUUGUCCAAUUAGUUUUUUUUUAACAGGUAAUCGGUUCGGAGUUGGACGACGGUGUAAAUAUCAUACUCGUCCCGCUCCAAAUCGGGGCAUUAAAAUCAAAUACCAUAUCCACCCCAUUGCGCCAUUGGUUCGGUUAAUCGCGAUUUUCGAUUUUGAUAGUUCGAAUUGCCAUCCUUACAUGAAAUUGCAUCUCAACUAAAGUUUAACACUAAUGGUGCUAAAGUGCAUUACUCAUAAUUAUUAUAUGAGUAAUGCCAUUUAGCACUAUUAGUUAAGCACUGUUUAGGUGGCAUGCAAUAAUCAUUAAUUGAAAGACUGCCUUAAAAGUAGAAAAAUGAGUCACAUUUAAAAUGUUCUAUCACUUGCAUGCCAUCUAAGUUGGUGCUAUGUAACAUUAUUCUUAUUACUUUUCUUGAUUGACAACUUGCACCAAUAGUCAUCUUGCAACUUAUUGAUAUACUAAAAUCAAUGUGAGAUAGAGUUUAUGUAUUUGAGUUGGAGUCGAUCAAGUUUUUAUAGAACCUAAAUAAUCUUCAAAUGAAUCAUAGUUACUCAAGUUGUUUCUUACCGCUCUAAGCAUCAAUCCAAACACAUUCUUAUGUCAAUCAAUAUGUCAAUUUUUACAUGAAUCAAUUCAUCCUUUGCUGUUAGAGUUACUUUAGUUAGCUACUUUAGCAGAGAUGAUCAAGUUAUACAAAAGCUCAUUAGAAACAUCAAAGUUAGAUAUAAACUGUAAGGCUUAAUUACAGUUUUGUGUACUGUUACAGAAACAUUCAAAGUUUUUCGAGUAAUAUAGAUCAUUUCACUAAUCCUUUUUAUUUUUAUUUUUUUUAUAUACCAUUGUAUGAUUAAAUAAAAUUAGUAUAAAACAUCAAUACUUCAUCUACAAUGUACAUAGUUUAUCAACAAUGUUAAUAGCAUUGAGUUUAUAUUUCAUCAUAAUUCUCCAGACCAAUUAGAAAUAUUAGGAAGUUUCUAGUAUUUGAUCUUGUCUUCCCAUUUCUUUUAAUCAAUACAUAUAAUUAAUCAAGCAACCAAAAUAAAAUUUUUAACACCAUAAUACCAAUAUAAAAGUUACAAAUCUAGAAUAAAUCACUAUUACUCAUAGGAGUCACUUUGUAGAGCCCAUAUAGAAAACCUUGAAGGCAUGUCAAUUAAUACAUGUACUAUGCUGUUUCAAUUAUAAGUUAAUGUACCUCAUUUUCUUUCUUACACCAUAUAAAUACUUUAUCAACUAGGCCAACACUCAUCAUAAUUUAGCAAAUAAGACUUAGAAAAUGCACCGUUUUUUAUCCAUAACUCUUCGACUUAAAUCUAAGAUGAUAUCGUCAUGCCAUUAUAGAAGCAAAGAGAAUCUGACCUAUAUAAUUAUUAAUAGGGUAAGGAUGCUUUAGCAGAUUUCGUCUAAUCUGCAAUUUAGGAAAAAUUGCAUCAUACAACCAUUUGUUAAGGGGAUGCCCAUGGCAUAAGUGAAUGCCCUAGUCGUCCAAUACACAUAAAGAGAUCGCUUUUAAUUGUUUGAUUUCUCAACUUGAUUCUUGAUUUGGCUUUCAGGUUUCCACUCAUUAAUUGAUGUUCAUACUUCUGGAGAAUACCAAAGAAGAUAGGGGUUGAAAGCUUGAAGAUUGAAUAUCCAUAUUUAAAGAAAAGAAUUGGAGCAGCUUCUAAAGAAUUCAGAUCUAAUCACACUUCAACUGUGAUUCCACAAUCCUUUAUAUGAUUAAUUCAACAUGUUAUAAUACGAAUUUAACUAUAUAUUAUUGGGUCAAAACUUAUUAAGAACAAAAUUUAUUGCCUAUGUUUUUACUUAUUGUCUAACAUUAUUCUUAUCUUUACUUUGGCUUUGUGAACAUACAUUUUCAGUUCAGUGGUUAUGAGUUAACUUUGUAUCUAAUAACGCUAAAAGAUAAGGUUCUUUAAUACAUUAACAUUGUUCAUGUACCAUAAAAAGCCUCCUUGUGCAUAAAGAAAUAUACAACUCUAUUAUGGGUCUUUCCUAUAUUUUAUGUACUUUAUAUAAUAAGUACUUAGAGUGGGAGAAGAAGAUUGAGUUGAUAUUCGAUUGUCACAAUUACUCGGGGCAGAAAAAGGUGAAAAUUGCGGUUCUUGAGUUUUUCAACUAUGCAAUAACUUGAUGGGAUCAAGUGGCGACGACGAGGUGGAGGAUUGGGGCACAACCUUUAAAUACUUGGGAGGAGUUGAAGAUGUUAAUGCGAAAAUAGUUUGUACCUAAUCACUAUUACCGGAAGCUUCAUCAAUGGUUACAAAAUCUAUAUCAAGGCACUAGGAGCAUAGAGGAUUACCAUAAGGAGAUGGAGAUGCUUAUGAUUAGGGCGAACGUGGAAGAGGAUAGGGAAGCCACUAUGGCACGAUUUUUGAGGGGGUUGAAUAGGGACAUUGCCAAUGAAGUGGAAUUGCAACAUUAGGUGGAGAUUGAAGACAUGCUACAUGUGGCAUGAAGGUGGAAAAGCAAUUGAAGCGAAAGGGGACAGCAAGGUACUAAGGUGGAUUUUCGAUUUCUAAUCCUUCUUGGAAGCCGAGGUAGGAAAAUAAUAAAGGAGAUGGAGCUAAUAGAAGAGAAAGACCGGAGGCAUCGAGAGGAAAGGAGGAAGGAGCUAGCAAGACUACACCAAAGGUAGAAUCCCAGCCUUCAAGGAAUCUGGAGUCAAGUGUUUUCGUUGCUUGGGAGUUGGACACAUUGCUUCACAAUGUCCAAAUAAAAGAACCAUGAUUUUGCAAGACAGCGAGGAAGUGGAGAUCGAGAGUGAAGGUGAUUAUGAAGACAUGCCGGAGUUGGAGGACAUUGACGAGGAAAACACCACAGAGUAUGCAGUUGGGGAGUUGUUGGUCACAAGGCGAGCACUUAGUGCUCAAAUCAAGGCGGUUGACUUGGAGCAGCAGUGGAAAAAUAUAUUCCACACAUGGUGUCACGUCAACGGGAAGGUAUGCAGUGUAAUAACUGAUGGUGGAAGUUGUACAAACGUAGCUAGCACUAAUGUAGUGGGAAAAUUGGGAUUAACACUAUUAAAAUAUCCUAAACCCUAUAGGUUGCGAUGGUUAAAUUAAUGUGGGGAGGUUGAUGUGACAAAAAAGGUGUUGAUUAAUUUUUCCAUUGGGAAGUAUUAUGAUGAGGUGUUAUGUGAUGUUGUACCUAAGCACGCGGGGCAUAUUUUGUUGGGGCGACCUUGGUAAUAUGAUAGGAAAACAAUGCAUGAUGGGUAUAAAAAUAAAUAUAGUUUUGUGAAAGAGGGAAAGUCUAUCACUCUUGCACCAUUAAGUGUAUGACGACCAAAUCAAAUUGAAAAAUGAGGAAGAAAAGAGAGUGAGAGAGUUAGAGAAAAAGAGAGAAAAUAGUAAGAUUGCCGAUGAGGAAGAAAAAAGAGUGGGGCCACAUGAGAGAAAGAAAGAGAGUUUUCCGAGAGGAGAGAAAAGCCAAAAGUGAAUUUCUUUGCAAAAGGGAGUGAAAUGAAAAAGGCAAUAGUGGAGAGACAAUCAAUGAUUCUUUUGGUAUUUACUCCUCAAUUUUGAGGAGUCUAACACAUCCCUCCCUAGUUUGACUACUUCUUUAUUGCAGGAACUUGUCGAUGUGUUUCCGGAAGAUGUGCCUAGUGGAUUACCACCCAUUAGGGGGAUCGAACAUUAAAUUGAUUUCAUACCUGGAGCUGUCAUUCCAAACCGACCAGUUUAUCGAAGUAAUCCAAAGGAGACAAAGGAGUUUCAAAGGUAAGUGGAGGAGUUGAUGAGCAAGGGUUAUGUAAGGGAGAGCAUGAGUCCAUGUGCCGUACCUGUAUUGUUGGUGCCAAAGAAAGAUGGAACUUGGAGGAUGUGCGUGGAUUGCCGAUCUAUCAAUAACAUUACGGUAAAGUAUGGUCACCCAAUUCCUAGGUUAGAUGACAAGUUAGAUGAAUUAUAUAGUGCUUGCAUCUUUUCUAAAAUUGACCUUAAGAGCGGGUAUCAUGAAAUUCGUAUGCGGGAGGGUGAUGAAUGGAAAACAACAUUUAAAACGAAAUAUGAGUUGUAUGAAUGGCUAGUUAUACCCUUUGGACUCACAAAUGCACCAAGCACGUUUAUGCGAUUAAUGAAUCAUGUUUUGCAUGCUUUCAUUGAAAAAUUUGUUGUAGUUUAAUUUGAUGACAUUCUAAUCUAUAGCAAGGACCUAGUAGAGCAUUUAGAACAUCUUAAAUGUGUGCUUGUGGUUUUAAGAAAUGAACGACUUUAUGCUAAUUUCAAGAAGUACACAUUUUGCAUGGAUAGAAUCAUAUUUCUAGGAUUUGUGGUGAGUGCUAAUGGGGUUGAAGUUGAUGAAGAAAAUGUAAAAGCUAUUAAGGAUUGGCCAACACCUAAAAACAUAACCGAGGUUAGGAGUUUUCAUGGGUUAGCUAGUUUUUAUAGGCGAUUUGUUAGGGAUUUUAGCACACUUGCCACACCACUUACAAAAAUUGUCAAAAAGAGUGUUGGGUUUCAAUGGGGUGUAGAAUAAGAAUAUGCAUUUAACACCAUCAAAGAAUUUUUAUGUAAAGCACCUGUUUUAGCGCUUCCUAAUUUUGACAAAACUUUCGAGAUUGUGUGUGAUGCAUUAGGAAUAGGUAUUAGAGCUGUUUUGACGCAGGAAAAGAGGUCGAUAGCAUACUUUAGCGAGAAACUAAGUGGGGCAGCUCUUAACUAUCCUACUUAUGGCAGGAGCUUUAUUCUCUAGUUCGAGCCUUGGAGACAUGGCAACACUACCUAUGGCCAAAGGAGUUUGUUAUUCACAUUGACCAUGAAUCAUUGAAACAUUUGCGAGGUCAAGGUGAUUUGAACAAACGACAUGCACAUUGGAUGGAAUUCAUAGAGACUUUUCCAUAUGUCAUUCGAUAAAAACAAGGUAAGGAAAACAUAGUAGCCGUUGCAUUGUCGCGAAGGUAUGUGCUUCUCACUUCUUUAACUGCAAAAUUACUUGGUUUUGAGUAUGUUAAGGACAUGUGUAAAAACGAUCUUGAUUUUUCUAACAUCUAUAAUUCAUGUACUGAGAGGGCUAUUGACAAGUUCUUUAAAUAUGAGGGAUAUUUGUUUUGAGAAAAUAAAUUAUGUGUUCCUAAUUGCUCAAUGCGUGAAUUGUUGGUUAGGGAGGCACAUAGUGGGGGUUUAAUAGGUCACUUUGGGUUAGCAAAGAGUUUAGACAUGUUAAAUGAACACUUUUAUUGGCCUAAAAUGAAGAUUGACAUAGAACGAUUUUGUAGUCGUUGCAUAACUUUUAAAAAGACUAAAUCAAAAGUUUUAUCCCAUAGACUUUAUACACCUUUAUCGAUACCUAGCGAACCUUGGGUUGACAUUUCAAUGGAUUUUGUGUUAGGUUUGCCUAGGACUAAAAAGAGGCGUGAUUCAAUUUUUGUUUUUGGUGAAUAGGUUUAGUAAAAUGGUACACUUUAUACCAUGUCACAAAAUCGAAGAUGUCACUAACAUUGCAGGAGUUGUUUUUCAAAGAAUUAGUGUGUUUGCAUGGUGUUCCCAAAAGUAUUGUGUCCGAUAGGGAUGUUAAGUUUCUUAGUCACUUUUGGCGGGUCUUGUGGAAUAAGUUAGGCACGAAAUUAUUGUUUUCUACAACUCGUCACCUAUAAAUCGAUGGUCAAACUGAAGUAGUGAAUAGAACAAUGACACAACUAUUGCGCACUGUGGUUAAUAAAAAUCUAAAGAAUUGGAAAGAAUGUUUGCCUUUCAUUGAGUUUGCAUAUAAUAGAGCCACGUAUUCUACUACGUCGUUUUCACCAUUUGAAAUUGUUUAUGGUUUUAAUCCUUUAACAUCUAUGGAUUUAGGACCUUUGCGUGUGAAUGAACGAGGUAGUUUGGAUCGAAAAAAGAAAGCCUAAUUGGUAAAGACACUCCGUGAAAAGGUAAGGGAGCAAAUAGAGAAGAAGAACAAUCAACGAACAACACAAGCAAACAAAGGCCGAAAAUAUGCCACUUUCGAACCGGGAGAUUGGGUUUGGGUGCAUUUCACGAAAAAGCGAUUCCCAGAGCAAAGAAAAUCAAAGUUAUUGCCACGAGGAGAUGGAUCGUUCCAAGUGAUUGAGAAGAUCAACGACAACGCUUAUAAGAUAGAUCUUCCAGGUGAGUAUAGUGUUUCUGCAACUUGCAAUGUUUCUGACUUAUCUCUUUUCGAUGCAGGUACAGAUUUGAGGUCAAAUCCUUUCGAAGAGAGAGGGGAUGAUGUGAUCCAGAAAGCACAAGUACCAAAGUCAAGUUUAGAGUCGAGCCCGAGGAAAGAUCUGUUGAUAGUCGAGGGGACGAUGACGCGAUCGAGGGCCAAGCACGUGAAAGAGGCGAUGGGAUUGCUCGUCAAAACAACGGUUGAUGAAACAAUGUUCGGGAUACAAAAUGGAGUAAGUUUCAUGUUUGGGACGAAGGCCGAAGACUAUUGGAUCAACGUGUUUAAAGUUGAAGAAAAUGGAGCUGGAGUAUUAAACCAUGCGGCCGUAUAGGUCUAAAGUCCUGCAGUCGCAUACACUCAGUAGAAGUCCCAAAGUCGCGGACCAAUUGCACUAUGCGACCGCAUGCUCUAAAGCUAUGCGGCUGCACCGAGGCGAAUUUUUUCAAAUUUCGCAUUUUCCUUAUUUUAAUAGAAUUUCAUUAUUAGUAGAUUUUUAGCUAUUGUGGACGAAUUUUGCAUUAUUCUUAGAUUUUUUCCUAGUUUACUUAGGUUCUCUAAAAUAGUAUAAAUACUUUAUUCCUUAUUGUAAAACAUUACAACUCUCAUAUUAUUGAAUAUUAUUCGUGAGGCAUUAAUUGCUUUCUCUAGUUUUUCAUUGAACAGCUUGUGAACUUACCAAGAUUAAUCUUGUGGUAUUCAAAUUAAUCGGGUGAGAUUCAUUUAAAUUUCGUAAUCAAAAGGUCCGCAUAUUGUCGGAGAUUCGGAUUGCUUGGUUCCAAUUUAUUGGGUUUAAUAAAAAAUCUUGUCUUUGGCUUUCUUGGGUUUGAUUCUCAAUUUGUUAUGGGUUUGGUAGCGAUCGCGCUACACGGGUUCGCAUCAGAUUUCUUCGAACAUUUUACUGAAUUUGUUCUUGAUUUUCAUUCUAAAAUGAAAGUCAUAUCUACUUUGAUAGAUGCUCAAUGGAAGAAUAAUGUUGGAGCACGUGAACAUUCAGAUCCAUUAGUGGAUGAAAAUUCUUAUGUUAGAAUUUCUUUAAUUUUUUACACAUUUAUUUCAAUAUUUUAGGGUUAAAACAUAUAUUUAGGACUAACAAGUGGCAUCAGAGUCGGAACCUUAAAUUUUAUAUGGUUUCUGGCUUUAAAAUGGAAACCUACUUUGUUCUUUUUGAAAAAUCUUUGUACUAUACCAGUUCUUGAUCUACAAUAUUUUUAUUUUUAUUUUUAUUUUUUGGAAACCAACUUAUUUCCAAGUCUCUGUGACAAAUAUGUAUCUUCGAUUCAACAUUUGGUUGAAUUUUUUGAUGAACUCGUUUUGGUUUCUAGCGAUUCUUGAUGGCUCGUUCGUAUUCCUUGUUGGGGUGUGAUGACUUUACGCAGUUUCUGGCAAUCCUCGGUGACUCAUUAUUUGUUGAGUUGAGGUGACUCAUUCAAUCUACUACUGAUUCUUGGUGUUUCAGUUGGCAUUCUGGGAUAAAUUUUAUUAGAGCAGAGUUUAAAUAUAGAAAUUAAUUUGUUUUGUAUUGAAGACGCAAACUGAACAUUAGACAAUUUAAAAGUUCAAUGACACAGGAAAGGAUGUUAGGACUAUUAGGUAGAGAAGAGGGUGGUGGAUUGUUCUAGCCAUGAAUAUGAUGUAUAUUAAGAGCUUUGUGGGGAACAUUGGCAGAGAUGGUACCAGAGGUUGGUUUGGCUUCAAAGUGUCGGAGCUUAUUUGUUUCAUAUAGAGCUUAUCGAAGGUAAUGGGAUAUCGCGAGCACUAACAACAGAUGAGAUGUCCUUAUGGUCACUACGUAGGCCUUCGAGAAUUUUUAGAGUCAGAUCUUCAUGGUGGAUGGGAUAGUCCUUGACAGCAAGUUUGACAAUCAUGCUUUUCUAAGAUUGUAGAAACUCGAUAAUAGUUAUAGAUCCUAUAGUAAGUUUGGGAAGUCGACUUCUUCAUUGUAUAACGCAUCCUCCUGAGGGUUCGUCAUAUAUUGCAAAAAUAUUGUUCCACACAUUAUGAGAUCUUUGAAAAGAAGCGAUGCAUGGAAUAAUAGUGGAAGAUCGGAUCCGAGAAUUGCACUUAAUAGUAGUUGGUUUUGUCCGAUACCUUAAGCAAAUGAUCGAUUUAGUAAAUCAUUGGCAUUGUUUAUAAUAUGUAGCUCAUAGAGUAAAGCACAUGUAUGCUAGAAAGCAGGUUGAUGCCGACGUGGAGCAAGGGGAGCACACCUAAGAGAAUGGUACUAGUAUAUUUUUGGAUUUUUACAAUAUCUUGUACGAGCUACGUUAGUAAAUACGUCGUAACUCUAUUAUUUUCACAUUGUGAAAAUUAUAGCUGCUUCACUCUCGUAGAUGUAAGCUAUUGUCAAACCACAUAAAUCUCUCUCUCUCUCUCUCUCUCUAUUGAAUUUGUACUAUUCAUCAUUAUCAUUAUUGUCGCACAUAACACAACACUAUUGAUAUAAGCUGGUCGUAAACCCAUGAGAUCAUACCUUAUGAGUAGGGUAUUAAAUUGUGAUUUCUAUAAGGACUAAUUUCCUACGUGCAAGAUACUCCAACGUCCAGAGCUUCGGCCUUCUUCCUCCUGCUCGAGUGAGCCCUUCUUUCGUUUAAAUGAUCAAUGGCGACACUUCUACAAUGUCAUCUAGUCAUCUUGUCCUACUCUCUCGCCUUCUCAUUGAUCCCGAUCAUGACCUAACUGCCUCUACCUCCACCUUACACGCUUAGUUCUCGCCCUAUGAAAACCCAUGACGAAGAUCAUAUUCCAAAACUAAAUCUUAGCCCUUGAUCUUGAUUCCAUUAUUCUACACUCUUUAGCCACAAGCCUUAAACAUCCACUUUGGUUCUAAUCCAUGUGUGAGGAUUUUGAUGGCCUAUUAGGUGAUGCAUUUAGAAGAUAGCCUCUCCGUUCCAAUUCCAAAUUAUUUUCAUUUGUAAAUGGGCUUUUUGUGUUAAACGGAAACCUAAUGUUUACAUUCAUCAUGCCCGACCAAUGGUUUUCAUCAACGGUCACGGUAGACUACAAUGAGAAUUUUAGCCUAGUUGUCAAUCCCACCACCAUCCGUCUCAUCCUUAAUCUUGCAUUGGUACGGCAUUCGUCUUUACGUUGUUCAAUGUUAGUAAUGCAUUUCCUCGGGAUGCACUAAUGAAAACUAUUUACAUGUCUCAUCUUCAAGAAUUUGUCAAUAUAGAAACUUCCAUUAUGAUUGUCCAAUUGCCAGUGGGUUUACCAAUUCCAAAUCUAACACGUAAGUCUAUAUUCAAUUGCAACUCUAACCAGUGUCGAAUCUUAGUUCUGGUUUAUGCUAACGACAUCAUUGUCACGAGAAACUCAAGUUUUAAUAUCUUUGUUACUCAUUUGGCACCAUUUUUUUCUAGAGAUGUCAAAAAUCCUAACUGAACUAGUCCCCAUAGCGACAUAUCCCAAAGAGAACGAGAAUUUCUGGCUUUAAUCGAGUUUGCAUUCAUUUAUAUUUUAACAAUAUUAAUAAAAAAUUGCCCAAUUUCUAUUAUAAAAAUUUUAAAAAAUGAAUAAAUAAAUUUACCUAUAUAAAAAAAAUGAAUAAAUGAAAAAUGAAUAAAUAGAAAAUUGAUUAAAAUAAAAUAGAAUGGCACUGUAAAGUGGAUCCCGCUUUAUUGUCAUCCCCAGAUUUGGAUACUUUAUACUUGUUUCUUGGGGAUUAAGUUAUUUUUCUCUACAAGGCCUUUUUCUCUCACAACAUUAGUUUGUAUUUCAAUAAUCUUCUACACAACAUAAUUUGCAUAAGUACGAGUCAGUGUCUAUUUCUAUGUACAUGACAACUACCUUUAGCUUGAUUGAUGUCACUACUCUUCAUGAUGCUUCUAAAUAUAGGCAAGUUCUUGGCAACUUGCAAUAUUCUUUACUCACUCGCCAGGACAUUGUUAUUCAGUUAACCAUCUGUACCAAUAUAUCACCGAUCCAUUUCUUACCCUUGGAUGGCCGUUAAGCUUAUGUUUCUCGACUUUUUUGGCACUCUGCACUUUGGGCUCUUUCUUCAUCGCCAUUUUCUUGGCUUGUUGCAUGCCUUCUCUAAAUCUGAUUGAGAAGAAAAUGGUAAUGAUCCCACAUCCAUCCGUGCCGAUCUAGUGAUUCUUGAAUGGAACCUAAUUGUUGCUUUUUUUUUUUUUUUUUUUUUUAAAUCAAGUAUCAUAUGGCUUAAAUAUUUAGUACUUGAAUUCAGCGAAUCAAUUUCCACCAAUCGAGUAAUCUAAUUUCAUACUAUUAGCACCACAUACUUGAUGACCUAACACUAUUUCUCAGCUCGAAUGAAAUACAUGAAGGCUAUGUUUGAUUGGUUCAAAUUCCAUGGAAAAUGGAAUUCUAAUUCCACUUUCUUCCAAUUUUGGUUGUUUGAUAGGUUUUGAAUUCCAUGGAAUUUGGUUUCUUGAUUUUCUUGGAACUUGAAAUUUUCUUGAUUUUCCUUGAAAACCAAUUCCCACCAACAUGGUGGGAACUGGCUUUCUAGUUCCCUGUUACGUAUUUUUUUUUAUUUUAUAUAUAUUUUUUAAGGUAAUGGAAACAAAUUCUAAGAAAUAUUGCACAAAAAUAUUUCAUUUUAAUUGGCAAUUUUUAUGUAAAACAAAGUCAAACGAACACCAAAAGAUAGAUGAUUUUCUUGAUCUUUUUAUUUUUAUUUUUUUUGUUGGCAAUGGAAACAAAUUUCAUUCCCAAUACCAGUAAAAUCUAUCCUUUUAAUUGAUAAUUUUCAUGUAAAAUAAAGCCAAAUGAACACCAAAAAUACUUUUAUUUUAAUAUUUUUCACAAGAAAAAUUAUACCAAUCAAAUACAAUAAUUUACAAUUCUCAAGAAAAUAAUUUAUAGGCAAUUCAAUUAUCUAGAAUUCGUUUUCAAUUUAAUUCAAUUCCAUCUUUGCAAUCUUGUGAAAUAAUAUUAGAGUAGUUAUAGAUAGUGUUACACAAUAGUUAGAACUUGUCAUUACUGAACGUGUAUCAUAUAUUUCUGUUACAGAAUGUAUACAUAUAUAUAGCACAUACAAGGAGAUAUUCUAGUCUAUGCACUAAUUUUAGGCUAUGAUUGAGAUUGACCCACAAUAUAUGUGGAGUCAGAUGACGAACUAUAGUUCCUUAUAAUUAUUAAAUAAUGCUGUUUAGCAUUUGUGGAAUUAGAGUACCAGAUCAAAGUUGACAUACUUGAUAGGUUCAAUUAAAUUAAUCAUGUGACAUUGCAUUUAAGUGGAUUUAUCGUUUAAUGUCUUGAAAUUGCAUCUAAUAUGAUGUUUAACACUUAUGGUGCUACAGUGUAUUACACAUAAUUAUUACAUGAGUAAUGCAAUUUAACACUAUUAGUUAAGCACCAUUUAGGUGGCAUGCAAAGACCAUCUUAAAAGGAGGGAAAUGAGCCACAUUUAAUUUCUUCUAUCACUUGCAUGCCAUCUAAGUUAAUGCUAUGUAAAAUAUAUUACAUUUUAUUUUUGACUGACAACUUGCACCCAUAGUCAUCUCUUAACUUAUUGAUAUACUAAAAUCAAUGUGAGCUAGAGUUUAUGAAUUUGAGUUGGAGUCGAUCAAGUUUUUAUGGAACCUGAAUAAUCUUCAAAUGAAUCAUAAUAACUCAGGUUGUUUCUUACCGCUCUAAGCGUUAAUCUAAGCACAAUCUUAUGUCAAUCGAUUAGUCAAUUUUUACAUGUAUCAAGUCAUCCUUUGCAGUUAGAGAUACUUUAGUUAGCUAUGAUGCCCGGUCAUUGCAUAAACUAAAACAAAGCAUUAAAAGCCUAACAUAUUAAGAAGGAAAUGAAUUUUAUAAAAAAAUGAAAAAAAAAAAAUAAAAAUAAAAAUCCAACUAUUCGAUUUUCCCACUAUAAUAUUACUUAGUCCUUGUGGGGGUGGUCCAUCGUUUUUGUGGUGAAAAUAAGGUCCAACAUUUUAACUUUCCGUCGAAGUUAACUUUUAGACCAACUCAAUAGAAAUUUAGGAGUGAUUGUUGGAAUUGCCAGAAUUUCAGAAAAUUAAAGAAUAAUUUCACUAAUUAAAGUUUGAAAUGUUUUGGAGUGAAUAUAGUUAGUUCGAUCUCAGGAGGAGAGAAUUUGUUCCUAUUCUAGACCAAAAGAUCAAGCCACUUGCCUGCUCAACGUCAUUUUAGUCAGAGUACUGACCUAAAGUUUGUGCCAUCGUGUCCAAGAUGUUGUACUCCUGAUUGGUUGUUGAGAUCGGCCAUACAGGUCAUCAUGGCUCCUAGGUUGCAGCUGUGGCUUAGGCAAUGAUUACUUGAUUUUCGUGAUCAUUGCUAGCUUAUGAUUAAUUGAAAAUAAGGUGCUAACGUCGCAGAUGUCACAUGUCUUUCUAGGAGAGGUGGAUUGAUAGGUGAGGACCGAUUGUCAAUAAUUGUGAAUCACAAUGUUUCUUCAAAUUACGAUAGCCAUUUCUCGAAAUGUGCUCAUACUUCGAGAAUCUAACCUAUCAGUAGUAUAGAAAUCGUAUUUUAACCUAUUUUUUACUUUACGUGCAAAAUAUUUUAUUGUGUGGAUGUAUGAUCAAAAAUGUGUAUGAAAAAUAAAGAGAUUUAACACAGAGAGUCGAAUAGGGGCUAAGAUCUCAAUCUCGCCUGCACGCAAUAUAUGUAUAAGCUAAAAUAUAGUCAUAAAAGACAUUAUUAUACCUAUAUGUACUUGUUCUAAGUUAUUUGUAUGAAUGUUAGAAUUGAAAUAAGAAAAAUGUCCGUCUCAUUACAAUAAUUUGUUCUAUUAAAUACUCUUACCGUUUCAUAAAGAUAAACUUAUUUUUCAUUCUCGCACAUGUUAAGAAAAUAUAAUUUUCGCUUAUUUUUUCUGGUACAACCAAUGUUUGAAAAAUCGAACUUGUCCAAUCAGUUCAAUUGGGAAUCAGGAUCGAAAUCGGUCCAAUUAGGCUUAUAAAACCCCCAAUUAAAAACCCGUCCCAAAGUCAAGUAAAUCGUUUAAUUUUUGGAAAAAUCGUGGCCCUUUGUCUAUUUAACCGAUUCAAUCUAUGUAAAUAUACAUUUUUUGAAAUUUUUAAACGUAUGUGUGCAUACAAGUUUCGUAAAAUGUAUAUUUUUAAUUCUAAAAAAUCACGGUUAGAUCUCGGUUCAACUUUUUGACCUUGGUUAGAUCUCGGUUCAACUUAAAAAUCCUUUUCUUGUCCGAGUCGAUGAUCGGGUCAUUUUUUAAAAACAUUGGAUACGACCCCAUGUUAAUAAUCAUUUAAAUAGGAAUAGUUCAUAUUCAUUAAUAACAAAUUAUAUGAAAUCAUGGUAUAUUAAAAAAAUUAAAAAUCAACUAUACUCUCAACAAAGAAAAUAACCUAUAAUUUGGAACAUAUGAAAAAGGAAAGCUAAGAUACUUUUCAAGAAAUAGAGAGAUCAAACUUGCCCUUAUUUAAAGCAAUUUCUCAAUAAAUUUUACUUUUUAAUGACACAUUCUCUACAAAAUUAUUAUUACAAAACAAUAUUUUUUACAAAUAUGGAAUCAAACAGAUCCUAACAUCAACAGUUCUAUAUGUACAGGCUCAGUAAUAUAAAUACUUUUGCAAACAACACGGGGCGACAUUUGAUUGGAAGUUGCCAAAAAAAAAAAGAUCAUAUAGUGUAGCACCUAUAAAAGAUGUGCAUUAUUCUCUCGAUUGUGUUACAUGUACAUAAUUGAUUUACAUAAUGAUUUCCAUAGACAUAACGUAAUGAGAUAUGAUUAUGUCAGAAUUUAAUUAUUUUUUAAUUACAUAUUCUCUUAAUAAAAUAAUUUUAUAAGUAAAUAUAAAAUAUUUUCUUACCUUUUAAUCACAUUUUUCAAAAAAAAAAAAAUCACUAUCAUAAAAUAUCUUUUUUUUUUUUCAAAAAAUGGGGCUCAAAUAUAGUUCACCAUCAUCUUUUAUGUUAGUUGCAUAUUAACAUAACUUACAUUCAUAUUUUGUAACAUGAUUAAAUUGUAAAAGCUUUUCCAAAGGGCAAGCUAAAAUUCAGAGAAAAAAAAUGCGCACACAAAAAGGGAAAAAAAAAUACCAAUAAAGCGUAUCUUCGGUACUCCAAAAAAAAAAAAAUGCGCACACGAAAAAAAAAAAAAAAUUACUAAUAAAGCGUAUCUUCGGUACUCCAAGAUCUCAAUUUUGAUCGAGACUUGAACAAUUCAGAAAAUUUCAAUACAUUCUUUAAUUUUGUAGAACACUAUUCAGUAUUUGGUGUUGUUAAAAAUUAUAUUUUUAAUAGAUUUUGAUAAAAAAUUAAUGAAAUAUAUAAUUGAAUUUAUCAUUAAUUGUUGAAUUUAAUUUAAAUUUUUUUUUAUCAACUUUUAAAGGUGAAUACUGAAAAGAAAUUAUAAAUAACAGUGCACAAAAUUUUGUCCUUUAAAUGGCCCCCUUAACAUAUAUUUUCACCAUUUGCAUGAUCAGUCAGUCAGAAGUUCAAUUAUUCUUCACUUGUUCGAGUCUCUGAGUUCUGACCACUUCACAAUGAGAAAACGAUACAAAAGACAGAACCCAUUACCUCAAUUAUUAUUUCACUUGUUAUUUGCAAAUCGGCAACGGAAGAAAGGCCAGAGACUGAACUAAUAUCAAUACCUGCCACCCCACGUGCGUCGACGCCGGAGAUACAGACGCCGUCCUGUCAAAGGUCGCCGAGGAAGGAAUCCAGCACAGCCAAGUCAUGGACUCCAACUUCGUUCAUUUCGCCGAGGUUUUUGAGCCCCAUUGGGACACCCAUGAAGAGGUUUUUGACUAAUAUGAAGGGGUAUUUGGAGGAGGUGGGGCAUUUGACGAAGCUGAAACUUCAAGAUGCUUGGCUUCCCAUUACAGAAUCACGAAAUGGGAAUGCCAAUUAUGCAGCUUUUCAUAAUCUGAAUGCUGGUGUGGUUCCAGGGAGAACGUUGGUGGGAAAUGCAGCUUUUAUUUUUUAUUUUUUUUAAAUAUCAAAUUGGUAUGAACGUUGGUGGAAAUAUCAGCUAGACGUGAAGAAGAGAAUAACUUACACCAUUCGGACACUGGGAGAAACACGUGUCAAAAAAAAAAAAAAAAAACUAAAUUUUAUGUGACAUACCCAUACUUCUUAUAUUCAUAUGUCGAGUAAAGUAUACAUCUUUCCAUCUUAUAGUCCCUUUCAAACACAUUGCAUGAAGGAAAUUGAAUAAAUUUACUAUGGUACGUAAGUUCGGAGAAUUUUUAGCUUUCAAUAAUCCCUACUUUACUUGGUCCUCAUCCAAAUACAAAAGGUGUCAAACUUGGGUUUUCCAAGUUUCCCUCAUCAUCUUAUUGCCAACUUUUCAUCAACAUUGGAAUAUUAUUUUCAUGUGUUAGGAGAACACAAAUUUAAAUAAACGCACUCCGUAACUGAAUUAGACUUGCAUUGUACAUAAUGACAGAAUUAUGAUAUAUUUAACAUCGCGCACCCAGACACACACAUGAACUGCCGGUAAGUAUUAUAAAGCAUGCAAUAGUACGAUCAUUUAGCUUAGACAAAAGAAAAUUGUAUUAUAAUUAAGGAGGGUAUCAUGACGAAAUUAAGUUCAAUUUGAUUCAAAUUCUUUAAAACUCAGUUUUAAACAUAUUCUCUCGAUAAAAUAAUUUUGUAUGUAAACUCAUAAAUUUUAAUCUACUUUUUAAUUACACACUCUUCAAAAAUAUCAUUUUUGAAAAAUUUAUUCUCAAAAAAUCUAAACUUGAAGAAUGUUUAAUUUAAAAUAAAGAAGUAAUUGUACUUGAUCCCCAUCCUAUUCUUUGUGAAGUAAGUUGGUACUCAUUCUUUGAGAACGAGACGUUGUCCUCGUCCUUCCACUCAAAUUGCCCAUAAUAAUAAUAAUAAUAAUAAUAAUAAUAAUAAUAAUAAUAAUAAUAAUAAACUUGUCAUCUUUGUUUCUGCAACUUCCAUAGAUUUGAUUUGUCAAUAUAUAGAAUCAUUUGUCAUCUUAAUGCUUUCUAUAAUUGCUUCUACUUUUUUUUUUUUUUUUGGGUUACUACGAUUUGACAAUAUAAUGACUAAAAUUUAAUUUAUUGAUCAUUUCUAUUCCAACUUAACAUACUUUAAAAGUAUAAUUACUAUAUGCGUUGUUCAGAAUAUAGUAGAAAUUCUUGUGUACUUCACGAGUUUCCUAGUAUAGUUAGACCUUUUUGUAUAUACUCAUGUUUAAAAAAAGGUUGAACCCCAACCUUAAGGGCCCCCACCAACCCUGCCCUGGGCCAUCGUGGAGGAGAUAAAUCGCAGGAUGUGCCUCCCAGGAGCCAGGGUGGAGAGCACAUGGAUAGGCCAAGGCUGUUAACCCAUAUGAUAACUCCCGCUUGCAACAAAGCCAAUUCCACCUUGCGGGGAAUCGAACUCUGCACACUGCCGCUCUAAGUCCUAUUCGCCCUCCCCUUUGCCACUGGGAGAUAUGCCCUGGGGGCGUAUAUACUCAUAUUUAAUUAUAUGUUUGGCAAACAAUAUUAGAUAAUAUAAAAUAAUUUGAAAUGUAAGAUAAAAAAAAACUAAAAUUUUAAUCUUUAACAAUUUCCUUCAUUACCUAGAUAACUUAUUGACAGCUGAAAAUUGAAAUUCCAAACUCUAGUUGCAUGUACCAUACACCAUGUCAUAUAAACAUAAAUAGCACAGUGAAUAAAAUUUUAUCUUUCUUCUUCAAUAAUGUUGUCCAUUUCACCGAACAAGUCCGAAGACAUUUUCCAGGAUCAUAAUAUCUUUGUCUUUGGAGCAUAUUUUAUGGAUCUCUAUUUCCUGUCUGAACUCUUUUCAUCUUUUAAAAUCAAGAAUUAUUUUUUUUUUUUUUUUUGAGGGUUUUUAAUUUGUUUCUGCAACUUCCAUGAAUUUCAUAGGUCCUUGUACUGUUGUACAUAAUAGUAUAAAUUAAUACCAUUUAUUAUCUUCUGGGAGUAAGUUAUGCUCGAAUAUAUACUGUGCAUAUUUAAUUUGACUGACUACCAUAAUGAACAAUUUCGUUUUUCCCAUUUCUUAUCCUACAGAACGCUAAAAAGGUUCAAUAUAUGCAUGUUUCGGUAUAUUAAUAAAUGAUCAGAUAAUUACUAUUUGACUAAGCAUAGAUGUUCAUUUAUAGGUUUCCUGUUAUCACAAUUCGUUACCUAUUAUCACCUUAUAGUCUUCACUAAAACUUGAUCAUUUUUCUUUUGCAUAUAGUUGUAAAUCUUGAAAUUCGUGAAUUUGUUCAUUUAUAGGUUUCCUGUCCAUCGUCGUUACACUAAGAAUUACUACGACAAAAGACGUAACUAAGAUACAUAAAUUUGUUAAUAUAUAUACACGCCCAAAAAGUUUAAAAUGUUAAAGAGUUGCCAUAUUUAUUUAUUAUUAGUGCCUUAAUGUUUAAGAAAAAUGAAUUGGACAGAGUUGAAGUAUCAAUUUUCUUGUACAUUGACAUCGUAGUUUGGCCAUACGUUCGCAAGCCUCUAGACGAUUUUGGUUAUUCAAGUACCGGCGAACUCUCUUGGUCUAACUUCAAGCCAUACUGAGAUUGAGGCUUGACAAAGUUGAGGAAUCGAUCAAUAAAAUCAUGGUUGGGCUUCGUUGUCAACUCAAGAUCGGUGUAAUUAGGUUGACGAUUCGACCAGUAGACUCAUGGCUAGACGCAGUUGUCAACUCAACAUUCAUAUUCGGUGCAGUGUGGCCGGUGCCGUUAGCCUUUGGUGGUUCAUUUGUCACUUGUAAAGAUUUCAAAAUUUCUCUUUCAAGGUGAAACAUCUUUCUGAGUGUACAACCAAAUCCAGAAACGAGCACAACCCACUUUUUACAAGUUUAUCUUCACAGCAAUAAUACACACAAUCUCCCUUUUAAAUUACAGACAGUGGAAAUCCCUACAUGUUGUGUUGAAUAUAUUGUCAAUUUUCUCAUGUAGUGGAGACCUUAUCAAACAUAUCAUGACAAGCUACAUUUCACCACAAGUUCUCAUAAAAAUAUCCUGGUGACAUAAAUACAGUGUUUUAGAUAACUUCACACAAUUUUAAAUUUAUGGCUAAAUUUUAUUGCAAUUCCAUUUGAAUUUUAGAUUUCUAUCUUAAGAGAUUAAUUUUAUCAAAAGGAGUAAAAGAUCUUAUCUAGUUAUUAUUGAUAUUUUUAAGCUUUGAAACGUUACUCUUAUAUACCAUGACUUUCAAACUAUGAUAUUUGUUUCACAAAACUGAUCUUACAAUGAGAUAAUUACUCAUUUAGCCAUUGUUUGAACUCCAUUCUUUUAAAAAUUCAUAUUUCAAAAUUCAUUUUCAACUACAUAUUCUUCAAUAUAAUAAUAAUACGCGCAAAUCCAAUAAUUUUCCUUAAUUUGUUUGACAAAACUGAUCUUACAAUGAGAUAAAUACUCAUUUGGCCAUUGUUUGAGCUCCAUCUUCUAAAAAUUUAUUUUCAACCACAUAUUCUUCAAUAAAAUAAUAAUACACACAAAUCCAAAACUUUUCCUUAAUUUUUAACAAGACAUUCCCAUCAAUUUACUAUUUAAAAUAGAUUAUUUUCCCUAAAAUGGGCUCAAACAAGGGCUUAAGCUUUAAAAAAAUUGAAUUGUUUGUUUAAACCUCUUUUUUCUUUGAACUCCAGUAUAUCGAGUUUAGAACUUCAUAUUAAGCCCUUGUUUGAGCCUCAUUCUUUAAAAAAAUGUAUUUUUCAACAGUGUUUUGAUAUCAUUUUAACCACACGUUCUUCAAUAAAAUAAUAUUAUACUAAAUCAAAAAAAUUUUGUUUUUUUUUUUUAACCUCACCUUUCCUAUCAAUACACUAUUCAAAAAUUCAUUUUUCCCUCAAAAUGGAGCUCAAACAAGGGCUAAAUUGUCAAUUUUAUUAAAAAGAGUUACUAAAAUUCUCAUAUACUAUUACACCAAAUUUUGUAACUAUAUCCUUUUUUUUAUAUAUAAAUUAAAGUUAUUUAAAUAGUGAUAUCGUUGUGCUGUCCUUGUAAUGACCAUAGUAAUGACGUUAAGACCAUCGUUAUUAAUACAAAAUAAGAAUCCUUUAUCUUAAAACAUUAGCCCUAUUUAUAAUAAAAAGUUUAACUAUAGAAUUUUCAUUUUCCCUUAUUAUUUUUAUGGUUUCACAUAGAUAAUAUGUGUAAAUUAAAUACUCUUUGCUCUCAUAUCUGAGACAUUUUCAUGAUAUUUUAACUUGCACAUUGUCGUCAUUUUUAUACACAUUUGUUUACACAUCUCUAUGUGUCUAAAAUCUCUUCAUUGAUUAAAAAAAAUAUCGUUAAAAUUAAUGCACCAAAAUCUGUCAAGUCACAUGAGUGUAAAUCAAGAUGUCAACUUUGAUAUACUUACGAUAUGAUUGUAAGAAUAAACUCAAGUUGACAAAAAUAUUAAACGUGUUGAGUUCGUAUGCAGUCCGACUCAAUUGAUGAUUGCUACUACUUGGACAAAACAACACGGCAAAUAUACCAUGAUUACUCAUAGUAUUCAUGUAUACACCAUUCCUUACAUUGAUUGGGAGACAUUUCUAAAUUAGGGCAAGCAUAAUUUAAAUAUUAGGAUGCGUUUCCAAAUUAGGACAAGCAUAAUUUAAAUAUUGGACAUUCAUAUAAUAUUAAAAAUUUUAAGAAUGUGAAAAAGGUGGGGAUUGAAAAAGUAAAAUUACAUGGACAAGUACCCAAUUUCACUCUCUUUUUAUCAACUCUCUCCUUUUUUUUUCAAUUUUAAUUUUUAAAUAUCAAAUUGGUAUGAACAUUGGUGGAAAUAUUAGUUAGACGUGUAGAAGAGAAUAACUUAUCAAAUCGGUAGGAACGUUGGUGGAAAUAUCAGCUAGACGUGCAGGAGAGAAUAACUUACCCCAUUCGGAGACAGGGAGAAACACGUGUCAAGAAAAAAAUAAAAAAAAACUAAAUUUUAUGUGAGCUAGCCAUACUUCUCAUGAUCAUUUGUCGAGAAAGGUAUACAUCUUUCCAUCUUAUAGUCCCUUUCAAACUCAUUGUAUGAAGGAAAUUGAGUAAAUUUCCUAUGGUACGUAAGUUCGGAGAAUUUUUAGCUUUCAAUAAUCCCUACUUUACUUGGUCCUCAUCCAAAUACAAAAGGUGACAAACUUGGGUUUUUCCAAGUUCCCCUCAUCAUUAUCUUACGGCCAACUUUUCAUCACCAUAUAUAUAUAUAUAUAUAUAUAUAUAUAUAUAUAUAUAUAUAUAUAAAGUAGUAUGAUCAUUUAGCUUAGACAAAAGAAAUUUGUAUUAUAAUUAAGGAGGGUAUCAUAACGAAAUUAAGUUCGAUUUGGUACAAAUUCUUUAAAAUUCAUUUUUAACCAUAUUCUCUCUAUAAAAUAAUUUUGUAUGUAAAUUCAUAAUUUUUUUCUACCUUUUAAUCACACAUUCUUCAAAAAUAUCAUUUUCGAAAAAUUUAUUCUCAAAAAAUCUAAAUUUGAAGAAUGUUUAAUUUAAAAUAAAGAAGUAAUUGUACUUCAUCCCCAACCUAUUCUUUGUUAAGCAUAAUAUAUAUAUAUAUUAUUAAACUAGCCUAUCAAGAAUAAUUUGGCUCCUUCCAAACUGGAGGGAUAAAACAACAAUAAUGUGUUUCUCGUAAAAGGAGUGCUACUUGGGCAGGAAGUUGUCCAAGAAGAAAAAUUCUUCUCGUAUAUGAAGUUACUGGAAAUGGACCACUGGGAAAACGACAAGUGUCAUCCAGCUGGCUCAGAUUGCGAAAACAAUCGUUUAUAUUCAAAAUGGCAUAAUAAUAAUUGAAAAUGGGUCCAUGAUUAUGAGCAUGAAGUUUUACAAACUAAAUGAAGGGUCUUCAAUAAAGGUUUUACAAACUUAAAAACUAUUAGGAAUAUAUUUCAAUAGCUUGUGAAAUUACAAUAAGUUUCCCUAAGAAAAAGGUAAUCUGUAUAAUAUGUAAUAAAUUUUAAAUUAUACAGAAAUUGUCUUUUUAACUUUUUCUGUAUCCACCUUUCUGAUUCUAUAUAAACGGGCAGACCUCCAUUUCUCAGCGACUCAAUUAUCAACACAGAAUACGAAGGCAUUGAGAGAGAGAGAGAGAGAGAGAGAGGAUGGAGAAGAUUAUUGCAUUCUUUGUGCCUGUUUUUACCUUUCCGUUUACUGUAUUUUUAUAUGUAAUUUCACUGAAAAUGAAAAGAAAACAUUCAGAGAGGAAAACUAAGCUCCCUCCAGGCUCCAUGGGGUCGCCUUAUAUUGGAGAAACUCUUCAGCUCUACUCCCAAGAUCCAAAUAUCUUUUUUUCUGACAAAGUAAAAAGGUUUCUUGCUUUCAUUCUCAAUUACUUACCGUCCAAUUCUGUCUAAUACUAAAUACCUGACAUUCCCUGAUAGAAUUUUUCUAACAAUAAUUCUAAACGGGGCAGGCACCCUGCUGGCUGCCAAUAGGGGGACACUUGUCCCCCCGGACAAACAGGGCCCUGUUUGCCAAGCAAAUCUCUUUUUCUAAACUGUAUGUUCUUAUGCAGGUAUGGAGAAAUCUUCAAGACUCAUGUACUUGGUUGCCCUUGUAUAAUGUUGGCCAGCCCAGAAGCAGCCCGAAUCGUGCUAGUCACUCAGGCACAUUUGUUCAAGCCGACGUAUCCAAAGAGCAAGGAAAACUUCAUCGGCCAGUCUGCGCUGUUUUUUCACCAGGGAGAGUACCAUAUGCGGCUUAGGAAGCUCGUCCUUGGCGCGUUAUACCCGGACGCAAUCCAAAACCUAGUGGCAGAUAUUGAAGCCAUAGCAGUGUCUGCAAUGGAUUCGUGGGCCGGUGGCCGUGUCAUCAACAUUUUCCAUGAGAUGAAAAAUGUUCGUCUCUUUGAAUUCAUGCUAACACCCAUUUAAAAAAAUUGUGCACCUAUCACUUCUUUAAUGAAAAAUGUCGUUGGCAUGCACACGGGAAGCGUUGAAAACCUAGAUUUAAAUGAACAAAUCUGUCUCUUUUAAGAUUUUACAUGAGAAAGCUAAUUUGUCAUUUACCAUUGAUUACCUGCAGUUCUCAUUUGAAGUAGGUAUACUCUCCAUUUUUGGUCAUUUGGAGUCCCAUUAUAAAGAAGAAUUAAAGAAGAACUAUAGCAUACUCGAUAGAGGGUACAAUUCUUUUCCAACAAACUUGCCUGGAACUCCAUACCAAAAGGCAAGGAAGGUAAAAUAGCGAUAAUUAUACUUUGUUACAUGGCACUAUAAACGAGAUUUAACUUCUUCAUUUUUUAUUUUUAUUUUUGUGUCUACCGGCUUAAUACACACGGGUUGAAAAUGGACUCUUAUUUUGACUAAUCAUAUUUACCAUUUUAAUGUAUGAAGGCAAGGAAGAGGUUGGGUGAAAUAUUAAGUAACAUUAUGAGAGAAAGAAAGGAAAAGAGGUUUACGGAGAAGGACCUGUUGAGUUGUCUGCUAGUUUCGAAAGAUGAGAAUGGUGUAACUCUAAAUGAGGAUCAGAUUGCUGACAACAUCAUCGGAGUACUUUUCGCAGCACAAGACACGACUGCGAGUGCCAUGACAUGGAUUCUCAAGUACCUUCAUGACUACCCAAAAAUUCUCGAGGCCGUCAAGGUAAAAUCUAGAAGGCAUUUUGCAGUUGUUCUGGAAGACUGGAUUAAUACAAGGUUCUCUAAGAAAAACGUAGCUCUAUUUUCUAUUUGUGGGGUCAAAUCAAUACAUUCUAAGAUUCUCGUGUCUCUAGAUCAUUCUCAUUUCUUGACCUUAUUCUUAAAUUUGCUUUGUAAACGUCGUAGAUAAUAUGUUUCUGAUUUGCAUGCAGGCUGAACAGAAGGCAAUAUACAAAUCAAAUCGAAAUGAAAAUAGUCAUUUAACAUGGAAUCAAACAAGAAAUAUGCCAUUUACUUACAAGGUAUUUGACUACCAUAAAUAAUAUAUUUGGUAUAUUUCGUUUAAAUUAGGUCGGUAAUGUUAACACCAAAUUCAUUUUUUUUUACAAAAUCAUUUACAAGUAGUAUCAUUCACUUUCAUUCUCUACGUCUAACUUGCUUCCAUCAUCCUCACGUAAUAUUUUGACCUGUACUCUUUUUAGGUGAUUUUAGAGAGUUUAAGAAUGGCAAGCAUUAUAUCAUUCACAUUUCGAGAGGCAGUGACAGAUGUGGAAUAUAAAGGUAAGCUUUCUUGUAAGGGAAAUGUACCCUUUUCGAGGGUGUCCUAAGCCUGGUAAUAUUACCAAAUAAUCCACUAAAUUUUGCUAUUUAUACGCUGGCGUUCACACGCCCCUCACAUGAGGUAGGGGCCCAUGCCCAAUAAAAGAAGCGUGAGCCCCCCUUGUGUGAGUGACGUGUACAUCGGCGUGCCCAUGGACAGGUUGCACAAUUGUAAUCCACUUUUUUGAAAUAAAUGUUUUUGGGUCACUGAAACUUUGGUAUGAUUUUGGUGCCAGGGCACCUAAUUCCGAAGGGAUGGAAGGUCAUGCCUUUAUUCAGGAAUAUUCACCACAAUCCUGAUUUCUUUGUUGAUCCUCAGAAGUUUUUUCCUUCCAGAUUUGAGGUACGAGUUAAUAUUAUUCUUUUAAUGGUUGACAUUAAGUGCAUAUUUAGCCCCUAUCUUACAAUCAUUAUCCUAAUUUUCUUUUUCUACGUGCUGAUUUUAACCACACAUUCACACAAUAAAAUAUUCUGCACGUAAAUUCAAAAUUUUUUCAUACUUUUUAACCACAUAUCUUCUAAAAAUUCACUAUUCAAAAGUUUAGUUUUGCCAAAUAAUGGCCGUCAAGUAGGGCCUUAGUGCUUGUUUGAUACUUUUCAACUUAUCAAACUUUUUGCUACAAAUUGGAUCCACAACUUUUUAUCAAUUUUUUUCAUCAAAAGUUUUGUUAAACAAUCCCAUGGUACUUAGAACUAAAUCUAACAAUAGUUUCUUAGGGCAUAUGAAAAUAGAUUAAAUAUUAAUGCCAACCAAUUAAACUUCAUUUUCACCAAAUAUUGACCUAAAUAAAAAAUUGAGUUCGACUAAAAAUUUAAUGACCACCAUGACUUUUAAUCCGAUGAAAGUAUGGUACGACAAAUCUUUUUUUCCUCAAAAUAUAAAGAUUAAAGAGACUUAUUAAGGAGAAAAAAAUUGUAGGAUGAAGCAACGAAUAUUAAUUUAUGGUUUCUUGUAGGAUGUGUUGAAACCCAAUACGUUUAUGCCAUUUAGCAGUGGAGUACAUGCCUGCCCCGGUAACGAACUUGCGAAGCUAGAGAUGCUCGUUAUGAUCCACCAUCUAAGUUCUCAGUUCAGGUACUUUAUCAAACUACAACAAGUAUUUUUGGAAAUGCGUUUUUUAGAUAAAUUAAAUCAUAAAUAACCAAUUCUAGUUUAUACUACUCGGUUCCUCGUAUGUUCAGUUGAAUUCACCAAACAUGUCAUAUAUGUAUUUUUUACUCCAUAUAUCACAAGUUUUGAUUAAAAUAAUAUUAUCUUUUUCUUUCCCCCUCAAUUCUGUCUUAUACUAUUAAGUUUAUCUUACUAACUACGAGACGACGUUGGUGAGUGGUCUGUGAUAUUAGGUAUUAUUUGACAAUUGUGUUUGCAGGUAUGAAGUGGUGGGAUGCCAAAGUGGGAUUGAACAUGCGCCAUUCCCCAUCCCUUUCCAUGGACUCCCUGCCAGAUUUUGGAAACAAGAACCAACCAAUUAAGUAGGACAUACCAAGACAAUUGUUUCUUAACCAAUUUUCACUUUUCCUCUCUGUUCCCAUAAUCCAAUUUCCUCUCCAAACUAAUAUGGGGAUGGCUUUUUUUCCUCAAAAUGAAUUAAUAUAGGUUCAUAAUCAAUGAACUAAUAAUCAAUGAAGAAUUGUAUUCAUAUAUCUCAUCGGUUAAAUAUAGAAAAAUACGUACUAUUUUUAUUGUAGGGUUGGUAUUGAAAUUGACUUGAUUCAAUUGAAUUAUCUUGUUUCUUGGCUUUGUUGACUUGAAAAAUCAUUUUAUUUUCUUGACUGUUAUUGAAAAUCAAUUAUUACUUUUUCUCGAGAAAUUUGCUUGAAAGAGAUCAUAUGUAGCGAGAAAAUGGAAAAUAGUCACUUUUUAUUUUCAUUAAAAUCAUGGGUAGAAGUUAAGGCUUCGAUUGUAAGUGAGCAGUCUUUGAGAGGCACAGUCUGAAAUUAAUUAAAUAAAAAAAGAAGAGAGAAAGAGAAAAAGGAAAAGGAUUACGUCAACAAUUUUUAUUAAUUCCAUUCUUUCAUUUCAAUUCCAACAUCUCUGCCCUUAUGUUUUUGUUUAUGAUAUUUGUGAUGCCACUGGUAGUUUACUUAAUGAAAUGUUGAACUAUUGCAAUGUUUAAAAUUGUUUAUCAUUUUUUUUUUUAUAAACUAGUCGAGUACAAUUCAAUCAUUUGGUCAAAAUGAUCGAUUUAAGUUCCUAGUUGGUUCUAUAUUGGAGGAAUCGAGUUUGGGAACUUCUAAUUUAUGUAGAAUUAAAUUAUCACGCAAUUUGCAUCCGCUUUUCACAAAUUUUCCCUCGAGUAAUGCAAUUCAACAUUACUGAUAGCAAGCACUAAUUUAAGAGGCAACUUCAUAACAUUAAAUAAUUGAUUCAAAUAAAUGUAAUGUCAUAUGAUUCAUAUAAUUAAAUCUAUUAAAUGUGACCAUCUAAAUUGGUAUUUCAGCAUAGUUGGUGCUUGAUAACAUUAUUCGAUGUGAAAUGUGAUGUUGGGUGAUAUUUGUUGAUACCACGUUUUUGAAUGUUUCAUAAAGUUCUAGUUGUGAUGAGAGGCCAUAGCCAGAUGGUAAGUAUAUGAUUGGUCAAGUGAAGGUGGGUUUGGUCCAUAAGAGCAAUCUCUAAAAGAAUACUACUGCUUUUGUCGACUACAUUUGACGCUACAUUUCACAAUACGUAGUGAAUUAUUUCAUUUCAUAACAUAUUUUAGUGGAAUUGUAUUUUUUUAUGAAUGAGAGCUCUCUUAAUGAAUAAUGAUAUAUGACGGGUAUAUUUAAAUCAGUCUAAAUAACAAUGUAUGAUAUUUAAAAAUAAGCUCAAUAUAUGACAAUAUUAAAAAUGAGAAUGAAAAAUAUAGUCGUUAUGAGUCUCACACAAGAGAUAGAAAGUCAAAUAUAAUGGCUUGAUGUGAUGGAUAACGGUCAUAUUUUUCAUUUUAAUAAGCAAAUAAUGAGAAACAAACGGGGCUUAUUAUUGAACUUAUCAUGCAUGGCUACAGAAAUUAAUUUUAAAACAUCAACUAGAAUAUAUAGCAUUACCUUUCUUAAAAUAUUAUUUAACUAUGUAAGUCAUCGUUACUAUAAUUUUUUUUUUUUUUUUCAAUUAGUGCUAUGUUGACAUAUUUUAAUGUAUCAUAUUAUCGAAAAAUUAGCUUAAAUGGUCUUAAGCCUAUGCUCAUCUUGCAUUUCUUGGUCCCAAAACUUUAAACCUUGACAAUCAAGUCACAAACCUAUGCUUUUUGGCAUAGUUAAUCCUUUUAGAAGGUUUCCGUUUAAAAUGGCAGUUAAUUUUGUGUGUAGAUUGUAAUUUUCUUAUUUUAUUUUUAUCUGAAGGGGCAUAUUUUUCCAAUCAAUAACAACUUAAGUAAAAAAAUGAAAUUUAAAAAGAAAAAAAUUUUAAAGAAAAAAAUAUAAUAAUAUUCUUCUUCCACCCACCCUAUAUUUCGUACGUACAUAGACAUAGGAACAGGAAGUAUGACGAGCAGAGUAAUGAUUCGCCUGUACAAGCCACAUGAAAAAUGUCAUUUCAAUAAUAAUAAAAAUGUUGACAUGCCACGAGUAGCUCAAAUUCUCCCACUUAAUUAAUUAUAUGUAGGUCAAAGAUCUAUAUAAUUUGAUCACAAAUUAACAAUUUAAUUAGUCACUUAUUAUUUUUUUAUCACAAAUUAAAAAUUUUAUGUAAUUAAUUAUUUUACGAUCAUAAUUCAAAAAAUUUAUAAGUCACAAAUUAAAAAAUGUAUAAGUCACGAUUUAUUUAUUGAUCACAAAUCACAAAUAUUAGAAGUCACAACUAUUAUACAGUCACAAAUUAUCAAAUUAUCGGUCACCAAUUAACAAAUUUUUAAGUUACAUUAUUUUUUGGUCACAAUUUAUAUUUUUUAUUGGUCACAUUGUUUAUUGGUCACAAUUUAGCCAAUUUAAUGGUCACAAUCAACAAAAUUUGUGACCACCACUAACACUUGUGAUCACCAUCUCACCACUUCUUUGAGCACUACCACCACUACCAUCGUCCACAAAACCACCACCUCCACCUCAAACAAAUCAACCGAUCGUAGAAAAUACAACCGCAUCGUCGACACCAUAUCCACCACCAAGAAAAAAAUUAUUACAUUAAUCGCCACCGUCACGACCAUAGACCGGACCCAAAUUUCCUAAAUCUCCUGUCAUCCACCACCACCUGCACUACCUAGAUUGUGACUACUAUCACCAAUGCUAAGUUGUGACUACCAAAAACUAUCGCUACUUUACCACCACUUCACCACCACUGUGACAGUACUACAAAAUAAAUCCAAAAUCAGAGCCGUAAUGGAGGUGAAAACCACUGCCACAACCACCACCAAAGCCAACAUCACAAUCGCCACAUCCAUAGUAUCAUAGUAGCAUCACCGCCACCGCCACCCAAAGCAUCACAAUUUUCAUUUACCUCUACACUUACAUAUUGUAUAUAGGAGUACCAAAUAGUACACCAUAAAAUACAUGUCUUUAAAAUAGUUAUGAUUAAUUGUCAUAAUUGUAAUAUACAAAUUCUUAUAUUUAUAUUUGAAUAUGAGAUUUACAAAUACUAUCAAGAUAGAUACAAUUAUAUAUUAUAUACGGGAGUACCAAAUAGUACAAAAACUAAGAUAAGAUUAAAAAUGAUUGAAUCUUUACAAAGAUAUGAAUACGGUGUUAAAAAUUUUAUUUUACACUAUAUUAUUUGUCAUCAUUAAUUAUGAAAGUUGGAAAUCAUAAUAAUGAAAACAUAGAUAAUAAUGAUGAGAUCUGUGAACAAAUUGAAUCACAAGGAAAUUUCUCAAGAGAAAUUUUAAUAUUUGACAAAAAAUUGGCUAAAAUAUGUAAGACAAAACUUACAAUAGAACCUAAAGAAAUCUUUUCUCAAUCAGGUUUCUUAGAAAAAUUUAUGAACAGAAAUAUACAUGUAUAUUAUAGUGUAUCUCAGCAGGAUUUUGGAUUCUUUCAUCAAUCAAACUCAUUGAAAUGGGUUGAUCAAUUUAUUUGAAUAAAACUUUAUGUUUUAACCAUGCCUUCAUACACUUUUAUUUCUAUAUACAAACUCAUGUACGGAUCUUUAAAGAAUCAAUGGGACUAAGAAGUACCUCCAGACAGGAGGCCAUUAGGGAAGAAGCCACACCCACAGUAUCAUAGUAGCAUCACCGCCACCACCACACCCAAAGCAUCACAGUUUUCAUUUACCUCUACACCAUAACCACACCGUUUUCCCUCUCUAUGGUAGCGUAAAAUGCAGAGGAAAUUUUAUAUUGCUGUGAAUUAAGAUGCCUACUUUUACAGUUAUUGCCUUGGAGAAUUUGUUGGAUCCUCGAGUCCGAGAUUCCUGCAAAAGCCCCCCAAGCCUAACCAGGGAGUGUCAAACAAUGAUGGCGAAGCAACUGAACGGAUAGAGGACUCGAGCACGAAUCUGAGAGUUGGUGGCUCCAGGAAUAUAUAUAUCGCUAACUCUAUACCUGACGCCGGGACCCACUAUGAUUUAGAGAAUUCUUCCUCGAAUUCGUCCUCGCCUUCGCCGUAUGUCAUCAAUUAAAAGAGAUCUAAACCCCGAAAAGGACGGAAAUGAUUUGAAUUUAGAGGACAGUUGGUGGGCGAUUUUGUAAAUGAAGGUGAGAUAUAGAGAGAGAAUGAAAAGGGAUGAAGACAACUAUGGAAGUGAAAUAUAGAGAAAGAAAAUGAAAGUGAUGAAUGAAGAUAAAUUUAGGGUUUGGUAGGAUGAAUAUGUAUAUUUAAUUUUGUAAUAUAAUUAUUAAUAUUUAAACUAUAGUAAUUAAUUAAUAAAAUAUUUGAUUUUUCAAAUAGUAAACUUUACCUAUGAUUCAUGAAAUGAGAUCUCUAAAUCUAUUAGAUUGUGUAAUUUCCACUAAAAUAUGGAAAAAUUAGGCCUUAUACAGCCCCAAUGCAAAGAAGUUGAAAAAUACUUCCUCCAAGUUGAAAAUUUGAAAUUUACGUCAUUCCAUAUAAUUUUCUUUGCGGGUCAAAGGGUAAAAUUAUUUGACAAGACCUUCUCUAUUUUUGGCGAUUAGGAUUCAAUUUUCAGCUUCACUUCGUAGUUCUGCGAUUUUGGGUGAACUAUGUUCAAUAAUUGUUUUCCCCCCUUAUAAAAUUGAAGUGUCAAUUUUAAGCUUCACUUCAUAACUCUGCAAUUUUGGGUGAAUUAUGUUCUAUAUAUAUAUAUAUAUAUAUUUGCCAUUAUAUAAUCAAAUAUAUGGUGUUGCAUUAAAGUGUCAAAUUCAAGUUUAAUAUUUAUGAUUAAUUAGCUAGCAAAUCAUCUGAAUAUAUGUUAAGUAGCAUGUCGGUUUCAUUGAAGUGUCGAAUAUAAAUGAAUUUACGUAGCAUGUUAAUUUCACACAUUUUUAGUGUUUGUCAUCUUUUUUGAGUCUAUGUCACUUUUUUAUAUAACUUUUUUGGAUCUAUGUAACUUUAAUUUAAUUUGUGUCCCUUUUUUUUAUUUAAAUUUCUGUCACUUUUUUGAAUUUUUUCAUUUUUUUUAGUAAUUAUCAUUUUCUUUCAAAUUUUGUCAUUUUUUUAGUGUUUGUCACUUUUUUCUAUCGUCUUGGAAAUUUAUAGCACUUUAUUUUUAGUAACAAACAUCACUUUUUAAUAAAAGUGACAUUGAUGUAAUUUUUUAAUCAAAAAGUUAUACUAAAAUUUUAAAAGUGACAUUGUGUCACUUUUUAAUUUUACACAGUAUUUUUUUAGUUCCAAAAAACGUUUCAUAUGAUUUUUCAAAACACACCUAAUUUUAAGGGUAUUUUUGUAAGUUGCCCAUAAAAUAUUGUCCAUCUCAAACCUUAAAUCCAUUUGCAAUUUCUUAUCUUCUUUCUAUAAGGAAUUUUUAAAUGAAUGUGUGAGCUUAAAUUAUUGUGUAUUAAAUUAAAAGCUAUCAAAUUCGAUUAAACCCAAUUAAAAUGAUCUAAUAAGUUCUGGUAUUUUGGGUUUUAAUGCAUCCAAUUAAAGUGUGAGUAUUUUAUGUAUAGAGACUGGACCCAAGUUCCUAAUUCUAUGAUGGGCUAAAUUAAGUCAAAUGGCGUCAAUAUAUAUAAAUACACUUAUGAUCUCCAGAUCACAUGUGCAUUGCUCAUUCUGUUGUGCCUCCCAUCACCAGAUAGAACUAAGGGCUACGUGUUGAUUUAGAAUACUAAACCGCAAGAUUCAACUAUUGCAUUAACCAUGUCUCAUCAAAUCAUGGAAUAUGACUGCGAAAUUUUGUCAUUGGGUUGCGCAUUGUGGAUAUUAUAGAAAGACUGAUCAAGUUUUUUGUGACAAUAAAUCAGCAGUGCUGUAUUCCAAUAACAGGAGCUCGAUGAAGUCGAAACACGGAGAGAUCAAGUUCCUGACUAUUAAAAAAAGAGUUUAGAAUGGACAAGUGUCAAUAGAGCAUAUCAGGACAAACUCCACGGUUGUAGAUUCACUUACUAAAUGAUUGAUACCCAAGGUCUCAUGCACAUUGCUUAUAUGGGUGUAAUUUGAAGCUUGUAUUUUUUGCUUUUUAUAUUGGACACAUGUUUGGAUAUAGUUUGUGGUUAAAGUUAUUUUCAGUUUUAAAAUUUUGGUUUACUAUCUCUGAACUUGCUUGAAAGGAUCUCACUAAGGUGUUAAGGUGGACCAAUUUAAAAUAGACGUGUUACAGAUCACUUUACAUGUAAUUUUCAUGCUACACAUCUAUGCUUGAUCUAUUUCAUUCAAUUAUAUCGAUAUGUGUAACCAUUGAUGAGUUUAGUUAUGAUGAAAGUUGCAAAAGCCGCUUUGAUCCUAUAUUAAUAUGAUUGAUGGAUAGGAUUGUUUAAAGAUGCAUUCAGUAAUGAUAGCAAAAUUCUGAGUACUGAUAAGAUUAUGUUUAAUGCACAAUUAUAAGAUGACACAUAGCCCAAAUAGGAGAUUGUAAGGAAUUUUUUUAAACAAUCUUGUGAGCUUAUAUUUGUAAAUUAUUGUGUAUUAAAUUAAAGGUUGUCAAAUUUGGUCAAACCUAGUUAAAUUAAUCUAAUAAAUUUUCAGUGUUUUAGGCUUUAAUGCAUCCAAUUAAAGUAUAGGUAUUUUAUGUGUAGAGAUCGAGCCCAGGUUUCUAAUUUUAUGAUGGGCUAAAUUAGGUCUAAGGGCGUCAAUAUAUAUAAAUACGGUUAUGUUACCUAAAUCACACGUGCAUUGGUCAUUCUGUUCUGCCUCCCAUCACCAGAGAGAAUUAAGGGCUGCAUUUUGAUUUGAAAAACUAAACCGUGAGAUUCAACUAUUGCAUUAACUAUGUCUGAUUCAGAAAUGCUUCUACUUUGAUUCUUAAAUUUCUCAAUGAUCCAACAUGAAAGAUCCGAUGAUUUUUUGGCAACAAUUUUUCCUACACUUUCUACUCUCUUCGUGAAUUUCGUUCUCAUCUAUCUUAAAUUUGGUUGUCUAUCUUCAACAACGUAGAUGUUUCCUAUAUUAUUACGAAUAAUUCUCCUCAAACAGGACCAUAAGCAAACUGCCAAUAGGGAGGACAUGUGUCCCUCUUGAAAAAAUAGGGCCAUGUGGCCCUAUUUAUAUAGCACGCCCCGUUAUGAAUAAUUCUAUAGGUUUAACAAUGUUACCUUUAAUAGUGUGCUAUUUAUUGGUCGAUAAUUUGUGGUUUUUAUUUGUCAAAUACAAGUAUUUCCAUUACUUUUUUGAUUUGGAAUAAAAUUGCAUUUUUUAUGUCAUAAAAGUAUUACAUAUCUUGCACUAUCUUUUUCGGUAGAAAUUUAUACAUAAAGGCCCUAAAUUUCGUUUGAUAAUUUUGUUAACAUUUUAAAGAUUUGGUAUAAUUUUUUUUUUUUUAAUCAGUGAAUGGAGCAUAUGACUUCUGAUUUAUUCUUAUAUUAACAUAAAACAAUGAUGGUAGUGUCCUUAAUUUGAAGAAACUUGCAAUUUUAUUUUACUCUUUGCACGAAUACCACUGUAAGACGAAUUUCGUGUCUUAAAAUACAAAAAACGUUACAAUUUUUUAUUUUUGAGAAAUACAAGUGAUGUUGACCUUCUUGUGAUUGCAUAAUUGUAGAAAUCCACAUAUUAAUGAUCUAAAUAUUUGAAAACGAGGAGUCACGUGCUUGAAUCCUGGUUUUCGAGAAUUUGUUGAAAAUUUAAUUUGUUGAUACUUGAUUUAAUCGGUACUUAAGUUACGGGGAUGAACUUGGACUUGAAUUUGAUUCGGUUUGAAGAAGACUUUGAUCUUCUUGAACUUGACGUGGACCUGUUCGAUUAGAAGAAAAUUUUGAUCUUCCUGGGAUUCACGAGAUUUAGGUUUGAGAGGAUUUCUUCUCUUUCUCCGACUUUGAAAUUUCUUCAACACUUCAUGAUUGUCUUCUCUGCUUUCACUUCUUGUUCCUUUCUUAUAGACAAUUGAUUCUAUUUAUAGGAGAAAAUUUGUGCUGAUUUUGGUAAUCACUCAAUUAUAUUCAAUUAAAAAUGAAUAAUUGAGCAAUUAUAAUUUUUAAUUAUUUGUUUAUUUAUUUAAAAGUGAUAUAGGCCUUUGAGUUUAUGGAUCUUAGUAGACUUUAAUAUAAUUGGGCUAAUGAUUUAAAUCGACUCAAUUCAUUUCCUUUAUUUUUUUUAAUUUUUAUGUCUAUAAAUGACCCCUCAAGAUUUAUUUAUUUGUUAUUAAAUUAAUAAAUCUUGAUUUUUGAUUUUGUUUUUCAAUUUUGGAUUUGGUUUUUACUCAAACUUCCCAUUAAUAAAUUAUUACAAACGAAAAAUUUGAGAAUAAUAUAUGAAUUUGAUAAAAAAAAAAAAAAUUAUCCUUCAAAUUUGAGACUAAGAAUUUUUUAUGUUAUUUGAUUAUUUAUUUUAUACAAUCUAAAAAAAUUGAAUUUGAACAGGCUUUUUGUGCUUUAUGGUAAAUUGGGUUUAAGUGAAGUCCGAUAUCUGCUUAUUUAUAUGAAUGAAUUAUGAGAUUUGAAAACAAGUCUGUUAAGCCCCUGUUUGAUUAACAUUAAAUUAAAUUACAUUACAUUCCAUUUUUCUCUCUCCUUUUUUCAACUAUACAAUCUUCUAUAAAAUAAUAUUACACGUAAAUCGAAAACUUUACCUUCUUUUUCAACCACUCAUUUUUCUAAAAAAUACUAUUCCUCCCAUUACCAUUUUCAGGUAAUGGGGGCCAAACAGGGUGUAAAUCUUGCAAACGAAGGUAAAUAAUUCUCUCUCUUUGUGUGUGUGUUUUUUAUUCAUAUUUUCUUUUCUUAGUUUCCGCCACCCAAGGAGACAAAGAAUUGGUUUCUUGGAAUUGGUGCAAUGGAAUUAGUAAAUUGCACCAAUUCCAAUUGUUUCCUCGGUUUUUGCCAAUGGCAUAAACCUUUAUGUAUUUAUUUGUUUGUUUCUUUGUUUCUUUCUCUCUUUUUUUCUCGUUAUUUUAUUUUAUUUUGGAUUUUCGUCGACGGCGGAAAACAAAACAAAGCAAAUUCUAUCUUAAACCAAUUUGGAAACAAAUUCCAAUGGAAUUGUUGGAACUUUCACCAAUUCCAAUUUGGAAUUAAUCGAUAGAAAUCUAACAAUUUUUUUUUAACUAAUAUUUCUUGGUUUUUAUGUUGGACCUCCUUUUUUUUGCCAAUCGUAGAUCUUUGGUUUUCACGGAAACCAAAGUGACCAAUUGGUUUCUACCGUGCAUUUAAUUAUUUUUUUUGACACAUGACACUUUUUUUUUUAUUAAUUUCUUCUUCCUUUCUCUUUCUUCUUGUUGACUAUUCUAGUGAGGUUGUUCUAACAAAAUUGAAACUAACAUUCUUUAUUUUUUUAUGUAGGUAUUCAAAUUUUUGGAGCAAAUCAAGGAUUUUGAGGUUUGAGAUUUUCUUUGUAUAGAGGUUAAAUUUUGUGCCACAAUUAUUUUGUAAGUUUAGAAAAUAUAUGCUUAUAGAAAGACUCAAAAUUGCAAGCAUUUUCGCGCACAUUGAGAACCAAAGACUGGUACUUUUCAGCAUCCAGUGUACUUUUUUUUAGACUAAUGACAUGUUCCUUCAACUGUCCAAGACACUUUAUGUUUGGGACCAAGGACUGACAUUUUUGACUGUCCAUGGCACUUUGUAUUAAAGAUCAUGGACUUGUUCCUUCGACCGUCCAAGACGCUUUAUGUUUGGGACCAAGUACUGGCUCCUUUGACUAUCCAAGACACUUUGAGUUAAGGACCCAUUACACGUUCCUUCGACCGUUCAAAGCACUUUGUAUUUGGGACCAAGGAUUGACUUCUUUAACUAUCCAAGGCACUUUAUGUUAAGGACCAAGGACUGGCUCCUUCGAUUGUCCAAGACACUUUGUGUACUGGUCAUUUACAUAUUUGGGAAACUCAUAAUUUUAGACGACAAUCGAAUUUAAAAGAUCUAUUCUCCCAUUUUUUACUAAUUUGUUUAGGCAUGGCUGGACCAAGUUCUAGCGAUAAAGUAUACUCUAACAUACAUGAAAUUGUUGAGCUUAAAAAUUAAGACAAAAGUUAGCUACGGUUCAAAGAUACUGAUGCGAAGUACCACGCCCAGACUGGCCUAUAAGGUGAACUUAAAUUUAGCGUCCAUAUGUCAACGAUAGGUCAUUCUCCUGACCCUCUGGGGCUAUUGACGGAGUUGUAUAUGUCUACUAUUAGUGAAUGUCAUGAUAGUUUGGAUACUGGCAAGUCCAAUCGCUUUAGCAAUCAUCUUCCCUUUCUGUGUCCUUCUCCUUAUCAUUCCUAGAGCAUGGAUAGAGCAUGGAGUGCAACCCAAAGACCGUAAUUUGUGAGAGGAUUGACAAUAAAAAAAUACGAUGGGGAAGGGCACUGACCAGUCGAUGAGAGAUUUUGUUUCUUCCAAAAUUUCGAGAGGGGUCUUUAUGGAUCCAAAAACUUCUGCUUAAGAGGAAUCUUUGCGAGUUAGCUUUCGCAGUCGAUUCUGCUACAAAAGAUUACCAUCGCUUAAACUCUAUCUAUAGUGUUCUGUGAGGUUGGUGUCUAGAGACCAACACCUUUUGUGACUGCCAAUGGUAAAAUUGGCAUUUCUAUUUGGGACAUCUGCAAGAUAAGUGGGCUUUCGAUCUUGACCGUACCUCUUUAAUGUUUUCAUAUUGAUAGCCAAUGUGAAUGAAUCUAAUUGGGUUACUUAUAAAAAUUGGAUUAAUUUUUGGUUUCAAGAGAAUGGUUGUGUCCAGAAUCCUCGACAACACAAAAAUUAUAAGAAUGCUAUAAAUUUAAAUCCAUUCAAGAGGUGUCAUCAAAGAGUAUCAAAGGAAAUACGAAGACCCACAGUGGUAGACAAGCCGAGAGAUAUUUCUUGUUCGGAUCUGCAUCAUUGGAGUAAUUUGUCAGUAUCUCUGUCUAUAGAAAAAGAAAAGAAAUUAGAGAUAACAUCUUAUCUCUCAUGUGGCUUUGUCGUUUUGUUCUUUCAUCUGGGGUCAAAUAUAUAAGAGUUGGGACUUUUAAAGCAUUUUCUAGGAUAAUAGGCGGGUAUACUUACAGUAUGGUUCUAUCCAUAUUAGCAAGGAUUUGUAGAGGACUUACACGAACAUCGAACCAUCAGACAAACCCAGACUUUCGCUCGAUUUCACAUUCAUUUCCUGGACAUUUUCUUUAAGCUUGGGCUACAAUUUAUUUUGUCAGAGGUGUUUAUGAUCAUGUGGAAAAGAGUUAUUCUAGUCCUACAAUCUGAAGAUAUGUUGACACUCUGAAUACUUUCUAGUCUUAGGAAAAAAAUGUUAUUGAUUGUUGGGACCUUAUUUGUGGAAUGAUGGACGCUAAUGACUUUUGCUAGAAUCCAUUACACUUAUCGUCUCAUCUUGAUGUACAUGUGGAUGACCAACUGAGGUCAGCAAAUACUUCAAAAUUCAUGAUGAGUAUUCAUUUUGAAUUUGUUUCUUAUCGCCGAGGAAAUUCACCUUUCAUUCUUAAGGCGUAUAAUCCUCACAGGUUUGCGAGACAACUUGACUUUAGACAGAAACUUCCCUGUUCACCAAGAAAGUUGGACACUGUCCCUAAUGUAGGCAAAUGUAUAGCGUUUGGUUGUCAUUGACUUGAACGAAAACUGGGUGUGUAUUUCACAUUCCAUAGUAUGUGAGGGAUACUCAUCAAAAUGUUGAUGUUGAGUACGAGGCUUGGUGGAAUAGCCAAGUAUUGCCAAUGUUGACUGGGGUCCAAGUACAGGUUUUAUUUUCUAGCGAGAGCUGUGACUUCGUUCUUGGCCUAACUCCGAACAAGGUCAUAGCUAGAGGGUUAAACCCUCCAAAUGUUGUUCCUGAAGAGACUUCUUGAAAGAGGAAACCAAACCAUCAAAAUGAAAGAGGUAUUAAGAGAAUUAAAAUUAUAGUUUCCUCAGCAAAGAUUGUUGUCACCUCUAAGCGUACUGAUAAGGUGCCAGAAGCGAUUUUGAUUCCAGAUCACAGUGGUCCUAAGGUACCGAGAAAAACUUUAACCCUAGAAGAUGAAAGUUCUAGAUUUAACUUUAAAAAAUUUUCAUUGAUAGGCUCGAUUUGUAGUACAUCUUUGUCGACGAUUUUGUAAGCUUCAUUAUUGAAUGUAUGAGUAACAAGAAACAGACCAUCCUAUAUAGGCUGAAACUUGCUUCCUAUUUUUCUUGUAAUUAUGAUAAGCUUGCGUACGGAAAGUACCAGAUCUCCAACUUGAAAUGAUCUUAGUCACACUUUUUUGUUGAAAAAUUUUACCAUUCGAGUUUGAUAGCACUCUAAGAGCAUUUCCACUUCUAAGCAAUUUUCAUCCAAAACUUCUAACUCUUCCAAUUGAAGGCGGGUAUUUUCUAUUGUUGUCAAACCUUCUUGGAUGGAAAUUAGAAGUGACAGGCUUUAACACUUCAAAUUAUGUAUAACUUCCACUCCAUACACUACAGCGUAAGGGGUGGCUUGUGUUGGAGUCCAACAAGUAGUUUGAUAAGCCCAUAAGACUUCACCAAUUCUCACAUGCCAAUCUCUUUUUGAUUUGGAGACAACCGUUUUUAGUAGACUACAUAAUAUUUUGUUAAACGCCUCUGCCAAUCCAUUAGCUGCUGCAUUGUAUGUGGAUAAGUUGUAUUGUUUAAACCCAAACUUUGCACAUAAAUUGUUUAUGUGGCUAUUGCAGAAUGGCUUGCCAUUAUUAGUUAUAAUGUUUCAUGGGAUCCCAUAUCGAUAAAUGAUCUGGAUACAGAUAUCUGCAACAUUUUCUUUCUUUACUUCCUUCAAUGUUAAGACUUCAGCCCACUCCAAGAAGUAGUCAGUCCCUGUGAGAACGUAUACAUGCUUGAUUGAAGACUUUGGAGUUAUAGGUCUAAUUACAUCAAGACCCAUGCAUCAAACAAUCAUGAAGCUUCUAUUGGAUGUAAAGGUUCCAGAAGUUGAUGGAUGAAAUUCUCAUGGACUUGGCAAGUUUUACAUUUUUUUGACAUAAUCCAUGGAGUCUUGUACCAUAGUUCGCCAGUAAUACCCUAUCCUCUUUAUUAGGAAAUGGAGUUUAGGACCAGAGUGAUAAGCACCACAAAUUCCCGAGUAGGCUUCUUACGACAUGUGUUGCUUCAUCAUUACUUAAGCAUCGAAUGAAAACUCCAUCAAAUGAUCAUCGAUAUAGAGUUCCCUUAUAAAAGACGAAGCGGGAAGCACGCCUCUUGAUUUUCAUUUUUUACUGUGGAUUAUCUGGUAGCUUUUGAUGUUGAAGAAAAUCGAUUAUUGAGUGUCUCCAAUCUUCUCUUUCCUCAUCUUCAACUACUUCAACACUUUUGUUCUCUUCCAAAUUGCUAGGUAGCAAUGAUGGAAGCACCCAUCUUUGAGCAAUUGUUAUGAAGUGGGAGAAAUCUUCAUCUGACCCAGUUAAAAUAGUGGCCAAAUUAGCUAAGGCAUCAACUUCCCUAUUUUUACUUUUCGGGAUGAAUUUGAUUUUUACCAAAUCAAAUUGUCUCAUAAGCAUUGACGCAUUUUCAUGGGUUCAAGUCUAAAUUACGGACUUCAUACUCAGCUAAAAGUUUGUUGAUUAUCAAUUUAAAAUCUCCAAAGACUUUCAGCUGGUAGAUAUUCAUAUCUAACGUUGUCUCGAAGUUAAGGAUAAGGACUUGAUAUUCCACCAUGUUGUUUGAACAUUUCUCUAUUAAGGCAAAAGAGUAGGGCAUGACGAGAUCAUGAAGAGUGACAAAGACUACUCCUGCUUCAACACCAUAACUUUUGUCUACCCCAUCGAAGUAUAGCCUCCAUAAUGGUAUGACUUUGGGGAAUAAGACUUCUUCAUCGGAAAGGUCUUCCUGAAGUUCCCAUUCGGCUGGAAUUGGAUGGAUAGUAAGGAAAUCUGCCAAAACUUGUUCUUUAAUGGCCUUUUGUGGAAUGAAUUUGAUAUCGAACUCAAAUAACAGCAUUGUCUAUUUUUCAAUUCGUCCAGAAAGAAUUAGCCUGGACAUUAUGUACUUCAAUAGAUCAAUCUUCGAAACAAGAUUAAUUUCGUGUGAUAACAUAUAAUACCUCAACUUUUAGCUACGAAGAUUAACGUAAGAGAUAUUUUUUCAAUAGGUGAAUACUUUAUUUCGGCGCCUACCAGUGUCUAGCUUAAGUAAUAGAGUGCUUGCUCUUUUCCUUCAUUUUUGAUUUGGAUAAGAAGUACUCCUAGAGAAUAUUCUUGUGAUACAACAUAAAGAUUCAGUGGCUUCCCAAAACUAUGAGUACCAGUGAACGAGAUAAAUAUUAUUUAAUGCUUUGAAAAGCAUUUCGACAAGCAUCGUCCCACUCAAAUGGUACAUCUUUCUUUACCAAUUUGUUGAAUGGAUGACAAUGUCCAGCAAGGUUAGAGACGAAUCUUCGAAUGUAUACAAUUUUCCAUGAAGACUUUUCAACUCACGUAUAUUUCUUAGCGUUGAAAUGUUGAUUAUAGUGUCAAUUUUUGAUUGAUCUAUUUCAAUGCCCUGGUAUCGAAUAACGAAGCUGAGAAAUUUUUUAGAGGUGACACCAAAUGCACAUUUCAAUGAAUUCAUCUUCAGUUGAUAUCUUCGAAUUUUUUUGAAAACAUCCCAUAAAUCUUGUAAAUGAUCGUCACGUCGUUUUGUUUUAACAACAAGAUCAUCUACAUAGCAUUCCAUGUUCUUAUGCAACAUUUUAUCGAAGAAAUUUUGCAUUGCUCACUGGUAGGUUGCCCCCGCAUUUUUUAAUUCAAAAGGCAUAACUUUGUAAUAAUAUAAGCCUUAAGGAAUACGAAAUGAUAUAAGUUCCUCAUCUUUCGGAUUCAUCCGUAUCUGGUUGUAUCCAAAAAAUUCGUCCAUAAAGGACAAACUUUAUACUUGAUAGUUGCAUCCACCAUCAACUCCGUUAUUCGAAGUGAAAAACAAUCUUUCGGAUAUGCUUGAUUCAAAUCCCAAAAGUCAGUGCAAAUUUGUAAUUGCCCAUUUUUCUUCUUGACAGGAAUAAUGUUUGCGAUCCACAUUAGGUAUUUCAUUUCACGUAUAAAUCCAGCUUCAAUAAGUUUGUUGACUUCUACUUCAAUUUGUGGAUUAGUUCUGGUUGAAAUCUUCUUUGUAGUUGCUAGAUCGGUCAAACUCCAUGUCUUACUGUAAGGUAAUGCACUGCAACCUUAGGAUCUAACCCCGACAAAUUCUUGUAAGACCAUGCAAACACAUCUUUGUAUUCCUAAAGCAAACGAAUGUACUUAGAUUCCUCUUUUUGACUGAGGAGGGUACUUACAAAUACUGGUUUUGGGUCUUUUUUGGUCCCCAAGUUCAAUUGUUUCAAGUUAUCCACAGUAGCUUGUCUUUGGUCUUCAAAUGUGGGUGGGGCUGGGUUAAGUUCAUCAUUUGUGGUAGGACUUUCAGGCUCGGAUUCUGAGUUAGAGCUUCUUCAAAAACUAUGUGACUGACAGAGUCUUCUUUCUUAUCUUCAUUGCCCUUUAAGGAUAGGCGAACUUUUUGAUGUCUUCUUGACUGUUGAGAUUUCGAACUUGGAUCAGAAGUUUUAAUUCCAAGUCGAGAAAAAGCAUAUUAUCUUUAGGAUGACAUCUAGGGAGCUUGUACAUUCCUAUCAAUUUGGGUGGAAGAAGAAGGACCUUCACUUUACCUUUAGAAGAUAGAGGCUUUACCUUUUAUGUCGACUACUGGGGAUGGUUCUCCUUUUAAUCUUUUAAACACCGAAACUCUAGCUUUCUCAUUUUCAACACUGAAGGUCUCGACUAUUCUGAUUUUUCUUCUGCAACUUUGUAAUUUUGAAUCAUGAUGGGGUUUGAGGAAACCUUCACGAUCUUAAUCUUUCUAGGUAGAUUGAGAUCAUAUCCCAAACCAUACCUAGGUCGAGACACCAGGUCUCUAUUAGAAUUAGAAGGUACACACCCUCCUGAAAUGCCAGCAUCAAGGUCACCUAAUUUUCGAGGCUCUUAUUUUCUAAACUUGACAUUUUCAAACAACUUUUUGACUUGAGAAUUGUAACAUCCUUUGAAUUUCUGUUUUGAUUCAAGAGCUGCUUCUUGUUUGGACGAGCUAGAAGCACCAAGCUUUGAUAUGUCUGGAAUGGAUGUCGAAGCUUCUGAUAUAGGUUUGUGUUCUCCCAAAACCACCGUAAGUUGAUGGGGUAGAAGCAAUUUCGAAAUACUAACUAUUGUAAGAGUUAUCUCUUUUCUCAAUAUCUCAAUAUCGGUGGAUUCUAUUUGAGGUUUUUUACCUCUAGAGAAUCCUUCAGAUGUAAAUUUUGACUUAUCUUUGGUAAGUUGAUGAGAUUGAGCAGCACUAGAUGUAUCAUGAUCAUCUAUAUCUUCAUUGAUUUUGAAUCCAAACAUGGUCAACCCUACAGAGUUACACUCUUCAUCUUCAUUGUAAAAUUUGGUAUCAGCAAAGAGAUUCUUCUUCUAGAAAGGUUUGGACUCAGCUACCACACGUUUGAUUUCUCUGUCCCUACUAUAUUUGAAGCAUGGUGCCAAGUCAAAGGUAUUACUCUAAUUUUAUGCAGUCAAACACGUCCAAGGAAUAACUUGUAUGAUGUUUUAGCAUCAAUGACAUAGAAGAGAGUUGAGGAGAUUAACUCUCCUAUUUGCAGCUUUAGGUGAAUCAUGCCAAUGGCUCCUGACUUUUUUGAUUGAAUCCUUGAAUCAUGAUUUUCCUUCUAGAUAGAUAACCAACAUUAAUUCCAAAAUUUUUCAUUAUUUUGACCGACAUAAUAUUUACAGUAGAUCCACAAUCGAUUAUUAUGCUACUUAUCCUACAUUGUCGAAUAUAAUCACUAAUAUACAGUAGUCUAUUAUGUAAACGAAAACCCAAUUGUAAAUCAUUAUCAUCGAAUGUUAUGGCAACCAUACAAUCUUGUUGGAUUAUGCAUCCAAUAUGUUCUGAGACUUUGCCUUCAUAUUCUUCCCAAUCGAUUAAUGCCAUGAACAAAGCCAUUCGAUCAUCGAAAUGAAGACUAAUAGACUCUGCUAAACUCGUGUUGACUGGGCUAUUGUUGAGUCGUGAGAUAGUAUUAUUCUAUUUUGAAUCCAAACAUGGUCAACCCUGCAGAGUUACACUCUUCAUCUCAUUUUUUUUUAUCCACAUUGAUAACAUUGGAGGUAAAACAUUACUUGUCAAAGAAACCCUUGGGAAAAUAAUCUCCCAAGGUUGGUAAUCUAGGAGGAAUAUGUGAAGUAGCUUCUAACAUCAUUGAUUUAGUAAAUACUCUUGGCUUAGCUUUAGACCUUCUUCUUUGGUUGUUCCUUGGUCUUGAUUUUUUGUUAUAAACACUAGAAUUUGGGAGUUGUGGAGCCUUUUAACAACGUCUUUUCACAAGAGUCCAUGGCCUUGAUCUUCUUCUAGUGCUUCUUAUUUAUUAGGUUGAAUUUUUGUACCCAAUUUUCCCAUCUUUGGUCCUGUAAGAGGCGUAGGAGGUGACAUUUUAUUCGUUUUGUUUAACAUUCUUUAUUUCUCUUUCUUGCUUAUAAAGGUAGACCAGCCAUCACCGAUCUUGUCUUCAGACUCCAAGCAGAAUCCCAAACAUCUAAGUCACUUGUCAUAAUUUCGUAAAAGGUUGGACGAUUGGAUGCACUUGGUCCAUCUAUCCCCGGAUAGAUGUAAUUAAUAUUGAUUUCUCCGUCUACCUCAAAUUCUACUGGGAUGGCUCCUUUUGAAAGUUGAGGUCCAAACUCUUCAAUCGAGGAUUUACAGGCAUCGUGUACAUUAGGUGUCUUCCCUAUAAUGAAAAUUGGAUCAAAUGAUCCAGACAAAACCAUCGAGCAGACGGUUGUUGGAUUCUCUUCGAUAUCAAGUUUGAUCUUAUUUUCUUUAUCCAGGCGAACAAUAAAAUCUUUCAAGACGGAAGCAUUUUUCCAUUGGGUAGUUAAUGAUUCCAUAAAAUUUAUAGUAUUUAGGAUGAUUGAACUUACAAGCUUUCUAGGGUCUUUUUGGUACUGAAAGUUUGAUUAUCUUCUAUUCAAGAAGUUGAUCUAGGAAUUUAGAAUCUGAGAAUGGGUACUUCUUUCCUUCAUGUUCUUUCAAAGUCACGUGACCUCCACUUUGGACUUGUGCUUUGCUAGGUCUAAACUCUGGCUUCAGUUUUAGGUUCGAGCUUAACCCCUUGAAGGCUAUCUUUGCUGGAACAGUAGAAAUCACCACAGCUUCUUUGGAUUUACUUUCCUUGAUGUCCUUCUUUAUUUCCUUCUUAGAAUCUUUCUUGUCAAGUGGAUCACUUGAUAAGUAACUCCCAUGCCUUGCAAUUUAGAGCUUCAAGUCAUGAAUACGUGUCACCAAUUCUUCGAAUGAGUGAGGCAUAUUUGCUUGGAGAUUAUAGAGUAAUCCCCAAUGCAUGUUUUGGUCGCACAUAUACAUGGAAGAUGCUUCACUUAUUCAUUCUUUAUAAUUAAGAAUGAGGUUCAUCCAGCGUUCGAUGUACUCUACAAUAGUUUCUUCCUUGCUCUGCUUCAUUCGACCAAGUUCUGGAAGGCUGGCAGUUCGUUGGGUGUUGUAGAAGCGUGUUAGAAAUUCUCGAUCGAGUUGAUCCCAACUAUCAAUUGACCCAGUUGGUAAAUCUGUGGGCCAUUCAAACGUGUCACCUUUAAGAGAACAUACAAAUUGCUUCACCAUGGUGUCAUUGUAUGCGCUUAUAUUGUUGUGUGUCUCAAUGAAAUGAGCAACAUGCUAUUUUUGGUUGUUCUUUCUAUCAAAGCAUUGAAAUUUUGAAGGUUGCUAACUGAGUGGCAUCUUUAUUUCGUCGAUUUGACAACUAUAGAGCUUGGCAUAUACCUUUGAAGAUUGCAAUGAACCAUCAUACUGAGUACGAAUGAUGUCUGCAAUCAUAUGUUGAAGUUGUUGAAUGGAUAGAGAGCCAACAGAGAGUUGAGUGGUAUCACACAAAAUGUUUGGACCAAUUGGCGCACUUGGACUUCUAACUUUUUGGCCUUGGAAAAUCCUGAAUUUUUAUGAUCUUUUUUAAUCGGCAGAUUUUGCAACUCUAGCCCAUGCAUGAGCGCAGCAAUCUAUACAUCUUUAUCUUCUAGUGACUUUGUUAAUUUUUCAAUGGCUAAAGUCAUUUGUUGAAUUCAAUCAUCUGAGCCUGAUGCCGUUUCUAUGACCAUCACUAGCUCAAGUGAUUCUUCAAAUGAAGAAUCAUCUUCUACCUUUGCUGAGAAGUGGCAUGAGAGGAUCCAAAGAAUGAUCUAUCAUUGGAGAUGGAGCCCGAACGAGAGCUUUUCGCCGAACUCAUAGUCUUUUUUGUUGAAUGAGAGUUUGAAUUUUUAAAGGCAAUUUUAAUUUUGCCUUUGUUGGAAAAUUUCAUCAGUGAUGGGACCAGUUGAGUUUUCCCAGUUUUGUUUGGGCCUUGAUCGCGUGGAAGAGUUUGGGAAGUGUCUCUUCAAGAUGAGUUAUAGUUGGUUUUGCCUUUUCGCUUACCAUUGCUGAUAUAGUGACUGAAAGUUGAAGAUUCUGAUAUCAAAAGAUGAGAGGACAAGAAGGUCCCACCGAGUAUGCUAAGAAAUUUAUACGAUGAAUUUUAUGUAUUGAAAUACAGAAAUCCUUACAAAUUGCAUUUUUUAGAAAUACAAGUGAUUUUGACCUUCUUGUGAUUGAAAAAUGGCGAAAAUCCUCUUAUUAAUGAUCUGAAUAUUUUGAAGACGAGGUGUCACAUGACUUGAAUUCUGGUCUUCGAAAAUAUGUUGAAAUUUUGAUUUGUUGAUACUUGACUUAUCCAGCACUUGAGUUUUGGGACUUGGACUCGUGCUUGAAUUUGAUUUGAUUUAACGAAGACUUUGGUCUUCUUGAAUUUGGCGUGGACCUGUUAGAUUCGAAGAAGGUUUUGAUCUUUUUGGGAUUUACCGAAUUUAGGUUUGAGAGGAUUUCUUCUCCUCCUUCGACUUUGAAAUUUUUUCAGCACUUCAUAAUUGCCUUCUUUGCUUUCACUUAUUGUUCUUUUCUUAUGGACGAUUGGUCCUAUUUAUUGGAGAAAAUUUGAGCUAAUUUUGGUAGUCACUCAAUUAUAUUUAGUUAAAAAUGAAUAAUUGAGUAAUUAUGAUUUUUAUUUGUUUACUUAUUUAAACGUGAGAUGGGCUUUCGGGUUUAUGGACCUUAGUCGACUUUAAUUUAAUUGAACUAAUAAUUUAAAUCGACCCAACCCAUUUUCUUUAUUAUUAUUAUUAUUUUUUAUGCCUAUAAAUGCCCCCUCAAGAUUAAUUUAUUUAUUAUGAAAUAAAUAAAUUAAUAAAUCUUGAUUUUUGAUUUUAUUUUUUUUUCAAUUUUGGAUUUGAUUUUAACUCAAACUUCCCAUUAGUAAAUUAUUAUAAAUGAAAAAAUCGAGAUAAAAUGGGAAUUUGAUAAAAAAAAAAAAAAAAUUAUCCUUCAAAUUUGAGAAUAAGAAUUUUUUUUAUGUUAUUUGAUUUUUUUAUUUAUUUUAUACAAUCUAAAAAAUUUUGAAUUUGAAUAGGCCAUUUGCGCUUUAUGGUAAAUUAGGCUUAAGUGAAAUAUGAUAUCUGUCUAUUUAUAUGAAUAAACUAUGAGAUUUGGAAACAAGUCUGUUAAAUCUUGCAAACAAAGGCAAAUAAUUCUUUUUUUCUUUUUUCUUUUUUUAACUCUCUCUCUCUCUCUCUCUAUUUUUUCCCUUAUUUUCUCUCUUUUUUCUCAUAUUUUCUUUUCUCGGUUUCCGCCACCCAAGGAGACAAAGAAUUUGAUGCGAACCCCGUAGCAAUGGAAACUACGAAACCCACAACGAGAUUGAUGCGGAACCCAAGAACGCCAAUACUAACCCGAUUUUGAAUCUUGAACCUCAAGAAUUGAACCAAGAAAUCCUAGAUUAGCGAAAAAACUAAAACCCCUUGAUUACAAUUAAAAGAACCCACAAUCCGAUUGUUUAGAAUGACAUAAGAAACUAAAUCUUGAUAAGUUCCAAGAUUGUUCAAGAAGAACAAGAAAUUGAAAGAACAAUUCUCUCUCUAUAAUAUUAAGCAAAAGUCAAAAGUUCUUACAAUGAAAAAUAUUCUCCUAUUUAUACUAAUGAAUAAAAACGUCCAAAACCAUCAAAUUAUGGUAAUAAUUUGAUUUCAUAAGAAUUCUAUUGAAACUAGGAAAUUCGGCCAAAAUUAGAAAAUUCGCCAAUUUUUUGGCUUGUGCGGCCGCAUGGUGUAUUUCCAUGCGGUCGCAUGGUUCAACAAGAAUUGGUCUUUUGGUUUUCGGUAUGCAUGUGUGCGCCACAUAUUGUUUUGCCUGUGCGGCCGCACAUACUUGUUUUCAGUCUCCGCUUUCGUUGCUUGAUAACAAAUUGAUCCAAGUUGAUUCGGCCUUCGACCCGAACAUGAAAGUUGCUCCAUCUGGAGUCCUGAACAUGGUUCCAUCAAUGGUUUCUUGAACAAGCAAUCCCAUCGUUUGUUUCACUUGCUUUGCCCUUGAUCGCGUCAUUGGUCCGCCAUCGACUAUCAACGGGUCUCAUCUCGCACUUGCCUUCGUUGGGCUCGACUCCUGGAUCAUAUCAUUCCCUCCCUCUUCAAAAGGAUUCGUCUUCGAAUUUGAACCUGCAUCAAACAGAGAGAGAUCAGAUACAUUAAAAGUAGCUGAAACAUUAUACUCACUAGGUAAAAUCACUUUGUAUGCAUUGUCAUUGAUCCUCUCAAUGAUUUGAAACGGUCCAUCGCCUCGUGGUUGCAAUUUUGACUUCCUCUGUUUUGGAAAACGUUCUUUUCUGAAAUGCACCCAGACCCAAUCUCCAGGCUCAAAUGUAACGCGUCUUCUUUCUUUAUUUGCUUUUGAUGCAAUCAGCUUUCCUUUCUCUUUGAUCUGCAUUCUGACCUUUUCAUGGAGUGUUUUCACCAUCUUGGCUUUUCGUUUCCCAUCCAAGCUACCUCGUUCAUGCACAGGUAAAGGCAUUAAAUCCAUAGGUGUUAGUAAAUUAAAACCAUAAACAAUUUCAAAAGUAGAAAACGAAGUAGUAGAAUGUGUAGCUCGAUUAUAUGCAAACUCUAUAAACGGUAAACACUCUUCCCAUGAUUUCAGAUUUUUAUUGAUUACUGUCCUAAGUAGUUGAGUCAUAGUUCGAUUAACUACCUCAGUUUGUCCAUCUGUUUGUGGGUGACAAGUUGUAGAAAAUAAUAACUUAGUUCCUAACUUACUCCACAGAACACGCCAAAAAAUUACUCAAAAACUUCACGUCCUUAUCAGACACUAUACUUUUAGGUACUCCAUGUAAACGUACUAUUUCCCUAAAGAAUAAGUCUACAAUAUUAGUAGUAUCGUCAGUUUUAUGACAUGGUAUGAAGUACGCCAUCUUACUAAACCUAUCGACCACUACAAAUAUUGAAUCCCGACUCCUUUUUGUCCUAGGCAAACUUAACACAAAGUCCAUAGAUAUGUCUACCCAAGGUUCACUAGGUACAGGCAAAGGAGUAUACAAACCGUGGGAUUGAACCUUAGACUUAGCCUUUUUAAAAGUUAUGCACUUUCCACAUAUUUGUUCUACUCCAUGUCGCAUUUUAGGCCAAUAAAAAUGUUCCCCUAACAUGUCUAAAGUCUUUUGAACCCCGAAGUGUCCCAUUAAACCACCCCCAUAUGCUUCCCUUACCAAUAAUUCACGCAAAGAACAAUUAGGAAUGCACAACUUAUCUUCCCUAAACAAAUAUCAUUCAUCCCUAUAGAAUUUAUCAAAUGCACCUUUGUCACAUGAAGCAUAAAAACUAGAAAAAUCACAAUUAGAUUCAUACAUGCGCUUAAUAUGCUCGAAACCAAGUAAUUUAGUACUUAAUGAAUUUAAAAGCACGUACCGUCGAGACAACACAUCAGCAGCUAUAUUUUCGUUACCUUGUUUUUACUUGAUGACGUAGGAAAAUGUCUCGAUAAACUCCACCCAUCUCGCAUGUCUUUUGUUCAACUUACCUUGACCUCGCAAAUGCUUUAAAGAUUCAUGACCGAUGUAUAUCACGAAUUCCUUUGACCAUAAGUAGUGCUGCCAAGUCUCCAAUGCUCGAACAACUGAAUACAGCUCCUUGUCAUAUGUCGGAUAAUUCAAUGUUGCCCCACUCAACUUUUCGCUGAAGCAAGCAAUAGGUCUCCUUUCCUGCAUUAACACUGCUCCCAUACCUAUUCCUGAUGCAUCACACUCAACCUCGAAUGUUUUAUCAAAAUUUGGUAAUGCCAAAACAGGUGCUUUACAUAGCUUAUCCCUAAUUGUGUUAAAUGCAAUUUCUUGAGAUUCUCCCCAAUGGAAACCUAUACUCUUCUUUACUAUUUCAAUCAACGAUGUGGUGAUGGUGCUAAAAUUUGUUACAAAUCGCCUAUAAAAACUAGCCAAUCCAUGAAAACUCCUAAUUUCAAUUAUAGUCUUAGGUGUUGGCCAUUCUUUAAUAGCUUUUAUCUUUUCUUCAUCGACUUCCACCCCGUUAGCACUAACCACAAAUCCUAAGAAAACAACUCUAUCCAUGCAAAAUGUGCACUUUUUGAAAUUAGCAUAUAGUUGUUCCUUUCACAACACAACAAGCACACAAUUUAAAUGUUCUAAAUGCUCAUUUAGGUUCUUGCUAUAGAUUAAGAUGUCAUCAAACUAAAUUACAGCAAAUUUCCCAAUAAAAGCAUGCAAAACAUGGUUCAUUAAAUGCAUAAAAGUGAUCGGUGCAUUAGUGAGUCCAAAUGGCAUAACUAACCAUUCAUACAAUCCAUACUUAGUCUUAAACGCCGUUUUCCAUUCAUCACCCUCUCGCAUGCGAAUUUGAUGAUACCCACUCUUAAGAUCAAUCUUACUAAAAAUGCAAGCACCAUACAACUCAUCAAACAUAUUAUCUAGCCUAGGUAUUGGGUGACGAUACUUUACCGUGAUAUUGUUGAUAGCUCGGUAAUCCACGCACAUUCUCCAAAUCCCGUCCUUCUUAGGCACCAACAAGACAGGUACAGCACAUGGACUCAUGCUCUCCCUGACAUAACCUUUGCUCAUCAACUCCUCCACUUGAUUUUGAAGCUCCUUCGUCUCCUCGGGAUUGCUUCGGUAAGCUGGUCGAUUCAGUAUGACAGCUCUGGGUACAAAGUCAAUCUGGUACUCAAUGCCUCUGAUUGGUGGCAAUCUACUUGGCAUCUCCUCAGGGAACACAUCGUCGAACUCCUGCAAUAAAGACUUAACCAAACUAGGGAGGGAUGUGUUAGAAUCCUCAAAAUUGAGGAGGGAUUCCUUGUACACUAACAAUAUCAUUUGCCUAUUAUCACUCAUAGCCUUUUUCAACUCACUCUCUUUUGCAUAAAAGUUGACCUUUGGCUUUUCUCUCCGCUCAGCUGACUCUUUUUCUCUCCUCUCAUCUGACUCCUUUUCUCUCCGCUCAUGUGGCUUCUCUCUCUUUUCUCCACUCUCAGCCACCUCACUAUUUUCUCUCUUAUUGAUGGUUUCACUAUUGCCUCUCCUUUUUCCUGACUCUCUUAUUCUCUCGUCUUCCUCACUUUUCAGCUUGAUUUAAUCUCCAUACACUUGUGCCGAUGUUAAUGGCGCAAGAGUAAUAGUCUUCCCAUCCUUGACAAAGCUAUAACGAUUCCUAUAUCCAUCAUGUGUGACCCUUCUAUCAUAUUGCCAUGGUCUUCCUAACAAGAUAUGACCCACAUGCAUAGGCACCACAUCACAUACUACUUUGUCACUAUAACUCCCAAUUGAGAAAUUAAUUAAAACUCUUUUAUUCACGCUAACUUCCCCACUUUUAUUCAACCAUUGCAACUUAUAAGGCCUAGGUUGUCUUAACAAUGCUAGUCCUAUUUUCUCAACUAAAAUUGUGCUAGCUAUAUUCGUGCAACUCCCACCAUCAAUAAUCAUACUAUAUACCUUAUCGUUGACGUAACAACAUGUGUGGAAUAUAUUUUCUCGCUGCUGCUCCGAAUUAUCCACUUUGACUUGAGUGUUAAGAGCUCUCCUUGACACCAACGAUUCCCCAAUAGCAAACUCCAAUUUUUCUUCUUCUUCAACGUCCUCCAAUGCAGGCAUGUCCUCAAACUCUCCUUCACUUUCACUCACCACCUCUCCAUUAUCCAACAACACCAUUACCCGUUUAUUUGGGUAUUGAGAAGCAAUGUGCCCUAACCCCAAGCAUCUGAAACACUUGAUGUCUCAAUUCCUUGAUGGUUGUGAAUUUGUUUUGGGUGCUGUUUUGCUAGCACUUUCUUCUUUCCCUUUCUGCCACUCAUUCCUACCUUUAGGUACAGCUUUAUCACUUUUGUUGUUGUUGUUCCACCCUGGCUUCCAAGAUGGAUUAACACUCAAAGUUCCUAACGGCUGCCUAGCUAUCCCUUUUCUCUUCAAUUGUCUCUCUACCUUCAUAGCCACAUGCAACAUGUCUUCCAACUCCACAUAAUGUUGCAACUCCACUACAUUGGCAAUUUCCCUAUUCAACCCAUUCAAGAAUCAUGCCACGGUAGCCUCCCGAUCCUCCACCACAUUGGCCCUAAUCAUGAGUAUUUCCAUCUCCAUAUGAUAGCCCUCUACACUUUUCGAUCCUUGAUAUAGACUUUACAGUUUUUGAUGGAUCUGUUAGUAAUAGUGGCUAGGAACAAACCUCUUUCUCAUCAAUGACUUCAAUUCCUCCCAAGUGUUGAUUGCUCUUCCCCCACUCCUACGUUGUGAAGUAAUCACUUGAUCCCACCAUGACAUUGCAUAGUCACUGAACUCCAAAACUGCUAACUUCACAUUUUUCUCCUCCGAGUAGUUAUAACACUCGAAGAUCAUUUCAACCUUCCUUUCCCACUCCAGGUAUGCCUCGGGAUCACUCCUUCCUUUGAAUGAAGAAACUGUCAUUUUUAUAUUUCCCAAAUUUCCAUCAAAUUCCUCCCCGCGAUCAUUCCGACCCCGUCUGUCGAACCUAUUGCCUCUAUUCCUCAUCCUUCCCAUAUCAACACCGUGAAAUUCAUCUUCGCCCAUGUCACUCCAAUAUCCAUACUACUCUCGCCUUUCCCUCCUAGGCUCCCAUCUAUGCGGUCUUGUGGCAUUGGAUACAUCCACUCGAUGCCCCCGACUAAGAUUAGCCACCGAUGUAUCUAAUCUAUUCAUCCAAGCCUCCUGCUUCUCCAACCUAUCUCUCACAUCUCCAAAUGCUCUCUCAAACCUCUGCACCAAAUCCUCCGAUGCAUUGCUAUUAUUGCCUUGUCGGCUUGAAUUUGAUUCUGCCAUUUCUGACAUCCUAACACUAAAAUUUUUUAUUUUACUGCCUCACCAAAAGUCACUCGAAAACACACAAGGGCUUUUACCCUCUAUUAAGCUCACCUCCCUGCCUUUAGCCACUCAGUUCUUUCAACAAUUGCCUCUAGGAACAAUCAAUGAACUCAAUCAAUCAAUCAAUUCGUGUAGAAUUCCCCAAACCGGAUGUGACUCAAUAAUUGUAAUAAAGGACUCAAAGAAAACUUUUAAAAUUUGACUUGAAUUGAAGGAAUGUAAUGAUUCAAUGUGUCCAAGUAAUUUAGAAACGAUAUUGAAUAAUAAAAGUUGGUAUUUGAAGGAUCAAUAAUAUUUAAUAAUUUUUUUUUAUAUCCAAAAAUCAAUAACAAAACCAACAAAGAAAAUGAAAACUGAUUUGGGCAAAAAUUGAGCCCAGAAACGGAAUUUGAAGAUUUUUGAUGAAACUUUUGGAUCAAAGGAUCAAGAAAACCUUUUGGACACAAGAACACAAGGAAUUGAAAAAAAAUAGAAAACAAAGGAUAUAGCCUGAUUAAAUUGGAGCCAAAGCUCUGAUACCAACUGAUACGAACCCCGUAGCAAUGAAAACUACGAAACCCACAACGAGAUUGAUACGGAACCCAAGAAUGCCAAUACUAACCCGGUUUUGGAUCUUAACCCCAAGAAUUGAACCAAGAAACCCUAGAUUAGCGAAGAACCUAAAACCCCUUGAUUACAAUUAAAAGAACCCACAAUCCGAUUGUUUAGAACGCCACAGGAAAUUGAAUCUUGAUAAGUUCCAAGAUUGUUCAAGAAGAAAAAGAAAUUGAAAGAACAAUUCUCUCUCUAUAAUAUUAAGCAAAAGUCAGAAGUUCUUACAAUGAAAAAUAUUAUUUUAUUUAUACUAAUGAAUAAAAACGUCCAAAACCAUCAAAUUAUGGUAAUAAUUUGAUUUCAUAAGAAUUCUAUCAAAACUAGGAAAUUCGGCCAAAAUUAAAAAAUUCACCAAUUUUUUGGCUUGUUGGCCGCAUGGUGUAUUUCCAUGCGGUCGCAUGGUUCAACAAGAAUUGGCCUUUUGGUUUUCGGUAUGCAUGUGUGCGGCCACAUGUUGUUUUGCCUGUGCAGCCGCACAGACUUGUUUUCAACCUCCGCUUUCGUCGCUUGGUAACAAAUUGACCCAAGUUGAUUCGGCCUUCGAUCAGAACAUGAAAGUUACUCCAUUUUGAGUCCUGAACAUGGUUCCAUCAAUGUUUUCUUGAACGAGCAAUCCCAUCACUUGUUUCACUUGCUUUGCCCUUGAUCGCGUCAUUAGUCAGCCAUCGACUAUCAACGGGUCUCGUCUCGCACUUGCCUUCGUCGGGCUCGACUCCUAGAUCAUAUCAGAAUUGGUUUCUUGGAAUUGAUACAGUGAAAUUGGUGAAUUGCAUCAAUUCCAACUGUUUCCUUGGUAUUUGCCAAUGGCAGAAACCUUUAUAUAUUUAUUUUUAUUUAUUUAUUUAUAUUUUUUCGUUUCUUUCUCUUUUUUCUUCUCGUUAUUUUUUUUUAAUUUUGGAUUUCCAUCGAUGGUAGAAAAUAAAACAAAUUUUGUUUGAACCCAAUUUGAAACUGGUAAAAACCAAUUCCAAUGGAAUUAUUGGAACUUUCACCAAUUCCAAUUCGGAAUUGGUCGAAAAACCAAAAAUAUAUUUGGUUUUAUGGAAAACCAAAGUGACCAAUUGGUUUCUACCGAGCAUUUAAUUGUUUUUGCUCCUUUUUUUUAUUCGUUUCAUCUUCCUUUCUCUUUCUUCUUGUUAACUAUUUUAGUGAGGCUAUUUUAACAAAAUUGAAACUAACAUUUUUCAUUUUUUUAUGCAAGGAUUCAAAUAUUUGGUGCAAAUGAAGGAUUUUGAGGUUCGAGAUUUUCUUUGUGUGGAGGUUAAAUUUUGUUCCGCAAUUAAUUUUUAAGUUCAGGAAAUAUAUGCUUAUAGACAGACUCAAAAUUACAAACCUUUUAGGGCACAUUGAGGACCAAAGACUGCUACUAUUCACCAUCCAAUGCACUUUUUGUUGGAAACCAAUGACAUGUUCAUUCGAUCGUCUUGACCAAGGACUCGCUCCUUUGACUAUCUAAUGCACUUUGUGUUUGGGACCAAGGACUGGUUGAUUCGAUUGUCCAAGGCACUUUGUGCUUGGGACCAAAAACUGGCUCCUUCGACUCUCCAAGACACUUUGUAAUAAGGACCAAUGACCUGUUUCUUCGACCGUCCAAGGUACUUUGUGUUUGGAACCAAGGACUGGCUCCUUCGACUAUCCAAUGCACUUGUGUUAAGGACCAAGGACAUGUUCCUUCGAUCGCCCAAACACUUCGUGUUUGAAGCCAAGGACUGGUUUCUUCAACUGUCCAAGACACUUUGUAGUAAGGACUAAUAACCUAUUUCUUCGAUGGUCCAAGGCACUUUGUGUUUGGAACCAAAGACUGGCUCCUUCGACUGUCCAAUGCACUUGUGUUAAGGACCAAGGACAUGUUCCUUCGACCGUUCAAACACUUUGUGUUUGAAGCUAAGGACUGGUUUCUUCAACUGUCCAAGACACUUUGUGUUAAGGACCAAGGAUUAGCUCAUUCGACUGUUCAAGACACUUUGUGUUGAGGCCAUUUACAUAUUUGGGAGGCUCGUAAUUUUAGACUAUAAACAAAUUUAAAAGAUCUACUCCUCCUUUUUAUUGCUAAUUUUUCAGGCAUGGUUGUAACAAGUUCUAAUGAUAAAGUAUACUUUGUUAUACAUGAAAUUUUUUAUCUUAAAAAUCUAGGCAAAAGUUAUCUACAUUACAAAGAUACUGAUGUGAAGUACCACGCCAGACUAGUCUACAAGGUGGACUUAAAUUUAGCAUCCAUAAGUCAACGAUAGAUCCUUCUCCCAACCUUCUAGAGCCAUUGUCAGAGUUGUAUAUGCCCACCAUUAGUGAAUAUCACGAGAGUUUGGAUACUGGCAAAUCCAACAACUCUAGCAAUCAUCUUUCCUUUCUGUAUCCUUUGCCUCAUCAUUUUCGAAGUAUGGAGUGCAUCCGAAAGGCCGUAAUUUGUGAGAGGAUUGACAAUAAAGAAAUACGAUGGGGAAGCACACUGACCAGUCGAGGAGAGAUUUUUUUUUCCAAAAUUUUAGGAGUGGUCUUUAUGAGUCCAAAAACUUCUACUAAAGAAGAAUCUCGCGAGUUAGCUUCCGCAGUCAAUUCUGCUACAAAAGAUUACCAUCGCCCAAACUCUAUCUAUAGAGCUCUUUGCGAGGUUUGGUGUCCAGAGACCAACACUUUUGUGAUUGCCAAUGUUGAAAUUGGCAUUUCUCCUUGGGACAUCGGCGAGAUAAGUGGGCUACCAUAGGUCAUUACUAUGAGGAUGUAGUCCCAAGCGUUUCAGAGUUGACGGGUCAUUUUUCCAAGUCUUAUCUGUACCUCUUUAAUGUUUUCGUAUUGGUCGCCAAUGCGAAUGAAUCUGAUUGGUUACUCAUGAAAAUUGGAUUGAUUUUUCAUUUCGCGAGAAUUGUUAUGUCCAUAAUCCUCGACAACACAAAAAUUAUAAGAAUGCUAUGAAUUUAAAUCCAUUCAAGAGGCGUCAUGACAGAGCAUCGAAGGAAAAAUGGAGGCCCGUGGUGGUAGUUAAACCGAGAGAUAUUUCUUGUAGGGAUCUACGUCAUUGGAGUAAUUUGCUAGUAUUUUUGCCUCUUGAAGAAGAGGAAUUAGAGUAUCACUUUAUCUCUCCCUGUGGGUUUGUCGCUUCGUUCUUCUAUCUAGAAACGAAUGUAUAAGAGUUGGGAAUUUUAAAGCAUCUUCUAGGAUGGAAGGUGAGUACAUUUAUAGCCUGGUUCCAUUAUAUUAGCGAGCAUUUAUAGAGGAAUUACACGAACAUCUAAUCAUUAGACAAACUCAUACCUUGGCUCGAUUUCAUAUUCAUUUCUUGGACAUUUUCUUUAUGCUUGGGCUGCAACUUAUUUUCUCCAAGGUGUUUAUACCAUAUGGACAAAAGUUAUUCACGUCUACAAUCCGAAGAUAUGCUAGCACUCUAAAUGCUAUUCAAUCUUAGGAGAAAAAUGUUGUUGAUUGUUGAGACAUUAUUCGUAGAACGAUGGAUGCCAAUGACUUUUGUUGGAAUCCAUUACCCUCAUCGUCUCAUCCUAAUGUGCGUGUGGAUGACCAAUCAAGGUCUGCAGAUACUUCAGAAUUCAUGAUGAGUAUUCGAUUUGGAUUUUUUUCUUAUCGCCGAGGAAAUUCACCAAGAAAGUUGGACAUUCCUCCAAUGGCGACAUGUAUCUCGUUUGGUUGUCUUUGACUCGGAUGAAAAGUGGGCUUGUAUUUCACAUUCCAGAGUACGUGAGGGAUACUCAUCAAAAUGUUGAUGUUGAGUACUAUGCUUGGUAGAAUAGCCUAGAGUUGCCAAUCUUGAUCAAGAUCCAAGUACAGGUCUUAUCUUCUAGCAGAGGAAUAAAAUAAAAGUGAAGAAAAUAUGUGGAAAGAUUAGCAGGGGAAUUGAAUUGAUUAAAGUAAAGAAAUUGAAGAGAGGUUCGCAGAGGAAUUAAUAUUUUAUUAAAGACGAUAUGUGGAGAAAAUACAAGAAUUCAGCAAUUAAACUUCACCUAAACUAAAUGAAAAGCUACAUGUUUAUACGGAUACACCAAACCCUAGAAAUAUCAUAGAGAUAGAAAUAACAUAAAAAAUAAUGUGGAAUAAAGUAAAUAAUAUUUUUCCAACAAAAUCACGUGAAAAAUAAGGAAUCUAUAUUUCCAAUAAAAUCACGUGAAAAUAAGGAAACAAUAUUUUUCAAAAAAUCGAGCCUAAUUUGGGGUGCAAAAUCUAAUAAUAUAAAGAAUAAUGACAAUGUCCUUAAUUUUAAGAAGUUUACAAUUUUAUUUUAUUUUAUUUUUUUGCACGGAUGCCACUUUUUUUUUUUUUUUUUUUUUUUUUCCUUUUCCACGGAAAGUUAAUUCAUUAAUGAAAUUAAAACUUAAAAAAUAUGAUAUUUGGUAGUUUUCUUGGUUAUGGUUGGUACUCCUCCAGCCAGCCUUACACAGAAAACAUAAAAUUCUCAAUAAAAUCAUUUUCAAUUUAGUUUGACCUAUCCCACUUGAUAAAAAAGUUGUUUAGCUUAUUUCACUGCAAGUCAUUUUCUAGCAAGUUGGUGCUUAAUUUUAACUUUUUAUCCAAACAUGUUUAUUCUCACAAUCUAACUUAUUCAUUGGACAAGAUAUACGGUAGAUGACUUUACCCAAGUAGUUUCAAUCUUGCUGAUUGCUACUUGUGCUUUUAAUCACACUCAUGCUAAACGCUGACUCAUAAGCAACAAGUGCUUGCCAUGCUCGUAUCCAUGUGCUAUAGGGAUAUAUCAGGGUAAAGUCAAAUGUUUACUUAGUGAUCUGCCGUAUAUCAAGUCCAAUGAACAAGUUAGAUUGUAAGAAUAUACGUAUUUGGUUAAAAAAUUAAAAUUAAUUAUCGACUUACAAGUAAACUACUUGCAAUGAAAUAAGCUAAACAACUUUUAAUUAAGUGAGAUAGACCAAACCAAAUUGAACAGGUUUUAAUUGAAAUUUUUAAAAUUUCUAUGUGUAAGUCUGGCCGGUGGAAAGCCAACCAUUUUAGUCCAGUUAUGUUUUCUCUAAAGUAUGUGGCUUGCUUCAAAAGAAAAAAUAAAAGUGCCAUUCGUUAAAAAAAAAAAGAAAAAAGAAAAAAAGAAAAAGAAAAACUGCAAGUUUCUUCAAAGGGUAAUUGGUGCAAAACGUCCAUACCUUUCAAGAUUAUUGUGGAAAACGUCCAUAACUUUUAUUUUUUGGCAUUUUGUCUAUAAUUUCAACCUUCCGUUGCGCUGAAGAUCCUUUUCAUUGUUUUGGAAUGUAAAAUGACAAUUAUACCUUCUUAUUUAAAACAAAAAAAAAAUAAAAAAAGAGGAAAAUUUAGAAUAAGUUGCAACCCUACCCCUAAACUUUUAAAAAAGUGCAAAUGAGUCCCCAAUACUUAAAAUAUUGAAAAUAACAAAAAAAAAAACACUUUCUCUUCUCUUCCUCCUCGGUCCCCUGCCUCCUUUCAAGCCAAAAAAUUCCGGCCAACCACUGGAUCUCCAUACCAUCGGAAAGCCCUCACUCCCCUCUACACAUACUACCCAAUAGUCUUCCAUUAAUUUCAUUCUAAUGGCACAAAUUUUCCUUCGCGCUGGUUAGGUUUCAUUUCUCAGUUUCUGAAUGAAUAACCAUGUCCAGCGACAAUAGGGAAGACGCAUAUGCUCAUUGGAUGCUCCAUGAGGUGUAGGUACCUCAGGUGGUGGUUCGUGAUCAUGGGUCCCACCACCAGCAUAAAAAAAAUCGCCUGAAAAUUGCACAGCGACUGUGUUCGAAGCUCACCCGACUGGGUUUGAUUGUGUGCAUUAAAGGAUGUUUGAGGACCAUGGACAGGGACGUUUUAUUGUAUAGAAUCGAUCUGGAGGUUGUGUAGGGCAUGGGUGUCGUCGGAAAGAUUCCAGCCAUUGUUUGUUGCGUGAGUAACCUGUUUUGGCUUGAAUUUUCAGGCAAAUUAAUUGGAGUUAUGGCCGGAUCUUGGGUGGGUUGCGAAGAGGGAAGUGAGGGCUGUAAGAUGGGAUAUUAGUCCGGCAAAAAUGGUGGUUGUGUAGGGCAUGGGUAUCAUCGGAAUUGAAGAUUCCAACCACUGUUUGUUGCGUGGGUAACCUAUUUUGGCUUGAAUUUUUGGCCAAAUUGAUUGGAGUUAUGGCUGGAUCUUGGGUAGGUUACGAAGAGUGAAGUGUGGGCUUCAAGAUGGUAUAUUGGACUUGUGCCCAAGAUGGCCAGAGGGUGGAGUUUUGGUGGUCCAUAAGUGGUGGUUCUAAAAUUUUAGUUGUGAUGGAUUAAGGGAGUAUUGGAGACUCAAUUGCACUUUUUUAAAAAUUUAGGGAUAGGGUUGCAAUUUGUUCUAAAUUUCUCUCUCUCUCUCUCUCUCUCUCUCUCUCUCUCUCUCUUUUGGUUUUUUUGUUUUAAAUAAGAGGGUAUAAUUGCCAUUUUACGUUCCAAAACAGUGAAAAGAACUUUCAGCGCAACGAAAGGUUGAAAUAAGGGCAAAAAAGCCAAAAAAAAUGAAAGGUAUGGACAUUUUUCACAAUAAUCUCGAAAGAUAGUCAAUUACCCUUUCUUAAAAGUAAGGACACUGUCAUCAUUGUUUCUAUGUUAAUAAAAGACUCUAAAUCCAAAGUCCUAUAUCUCGUUCACUAAUAAAAAAUAAUAAUUAUUAUACCAGAUCUCUAAGAUGUAAACACAAUUAUCAUCGAAAUUUUGGGACCUUUAUGUAUUAAUUUCUUUUGUACAAUUCCUAUGGGAAAAUGAUAACUGCACAAUAUACAAUAUGAGGUCUAUAUGAUAUAAAAAAUGCACCUUUAUUCCAAAUCAAAAAGGACAACUAAGGAAAUGCUUCUGUUUGACAAUUAGAAACAAAGAGCCUAUUGACCUACAGAAUAGCACAAUUGUUUCCUGUUUUAUCAGAGUUAUAAAAAUUACAUGUUUUUAUGAAUUGAUAGUAAGAUAGUGACAAUAAUAAAAUAAGCAAGACCAAAAUAAGAACACUAACUUUAUGUGGAAACCCAAGUAGGAAAAAACCAUAGGUAGAGGAGGAAAAAUCUACUAUAAUCAAUGGUAGUUGUGUUUACAACAAGAUCUCAAUGCUCUCAACUAAGAUCUAAAACUCUCAAGAUAUCGCAUGAAUGUUAUGAGAAUAAUACGAACCAUAACUUUAUUUAUAUAUAUAUAUAUAUAUAUAGAAACACAUCAAAACGCAAAAUGAGCCUGGGCUGGAUAACCCUAUCGCUUGAGCAACAGGUGAGCGAUAACCCCACCGCUCGAGAGCUAGGUAGGAAAUCUCUAUAGAAAAUAUAUAGGUGCCACUCAAGCAGGCAACUAACGGAAGGUAGCAAAAAUGCAGCGACUUUUCUUCCCAGUCUAUAAUUUUGAUUUCUUCAAGAUCACUUCAAUUAGGGCUCCAAUACCACUAGAAUUUGGGUCACAUUACUACAAAUCUACAUGCACACCUUGAACAAAAUUCAAAAAACACAUUUUCAAAGUGAACAACACUCUUCCUUUUCCAAACAAGCCCUAAUGGGCUAGAUCAAUAAUAAACACCAACUAAGUUUAAGCAUUGCUCAACUUAACACUGAGAAGUGGUUUUGUCAUAAUAUCAGGAGGAUUAUCCUUGGUAUCAACCUUGCUCACUACAAUAUCACCUAGAGCAAUCACUUUACGCAAAAAAUGAGACCUCACAUCAAUAUGUUUAUUCCUCUUGAAACAUCUGAUCCUUAGUUAGAAAAAACACUCUGACUAUCACAAUACACUGUAAAAAUCUGCAAGUCUUCAUUGAUUUCACCAAUCAAUCCUCUUAACUACAUAGCCUCCUUAUAUGCCUCUGUAAUGACCACAUACCGGCCUCUAUUUUAAACAAAACUAUUGUAUUCUACAAAAUAGCUUUUCAACUGAUAACACAAUAUCCAAUGGUGAACACAUACCCUGUAAGUGAUCUCAUCUUAUCAAGAUUCCCUACAUAAUUUAAGGGCCUGUUUGGGAGCGAUUUUUUCACCCAAAAAGUUGAUUUUUUGACCGUUAUUUCACUAUUUCAUCCAUCAUAUUUGACUUCUUCUCUCACAGGUGGACCCCACUUUUAUCCUAACGGUCAAAAAAUCAAUUCUCAAAAUCACUCCCAAACAGGCUUUAAAUCAACAUAUCCAAUGACUCCAUCUACAUAUCUACCAAAAUGCACGCAAACAUUAGUAGAGACGUUUAGGUAUUUGAAUAUCCAUUGCAUUGUUUUCAAAUGUUCCUUGUUAGAAUUUUCCAUGUACCUACUAAUUGCAUUGAUUGCAUGUGCCAAUUUUGGUUUUGUACAAAUAAUAGUAUACAUAAGUGAACCAACUACUCUGGAAUAAGUAACUUGAGACAUAUAUCGAUGUUUUUAUCUAAUUGAGGACACAAUGCAGAUAAUAAUUUAAAGCGGACAGUUAACGGAAUACUAAUAGCCUUAACAUUCAGCAUAUUGAACAUUUGAAGCAUUUUUUUAAUGUAUCAUUUCUGACUCAAAUAUAAUCUGUUAGCCUUUUUAACCCUCAAAAUUUUCAUGCCAAGAAUUUUCUUUGUUGCACCUAAAUCUUUCAUCUCAAACUGCUUACUAAGUUGAACUUUCACCUUUCUGACCUCUACUUUGUCUUUGGCUGUAAUGAGCAUGUCAUCAACAUAUAAUAGCAAAUAUGUGAUGAUCUACCAUCUUCCUUUCUAAAGUACACACAACUAUCAUAAUUACUAUUAAUAAAACUAUGAGAAUUCAUGAAUGAACCGAACCUUUUAUACCACUACCUUGGUGACUGCUUUAAUCCAUACAAAAACUUUUUCAAUAAGCAUACAUUGUCUUCCUUUCCAGAAACUAUAAAACUCUCUAGUUGUUAAAUGUAAAUGUUCUCCUCAAAUUCUCCAUGCAAGAAUGCUGUCUUGACAUUUUUUUCUACUCAAACUCCAAAACAUUCUUGGCCACUAUACAAAGUAAAGUCCGAAUUGAGCUUUGUUUUACAAUCGAUAAAAACACAUCUGUCAAAUCAACAUUUGAAAUCUGACUAUAACGCUUUGCUACCUAUCUGGCCUUAUACUUAGUAUCUUCAAUCCCUAAUGUCCCUUCCUUUUUUUGAACACCCACUUGCGGUGAACAAAUCUUUUUUCUAUAGGUAGUUUCACCAAGUCUUAAGUAUUGUUUUUAUUCAAUGAUUCUAUCUCCUCCUAUAUACCAAUCAACAAUUCGCUAGAAUUACUGCAACUGACUACUUUGAAUAUGUAAAAGGUUUCUCAUUAGAGUCAAUAUCUUCAGCCACAUUCAAUGCAUAAGCUACCAAAUCUACCUCUCCAUACCUUAAUGGAGGUCUAAUCUAUCUGCGAGAUCUAUCCUUAACAAUUGAAUACUAUGGUGUUAACAUUGAUGUAGGCAAAGUAUGUAACAUAUUACUAUCUGUCAAUUAUGGACUAAAUUGCUUUGUAGUAGAUUGUUUUGAAACAUCUGAUUGUUCCUAUGGACCAAUUUCCAACCCCAUUUGAGUUGAAUGAUUCUAUUCAUCUGUUUUAUUAGAAUCCCCACGAGGUGGACCAUGAAACGUAGUAAGUUUAUCAAAUGCUACAUCUGUAUUAAUUACCACCUUUCUUGUUUCAAGACACAACAAUUUAUACCCCUUCAUACCUAAUUUAUACCCAAAAAUGAUAUACUUUCUAGAUCUAGGCUCCAACUUCCCAUUAUCCACAUGAACAUAAGGAAAAUACCCAAAAAUGUUCAAAUCAGAAUAACAAGAAUGUUUACCGGACCAUCUUUUUCAAUGACAGUUGAGGAUGAGCGAAUAAUAAGAAAACAAGUUGUGGCAGUAGCAUCAGCCCAAAAAGUCUUAAGCAACCAUCAGAAUUUGAAAGCAUACAACAAACAUUUUUCCAUCAAAGUUCUACUCAUCUAGUCUACUACACCAUUCUAUUGAGUUCAUCUGAACAAAACUCCAACCUAUUAUCUGUGAGUAAAUGUUUAACCUACAUUCCAGUCUGCUUUUCUAUCAUUAUUUUCCACUCUUUGAAUUUUCCCAAAUAUAUUACUCUUCUGUUUCAAGAAGAGUACACAAACUUUCUCGGAGAAAUCAUUAAUCACUGUCAACAGAUAAUAAGUACCUCUUCUUGAAGGCACCAUAGCCGGUCCCCAAAGAUUUGAAUGGAUAUAUUCAAGUAUUCCCUUCGUGUUGUGUCUUCCUAUAGUGAAUCUGAUUCUUCUCUAUUUACCAAAGACACAAAACUUAUAAAAUUUCAUCUUACCGGUCUUUUACCCAUCAUGAAGUCCCCUCCUACUCAAUUAUGCCAUACCAUUCUUACUUAUAUACCUAAGUCAUAUAUGCCAAAAUUUAUCAAUUUCCUCAUCAGUCAAAGAAAAAGUAAAAAUUGUUAUAUUUCCUGUAAUUGUAAAACCCUACAAAAUGUACAACCAUGUAGAGUUUUUUUAUCCUUUUAUGAUAGUAAGAGAACCUUGACAUACUUUCAAAAGUCUACAUUCACCAGUGUAUUUAUGACAUUUUGAGUCAAGUGAAUUCAAAGAUAUGAGAUUUCCUUCAGUUCUGGAACGUGCUUGAUUUCUGUAAAUAUUCUGAUAGCACCAACAAAUAUUCUAAUUUUGACUAUAUAAAUUCUAUCAAUUUGGCAAGGCAAGUUGCUUUCCAUAAUCACUAUAUCUCUCGGAACUCUUUUAGAUAUAGUAAACCAAUUCUAUUGGGACACAUAUAGAAAGUAGAUAUCGAGUCAAGAACCCAUUCCUCACAAAGUUGUAAAUCUAUUCAAAAAUCACAAGAUGUCCUCCUUUAUUUUGCCCAUUUUCCACAACAUCAGCCUUAGCAGUGUUAACAGGUUGUUUUCCCUUUUUAGUAGCACCAGCAUCAUUAUUUCUGUUUUCAACGAAUAACAAUCAACUUUGAUAUGUCCAUUCUUCUUACAGUAAUGACAUACUUUCUUUGGAUGUCUAAAUUUCGAUCUGCCCCUCAUAUUUUUACUAAGAUUCCUAUCUUGAUUAUUCACAAUAACAAUCAGGCCUUCAACCUAACUCCCAAAUCCUCUAGAAAGAUGUCUCUUCUUCUCUAUAGAUAGUAAAGUAUCAUAGACCUCUUCCACAGUAAGAGUAUCCCAACUAUAGAGAAUAGUUCCUCUAAACAUCACAUAUAAUGGUGACAACGAGCACAACAACAUCAAAGCCAAGUCCUUCUCAUCAUACUUAACCUCUAAUGUCUCCAAUUGGACACAAUUUCUUGGAACAUAAAUAAGUGAUCAUCCAAUGAUGCUUAUUCGGACAUCUGGUGAGAAUACAAAUGUUGUUUUAAGUGUAACUUGCUGAUUAAGCUCUUUGUCAUACAAAGUUGCUCCAACUUCAACCAUAACAUAGCGGCACUUUCUCUAUUCGAACAUUUGGAGGGAUUUGAUUUUAUAGAUGUAGCUGAAUUUUGGAUUGGGCUUUCUGAUCCCUACAUCGUUGUUCAUCCUGCAUCCAGGUUGAAUGCAUUUUAUCAAAGCCAAGCAAGAAUUUCUCCAAAUCUAUUUGUGCGAGAACUCAUCUCAUCUUUACUUGUCGUAAAGUAAAUUUCGUGUUCUAAUCCAAUAACAAAAUAUCAUAUUUCAUCAUUGCCAUGCGAACUAAUCAACCUUGCUCUGAUACCAUUUGUUAUGAAUUGAUUGCAAGAUAAUAACAAUUAUGAAAUAAGCAAGAAUAAAAUUAGAACACCAACAUUUAUGUAGAAACUCAAGAUGUGGAAAAAUCACAGGCAGAUGAGAAGAAAUCUACUAUAAUCAAUAGUAAUUAUGUUUACAACAAGAUCUCAAUACUCUCAACUAAGAUUUACAGCUCUCAAUAUGUGUAUAAAUGUUAUGGGAAAAAUAUGAGUCGUAACUUAUAUAUAUGAAAUCCUAGAAGUCAAGUUAUAGAUGAGAAUAGAAGUCCAAAAAUGCAUCAAAAUGAGAAAUGAACCUAGGCCGGAUAACCCUAUCGCUCCAGUGACAGGCGGGCGGUAGCCCUGCCACUCAAGCUUCAAGUGAGCAACAAGUCUCUGUAGAAAAUAUGUAGGUACCGUUUGAUAAGUAAGCUAGUAAAAAUGCAGUGACUUUUCUUCACAGUCCAUAAUUUUGAUCUCUUCAAAACCACUUCAACUAAGAUUCCAAUACCUACUAGAAUUUAACUCAUGUGUUGUCCGAGACAAAAACCGAUCGACAUCUUAAGGUCAAUGAGAAGGAAAAUAAAAAAGAACAUAGGAAGAAGAGAUGAAAUUGCAAGUGGAUUUACGGUUUGAAACAAGCAAUGUUUUAUAUUCUCAUUUUUAAUCUUGGGUCCAGGCCUAAAUUGAUUUUUGGCUAGGUAAACUUAUUUGGGCAGGGUAUAUUAAAAAUAGGUCAGAGGCUUUUAGGAUUUUUUUUUUUCAAUUAGACUGAAUUGGGAAAUCUAUUUAUUGUUUAAGUUAGUAAAUUUUCUAAUUUUUUCAAUCUAUAAAUUAUAGAAAAUAGGUCUGGUUCAAGAGUUCCAGAUCCAAUUAAAUUUUCUAUUGUUCCGAUUAAAUUAUCUACCUCUAAUUACUAUGGAAAUUGUUACAAAAGGCUAGAGGCUAUUGUUGCUACUCGAAUUUCAAUAAUAACUAAGUCCCUACAACUUACUCAUAGCCCAAUAAAGAUCAACCAAUACCACCAAGGGGAUCAUUGUUGUGCAAUUAAUUCUUUUCGGUAAAAAUCACAAUGUCUCUACAAGAUCUUAUGGGUUUGUUGCACAAAUUUUAUUAAAAUUAUUUUUCUCUGAAAACCAUUUUCAACCACAUAUUCGGUGAUAUUCACAAUUUCUUUUUUCACUUUUCGACCACACAUUUUCAUUUAGAAAAUUCAUGUCAAAUUUAGAAAUAAUUCUCAGUGACGGGAAAAUCCAACUGCAACCACAUAUAAUAUAGACAAUUCUACAAUUUUUAGAUAAAAUUGAAGAAACUAAAUACAAGCCUUUUAGCAAUUUUGAAUUAUGCUAGACAUUUUAGUAAACAUUUAGGAGAGGAAGUAGAAUCACUGUAUAGUAGAUUGUCUAGCAAAGGACAAAGAUAUUUUAAUCAAUCAAAUGUAGAGCUAGUUAAAAAGAUAACAGAGGAAGUUAGAAAUUUACUGCCAUUAGAAUUACUUUUUGAUAAUAAAUAUAAAAUAAUAGAAACAGAUAGAUGUGAAUUAGGAUUGGGAGGAAUUUUAUAUUCCAAACCAAAUAAAUAUAGCGAUAAAAAAGAAGAAAAGAUUUAUAGAUAUGCCAAUGGAAAAUAUAAAAUAAAAGGAAAACACUUCACUAGUUUAGAUAAUGAAAUAAUGACCACCAUCUAUAGUAUAGAAAGCUUUAAUUAUUCUUAAAUACUGAAUUUAAAAUUAGGACGGAUUGUGAAGUUAUAGUAACAUUUAUUAAAAAGACAAAUUUUGAUAAAAUAAGACAUAAAAGAUGAUUAAAAUUAUAUGAGAUAUUGAAUAGCUAUAAAAUCAAUAUUAAACGCAUAUACAGGAAAAAUUAUAUAUUGAUAGAUAAUUUAAGUAGACAAGUUAUUAAUUUACUAACCCAUUAUUUUCAUGGUGCAAAAGGACCAGAUGAUGAUGAACUUUGAGGAUGUCACUCUAAGAGAGACCCCACAAGGAUCUGAUAUCUAAUUCAAAGGAAAUAAUUUAGAAAGACUUCCAAAAAGGGAGCGUUGUCUACUAGAUAAUCUUUGGAUGACACAUAACUCUAAGCAAAAAUUAGAUUGCAAUAAUGCCCUAACUAAUUAUUUUAGAUAGCUUCAUAAUCAAGUAAAAAGAAAAAAAAUUUAGUUUCAUUGCAGUAAUUAAGGAUAAAAAUCUAGGCAUAAAUAAUUAUUGGCCAAAAGUAUUUCAAUAAGUAGAAAGAUUUCCAAAACCCUUUUUCAAAGGAUUUUACAAAUUAGAAGAAGUUUUAAAUUUCUGUAGAAAAAUGAUAGGAUUUAAUUUUUAUAAAUUUGUAAGAGUUAGACAGGGUAUGACCAUACAAAACGUUACUUCCCAACCAUCAUCUUCAUCUUUAUCAAUGCAACUUUUUGAUAUUUGUGAAACUAUGACCAAGGUGGUUAAAAUUUUGAAUCCUAGAAAGCAUUCAUUAGAAAAAAAAUGCUACAAAUCCUUCAAGAUGAAGUCUCUUCAUCUCAACGGGCCAUUUGUAAAUAUCAAAACAAAAUUUUUUACCGACAAAAUAGCUUAAAAAGACUAAGUUCUAAGAAUAUUUAUGAAAGACCCAUUUCCAAAGAUAUUGCUUCUAUAAGUAGAAAUUACUCUUAUAAAAUAGAAAAACUUAUUGAAUUAACUGACUCUACAACAGAAGGGACAAGAAAAGACUUUAUAUGAGUUAUAACAGAAAAUUGACAUUGUGCCAACAUUGUUCGAGAUUAUAUAAAGAAAUCAAUCGUACGUAAGAUAAUUGAUUUUUCUUAAUUCUGAGCUACUAUCACAACGAAAAUCGAUAUUUUCUUAAACAUGGCCCCAAAUAUGAUUCAUCUACUAAAAAUUCAACUUUUUUUAGACACAAUUAUGCUACAAUUUCCUUUGACUAUGCAAUCUUUGAAGAUGACGACUUUUUUUAUCGAGCCUUAUGGUUUGGCAUGACAGACACUAUAUAGUUUUAAAUAUAUCUUUCGUAUUUUUUCCACCUAGACUUAAACAGAUUCUUGAUCAGCUAAAAAAUCACCCUUUGAUGAUCCAAUUCAUUUCCAGACCACCUCUUGUAAAUAAUGGUAUAGUAAUUACAGUUUAUCAUUAUAUUUUAAUAUACGAAUGAGCUAAAAGAUUUAGACAUUAUUCGAAGACAAAUACUAAAGUAAAAAUUAGACAAAUUGAUUAUAAAAGACAAAUCUUAGAAAUCAUGACGAUGAUAGAAGUUCAAAAUAAUAAUUCAAGAGCUAAUUGUAGCUCCAGAGCAAAAUAAUGAAUAUAAAAAGCAUUCGGAUUCUCUUUCAAAAGAAGUGCAUUGAGAGCAUUGUACUCACCUCAUAUAUUACUUGCCCUAUCAUAACCUUGACCUCUAAACUAAAUAUACUUAAGUUAAAUCUAGAGAAUAAGUGAUUAAUAGAAUCCUUAAGUGAGAGAGAGAUGUGGUACUAUAGAUAGUUAAACUCAAAUAAAACGUUCCAUUAUUUGUCCUUUCUGAUUCACAUAACGUAGAACAAUUGACAUUUGCUCCUUCAUUGAUACAUUAUGAGAUUCAUCAACAAGAAUGAAAAAUAACCCAUUACCAAUAUCCUUCACAAUAAAAUUAAGUGUUUCAAAUGCAAUAGCAUUUACAAUAUCUUUUUGAAUUUUAGGUGAUAUUAACUGAAGAUUUUCGUGAGCAUUCCUCAAAGAGACAUCCUUAAUAUCAUUAUUAUAAUCACAUAACCACUGUAAUAGUUCAAGAAAAUUUCUUUGAUUUCUUGAAUCUCCAAAUUUGUUAUGUCCACGAAAUGAAAGCCCUUGUCAUAGAAACAAUCGGACACAGCCAUUUGACGCAUUCAAAAGAAUUUGAUACUCAUCUUUUGUUCAUUUUGACUUCUUAAAGAGAACACAAUCAAUAUUUUGUUCCUAAUUCACAAAGGCCUCAUACUUAAUCCGCGCUCGGUUAUGUGCACUACAAUUUUCCCAACAGCAGUUUGAAGCCUUCCUUUCUUUUUCUAGUUGGAGAAUCCUCCAUCAACAAAAGAAUCACACCCACCAUGUUCUUCACUAUUUGGGUUGAAAAGAUAACAAUAAAAGAAAAAAUAUGACAUCUUUUGCUAUAAUGUAUUCCAACCAAUCAGGACAGUUAUUAAACCAAGAAGUUUUUAAUCACCGUAACAACAAAUCUCCAAAUUCUUUCCAUGGACACAAGUGAUUCCAAGCUAACAUGGACCCCUUUGUACGUAUACUCUUCAAAUUUCAUCCUAAACACUAACAUUAUAAUUCCCAAUUUGAGUUCUUAAUCUAAGAUCCGAAGGCAAAUGUGCUAAAUAAAUUUUAUCUCGAACAUUUCUUUGACUCCUAGUCUCUGAUUCUUCUGAACAUCUUUUUUUUUUUUUUUUGAACACUCGUUUCGACAAUAAUUUGGUCUCCGCUUGAACAUACGGAUUUUUGUUUAAAAUAUUUCUCCAUGACUGUUAAAAAAAAAUCAAUACAUAGAUAAAUAAAUAUCAUAUUUCAUUUUUCAUCAAAACAUAACAUUAAAUUCAUAAUAAAGAGCAAUUAAUUUCAUAAACAAUUUUAAAUCACCAAGUUAGAGAAAGCCAAUACUUACUUGGAAUUGGAAUUGAGAUUUGUAAUGCCCUGAACUCUUUUUCAUUAUUAUUGUUAUUUUUAAAUAAAAAUGAAAAAGAGUUCGGGGCGUUACAGAAUGGUAUCAGAGCACGACUUUAGCCGAUUCUAUAGACUUGUCAUUUAUUUAGAAAAAAUAGCAUAUAUUUUUUUUAAUCUUGUUAUGUGCUUUAUGUGUAUAACUUUUUUUUUUCCUUAGAAUGAUAAUUUAUUUUAUUUUGAAGACAUAGUGGUCUGUGUGUUAAAAAAAAUGAUGCUGCCAUUUUUUUUUCGAACCAAUAGUUAGUAAAUUUUCGAAAAAGACGAGGAAAACUUUUGUUGAUUUUUUUCUGUGUCAACGAAGCCAAGGUUUCUGCAGUUGGAUUCUAAAUAAUUUUCCUUUCCUUGCUCAAUAUUUUGGCUAUUGGUUUGGUCAAUUGGUCUAGAGUUUUUAUGCUAUUCUGCCGUCGAUAUAAAAUCCGAUAAUAAGACCAACGAAGAUAAAAGAUUCUGCAGCAUUAUUGAGCUAUUUACCAAAUUUACAUGCACUAAUUAAUUAAUGGUUUGUGUUUAACCAAUGUGGCAGUGAUUUAUAUGUUAAAGUCAUCAUUCAUUCAAUUUCUAUCCUGUCAUUUGCGUUUAUCAUUAGUAAAGUAUGCCUAGAUCCAUGGAAGCAUGCCUCUGUUGCAAACUUAAAGUAGUUAAUAUGACAGCCAUUCACGUUUAAAUGAAGUAAACUGAAAAUAUGCCAGGACAUCGAAAGACUUUUAUAUUGAGUAAAUUCUUGCUAAAAAAAAUGAUGGUAUUAGCAUGAACACCGUUGCACUUUGUUACAAGCAUGGAUUACGGUUUCAUAGUUUUAAAGGAAAUGAUUAUUAAUAUUUUAUUAGUUACCUGCCAAUAAGUGUCUACUUGCUAUUUUAUUAUAUUUUAUACAUCAUGAGAUUUUUAUUAAACAAGUAUUGAAGUAAGAUCCAGGCUCGUGGCAUUAGCGCUCGUCAAUCUACUACCGUCCGAUGAAUCCAAGGUAUGAACGAAAUGUUAUGUUUAAGCUUAAUUUCAAGCAUGAUUUAUUAAUCAUUUAAGCUUGAUACGAUGAAAUGCUUAUAAUGUUAGAAAGAAAUGUAUUACGCAAGUUAUUAUUUUUGUACAUAAAGAUACGAUGGUUAGUCAUUUUAUUUAAAAUUACAAGAGCAGAAUGCAUAAGUUGAUUUAUAAAGAUAGAGCAUAAUUGAAUGUUUAUGUGAUAUACAUGGAUAGAACUUAUCAAGACACUAGAAAGAAGAGAAAUAGAAGUCACGUAUCGAGAGCUUUUGGAUUAAAUAAGAUAAUUUCGAGGACGAAAUUAAUUUAAGGGAGAAGGGAUGUAACACCCCUCAUUUUUUUACUAUGUGAACCUGAACUUAUUAUUUAGCAAAUGAAAAUGUGAAGAUUUGUCAUUACAUUAGAAGUCCAAAGUUGAAGUGGUAGACUUGACUCACGUAUUCGUAUAAAUAAUUUAUUUGCUUACGAGUUAUGAGCACUUUUAGAAAAUUAUUUGAAUAAAAUAUUUAAGUAUUUUUAAAGUUGAUGAAAAUAUACUGAUAUUAUACUCAUUUUGUAGCUCGUGUUAAACAAUAUAAUUUGAGCUUCAGAAAAAAUAAUUUCGAGAUAGUUAUGCCCAAGUUAUUCUAAUAGAAAGAAAAUUAUCAUUCUCAAAUAUUAUAUUAAUACAUUUAUAAUAUAAAAUAAUAACCAAAUGAAUAGUUUCAUUGUAUGGUUACGUAAUGUCAUCCACUCUAAUUGAUUUAGAAAUUUAUAAUACAUUCCAUAACCAUGACAUUAACUCUAAUUAAACGUGGAGGUGUCCUUUCAAAUUUAUAACCGUAACCAUCCCGUUCACUUUAAUUGAUUUUCAAUUAAAUCAUAGUUGUUUAAUUACAUUAAUCCUCAAUUAAUGAUCAGGUGGCUUUUCAAUUUGUAACCGUAAUCAUAAACGUCCACUUAUGGUGGUUUAACUCCAUUAUCCUUCCAUUAACUUGAAAUGCCUUUUGAUGUUAAGUAAGUUACGUGUGUGGAAUAUAUAAAUAGGUGUAUUUGAGAUGAAAAUUAUAUUCUACAACAAUAGUAUAUUGUACACUCCACACCACUAAUAUUUUUAGAAUUUAAUAGAGUAUAAUAUUUAUAUCUUUUCACAAAGUCAGUUUCAAGUAAAUUCGUGGAUAUCAAAUUGGGGUAAGAAUACAUGGUGCAAGUGGUAAAUUCUUAAUCCUUGAUAUAUAUGUAAAUUUUGGCAUGAGAUACUUUAAGGCCUUCGGGUCGAAUGCUAUGUUAAAUCCUUCGGGAUAGACCGUUAGGUCAAAGAGAAGAAGUUAAAUCCUUCGGGAUAGACCUUCAGGUCAAAGAAAAAAAAUUAAAUCCUAUGGGAUAUGGGGAUUCUUAAGAAAUUCCUAAGAAAUGUCGGUAUGUUAUGCUAUUUUUAUAUUUAUAUCAUGUGUAAAAGGAUGUGCACGUAUUCUUAUUGAGUGUUUUCAAAAUACUCACUCUUACAACAUUUUCAGAUAAGAACGGGUCAUGAGGACGCGUGGAAGAUUGACGGAGCGAUGCUAAUGUGGUCGUCAAGUAAAAUUUCUAGAAAAGACAAUCGUCAAUUUAUAUAAAGAAUAUCUUUGUGUUAAUAUUUAUGCACAAUAUUUAUUAUGUUGUUUAAUAAUUUGAAAUUGAAUAUUUUCGAUAUAUUUCCGCUUAAAUUAGAUAGAGAAAAGUUUUGGUAGCACCUUGAGCUCAUUUUUAUUUAAAAAUAACAAUAAUAAUGGAAAAGAGUUCGGGGCGUUACAAGAUUUGACUUUCGAGAAUGGUUCUAAUAUUUCCAGCUCUGUAGUUGUAGCUCUUGUAUCUUGUAUUUGUUUUGUUGAAUAAUUAUUUUUAGUCAUCCACUACAUUGAAACUAUAAUUUAAACAGUUGAUUGUUCCUAAUUUCAAAUAUUAGACUUCACAAUAUUUUAAAAUUUAAACAAUUGAUCGUUCCCAAAUUGUAAAAAAUCAGUUCCAUACUUCCAUUAUUUCAUACCAAAUCAGUGAAUAUUUUCAUCCAACAUUUUCAAUUCAUCAAUUUUAGACAUGCAAAUCCAAACCCUACAUAAAUUUUUCACUGUAGUCGAGUAGCAGUAAGCUACUAACCUAUAGGCUAUAACAGGGACUGGAGAACGGCUGGGUGGAAGGGGUUUUACUUUUAUUUGAUUUGUGUACUGUAAGUAAUAAGGAUGAUGUGUCGAUGGCGAAGAGAAAACUGGCAAAGACGAGAGCUAGAGAAGAGAGACGACUGAUGAGUCACGUUUGGCGGUACGGGAAAAUGGGAUUUGGCCAUUUGGGAAUAUUAGAACCCAUAUAAGUUGGAUUGGAUAAAUCAUUAAAUGGAUUACGGUUAUGGAUAUAUGGAAUACGGAUAUAGUGAAUGGAUUUGGGCUUGUCAGCUACUAUUGGAAAAUUGAGUCUGGCUGUCUGGUAGUUGUUAGGUUAUUAAAAAAAUCCCAAAUUUGUGGGGUCAUUUGACCCCACAUGACCCUAUGUGGGUCCAUCCCUACAAAUAAUGUCUAUUUAUCUAAAAAUAUCAUAUUUUCUAUUUCAUAAAUUGGGAAUGAUUCAUGCAAAUCAUGAUCAGCUUCAAUUUUGUUGUUGAAUAUUCGUCCUUCAUUGAUCCGAUGUUCAAUCUUCAAUCAAUUUACAAGAUUCUCAAAAUUGUAAGAGUUAAAAAAAAAAUAGAUAAAUCAUGUGUCCCGUAGGCUCACAGCUUUGAAUCUAAUUGAAAAGAUAAUUAAAUUAAAUGAUGGAGUCGUAAUCCACCUAUCUUUUUAUAGACAUGAAAUUACAAAAUACAUCAAGAACUAGUCACAAAUAAUUAGAUCACAGUUUAAAAUAAGUCAAUCAUUACAUAAUUAAAUAUUUGUAGAUAUCGCUCGGCUAGAACAUUCAAUCAAGAUUCAAAAAUAAUAAGCACGUGGACGACAAAAUUGCUUCGAUACCAGUUGUGAGAAUGCAGAAGCCAAAUUACUCAGAAAUUUAAAAAAAAUUAAAUUCAAUAAACAAGAUCGUCUAGAUGUUCACGUGUACGUUAUUCAAGAAUAAAUGAUUCGAAUCGUUUCCUAAAUUCGAUUGGUAAUUUUUGAAUUAAUUUUAAAUCACAAACUUCCAUACUUUUGGAUUACGGGCUUCCAGUUUUUAUUUGCAAGAACUCGAUGUUUCAAAUCUCCAAGUCUUUUAUGGUGUUCUCCAAAGUCAAUACUACACAAUUGGCGGGCACAUUAUUUUAAUAAAAUCAAGAGAUUAAUUCUUGGACGGGAUAAAUUGAACAAAAUAAGAACAUAAUUAUUUUCUCUUUCCAGAUUUGAAUACUUUGGAAUUAUGCAUUUUGAUUGCUGUAUUCUAUAGGAUAUCUAGGUUCCAUUAAUCUCUAUUUAUAGAGAAUAAAAUAUUUUCAAUCCUUUGUACAAUAAUAAUUCAACAUUUAAAUAUAAGUCCUAAUUAAUAUCUAAAUAGGAGUUUUAAUUAAAGUUCACAUCCAAUUAAUUUACAUUUAAUUACUUGUAUAGUCAUAGAACUUCAAUUGCAAUUAUAAUUAAGUUUUCAACUUUUACAGCAAUAGUGGAUUUGUUUCUGCCUUUUGUUGAAUCUUUUCCAUGGCUCUGCUUUUACUUGAGAGGGGGCGGGGUGUGCUCUUGGCAUAGAGAAUAUCACUUAUUCUAGUGUUCUAAUCCUUAAAAUCAGGUACAAAAUUGAUUGGUGGUAGAGUCGUGAAAACUUUUAUUUCUUCCAUAUUUUAGACCUUAGCUCGACAUUCACUAUUAAGAUGAGAUAUCAUUAUCUCUAUCUCACACUAAAGGGAAAUUAACAACAAAUAUUAAGUCCAAAAUUAUUAUAAUUAUAGUAAUUAAGACCCAAUACUUUACAGAGCUACCACCGGGAUCUGAUGGGACAUAUAUUAUCCAAGUCCAAUAAUUAGAUCCUGUCUAGUCGGCCGUAGACCACUCAUUCUAAUUAUUAUUCUUUCUUUUUUCACUAGAGGUAAAAGAUUGAACUCUUGGGAAAUAUAAGAUUAAAAAAAUCAAUAAAUCUUUAAUACUUUCCUUUAUCAAUAAAUAUAGAUUUAAUAAUUAGAUACGAACAUAAAUGACCAUUUUGCUGUUCUAAUUAUUCUCAACAACUAAGUAUCAUUUUCUUCAGUUGUUAUGUGCACAAUUCAUAGAUGUCGAAGUUUAGUUAUCACUAAGCACUGAACUAAGAUUUUAAUUUUUCAAUAGAAAAUAAUUAAGUAGUUACUCUAUCCAUUUUUCAAGGGCGAUGGUUCUCGAUAUCAAUUCAUAUUCUCUACUUCGCUCAUUUUGAACUCCCAACUUACCGAGAUAUUUGAUCAAUCAAAUUGAUCUCACCUAUUGAUAAGGCAAAGAAUCAUUAAAAUCACAAAAAGAUAUAGGUAACCUUAUCAAAGUAUCCAGUGAAAUACACAGCGAUCAAAAGAAAUUUAGUUCUCUGUACCGUUAUGCCAAAGAAUUAAACUCGACACAUGGUCCAUUAAAUAUACUUCAAGUGUACUAGUGUCACCUUUAACUAUAUCUAUGAUAAGAACAAAUUGCAAAUCCGAAUAGUGAAUUGGUCAAUAUCACAAUCUUUUAAUACAAGAUGUCAACCCUUAUACAUUGACUGUGAAUAAAUUAUUUAUGAUCAAAAUUUAAGUUGUGCUACACUGUAUUUCUCAACACAAGUAUCCAACUUAUAUUAUAUCAAGUGAUUAGAUGCACUUUAAUUCUCAUGCUCAAUAAUAAAUAAAUGCAAUAAAAAAAUAAAAUCACUUUAUUAUGAAUUAUUAUUUUAUCAUAAUAAAAUAUACUAUAUGGACACACAAUCCAACAGCUGCCUAUGUCCCACAACUUUUAACGACUUGCCAAUAUUCUUUGAACCUCAAGAAAUUCUCCAUGUGAGUGCUCCAAUGAUCAUAAUGACUAUCAAAGCGUGCAGUUGCAAGUUGAACAAAAUUUUCAGAGGCAAUUUGGAAACGACUGCUGCAAAGAAAGAAAAAAUUUAUUGCCACAGCACACUUUCUUUCUCACAUUUCCAUAACUAGGCUCUGUACCACUAUUAUAAAUUGAAAAUUAAAUACGAAAUGUGAAUGGAGAAAAAAAAAAACUUUCAUACUAUUGGCUUAUUCAAUUAACAAAAUGGCCCUUUAAAUAGACAAUACAUCAUUAAAAAUAAGCUGAAAAAUCGCAACUGACGCUCUAUGAUGUGAUAUAAAACUAGCAAAAAUGACUAUAACUAGGACAACAUAACACAAUAUAACAAACCACGUGAAAGACAAAUUUGACAAUCCAUAACAAAUACGAAUUAUAAUCCACUGAAGCCCCUUUGUUGGAAAAUAAAAAUGUCAUAUAAUUAAGACCAGGUACCAUAUGCAUUAUUGUUUUAUUGAUUAAUAAUAAUGUACUUUGAAACGGUUCCGUCCAUACCCACCACAAAUAAAUAAAGGACCUUAAUCAUUUGGUACCAUCAAUGUUCCAACUUUCAAAGCCUUAAUUUUUUGCGUUAUAUUUGAUCUUCGAACCUAAAAUUCGACAAGAUUAAAGAAGAAAGAGACUUAAGAUUGCUUGUCAAUUGUUUUAUUUAUGCAGGGCAACUCGUGUGAAUUAAUAAAUUAAAUUAUAAACUCAAACGAUCUUCUAAUUUUAUCUUUGUUUAUAAGAUUUACGAGAAAAUUAAGCUUGAGAACCCUCAAUUCAAAAGAAUGUCAAAAGCAAAAAUGUUGAGAGGCUCAAAUUUAUUCAAUAAUCCAAGAUUGAGUCGACCCUAGUGGACAUCAUUUAUAUAGUUCAAAAUUUAGUCUUCAUGAGGGCUAGGGACCUUGCUUGGGUGAAGCUCAGAUUUUGUUAGAAAAAUAUGGUUCUUUGUCGAAAUCCAACUCUGUUUAACUAGCACUUAGCUGUUGAUCUAAAACCGAAUAAGAAUUUGUUUUAAACUUAAAAUGUUCUCUAGAUUAGUAGAAGGCAUAUCCAACUGAAGUGUGCACACGUAAAAUAAGAAGAAUAGGUUUUUUAGAAUAGUUAUGCUUGUGAGCAUUGAAAGUAACACUCCAUCAAUGCUCUACAUGGUUUUCCAUUAAUUUUUGUAGACGGGUCUCGAGAUGGUCCCAAGUUUCUUUGAGGUUCACGUGUGGUCUUACUUGGGAUGUUUCGUUAUUCAUCUAUUGUUCUUUUUUGAGGAUGGGGACGGAGUUGGAAUGUUCUUUGGUAGUUUUCAAAAGUAAAUUAUGUAUAUUUUUAAAUUACUUAUAUUAUCAAAAAUAAUUUUUCAAGUUGUUCUAUGUGCUAAAAAAAAGUUAUUGUUUUAAGGGAAAUUUUCAACAUUGAUACAAGUGAAUCUAGAGACUCCAAAAAUAAAGUGAAAAAGCUAUUAUAAAUGUACUCCAUGGGAAACUAUAUGUUCAGAGUUCCUUCCAUUUAUAUUUCCUAUCCUGGAAUUGUGCACUAUGCGUAGUUGAAAGACAUGAAAUGUUGUGAUUUACAUCCAUUAAUUCUUGCACUUUUACGAUUAAUUAACACAUAAAUGUGCUAAGUACCCUUAUAUUGUGAUUUAGGUUGCAUUUGGAUGAUCAUGAAAUAAAAUAGAAGAAAAGAGAGAAAAAGGACUUAAAUGGAAGAAAUUGAAAGUUCAAGGACCAAUUUGCAAAUAAUCUCUAGAUGAGACGAGCAAUGGAAUGAAGAUUAAAGAUGGUGCGGGAUCAAUUGGAUGCAAUUAGAAGUUGAAGGGUUGAAAUUGCAAGAAGAAUGAUUUAAAAGAAUCAAAAAUGGAAUUCGAGAUUAAAAUACAACUUUUAGAAGAAAUUUUGCCUGGGCAACAGCCCAGUUAUAAAGUUCGAGCUACUGUCCAACACUAAAAAUCAAUUACUGAAGCCAAAAGCCAUGCCUGAACGACUGCCCGAGUUUUGCAUGAGCGACAGCCCAAGUCAAUUGUGACGAGAAAAAUUUGGUUUCCUUUUCUGAUUGAAAUUUUUAUGGAAACAAAUCUUGUACAUGAUAUACCCAAAAUCUCGUCCAAAACCUAGAGAAUGCCCCUAGCCCUAUUUUUUUUCUCUCUCUUUGUGCUCAAGAUCCAUGAUGUGCAACUAAUUUCUUUUGCUUGAUCGAAGGAGACGGAAGCCUUGGACCAAUUAUAACUGUGAGAUCCAUUUGAUUUUUAUUGAUUAAUUCAUAUAUUUAGUGUUAAAUCUUCUUUUGCACUUACUUCUAUGAUUGUUGUGUUUAAUUUCUAGAGUGCACGCAAGUUUAUUAGUUUCAAUAAUCUAUAGCUAAGUUAAAUAUCAAAUUCGUAAUUAUUUGAUUAAUUUAACUUAUGAAGCAACUAACAUUAGUAAUUUGCUGCUUUAGAAAAUUAUUAGAUCUUAGGGAGAAGUUUUAUGUAGGUUAAAUGCAAACUCUUGGCUUGGGUUAUCUAGUUCAUUGAUUUCUCUAAUUCGCAAAGCCAUUAUGAAAUUAAAUUCUCGCACUUGUCUAGGAUUGUUUGAUAAUGAGGAUUAAUUAGAUUGCUUGUUUCUAAUUAAUUAAAACUAAGGAAAAAUAGGAAAAUUGUUUCGAAUGAGAAAUUUAUUUUUCACAAUGAAGGCUACAAUUAUGAAUUGAUGAUUAUUGGUAGAUCAAUGACCGGUUAUUAAUUUCCAACGGUGUAUAUGACGUAGAUCAAGGUUUGUUUUAUUGCUUAUAUUUAAUUAGGUGAUUUGUAUUAUUUCAAGAAAAUCAAAAUCCCCUAUUUUAGUUAAUAUUGCAUCAAAAAGUAAAUUAACCACUCUUCGUGGGAUCGACCCUUACUUCCACUACUACAUUAAUUUUAAGAAGUAUAUGCUUUAAUUUGGAGUGCCUACGACAGCACGCAUCAUUAGUGUGCUCCCAAAUUUGACUUAAGGUCGCAUUUCAAGAAAUGUGACUUUGCAAAUGGAGGCCUUUUAUGAGAUUUUGACACUUGGCACAAUCCUGACCAUUUGAUGACGAUUUAGGAUGGUUUUAGGGUUUGUCUAUAUGUACAUUGGGGUUGACAUGUACCAACCCCUUAGAAGAGGGAGGCCACGAUUUUUUUAUUUGUCGUGGGGCCCCCUAUUGUGAGGGGGUCUGUGCACCAGGGUAUUAACAUCGGUAUACAAAUAGAAAAACCUGUAGUUUUAUUGCCUUUACUCUCUGUUGUUUCACUUGAAAUACUUCAUUCUACCUUUUCAGAUUUCUGCAAAGAGAGAGUUUACGCUCGUUUGGUAAGGGUUUCAUCUUGAAUCAUUUUCUCUCUUGAAAAUCUCAUUCGCAAUUGAGAUCAAUGUUUUACUUCCUUUGAUUCUUGUAUUUUCUGAGUGGUUCCUAUAUUGUGUUGUUCAAAGUAUUGUUUUGAGGCUUCUUUUAUGAUUCCUUGAGUAGAUUUUCAGUUUCAUCUUUGAGAAGAUAACUAUUGUGACUUUAUCUUGUAUUGGUUCAACGUUUAUAAGCUUUGUUUUCUUUCAAAGUUAAAUAGUGCAAUCGAGCAUUAUCCAUUUUAUAUGGAUAAUCAAUAGGGGAUUAGGUAUUAGAAGCAAUCAUCGAACCCUCGGAGCUUCAGCCGAAACAAUUCUUUGUGUUGAUUUUCAUUUCUUGCAAGCUUAUUUUCUACACUUAGUUUUAAGUUUGACAAAUAAGUUAUACCUUGUUGUUUUUGGGCAUUUGAGUAGUAUUAGAGCUUGGAUCUUGAAUUGCAAAACCAGCUCUUCAAGGAAACUAAAGAUCUUAAAGGGACCUCAAAUUUUUGUGCACCGUUUUGAAGGAAUCUGAGUUUUCUUAUAAAACUCACUUGAUAAGAUUUUUUAAAAUUAUGCAACCUGCAAUUUUAAAAAAUUAGGGUUUCUUGCUUUUUUCCUUAAUUUACAAUACCAUUACAAAAUAUCCCCUGGAUACUAUUAUUUGCCCAAAGUCUCUUAUGAGGUUUUGGAAAUCUGAGAUUAAUCUAGUACUGGUGUAUAACGGGAGGAAUAAAAAUUUGCGAUCUAUAUUUGUGAUUCUUGUGAUAUUUUUUGUUGCCUGUCCACUGUUAAGUACAUAUUCUUUGACUAAGUAAAAACUCUUGUAUGUAACUCGAAAUAUUAUACCAUUACGUGCACUAUUGUGAUCUUAAACUGAUCUUGUUUAAGUGUUGGUUCUUUACCGUGUGUCUUUCCCUAUCUCUAGUUAAACUUGCUUGUCAGUUUCUUAUUUGUGAUGGCCAUUGCUAAGUUCGAAAUGAGUCAGUAUGAUGGGAGGGGGAUUUUAAUAUGUGGAGUCAGAAAAAGAAAGGUAUCUUGAUGCAAAUGAGAUAUGCUAAGGCCUUAGAUAAUACUUGGCCUACUAGUAUGAUCCCUGCUAAAAAGAAAACAUUGCUUAGAGUACUAUGUUUUGUACCUUUCUAAAAUGUGAUUAGAACCAUUGGUGAAACUAAAACUGUUAUUGAACUUUGGACCAAUUGCAGGCUCAGUAUAUUACCAAAACUGUUCCAAAUAAGUGCUAUUUGUUGACAAAGUUCCUUUUUUUUUUUAAAUGGAUCCUCUAUUGACUUGGAUUAAAACUUGAAUAGAUUUAUAAAACUUACCAAGACGUAGCUUUUUGUGAUGAAAAACUUUCAAAAGAUCAAUUGGUUAUGGUCUUAUCAAACUCCAUUAGUGACAAUCACAGAGACCUCAAUAAUAUCCUUAAAUAUGGUACGGAUGAAAUCACUAUUGAUAUUAUAAUCAGUGCCCUUAGAAAUAGAAUUCUUGAAAUAAAAUCUAAAUUUAAAGAUCGUCAAAAUGGAGAAAAUUUAUUGGUUAAGGGUAGGAGCAUUGGUAAAUCUAAUUAUCACUCUAAAGGCAACAAUGAGUGUAAAAAGAAAUGGAGUGAUGAGAAUAAACUCUAAAUAUGUUUGACAUGUAUGACUGUAAACUUGUAACUUUCCCAUUAAUCAAUCAUUUUAAAAUUUCCUCCAAUUGCUGCCCUAAAACUGAGGAAGUGUAUGAUAGAAUGUCUAAAAUUCCUUAUGCAGAUGUUAUUGGGUCUAUCAUAUACUUGAUGAUAUACACUAGACCUGAUCUUGUUUAUAGCGUUAGUGUACCUGGCAAAUUUAUAAGUAACCCAAGGGAAGAACAUUGGGAUGCAUUAAAAUAGCUUUUGAAAUAUCUGAAAAGAACUUUGAUUUAGGAUUUAUGUUUAAAAUGAGGAGGUAACUUCAAAAGGUUGUACUAAUUUUGACUUUAUUGGAGAUAGGGAUAAUAGGAGAUUAACUUCAUCCUAUUUAUUGCGUGGAAGUUUCAAGAGAUCUUGAAUUCAAGCUCAGAAAAACCACUAAACGAAUACCACCCGACCUCGGCUCAACCAACACCCUUCUUUCACUUGGACUGGUUCAAGAUUUCUUACCCACAAAGGAUGAUGGUCGUGGUGACUACAAUAUAAAGCAAAGAAUGAAGCAACAGUGGUUGAGUUUCUCAAAACUCACGCCAAAAGUGUAUGUUGAUGUUCAUUUAAUGGUUUCUUGAGCCAAGAUUAAAGAUUUCUCAAAGUUUCUAAUAAUAAAUGGUAUCAGAGCUUAUGUUAUUGAGAAAUUUGUGAUUUUUUGGGUCAAAGAUCGACUGUAAAGGGCUAAAAAUGAAGCUGGAACAUGGUAGAAAGUAGGGAAAAAAAUCUAGAUACAUUGAAAAUCAUCUCUGUCGGAAUUUUUUUAUUUUUUGCAUUUCUCGGCCAGACAACUCAUCGUUUGGAGAAACCAACGCCAUAUGAAGACUGCGCAAGUGGAGGAGCACCUGGGAGACUGGCCUGUGAAGCUCUGGCAUGACGAUAGUUAGGCCACCUGCAAAGACAGAAGUCUCAUGUAGUGAAAGUCUGGCAGAGUUUGGUAACAACACUUGAAGACAAAAUAUUGCUGACAACGAGGUAGACCUUGCGAUGGUGCUUAUUUUCUGUUUGGUCAAAAUAGUUAAAUCUAGACGAUUUUGCCCUUGGACAUUGGGGUGUCGAUGCUUUUUUUGUUUGCUGUAGUUUCUGGAGGCUUUAAAGCGAAUGGUGGUGGCCCUAAAGUGAUGAAUUUUGUAUAUUUCUUUGUUUACAAACAAGCAAAUAUUGUCCACUCGGUAUCAUGUUCUUUCCCUUUUUUAUUACAAUUACGGCUAUCAUGGGGGUAGCCACCUACUUUUCACAUUAGAAGCCAAUGUGUGGGGUAACAUUAGGUUUGAGGCUACCGUGUGGGAAUAACCAUUGUCUGUUGCUAAACCUAAGAAUUAUUUUUUAAUUAUUUACCUUAAAUUCUUUGUGAAUUUAUUACUAAAUGUUUGUACACUGCUAGAAUUUCAUGUGACCUUAGAGAAGUUUGUUUGAUUAUUCGGUGUGAAUUGUGUCGUUACUUUGCUUGUGGUCAUAUUUGGUGUUGAUGGCAAAUGUAUGUCUAAGACAAUUGCAAAAAGUAAUGCAUUUUUGAACAUCAAUAUUUCGGACAUGUUGAAAGAGAUUGUCGUAGGAAGGAUAAUAGAAGGAAAAAUAAAGAGAGAGGUGAGGUAAAUGUUGCCACUGGGUUUGGCUAUGAUCCAAGUGAGGUUUAUUAAGAGUAAACUUGAAUAUUGUAUGUUCAUUUGUGUACAAUCCUUUCUCAUGUAUGGCCGCUUAAUUUUAUUAAGAUGUUAUAUGUUACAUUUUCAAUCUGUUUGACAUGUUUAAUUGCAUGAAUAAAGAGUAAUCUUAAUGCGUUUGUAUACAUAGCGUGUUGACGUCUAUGUCAUACUCUUUUUGCUCUAUGGUUGGUACAGGAAAGUGUGGUAGUGAAAAGAAAAAGGGGCCGCUACUUUCUCCUUUACAUUUGUGAGUCUAUGUCAUUUGUGAUAUUAUAUAGGGUAGCCAGGUGUAGGUUAUCCUCUUUCUCUUUAUGAGCCUUUUUAGUAAUGCAAUAAAGAACUAACUAUUUCUUAUAUUUUCUUUGUGAGUGCCACAUACACCCUUCUCUCUGUGAACUUCUUGAGAUUUAAUGAGGAAGAAAUCUUUUGGUACGUUGGUCAAUUUAAACUGAGCCCUAACCUUUGUGGUCACCAAAGGUGUCAAUUUUGUUGUAGUGGUGCUAACAGUAAGCGGGCUGUGUUUCAUUUGGUAAUGUGAAGUAUAGAUACCUGAGGCUGCAUUGGCGAUAUACACGGAUAUGUGGAGAGUGAAAUUUGGAUCACGAGUAAAAAUGUGAUAUAAUGUCCGGAAUCCUCUAUCUAUGAAAGACCUUGUACAAGUAAAGUGUGAAAGAGACACUUUUAUCACUUCUGUUAAGUAGAGACACAUUAUCCACUUAGGUUGAGACAAAUGAGGUAGUGACAGAAGAUUAUCUUGUGGAUUUAAAAUCUAUUGUGGUUUAACAAUUAGACAUGAAUUUAGUGAUCAAUCUAGUGAGCAUGGUGGACAGUGAGAGAAGAUAUAUGUUCUCGAGGUACAAGCAAUACGAAAUGAGAUAGGAUAAGUGUAGUGAGAUCUUUUCAUGGGGUUAUUUAUGCACUUGUUGCAUAUGUGUUAGUCGUUUGAUUGAUUAACUUGAUAUUAGUUUACUAUUUUGUUUAAACAUAUUUGAAAGGACUUGUAUGUUAUCCUAUUUUAUAUCUUCAUCACAUGUUUAAAUGCUUUUAAUUGAUUACUAUGAUUACUUGCUCCUAUUUGGGUAUUUUUUGAAAUCGGCCCUGAUUAGUGCAUUGAACAGGUAUGGUACGUCUUUCGGGUCGAAAACAUGAGUUAAGGUCUGUGAUUUCGACGAUGGUGUGAUUUAAUCGUUGUGUGGAAGCUUCGAAAAAUCUUUAAUACGGUCUCAGAAAAACCACCAAACGUAUCACCUGAGCUUUGCUCGACCCACAACUUUACACUUGGUUGUCUUCUUUCCAACACCCACAAAGGAUAGAACUUUGGUAAUUAAUGUGUACCCACAAAGGAAAAAGAGAAUAAAUGAAGGAAUGGUUAAACUCAAAUUUUACCUAAGUUGGUUACUGCACGUUUUCUCUUCACAAUUGCACAUUAACUCACGGCUGCAAAAAAUGAAGAGAUAAUGGAUGUAUACAGCAUUAGGUUAGAUUCCAAACUUGGGCCAAAUACUUUCAAUGGGCUAAGACAGAUAACAACUAGGAAAAAUUCAUAAAUAAGAUGUUAACUAUCACAUAUUUCAAAAUUAAGAACAAAAGUUUCAAAUUUAAAAAAUCAAAUAUUUAUUACAAUUUAUUUAUUAUUUAUUUAAUUAAUUAUAUAUUUAAUUAAUUAAAUAUAUAAAAGUCACCGAUGUAUGCAAUUUGGUCACAAAUUCACAAAUUUAGUUAUUUACAUAUUAUUUUUCGAUCACAGAUCAAAAUUUUAAUAUGUCAAAAAUUAUUUUAUGAUCACAAUUCAAAAAUUUUAUACGCCAUAAUUCGUUCAUCAAUCACAAAUCACGAAUAUUAUAAGUCACAACUUAUUGCACAACUUAUUGGAAAGUCACAAAUUAACAAUUUUUUAAGUCACACAUUAUUUCUUGGUCAUAGUUCAUCUCUUUCAUUAAUCACAUAUCAUUUAUUGAUCACAGAUUAAUUUAAUGGUCACGGUCAACCGAAUGAUUUGUGACUACCAUUAAUGCUUGUGACAACCAACUCACCACUGCCUCCAACAGCAUCACCAUAACCGUCGUCGUCGCAGCCUGAACCUCCAUCACCUACUACAACAAAUCUAACACAUUGCCAAAAAAAAAAAAAAAAAAAAAAAAAAAAAAAAAAUUAAUUUGUGACUACCAUUAAUGCUUGUGACAACCAACUCACCACUGCCUCCAACAGCAUCACCAUAACCGUCGUCGUCGCAGCCUGAACCUCCAUCACCUACUACAACAAAUCUAACACAUUGCCAAAAAAAAAAAAAAAACAAAACAAAACAAAACAAUUCAUUGCACCAAAUCCAUCGCUACCUUACCGCCACAACCACCGACAAACAACCAUUUUCAACUACAAAACCACCACCCAUCAACACAUCUAUGCCAGAUUCACUAACACCACCACCUCCAUCAACAAAACCACCAAUCCACCACCGAUCUAACACCACCAAACCCAAAUAAUUAGUCACAACCCACCUCUAGAACCACAACCUGGCUACUACAGCACCCGCAAAACGACCACACCAUCAUCGUACAUAUAGCACACAGCCAUUGCCAUCGUUAUAUCCAUCUCUUCUAUCUCAGUCAACACAACAACACUUCCACGCCCCAAACAAAAAAUCCACAAACUUACCGCUACCAUUGCACAUAAUACCACCUACGCCACUGUAGGCAAAAACACCACAAAACUAACGUAAUAAGAUAAAAGGAAUAGCCCGAACUCCAUCUUUGGUUGCCACACUACAGAAACAGUAAGUGGUGCUGUAAUCUUGACAUAGAAGUGAGGCAAAUGGCGUCCAAAUCUCAGGCAAAUGGCAUCCAGAGCAUGAGGGGUUGCUGCCCAUCGCUCACACAACAUCGAUAGCGUCGUGUGAGUGCAGCACCGCCAAUGUGAGGAUAAAGACAGAAAAGGAGAGAAACGAGAUAUAGAGAGAUAAAUGAUGUGAAAAUCAAUUAGGUUUUGGGAUGAAAAUUGUAUAUUUCAUAUUUAAAUAUGAAAUAUCUGAUUUGUAAAAUAUGAAACGUCCCACUUACUUUUAGAACAUAGAUCUUUAAAAGCAAAGUGGGGUAUGAUUUCCUCUAACCCUCUAACAACCAACCAAUUAGUUGGGUUAACACACAUAUCACUCUCCAAACCUAAACAACAAAUGGGAUAACUCACAAAUGGGUUGUCCUGAAUGAAUUGGUAGUUUUUGAGCCAAGCCAAGCACUAUGGUGUCGAUGAAUUAUCCAACAUAUAUUUUAAAUCAUAGCCAAAAAUUUAUUUGGUAUAAAAAAUCCAACACUAUUUUUAUACAGUUUGUGGUACUAUUAUAAUUUGGAAAUCACAACUUCAAAUGGUUGUGUCUCUAUCUUCAACAAAGGCAGAAUAUAUUGUUUCCAUCGAUGCCAUUAAAGAAGGUAUUUGGUUAAGUGAUUUGUUAGGUGAACUUGAUUUUGUUGAUGAAAAUACAAUACUAUUUUUAAAUGACCAAAUUGUCAUACAUUUGAGAAUAAAAUCCCAUGUUUUAUGAUAAAACUAAGCACAUGGAUAUUAAAUAUUGCUUCAUAAAAGACUUCAUUUCAAAAGGGAUACUUAAAUGGUAAAUUGUUACUCAAUUUAAUCCUUCAGAUAUAGGUACCAAAGUAAUACCUUUAAGUAAGUUUCAAAAUUGCUUGAAGUUAUAUGAAAUAUAAAUUUGAAAAAUCGAGAGAGUGCUUAUGUUGUUUCAUUCAAAGUGUUGGUUUGAGGGUUAUUUUGUGAUUUCUUGAGUAAAUCUACAGUUUCAUCUUUGACAAGAUUAGUAUUGUGACUUUAUCUUGUAUUAGUUGAAUUAUUGUAACCUUCAUUGCCGUUUUUGGGUAAAUAGUACAAUCGAGUAUUAUCCAUUUCAUAUGGACGUUCAACAAAGAUUAGGUGUUAGAAGUGGUUACUGACUUUGGGACUUCGACUGAAACAAUUCUUUAUGUUAAUUUUCAUUUCAUGCAACUUUAUUUUCUGUACUUAGUUUUGAGUUUGACAAAUCGCUUAUAGUUUGUGUCUUUGGGCAUUUCAUCCUCUAACAUGCAUUGACUGUAUACUUUGGAUUCGCUUAUCAUAUCCAAAAAAGGAAAGAAAUAUGCAUGUAUACAUUUGGUACGCUUCACUAUGAAGAAAGAAAGAAAUAACAAUCCCCCCUCAUGAUGUGGCCGAGUUGGUGUGAGCGCGGCGGCUUUUAGUCACAAGUUCGAUUCCCCCUAUCAACACUUUCUCGAUCAAAUUUGUCGCAUCGGGCUUGUCUAGUUCAAUUUACCUAGCUCGCUAUUACGUCAGCUCGAGGGCUUAACCAGUACGCACCCGAAAAGUAGCAGCUGUGAGUUCCCCGUCAUAAAAAUAAAAAAAAUAAUAAAUAAUAAUAAAGAAAUAACAAUCAAAAAGUGUAUAGACACUGAAGAGGAUGUUGUCAUCCAUCCCGUCUAUCUCGUUUCUAGAAUGGAUUGACGAACUAAAAUAUUGCUCUAUUGAAAUUCUAUUAUAAUUGUCAAUUAUCCCGUCCAACCCACCUAGGAUGAUCGAGCACAAAAAUGUAAAAUUUGAUAAACUUAACCUGGAACUUAUUGUCUGAACUUGACAGCUCUGAGAUGAAUCAUCAACAUAUAUAUUUGUUCAUACUUUCUACAUUGUACAAUGGAAUUUUAAAAUCAACAUAAAUAUGUUGGUUGAGUCAAAUAUACAAUAUAUCAAGCAUGCCUAUAGAAGUAGAAGUGAAAUUACUAAAAAUAUGAAUCUCCAAACUUAUUCAAGGGAUUUUAUUUUCUCACCCAUGGCAAUGGAUUUCUUGCAAUGAGCAAUCGCUGCUUGAAUUGCACUCUGCAACUCUUCCUUAGUACUGUCACAUGCUGCGGUAGGAGUAAGAGUUCCAUUUGCUACUAAUAGACCAUUGUUUGUUGGAGAUAUUCUCACUGAACUUGGUUCUGAAAACUCCCCCCUUCUUCCUCUCAACUUUGGCUUCCCCCUAAUGAGUAAAUUUCAGGAAAAUGAAUAGGAUUGCCUGUGUAAUUUAUUCCCUCUUCUAAAGAUCAGACGGGGUCGAGCCAUUCUCGCGUAUCUCUUCAAAAACCGACUUACAUUGAAUUUUAACUUCUUUUUCUGCCUUUCUUUACAUUCCUUUUCUCCUUUUCGCCAUUUCAAUAAGCUAAACAAAGAAAAAGGCUUGGAAUUUGCUCUUCCUUUAGCAUCAAGCUGGGAUCAAUAUCGUUGUCAGUACUGUUGAUUGUCUGAAUGGAUUCUAAUUCUUUUAUGGAUAGGGUAAAACUAUCCAAAGAGUUGUUCAAAGAACGAGGGGAUACCGGAAGGUGGGAGAGUAGAUGGAGAGGAAGCAAAUGGCCAUGGAAAAAUAUAUCAUCUGCUGGAGAUAAAUCUACGGCGAAUGAAGAAGUGUUCUUAUUAUUUUCUGAGGUUUUUGCAGGGGCUGAAGGAUGAAGAGAAAUGGUGAAGGAGAAUUCAUGAGAAGGAGAUGAAGAAGCUGAAGGUGGCAAGGUUGCUGCAAUUGGUUGCAGCUGAUUACUCUCUCUCUCUCUGCUGAUUUUCUUCAUGCUUCUCUCUCAUCUUAUGAUGAUGUUUGUCUAUGCUUCAAUGCUAAAAGAUAUGUCGGAUCUGAAGUUUUUCUUGACUUGCUUUGAUAUGAUAUUCUCUGGUUAGAAAUGUGAGGAAAUAUUUUUGAAGGGAUAAAGAUGUUAGGAAGUAAUAUAGUUCGUGUGUGAGUAUCAAGAGGAUAUGUAGGGCUAACGGGUAGGCGUUGGAUGUGGGUAUGGGGUUACGGAGUGGGACAGGGUUUCAUUUGUUUUUUGAAGGGAAGGGGACUGUUCUCGGCAGGUUUGUUAAAUGAAAUCCGUAUUUAAUAGUGCGUUUCAUAUGGACUCGAUGGGACAUAAUAAUAAUAAUAAUAAUAAUAAUAAUAAUAAUAAUAAUAAUAAUAAUAAUAAUAAUAUUGAAAGUGCUUAUGAACAGUCUAAAUUAUAAAUUAAUUAAAAUAUUGAUAAAUAAGUGGAUAAUUUUUAUAAAUCUUAUAAAAUUGUAGAAUAAGGAGAAAUUUGACCAACUAUAAUCAUUAUCCAAGCAUGAGUUCAAAAAUUUACAGAUAAUUAAAAUUUUAUAUUGUCGUAAAAUAUCCGAUAAUAAUGACUGAUUAGUUGAUAUUAUUAUGCCCAUGUUUGGUUUCACUAAAAAUUUAGAUUAAAAUUAAAGUUAAAGUCAACAAUUAAUUUUAACUACACAUUUUAUAAGACUCAUAACUUUUCAUCCAAAAAUCCCAUUAUCUUUUACCAAAAUUUUCAAAAAAAUCUGAUUUUAUCUAAACUAAACAAGGGCCAGAAGGAUAGAUAACUUUCCUACCUUAGAAGAAUGUUUUCUAUUCAAAUUGUCACUCAUUGAAACCUUAUAUAUAACAGUCAGUGUUAUGAUGAAAUUCACACGAGUUUUGAUACCCUUAUUUUCUUCUAUUGUUCUUGCUUUUCUUCUUAAUUUAAUAGCAUGUUAUCAGCACGAGUUCUAGUGAAUUUAACUAGGAAAAAAAAAUUCCCCUGCAAAAGACAAGUUAAGAAUCCGGUAUGAUAAAUUUGAUUAUGCAAUCUUAAUAUGAAAAUUAGUUACGAAAAAUUUAAGAUAUGCAUUUUGUCAUUACUUGUGAAAAAGAAUGAUCUAAUAUUCAAUUAAAUUUUUUUUUUUAUUUUGUGGCCUAAUAUUCAAUUAGAAUUUGUGGGGGUGGAUAUUGCAUUGUUGCUCCUGUAGACCACAAACUUAAAUAUCAAUAUCUAUAAAAUAUAUUAUAUGGCUCAAAAAUAUAUACACAUAUAUUUCAAAAGAAUAUGGUGUCGUUCAUGAAAAACAUAAAACUUAUUUCAUUGUGUUUAUGGAGAAGUACAAACUAAACGAUUAAGUAUAGUGGUAUAGUGUUGUAAUUCUUGAAGAAAACACUUUAUUAUUUUAUAAUAUUUAUAUGGUACAUUAUGUUAAUACUUCGGAGGAAGUAUAGUUUUCCUGCAAUAUUGUGAAAUAAUAUUUUGUUUUUAAUCUUGAUGAAACAGGAGUUUAUAUUGUAUUAUUGCUCCAGAAGAAAAAUAGAUUUCUUAUUUAUCAAUAUUUUUUAAAAACAUAGUGAUAUUCUUGAAUAAUAAAUUUUAUACAAACUAAUAUCCUACAUAAUUUGAAAUUUUAAAAUUUUCAUAAAAAGCUCUAGAAGGGCCAAAAGUUUAUCAUAUGGGUGAACAAAAUGUAAUACUACAUUAAUUUUCUCCCCAUUUCAAAUGAAUAAUGAUAUUAAAAAUUCACAUAAAUAUUAAUUAAAGAACCAAAAAAUUCUUUCAAUGAAUUCCUUGUGUUUUUAUUCUCAUGAUAUAAUGUUGUAAUGUGACCCAAAUUCUUGUGGUUAUUGGUGUUUUAGUUGAAGUGGUCUUGUAGAAAUCAAAAUUAUAGACAAUGAAGAAAAGUUGUUGUAUUUUCGCUAGCCUAACACUAGUUGGCAGCUCGGGCUGCACCAACAUAUUUUGAAUAGAAAUUUUUCACCCUUUUGGUGCUCAAACGAUGGGGCUGUCACCAUCUUUCGCCCCCCGUAGCUUGAGCGAUGGGGUCAUUAGUGCAGCCCCUCUUUCCAAGUUUUAAUGUCUUUUGGACUCUUGUUUAUCUUCAACUCAGUUUCUAGGGUUUUAUAUAAAUAAGCCACUACUUAUAUUGUUCAGAUAACACUCAUACAACAUCUUGAGAGCUUUAGAUCUUAAUUGAGAGCAUUGAAAUUUUGUUGUAAACAAAUUGCUAUUGCCAAUAGUGGAUUUCUCCUCCUCAACCCAUGGUUUUUUGCCAUGUUAAGUUUUCACGUAAAUCUUGCUGUUAUUUAUUUUGUUCUUGUUUAUUUCAUUACUGUCAUAAACUUUCGAUCAAAUUCGCAACAAGUGGUAUCAAAGUGAUUUUGGUAACUUGUUUGUUCAUAUCAAGUGAUAUCAGAGCCAGGUUGAUUAUCUAGCAUGGCAAUGAUGAAGUAUGAUAUUCCAUAAUUGGAUCGAAACACAAGAUUUACUUUAUGGAAAGUGAAGACGCGAGCAAUUCUCACACGGAUGGACUUGAAAGAAGCCUUGGUUUUGAUAAGAUGCCUUCAACCUGGAUAUAGAAAAAAAGCAACGUAGGGAUCGAAAAGCCCAAUCCCAAAUUUAUCUACAUCUAUCAAAUUAAAUUCUUUAAGAUAUUCUCAAGGACAAGAGUGCCUCGUAUUAUGGUUAAAGUAAGAGCAGCUUUGUAUGAAAAAGACAUUGACCAGCAAGCUUCACUUGAAACAGUACUUGUAUUUUCACAGGAUGUUCGAAGAUACAUCAUUGGAUGAUCACUUAACUAUGUUCAAAGAAAUCAUGGCCAAUUUGGAGACAUUGGAGGUUAAGUAUGAUGAGGAGGACUUGGCAUAGAUGUUGUUCUGUUCACUGUCCCCAUCAUAUGUGACUUUUAGAGAUACUAUCUUCUAUAAUCGAGAUAUUCUCACCGUGGAAGAGAUCUAUGAUGAUUUGCUAUCUAAGAAGAAAAUGAGGCAUCUUGUUCGAGGAUCUUGGAGUCAAGCUGAAGGCCUGGUCAUUCGUGGAAGAAGUCAGGAUCAAAAUCUUGGUAAAAAUAUGAAGGCCAGAUCGAAAUCGAGACGUACAGAAAAGUUAUGUCAUUACUCUACGAAGAAGGGACGUAUCAUGGUUGAUUGCUAUUCUUUUGAAAAAUGGGAAUAAGGUUGUCGAUCCCAUUGAAAGGGAAAAAUAACAUGUUAACACAACGAAAGCUGAUGUUGUGGAAGACACACAAAGUGAAUGAGAGCUUCUUGUAAUGUUUAACAUAGAUUCUAAACCUUGUGAGGAAUGGAUUCUUGACUCAACUUCUACUUUCCACAUGUGUCCUAAUAGGAUUGGUUUACAACAUAUGAAAGAGCUUCGAGAGCUGCAAUGAUAAUGGGAAACAAUGCGCAUUGUAAGAUUGUCGGAGUUGGUAAAGUCAGAAUCAAAAUGUUAGAUGAUGUUAUCAGAACACUUUUAGAUGUCAUGCAUGUUCCAAAAUCAAAGUGAAAUCUAAUAAGUUCGAGUACAUCUGACUCAAAAGGUCAUAAAUACACUGGUGAAUGUGGAGUUUUGAAGGUGAGUUGGGGUGCUCUUACUGUCAUGAAGGGAUAAAAAACUCUACAUAACUAUAUGUUUUGCAAAGUUACAGGAGAUACAACAGUCUCUACUUCUUCUUUGACUGAUAAAGAAGUUCCAAAACUUUGGCAUAUGUGACUUGUCAUAUGAGUGAAAAUGGUAUAGCAGAGUUUAGUAGGAGGAGAGGGAAUACUUGAAUAUAUACAUUCAGCUCUUUGUGGACCGGUCAGGGUACCUUCAAAAGGAAGUACUUAUUAUCUAUUAAAAGUGUUUGAUGAUUUAUCCAAGAAAGUUUGGGUAUUUUUCCUAAAACAGAAGAUUGAUGUAUUUGGAACCUUCAAGGAAUGGAAAACAAUGAUAGAAAAGUAGAUUAAGUGUCUACGCACAGAUAAUGGGUUGGAGUUUUGUUAAAAUGAUUUCAUUAGCUUCUACAGAGCUGAAGGCAUAUUGAGACACUUGAUAGUGCCCAGAACUCCUCAACAGAAUGGUAGGCAGAACAAAUGAAUAGAACUUUGAUGGAAAGUAUUCAUUGUAUGUUUUCAAACUCUGUGUUGCCUAAGAUUUUUUAGGCUGAAGCUACUACCACAAAUUGUUUUCCGAUUAAUUGCUCACCCACAAUUGUCACUGAGAAAAAGGCACUAAAAGAGGUAUGGUCUGAGAAACCUUCUUGUUAUACUGAUUUAAAGAUUUUUGGGUAUCUCACUUAUGCUCUAUAUAUAAUGGGAAGUUGAAGCCUAAUUCAAGGAGAUAUGUCUUUCUUGGGUAUAAAUCAGGUAUGAAGGGAUAUAAAUUAUGGUGACCUGAGACAAGAAAGGUGGUGGUUAGUAGAGAUAUAGCAUUUGAUGAACUGACUAUGGUUCAUAAUUCAUCUCGUAUGGAUUCUGAUAAAAAUGAAGAACAGAAUCAUUCAACUCAGAUGGAAUUGAAAAUUGGUCCAAUGAAUAAUUAAAGGUUUUAGAAAAGUCUAGUUCAAAAUUGAUAGACAGUAAUACUUUGCCUACACCACCAGCAACACUACAGUAUUCAAUUGUUAAGGGCAAACCUCACAGAUAGAUUAGACUUCCACAGAACAAUGGAGAAGUAGACUUGGUAGCAUAUGCUUUGAAUGUGGCCGAAGAAAUUGAUUCCACUGAGGAACCUGUUACAUAUAUAGAUAUCAUCAGCAGUAGUGAUUCAUGCAAAUGGUUUAUUGCUAUGCGAGAGGAGAUUGAGCCAUUGAAUAAAAAUUGUACUUGAGACUUGGUGAAACUACCUAAGGAUAAAAAUGUUGUUCGCUACAAGUGGGUAUUCAAAAGGAAAUAAAGGACAUUAUGGAUUGAAGAUACUAGGUAUAAGGUCUGAUUGGUAACGAAGGUUUAUAAUCAAAUUCUAGGUGUUGACUUCACAGAUGUGUUCUCUUUGAUUAUAAAGCAUAGUUGAUUGUAAAACAUGGUUCAAUUCAAGCUUUACUUGAGAUAGUGGAAAAAAGAGUGACUUAGAACUUGAGCAAAUGGAUGUCAAUACAUCAUUUUUGCAUGAAAAACUUGAAUAAAACAUUUACUUGCAACAAUCAAAGGUUUUAAUGUUUCUGGGAAGGAAGACUCUAUGUGCUUGUUGAAGAAGUCCUUAUAUGGACAAAGCAGUCAUCGAGGUAGUGGAACAAAAUGUUCGAUUCAUUCAUGACUGCUCAUACUUUCAGCAGAAACAAUUACGAUAGUUUUGUGUACUUCAAAAAGGAAGAUGGUGGAGCGAUAAAAUAUUUGCUAUUAUAUAUUGAUGAUAUGUUCAUUGUACCCAAGGAUAAAGUAGAGGCCACAAAUUUGAAAUCUCAACUUAGUAAGCAGUUUGAGAUGAAGGAUUUGGAUGUAGCAAAGAAAAUUCUUAGUAGGAAAUCUUGAGGGAUGGAAAGUCUUUCAAAUUGUAUUUGAGUCAUAAUGGGUACAUUAAGAAGGUGUUUCAAAGGUUCAAUAUGUUGAAUGCUAAGGUUGUCAACACUCCCUUGGCUAUCCACUUCAAAUUAUCAUCUGGAUUGUGUCCUCAAUUAGAUGAAGACAUUGAUUAUAUGUCUCUGGUCCCUUAUUCAAGUGCAGUUGGUUCGUUAAUGUAUACUAUAGUUUGUACAAGACCGGAUUUGGUACAUGCAGACAAUACAAUUAGUAGAUACAUGGCAAAUAUUGGCAAAGAACAUGGGAAAACAAUGAAAUGGAUAUUCAGAUACUUGAAGGACUCAAUUAAUGCUUGCUUGUAUUUUGGUAAAAAUAAAGCUAGAUUUAUUGGAUAUGUCGAUUCAGAUUAUGCAGGAGAUCUUGAUAAAAGGAGAUCACUUAUAAGAUAUGUAAACACCCUUGGAGGUUGUGCUAUUAGCUGGAAAGCUAUUUUGCAAAAUAAAAUAGCUUUUUCUACAAUAGAGACAUAUAAGAAGGAUAUGCGGUUAAGUUGUUUGAUUGUUGAAAUCAGUGAUGGCUUGCAGAUUUCUACAGUAUAUGUGAUAAUUAGAGUGCUAUUUUCUGAUUAAGGAUCAAAUAUUCCAUGAGAAAACUAAGCACAUUGGUGUGAAGUAUCAUUUUGUACAUGAAGUGAUUGCUCAUGGUAAUAUUGUAGUGGACAAGGUUAAUACAAAAGAUAAUAAUGCUGAUAUGAUGACAAAUCUACUUUAUAUUGCUAAGUUUAAGCAUUACUUGAAUUUAGUUAGUGUUUAUCAUUAAUUUAGUCCAUUGGGUCUUGUUUAGAAGAGAAUGAAUGUUGUUUGCUUUAAAGAUGUGUUUUUGGAAUUUCUUGUAUUGAAAUUUGGUUCAAGGUGGAGAUUUGUUAUAAUGUGACCCAUGUUCUAGUGGGUAUAGAAGUCUUAGUUAAAGUAGUCUUGAAGAGCUCAAAAUUAUGGACCAAAAAGAAAACUUAUCACAUUUUUGCUAGCCUAACGCUAGUUGGCCGCUUGAGCGACACCAACAUGGCAGGGCCCUCUCUCCCUAUCACUCAAGUGACAGGAUUAUUCGGCCCAGUCUGUUUUAAUGCAUUUUGGACUCCUAUUUAUUUUCAACUUGAUUUCUAGGGUUUUAUAUAUAUGAGUUACAACUUCUAUUGUUUACAUAACAUUCAUACAAUAUCUUGGGAGCUCUAGAUCUUAGUUGAGAGCAUUGAGAUCUUAUUGUAAACACAACUAGUAUUGAUUAUAAUGUAUUUUGCCUCCUCUGCUAGUAGUUUUUUCCCAUCUUGGUUUCCACGUAAAUAUUGGUGUUCUUUAUUUUGUUCUUAUUUAUUUUAUUAUUGUCAUAAUCUUUCGAUCAAAUUCGCAACAGGUGGUAUCAAAGCGAUUCUGGCAUCUUGUCUAUUCAUAUCAAUAUAUACACUAGUUGGCUUUCACUAGCUAAAAUCGAGAUUGAAUUCCUUGUAUUUCUAAAAAUUAAUUAGGGUGAUUUAUGAGAUUCUUUCUAUUCACGUUGACUACCUAAAUAUUAUUUGUAUCUAACAAAUACAUCUCCUAUAUAAUUGUAUGUUAUUAUUUUGGCUAUGUUUGAGUCCCUUUUGUGUAAAAAGUGAGUUUUCUAAUAGUGAUUUUUAUGAAUAAUGUGUAAUUAAAAAGUAGAAAAAAAAUUUAAGUUUACGUGCAAAUUAUUCAUUUGAAGAAUAAUGGUUAAAAUUAAGCUUGAAGAAAAAUGAAUUUUUAGAAAAUGCAGCUCAAACAUGGGUUAUAUAUUCAUAACCUGACAUUUGCAAGAUUAAUUGCUCAAAAUUUUAAUUAUGAGAAUGAUUUUCAAGUUAUAUAAUAAGAAAGCUAGUGAGCAUAAAUUUCAAACUUUUAAUAAAUAUUAGUUAGGAUAAAAAAAAAAUGGUUUAACACUAUUAUUUAUUAAAUAUCUCCAAUUAAUUUUUGAACCAUUACUAUUUAAAAAAAGGGUUUUCCAUUUUAUGUCUAAUGAUACUAUUUUUCGUGGACAACGCUUCUACACAUUAUGUCAACAUCAAAGUUCUCCCUAUAUAGUUAGUUAGCUUAUGGUCAAAGCUUAAUAUUUCACAUCUACGAUUUUAAAAUAUUCAAUAUAUAUACAAUUGUUCCAACAUAGAGCACUAAGAUAGACAUUAAACCGUGAUACUAAUUAAAUUAUAAAGAUUUGUCGACUUCAUUUUGAUUACACAAUUUUCUUAGUAUUGGGAGGAGGUACUAAGAAGUUGAAAAUAAUAAACAUAAACAUAAGGAGGAGGUAUUAAGAAAUUAAAAAUUACAAACAUAAAGCAUCAUUUUAUUAUUUAGAUCAUUAUACAAGAUAAUGUGAAUUAAGAAUUUGAAAAGAUAAUUCAUUUAAGUGCAGUUACUCAUAAAAGAAUUUGACAAUAUAUUAAACAUUAUAUUUACAUGCUCCAACUCAAGUUGACGUCAUGGAGUAAGAAUCCAUUUACAUUAUACUUGAUAAAUCAAUGGCACGCUGAUGCGUGAUAAUAUUUGAUUCCAAGAUAAAAAUCUAAAAACAAAAUAAAAUAAAAAAAAUAGAGCGAAUAGUAAAGAUUUUCCCAUUAAGAUAUAUAUACUCUUGGUGAGUGUAUAACCACAUCAAUUUGUAAAACCGAAUAGAGGUUCAUGUAGAUGAGGUAUUGAAAAUUGAGAUAUCUCAAUAAAUUUUAUUAUUAUGAAUGGAAGAAACGAAAUUGAAAAGAAAAAGUUGCUAAAAACACUUUUGUAGAUGAUGCGGCAUGUUAUAUUAUGAACAAUAUAGAGAAUGUCAAAAAAAAAUUCAUCGAAAAAUACGGAAGUAGAAAUGAAUGGCUAAAAUAACAUGACAUAAUUCAGGCAAAAUUGAACGUAAUAGAGAUAUCUAAAGUUUUUGGACAUGCAGUUCAAACACCUAAACGUGUAAAGUUAAUUUUACAUAUGCGAAUAUCAAGUGAGAAACUGAAGUCACAAAAUAUAAUGCAUGACUCUUAACAUAAUAAAUUUUGGAAAAAAAUCGUAUAGAUAAAUUUUCAUGUGGAGGAUGAAAUCACAAAUAUAUAUCUUGUUAACCUAAUAUGCAUAAUAUCUAAUAAAUGUGGUUAUAAUUAACCCAUCGACAAGAUUAUUAAUACUAUUUUUUUAAAUAUGUUAAUUAUUCAAUAUGCUUAUAAUUCAAGUGAUAUUGUCAUAGGGAAGUAUAUAUAAUUUGUACACUUCUUAGUCUUCCCCUUUUUCUUUUUUUUUUUCUUUUACCAAGAUUGUAUCUCGUUGUUCUUCUCAAAAAUGCUCUUUUUUCCUCAUUAGAAUACUUUAGAAAGGUUCUUCCUAGUGAAAUUUUCACGAUGUAUAUUAUGUGUAAUGAAUAAUAAUAACAUACGUGACAUUUACUCUCAAUAUAACUUUAUGAUUUUACUCUCGUAUACUAUAAAUUGUAUAUUAGACUUCCGAAGGAAGAAUAAUAAAAUUUAUUUUUCAAUGGACCAUCAUACGGAAUGAAGUAAAAAAAUAAAUAAAUAAAUAUUAAUAUCUUUUAUGAAGACGAGUUUGCUUAAUACUAUAGCAAGACAAUAUUGAACAUAAUUCAUCAAAAUUAUAAUAUAAAUUUUUGGAAGAUGGUACAUUGAAACAUUGGCACAUAAUGAAAGACUCAAUAUAAGAAUUUUCAUUAGUACUUGUCACGAUACCGUACACUUACAGUUUAAGUGAACAAUAAUUCUAGGCAAUUUUUUUUAUAUAGAGGAACAAUUCUCUCAUUUAGUAGUCAGAGAAUUAAAGUCAUUCAUGAACUAUUUCUCUCCCAUUGAAAAGAGCGAUUGGCAUUUGCAAGAACUUUCAACAAAAAUAAAAAAAGAUGAGUACCCCCCCCCCUUCUUGCUACCACCAUCAACACCAUUUUUCGCUUUGAAUGGACCAAAACCAAAAAUAUUAUGAAUAGAAUGAAAGGAGAUAAGCUAGAAAGAAAGUUUAGUUGAAACUCAGAAAAAGAUACGUAGCUUGAACAAUAUUGAAAUUCAAUUUAGAAAAUAUAAAUAAUGAAAAUACACAAAAUCAAAGAUCACUCCAAAAACAAAAUCUCCACCCGUGAAUUAUUAUCAUGAUAAAUGAAUUCUUAAGUCCACAUAAACAAAGAUACGAUUUGAUGUUUUGUAUAAUUAAUGUGUAUAUAAAAUGCAAAUAAAAAUGAUUCUUUUUUCUUUUUUUGGUCUAGAAAAGAACAUAUUGUCCCUACCAUGAAUGAUUUUCAUUAAACAGAAACUUCAACUGUUUUUCGGCGGACUCUCACUUCACCAUUCAGUGUAAAAAAUAAAUUAGGAAUUCUUUAGUCAAUAAAUUUGCCAAAAAAUAAAAAAAGGAUUAUGAUGAAGGCAUCUUGACUAGUCAGCUGUUGAUUUGAUAGCUUAUAUUGAUGAAAUAGCUAUGUCGAUCUCUGUUUUAUAUUUUAGCUUAUAAAUUAUUAAGUCAUAUGAAUAUUUUAUAUGCAGUAAUAGAGAUGAUUGCUUAAAUGUGAAUUUAAGGGGGCAAAAAAAAAAUCAUCGAGAAAAUUGUAUUCAAUAAUUUAACAAUGGGAAUAAUGGUUGUAUGAAAAGGCGGAAAAGAUAUUAAGGCCUUGUUUGAGCUCCAUUUUGGGAGAAAAAAUAAAUUUUUGAAUAGUGUAUCAAUGGAAAAUGCAUAAUUAAAAAAUAAGGAAAAGUUUUGAAUUUGAGUGUAAUAUUAUUUUAUUAAAAAUGUGUGAUUGAUAUAAUAUCAAAAUACUGUUUAAGAAUGUAUCCCAAAAAAAAAAAGACUCAAACAAGGGUUAAAGUUUGAUAAAGAUGGGUAGGGACACACGAGUGUACUAAGUGCUCCAUUAGUCCAUUUCAGAGUUUGGUCGCUUAUUUAAGGUCAAAUUCUAAAUCUUGGAUGCAUUCUUUGGGUGGACAGGCUUAUCUUCCCCCACUUAGCACUCAAAAUUAUUGUGUGUGUGUGUAUAUAUAUUCGUUGCACUCAAACCCCAUAAAACAUUUAUUUAAAAAUGACGCGAGUAAUUAGAUGAGCAAAUUACAUUAGAAAAUAAAAUAAAUAAGAAACAUCUAUGAAAAUGUGCGUAACUUUCGAAUCGAGUUUCAGAUUUAUGCAAGCAAGUAAAAUUCAAAACACUUUUUUUCAAUUUUGCACAAUUUUUUGGGACAAUGUUGGCCGAAAGUCAAACUUUCGGGCUCAAAUUUUGUCGUUUAGAUGUCCAUUUUAGGAAUUUUCUAAUUUUAGUCCAUUAAAGGGCAUUUUCAUCACUUUACGCCUUAUUUUAGUUUUAUUUAGAUUUGUGUGUUGAAUUAGAAUUUCUCUUUGAUUAGGAUUUGUUUUGACUAGUUAAAUAUUUGUUAAGAGUUUGAAAAUUCUAUAUUCAUUUUUUAUUAAUAAUAAUUUAGUCUUCAGUUGCCUCGUUAUUUGAUGGAUUCUAAUAUAUCUCAAGUUUGUUCAAGUGCAAGUCGAACAAUAGUCGUUCAUGUGUGUUAGAUGGCAGUUCAGUCUCCAAAUAAAUAUUUCUCAUUAACUAGGACAUGGGUGCUGUUCAGGGACACCCAGUGAAAUUUAUCCUAUGAAUUGUAAAGUUGAUGUUUUGUACCAUGUUGAUUGACUUGUCAUUCUUUAGAGAAAAGAACAAGAUAUUGAAGCCGCUAAUGGGAAAAGUAGAAAAGAGAAUGUUUUCCCACUAAGUAUGUUUUGUGGGAUGACUUUGAAAUCACUGUUUCAUGCCAAAGAUAUUGGUCCCACAUCCAAGUAUCAAUAUUUUUAAACCAAUCUUUCUGAAUGUACAUAAUAAUUUAUAUUCUGAUUUACCGAAUUUAUACUUGGCAUAAUCUUACAACAUUUUUCACAUCUUACACAUUUAAUUCAACCAUCACAAUCUUACCACAUUACUCAUCUAUCAAUAAAGAUGUCAAUGUUAAUGUACAAAUAGCUAAUUGUCUUUCAACCUUACCCCUCAACACAAGUAUUGAGCAGAGAAAAAGAUAAAAGGAUAAAAAGAUUUAGCUCUUAUUUGGUCCUUAUUUCUGAGCAUUUAUUUUUUAAAAUUAUUUUUUAAUUAUAUAUUUUUUAUUAAAUUCAUUGUUAUCAAUUAAAAUGGAGAGAAUAAAAGCGAGUCCAUGUCCCAACUAGGUGAACCAUACCAAAGCAAGCUAAACCAUCUGCGAGCCAAAUCACAUACAAACUCGAAAUAACAUUAGCAAGCCUAUAUCGAUUUCACCAACUUUUCCACAUUAGCAAAAGUCAUUAUCAUAGUGCACGUGAACAAGCAUGGCAAGCAUGAUUUCACAUCCAAUGAAUAAAGAACAAGAAAGAUAACAUAUAACAAUUUCAUUUAUAAAUUAACUAAUCAAAGGUUGCGACAUGGCAUUAACCAAAAGAUGUAUUUACACCCCGCCCGAGGCUUUGAUAAGAAUCUAUAAGUAAGCGCCAAUUGAAAAAGAAAAGGAUAUGCAAAUUUGAAUAGCUUCCUCCCAAUUAAUCAUUUCUCCUCUUUCUCUUUAUUGAACAUAAGAUUAAUGAGUUUAGCAAGGAAAAACCUUGAUUAGGUAAGAGGAAUUUAUUAAUCAUCAUUUAGAGGUCAACAUCCACAAUUUUUAUUAACUAUUCAAGAAUACAUUUCAUCAACUUUUGUCAAUAUAUACUAAAAAUCUAAUUUUUAUUCAAAUGGUCAAGUGCUUAAUCAAAUUCGUAAAUCGGAGACUAAAAAUUAAGCCCCUAUACGGUCUGGCCAAAAAUCAAAUUUUUAAUUACUUUUGAUAAAAGUUAAUGGCAUAUAGAGUUAAAAAUUAAUAAAAGAUGUGAAACCAAUGAAAUGUAUGAUUAAAAAUAAAUUUGAAACAAAAAAUGAGUUAUAUAAAUUUGGAACAGCUAUAUUCAGAAUUCUAUACAUGUGUGUACCAUAAUUGUUUUCAACAAGUUUUAUCUUUUCCCAAUAUAAGACAAAGUUACAUCAAAACGAAAUGUUAAUGUUCCAUCAUGUUAAAAAUAUUCAUAGUAAAAUAUAUAUAUCAAGACUCAAUCGCACUUUGCAAGUGGAAAUACUGAUUAUAUUACUGCUCCAUCAUGUUAAAUUCGUGAUAUAGGCAACUAAAAAAGUAAGCUUGCUGCUCUUCAAUACCACCAACUAAAAAAAAAAGAAUCCAUUUCCGAUUGUUAGCUUCUAAAUUUUUUGGGCAUCCAUCUCAAUGUCAUUCCUGAUGCUCAUCAUGGUCCUAGCCAUUCAGACAAAGUGUAAAACUGAAGAUAAGUGGGCAGAAAUCGAAGAAGUUUUUGGAAUUUACUGUUAAAUGUGGCAUUAAUUUGUAAUCUUAGGAAAUAAGGUUACAUGCACUUGAAGAAAAUGUAUCAGGAAAAUACAUGAUGCACUUGAAGAAAAUGUAUCAGGAAAAUACAUGAUGCAAAUUCAUGAAUUAUUAGGUGUCCAUUUAUAUUCCCAUGUCUCUAGAGUUAUCCAUGUGGUCCUAUAAAUAGAGGUCAUUCUUGUAGUCUCAUUGUAAGAAAAAAAAAAAGAAAACAUUAUUGAGUGUGCUGUAGCAACUCAAAAACUAUCAAUAAAAAUUCAAGUUUUUCUUCAACACUUCGUUUCCGCACUAACAAAUUUGGUAUCAGAGCCAUAACUUGUAAUUGCAUUUUUUCAUGGCUUUAAUACAAACAGCUUCGUUGUUUACAUAUUCUUCCAGUCAAGUCCCAAUCUUCGAAGGCGAGCAUUAUGAAUACUGGAGCAUCCAAAUGCAAACUUUCUUCAUCUCCUUAGAUCUUUGGGAUGUCAUUGACGAUGAGGAGUACGAAGAACCAUCCGAAGACAAUGAAGAUUACGAAAAAUUGCAAAAAGAAUUUAAAAGAAAAGAUGCAAUGGCUCUCCGCUAUAUUCAACAAGGAGUCGGGAAAUCAAUUUUCCCUCGUAUCUUUGGUGUUAAUAAAGCCAAAGAUGCUUGGGAAAUAUUGAUGCAAGAAUUUCAAGGAACGGAGAAAACGAUCACCUUGAAACUUCAAUCCUUAUGGAGAGACUUUGAUAAUCUCCAAAUGGAAGAACGAGAAUCGGUUUGUGUUUUUUCUUCACGAGUAGCCGAGACAGUAAAUCAAAUCAAAAGCUGUGGUGACACAAUUACAGAUAAAAGAGUCGUGGAGAAAAUGUUAAGAUGCCUUCCUCCAAAGUUUGACCAUGUUGCAGCCGCAAUUGAAGAAUCGAAAGACUUGUCCAAAAUGACCAUUUAUGAGUUAACCGGGUCACUUCUUGCCCAUGAGCAAAGGAUCAAUCAUUCGAGUAACCAAUCUACUACCGAACAAGCUUUCCAAUCAAAGCAAACAUCAAAAAGAAGAAAAUAUUAUUGAGUGUGCUGUAGCAACUCAAAAACUAUCAAUAAAAAUUCAAGUUUUUCUUCNNNNNNNNNNNNNNNNNNNNNNNNNNNNNNNNNNNNNNNNNNNNNNNNNNNNNNNNNNNNNNNNNNNNNNNNNNNNNNNNNNNNNNNNNNNNNNNNNNNNNNNNNNNNNNNNNNNNNNNNNNNNNNNNNNNNNNNNNNNNNNNNNNNNNNNNNNNNNNNNNNNNNNNNNNNNNNNNNNNNNNNNNNNNNNNNNNNNNNNNNNNNNNNNNNNNNNNNNNNNNNNNNNNNNNNNNNNNNNNNNNNNNNNNNNNNNNNNNNNNNNNNNNNNNNNNNNNNNNNNNNNNNNNNNNNNNNNNNNNNNNNNNNNNNNNNNNNNNNNNNNNNNNNNNNNNNNNNNNNNNNNNNNNNNNNNNNNNNNNNNNNNNNNNNNNNNNNNNNNNNNNNNNNNNNNNNNNNNNNNNNNNNNNNNNNNNNNNNNNNNNNNNNNNNNNNNNNNNNNNNNNNNNNNNNNNNNNNNNNNNNNNNNNNNNNNNNNNNNNNNNNNNNNNNNNNNNNNNNNNNNNNNNNNNNNNNNNNNNNNNNNNNNNNNNNNNNNNNNNNNNNNNNNNNNNNNNNNNNNNNNNNNNNNNNNNNNNNNNNNNNNNNNNNNNNNNNNNNNNNNNNNNNNNNNNNNNNNNNNNNNNNNNNNNNNNNNNNNNNNNNNNNNNNNNNNNNNNNNNNNNNNNNNNNNNNNNNNNNNNNNNNNNNNNNNNNNNNNNNNNNNNNNNNNNNNNNNNNNNNNNNNNNNNNNNNNNNNNNNNNNNNNNNNNNNNNNNNNNNNNNNNNNNNNNNNNNNNNNNNNNNNNNNNNNNNNNNNNNNNNNNNNNNNNNNNNNNNNNNNNNNNNNNNNNNNNNNNNNNNNNNNNNNNNNNNNNNNNNNNNNNNNNNNNNNNNNNNNNNNNNNNNNNNNNNNNNNNAUGGAGAACGAAAGCACUACUUGAGCUUGUGCACUCGGAUAUUUGUGGGUUAAUGCAAACUCCCACUUUUGGAAACAAGAGAUAUUUUAUUCUCUUUGUUGAUGACUUCACAAGAAUGAUAUGGGUUUUCUUCUUCAGUCAAAAAUCUGAGGCAUAUUCCACAUUUCUUCAAUUCAAAGCUCAAGCAGAAAGGCAAAGUGGUUUUUUGAUAAAAACUUUAAGGAUAGAUCGUGGAGGUGAAUAUCUCUAUAAUCCUUUCAUGGAAUAUUGCAGAAAAAAUGGCAUCAAAAGACAAUUAACUGUGAGUCGAACUCCGCAACAAAACGGCGUGGCCGAAAGGAAAAAUCGCACAAUUGUUGAAAUGGCAAGAAGCAUGCUAAAAGGCAAAGGACUUCCAAAUCUGUAUUGGGCAGAAGCUGUAAACACGGCAGUAUACAUUCUCAAUCGGUCUCCAACAAAGGCUGUACGGAAUAAAACUCCAUACGAAGCUUGGAACAAAAAGAAGCCAAUGGUUGAUCACUUCAAAAUAUUUGGCAGCAUUUCUUAUGCUCUUAUCCCUUCUCAAAAUCGGGAGAAAUUUGACGAGAAAGGACAAAAACUUGUCUUUGUUGGAUACAAUGAUGAAUCUAAAGGAUAUCGGUUAUUAGAUCCAACUACAAACAAAAUUACAAUUUCACGAGACGUUGUUUUUGAUGAAGCUGCAUCUUGGGAUUGGAAAGGAAAAGAAGUUGUGGACCAGACACCAUACCAUUUUGUUGAUCCAUUAACAUUUAAAGCAGGUCCGUCACAAGUUGGAAAUUUAGAGCAUAAUCCAAACCCUACUCCAAGAAGUGAGGAAGAAUCUGAUCCAGAAAGCCCUCCAAGAAAGACACGUUCACUACAAGACAUAUAUGAGUCAUGUGAACUUGGGUUGUUCUCUAGGGAACCACAAUCAUUUGAAGAAGCCUCAAAAGAAGUAUGUUGGACAAAAGCCAUGAAUGAAGAAAUGUCCACAAUCGAGAAAAACAAAAUUUGGAAGCUUGUUGCCUUGCCAGAAGGGAAGAAAAUCAUUGGACUCAAGUGGGUCUAUAAAAUAAAAUACAAUGAAGAUGGGUCGAUCCAAAAGCACAUUGUUGCAAAAGGGUAUUCUCAACAGCCCGAAAUUGAUUACACUGAAACAUAUGCUCCGGUUGCAAGAAUGGAGACAAUUUGUACUGUUUUGGCACUGGCAGCUCAAUUGGAGGUAUGUGUUUAUCAACUUGAUGUAAAAUCGGCAUUCUUAAAUGGUGAAAUUCAAGAAGAAGUUUAUGUCGAGCAACCCGAAGGAUUUGAAAUCAAAGGACAAGAAGGAAAAGUCUAUCGUUUAUACAAGGCACUUUAUGGUUUAAAGCAAGCACCGCGAGCAUGGAAUAGCAAAAUCAAUAGCUAUUUCAUCCAAAAUGGAUUCAAUCGAAGCACNNNNNNNNNNNNNNNNNNNNNNNNNNNNNNNNNNNNNNNNNNNNNNNNNNNNNNNNNNNNNNNNNNNNNNNNNNNNNNNNNNNNNNNNNNNNNNNNNNNNNNNNNNNNNNNNNNNNNNNNNNNNNNNNNNNNNNNNNNNNNNNNNNNNNNNNNNNNNNNNNNNNNNNNNNNNNNNNNNNNNNNNNNNNNNNNNNNNNNNNNNNNNNNNNNNNNNNNNNNNNNNNNNNNNNNNNNNNNNNNNNNNNNNNNNNNNNNNNNNNNNNNNNNNNNNNNNNNNNNNNNNNNNNNNNNNNNNNNNNNNNNNNNNNNNNNNNNNNNNNNNNNNNNNNNNNNNNNNNNNNNNNNNNNNNNNNNNNNNNNNNNNNNNNNNNNNNNNNNNNNNNNNNNNNNNNNNNNNNNNNNNNNNNNNNNNNNNNNNNNNNNNNNNNNNNNNNNCAGUUUUUCAUGCCAGAUCGAAGCAUAUUGAACUACGUCAUCACUUCAUUCGAGAUUUGGUAAGUCGAGAAGAAAUUUGCAUGGAAUUUAUCAACACAAAUGAUCAGCCAGCAGACAUUUUAACAAAGACAGUCACAUUUGACAAGUUCGAAAAGAUCAAGAAAAAACUCAAGAUUACAAAUUAAGAGGGGGUGUUAAAUGUGGCAUUAAUUUGUAAUCUUAGGAAAUAAUGUUACAUGCACUUGAAGAAAAUGUAUCAGGAAAAUACAUGAUGCACUUGAAGAAAAUGUAUCAGGAAAAUACAUGAUGCAAAUUCAUGAAUUAUUAGGUGUCCAUUUAUAUUCCCAUGUCUCUAGAGUUAUCCAUGUGGUCCUAUAAAUAGAGGUCAUUCUUGUAGUCUCAUUGUAAGAAAAAAAAAAGAAAACAUUAUUGAGUGUGCUAUAGCAACUCAAAAACUAUCAAUAAAAAUUCAAGUUUUUCUUCAACACUUCGUUUCCGCACUAACAUUUACAAGGUCCAUUAGGUCCUUCUCAUCUAAAAUAGAUGACCAGGCAUUUUCUGCAGUAAUUUUGAACCAUGAUGAUAGAGAGCUCCUGCAAACAAGCUAGGUGGUACUAAAAUCUAGUCAAAAGAAGAAAAGAAAACUAGACUAGCGGUCGAGACCGGCAGGACCAUGCCAGGCCUUACUGCUUCAUCCUGCCUGGUUCAUCCUCUACCUGCCUCUAUCUGCAAAGACAUUACCAAAAAAUCUCUCCCAAGCAGCGUAUUACAACCCAUGAAUUAACAUGUUUGGACAAGGUUAAUUCCAAGGCCAAAAACAGGAGCGCCACAUGGCGGACAGCAGCCCUUUCAAUAGGGUGGCGCCCAUGUUGUUGGCCCUGGAAUUCACCCUGGCUGUCUAGCAGGGUUGAAAACCCAUUGAGGAGGGCCUUAGCCAAGGAAGGAGAGAGUGGCCAAGUGGUCAAAAGUGACAGACUCUAAAUCUGCCCAAGUCUACAGAACAAUCACCCAGAUACAUGAAAAACUCAUGUGCCUACAUUAUAGAGAUGUCAAACGGGCAAGGUCGCUGCCCUUCAAAGCAUGCUAAAAACACAAGGCCCAGUACAGCCCAUCUUGACACCUCUAUACGUGCAAUGUAAAAAAAUUUCCUUGGUACAGAAUUUUGAAAAACAAGUUCAUUGGGACCCAUCAAAAAAUGCAAUAUAUACAAUGAGAAAUGCUAUAACACAAUUGACAGAUUAACUAUAUCUUAUGAAUAAACAACCUUCACUUGGAAAUUUGUGCUUUUAUCAUGGUUACGUAACUAUUGCGUGCAAAUAUCACGGGGAAUUUCUGCGAGAUGCUUUUAGUUCUACAUUUAGUGCAAGGCUCAAGUAAGAAAAAAGAAGGAUUAGGUCAGAUUCUUAUUUGACAUCAGCUAUCUACAAUCAUAAGUUACAGUUGGCCGAUAAGAUACAUGUACAUUUGGCGUCAGUUGAAAGGCAAUAAGAUUCCAGAUAAUGUCGCUACCCCAGAAAACAUGUACAAAUCAUAGUGUCUACUUUCUGGUUAAUCUAGAGCAGUCUUCAUGAGAAAGUGAAGUCCUUGUGUCAUUUAUAAUCUUGAAUGACAAAUGCAUUUAGCGCCCGCUUGGUCCCCAUUUUAUUCUCAUUUUUCCAACUUUUGUCAACAAUAGUGGGCCCCCAAUCAAAAAAUCAAACGGCUCCCUGACAAAAAUUUGAGGCAGCAGCUUUUCAGACAUUUUGUUGAAUUUAGAAUUUUUGUCUUUCCACCUCUGCCCUCCAUCUGAAAUUUUAUUCCUUCAUUGUAGCACUUGUUGUCAACUGGAAUUUUAUUUUUUAAUUGAGGGCAAAAUGGUAAGAGAAAUUCAACGGCAUGGUACCUUGUUCUUUCAUUUCUGACGAUUUCUUCAAUGCUGUCGCCAUCAUCUACCACAAAAACUGUAGAAAAAUGAGAUAAGAUAGAAAAAUUGACAAGAACGAGCAUCAAACAGGGGCUUAAUAGGAUUCAACGGUGAAUUCCUUCGUGUAGAGACAGGCGGUACCCUUCUCAAGGACGGGGAUUAUUUUAGAUCCCAAUCUUCCACAUUCUUCGGUACAGAAACGUCAAAGAGGAAUUGACCAAGAACCCCACAAGCACUUAUGCUUGGUGGGCUAGAUAGACUUAUGUAAGGCUCUUUACGUUCAUCCUGCAAAGAUCCAAAAUCUCUACCCUCGUGAUAUUCUAUGGAAUUUGGAACAUAUAAGAAGUCAUUUAAGUCAAGGACAAUCCUCUGGAAACUCUGACUUGAUCUCUCUACGGCUUUUUUUAGAUUGGUCCAGAGAUCUCAUCAUGUGUGCCCUCGAAGCCUAUCUUCUCACCAUCAAGUUGCCGUAAUCUUCUAGAAUAAAUUACAGAAGCUUUUCCAAGCAGCUCAGUCACCGCAGCCUUUUAUUCGAUUGGAUAAUGCCGAAAAUGACCUGCACUACAAACAUAACAUGCAAAAUACAAUAUCAACAAAUAUGAAUUUUUCUAAGAUGCAAUAACAAAAACGUUACACGCCAAUGGUAGUUAGGAAAUCCUCCAAAGAAAAUCUUGCAUUACAGAUUUCAAAUUACUAGUGAUUUACUUAAAAGAAUUAUAUUCCAGUAAGUCAGCUGAUUGUCGGGGACCUAAUUUCGUUGCACCCAAUAAUUAGAACCAUGCAACCUUAACGUUCAAUAAUUUUCGCCCCUCACGAGAAAACGUUAAGUCAGUCUUACAACGCUCACAAAUAAUUUAACCAAUGAGGUUAAAUUAUAACUAUUUUGAGUAGAGAAUUUGUAGGAAAUAUAAGGAAAACAAGGUUGGGAGAACUCUCUUUAUAUAUAGCCCCCAUUUGGUUCUAAUUUUUCACCCAAAAAAAUCAAUUUUUUAACCGUUACUUUCCUAAGUCAACCGUUAUUUUAAAUUUCUUUACUCACAAGUAAAACCCACUUUUUCUCGCUAACAGUCAAAAAAUUAAUUCUCAAAAUCACUACCAAACAAACCCAUAAAUGAAAGGAAAACUUUACAAUUCUCUGAAGUAUUCAAACAAUUCGUUGCAAAUGAUUUACAAAUGAGACUACAUCUCUAUUUAUAGGCAAAACUUUGCAAGUUGUCUUGAAAUCAAUGGCCAAAAUUAAUUUUGAUUCAAGAGUCCUCAUUUGUUGCAAGUUACAUUAACCUCCUUUAAUCAAGUGGUAAUUCUAUACACUUUCCAAUCCAAGAUGCAUGUUACUUUCCAAUCUUAUGUUAGUUGACAUCAAAUGGCAUAUCUCUACAAUUCACAUGCAAUUGAAUAAGUCAUUUUCACAGUAGCCAAAUUGAACUUUAUUUCCUCCUUGACAUUAUCUUGCAAGUGGCACAAGUGGAUAAGUGGCACAAGUUGGCCAAGUUGUCCACUUGUGUCCCAAAACCAUUCGGCCGUAGCCCAUUGUAUUUCUCCUUCCCAAAAUAGUAGUUUUCAACUUAGAGAAAAAGAAAACACCCCUCCAUCUCAUCACUCAAUCAGCCAAAAUGGAUUCAACAUCUUUCUCAAAAGAUUUUGAGACAAUGAGAGGUGCCCUUUGUAAUUUGUUUCUCCCAAGAUCUUCCAAGUCCAACCUAUAUGGCUUCAACAUGCUUACAUGAAAAACUGGAUAAAUCUUCAAAGUACCCAAAAGCUAGUCAGUGGAAACUCUUCCAACUUUAGCCAUCAUGGGAAAAGAACCUUCUAACCGAGCCUUUAUUAACUUUGCGAUAGGCUUUGAAUUAUUGAGGCAACACUUUUACAAGUUCUUGAUCUCCAAUGUUGAACUCCAAUAGUCUCCGUUCAGAUCGACCCACUUUUUCAUACGUUUUCAAGCUUUCUCCAAGCAAGAUCUAGCUAAGUCCGCAUGAUCUCUCCAUGACUUAGCCAUUUUUUGUUACUCCGGGACUUCGAUCUACAUCACCAACCAUAUGCAAGGUAUGAGGCGUUGUGGGCUGUCACCCCGUUGCAAGUUCAAAAAGACUAUGUCCUAUGGAUUCACUUUUCUGCAAGUUGUAGGAAAACUGAGCUAUGUCUAUCAACUUCACCCAAUCCCACUGCUUAGCAUUAACAAAGCGCUGAAGAUAACACUCCAACGGUGCAUUCGCCCAUUCCAUCUACCCAUCCGUUUGUGGGUAGAAAUUGCUAGAAAAGUGCAAACCCGAUCUAAGGAGCUUAAACACCUCCAUCCACAAUUUUCCCAUAAAACUGGGAUAUUGAUCACUUAUAAUAUUCUAAGGCAACCCCCAAUACUUCACAACAUUUUUGAAAUAUAACCUUGCCGUCUCCUCCGCGGUGCAAUCUUUAAGGGCCGAAAUGAAAGUUGUAUUCUUUGAAAAUCAAUCAACAACAACAAUUAUUAAUUCGAGCCCUUCGGACUUUGGCAAGGUACUAAUGAAAUCAAUGACAACCACGUAUCAUGGUUGAUCAAGAACAGGAAGAGGAUCAAGAAGCCAACCGAUAAUGCAAGUAGACUUAGUCUAGGGACGCAGAUAGCCUGUUUUGGUAGAACGCAGGCUGGGGUACGGAGGAAGUUUUCCCAACACAAAAAUGAGGUUUCUCUAAGUUAAAAAAUUGCUAUUUUGGGAAGGAGAAAUACAAUAGACUGCGGUCGGAUGUUUUGGAGACACAAAUGGGCAACUUGUACAAUUUGUGCCAAUUGUCCACUUGUAUCACUUGCAAGAUAAUGCCAAGAAGGAAGCAAAGUUAAAUUUGGUUGCUAUGAAAGUGACUUGUCCACUUACAUGUAAAUUGUAGAGAUAUGCCGCUUGAUGCCAACUAGCAUGAGGUUAGAAGGUGACAUGUAACUUGCAUUGGAAAGUGUAGAGAAUUACUACUUGAUCAAAGGAAGUUAAUGCAACUAGCAACCAAUGAAGACCUUUGGAUCAAAAUUAAUCUUCGCCAUUGAUUCCAAGACAACUUGUAAGGUUUUGUCUAUAAAUGGAAAUGUCUCAUUUGUAAAUCAUAUGGAGUGAAGUGAGAUGAAUACUGGAGAGAGAUUGUAAAGUUUUCCAUUCAUUUAUAUAUAAAGAGAGUUCUCACAAGCUUACUUGUUUUCCUUAUAUUUCCUACUUCAAAUCCUCUACUCAAAGUUGUUAUAAUUUAGCUUCACUGGUUAAAUUAUUUGUGAGCGUUGAAAAGCUAACUUAACGUUUUCUCAUGAGGGAAAAGAAUUAUUGAACAUUAAGGCUGCACGGUUCUAGUUGUUUGGCUGUCCGUGACAUGAUGCUUACCAACUGAGAAAUGAAUUUAGUUAACAAGGUGCAGCGAGCCAUCUGAUUGCAUAUAACAAAGAAGGAAGGUUCAAAAACACGACUAUAUUUUAUUUCCAUGUAUUCUCAGAUAUGAAGCUUUAAUUUAUAUCCUAAGUAGCCAGGUUGAGAAGUAGAUGCACUAGCAACUGCAAUAAUGAAAGCAGUAGAGUGCAGAACAUGACUGAGAAUUCAAGGCAAUAGAGUGUCUCUAGGGCAAAUUUGUAGCAUUACAAAACAUUAAUAAGUUAAAUGCAUCAUACUUCAUCUAAACUAAUUCAAGGCAAUAGAAUGUCUCUAGGGCAAAUUUGUAGCAUUACAAAACAUUAAUAAGUUUUAUACAUCAUACUUCAUCUAAACUCAUAUUUUAUAAAUUAAAACAAUAUCAUUUCUAAUAGUUUAUUAAUAUUAGAUAAAAAAAUAAAAUAAAAUAAAAAAAGAGAAGGGAUUAAAAUCUCUAUGUAAGCUAUUCAUUUAGCAGGAGAAAUGUCAAAUAUAACAGUCUGCAAUAUACACAGAUAUUAUUACUUGGACCAGCAGUUCCUGCUUCAUUUGUCAAACCUAUAACCUGGGACAGGUUAUGGCAAAUGAAAAUAUGAAAUAAGAAUCUGACUUCAUCAUUGUUGCUCUGGCAAAAAUUGCACAGAGGCAUACUUGUGUUUGUAAGGUGCUGAAAAUUUGUAAAUUGGAAACCUCGUGUUAAAUUGCACGCCCUGAGUACAUAUGCCCUAUGAAGUGAAUUUUGUGUCCUUAGGUCAGACCUUUCACUGAGCCACUGAAAUACUGCAUCCAGUGGCCAAUACUGCUCCAUUUAAGCUAACACAAUUUCGUUCGCUCUUAUGAGCACUUAUUUCAGUCAACUGUGCAUAAAUAUAGCCUAAACAUCUCUUCAAAUUUUAUCUGCAUUAAGCCCAUCCCAAGAAAAUCUGACUGUAUAAUACGUUUAUAAGCAUACCUACGUGAGAUGAGUUAUUCCAUUUCCAUCAGCCCUGAGGUCUCUAAGCCUUUGGGUCAAAAUGCAAAUUAUCUGACAUGGAGCGAGAUCAUCAUCUCUUCAAAACAUCUCUUCAAAUUUUAUUUGCAUUAAGCUAACCCAAGAAAAUCUGACUGUAUAAGACGUUUAUAAGUAUACCUACAUGAGAUGAGUUAUUCCAUUUCCAUCAGCCCCGAGGUCUUUAAGCCGUCGGGCAAAAAUGCAAAUUAUCUGACAUGGAGCGAGAUCAUUUCUGGGAAAAAAAAUUAGGUACGAUGCCCCCCAUGCUCUGCAUAAAGAUAAUAAUUAAUCACUGAACAAUCAGUAGAAAGCAACUUGCCAUGGCAUUCCGUGUUUGGCACUUUGGCUAAUCUAAAGAAAUAGUUACCUUCUCCAUUCAUGUUUGCAUACUUACCUUAAGUGGAAAAGAAGUCACUUCUAUUUAAUUAACUCUCACCUUAUUGUCAAAUGAGUAACUUUUUCCAUCUUUGACCAUUAAAAUUUUAUUUAUAUUAAAACUUUUGACUUUACUUAUCAGUAAACUUAUUAAGAUUAACAAAACAUGCUGUAAAUUUAAUGGAUGCUUACUGCAGAGGAGUAAAGAUUCUGCCAAUACUCUGCACGUUGCGCUUCAAAUCUGCCAAGGAAGAAGGCAUCCAGACUGGACGAAAUGCCAUUUGCAAUCCAUGAUGCUAGGAAUGGGGCAGAGGACAUAUCGAGAACAGAUGGAUGAAGAAUAAAGCAAGUGGCCAAGUCACUUGUUAAAAUCCACUGGAGUAGAAUAAAAAAUGUGGCCAGAAACACAGUCUUUAACCGGUCGUAGUCGUCCUUCAGAUGAAACACGCCAUUAGAUAAGCCAUCACUUGUAUCAAGGUUCUUCAUCGAACAAUAUAGUAGAUAACCAUUACUAUUUCUUCUAAAAUGAGAAUAUAUGAUGAGUCAAUGACUAUGGUAUCCGAUUUUUGUUUGUUAUGGAGAAUGGUUAGAGCUCUAUGAUAUUAAUUGUUCAUUUUAUUGUCUAAUCAUGUCCAAUAUUGUGUAUGAGUGCUAAACUUUGGCCAUUAAGCAUCACGGAUGUUUUGACCAACAUCGGUAAGGAGAAACAUAUGCAUAAGCCAUCAACGGAAUGAGAAGAGUAUGUAGAAAGCUACAGAAACAUAUGUUACUUUUAGAAGAAAUGGAAGUAUGUGUUCACAAUUAUAUAAAUAAACAAGAUGUCGAGAUGAAUCAUUAUGAGAUAAAGCAUACCAUAUUGACCUGCUCUGGACACUUUCCUUCAAUUAUCUGCAACCAAAAGUAAAACAGGUUGCGUGUCAACUAUAGCUUCACAUGAAACAUUCAACAUCUGUGGUCUCUAAAAUGAUGAGUGUGAAUAAAUAUAAAAAAUUUACAAAUAUUUUAAGUUCCAGUUGUUGACUACGAGAAUGGCAUUUACCUGGUGAACCUUGUACGUGCUAGCUUUUGGGCCACCAGAAAAAGGCGCAAAGACAACUGGACAUGGCCUGAUUUUUAGCUCAUUUAAAUCAAAUCGAAAUAAAUAUGAGGAAAAGUUAAAACAACAACAUAUAUAGCAAAUUUAAAAUAUUUAGCCCCCGUUUGAGCCACAUUAUUGUAAAAAUGAGAAUGAAAAAUAUAGCUAUUAUGAGCCCUACACAAGAGAUAAAAAGUCAAAUGUGGUGGCUUGAUGUGAUGGAUAACGGUCAUAUUUUUCAUUUUAAUGAGGAAAUAAUGGGGCUCAAACAGGGCCUUAAUAACUAAGUCUAUUGUCAUUGUCAAAUCCCCAUCCCCAGGAUUACUUCGAAUAGUUUCUUUAAUGUAACAAAGAUACGACUCCAAGAGCAAGUCCACCAUUAUAGAUUAAAUAGCAAAAUGAACCACUCAACAAUUCAUGCUUUAUGGUAUGGCUGGGCAUUUGAACUAGAACUGUCGGUUUCAUUCAGGUUCCACAAAAAAAAAAAAAAAAAUUAGGAACUAGAACCUAGUACCAAAAAAUCAAUCAAAUAUAGGAUGGUUCUUAGUUCUUGAAUCAAAACCAUAUGUACGUGACUUUACAAUCGAAUUUAUCUAUUUAUAUAAGUUUUUUCAUUUUACAAUUUAUUCAACUUGACCUAAUGACCUGAUAGGAUGCAGAGGAAACGACGUGAUGGGAAAAAAGUUAGACCAAUGUUGAUUAUCAUGUUUUCAAAGGAAUGAAUUUUUUUUUUUUCUUUUUUGUUCAUCAUUUGUAGAAUCUAUUAAUUCCUUAUUGUUGGUUUCUAAUUUUAGGUUUGUUCUUUGGCUACGUGAUUUCUUUAUGCUCUGUUAGAUAUCAGAUGCUAUUUGAUGACAUAUUUUGUUAGUUAUUGGAUGUUAUUUUGUUGCAUAAUUGCAGUGGACUAAGAAAUCGUCGAAAUAUGUAUUUUGAUGCAUAUUUUAUUUUUUCUAUUUCAUCUAGAUAUUAGAAAGAUAAUUUGUAUUGUCGGUUCACGAUUUUAAAAAAAGAUACAUAUAUUAUAGGUAGAACCUUAUCCAAACCCAAAUAGACGGUUUGGGAUCAAGUCUGGUUUCUGUAACUAAGUGUACCCAAAUGGUUCUAUUUACAAAAUAUCCGAAGUAUAAUGGAUAGUUUUGAGUAUUAAACUACCCGUGCCAACCCAGUAGAUGUCCAUAACUAUUUUAUAAUUUUGAGCGUUGGGCUAUUAAAGGUAUGUCUAUAAGACGAAAGCGAAAAUGAAGAUGCUAAGAUUUGUUUGUAAUUAUACUAAAAUGGAUCUCAUAAAAAAAUGAGAAUAUACAGUAGUAACUGGCGGUGACACCGAUUGAUGAUAAAUUGAAGGAAGCACGACUUAGGUUGCAGGGUCAUGCUUUGAGUCUAUUUAAAAAGGCUAUAUUCAUAAGAACUGACGUUAUCUCAGUGGAGCAAAUUAAAAGAGAAGGUGGUAAACCAAAAUUAACAUGGUCAGUUGUAGUUGUAAAAGGAUCGAAUUGCUUUAGAUCCCCAAUAGUUCUCACAAUGAAUAACCAACUCUACAUUUAUCAGGUAAAAGGCUUAGUUCGUUGUUGUGUUUGCUUGUUUGCUGGAAGACCAUUUGCUGUCAAAUUUAUAACAGCUCUACAUUUCCAAACUUGGAAAGCUUUUAUAACCUCAAAGAAGUUCAGCAGAUUGCUUUGAUGCAGAGCUACUCAAAUACAGAUGGUGAAUACAGAUAAAGAUACUCCUUUAAAAAACUUCUUAUACAAGAUGCAGUUGAAUUUUAUAUGACUGACCUGGACAAAAUUGUUUAUAAUUUCUAGUGCCAACGAUGCUGCUUUGUCGGGAAAGAAUCGGCAACCAUACGAAAAUGAGAAUUGUAAACCGAAUAUUUGUAAAAGAAAAAAGAAAGCUAAAGGAUAGAGUAUGCUUUAUGUAAAUUAUUUAUCAUUCUGCAUGCACCAAGUUCAAGUACCAGCGGUCUAGACAGCAUUUAUAACCGAGAUAUUCAACCAUCCCUACCUAAGAUAUAAAUAUAGAUAUUUCUGAAGAUCCACUAAUGACAAAUUUUCCACUACUAAGACGACUAUGAUUAAUUACAUAUUCUUCAUAACAUAACAACUUCAUGCACAAUCGCUUGAAAUCUCGUUAAAGCCGUCUCUUCUACGAAGAAGGUAUUUUGUGUUCGAAAAUGAGACCCAUAUAUAAGAACAUUGCCAGAGAUGGCCCAUUGAAUUGGUCGCACCUAAGAACUGGAUUAUCAAUGCCUUAAGCGCUUUACAGAUUUGAGUUCUUGAUGAAUUUUCUCUCUCUAACUGUUGGUCGUUCACGUCUUUAUGAUUGAUGAGGACAUGUCAUUUGGGCCUAAGGUUUCUUAAAUUCUAUAAACCAAGAGAAAAGUUUCAUUUUAAAGAAACUAUAUUCUUCACAUUCAAUUUCCCCCCUGUAAAAAGCACUCUGAAAGAUGCUAUAACUUCCCAAACAGCCGUUCAUAUCUAUCAAAAUAUUUUUCUUUCCUUUGGAUACCAAAAAAAUAUUAGAACGCCGUCCAAGAACGAUAGACAACACAUGGUGGCCAAGUUACAUUAACUUACGGACAAACAAAAAAUCACUUUACAGCUCAUGCAACUUUUUACUCAAUUCUGCUAAAGAAGUAGGGCAAUCUAUUCUCCCAUCGCUGUUACAAGAUACCAAGUUGGUUAGGACAACAUCAAUCAAGACAAAAGUUGCAUGACAAUACCAAAAGUCCAGAUUCCUAUUAUUCAGACCCUCACUUGUUAAGGAAAAGUUAUAACCUAUAGAUAAUAUUAUUACUUCAAACAGCAAUUGCUCCAGUUGCACUAUUCCUCUUUCCUCCAGAAUACAAUUCAUCAAAUAUCCCAAUUGUAAUACUAUAUAAUAUCAAGCAUGAAUUCAAGCCCCUGACAAGAGUAUCCUGCAUAUUAACGUAAUCUUUUAUUACUACCUCAACCCACACAAAAAGAACAUCACAUCUAUAUGUGUUUAUCCAUUCCAUGGCCCUCAGCCAGCAUUUUGCAUUUUUUUCAGUCAAGAGUUUCAUUCAAAGUAAUGGUUCCUCCAAAAAAAUUGGAUAAAAUUUUAUAAACUCCAUCAGCUCCAAUCACCUUAUACAUCACUCGGUUCAAACUCAUAAUUUAAAUUAAAGUCAACCAAUAUUCACUAAAUCCCAUGUAAAUCCAAUCCAGCAGAAACAUAUCCCAAAAUUAUAUUAGUGUUUUAAAAAUCACUCUACUAAUUUAAACCUCCCAACAAAAAUCGAAAAACAAAUUCAUAUUGUGCAGCAUAAUCAAGAAACUCGGAAAAAGAAGAUAACACAAUCAAGAAACCAUAGGUCCAAAAAAAUAAAAAUAAAAGUAAAAUAUCACAAACUCACAAAAUGUUGGAAGAUUCAGAUCAGAAUCAGAUUCUAAAUCGUGAAAUUACCAAAAAAAAAAAAAUGGAUGAUGGGAGGGGAGGAGAGAGGUUAAUCUUAGAUUAUAGACUGAGGAAUUGGGAGUGGCAAAUGAUGGAAUUCCAACCAAGAGGGGAAAAUAGAUCAACAUAAUUCUUCAAGUGCUUAUCCUGACUUGAUAUCCAUGAAAAUACUACAAUUAUGCCUUCCACUUUCCCUAUUUCUUCUCCACCAAUAAUACCUUCCUCCAAACCCCCCACAUCUUUUCAAUUUCCUCGAGGAGAAAAAAAACAAUUUCCUAGCACAAUUUUCUGACAAUAAAGAAACAAAUCCCUUUGAACAAAAAGGUAUUUAGCUUUUAAUUGUUUAUUUGUUCAUGUGGAAUAGAUUUUUUCAAGAACUCAUCCGAAAUUCUAAUUGGGGUGUGCCCAUUUCUGCUUCUUAUGGUCUUUCUUGAAAAUUAUAAAGAAUGGAUACUUGUUUUAUGAGAAUUUAUGUGAUGGUUUUAAAUAACAAAAAUGCUACCUAUAUAGCCUAUGCUGUACAUUUUGUUUGACAGGUAUCUCAUAAAAUGUAGAAGUCGUGAUUAUUUUAAUCGUGGGAACUCGUGAUUAUUUUGAUCGUGGCCCCACUUCCUCAUGUGAGAAGGCUAUCAACAAUGCUGUGAAAGAAGUUGUAAUUGUAGCACAAUUUUAUAUAUAAUAACUUGGCUGUGUCGACUUGCAGUUGUUUGAGUUGUAAGGAUUGUAACGAGCAAAGCUUUUUGUAGAACUCAUAUGACCCCUUUGUUAUUUUUGUAGUAUUUUCGAUUGGUGAUAUUCUUUCAAUUUGAGGCCUUGUUACAAGGGACACUUUUUCAAUUCCAUGCUAUUCAUGCCCUCUCAAUCUGAGAUAAUUUUAUAAUUUUUAUUAAGAUUGUUCUUUCAAUCCAGUGUGUGUGUGUGUAUCUUAAUUUAGACCUCUUGUCAACUAGGUGUUGGUAGGAGACGAGACUCUUGCCUCACCCGAGUACUGGUACGAUCCUCUAUAGCUUGAUCUUUCGAGAUUCACAGCAUUUGCAUUGGUCCCACAAUAGUGGUGUCACUCCCAAGGAGACCUUUUAGCCAUUUUUCUUGGCAUCUAAAUCGUCCCUCUAUUUAUUUGGUCGUGAAUUUGCUUCGAGUUCACUUGCCUUAUCAUUUCCUAAUAGUGGAUCUCCUCUUUGAUCAAAUCUACAAAUUCAUCGUACAUUUUGGGUGCUUGAUUGCGAACAUCUCUUCAGAAAGGGAUAGUCACGUCUAAAUCGAACAUCAAAGCCUGAAAAGUUGUAUCUUGUCGAAUGCUUUUUACAUCAAAAUGAAACGGUUGAGACAGCAUAGCAAAGGUUCAUCAAGAUCCUGCCUAACAUCAUGGAUCUUCCCAAUCGGGGUCAAACAUUUUCAUGGUGAACAUAUAGACGAAUUGGUCUUUAGGUAAGGGAACUAUCGAUGCUACCUAGUGAAAGCUUAUUAUACUAUUUUCUAGCUCCUAUUGAGAGUGUAACAUGGAAGUCUUGUAAUUUGUAUAUUGAGCUUGCCCUUAAGAAGUUUAUGUACAUGUUAUAUUCCCAGACAUGGUUUGAGGGAAAUUUUCUAGAUUUUCAGCAUGGCAAAUUUUGGGAAGGCUCUUUAACGCUUUGAUUAGCUUGGUAAAAGAGAUACAUGUCAUAGCUCAUCGCCUUUGGCCAAAACUGCUUGCUCCCCACCCCCUUUUUCGAGAGCACAUAGAGAAGGUUGGUCCUUUUAUUUGAUGAACUUAUUGGGUUAAUCUUGCCCAACUCUUUUACCACAUCCUCUAAGGACCUCGUCCUAGAUGACAUUGAUGCCUUCCAGCCUAAGAUACUACCAGGCUUUGAAGAUCUAUGCUCUCACUCAUGAUAAGAUGCUUGAUUUCCCAAAAGUGGUGCGUAGGUUGCUUGAUUGGAGGAAUUUGAUGUGUAUUCUCUAUGCAUAGAGCCCUCUACGUUGCUCUCACAUUCAUUCUCUUGGAGAGGCGGAAUACCUUUUCUUGAUGCAUCAAGAGUUGCCUUAUAGUAACAUUUUCUUUAGCAAAAUGUUAAAUGUUGGCCGCCAUGUUGCUAUAGCUCGAGUUAGCUUAGCCACGGUUCUUUAUGGAUUUGGGUUUCUUCUCAAAGUAUUUCUUGUUGAAACAACAUGACUUUCAUUCUAGCUCCCCUCGGGUUCUCAUCGCUGUUUGAUCCACUUUACUCUUCUUCUUUUUUUUUUACUUUUCUUGCUUCUCGCAUAUUCUCUUCUGGAGCUCAGCAUUCUUACAUCUUUGUUUAGAAUCUACUUCUUAGUAAAAGAUAAAAUUUUGUGGAUAUCAUUUGCAUGCAAAUAAUUAUCGAUGCCGAGUUCCUAAAUUCAUCAUCACUGAUAUUGGAAAACUCUUUUACAAUAGUCAUAUAAAUAAUCUUUGCGCCAAGUUUGGGCUCAAAAAAUACAACCCAUACAUGUACAAUGCGAAAACUACUUUGUUGAAAAAUAUUGUUUCCAAUUUAUUAGGAACUGGCAUGAAAAAAAUUGAGAAAGUCUUUGGGUUUGUCACACUACUUACUGGACUCAACAAAAGUUACUCCUUAUAUCCUUGUGUAUGGAGUGGAACAUUUCCUUAUAAUGUCAAAUUUCGUAAUUGUAUUAGCCAUCCAAGAAGUUUUGUUGAUGAACGAGAAUGUUCCUUUUUUGACUUGAGGAGUUUGCAUCUUUGAUUGAAAAGCGAUUAGAGGCAUAAAUGCUUCGAGAAUGUUAUCAAGCUCGGAGGGCAAAGGGCUUCAACAAAAAUGUGUAGCCAAAAUAAUUCUAAGUUGAAAAUAAUUAACUCCGAGAGAAAUUCAAACUUCAAGAAGAAAAAGAAGCUUGGAGAUUGAACACAAGAAAAUUUCUCCAGUGCAAGGUCAAAAGUUUCAAGAAUAAAGUCUUCUUCAAAUCAAAAUCAAAACAAACCCCCCAAGUCCCGAAAAUUCAAGUCAAGCCCAAAUCCUGAAGAUUCAAGCAAAUCAAGUUUCCAAUAGACAUCAAAGUCUAAGAUUCAAGCCAAAUGAUCCCGUAGUCUUCAAUACACUACUCACUAAUUAGAGGAUUGUGAAUUUUGUAGUCAUAAGAAAAUUAUACACUUAGUAAUUUUCCAAAAUCAAUUUGCAAUAUUUUUUAUAUCUUGUAUAUGAAAAUUGUUGUACAUGGCCUAUUUCGAUAAAUAAGAUUUGUGUGCGGACUUGGGCAAAACAAAUGUUACAUAUGUGCAGUUGAAUAAUAAUGAUUUGUCACUUAAUUUGUACUACAGAAGUUUGAUCUUCUACAACCAAUGGAAAAAAUAAAAACUUUUCACUGCUGAAACGUGAGAUCGAUUUCAUUGUUUUACAUGCAUAAUUGACGCAUGCAACAGUCAAUACAUGAAGUCAUCAUGCUCAUAUUGCAAUCCAUGAAUGGUACAAGUCUCUAUCGAUGUAAAGUAAAGACAUAAUAUGUUAUACAAAGGCAUUCGAAAGCUUGUAAUGUGAAACUUUUGUAUGUGUGUCAUCAUUUAUAAGGACACGGCCUACUCCAGAAAUUGACAAUUAAUUGCCAUGAAUAAUGUUAUUUGCAUUUGCUCACUACUGCAAUUAACAUACAUGUAACGGUUAGUGAUUUAUUGUACAAAGUAAUAAAAGACCACCACAUUGAUGUAUCAAAUCACUAACCACCAUAUAUACGCCACAUAGAACGAUUACGACAGUGAAUGACUGCAUAUAGCAUUACGCAAUUGCCAUAUAUCAUCUUAGUUGAAAGUUGGAACAACCCGAAAGCAAACUAUAUAAUUACGCAUUGAACUGUGUAAAACUAUAACUAUUAUAUUAAAUUAAAAUUCCAUCAAAUUAAGAGGUAAACAUUUAAUGAUAUUUCGACCUAAAAAAUUGAUAAGCUUCGGGAGAAAACAUGAUAUUAAUAAUAUUAAUUAAGAGGAAAUUACAAAAAAAAUGUCUAUUUUGAAAUAAUCGUUUAUAAAAAUGUCCAAAAUUUUUCAAUAUCUACUUUUGCAAUUAUUUGGAUGAGAGUAUCACUAAGUACCUUCCAUGAAAAACUACAUUAAAAUGAUGUUCUCGAUAUUUCAAAUGUUGUUCUCGAUAUUUGAAUCUGUUUAUAUUUCAAAAGUACACAUAUUAAAUCAAAAUAUUAAAUGUUCUCGAUAUUUCAAAUGUUGUUCUUAACAUAUUAAAUAUCUAGAAUGACAUUUCAUUCCAAAUAUGACAUUUCUCUCCAUUUUAAAUGUUGUUCUCAACAUUUCUGUGUCUAGUAUUAAUUGUGAUUUGACAUGUGCAAUAUGAAAUUAUUUAUUCUUCAUUAAGGGUAAAAUAGAGAAUUUGGUGUCAAAUUUAGCCAUUUUUGUAAAGAUUAUCAAAAAUGAACAUUUUUAAAUUGACAUAUGUGAAAUUGGACAUUUUUACAAAUGUCCCAUUUAUUAAUUGGUCAAACUUCAUGAUCAUCACGUAACGAAAACUAUCUAUUGUCUAACCAAGGAUGACAGAAAAUAAAAAUUGUCUCGUUUAAUAAACUUCUAGCUGGUGAAUGUAUCACUUGAUUAUAAUUAAUGUUAUAUUAAAUAAUAAAAAAAUUCUAGUAAGACCAAAUGUUCACGUAGGACAUGACUAUUCUCCAAUAGUUUUUUUUUUUUAAUUUAAAAGAAAAAAAAAUGUUAAACAUGCUACGUUGAGUACCAGAAAUGAUUAACAAUUAUUAUAGUGUGCUUAAGGGCCCAUAAUUAUUCUAACUUUUGUCACUUGCUGAUGCUUUUGACCUCUGCGAAUCAUUUUUUGAACAAUGAAAUCCAUAACAUAAAGGUGAUUAAGUGAGAUGGAGCCUUAAACGAAUCCCGGUGAGCAGUUGCAUUAAUUAAACACGUGUGUGUGCAGAUAGCUGUACAUUUGUCCUUAAUCUAUUUAUUGAAUAGCAAGUUUUUAUUUUUUAUUUAUUUUUUAUUUUUUAUUUUUAAUGAAGUUGCACAUCAACGACAAAAAUUGUCCAAAUCUUCAUUAAACCACACAUGAUCCUCACAUUUCUAAAUUUUAACUUCGUAUAAUUGAAUUGUGUUUUGCAAAUUGGACCAAUAUUUAAAUGGGACAUGUUUGUUAUUGGAGUUUUUCAUGAUAUUUGUACUUGAUUUUAAUUUGUUAAAUUAUACGGAAGUCAACGUAUAGUUGACUAUCUUGGUAACUAUGGCUUAUGCUCAUCCAUUACAUAUAACGUUUUGUGAUGAUAUUAGGCAUUUAACACAUUUGGCCCCAAAAAGAAACACAACUUUUUUUACAUUUAGAUGUUCAAUAUUUAAUAAAAUAAUUAUAUAUUUUGUAGGUAAAUGGACACCUUGAUAAUUUUGUAAUUAAUUUUAUUAUUAUCGUUUGAUGUUGAGACUUCAUAUUAAAUAAAGAGGAAAUUUCACAAAAUGUCCAUUUUUACUUAGUCAUUUGCAAAAAUGUCCAUAAUUGCAAAAAUGUCUAAUUUGGAAGAAUUUAGACCAAAAUACCCUUAGUAACAAUUUAUAAUUCCACACUAAGACAAAAAAGGGACAUUUUUGCAAUAUUGUUAUUGGUCAGUAAAAUUUUGACACAUAACCUGUCAUAUUUAUUUCAAAAAGUAUACAUAUCAAAUUACAAUAAAUGCUAUAUUUUUCAUUGAUUCAGAAAUGUAGAGAAACGCCAUGUUCAAAAUGAAAUGUCAUUCUAGACAAAUGAAACGGUGUUCAAAUGUCGAGAAUGACAUAUGAAAUGUCUAGAAAUAUUAUUUUAAUGUAACUUCUCAUAGAAGCUACUUCUCAAAAUUCGUGACAAAUUGAUAAAAAAAUCAAAUGUCGAGAACGACAUUUAAAAUGUCGAAAAUACAAUUUCAAAAUGUAGCUUUUCAUUAAGGGCAUAAUAGACAAGUUGGCACUAAAUUCGAAUGAGUGGACACUUUUCAACUCAUACCUUUAAAAUUUGACAUUUUUAAAAAUGCCCCUUAAAUACAUGUUUCUAAAAUUUAUUUUCCAGCAGCACAAUAAAUAGUCACAUUGCUCACAAUUAGAAUGGUCAAUAAAUGUAGUAGCGUAAUGCACUUUAAUUCUUCACAGAGAAAUUUUACUAAAUAUAAAUUAAUAUAUAGUUUCAUCAAGAAUAAUAUUCUUACCAUAUGCAUCGUGUCUUACUCACACUUAAAAAAUAAAAAAUUGGGAGGUGUAGUUUGGUGAGCCAAUCACGCUUAUGGAUUAAUACCACUUUAUAAGUUUUGAAAAGAAGUCAAACCAUUCUCUAUCUCAUAUAUGAAGUUGAGAUUCUCACUCACACUUAAAAAAUAAAAAAUAAAAAAUUGGGAGGUGUAGUUUGGUGUGCCGAUCACGCUUAUGAAUUAAUACCGCUUUAUAAGUCUUGAAAAGAAGUCAAACCAUUCUCUAUCUACUAUAUGAAGUUGAGAUUUGACAGAAAAUGGAAGAUAUGCAAGUAAAAUUUGUUAUUCGGCUCGAUCCUCAACCUCCAUUUAACUUGGUCUUUGUGCAAUCAUGUCGUCAUCUUAUUAUGUUCAUCAAUUAUGCUUACACAUUUUUGGUAGAGCUCCACAUCAUUAAUGGAAGUAAAGAUUUUAUUUUAUAAGUUUUGUGAGGCCUAUGAUCAAGUACCAACAUGGUGAAGUGAUAGAAUAUGAUCCUAAUAAUUGAAUUUGUAAUCUGACUAUGAAAACCCUCAUCCGCAUGAAUACUUUCUUUAAUGUAAAUUCGAUUUGUGUUUAAAAUGUUCAAUUUUCAAUAAUAUAUUAUAGUCUUUCGAACGCUACGCCAUGGCCAAGUGAGGGAAUGCAUUAAGCACAUGAUAGUGCCUGCUUCAGCGAGGAAAGAAUCCAUUUUAUUUUUAUUUUUUUGGCUUGUUUAACAUAACUUUUUGUUUUUACUUUUAUUUCUGCUUCCUUUAGAAGAGUGAGGUUUUUGUUUUUGUUUUUGUUUUUUGAAAUUACCUUAAUUUUCAGUGGUGAAACAAAUUUAUGAUUAUGAUCAUCUUCAAAUGCUUUAACAAUCUAAUAGCCACCUUCAAUGUCGUUUGAGAUUCGCAUGUUAGCCUUACAUCUACCUCUAACCGUUGAGCAACUUUUUCCUUUUGUAGAACCCUAUAUCUGACAAUUCUCUAUUUCACUUAAUCCUUCAAAAAUCUUCCUACUAUAAUAUUUUCUUUCAUGUGAGCACACAAAUUUAAUAAGUGUAAAUUCAUUUAUACGUGGGUGUUACUUAACUACUGUUUGAGUACGAAUCCAUAAACCAUUUUGUCGUCCAUAGUCUUCGUGUUAUGCCCUUGCUUCCUUUGCCGUCUUAAAUUUCAUCCCAAUGUAAGGCGCUUUGCCUUGUAUUGACGAUAACCCAAUCUCAUCAAAUUGAUACGCAUGUACAUAAUUACCACAAUUGGUUGCACCCAUCUACAAAACAAUUUUGAAAGAAUCAAUCAAUGAUAUUGAUUGCAUAGAAUUACCGAUAAUCAAAUUCAUUGUUGAAUAACUCGUACAUAUAUUUUCUUAAACAAAUUGUAGCAUACUUAAUUUUUAAAGUAUUCCCUGUUGAAGUAUAUAAUAACAUUUAUUAACCAUUUUAUUAACACUUCAAGCUAGUGAUAGCAACGGGGCGGGGUUAACAUUUAUUAAUCAUUUUACUAACACUUCAAGCUAGUGAUGGCAACGGGACGGAUUCGGGGCAGGGGGCUCCCACCCAGUCUUGCCCCGCCCCAACCCCACCCGCUCCGUUUAGGCGUGGUUGGGUUCGGGGUAGUUUUUUGCCCCAUUUACUACCCCAUUUAACUUUUUUUUUUUUUACACAUUUUCAAAAUUUAGAGUUAUAUUAUUAAAUUAUUAAAUACAAAUUCAAAAUUUAAAAAUUCAAAACAAAUAAUGCUCAAAUUAAAAUCAAUAUUCAAAGAAACACUUGAAAAAACAAUAUCCAAUAUAUUCACAGGGAGGGUUCGGGGCGGGGCAGUCUCAACCUAUCGGGGCGGGUUUUUUUGCCCCAUUCAGGACCGGGGCAUGGCGGGCGGGGUAAAUUGUCAUCUCUACUUCAAGCAAAUUAAAACUCAAUUAUAACCUUUAAAUCACAGAUGAAUCAAGCAUUAUGCUGAAAUUGAUGCAACACUACUCAAACUGCAUGAUACAUUAUGUGGAAAUCAAAAGAAAAUAAACACGGAUCCUUUUCCCACCAUUCAUGAUAAAUCAGAUUUGGAUAUUAGAGGAAAAUCAGAUUCAAGAACAUGAUAUAACACAGUUUUGUAGAAUGAUCAAAAUAACAAAAUCGAAACCUCACGUGAGAUUUUGGUUGAAAAACAGUUAACCGCUUACAGAAUCAUACCUAAAAAAAUUACUUCAGUUCUUAUUCUGCUUUCUCCUAAAUAAAUGAUUUGAUGACACAAUAGGAAUCCUCUAAAAAUUUAUACAUGGGCAAAGAAAUUCUUUACAUGCAGUGAUGAUUUGAAGAUUCAAUUUUGUGAGGGAGAUGAUGAAUUUCGGUGGUGAUGGAGAAUGCAUAAGAUGAUAGAAAAUCAUGAUGUUGUUGAGAGAUUUUAGGGAUUAAUAUAAGGUAAUUAGGGGUGUUUGGAAGUAAGAUUAUGAAUUCUUUCAUGUUUUAAUAUAUAAACUCCUAGCAUUGGAUUGAUUUUAAUUAAAGAUCACGAUUAUUUGUCAUAAAUACUUGUCAAAUUAAUGGGUAGACUUCCCUAUGCUCAUCAGAUAUGAGCCGCUGGUGAAUUUGUCGGAUAGACAGAUCUUUGUGAAAUUGAAUCAAUUGCUUAGGUGAUUGCCCUUUAGCCCUUUGUUUGACCAAAAAGACUCCCAUGAGUUGGAUGGGCUAAUGCUUAAAGAUAAAUUUCAAGAGAUUCCCUAUUUUAAUUUUUGAAAAUAGAGAGUGGGUAAAUAUACGAAGAAAUUAAUAAAUAUUUCUUGAGAAAAGUAAAAGAAGAAGACAAAAUAGAAAGUAUUAUUGCAGAGAAUAAAAUUUAGACUCUCUAUAUAAUGCAUAAAAAAAUUUUUACAAAUAAAAAGUUUGUUGAAGUUGAUCUAAUGAUGGUAUAAAUGAAAGAUUUGGAUAAAAUUUGUAAAAAAAAUAAAAAUAAAAUAAAUAAAUAUGUUGUAAAUGGAAAGUCCAUUAAAGUUUAUUGGUGAAUGACAUUUGUACCCCUGUAACCCUAGAAAUUAUUACCAUUGUAUCCCUAAUUCUUACCUAUAAAUAUAGGGCUUUGAUUUUCAAUAAUAUACACAAAAAGUUUAUUGAAUUUUCUCUAUUCUCUUUGAGUUUUCUCUAUUCUCUUUUCCUCUCAUUUUAUAACACGUUAUCAGCAUGAAACUCUUAGAAGAUAGUAAUUUUUUUUUUCAUAAUCAUCUAUCACGUAUAUCAAAAUUAAUUUGAUAAUACGUGAAUUUUACAUAUACAUAUGUUGAAUCUGCAAUACGUGAUCUCAUCUUUCUCGAUCAUUAUGUUUUCUUUGUACCUCUCUUUGAAUUAAUUAAUUUUUUUUCCUUUACAUCAAUCCACGUGCAUUUUUAUGGAGAUAUAUUUAUGUUAAGUCAAUUGAUAUGUAUUAAUUCAUGUUCCUAUACCCUCCUUGUAUUUAGAUUAGUCCUUUACAUUCUACACAUGCUUAUAAUUUUUUUUGGUUUAAUUGGUCAAUGUUCUUUGUAAGCAAGCUUCAAUUCCAGAUCUCUAUUUUGGCUUAUUCCAUAUAUAUAUAAUAUACAAUUAACAAAUAACUGUACCCAACUCAUCUUUUCUCUCAAAUCCAUUGGUUUCUGCAAAUUUCAUGCUUUAAUUGGUUAAUACUAAUUCAAUUCUUUUAAUUGCACAUAAUUAGAAUUUCAUGCCAUAAUAUGUGAAUAGGUGUCUACAUGUCACCAAUUUUUUUUUUGUGUUUCACUCGACUCACGUUAUUAAUUGAAAAUAAUAUUUUACAUGUGUUUGUAUAUUAAUUAAUGGUGAGCAAUUGGAUGUAUUAUCAUUUUUUUUAUGUUUAGUUAUGAAACAUUACAUUAAAUUUAUUUUUAAUUGUUGUUACUCCUGAAGUAGCACAACAUUAUAAUUAAUAUUCUAGAAGAAUAUUAAUCAUAAAUCUAUUCGUUGUUGCUCCAGAAGUAGCACAACAUUAUAAGAAUAUUAUUUACUCCUGAAGAGUAUAAAUUAUAACUCUCAAUAUUCCAGAAAAAUAUUGACAUAUUGCACUUGAAGAAAUAAUAGCAAAAUAUAAUGUACUUCAGAAGUAGCAUAUGUUUCGAAGAACAUAUUAUUUCAAAUUAGUGUUUAUCCCUAGAAGAAAACACGUAAUUUAAAGUCAUGUUGAUAUUGACUAUUUGAUUAACUUGUGAUGAUUAAUCAUAUUCUUCGAAACUAAUUAUAUUUUUUUAUUGUGUAGUUAAAUAAAUGGCAAACAUUACGAAACUUGAGUUUGCUGCACUUGACAUAUCUGGUAAAAAUUAUCUGUCAUGUAUACUGGAUGCUAAUAUCCAUCUCGUCUCAAAGGGUCUGGGAGAGACAAUAAAAGAAGGAAACAACGAAUCCUUGCAGGAUCGUGUAAAAGCACUCAUUUUCCUUCGUCACCAUCUUCACGAUAGAUUAAAAAUUGAGUAUCUCACUGAGAAAGAUCUACAAGUUCUUUGGAAAAAGUUAACUGAAAGAUUUGAUCAUCAAAGGACUAUAGUCCUCCCCAAAGCCCGUUAUGAGUGGAUGUACCUUUGUUUGCAAGUCUUUAAAACGGUUAGAGAGUACAAUUCUGAAUUGUUCAGAAUAUGUUCAAAGUUGACUUUGUGUGGAGAAAAAUCACUAAUGAAGAUAUGUUGAAAAAAACUUUCUCCACCUUUCAUGCCUCGAAUGUGCUCCUGUAGCAGCAAUAUCGUGAGCGUGGCUUCAAAAAGUACUCAAAACUUAUAUCUUGCCUAUUAGUUGCUGAACACAAUAAUGAAUUGUUGAUGAAAAAUCAUGGAUUACGUCCAACUAGUUCUGUACCAUUGCCUGAAGCAAAUGGUACUACAUUGUCUGAAGCAAAUACAAUAUCAAGACAAGGACGUGGAUACGAAUUUGGAGGUGGACACAAACACGGACGUGUACGUGGAAUAAAUCAUGGAAGAAAUAAUCAACAAAAUUAUCAACAACAAGGUAAUAAAUUCAAAAGGCACAAAGCAAACGAGAGUGACAAAUCUAAAAAAGAGCAUGAAGAAAGUUGCUUCAAAUGUGGAAUGAAAGGGCAUUGGGCACGUAUGUGUCGUACCUCAAAAUAUCUUGUGGAUCUCUACUAGAGAUCAAUCAAGGGAAAAGAAAAAUUAGAGACUAAUUUUGCUGAUUAUGAUGGUCCAAUUGAUGUGACUCAUUUGGAUGUCUCCGAUUUCUUUACUGAUCCAAAUGAAAAUAUUGACCAUUUGGUUGGGGUGGUGUGAUAGAAGAUAUAAAUUAAUUUACUAGUAUUUCUUUCGUUUUAGAAAUUCAGUCUGAAAUAUGUUUUUACUUUUUUGCACAAAAAAAAUAAAUAAAUAAAACUCUAUUAUGCAAUGUUUAUUUCAUGAUAUUAAGUAAUGUUUACUUCUUUAAAUCUAAAUUCAAGUUUUUUUUUAAAAAAUUUGUUUAUUUUGUUAUAUUUAUAUAUUCAUGAUGAAUAGUCAAGACAGCUGCUUAAUUGAUAGUACAACUACACAUACUAUUCUUCAAGAUAAAAAAUACUUUUUGGACUUAAUAUUAGCCGAAAAUAAUGUUAACACGAUAUCGGGUGCGUCGAAUAUCGAUGAAGGCUCCGGAAGAGCUUGUAUUAUUUUACCAAAUAAUACAAAAUUAUAUAUUGACGAUACACUUUAUUCUAACAAAUUCAGAAGAAAUUUGCUUAGUUUUAAAGAUUUCGCUGCAAUGAAUAUCACAUUGAGACAAUGCAAGAAAAUAAUGUUGAAUAUCUUUGCAUCACUUCUUUUGUAUUUGGCAAGAAGCAGAUAAAAGAAAAAUUUCAUGCACUUCCGUCUGGGAUGUAUUUUACAUUUAUAAAAAUGGUCGAAUCAAAUAAUGUUACGAAUCAGAAGUUCAUUGAUUCAAAAAGUUUUAUACUUUGGCAUGAUCGACUUGGACAUCCAGGAGCCAUAAUGAUGCGUCGAAUAAUAAACAACUCACAUGGACAUCUUUUAAAGAACCAAAAAAAUUCUUUUUUCUAAUGAUUAUCCAUGUGUAGCUUGUUUGCAAGGAAAGUUAGUCAUUAAACCUUCAACUACAAACGUCAAUAUUGAAUCUCCAACUUUCUUGAAAAGAAUACAUGGAGAUAUAUGUGGGCCAAUACACCCACCAUAUGGACCAUUUCGUUACUUUAUGGUAUUAAUUGAUUCUUCUACAAGAUGGUCACAUGUUUGCCUACUUUCAACUAGGAAUGUAGCAUUUGCUAGACUACUUGCUCAAAUCAUAAAAUUGCGUGCACAAUUCCCCGAUUACUCAAUCAAGACUAUUCGUCUUGACAAUGCUGGUGAAUUUAGAUCACAAGCAUUUGAUGAUUAUUGUAUGUCGAUUGGGAUUGAAAUUGAACAUUCAGUUGCACAUGUUCAUAUACAUAAUGGUUUAGCAAAAUCGUUUAUUAAACGUCUACAACUUAUUGCUAGACCAUUACUUAUGAAAACAAAACUCCCAGCUUCUGUUUGGGGUCAUGCCAUAUUACAUGCUGCAUCAUUGGUUCGUAUAAGACCAACUGCCUAUCAUCAAUAUUCACCUUUGCAACUUGCAUUUGGUCAUGAACCUGAUAUUUCUCACCUACGGAUUUUUGAUUGUACUGUCCAAGUUCCUAUUUCACCCCCCACAACGUACUAAAAUGGGUCCCCAACAAAGAUUUGGGAUUUAUGUGGGUUUUGAUUCACCAUCUAUUAUUAGAUAUCUUGAACCUUUAACGGGUGACUUAUUUACAGCACGUUUUGUAGAUUGUCAUUUUGAUGAAAUGACUUUCACAACUUUGGAAGGAGAAAAACUACAUUCUGAAAAACAAGAUAGAAUUUCUUGAAAUGAGACAACUCUAUCUCACUUUGAUCCCCGCAGCAAUCAAUAUGAACAAGAGGUUGAAAAAAUCAUUCAUUUACAAAGAGUUACAAUUCUACUACCUGAUAUAUUUGUUGACAUGAAAAAAGUGACAAAGUCAUUUAUUCCAGCAGAAAAUAUUUCAGCAAAAAUUAAUGUCCCUACAGGACAAUCUACUGUGGCAAAUGAAUCUCAAAUACGCCAGAAGCGUGGUCGACCAGUUGGUUCAAAAGACUCUGUACCUAGAAAAGAAGAGUACAGAAGAAAAACCAACCAAAAAUUUCAGAAAAAAUCACAUUAGAAAAGAUUGAUCAAUUAAAUAUUGAAUGUACGGUUCCUGAAGAACCAGAGGUGUCUGAAAAUAAUGAGAUUUCAAUAAAUUAUAUGAUAUCUCAUAAAUUAUGAGAACGGAAUAAUAUUGUUAUAGACAAUAUUUUCGCCUUUAACAUGGCUCUUGAUAUUAUACAAAAUGAGGAUCCUGAACUACAGUCUGUUAAUGACUGUUGAAAUAGAAAUGAUUGGCCAAAAUGGAAAGAAGCCAUACAGGCAGAAUUAAAUUCUUUGGAGAAACGAAAAGUGUUUGAACUAGUAGUUUGAACACUUGAAAAUGUAAUUUCUGUUGGAUACAAAUGGGUUUUCGUACGAAAGAGAAAUGAGAAUAAUGAAAUUACAAGAUACAAAGCCCGACUAGUGGCUCAAGGUUUCUCCCAAAGACCGGGAAUUGAUUAUGAGGAAACAUACUCUCCCAUAAUGGAUACCAUCACUUUUAGGUUCUUAAUUAGUUUGACCGUGUCAUAAGGGCUCGAUAUGCGCCUUAUGGAUGUUGUAACUGCCUACCUAUAUGGUUCACUUGAUAGUGACAUAUAUAUGAAAGUCUUUGAAGGAUUUAAGGUGCCAGGAAUAAAUUAUACAUAUCCGAGAACUAUGUUCUCAAUUAAAUUGCAAAAAUCAUUAUAUGGAUUGAAACAAUCCGGACGCAUGUGGCAUAAUUGCCUUUGCGAAUAUUUGUUGAAAGCGGGUUAUAAAAAUGACAAUAUCUGCUCAUGUGUUUUCAUAAAGAAAACAAAUAUUGGAUUUACAAUUUGGCAGUUUAUGUUGAUGAUUUAAAUUUAAUUGGAACUCCUGAAGAGCUCAACAAAAAUGCAGAUUAUUUGAGAAAUGAAUUUGAGAUGAAAGAUUUGGGGAAAACCAAAUCUUGUCUUGGAUUACAAAUUGAACAUUUUCCAGAGGGAUUAUUUGUUCAUCAAUCUACUUAUACAGAAAAAGUCUUGAAGCGCUUUUAUAUGGAUAAUGCACAUCCAUUGCCAUCACCUAUGGUUGUUCGAUCACUUGAUGUGAAAAAAGAUCCAUUUCGUCCACUUGAAGAUGGAGAAAAGAUUCUUGGUCUUGAAGUGCCAUACCUUAGUGCAAUUGGAGCAUUAACUUAUCUUGUAAAUUGCACUCGACCUGACAUAGCUUUUUCUGUAAAUCUCCUUGCAAGACAUAGCUCUACGCCAACUCAAAGGCAUUGGAAUGGUGUUAAACAUAAUUUUCGUUACCUAAAAGGUACUAUUGAUAUGAGACUAUUUUAUUCUCAAAAGUCAGGAUCUGCUUUAGUGGGAUAUGCAGAUGCAGGUUAUCUCUCCGAUCCACAUAAAGCUAAAUCACAAACAGGAUAUGUGUUUACACGUGGAGGAACAGCUAUAUCAUGGAGAUCUGUGAAGCAAUCCUUGACAGCAACAUUCUUACAUCAUUCUGAGAUUAUUGCAAUCCAUGAAGCAGGGCGAGAAUGUGUAUGGUUGAGGAAUAUGACCCAUCAUAUCCAAUCAUCAUGUGGAUUGACUUCAAUAAAAGAUAGUCCAACAAUUUUGUUUGAAGAUAAUGCAGCUUGUAUCGCACAACUCAAGGGAGGCUAUAUCAAAGGCGACAGGACGAAGCAUAUUUCUCCAAAAUUCUUUCAUACACAUGAACUUCAGAAGAAUGGUGACAUUGAUAUUCAACAAAUUUACUUAAGUGACAAUGUGAUUGAUCUAUUCACAAAAACGCUGUCAACAUCUACAUUCAAGAAAUUAGUUCAUGAGAUUGGAAUGCGUCGACUCAAAGAUUUUCAGUGAUCAAUAUUAGGAGGAGUAGCUGUACUCUUUUUCCUUCGCUUAGGUUUUGUCCCAUUGGGUUUUCCUAGCAAGGUUUUAAUGAGGCAGCAUUUAAUUUUAAUACUCCAAAAUAACUGUACUCUUUUUCCUUCAUUUAAUUUUUUUUCCCCAUUGGAUUUUUAUCAAACAAGGUUUUAACGAGGUAGAUAUUUUGUAAUAUGUCAUUCAACGAAGAGUGUUGUAAAUGGAAAGUCCGUUAAAGUUUAUUGGUGAAUGACAUUUGUACCCCUGUAGCCCUAGAAAUUAUUACCAUUGUAUCCCUGAUUCUUACCUAUAAAUAUAGGGCUUUGAUUUUCAAUAAUAUACACAAAAAGUUUAUUGAGUUUUUUCUAUUCUCUUUUCCUCUCAUUUUAUAACAAAAUAGUAAUAAUAAAUGAAAGAUUUGGAAUUACAACUGUAUUAUUCCUACGAUGGUUAUGUUGCCACCAUAAUUUCUAUUUGUCACACCACAAUUUAAUUGUAGUUAAACUCCCAAAUCCAUGCUCAUUGUAAUAAUUAUUUCCUUUAUUUUCGUUGAAUUUUUAUCUUCAACUUUCAUUAAUUAGUACAUCACGUCCUGACGAUAAUUUAUGUUAAAAUAUUUUGUGUACAUGCUCUACAUUAAGGGAAAAUAAAAUUUUUUUAAUUUUUAUAUAUGAUAAAAAAUAAGUUGUUGUAAGCUGUUUUUUUUUAACAUAAAUUGUUAUCAAAUACAAAAUAUAUUUGUAGUGGUCCAAAUUAUCCGUUGGGCUCUUGACCCAAUCCAUGUAUAUUGAAUGUUCCUAGCCCAAACUAAUGUAUGCCAAUCAUGCUCAUCCUUGACCCACUAAUGAUUUAUCAGUCUUACUUUGUGUCCGACCUAUCACACGGUGUCACGUAGAGUCUAAAGGAUAAACUUCUCAACAAGCAAAUCAGUUCAACUCACCAUCUUUUCUAUAAGAGUCGUGAGCUAAGGGUAAGACCAUGUCUUACGAGGUGUUCAAAUGGUUAUGGUAACUCUACCCAAAGUUGGUCGAGUUUUUCGAAACUCGGAAAAUAUCAUCCUAAUUAAUCAAUCCAUCUGGUGUCCACAUGCUCCACUAUUUGUGGAUCAAACAAUUUUGCUGGUUCUCUUAUAAAUAUGAGGGCCAACUAUUCAAGGGGAGAAAAAAAAAUUAUUGAGCCUACACAGCUUCCUCAAUAUUUAUCCAAUUUAGAUAUCUUAUUGCCAUUACUAUCACUUUUAUUUGUCACCUCUCACAAUCAUAUCAUCCAACCACUUCGCUACUAUCACUAUUUCAUCAUGCCAAUCAUAAAUAUCAUCAAUGCCUACUUUUAGAAUCAACUAUAGAUUCGAACAUCUACAAUUUGGCGCCCACCCCGUGGGCCCCAGUGAUUUUCAACACAAAAAAUAUUCCACUAACAGUAAACAUUUUGAUCGCAAUGACGGAAUCCCUAUUAUUGUCAAAGCUAGCAGCCAUGCUUGUUCAAUUUACUUCUCAAAUGGCUGAAACCAACCAAAAGUUCUAGCAGCUAGAAGUAUAAAAUGUACAACUUAAGCAGACAAUUAGAGAGCUCUCUACACUCUCAACGUUAGCUGGGACCAAGAGCCACAUUCAAUUUCACACUGUAGUGAGAACCAUAUAGUUACUUGACAUGCCAAAGCGUGACAUGCUAGGUAUAUGAAGAACUAAUGUCAAUACUAACAAUGUCAAUACAGGCCACGAGACAGACAUGGAGGACGAGGUACUGCUUGACGACCUACCCAUUGUAAAGGAGCUGGUACCACAGGUCAUUAAUACAAAUUACCAAAACACGGACUCUUCACGCAACGAAGGCACUAGCCCAAAUCCGAUAUCGAUCAACGUUUCGCCAUGACAGAGGCCAUGAUCAACCAUAUCCUGAGUGUACCUAUACCGAUCAAGAAAAAUAGGCAAAGCUUUGCGGACUCACCAUUUGUCUAUUCGAUAGCUCUAGUUAAAAUGUCAAUAAAUUUCAAUUUUUCCAAUAUGAAGAUGUAUGAUGGCACCACCGACCCAAAUGCCCAUAUUGCCCAAUGUAAACAAAGAAUGUUCACAGUAACCAGGCCCGGUUCUGGGGCCAGGCGAAUAAGGCCUACGCCUCAGGCCCAGAUUCCAAGGGGGCCUCAUUUUUAGCCCAGAAUUUUAUUUUAUUUUAUUAUUUUUUUCGGUUGAACCAAACUAGUAAUGAAGAAGAGUACCUCACAACUUCAAGCCCAAAUCCAAUACCCUUAGUCUUAAUCCAUUUAUCCAACUUAUACAUCCAUAAAUCAUAAUCUAUUAUCUGUCAUUUACCCAAAAUUCCCAAUUUCCCAAUCCCCAAUCAAAAACCCCUUUCUCCCAAACGCUCGUCUGAGUAGUCCGUCCCCUUCGUAGCGUCGCCGAUCGCCUCUGUCUCUCUUCUCGACUUCCUCAUUCCGACUUCCAGAUUUCCUCUUCCUUGAGUCAUCAGUUACGGUCCAUGGAGUCGGACACCAUCGUAGUUCACACCAAUUCCCUUCCGUUGCGGAGCACAGUUCGCUGUUCACCCCUGUUAGCAAGCAAGUGCUUGGCAGUUGACUAUUAGUUUAGUAUGUUAAGAUUAUUAAUUCCUUUUGAGUUAUAUGAUUACAUUUACACUAAGUAUUCAACUAUUCAUUCAUGACUUUUACCUUUUACUUAUUAUAAUUUUGAUUACAUGACUUUAACUAAUAAAUGCUCUUUUUCUAUGUUACUGUUAAAUACUUUAAUAUUAAUGGGUUAACUGUUAUCUAGUCUAGGAUGGAGUCGAGGACUUGAAAAUGCUACAACUAUGUUUAAUGAUUAUUGAUUAAUAUAUAAUUUGUUGUACAAGUUUGAGACGAAGAACUCUCAAAUCUCAAGUAAUGACUAAUGUGUGAAAUAGUUUAUAGUUAAUUUCAAUAACUUAGUUUGAUAGGUCUUUGUGAGAAUAUAUAGUUGAGAACUUGAGAUAUUAUUUUGUUAAUGAACUUAAGAAAAGAUAUCUUCAGUUUUUACAACCAGUAUACUAAUUUGAAUUAAUUUAUUUUGUUGAUGAAACUAUUUUAACGGUGAUUAGCUCUUAUUAAAUGUGUUAUUUCCCUAAGCUUGACUAAAUGUGCGCCUAUUUUUAAGUAUUGGUGUUUGAUGUUAAAUUUUUGUUUCAGGUUCGUAAGUUAUGACGAUGAAAUUCGCAAGGGUGUGAUUCCAUAGUUUUUGUCGCAAUUCUGCUUAUCAAGUAAGCAGUGGUUUUCCCUAACUUGUUAUUUAAGAGAUUAGAAAUGUUUGGAGCCUUGUCGGCUUAUAUAAUUGCAGCUUGGUUGGCUUAUAUGAUUGAUUAUUGUACGAUCAACUAUUUCAGAAGAAAGAUAGAAUGGAUUGACUAUGUUGUCAAUAGAGAAAGAAAUAGUUGAAUAGCUAAACUAUUCAAAUUUUAUUAAUGUUUUUGCCUUUUAGACGAAUAAUAUUUAACUAAUUACUUGAAAUAUUUUGGUUUUGUUAUUUGAUAAUAUAAAUUUUUUAUAUAAUAUAUCUGUUUGUUGUUUUAACUAAAUUUUAAGUUAGCAAUAAGUUGCAUAAUAUACCAUUGCAUUUACGUUGAUUUCGGGAGGGGGCCUAAUUUAUAUGCUUUGCCUUGAACCCUGACAAUCACAGGACCGACCUUGAUAGUAGCAAACCCACAUGAUCUCUAAGAAGCAUACAGGUGCAAAGGAUUCGGCUCUAGUCUUAUAGGGCUAGCUUUAUAGUGGUACACCAAUUUAACUAACAACUCAAUAUCAUCUUUUGUACAAUUAAAUGAUAUUUUUGUAGAGCAAUUCGCAAGUAGCAGAAAAUUAAUUAUUCGAACAUCCUCUAUAAAAUUGUACAAUGCACAGAAAUCUCUACUUUCAAAAAAAGAUUUAAACCUGACUCAGACCUCUACAAGGAAUUGACUAAGUACGCUUACUACACAAUGAAAGAUGUGUUGGUAGAGGCCUAGGCUCAAAUCAAGAGGGAAGAUGACGAGGCUAAUGCAUUUCGCAACCUACUCUUCAAGAUCAAAGAACCUAAAGGUAUCCAGAGGAUACAAAGACGACAAACUGACCCAUAUCCAAAAUUGAUUGUAGAAUCUUGUGAAGAACGGACAACUAGAAACUAUUGAGUGCCUUCACCAUUCUUACGAUAGACCAAGGAUACCCGAGUACAACCUUAGCAUUUUAUCAGUUGAAGUUGUAGCCAUAAUAAAAGGGAAGGAAAAUACCAUCAAAUUGAUAGGAAAAAUGAGAAGUCAUCUAGGCAACAGGCGUGAUACAUCCAAACCGUGUGCAUUUUAUGGUGAUCACGAACACAAAAUUCAUGAUUGUAUUGGUUUGUGAUUGGAAGUUGCUAAUCUACUCAAAUGUAGGCACUCACCAAUCUCCUAACAAAGAAAGGAAAAAAUACAUUGUUUCUCGGCAACCAAUGCUACAAUGAACCACACAAUCUAUGAAUUUCCAAGCACAUCCAAAGCUCGGUCGAGCAAUAACUUCAUCACCAAAGGAUCGAAGGUUAGCGGGAUCACUUAUUCUGUUGUACAAUGAUGCAUUCAAAUAAUUGGAUAGGUGGCGUGGAACGAAUCUCGAAAGCUUUCAAUAAGCUGAGAAGGCCAUCCCACUACGCUUAACUUUACAAGUAACGAGGCAUCAAACCUCCAAAACCUUCAUUGCGAUGCUUUGGUUAUUUCGUUAUGUAUUGCUAGCUAUCUUAUGAAAAGAAUUUCUAUCGACAAUGUGAGUUCUACUAAUAUAUUUUUCCUUGAGACAUUAAGAGAGAUGUAGGUCCCAGAGUCCAGCAUUAUAUGCAAUAUUACCACACUCAUAUGAUUCAAUUGAGAACACAAAACUACACUAUGAGAGAUGAUGCUCUUGGUCUAUGAUGAAGAAGUAAAUCUUCAUACCAAGUUCCUUGUCAUCGAGUGCCCAUUGGCCUACAACGUUAUCAUAGAAAGACAUUGGAUAUAUGCAAUGAAAGAUAACCUUCAAGCUAUCACAAGGUCAUGGGCUUUCCCAUUUCCUGGAGAGUUAAAAAAAUAUGAGGAGAAUCAAAGAGUCUCACGCAACUGCUAUAUGAAUGCUUUCAAACCCUGACCAGAAUGAGUGCACUAGAUCCAACAAAAAGUAAGCGAAUCGCUUGAGCCAGAUAUGGAGGACAUCAACAAAGUCCAAUUAUAUCUAGACAUUUCAAAGCAUACAGUGUAGAUUUGAGAUUAAUUCCCAUCAGACAUCUGAGAUGUAAUAAUUGAAUUUCUAGCUUGACAUCAAGAUCGCUUUGCAUGGUCGCACAUGAAUAUGACAUGUAUUGAUCCUUCAAUAGUAACCUAUAAAUUAAAGGUCAAUCCCACUACUAACUAGUUAGACAGAAGAGACACAAAUUCGCUCCAAAAACGAUAAAAAUUAUUAACGACAAAAUACAAAAGCUCAUUGACAUCGGCUCAGUACGUGAAGUCUAAUAUCCAAAUUGGUUGGCCAAAGUCGUCAUCAUUGAAAGGAAAAAUGGCAAAUGAUGGAUCUGCAUAGACUUCAUAGAUUUAAUAAUCGUGCCCAAAAAAUUCCUUCCCUCUAUCACAUAUCGACACUUUGGUGGUCUCCACAGCAAGGUAUAAGUUACUUAGCUGUAUGGAUGCAUUCUCAAUAUACAACCAAAUCUUAAUGCAUCCAAGUGAUCAAGAGAAAAUGGCUUUAAUAACGGGAGGAGAUGUUCUAUUACUAAGUCAUGAUAUUCGACCUAAAAAAUGCAGAAGCAACAUACCUGAUACGACCCAUCCCAAAUCACUAUAAUGAACCCGACACGUGUCGUGCGCCAAUGAAUGAUACCAGCUAAAUGCCAGACCUACCACCAAAUCAACUAUGAUUUGCUUUGACUGUCACAUAAUUAUAUAAAAAUUUGACAGAGUUUCCUCUAAGAUAUGGACUAAAAUAACCUGAAAGUUUAUCAACUUUCUCAAAUCAAUACAUAUAAUUUAAAACAAGGUACAUCAGCCCUUCCAAACACAACUAUUCAAAAUAAAGUACGAUUGAAUGGAAUUUACACUUCUUUACAAACCAGAGGACUCCAAAUACAUUACUUAUACAAAUUAUGUAGUGAGGCCAUGAUAUAAAUUGACAAAAGAUGCAUCUACCCCAAAAAAUUAUGAACUGUAUAAAUUGACAAAAAGAAACAUACAAAUAACAACUGAGGGGCUCAAUUUGGUAAUUCAACAGGCUCCGAUGUGGCUUAACACAGCUACCGUCUGAUAAGAAAAAGGGAGAUGAAAUAUAUGAGUUUGUAACUCAAUGAGUGGAUAAUUUUGUAAACAAAUAUACUUUUUCCAUUUAUGCUAACUUUCUAAAAACUGGUUUAUAAUAGAAAUAUCAUUACAUAGUACUUUAAGCUAAAUUCUGUAUUCUGAAAUUUGAUAAGUUGUAUAAUACUGAAAAAUCACACUAAAAAGGUACCCGGAAUAACUAUACUUAUGUAUCGAUUAGCAUCGAUAGACAUGGCAAAGAUAUCCAAUUCUGAAAUUCUGUAAUUCUAAAAUUUUGGUCAUACGAUGCACAGCUUUCUGGUCAUACACCAUGGAAACACAUUAACAAUAGUGCAAAGUAGGUAAAAUCACCAUAAUUAGUCAUACACUGUGGAAACACAUUCACACUAGUGCAAAGCGGGUAAAAUCACCUGGGUACUUUCUAGUGAUUUUUAGAAAAUAACUUUAAAUAUGCUGAACUAUUUAAUACUGAAAUAAUGUGCCAAUGAAAUGCUUUAACUGAACUGAAUUUAACUUCAAAACACAACUGUUAAUAAAUCAACUUUUUUCUGAAAAUCGUGUUUUCAAAUCAACUGUAUGAAUUAAUAAAUUUUCUAAUUUAAUAUAAAUUUUAUAAAUACUAAUUUCUUAAAAAUAAGUUUAUAUCCACUCACACAAUACGAGCUACACACUAGGCCACUUGGUAAGCUUUUCCAAUUUCUUUGUCACCACAUGAAAUACGUUACAAAAUAACUAAUUUAACUACUAUUAAAAUCAAGAAACCUUUUAUCUCUAAUGAUAAAAUAAUUAAACUAAAUUUUCCAAGACUUGCGAAAUUUUUUUAAAUUUCCUUUAUUCAAUUGGAGUUAAUUUUAAUUUCUAAUAAUACCUUCACACAUGGGUACUUUACCCAAAUUUACUUUCAUCCCAUUCAUAAAAAUAAUUAUACUUUCUGAUCUAAUGCAAACUAGUAACCAUAAUUCCACCUAUUUAAACUUUCAUCUUGUUUCUCAACUUCAUGCUUUCAUAUGAGUAUUCCAUCAAUAUAAUCAUUUCCAUGAAAUAUCCUUACUUAAGAAUCCAAUUAAAAAUUCUAGGGUUUGCCAAAUUUUUUUUGAUAUUUCUUACCUUAAUUCAAACGGAGACUAACCAAUCAAGAAGCUUGAGCUAGAGAUCAUAAUCCUUUCUCUAAAUCUGAAAUUUCGAACCAAAUUAAAACCCUAGAAAUUUAACAUAAAAUUUAUCUACCUCUUGAAGAAAAUAAAGAGAAAGGAAAAAUGAAAAUAAACCUUGAACUACAUCUUUCCCUUCUUCUUCCUCUUUUUCUUUUCCUUUUUCUCCUUCUUUUUCUUCACUUUUUUUCCUUUCUUCCUUCCUUCCGCCGAUUUUUCUCCUUCUCUGCCGGUUUCAAGAUUUUUCCUAUUUGUGUGGCUGAGUGAUAUAUAAAAAAAUGGGCUAGUUGUUGUACAAUUGCCACAUGCCCUCCAUAACAUCAACUUUUGCAAAUUAUGUCCUCAUUAAUAUACUUAGGAUCCGUUUGAUUGCAAAUGUGGAAUUUGGGUGAAAAGAAAACGAAUUUCAGGGAAUUGAAUUGAUGAGAAAUUGUUUUACUGGGAGUUGUAAAUUAUUGUGUUUGAUUGAUAUAAUUUUUUACGUGAAAAUUGUUUAAAUUAAAUUUUUUUUGAUGUCUGUUUGGUUUUGUUUUACAUGAAAAAUGUCAAUUAAAGGGAUAGAAUUUACUGGUAUUUGGAAUGAAAUUUGUUUUCAUUGCCAAAAUAAAAAAAAAUUCAAGAAAAUCAUCGAUUUUUGGGUGUUCGUUUGAUUUUGUUUUACAUGAAAAUUGUCAAUUAAAGGAAAAUAUUUUUUUACAAUAAUUUUUAGAAUUUAUUUUCAUUGCUAACACAAAAAAAGAAGGAAAAAAAAAUUGAAAACCUGGAAUUCACUUUCCUACCGUAUAGGUGGAAAAACCAAUUCCUUGAAAUGAAGGAAAAUAGGCGCGUGUGAGGCUUGCAUGGAAAGUGAAUUCCAAGGAAAUGUUUUGCCAUCAAACACUAGAAUUUGGAAAAGAUGGAAAUUAAUUUUCACUUUCUAGGGAAUUCAUGGGCAAUCAAACGGUACCUUAGAAUCAUUUACUUCCCAAAAAUAGAAAAAUAAAUCCCUAACUUUUCCACCUUAAACCUUCCGAUUAUUUCUCAGUAUAAAUUAAACUCCAAUAAUUAAUUUAUUUUAUUUUAGUCUCUAUUUGACUUUGACUUUGACGAGUCAAUCUUUGAAUUUUGACUAAACAAAAAUCGGUUGUAACAUCUUACUUCCUUAAAAGAAUUUCAUUCUCGAAAUUCCACUGGCAUCUGAUUAGGUAACGAAUAGAUGAGGAUACUGAAUACGCAUCUGAUCCUCAUGCUCCCAGGUUGCCUCUUCUACCGUCUGAUUCUGCUAAAGCACCUUUACAAGUAAAAUUGUCUUGUUCCGCUGAAUUUGCACCUUUCUGUAUAGAAUUCUCACUGGCUCCUCUGUAUAAGUCAAAUUCUCCUUCAAGUGAACUAGAUGAGACUCUAGAACAUGAGAAGGAUCUGUAAUGUACUUUGGAGCAUGGAGACAUAAAAAACAUCAUGGAUCCUAGAUAAUUCAGUUGGCAAAUCUAAUCGAUAUGCAACUAGACCAAUUCGCUCAGUAAUCUCAUAUGGUCCAAUGUAUCGUGGACUCAAUUUUCCUCGCUUGCCAAAUUUUAAAACUCCCUUCCAAAGCGACAAUUUUAGAAAUAUUUUAUCUCCAACUAUGAAUUUCAGAUCUUUUCUGUGCCUAUCUGCAUAACUUUGCUAUCUAUCUUAUGUUGGUUUUUCAACUUUUCUCUGAUCAAUUUCACAUUUACUGAAGUCAUUUGAACCAAUUCAGGGCCUACUAACUUCCUCUUACCAGCUUUAUCCCAGCAAACUGAUAUUCUGCACUUUCUACCAUAUAAAGUUUCAAGAAGAGCCAUUUCUAUACUGGAGUGGUAACUGUUAUUGUAAGCAAACUCCAUCAAUGACAAAUGUGAAUCCCAGCUACCCUGAACUCUAAAACACAAGCCCUCAACAUAUCCUCAAGAGUCUGUAUGGUCCUCUCUGACUGACUAUCUGUCUGAGUAUGAAAAGCUGUACUGGGCCAAAAUUUAGAUGUAAAAUGAGGGUCUCUGUCAGACAUAAUAUAUAAUGGAGUACCAUAUAAGCUCACUAUCUCGUCCACAUACAACUUUGCUAACUUAUUUAAAGUAUAAGUGGUUUUGAUUGGCAAAAACCUUGCAGACUUGGUCAAACGAUCCACAAUAAUAACCCAAAGAUCAUUAUGACCAUUCUGGGUACGAGAAAGACCAAAUAAAAAGUCCAUAGUAAUGUGCUCCCAUUUCUAUUCUAGAAUAGGCAAUGGCUAUAAUAGUCUUGUUGUUUUCUAACGAAUUGGUUUUACCUACUGACAGAUAAGACGUUUGGAUACAAAAAUAUGUUAUCUCUCUCUUCCACAAGUAAUGUUCUUUCAACGUAUCAUACUUUCAAUGUAUGAUACAUUUUAAUACAUUUUGAUAGAGUCUUCUUUAAAAGAUGGACUAAAAUCACCUGAAAGUUUAUCAACUUUCUCAAACCAAUACAUAUAAUUUAAAACAAGGUACAUCAGCUCUUCCAAAAACAACUAUUCAAAAUAAAGUACGUUGGAAUGGAAUUUACACUUCUUUACAAACCAGAGGACUCCAAAUACAUUACUUAUACAAAAUUAUGUAGUGAGCUCAUGAUAUAAACUGACAAAAGAUGCAUCUACCCCAAAAAUUAUGAACUAUAUAACUGACAAAAAGAAACAUACAAAUAAUGACUGAAUGACUCAAUUUGGUAAUUCAACAGGCUCCGAUGCGACUCAACACAACUAUUGUUUGAUAAAAAAAAGGAGAUGAAAUAUAUGAGCUUGUAACUCAGUGAGUGGAUAAUUUUGUAAACAAAUAUACCUUUUCCAUUUAUGCUCACUUUUCAAAAACUGGUUUAUAAUAAAAAUAUCAUUACGCAGUAUUUUAAGCUAAAAUCUUUAUUCUUUAAACUGAAUAAGCUAAAUUCUGUAUUCUGAAAUCUAAUAAGCUGUAUUAUACUGAAAAAUCACACCAAAAAGGUACCCGGAAUAACUAUACUCAUGUCUCGGUUAACACCGAUAAACAUGACAAAGCUAUCCAAUUCUGUAAUUCUGGUCAUACGCACGCAGAGCUAUCUGGUCAUAAACUAUGGAAACACAUUCACAAUAGUGUAGAGCGGGUAAAAUCACCUAGGUACUUUCUGGUGGUUUUUAGAAAAUAACUUUAAAUAAACUGAACUAUUUAAUAUUGAAAUAAUAUGCCAAUGAAAUGAUUUAAUUGAACUGAAUUUAACUUUAAAAAUAACUGUUAAUAAAUCAACUUUAUUCUGAAAAUCGUGCUAUCAAAUCAACUGUAUGAAUUAACAAAUUUUCUGAUUUAAUAUAGAUUUUAUAAAUACUAAAUUCUGAAAAGUAAAUUUAUAUCCACUCACUCAAUACGAGCUACAGACUAAGUCGGUCGGUAAGCUUUUCCAAUUUCUUCGUCACCACUUGAAAUACGUUACAAAAUAACUAAUUUAACCACUAUUAAAAUCAAGAAACCUUUUAUCUCUAAUGAUAAAAUAAUUAAACUAAAUUUUUCAAGACUUGCAAAAUUUUCCUAAAUUUCCUUUAAUCAAUUGAAGUUAAUUUUAAUUUCUAAUAAUACAUUCACACGUGGGUACUAUACCCAAAUUUACUUUCAUCCCAUUCAUAAAAAUAAUUAUACUUUCCAAUCUAAUGCAAACUAGUAAUCAUAAUUCCACCCAUUUAAACUUUCGUAUUGUUUCUCAACUUCAUGCUUUGAUAUGAGUACUUCAUCGAUAUAAUCAUUUCCAUGAAAUAUCCUUACUUAAGAAUCCAAUUAAAAAUUCUAGGGUUUGCCAAAAAAAAUUUGAUAUUUCUUACCUUAAUUCAAAUGGAGACUAACCAAUCAAAAAGCUUGAGCUAAAGAUCAUAAUCCUUUCGCUAAAUCUGAAAUUUCGAACCAAAUUAAAACCCUAGAAAUUUAAUAUAAAAUUUAUCUACCUCUUGAAGAAAAUAAAGAGAAGGGAAAAAUGAAAAUAAAUCUUGAACUACAUUUUUCCCUUCUUCUUCCUCUUUUUCUCCUUCUUUUUCUCCUUCUUUUUCUUCCCUUUUUUCCUUUCUUCUUUCUUUCUGCCCAUUUUUUUCUCCUUUUCUGCCAAUUUCCAGAUUUUUCCUAUUUGUGUGGUUGGGUUGUGCUUCAUAGCCCACGAGCUUGACAAAGGGGUUGACACCCCACACACACAUGGGGAGAUCGGUAUUAUUUUAUUCAAUGGGACCCACCUCGGCAUGUGAGAGGGUGGUCAGCCGUGGUGUCAACCCCGCGGGUCGUUUAGCAUUUUUCUUGUGUGGUUUGAGUGGUAUAUAAAAAAAAUGGGCUAAUUGUUGUAUAAUUGUCACAUGCCCGCCAUAACACCAACUUUUGCAAAUUAAGUCCUUCAACAUUAAUAUAUCUUAGAAUUAAAUCUUUUACUUCCCAAAAAUAUAAAAAUAAAUCCUUAACUUUAAAUUUUAUCCACCUUAAACGUUCCAAUUAUUUUUCAAUAUAAAUUAAACCCCAAUAAAUAAUUUAUUUUAUUUUAGUCUCCAUUUGACUUUGAUUUUGACGAGUCAAUCUUUGAAUUUUGACUAAACAAAAAUGGGUUGUGGCUCAUCAAUUCAAUGUUUACCAAAUUGCUCGAAAAAGUGAUGAGUGCCUACAUAAACGAUAUGCUCAUCAAAUCAUUUGUAGUGACUGACCACAUCAGGUACCCGGGUAGUCUUUCUAAGUCCUCAAAACGUAUAAUAUGAAACUCAAUAAUUAUAAAUGUUCAUUUGGUGACUCUUUUGAAAAAUUUGCAGGUUAAUAAGCAAGGGAUAGAAUUAAAUUCAGACCAAGUAUGAUCAAUCAUCAACAUCCUGUCUCCUAGACACAUCAAAGACAUUUAGAAGUUGACUAGACGAUUAGCUGCGAUCAACCAGUUUAUAUCAAAAUAUUAGAAGAAAAAUUGCAUUUUCUUUAACACAUUGCGAAAGAACGAAGAGUUCAUUUCGACUCCGAAUGUAAGAAAGCUCUACAAAAAUUAAAGAAUUAUUUGACAAGUCCACCGCUCCUAUCCAAGCCAAAAGACAGCGAGAUGCUCUACCUUUACUUAGCAAUAUCUUUGUCUGCAGAAAACGUCAUACUUGUCCAGGAGGAGGAUAGAAAGCAGCAUGUGGUGUGCUACAUUAGUAGAUUCUUGCUCAACUCUGAAUAUCGGUACAGAAGCUGAAAAAGCUUGCACUCGUCCUCGUAAUCAAGGGAAGGAAGCUAAGGCCCAUACUUCCAGCACACCUAUAACGGUGCUUUUGACCUUCCUAUAAAAGAUGAUCCUCCAUAAACCAGAAUUGUCGAGCCGACUAGUGAAAUGGCAGUAGAACUUAACGAAUAUGACUUGACUUACCAACUACGGUCCGCGGACCACUAUCAAAUCACAUGUGCUUGCUGACUUUAUUGUUGAUUUUUCAACCGACAAACAUGUCCUGUCCAAGAAAGAAAUUUUUGCAGUAACGGAGAGCUUAAUUUCGAAAGAAUUGACCUAGCGUUGGAUGGAUCAAGCAACUCUAAUGAAAGUGGACUGGGCAUAAUCUUAACCUCAUCCGAAGCCAACAUAAUCGAACGAGCAAUACAAUGCUGAUUCAAAGCAACGAAGCUGAAUAUGAAGCUCUAAUUGGGGAUCUAUCACUUGUAAAAGACACGGGUAUGAAGAAAAUCAAAUUGUCGAACGAUUGACAAAUAGUCACCCACCAAAUCUAAGGCAACUACUCAAAGAACAAAAAUGGCGACAUAUCUCAAAAUCGCAAAAGAGCUUCAGUCUUUCUUCCAGGAUUUUGACAUAAUCUAAAUCGUUAGAGAAGAUAAUAAUAAUCAUGCUAACGCACUUAGAAAUUGCAAUACUUUAUUAUACUAAUUGUAUCAUGUUUUAUAUUCUAACAAAAAAUUAUAUUUUAUUUUUCUUUUUGAAAUUUAUUAGAAAAUUAUGUUAAUCUUCAAAGUUCUAAUGUUAAAUUUAUAUAAUAAAUAAAAAAAAAUCAAUAAAACUAUUUGUACAUCCAAGAUUGACACCCCGGAUGACACUCCCCUUACAAGAGAGGGGGGUCCACACGUAAUAAAAUAAUUGUGAGCUCCCCUCUUGUGAAGGGAGUGUCAUCCGGGGUUAACACUUCGGAUGUACAAAUAGCAAAGUCCAAAAAAUAUAUAAUAAUCACUUACAAAACAUAUACAUGCACGUUGGAAAAAGGAAGGAUCGCUUAUAUAUUGAUAGGUGUGCAUGGCAUAUGGCUAAUUGUAAUUGGAACCUGAAUUUCAAGAAAGGAAAAAAAAAAUGAAUGGGGAUUCUAGUGCCACAAGUGAUAUAAUUUUAGAAAACUUCCCACAAUCGAAUUGUUAAUCAAAAAUGAAUAUUUCUACUCAAACAGGGGCCGUGACAGCCUUAAUAGGCGCCCCCUCCAAUAGGGGGACGCCCAUGUCACAGUAACAAGCCCCAUCAAAAAUAGCAUAGACAAUUGUAGAAGAGGUGAACUUGAGACAGAAGGUUAAUUGAAGGUUUAAUUCUGAUUUUCUUAUUUCUUUUUUAAUUUUAAAAGUUUCUUGAUUUGGCUACUUGUGCUUCUUUGGAAGUGAUAAUGACCUGCUAAAUUUCGUUUAUCUUCUUCUACGUUUCUGAUUAUUUUCUUCUACAUUUUGUGCCCAAGCCUUUAUUCUAUAACUAAUUUUCAAUGCUACAAAAGGGUGAGUAGCAUUUUAUGAACUCUUUGAACCUUUUUUAAGUACUUUUUUCCUCUUGAACAAUCUGGAUUAUGUUUUUGAAGUUUUAGAUGUAUACAAGUAUGGACGGAGACAAAAUAUUAUAAUAUAUUUUUAAAACUCUUACUUUCAAUAUUUAGUUGUCACCAUAUUUCUAAUUUUGUUGGUAACAAAUGAGGCAUCUUUGACAUUUUUAGUUCACUUCCCAUAAAUAAACGAUGAAGAUUGAUUCUAUUUUAUGAUUCAUAUUUUUUCUAGAUUAUUUUUGUUGACGCAUAAAAAUUCAGCCCAAAUCGAACAGCCCAAGGAGUGAAGCCUAAUUGGAUGAUCCCCAAAUCAAAUAGUCCAAAGAAUGAAGCCCAAUCGAACAAAUCAAGAUGAAGGCCCAAAUAAGGAGGCCCAAGAACGCGGUAACGCCAUCGCCCAAGUUUGCAAGUCGCCCAGAAUCUGAGCGAAUGGAGUGUCAUACAAUCGCCCAGAGCUGUUACUCUAUUCACGCCCAAACCUUCAAGUCGCCCAAGGUCUUAACAAACAUAAAGCGUAGUGGUUAUCAAGAAGUGCAGUUAUCAAAGCAGUUAUUAAAGCAGCCCUAUCACGUUCCACGAUUCAAGGAAUUCAAUCGAAAGCGGUUGAACGAUGAAGAGUAAUGGCAGCAGUUAAAAAAUACAGUUUUCAUGACAAGUUGGCCAUUACAAAGAAAGUGGGCAGUUAUAGGACGAUCAAGCAGUUUUUAGGACGGUUGAUCACAAAGAGAUCGUCCAUGAAGUAUAAAAGGGAGAAAGAACAUAGAAGCAAAGGACCGAAUCAAAAACUCUCGAACAGAGAACAUGUAAUUUUCAUUUCCUUAGCUUAGACUUAAACGCUUUUCUUCCAGUAACUCGUGUGCUUGCGCCCAUUGGAGGCACAUUGUUUUUAAUUUCCAAUUGUAAAAUCAUCGCCAAUAAAAGAACACCCCUUUUUGGGACUUUGUCUCAAGAGGUUUGUCCCUUACACAAUCGUCUGAUCAUUUUUAAUUGUUAGAGACUAACCCACGCGAAACAAUUUGGCACGCCCAGUGGGACAGUGGUGUUAGGUGUUGAAAGUACAAAAGGUGAAACAAUAUGCCUCAGAGAUCCGAUAAGGAAGUAGCAAGUCAGGGAGGAAUCCAGUCUGUGAUCGAGCGAUAUGAGGAGCAGCAUGCCUCUCCACGAACAGAUGGACAGAAUCAGAGCAGUAACGGUCGUUAUGAACCAAUGACAGAGUUGAGUCCUCGAACCAUGCGUACAUUACUUGGAGAACUUACGCAAGACGUCAUUAAACAGGUAAAUCUUCGAAUUAUUCAUAAUAUGGAAAGAUUUACGCAAAAUGGGAAUGUACACUAUGACAACAUGGCCAAACAAUUAAAGACGUUGAACGAAACAAUGAAUAAGUUAGUAGGCCAAAUCUGUCAACCGGCUAUACCUCUUACAAACCACUUUCAAACUAGGACAAUUGUGGGACAUAAUCCCUCGGUCCUAAAUCCGAAUCAAGGGGUAGAACCGCUUUCUGGUCCCUCUACUUCAAACCAAGGGGGUACUACAGUGCCAAAUCAGAACAAUGGUAGUGGUAUGCCUAACAUGGGGGGUAAUCCAAAUGUGAGAGAUAAUGUCCUAAACAAUGGACAGAAUAUUCCACGUGUUAAUGAGGGAAUAGAUGUUCGGGCUAAUGGUAAUGGCCCUAAUCAUGGUAAUUUUGUUGCCAAUCAAGGACCAAACAUUAGGCCUCAUGCAAAUCAACCGGUUAGCCAACCUGUAGGAAUACCAUAUGACCCCAACGUCAUGUUGAGGAACCAGAUUAUGGAAAUCGUACAGGAUCAGAUGGCUUUUGGGGUGCGUCCCGUCAUUAGGCCGACGUACAUAAAGCCAUAUCCUGAUUGGAUAGACCAAGCAUAUCCAUGGCCUAGAGGGUACAAAGUGCCAGAAUUCUCACUGUUUACCGGUUUAGGAGAGGUGUCUACUCUAGAACACAUAGGGCGAUUCACAUUGCAAAGUGGUGAUGUAACCGAUUACCAUAAAAUGAGACUUUUCCCUAGUUCGUUAACAGGAGUAGCUUUCUCCUGGUUCAUCAACUUGCCAGCGAACUCUGUUCAAAUAUGGCUACAAUUAGAACAGUUGUUUCACACUCAGUUUUAUAAAACUGAGUCUGAAGUUACUUUGGCUGAUUUGGCGAAUCUACGUCAAAUGCCAAACGAAUGGGCAGAAAGUUUUCUCCAAAGGUUCAAGACAGCAAGAAGCAAGUGUUUUGUACCUCUGGUCGAAAAAGAAUUUGUCAAAAUCGCUUAGGGCUGCUUGAGCUUUGAUUUAAAAAAGAAGUUCCAGGACAAGAAAUUUCCUGACCUUUUCCAGUUGAGUGCGAAUGUGAUUAGGUAUGAGCGAUUGAUAAGAGAGGAAGAACAAAUGAAAAAUUUCAGUAAAGGGACUUAUUACAAAGACCCAAAUUUUGACGUUCAUACCAUCGACGACGAGUCAUACGAUCAGGCCGAAAUGUGUUUGGCAGAAUUGGUCAAAGGAGAUACAUAUACUUGUCCUAUAAUAGCCAAGCCUAGACCAUCGGGCAAAGAUGAGCCCAUAAAAGAUGGAAACAUAAAGGCUAGAACGUUCUCGUUCGACGUAACCAAAGCUGACCUUAUAUUCGAUAAAUUAUAUAGGGAUAAGCAGAUAAAAUUGAGCGAUAAGCACAAAUUGCCAAACCCUGAACAAAUUAAGGGUAAAAAAUAUUGUAAGUGGCAUAAUGCAUGGUCACAUUUGACUAACCAUUGCUUGGUUUUCCGCCAUGUAUUGCAGGAUGCCAUUGAAUUAGGGCGAAUUACGUUCGAUGAUAAGAAAAAGAUGGCAGUGGACGAGAAUCCUUUCCCACAGCCACUUGGAGUAAACAUGGUAACAUCUGGAUUCAAAAACAAGUUGCCAAAAUUCAAGUUGGUCGUAAACGAUGGAGAAGAGGAUCCUAGACCACAUCCCAGCGUCUUUGAACGAAUCAAGAGGAAAGAACCAAAAAAGGACGAAGACGUCCUGUGUGCAAGGUGUAAAAGAGAAGUGAAUGGAAAUACGGAGAAACCAGGGAUAUGACAGCAUCCUCAUCACCCUACCUUCUUCCCAAACACUCAACUUGGUAGAGGGCGAGGUACAUCAUUCUUAGAGGACCGCCUUUUGAGAGGCAGUUCAGGCCAGUAGAUAAUGGAAGAACAUUCAGGCCGCAACCUCACCGGCCAAAUGUAUGGCAUUCAUUCUAGUACAAUGCAGGAAGAGCAAUACCCUUCGAUGAGAUGACUAGGACCCAACAAAGGCAUUUUCAACGAAACUACGGACGGAUGAUGAGGCAGCAACAGGGGAUGCCACAUCCUAAAGCGCCUAAACUACUUAAGGUAGCCAAUCAAAACUUCCUCAAAAAUAAUGAAGAGACCGGUACAGAUGAAUCAAUGAAGAAACUGCUAGAAACUUCUUCUGGGAGAUCAAGGUUUGAGCGAGACAGAAGGGAUGAAGAAGAUCUAGAUCAGCCCCUCACUAUCCAACUCGGUACGUUGCCUCCUGUCGUGGCCAAUAAUUACUUACUGGCCAAUGAAUUCAAGAACAAAGAAAAAGAAGAAGAGAGGGAGGACAACGAAGGAGAAGCCUGCGUGCUGGUAUGUGAAGAAGGCCAGACUUCUAGAGAGGCCUACAACGAUGAAGAGGACAACGGGAUGACAGACAUUGAAGAAGAAAUCGACCUAGAAGCAGAGAGAAGAAAAAGAAGAGUAUCGCGCAAUACUCUGUUAAAGCAACUACAUCGAGAGGGAGUUCACGAAGUAGACUUGUUGGGGGAACCAUCUGGGCGCCCUUUCGAUUUCUACGUACUGUACGGGACACCCAAAAGGAAGAAGAGAGUACCUCUCUCUGAAAAGUAUGGAUCACCUCCAAGAAUAAUGUCCCCUCCCACAGGUUAGGUAACUGAUGAGGAAGCAUUAGAAAGAAGUAGGAAGGAAGUUCAGGAGACAGAGGAUCAGCGCGAUGUACUGCACGUCGACUUAUCACAGGGGGAUAAUUCGACAGAAAACAAGCAGGAAGUAGAAAUAGAGGCUGCCAAAAAAGUUAUUUUUAAACGGCCAGCCAUGAAAUUGACUAAACACUUGAGGCCAUUAUACGUUAAAAAUCUAGUUAACGGCGUCCCAGUGGCAAAAGUGCUUGUCGACAAUGGAGCAGCUAUAAACACCAUUCCAUCUAGGAUGAUGAGGAAGUUCAUAAAGAUAGAGGGUGACAUGAUUCCUACAGAAGUCAUCCUCACUAGCUUCAAUGGAGGAGCGAUUUCAGCUAAGGGAGUUAUGCCAUUGGACAUAACUAUAGGGACGACUACUAGGACCACUGUCUUUUUUGUAAUAGAUGGUCCUACUAGUUACAAUGUGCUAUUAGGAAGAGAUUGGAUACACGGAAGUCGCUGUAUACCCUCAUCACUCCAUCAAUGCCUGAUCUUCUGGAAUGACAAAGGCGAAGCUGAGGUGGUACAGGCCGAUCAUAGGCCUUUUGUCGCAGAAGCAAACUCGGUGAAAAAGUUCAUGUACGAAGGAAACUAUGGACCUGUCAGGGUAGUACAAGACGGGGAAGAAACUCAGGUUGUCGCGCAAAGCGAAGAACCAUUCUCAGUGGACGCACUCACUGAGAUGUUUAAACAGAUGAGGCCAAAUAUAGUAGCCCUAGAAGAGCCAGUAAUUGGCAAAAGAAUAAUUAAGGAGUCUUGAAUGGACUUUAAGUUAUGAAAGCAAAUGGCCGACGUUCAGGACUUCAAAGCCAGACUGAUGGCUUUCAAUAAGGAAUGCAAUGACAAGGCGAAAGAAGAGACAGCCCUAAAAGCGCUGAAGGAUAAGUUGGCAGUAUUUGAGUUAGAGCAAAGCAUUGGCCGAGAAGUCAACAAGGUGGACUAUUUAGAAGAGAAAGUACUUACAAGGGAACUAAACGACGAAGUAAUGCGGAUCGCCAAACCUGGAUACGCUCAAGCACAAGACCCUCUGAUCAAAGUAAAUAUUGGCAAUGAAGGAGAAGAUCGUCCAACAUUCAUCAGCCAAAUGCUCGACCAAGAGGUUAGUAACAAGUUAAUAGCUUUGCUAAAAGAGUACAAAGAUUGUUUUGUUUGGGAAUAUGAACAAAUGCCUAGUUUAGAUAGAGACUUGGUGGAACAUAGGUUACCAACUAAGCCUAACUUUAAAUCUCAUAGGCGGCCUCCUAGACGUUUUGCUCCCAAUGUACUCCCUGAAAUCAAGAAAGAGAUAGAGCAAUUAUUGAAAGCAGGUUUUAUUAGAACAGCCAGAUAUGUCGAAUGGUUGUCAAAUGUCGUGCCAGUACUAAAAAAGAAUGGUAAACUAAGGGUGUGUAUAGACUUUAAAAAUUUAAACAUAGCUACACCCAAAGAUGAGUAUCCAAUACCCACGGUGGAUUUUUUAGUAGAUUCAACUGCCGGACAUGUCAUGUAUUCUUUCAUGGAUGGGUAUUCAGGGUACAAUCAAAUUUAUAUAGCUGAAGAAGACAUACACAAAAUUACUUUUAGAUGCCCAGGGUCUCUAGGAUGUUUUGAAUGGGUGGUUAUGCCUUUCGGUCUAAAAAAUGCAAGGGCAACUUAUCAAAGGGCAAUGAAUUUAAUCUUUCAUGAUAUGAUAGGCAAGUUUGUUGAAGUGUAUGUGGAUGACAUAGUAGUCAAGUCCAUUAAAGAAGAAGACCAUUUCGAACAGUUAAGAUAUUCGUUUGAGCGAAUGAAGCAAUAUAAGCUAAAGUUGAAUCCCUUGAAGUGUGCAUUCAGUGUUAAUGCAGGGAAUUUUCUUGGUUUCUUAGUACACAAGAGAGGGAUUGAACUUGAUAAAAAUAAAGCGAAGGCGAUUUUAGAGGCCAAACCACCUAGCAACAAAAAAGAAUUGCAAAGGUUUCUAGGCCAAGUAAUUUUUUUAAGACGCUUUAUUUCUAACUGUGCAGGGCGAACUAAAGUCUUUUCGCCGCUUUUAAAGCUGAAAAAUCAGGACGAAUUCGUCUGGAAAGAAGAACAUCAAAAGGCUUUUGAAAGCCUGAAGACAUAUCUAUCAAGUCCACCAGUGUUGGUGUCACCAAUUCAAGGACGGCUAAUGAAAGUGUAUGUAUCGGCUGAAAAAGAAUCAAUAGCUGGAAUGGUCGCACAGGAAGACCAAUUUGGUGAAGAAAGGGCAAUUUACUACUUAAAUAGACGGUUAACGAAAUGUGAAUGUAAUUACUCUGCUAUCGAAAAAUUAUGUCUUACAUUGUAUUUCACAUGUACAAAAUUAAGAGCUUAUUUACGGCCCGUAACCGUUUAUUUUAUUUCUAAAGUAAAUUUAGUCAAGUAUAUGUUCUCGCGCCCUAUUUUACACCAAAGGGUAGGCCUUUGGACACUAGCUUUAUCAGAAUUCGAAAUACAAUAUAUACCUCAAAAGGCAGUCAAAAAGCAGGCUUUGGCUAACUUUCUAGCCGAUCAUCCAUGCCUUGAUAUGCUUGAAGAGAUCGAACUAGAAAUCAAUUCAUUCGAGUUAAAACCUUGGGUGUUGUAUUUCGAUGGGUCAAAAACUUCUAAAGGUGCAGGAGUAGGAAUAGUAUUGAUUAAUCCUUUAGGGAUUUGCUACAAGUUCGCAUUCACUUUAGAUAGAAUGUGCACCAACAAUCAAGCCGAAUAUGAAGCCUUAAUUGUAGGCCUAGAACUAAUGAUAGAUAUGGGAGUAAGAAGUGUGAUCGUUAGGGGCGAUUCUCAAUUGGUGAUCCAUCAAUUGAUCAGUGAUUUUAAAUGACAAAGUGAUUCCAUUAUAAGUCAAUACGAGAUCGCCUAAGAAUUAUUAGAAGAAUUCGAUCAAGUAGAACUCCAAUGCGUUAAUAGGAUAUAUAACGACGUGGCAAAUGAGUUAGCCCAAAUGGCAUCAAGGUACUCAAAGGUUUUGAAUUGGAAGUCUACUUGUGAGUAUGGAAUCAUAUUGCCCGUGACUUAAAGAAGGGCGAGAAAGAUUGAACUCCACUGCAUACAAGAUGGAGAUGCAAUGGAUUGGAGAACAGAGAUUAAAAGGUUCCUUAAAGAACCAAUGGAGGGAUUAGUAGGAAAAUGAAGCUGUGUUUGCUGAACUAUAUACUAAUAGAUGAAGAGUUGUUUAAGAAACGCUCUUAUGGUGUAUUAUAAAAGUGUGUAAGUUUGCAAAAAGUCAAGACGAUCAUGGCUGAGGUGCACGAAGGGAUAUGUGGAGCUCAUCAAGCUGGCCAAAGGAUGAGAUGGUUAAUUAUUAGGAAUGGAUAUUUUUGGCCAAAGAUGGGAGAACUAUGCCUUCAGUAUGCAAAGAGUUGCUUAGCAUGCCAAAAGCAUGGUCCAAUACAAAGGGCGCCAGCACGAGAAAUGGCACCUAUUAUUAAACCUUAGCCGUUCAAGGGUUGGGAGAUAGACCUGAUAGGGAAGAUUUAUCCCCCAUCGUCCAAGCAACAUACUUUUGUUAUAGUUGCAAUCGACUAUUUCACCAAAUGGGUAGAAGCAAUACCUUUGAAAGAGAUCACCCAAAAAAAUGUUAUAGAGUUUAUCCGUGAUCACAUUAUUUAUAGGUUUGGAAUUCCACAAACGAUAAUGGUAGAUCACGGAACAUCUUUGAAUGGGGAUCAAGUGAACAAAUUUUUGAGCGAGUUUGGGGUUAAAUUAGUAAACUCCACACCAUACUACGUUCAAUCCAAUGGACAAGCGGAAUCUUCUAAUAAGAUUCUAAAAAAUAUCAUUAGAAAGAUGAUAGAUAAAAAUGUCAGAAAUUGGCACGAAUGUCUGAAUAAGGCUUUAUGGGCUUAUAGGACAUCACCUCGGUCAAGUACCAAGAUUACUCCUUUCCAACUUGCUUAUGGACAGGAGGCUGUUUUGCCUAUGGAAAUCAACGUGCAAUCGAUCAGAGUGUGCUUACAGCAUAAGUUGAAUGAUGAUGAGUAUGCCGAAUCACUAGUUCAAAAUUUAUUGGGGUUAGACGAAUUAAAGUUGGACGUCUUAGAUAGAUUACAAGAGCAAAAAAAAAGAAUGACUAAGUUUUAUAAUAAAAAAGUCAUAGCCAAGUCGUUCAGCCUGGGUGAACUAGUUUGGAAGACGAUACUCCCUUUGGAUAGCAAAGAUCCCAAGUACGGGAAGUGGUCGCCCAAUUGAGAAGGACCAUACAAAAUAAAUAGUAUAUUGCCCAAUGGAGCGUAUCACUUGGAGGAUUUAGACGACACCAAGCACGUAAGAUUCAUUAAUGGUAAAUAUUUGAAAAAAUAUGUUCCUUCUUUAUGGGAAUGUGAACAGAUAAAAUCAUAAUCAAAUAUGGUGAACGAUUAAAGGAUAAAGAGGUCAGAGCGAAAUACGUUCAAGUGAAGUCCUUUAUUAUCAAACGUUCAUUACAAGAAUACAAAAAUACAAAUAAUGGUUGUUCUAGGAAAUAUAAUUAAAAGUAAGCUAAUCUCCCGGUUGAUCGCUGAGUAAGCCUCACGCCGCCUUCCUAAAUGCAUCACUGCAAUGGUGGGAUCGCCGAGUAAGAGGGUGUACUGGCCUCACCGCCUUCCUAAAUGCAUCGCUGCAAUGGUGGGAUCGCCGAGUAAGAGGGUGUACUGGCCUCACCACCUUCCUAAAUGCAUCGCUGCAAUGGCGAGCAAAGAGGCUGAGAAGCACUCCCAGCAAGCAAGCUGAGAAGCACUCUCAGCAAGCAAAGUGGCGCACAAGCAGCCCAAAAAUUGCCUUCUAUCAUUGACUCCUUGUAAAGGACAAAGAGACGAUGGGAAGAACUUUGAAGGUAAAAACUUCGCUGCUGGCCAGAAAAUAUUUCCUAUACCUCCCACACCAAAGGUGACAUCAAGGUAAAUUGUAAAAUGGACUGACUAAACUGUCCAUUUUUGGUCAGAUUGAUUGUCAGAAUGCCAAGCAAUGGCAGUAAAUUAGUUUCGAAGAAGAAAAUAAAGAUGAAGAUAGAAGAUGGAAAAUGCGAAGCAUUUAUAGGAGGUGGAGACGAAGAGACAGAAUAUGAACAGCUACAUUUCUGCCUAAUAAACGGAAUUAAAUAGCCCAAAAUCUUGGGAAAAGUGGUGGAAAUAUCAAAAGAAAAUGGACAAGAUUUUUUAGCACAAAGCAGUCAAAUGCUUAAAGAAUUGACGACUAAAAAACAAACGUCAAAUAAAUGCACAAAAAGUUAAUGUUCAUUAAUGAUGAACAAAGCUACAAGAGGAAAAAUCAAAUUACAAAAGAAAAAAGACAUCGUAUGUCUUAAUUACAGUCCACCCCAUACUGAACGAAUUCGUUCCCUAAGUUUUUUCCAAUCCUCGUUCUGCCGAGAGGAAGUGAUGUUCAAUUCAGCCACGACAUCAUCAUCAACUUCCAACUUCUUGUACUGCUCGACCAAGGACUUAGUUCGCUCAAUUCCUUGGGAGGCGUUGCACUUUUCAGCAGCCAUUCUCGCCCUGUAGUCGUCCAUUUUGGCUUGAAGUUCCUUCAUCUGAGCAUGCAAAUUAACCAUCAAAGAGUCUUCAACCAUGACUUCGGAAGAGAUUUCUUUCAACUCGUCCUCAGCCUUGUUAAUCUCCAUACGCAAAGACUCUUUCUCAGCAACGGCUUGAAGAUAUUGAGUACGUUUGGCCUUUAGUUCAGCAUUCUUGGCCAGCAAAGAAAGGACCUCGGAGUGAAUAACCUUCAACGUCGCUUUAAAAUCGGCAGAAAGAUUGAGCGACGGAAGCAUCAAUGCUUGCUCCAACUUUGCACUCAAGUGCUCAAGUUUAUCCUUGUGUCUGGUGGCACUGGCCCUUCCAAUAUCCAUAUCCAUGAAGGAUACGUACUCAAGUAUCGACUCCUUGAGGACCUUCAAAUCUUCCUCUGAAGAAGCAGCAGGAUGAUCAGAUGGAGCAGGGCAAGACGUCUGGAGUUGCCCCUAGGAAGCGAACAAGUCUUGGAUAGAACGCACAAUUUUGUCAGCAUCCUGCAAAGAAAAUUGCCAAUAUUAAAGAUCCUCACUACAACGAACAAGAUAGAAAUAGAAGUAAAGCAAAGACUACCUCAUCAACAAUCGUAGAAGAUGGCAUGUCCUCAGCCAAGCUUGCCGCCAACGACUCCUCCAUUCGUGAGGACUUCCCCUUAUCUGAGCGAGAAGAUGUUGCCACAACGGGCGGACUCAUAGGAGUAUUUGCAAAACUCAAGAGCAACAAAUCAGAAACCAACAGCACAAGCAAAGGUAAGACAUCAAAAGACUAAAUUACCUUCUGCUUCAAUGUUUGGGGGGUUGACACCCUGGUAAGAAGGUGGUUCAUCCAUGGGUUGUGAUGAGAACUCUGGGACUGAAGAUGUCUCUUUAAGCGUAGCCUCCUCAUCAACCGGUUUAGAUGAAGUAGCCUCAGCAGAGGAUGAUGGAGUAGGAGCUGUCGAUGCCAAAGCCUUUGAAGGAGAGGCUGAGCUUUUCUGAGAAGUGCAAAAGAUCAUCAGCACACAGAAAAGUUUCAAGUGUGGAAAAGUAUACUUGUGAGUAAACCAAUUUAAUUACCUUCCUCCUGACGAUAAGAGGGGCAUCAUCAUCAUCAACAUCAUCCUCCAGAAUGGGAGAUACUGAGGCUGGCCGUUUACGGCUUGGGGUACUCUUGGCCGUAGUAGGCUUGGCAGGGAGAGAAGAAGAUGGAUGAACAGACUGUUUAGUGCGAUGAGAAGGAGAAGGACUACGAAUGGACAAGGGAGUGACUAAAAUAGGAGGAGGGGAAGAAAUGCUCGGUUGGUCUAAUGAAUGAAAGGCACGAUUGGCGUCAAUCGCAAAUAAUCUGCGCUUCACUGACGGCCAGAGCUGUUCAAAAAGAGGGUGAAUUGCGUGGCUAGAAUUGAAAGGGGCUAAUGAAAAAUGGCUAGUUAAAAGAAGAAUACGAGCAUCUAUAGCCUCUGCCUCUGCCUUAGUAAUGGUAUAAAAACGGUCAACUAAGUUCCUUGAAUAGCAAGGAGGAACAGGCCAAGUUUGGCCAAAACCAAGCUGACGAGCAAAAAAUUGGGGAGCAUAAAUCUCUACCCUCGCUUUGGCAUUGGUCCCAGUUAGAAUAUCAUGAAAUAGCUCCCUCCCGCUUAAAAACUGGAUCCAAAUGAGCAGGGAGGUGCUCGCGCUAUCUAUAGUGGAAGGGGGAUGUACAUAGUUUGGAGUCAAAAAAGGAGAAAAAGGAAAAAAGGAAGGGAUUGAAUCCAAAGAAUAAAAGAAUGAAAAAAUGUCCCUUCUAGACAUAUUUACAGGAGCUAAGGGCUCCAUGGCUAGCCCAUAACAGCUAGCAGAGGAGCGAGAGAUGGAUGGAGCACCAAGCAAUGGAAAAUAGGAUCUCAACCACAGUUGAGUGAACCAAAGAGGUCCAUUACCAGUGGGAGAUGCACCAUUCUUCAAUUGAGCUUGAAGAGAGGCCAUGCUUCUAUAAAGGGCAGCCAAAAACAAAGAACAUAAAUUCAAAGGCCUGCCACGCGCCAAUUCGUGCGCUAUAGGUAAAUAACUCAGGGAGGGCUUUAUGCUUGGCACGCACAAAACAUAUUUACAAAGCCAAACUAAAAGGAAGGCCACUCGCUCAGUAUGGGAAGGCUCAGCGCUCGAAUGAUUGUGAAGGGUUUGCAGGCUUGAAUAAGAAUCGGUGUAGUUUUUACCAAACUUUGGAGCGCCACCAGAAACCAAGAUACUAGGAAAAAUGGUAUCGCCCAAAGGUGGUAGAUUCACUAGGGCCCCAACAUCCCUUAAGGUAAUAGACAUGGGGCCAAGAGGGAAAAUAAAGGUAUUAUACUCAGGAGACCAAAAACUCAAAGCAAUCGAAAAGAGUGCUGAAUCAAAAGUAGGGGGACGAAUAGAGAUUUCUAACAAAUCAGAAAUCCUAGCGCUAUCAAAAAGUGCCUUAGUAGGACCAUGACCCACAUGGCGAGCAUGCCACCUACGAAAAGCUACAUCAGAUUUAGGCCAAGUGCGAAUACCUCUUUCGCGAAGUGGCCCCAGCGGCAGAGAGUUUAGAAAAGGAGGGCCAUGAGUGUAAGGAAACAGCUGACCCGCCGCCGCCUGUUCAACUGCCUCUGCAUUGUUGAAAAAAGGACCCAAGUAGAACUCAUUACGUUCGACAUCGACGGGCGCGAGAAAACUUGGAGUUAUGUAUGGGCGACUCAGAAGUUUUUGAAAGUCAUCAAAACUAAAGGAGUCGCCAGCUUGAGAUUGUGAAGCAGCCAUUUGAAAAGGAACGAAGUUUUUCAGGGUUACGUAGCAGGGAAGCAAGAGAUGAACAGUAAAUCGUGAGAGAGACGCAAAAAAUUUGAGGCGUGGUUUAAUAGUGCAGUGAAAUGGCGUGUUUGAGGUUUAUAAGGGUUUGCAAAACGACGCACCUUUUCAAGUUAUAGAAGAAAACAAUGAUUGAAAUUCUUGAGAAUUUCGAAUGUUGCUGGAAACACAAAGUGAAUAUGGCAAAAUUUAUUAAUUAUUAUUAAUUCUGCCAUAUUGGGGGGUAAUUGUUAACACAUAAAAAUUCAGCCCAAGGAGUGAAGCCCAAUUGGAGGAUCCCCAAAUUAGAUAGCCCAAAGAACGAAGCCCAAUCGAACAAAUCAAGAUGAAAGCCCAAAUAAGGAGGCCCAAGAACGCGGUAACGCCAUCGCCCAAGUUUGCAAGUCGCCCAAAAUCUGAGCGAAUGGAGUGCCAUACAGUCGCCCAGAGCUGUUACUCUAUUCUCGCCCAAACCUUCAAGUCGCCCAAGGUCUUAACAAACAUAAAGCGUUGUGGUUGUCAAGAAGUGCAGUUAUCAAAGCAGUUAUUAAAGCAGCCCUAUCACGUUCCACGAUUCAAGGAAUUCAAUCGAAAGCAGUUGAAUGAUGAAGAGUAAUGGCAGCAGUUAAAGAAGACAGUUUUCAUGACAAGUUGGCCAUUACACAGAAAGUGGGCAAUUAUAGGACGAUCAAGCAGUUUUUAGGGUGGUUGAUCACAAAGAGAUUGUCCAUGAAGUAUAAAAGGGAGAAAGAACAUAGAAGUAAAGGACCGAAUCAAAAACUCUCGAACAGAGAACAUGUAAUUUUCAUUUCCUUAGCUUAGACUUAAACAUUUUUCUUUCAGUAACUCGUGUGCUUGCGCCCCUUGGAGGCACAUUGUUUUUAAUUUCCAAUUGUAAAAUCAUCGCCAAUAAAAGAACACCCAUUUUUGGGACUUUGUCUCAAGAGGUUUGUCCCUUACACAAUCGCUGAUCCUUUUUAAUUGUUAGCGACUAACCCGCGCGAAAUAAUUUUUUGUAGAUAUGAUUCUAUUAAUUUUUAUUCAACUAUUACGAGUUUCUCAUAUCUUUUUAAAUAUGACAUCUAGUUACGACGUCAUUUUGAUCUAUCUUCUUUAUUCUAAAAUGCUCAAAACAAAUUCUCUACUAUAUUUCUGAAGUCUUUUGCAAGUCUCUUCAAUGUUCUACAAAAUAUAUAUGUCGAGCACAUAUAUUGUUAGCUAGUUUUAAACUUUGACUCAUUUGCAUCUCAUGCACAUGGACGUCCCUCGCUUAGUCCUAAUUUAUUCUUAACAAGCGUUGACUGCAUUUAUAGGUUUUUAGUUAUGUCAAAAUCAGAGUAUAACACACUUAUUCCAUAUUCAAAACUGUAAAUACUCUUGAAUAUCUCUAACCCUUAUAGUAUAUCUUGAAAGAAAAAGUUUGAGAAAUAUAAUGUUACAAUGUUGAUUGAUUGGAAGGCACAGUUCUUUAAAUUAAAAAAAAAAUAAAAAUAGGCUACAUAUACGAGACAACAAUUUAUAUUACCUUUUAAAUUAAUUUUUUCAAUUUAAAUGUAACCAAACAGUUAUUAUCAUAAACAAAUACACCAGUUCACAAAUUAUUUAAAUACUAAUGUCUAUGGAAAAUUACGAUAGUUUAUUUUCAUAAAUAUUCAACAAUUACAUAUCAAAUUUAAAUAAUUAAAUAUUUAACAAUUUACUUUUUUAUGAAAUUAACAUAAAGAUUGAAUGAGAGAAUAUGGAUAGAAUUGAUCAGAAAUUUUUAAAUUAAGGAUGAAAUUACAGACUUGUGCAAAAUUGAUGAAGAUUGGUCACCUAAUUUUAACUUGUUCACAUCCAUAUAUUUCCUCUUCCUAGUUCUUGUCGUGGAAUAGAGAGGACAAAAUCCCGUUCAACCCACUACUCGCCGCCUCACCCGAGUGGUGUGGGGAUUACCUGCCUAAUUCAGUAAACGUGUGGGGGGCGGAAUGGGGUUUGUUGCCUCAAAGAACGUAUGAAAAACAUGAUCGCCCCGCUACCCAUCACGUUUAACGUUAAUUUUAAAUAUAAAUUUUAUCAAACAAAAAGAAGAAAUUUAUCAUUAUUUUUAAAGAGAACAUGAGUUGUUCUUAACAAAUUUAAAAAAUAAUAAUUAUAUUCACUGACUAAAGAUAUAAAAAAGUAAAAACAAAAAAAAUAAAAUAAAUGGGACAAUAAACCCCCGCCUCGUCCCAAUCUCGCUCUGAACCCAACUCGUCUUGUUUUAAUUGGAUAUAGAAGCAGGGCAAUUAUAAUAAAAAUACCCAAUGCAAUUGGGGGACAGAAAUAGCUGACCCGCCCCCACAACCAUCGCUACUAUGGAGAGUGGUGUUCUCUUGCAUCAAAUCUGUGGUGUUACUAUCUCAUCUUCAAUAUUUUAUUUUUCUACAAAUCUCAGCUUUUCAAAAUCCACCCCCUCCCCCCGGGUCAAAACUCUAGUCUCUGAGUGGAAACUUUGUACAAAGUUUAGUUAACAUUUGGAUAAUUCACUCUUAUAUUUCAUUUUUUAUUACCUACGCUGGUCCUUCUUUUUUUUUUUUUUUCAAAUAAAUAGAUGUUAAAAUAUGUUGUUCGGAUUUACAUAAUUGUGGUCAAUUUACUCAUAAUGUUUAUGAUAAAGCAUAUUUUGGUUAAUUUGGAAUACAACUUGUGCAUGAUAUUAGAUGUCGAAUCAUAUUGAAAUGGAUAUUUAUAAGGAAAAAUUUGAUAAAUCCUAUCAUUAAUGUUAAAUUUUGAGAAAUGAGAAGCAUUUCACGAAAAUCAGGUCACUCUAAAAUAAUUAAAAAUAUAUUAUUUAAAAUAUUGUGAACCAAUGUGGUAGGUUCCCUCUAUUAGAAGAUUCUUAAAAAAAAAAAAAAAAACCGAUGACAUUAUCAAAAUAAAAUUCUGCAAAUUCUGGAAUGAUAUUUAGUUAAAAGAAACAUUAAAGGUAUGUUAUGACUUGGGACAUAUGACUCCUACUAUGUGAUCUUGGAUGACUAUUAACAAAAAGCAAUUAUAUGACUUAUUAUGUAUCUUAUUAUUACAGUCCAUACAUAUGGAAUGAGUUGACAUGAGAUGUAACAAACAAUUGUGACUUUGACUUUGACUACUUCUAUUUGAUAAAAUUACGACAACAUCGUGUGACGGUUGUUCAUGUAGAAAUGGUUGUCAAAUGCAACAACUAUGACAUUUGAUGGGAUAUUUAGCAACAUGUAUUUAUAGCUCAUAUGAGUCGUAACCAUUUAAAGUUGUGAUAUUGAAUUUAUUGACCUUCUAAUUAUGUUAGUGAAGAAAUAAUGACUAUUUUAUAGUACAAAUCAGGUGAUUGAUCCACUUGCACUCUAUAUAUUGCAAUAAAAAAGAGACCAUACCGUUAAAAUUAUCUUAAUUUUGGGAACAAUAUUAGAAACGUAAAAAAAUAAAUAAAUUAUACACGAAAAUUCUGAAAUUUUUGAAUUAAUUAAAUUAAUGAAUGUGAUUUAACAAUUUUUUUUUAUUAAUAACUUAAUUUGUCAAAAGUAAAAGCUUUUUUUAUUUUUUUUUAUGGGAAAAUUUCAUAACUAAGAAAUUAAUUAUGGCACAUUUCACAAAACAAGAAAACAAGUUUCAAAUUUCUAAAAUCAGAUUUUUAUUAAAAAUUAUUUAUAAUUUAAUUAGUUAAUUAAUUAUUUUAUUAACUAAAUAUAUUUAGGUCACGGAUCUAUACAAUUUGAUCACUAAUUAACAAUAUAAUUAGUUACUUAUUAUUUUUUGGUCACAAAUCAAAAAUUUUAUGUCACAAAUUUUUUUACAAUCACAAUUCAAAAAUUUUGUAAGUCACAAUUUGUUUAUUGGUCACAAAUCCAAAAAUAAUUAGUUACGGAUUAAUUUUUAGUCACGACUUAUCAUAUUAUUGGUCACAACUUAUUUUUCGGUCACAAACACAAAUUUUAUAGGUCACAUAUUAUUUUUCGAUCACGAAUCAAAAAUUUUAUAGGUCACAGAUUAAUUUUUCGGUCACAACUCAAUAAAUUAUAAGUCACAAAUACAAAUUUUAUAGGUCACAUAUUAUUUUUCGAUCACGAAUCAAAAAUUUUAUAGGUCACAGAUUAAUUUUUCAGUCACAACUCAAUAAAUUAUAAGUCACAAACACAAUUUUUAGGUCACGUAUUAUUUAUGAAAUAAAAAAAUGGAAAAAUUAAUUUGUAAGAGUUUAUUUAUAGCCUACUUCAAAAUUAAGAGAAGAAGGUUUGCAAUUUCAAGUUUCAGAUACUAUUAAAAUUUAUUAAUGAAAUAAUUGAUUAAAAAUUUAUAUAUUUGGUCACAACUUAUCAAGUUAAUUGGUCACAAAUUAUUUAUAAGUCACAAAUUCAAAAUUCUACAGGUCACAAAUUAUUGGUCGGUCACAGAUCAAAAAUUUCAUAGGUCACAAUUCAUUGAUCGGUCACAAAUCAAAAUUUUUAUUGGUCACAACUCAUUUGUCGGUCACAAAUCAAAAAUUUCAUAGGUCAUAAUUCAUUGAUUGGUCACAGAAUCAAAUUUUUUAUUGGCCACAUUUAAUUUGUUAGUCACUAAUCAAAAAUUUUAUAGGUCACAAUUCAUUGAUCGUUCACAAAAUCAAAUUUUUUACGGUCACAAAUCAAAAAUUUCAUAAGUCACAAUUUAUUGAUUGAUUACAAAAUCAAAAUUUUUAUUGGUCACAACUUAAUAAAUUAUAGUCACAAUUGCAUUUUUUAGGUUACAUGUUAUUAUUAGACACAAAUUACUGGUCACAAACACCCCCUACAUCCCAUCUACCCCGACCACCACCCCCCAUGACAACCGUCACAGUAACCACACCACCACCACACGCCAAACUCUGAAACCAACAACCUCCACUGUCGCCAAAAACCACCACAACCACCGCCACCAAACACACUAACAAUGUUCAAUUCACAACCUCACCAACACCACCCAAGCGUAAUUUUUCAGCUAGUUCCACCCACCAGAACCAUCACCACCUCAACACAUCGCAGAACACCAACGUGCCACAAUCACCACGACCACCAUCGUUGAUCAUCACCGCCAACGCCAAAAUAUGUAAGCAGCCACCACCACCACCACCACCCAAAUAUCACCUAAAAAUACCAUAGAUAACAACUCAAUCCAAAGCCAUUCCCACCUCCACCACUACAGUGAACAUCACCACCACCGUAGCUACUACCACCACCAUAUGAUCGUAGCCACCACCACAACCCACGACACAGCAAUAAACACCGUAGCCACUACCACCACCAUAUGAUCGUAGCCACCACCACAACCCACGACACAGCAAUAAACCACGGUCUCAUCUCAAAAGAUCUCCUUCUCUUCUUGUAGAUCUUACAGAUAUGCUUCAUGAAUCACGAGGUACAUCACGGCACCACCACCACCACUUCAUCAUCACGACAAACCAGCUAUAGAACUCUACAAAUUCACCACACCGCAACAACAAAUCCACCACGGCACCAUAGCCAUUACAACUGUCACAGUCGAUCCAUAGCUAUAACCAUCGGUGACGGCGACAGAUCGCUGUGAUGCAUGGUGGUGCAUUCCAGAUCGCUGCCGAAGUAGAUGAGCCAAUAGAUCUCUGCUAGUCGCUGAUGGGAACGCCGUGCCGCGCCUCAACUCCACCGAUUAGAAGGGUGGUCGCGCCUCCGAUGCCGAAAUUGUGCUUCCGGGAAAGGUUGAGAGAGAGAAGGAGACGGCGAUUUUCUUUUUAAUCAGGGAGGCGACGGGUGUUUUAGGGUAGAAUGGAGAAAUGUGAGAGAGAGAGAGUUAGGGUUUGUGAGUAAUGAUAUUUAUUUUAUAGAAAUAUUAAUUAAAAUAAAAUUUUUGAUUUUUGAAAUAUUAAACUUUCCCCCUGAUUUUAGAAUUUAAGAUUUUAAUGAUAUGAUUUUGUGUAAUUUCCACUUUUUUUAUUACUCGCUUGCUUGAGGCCCAUCUGAAAAAAAGCCCAAAUUAAAGGCAGAGAUAUCCAACUCUUACCCAGCCUGUUUACAGUUUAUGUAUAGAGCAAAGGGGACGAUCGGAUCUCUUCCUCGGUUUACGCUAAAAUUCGGGAACAAUUCAUCGCCCCUGGGCACCAAUUUAUCUCGUGGUGCUGUGCUUUCUACUCAACUUCUGCAUCACCAAACUUGGGAGGUAGUAUCGGAUUUUAUUAGUGUAAAAAUGGCUUUAUAUGAUGAAAUCGCAUUCUAUUUGAAUGUUGUGUGAAUGAUUUAAUUUUAUCUCAACUCCUUAUAAUUUGUUCCAAAACUGUUGAUUCUUGAUGAUAAUUUUCCUCUAGCAACAUUGAUUUUUUCGACCACACUUCUCUUGAAUUUUUGAUGCGGUUGUUCACUGUUUUCUCCUAGCUUUGAAAACUUGCUGCCCCUCAAGUGUAAUACGUGAAAUACCCAGGACCAAAAUCCAGUGGGGGCAGUUAAUAUACCCCAGGUCCGGCUCCGGCCCUGUACACAUUUGAGUUAAAAUUCAUCAAAUAUGAAAAUUUUGUGUUUGUGCUCUUUGUUAUGAUGUGUAGGGUCAUACUAAAAACGGUAUGCCUAAUCAUUUUUCAUGACCAUUUACUUGUUUGGGCUUAAUUUUUCGUUAUUGAUGUUUGGUUUUUGAUAUUGCAUUAUUUAAUAUUGCUGAUGGGGAAAUUUUGAUGAGUCUACAUAUUAUUGGAGUGGUAGAAGCUUCUGGUAGUACUAUGGCUUGGAAUGUUACUUCACAUCUUAUUGAUUCGCGAACCCUCACAAAUGAAGCUGAAAUUAAAAGGAAAAGGGGGUUCUGAUUUUUUAUCUGAUGAUCUGUUUCUACAAAAUAUUAUGUGGUUUGACUGUCAUUCUAAUUGGUGUAAAGUUAUCUAACAAUUAAAAGUAUAAAAUAUAAAAAUGUUUACUUUUCUUGUGUACAACAAUUUUAUUGUGAGCUUGCUUGAUACUGUCUGUUACCAUUGAUGGAUGCUAUUUAUUCCCAUGAAAUGAAAAUAUUAAAUAUUAAAAUGUUAGAAUGAUAAGAACAAAAAAAGAAAAAAACUGAGAUGUGUUGAUAUAGGAAAAUGAGAUGUUGUAUUUAACAAGUGACAAAACUUUGUAUUUAGUUAGCCCCUAUUGGUUAAAAAUGGUUGCAAACUUCAUACAAUAUAGGCCCACUAUAGGAUUUUAGAAUAAAAAGUUACUUUCUUACGGAAUUAAAUGAAAGCCGACUUUGGGGUGAUAUGUUGUUUCUUUGGCAUGUUUGUGGAUCUCUAUUUCAAAAUAAUGGUAUAGACUGAACUAAGCACUUUGUCAGAAUGCUCUCCGGAAGACGAAAGCUGCCAACUUAUUAUCAAUAACUUGAGUCACCUUAAUUUGGGUAAAAAGCUGACUUUCCCUUGCCAUUCUGGUUGUUCAAGUAAAAACAAGGAGAAAACUUGUGGCUACCUAAAAAAUACGAUAAUUGGGCUGCUUUUGGGAUUGGAUGUGCAAACAUGGUAAACUUUUUGGUUUAUUCUUCUAUUUUGUGGCUUAGUCUGAUGAUUAUGCUCAUAUGUUGGUCAACACGUUACAGAAGUACAUUUGUUAGUGCCCAAACGGAAGAAGUUGUUUUAUGAAUUAAGCUCCUAGAUAUUACUGUAAGAUGCACAUAAUAGAUAGAUCCUGGAAGAUGUACAGCUGGAAGGGCCUAUUUCCCUGAUAGGAUUAUGAGGACUGUAUAAUCUGAUUCAAAUGCCAUGAUGGAAUAACAGGAAACUUUGGUUUCUACUAAUUGCAGGAUUUGGGAAUUAUUUUAAUCAAUAGUUGGUGUAGUCUUUUGCCUCUUGUUUGGUCCUCGACUUUGCAAUCUAGGUUUUCUUACAGCAUCUUUGGCUAAGCUUACAAAAAAAAAUAAAGUUAAUUUUUAAGGGAGUGUUUGAUAGAGAUUUUUAUGUAAAAAUACAUUUUAGAAUAGUAAAUUGAUGUGAACUGUGUGGUUGAAAAAUAAGGAAAAGUUUUUGAUUUACGUGUAAUAUUAUUUUAAUAAAGAAUGUGUGGUUGAAAAGAAAAAAGAGAAAAACGUAUUUUGAAAAAAAUAACUACCAUACGGGGCCUAAGUAACUUUUUGUCUUUAGAUAACUUACUUUUAAUAAAAAGUUAUUUUUUCUCAAAGUAAUACCUUAGUGUCAAAAUAAAUAAUUCAUUACCUUCUUUGAUCAAUAAAUUUUUUCUUUUUGAAAGAACUUAUUUACCUGUUAGAAAACCUUUUAAGCAUAGCCAAACUUGUAGCCUGCUAUACAUUUGAUGCUCUUGUAAUGGAUCUUUUGAUACGUGCAGUGUUCAAUCAUGAUUGAGAGUGGAAAUUUAAUCCUCAAAUCUCAUUAUGAGAUCCUCGAUGUGAAGGAAGAUGCUAGCUCUGACGAAAUUCGUACAUGCUACCGAACUGCCAUUCUGAGUUAUCAUCCAGAUAAAAUGCAAACGACAUCCCAAACAUCAAAUCCUGCAAACGAGUUGGGCGGAAGGUUUUUAGAGGUGCAGAGGGCUUGGGAAAUCCUCGGAGAUUCAAAAUCUCGUGCACUUUAUGAUAACGAGCUGCAAUCUUCGAGGCAAGAUUCUGCAACUGCUGAAGAUAUCAGAUUAGAGGAUCUGUCAAUCGAAGAGGUUGGUGAUAUUUUUGAGCUUUCGUACGGCUGCAGAUGUGGCGAUUACUUCCUAAUCGAUUCUUUGGAGUUGUCAGAUAUGGGAUAUCCACUGUUGAAAAAUGGGAGUAAAAUUGUUUUGCAAGCGCCUAGAUCUCCACCUGCAUCUGUUGUUCUUCCUUGUGGGUCAUGCUCGCUUAAAGUACGGUUAUUGAUUAAUUCUGAUAGUAAGCUUCAAACUGAGUUGAGUAAUUGAUAAUAGUUUUUCCAUUAAUCUGCAAUUUUGGUCUGAGCAAGUGAUUUAAGAUUAUCUAUAAUUUUGUGGAAUGUAACAGAGAAUUGGAAAAAUGACAGGUCAUUUUGAUUAAAAUUUGUAAUGUGUACUGAUUCAAUUGUUCAUGCAAUUGUUGUGGCCUGUGGUGCCAUUAUUUGAAUAGCAAAGGAUUUGAACUCGCAAGAGAUCUAUUGCAUAGUUUUUAUUAAGGUUAGACAAAACUCUCGAAUCAAAUGAGGCCGAAUUGGACCCGAUUCGAACUAAAUCGAAUCGAGCAGUUCUUCUUAAAUUAAAUAUUUGAAUGGGUGUUUGAAUCGAGAACCGACGGGUUCGAUUCGAUUUUCGGAUCUAGAUCAUGAAUUGAAGAAUUGAAUAAGAACUAAAUCUCUAUAAUUUUUUUAAUUUAUUUAUUUUAAAUAAGUCAAAUUAUUUUAUUUUUUUUUAAAUAAAUUUGUUAAUUAAUUAAUUUAGCUCAAAUCCAAAAAUAUGAUUUUCAUAUUUCUAAUUUUCAAUCUGAGUCCAACUUAAUCAAACUGUUCUAAGUUUUAUCCAAAUAUGUUAUUCUAUCGUAGUGUUAUUUUUACCGUUUUGGAGAAAUUGAAUUAAAGUUGGACAGCAGCUCUCUUAAUUAUUGUAAGCUUGCUAUCGUCCUCUUCCUGUGAUUAUAACAAUCAAAUCUAUGAAAAACUCACCAAAGAGAAAUGCAAAAGACAUAUAAGAUUGGAUUACGUUAUUUCGUAAGAGUUAAGAUUAAACAUGUCAUUAAUUGAAUUAAUUUAGUUUUAUAAAUAUUAAAAAAAUUAAUUAUAGUAUAGAACCUGGGAGCCGAAUCCGAACGGUUCCAUAAUUAACUUGGGAUCCGACGGUACUAUUUAUUAAAUACCUGAAAAUUUCAGGUUCGAUUCGGUUCUAAUGAGAAUCCAACUAAAUCGAACCAUGUCCACCCUUAAUUGUCGGCAGACCAUUUUAUCAUCUUGUAAUAUUAAGGAAGAAAAAAGUAGGUGAAUUCUUGUUGGUUGUGCUGUUUAAACCCAACAAAGCUGUGUGUAGAAAUGCCACAGGCAACACACAAUUGGGUGAGGGGAAGAGUGGGGGAUUUUUUUGGUAUCCUUUAUCACGACUUGGGAUUCACAAAUUAUGGGUAUCUGGUGGAAUUUUGUGAGUCCUUUUUUUGUACGAAUGACUUUCUUAGUUUAAACCAUACUAAACAUGCUACAGUGACAAAAAUAUCAAUUGCAGACCCUUGACAUUCUGUUCUCUGAAUAUCAUAAACAAAUCAAUAAAGAGAUCCCUAAACUAUAUCGAGUUUUGUUAAAAAAAUAAAAAAUAAAAAAAAAAUAAGGAAAAGAAAAAAUCAACAUAAAUAUUAGUGUGCCACAUUGCUUGGAGUUGUAUGACGCAUGUAGGGUUGAUAAAACCCAACUCAACCCAAUUGAUAAGUGUAUUUUUAUAUGCUUAUGUGGUUAUUAAAUGAAAGCAGCUAUUGUUAAUUUGAAUGAAUUAGAGCUUAAUUAUGUUUUAAGUAAAACUCGUGACAAAUUGGGUGAAUUGGAAGAAAGAAGCGAAAAAUGGACUGAAAAAGAAGAAUACGAAGUUCGUGAUAAAAUUGCAAAUAUCCAAUAAUUGAUUCAGACAAAAAAAAAAUGUAUAAUUGAAGAUUAUUAAGAGUCAAUUGAAUGUAAUUAGAAGUCAAAAAACAGUGAAAUUCAAUAAAAAAAUUCUAACAAAUCAAUUUUCAACUGUACAAGUAAUGUUCCUGAAAUUUAGUCGGAGAUUGAAACCCAUUUUGACAUAGUAGUCGCUCUAAUAGAAAAAUUGCUACUUUUUUUUAUUAGUUGUAGCCCUUCGAAUUAACUUUUUAACACAUUUUGAAUCUUCUUAAUCAAAUAUUGAAAUAGAAAGUUAUGACAAAAAAUUAACGACCGAGUAAAGAUAUAAUCAUGUUUGUGCGAAGACAACUUUCCUUAUUUAAUUGACACUCUUUUGGAACCCAAACUUAAACGUAUUUUUUUGACCUAAUUUCACCUUAUAUAAUAGAAUACAUGGACAACCAUUGAAGGAUCUCUCCCACCUCUCAAAUCACUUCCAUGUCAUAAAAUCAUUCAAGAACGAGAAUCAAAUUCAUCAUAAGUUGGAGAGGAGAACAAAUCUAACAUGUAGAUAAAUCAAGAAACAUCAAGAACUUGAAAAAUCAAAGCUUGGGGUUGAACACUAAGAAUAAAAAUUAGACCGUGACAUCUCUUUCUUAUAUUUAUAAAUUUAGGUGAUGUUUUUCUAUUCUUCUUCUUGUUUGAUCAUUUGACAUAUGUUUAGCUAGAUUCUUUGUAUUUGAUGAGGAUGAACCAUAUUAUUUAUUUAUUUUAAUUCAAACUAAUAGUUUAGUAAUUCUUGUUUUCUUGAUUAAUUUUAUAUUCUCAUUGCAUUAUAUAAUUAUUUUGCCAUCAAUUAGAUAAUUAGUUGUUUGUUGCAGUGUCAGAAGACUCACAAUAAGUUUAGAAUGUAAUAAAAUUAACAUAUGUGUAAUAGAUGUUAUGAAUAAUAUUUAUUUCAUGUGCAAUCAUGUAAAUAAUAUAUAGUUUAUGUAUUCUAAUGAUUCGAAUUUAGGUUAAGGAUAGACUUGGGUUGUGGUUAGAAUAGAUUUAUUUUGUCUUAGAAAAGAAAGUUAAAUAUAUUAAUUUUAUUGAACGUUAAGAACAUAUGAAUGGAACUAGAUUACAAAUUAAGACUUAAAAUAGGUAACAAUAGAUGAAUUCGAAAUUCAAUAACAGCUUUCUUAGGUUAAUAUAGACUAAUCAACAUUAAAAACUCUUUCGUUUACACACUUCAGAUUACAUAUAAAUUAGUAAAUUUGAAUUAAAAUUUAUUACUUGUGGGACGUAAGCUCUCAAUUCACUCAAAUCGAUUACUUAUCCAUGAUCUCGUAUGCUUGCGGGAUUUAGUGAUCGAGUUUUUGGCGUCGUUGUCGGGAAUAAAGUAUUUAAUUUUAGUUUAUUAGUUUAUUUAGGAUUUGACUAUUAUUAUUAUUAUUAUUAUUAUUAUUAUUAUUAUUAUUAUUAUUAUUAUUAUUAUUAUUAUUAGUUUUUUUAAAUUUAGGCUUCUCACCAUAUCUCUCUUUUGUUUGGUUUUCUACCAAGUACUAUUCAAUAGCACAUGGAUGAUUCUUACAUUAACAAGAGAGCAAACCAUUUGCAAUAAUUAAUCUCAACGUGGAUGAUGAAGAUAUGCUUGUAGAAGACAUAUAUUGUUAAUUUUGUUACGGGUUGCAUUAUACUGGGCACGGCUUAUAAAGACGCACUGUUGAACCCCUAAGGUUCAAGCUUCUACAAUUUCAACAAUAUUUAAGUUAUCAAAAAUGAGCAAUUGAGAAAUUUAAUGAAAACUACAUACCGGCAAUCGAUUAUGUAUCAUUAGACAUGCUUGUGGGAGUUGGUUCCUUUCAUGUUGAAUGAAGAGAUAUUUGUAAAAUAUUAUAAUGAACUUGCUAAGUCAGAUGAAAACAAAUGCAUAUGGAGAUGGCAUAUCUUGGGACAAAUUUAAAUGAUGGGGAUAUAAUCCACUUGAAAAGAUUGAAAGGAAAUAAGUGACAUUGCCAAUGAAUUUAGAUAGUGAACCGACCAUUUAACUCGAAGAAAUAUCAAUUAUUGAAGAAGAGCAUAAAGACGAUGACAAACUAAUUAUAAAGGAACCAAGCAAAAAUGUGACAAUUAAUGAUGAUGAAAUUUACUCAUAUUCUUUUGACUUCAUCGAUUGUCCAACAAUUGAAUUUAUGAUUAAGUCAAAGAAGGAAGAAGUCUACAUAAUUAGCUUGGAAUAAGAUGGAAUAAACGAAUCAUAUCACAUAGAAUGAGGUAAUGUUAAGGUUUGAAAAAUUAACGAAAGUGGACCAAAGUCAAAAGAAACAAAUUAAGCAUGGCAUCAAAAGCUUUCUCCAGAAUUUCAUGGUGCAGAACAUGAAAGUCAAGCUAAUGACUAUAAAUAAGCACUUAUUGGAAUGCAAUUCAAUUUCUUCUCUUUUAUUUAUUUUUACUUUCUAAAAUAUAGGAUUAGUAAAUUUCAUUUUUUUAGUAGUUUUGUAUAUUUUAUUGCUUUUAGUAAUUUAGAGUAUCCUUAUUUUCAUAUUUUCCUUUAAGAAGCUUUAGAGCUUGUUUAACUAUGCUCCAUGGUAUAAUUGAAUUUUAUUUAUUUAUUUAUUUAUCUUGAAGAAACAACAUGACAUCUAAGUACAUUGGAUAAGGUAAAAUACAUAACAAGUGAUCCAACACUCUUAUGCCAGUCUAUCUACCACCUUCAGAUAUAUAUAUCAGGGGAAUACUUAGUUCUCUUAUUUAUCCUUAGUUUUUCUAUAUUACUUGUUAUAUUUUUAGACAUUAAGGGCAAUAUCUAUUAUAAAUUUGGGGAUUAAAAAAUAUCUAGUUUUUAUCUAUUUUUACUAUUUGGUACUUGCAAAAAAACUUCAAAAAUUAAAAAAAAAAAAUUAUCUUCAGUUUUAUUUUUGCUUUUAUAUACUUUUGUUGAUUAUAUAAAUUCGUCUACUAUGAUGCAUAUAUUUGGAACCAUCUGUAAGGUUAUAAAUAGUGAAAAAGUUGCAUGAUAGGUUGAUUUAUGCUUAUUAAUGUAAAAUUUGACAUUUUUGCACACAAGAUUAUUGUUUUGCAUCAUUAAGGAUUAAUUUGAUUCAAAUUUUGAAUAGUUUGAAAUAAAUUUAGUGGACCAUAGAUGCUAAAACUAGAUAAACACUAAAUUGUACAUCCUUAAACCUAUUUUCAUAUAAUUUGGGGGCGACUGAACUGUUGUAGGGAGAUAUUGAGAUAAAUAUAGAUUAUAUGCAUAUUCUGUUAAUUGUUUAAUGCAAAUAAGAAAAAAAUUAAGUGUAAAUUUUUGUGUCAAUUUUUGAGAAUGAGUGUUUAGUUAGGGGCAUUGUACUGGACAUUGCAUGGGAAAAUAAUUUCAAAGAAGAAAGAAACUCACAUUAUUAAACUUCUUUUUAUAGCCUUCAUGACUUAAGUUUAUAAAGCUUAAUUGAGAUAAGUUUGAACAUAAAAUGAAAAUGAAAAUAGAAAUAAAAAGAGAAAAAGCAAGUAACAAAAGGUGUACUACAUGCGUUGAUUAAACUCCAAAUACUUGUUUUAGAGAAUUAGACAUUUGACAAAGGAUUAUUGGCCUAGUUGAUUUUUGGAGGUUGAAGUAACCAAAAAUAAAGAGAACUCUCAUUUGUUGAUGUGUUAGCUGCAAUUAGUAAGAUCUAACCAAAGUAAAGGGGAUAAUGAUUAGUAUAAAAAAUCCAACUUUAGAUCACACUAUAGGAAAAGAGUUUUAAAAAAAAAUUAGUUUGAAUGUGAACCUUAUGCGAGAAUGAAGUAAAUAUUUGACCAAUUAGGGCCGGGACAUAAGUCACCUAAUGAGAACUUGUUUGAGCCCCAUUUUGAGGGGAAAGAAUGCAUUUUUAAAUAGUGAUUGAUGGAGAAUGUGUAGUUAAAAAUUAAGGAAAAGUUUUGGGUUGUGUAUAAUAUUAUUUUAUUGAAAAAUAUAUGGUUGAAAAUGGAUUUUAAAAUUUUUUUUUUUUAAAAGAAUGAGGCUCAAACAAGGGCUGGAUUUAUGAUGUUUAACAUGAAUUUUCACACACGGGCGUCGAUUUUGCAUUAGAUAAGUAGAAAUUAAUUUUAACAUUGUGAUUUUGAAGUAGCUCAUAACGUUAACACAUAAAUUUCAAUCCUAAGACCAAUGACAAAUUAUCUAAUCAUGUUUGUUUAAAAAAGUUUUGGUUAAGUUAAGCUAUAUUUUGUUAGAGGCUAAAUAAUUGUUCAAGUUUGGAGGUAUUUGAUAAGUUCAUUUCUAUAUACUUAUUUGGUUAUUAAAUGAGAGCCAUUAUUGUUAAUUUGAAUGAAUUAGCGCUUAUUUAUAUUUUAAUUUUAUUUGUUAGGUAAAAAUCGAGAUAAAUUGGGUGAAUUAGAAGAAAGAAAUGAAAAAUGGGUGAAAAAAAUGAAAUAUAAAGUUAGGGAUCAAAUUGUAAAUAUCUAAUAGUUGAUUUGAACCACAAAAUGAUAAUUGAAGAUUACAAGGAGCCAAUUGUAUGCAAUUAGAAGUCAAAAAGGAGUGAAUUACAAUCAAAGGAUUCUUACAAAUCAAUUUUCAUCCGUACAACUUAUAUUCCAGAUUUUUAGUCGGAGAUGGAGACCCAUUUUAAUUUAGUAAUCGUUCUAAUAGAAGAAUGGCUACUUAUUCAUUAAUUGUAACACUUUGAGUUAGCAUUCUAAUCAUUUUGAAUAAAUUCAAUCGAGUAUUAGGAGAGAAAUUUAUGACCAAAUUAUUGAUGAGUGUGCAAAGAGAUAAUCAUGCACGUGUGAAGGUAUCUUUUCUUAUUUGAUUGAAACAUUUUAGGAACCUAACUUGAACGCAUUUUUUAAGCUAAUUUUGCCUUAUCUCUAUCUAAUAUAAUCAUCCAUGGAAGAUCUCUAUCUCACCUCUCAAAUCACUUCCAUAGCAUAAAAUCAUUCAAGAACGAGGGAAAAAUUCAUCAUAAUUUGGUGGGGAGAACAAAUCUAGCACAUGGACCGAAUAAAAAAUAAAUCAAGAACUUGAAUAAUCAAAGCUUGAGGUUGAGAAACAAGAUCAAGAAUUAGACCGUGCAUCUCUUUCUUAUAUUUAUAAAUUUCGAGUGAUAUUCUUCUUGUUGUUUUAUCAUUAGAAACAUGUUUAACUAGAAAUUCUUUGUAUUGGAUGAAGAUAAAUUCUUUUUUUUAAUUAUUUUAAUUUAAACUAGUAGUUUAUUAAUUUUCCUUUUCUUGAUUAAUUUUACAUUCUCAUUGCAUUAUUUAAUUAUUUUGCCAUCAAUUAUAUAAUUAGUUGCUUAUUGUAUAGUUAGAAGACUCACAAUAAGUUUAAAACGCUACAAAUUAAUAUGUGCACAAUAGAUGUUAGGAUUAAUAUUUAUCACUUAUGCAAUCAAGUAGAUAACCUAAAAUUUAAUGCAUUCUAGUCAAUCGAAUUUAAGCUAGGAAUAGACUUAUAUGUGAUUAGAAUAAAUUUAAUUUGUCUUGAAAAAUGAAGUUAAAUAAUUAGCUUUAUUGAUUGUCAAAAAAGCAUGAAAUGAAUUAUAUUACAAAUCAAGAAUUGAAAUAGAUAAUAAUAGGCGGAUUCACAGUCUAUUAUAAUCAUCCAUAAUUUAAUAAAAACCAAAUUUUUAUGACUUAUUAGAUUUAGAAUAAUCAACACCAAAAACUCUUUUGUUUACAUAAUUCGAAUUCCAUAUAUAACUAGUGAACUUGAAUUGGUAUUAACUCACUCAAAUUUAUUACUUGUGAAUGAUCCCUUACACUUACUAGAUUUUAUCAAACACUGAUCAAUUAAAAAAUUAAUGCCUAAAAUAAAAAAAAAAUCCAAAUAGAUACAAUAGUGGAGAUAAGAGAAAGACUUAGAAUGUACAAACGUCCUUUAUUUACAUAGACUGAUUGACACUAUUUACAAAUGCAAAGUUAUUUGAUGGUGAACUAAAAUUAAAUAUGGAAUGAUGAAGUGAAUGAAUUCAAAAAUUGUUGUAAAAAAAGCUCCAUAAUUUCAAAUUUACACAUUAUUUUUUAAAAAGAAUUUCUUAUAUAGAUUAAAAACAAUAGAUGUUUUCAAGUGAUUUUAAACCGUAAAAAAUUGUCCAAAUUUAACAAAAAAUAAUAAUCAAAUCCAACUUGAAUUGAGCCCAAGCCCCAACCCUAAAAUUGAUUGGUUUGGGUUGGGUUGGAUUGAGUUUAAAACAACAAUUGGGUUGAGUUGGAUUGCGGGGGAGCACUUUAAAAAAUUACGUUUCUCACUUUUCUUUGUUUUCUUUGAACCUUAAAGAGUUACUUUGCAAACAUUUUUUUUCCUUCCUCCCAAUGGCAGAUCUAGGUAGUGGCGAGCUUGGGCGGCCGCCCUAGCUGGAUCCGCCAGAGUCUUUACUAGCCGCCGGGUGGAAGAUUGGAAGUUGCAGAGCCGCGACUGAACUGAAAAAGGGAGGAUCGGAGGAGGAAGAUGAAAUUUUGAAUUUGGGUCUUUUUUUUUAUUAUUUUAGUUUAGGCCUUUUUCUUUGGGCUGAUGAGUUGGGCCUCUUUGUUGGAAAAAAAAAAUUAGACCCAAUCCAUGGAUGAUGAUUGAUGGAAAUACACACAUAACUGCAACCACACCUCCAAAUCAGAGGUAAUAAUCGUAGCAAACCCUUCUGUAACUGCUCUCCUUCUCCCUGCUGUUGGCCGCAGAUGUUAUUACUUAUUUCGGUGGUCAAAACCUCAAUUGGUGGCAUUAGAAAUAGGACGCCUAUGUCCUGGUGAGAAACUUCUAAGUUCUAAUGGCUCAUUUUUUCGAUUUCCAUGUGUCUGCCUUGGAUUAAUGCAAAUUAUGCAAACCUGUAUACUUACUUUUUUGUUUAAUAUCUUUUUCAGGAAAUAAGAAUGGGAUACUCUUGCCUCACACAGAGUUCGCCUGAGUGCUGCUCACGCAUGUGACUUGUGAGCCCUCUCUUCUCUUUCACUUUUUUGUUUGUUUGUUUGUUUGUUUUGUUUUUGUUUUUUGUCCUUUUAAUUCAUUUUUUUAUUUAUCUUUUAUUUUUGAGCUAUGAAUCUAUGACUUGUGUUUUACUAGUUAUGAUUUAUGUUUUAUGAGUUAUGACUAUGAUUUGUGAUAAAUAAUUCAAGAUGAAAUCCCUACCUUCUAGUUCUAGUUCGUGUUAGGUUGUUGCUAGUUCAUUAGAUUUGGAAGAUUAUAAAUAAUUUGAACUUUGUUAAUAUAGCAAAUUAAUAAUACUUGUUAAUUAACUUUAAUUAUAAACUGAAUAUUGGCAUUUUGUUAAUAUAUUUUGCCUAUUUAAUUGAAAAAUAAAUUAAGGCAAUUUUGCAGAUUAUGGAACUAUUUUUUCAUUCGAAAUGAAAGUUUGUACAUAGUUUCAGUUCUAGUGGUGCAUCUAGUUCUAGUCCGUACGGUUUUUUGAAUACUAUUUAAUUAAAUAUUAAUAAACGAUUCACCUAUCAUGGAUGCUGACAGUUGACAGUUAACAUUCAACGUUUACGGUCCGUCCUAGCUGAACUAAGACCCUGGAUUCGCCCCUACUUCCUUCCACCUAUUUUUUCCUCCCUCCAUUUCAUAACUACGAAAGAAUAUCACUAACACUAUCAAUACAUAUAAAAAUUCUAGUCAAUGAAUUGUUGAUCAGUUAAUUGAUGUCGUUUCAAGUUUUUGUGUUCGUUCUAUAUAUGACAAAGUUGUCGAUAAUCCUUACAGUUCUCACAUGGCCCUGUUGAGAAGAAACGAAUUGCCACUUGCUAGGGAACUUUCUAAGGUAGCUAGGAUGCUGUGGCUGUUUCAAACUCGGAUCCAGCUUCCAUUCUUUUGGAACCUGCAUAGCCACAUUUACAAUGACACUCAGAUUCGACGUGAAAGGUUGGAAAUACGAUUAACGACGACCAAUUUUCUAAAAUCGAUUCAGGUCAGUCACCUUCUCGUGUCAAGGUUCAAAGGAUACAAUUGGAGUUUAACUAGAUAAUAUUCGUCACAUAGCAUGAGAUAUGUCAAGGCUCAAAUUGCUCCUUAACCCAAAGUUCUUAUUUUCAGUUAAAAAAAGCUGAAAAACUUCUAGGUUUCCUCCCAUCUCUUUAAUAUGGUUUUUAAGGUAUAACAAUACGUUACAGGUUAAUUCAUCGUUUUAUCUCUCGAACCAGUCAGGAUAGUCUGGUUAUCAAAACACUAAAGAAAACAAGAUGAGAAAAAUAGAAGAUCUUGAUAUUUUUUGCAAGUCACCUUUCAAACAUUAUUCACUUUUGUUCGUGAGAAACCUACAACCGUAUCGUUGACAAGUAAUAGAAUUAACAAGUUUAAAGUUACUGUCCCACAGGAAAUAAACUCAAUUGAAAUUUACCAAUUUUAUAUGGAAUUCGAAUUACAUAACACAAAAGAGAUUUUUAAAUUGAUAUUUGAUAAAUUAAUUUAUGAAAUAUUUAAAAGUUUGGUUUUUAUAAUUUAUGGAUGAUUGUAUUAAAUUUACGCUCUUCUAUUGUUAUCUAUUUCAAUUUUCAGUUAUGUAAUCUAGUCUUAUUAAUGCAUUUUUGACAGCCGAUAUAGUUAAUGUAUUUAACUUUUUUUUCAAGAUAAAUUAAUUCUAUUAUAGUCACGACUCGAAUCUAUUUCUAGUUUGAAUUUGAAGAAUGGAAUACAUUAAAUUUCAGAUUAUUUAUAUGAUUGCACACAUGAUAAACGUCAUUUUUAACAUCUAUUGUACAUAUGCUAAUUAUACUGCAAUCUAAACUUAUUGUGAAUCUCUCAAUACUACUACAAGUAACUGAUUAUCUAAUUGGUGGUCAAACAUUUAAAUAAUAUAAUAAGUGUACAAAAUUAAUCAAGAAAUGUAAGAAAUACUAAAUUACUAGUCAUGAAUUAAAAUAAAUAAACAAUAUGGUUCAUCUUUAUCCAAUACAAAAAUAGAUCUAACAUGGCAUGCUUUUAAAUAAAUUAUAAGAAGAAUAAUAGGAAAAUAUCACCCGGAUCAUGAAAAUAAUGCAAGAAAUCUUGAUCUUCAAUAUCAAGAUUGAGUUCUUCCAAAUCUUGAUGUAACUGGCUUCAAUUCCUUGCUAGGGUUUGCUCCCUUCUCUCAAAUAUAGCAAUUGACCACUUGUUCUUGAUAAAUUUUAAGAUAUUACUGUGUAUCUAGAAGCUAGAAAGAGUUCAUUUCCAUGUUUAGAUGUUGUUUUGUAUUUAUAGGAAUUGAAAAUUCGGGUUAAAAUCAUGUAUAAAUUCAAAUUAGGAAGAGUUUUAUGUCAAACAGAUUUUAUGUCAAGGAAUUUACAAGGUUUUUUCAAAUGAAUGAUUUAACUUGGGAGUAAUUAGUGGUUUUGCAAUGGAGUGUUUCAGCAAAGAACCUCGGAUGGAGAUGCGCUUCGGCCAGAGAGAUCAACCCUUUUCAUUGAUUUCUUCAUGUUGUCCUUGUUGACUUUUAGAUGUAUUGCCUCCACGCAACUUCGACUUGGCUUCCACUGGAAGCUUUGGAUACAAAGCGAAAUUUAAUAUUUAAUAUCUAUUCCAUAUGGAUUAAAAUCUCUAAAUCAAAGCAAACAAUUAAUUUUCAUCACAUAUUUCGUGGAUUCUACAAUGGAUAAAUAGCCAAAACCCCAUGUUUGAAACAUUUUUGUGCAAGCCCCACCGUCAUCAAGAAUUAUCAAAUUGAUCGUUAAAAACACUAAAAAAAUGUCAAAAUUAAAAAGGAAUAAAUGCAAUUUCAGUAUCUAAACUUUUAUUUUUUUUUACAAAUUAAAUCCAAAUUUUUUAUAUGUACCACCUACAAUCCAAAUAUUUAAAACUUUAUUUUCCACGCCACCCUCUUCAUCUUCUUCCCCAAAAUAUUCUUUUCUAGGUUUUCCUUCACCAAAAUCUAUGAUUUCAUUCCUAUUUACUAGUCGAUGCCACGUGCGUUGUACGAUUAUUGUAUUUAAUAUGUCUUUAUUAGCGUGAUGUAGAGAUUUUAGUUUUCUUGUCAUAAUCGUAACAUGCUUUUGAAGUUUGAAUUAAUUUUUUUUGGCAUGAAUUUUCUCUGACAAUUAGUAAAAAUUAGAUUUAAAAUUGUAGGGGAUAUAAGUAAAAGAUAAUUUAUAAUUUUAUGAGAGUCCUGCACGCGACCGUGCAGAGUCAGCACCAAUUCCAUGCGAGGAAGUCCCCGCACAGAUGCGGAUUUCCUGCACAAUUCGUGCGGAGUCCUCACACAGUUUGUGCGAGGACUCCACACCAAUUCCUUCGAGGAAGUCCCGCACAGUUUGUGCGGGCACUCCGCACCAAGAUUGCUACAAAAAGCCAUAUUUCACGAGUUCUAGGUGUUUGCAUUCUCAAAGUGAUUAAGAGAACUAAUAUCACCAAAAUUCAGCAAAAAUAAAAAUGAGAAUAUUUAUUUAUAUAAGCAAGGGAUGAAAAGUGGAAAUAACUUCCUAAAAAAUGAAAUGUACUGCAUUCAACAUUGAGAAAAAAACACGUAACAUGUAAUCAUAUUGUGCUGCUGGCUCAUUUUCAAUUAAUUACUACCAAAAAGUUUUGCAACGAGAAUUCUACAGUUAUAAAUAGAGAUUCAAAUGGCCUAUCCAAUCACCUUACUAUGCUCUGCUUAAACUUAUAGCUAAAAACUUAACAGAAACAAUUUGCAACUAUUAACUAAAAUAACAAAACCCCUUAUACUUAGAGCAAUUCAAUUAUUUUCACCAAACUUAUAUGCUUCACCUAAUCAUUCAUCGAUUUCUUGCUAAUUUCUUUAGUCCUACAUUUUCCUACUUCAGGUGCCAAACCAUGGCCUAAAAAAUUAAUCUAUACUUCUUUUUUUUUCCUCUCUAUAAUCUGUUGUUCUUAUGGCCAAAAAUUCAGUUUAAAAAGACUUAUACAAACUGAAAAUACACACAUUCUUAAUAUGCAUAAAGUAUGAAUAAACCCAUAUCAAGAGUCCCAACAAAAAAAAAAUUGAAAAUAAGUAAAAAGGCAGAUUUUUUCCCUAGUUGACUUUAAAAAAAAAAUUAAAAUUCAAGACUUCUUUUCUGCAGCACAUAUCAAAAGUCUAUUCACGGCAUCAUCGGAACAAUCAUCAACAAACAAAACCCAUACACCCAAAAUUAAUGAAAUGACGAAAACUCAAACAUCUAACACAUAAAUUUAGGGAUUAAGAUAAGAUAAGCCCAUACCUUCAAAAUUAUUAGUGUUAAAACCCAAAAAGUCCCCGCACAGUCUAUGCGGGGACUCCGCACCCAGAUUACUACAAGAAGCCAUACUUCACGAUUUCUGCCAAGAUUGCUAAUGCAUGAGAUACACAAGAGACCUAAAUGAAUUAACAAGCCAAUAAGCAUUUUAAUUUACAUUAAACCAAGAAUAUACCUCUCUAUUCACACAAAAACCCAAAAUUGUGAAUUGAAUGAACAAAAUUAUAAUUAUCAAAUAAAAUCGAGGAUAUACCUCUCUAUUCACUCGAAAUAAAAAAUUUUGCACGUAGAAUCUUGAAUAAACAAAAUCAUAAUUUGAGAAAAAUGGCAUGCCAGGAAUUUACCUCUCUAUUCAUGAGAAUUUUGCACGAAAUUAAUCACAGAAAAACGAGAGAAGAAUUGAAGAAGAAGUGAGAGAAGAAAAUGAUGAUGAUGAUGAUGAUGAAAGCUUGUGUCUGGGUUUGCGUGGGGAAAUGGCUUCACCGUCCUUUUGAGUAAGAAAAAAUGGGUAUGAUUGAUAUCUACAGUAAAAUCACUGUUUAGCUAAAGUAGAAGUCCCGAAUACUAUUGCAAUUAUAGUAUAUUUUAUUCAUCUUUCUAUAAUAAGUAGUUAGAUUUAAAAAAAAAAACUGCAAAUGUGGUGUUUUGCAAUUACAGUGAAUUUUAUUCAUCUUUCUAUAAUAAGUAGUUAGAUUUAAAAAAAAAAAAAAAAACUGCAAAUGUGGUGUUUCUACAUGAGUUAACUUAUGCGUGUUUUAUAUAAAUCUCCUUGUUCUGUUUGUUAGUGAAGAUCAUGAAUUGGCCAGCUCUAAAAACAAGAUUCAGUAACAUUUAUAGAAUAAUAUAUUAAAUUGGAUAGCUUAAGGAGGUCGCCAGAAUUUGGGGUGGCCAUAUUGCUCAACCCCAGACGGUGUUCAAGUAUCUGUCUAUUCAUUUUCUGUGUAUAAUCGUAUCCAAGAAUGAGUCAUGUAUUCUAGCGAGAAAUUAAUAUCAAGAUUCCAGUUCUUGACAUCUUGUUUAUCCAAAAUUUUUCCUUUAUCUUGGUGUAAUCUAUGGUCAUAGGUAGUGUUUUUGUGGAAUCAGAUCUUUGUUUCUCAUUUUUUAAGUUGGAUUUCAAAUCUUGAUAUUUGGACUUUUGAUUCUCGAAGUGUUCAAUAAUUUAACUGUAAUUUUCAAGAAAAUAGGGGGAUGGACUUACUAUAUGUUCUUGGAACCAGAAAGAGAGGUGAAUUCUAAUUACAUAAUUAAUUCAUUAUUUAAACAUCCCAUUCUGAGACUUGGGGAAAUGGACUUCUUGUAUUUUCGUGGAUCGAAGAAAAUGAAUUGGGGUGGGGGUUGGAAAAUAAAGUUCUAGAGAUUUGGGAUUGUAGGUGGCAUAUAUAAAAAUUUGGAUUUAAUUUGUAAAAAAUAAUAAUAAUAAAUAACAAAAUAAAAAAAAUUGGGUAUUGAAAUUACAAUUAUUCCUUUUUAACGACAAAUUGAUGGAUCUUGACGGUAGGGAAAUUUGGGAUGAGAUCAAUGCACUAACUGAUGCCCACCCUUGUACUUGUGAUGCUCGCAAAAAAGUCGAAGACACAGCCAAUACCGAACGACUCUUUCAAUUUCUUAUGGGCCUCAAUGACUCAUUCUCCAACAUUCGAAGCCAAAUUCUCACCAUGGACCCCCUGCCCACAAUCUCCAGAGCAUAUGCCACCAUACAUCAAAAAGAGACACAACGCCUCCUACAAAUUCCAUUGUUACCCAAUCCCGAAAAUUCGGCCAUGGCUGUCUCACACACCAAUUCUUCGGUCAAUCACGGUUUUUGUUCUCGCAACAGUAGAAAAUGCACAAAGUGUGGGAAAGAUGGACAUCAAGAAGCCUCCUGCUUUGAAAUCAUUGGCUAUCCUUCCCAUUGGAACACCAAUAAGCCGAAGCAGCCCCUGCGGUCCACACCUGUCAAAAAUCGGCCACAGGAUUCAGGCAGUAAUCGGCUACCCACAGCGAACAUGGUGUCUCGUACCUCAGCCCCUUCCACAUCGAGUGCAAUCCCUGGCUUAUCUGACGAGCACUACUGGCAAUUGAUGGAAAUGUUGGAUCCUAGCACCAUUACACACUCGGCCUUCUCUGGUAUCUCUCUAUCACCUCUCCAAAUCGCCCUAGGUCCUUGGAUUAUAGAUAGUGGGGCUUCAGCCCACAUUUCUUGUGUUUCUAACUUACCCAAAGCCUCACAUAUUUGGGCCCAUAGUCAAUCCCUUACAUUACCUACAGGCUUCAAGGCCCACGUCACACAUAUGGGCCACAUCCAUAUUUCUCCCCAUUUAUGUCUACAUAAUGUUCUUUUUGUUCCCGAUUUUAAAUACAAUUUAAUCUCAGUAAGUCAACUCACAAAAUUGUCUAAUUGUGUUACCAUAUUUUCCUCUUCUAUUUGUUUAUUUCAGGACCUAUGUAUGAGAAAGCUGAUUAGGAUGGGUGAAGAACAUGGAGGCCUCUACCAUUUUAAACCAUUUAAUCAUGUUGCAUUUCAACUCAUAGCGAAUCCUGCUGCUACACCGGAUGUAUAGCAUCUUCAUUUAGGUCAUCCUUCAAAUUCUUGUAUUCCAAAAAUUUUAUGUGAUUCAAAUAAAGUUAGAAAUUGUGAUAGUUGUGUUCGCGGUAAACAUACGCGCCUUCCCUUCAAAUUGGUCGAAAAUAAAAGUACUUUUACCUUUAACCGAAUUUAUUGUGAUAUUUGGGACGGAUAUUCCACACCCUCUACAAUUGGUGCACACUAUUUUCUCACAAUUGUUGACGAUUUUUCACGUGUUACUUGGGUAUACCUCAUGCGUUUUAAAUCUAAUACAUUUACUUACCUAACCACAUUCAUUAAAAUGAUCCACACGCAGUUUAAUUGCCCUAUCAAACAUAUUAGGUCCGACAAUGGUCAAGAAUUUCUUUCUCAUCGUAUGCAACAAUUCUUCCUUGACCAUGGGAUCAUUCAUGAGCGCACUUGUGUUGAACCACCCCAAAAAAAUGGUGUAGUAGAAUGAAAAUAUCGUCACCUACUAAAUGUAGCUCGAUGUCUUCGCUUUCAUACACAUUUACCUAUUUCUUUUUGGGGUGAGUGCAUACUUACUGCAUCCUAUCUGAUUAACCGCGUAUCAACUCCCACGCUUGGUCACAAAGCGCCUUAUGAACUCCUUUUCAACAAACCUCCUACCUAUGAUCACCUCCGUGUCUUUAGAUGUCUUUGCUAUGCACACACUUUAAGUGUCCAUCGGGACAAGUUCUCUCCUCGUAGCACACCAUGCAUAUUCCUAGGCUACUCUCAAAUUCCACAUACUUAUCGUGUUCAUAACUUGCAAACCAAGAAAAUUUUCUUCUCUUGUGAUGUCUACUUUGUAGAAUCUAUCUUUCCCUUCGCUCCUACGAUGCAACCUUCACACAUAUCAUCAGAUACCAAUCAGCCCCUCGAUGUCCCUUACAGUACCCCACUUCCAACCAACGUUUCACAUGACACCCCUAGCCCAUCUCCUUCAUCCACGCAGACAUGGAACCAACUAUACCAACACCACAAGUUGUUGAUGGACCUACCAACUCCCUAGAAAUCGUCACCAGCUCACCCCCACUCAACUCAUCCCCACCAACUAGACCUCGAUGCACGAUUACUCGUCUUACAUAUCUUCAAGACUACAUUUGUUCAGAUUUACCUCCAGAGGGACCACGUUCAUCAUCUCAUUGCCAGUCUUUCUCAGGUACAGUUCACUCUCUACCUAAUUUUCUUUCUUGUCGUUUCUUUAGUCCAAAACAUUUUGCUUUCCUCUCUUCUAUCUCCAAAAAUGUUCAAGACCCCGUUCUUUACUCUCAAGCUAUUCUUGAGCCGUAUUGGCAAUAGGCAAUGGCUUUUGAAAUUCAAGCCCUUGAAGUCAAUCACUCAUGGACCCUUGAACAUCUUCCCCCUGGUAAGAAGGUAAUUGGUUGCAAAUGGGUUUAUAAAACAAAAUUGCAUGCCGAUGGUUCCAUUGAACGCCAUAAAGCUUGUUUUGUUGCCAAGGGUUUCACUCAGGUUGAAGGUCUUGACUAUAAUGACACUUUUGCUCCUGUGGCUAAACUUGUUACUGUUCGAUGUCUCCUUACUAUAGCUACAGCUAAACACUGGAUUCUUCAAAAAUUGGAUGUUCACAAUGCUUUCCUCAAUGGUGAUCUUGAUGAGGAAGUGUAUAUGCGACCACCACCAGGAUAUUGUCGUAAAGGGGAGACUCGCGUUUGCCAUCUCCACAAAUCAUCAUAUGGUCUCAAACAAGCCUCACGUCAGUGGUAUUCAAAAUUAUCCCAUGUUCUCAUCCUUACAAGUUUUGAUCAAUCUGCUGCUGAUCAUAGUCUCUUCAUCAAAACCAAGGGUACAACCUUUACUGCCGCUCUUGUCUAUGUUCAUGAUAUCAUUGUUGCUGGUAAUGACAGCUCUGCCGUUAGUUCUAUCAAACGCCAUCUUGCAUAGACCUUCAAAAUUAAAGACCUUGGCGAUCUCAAAUAUUUCCUAGGGAUUGAAGUUGCUCGAUCUCCUAAAGGCAUAUUUAUCAAUCAAAUGAAAUAUACCUUGGACAUUCUUACUGAUUCAGGUGAACUUGGCUCUCGCUCGGCAUAUUUUCCCAUGGAACGACAUUGCAAACUUAAUGACUCAGAUGGUGAUCUUAUGGACGAUCCUAGCUCAUAUCGACACUUGAUUGGUCAUUUGAUCCUAUAAUGCUCGGACUCGGGUACGGGUAUCGGGUACGGGUACUUAUCUAAGUAUCAAAUCUUUUAUUUUUUAAAAUAUAGGAUACGGGGACAUGGUUAAAAAGAAUCCAAAUUUCGGACACGGGUACGUGGGUACGUCUUUCAAGCUUCAAUUUUUUUAUAUUAACCCAAGAUGUCAUUUUGAAUAGACUAAAAUCAAUAGUUCAUAAAAAGGAAAUGAGUAUUAAAUAAGAUGUUAAGACUAAUAAAAUACAAUUUUGGGGUUUAGUUUUCAAUUAUAGGAAACGGGAAAGAAAAUGAAAAGAAAAAAGAAGAAGUAAAAAAAAGGGCGAAAUGUCCGAUUUAAAUUUGGAGGAUUCUACACAUAUCCCAUACGCAUACCCUUGUCGUGUCGUGUCCGACACGGGUAUUUCAACCAUUUCGAAGAGUCCGAGCAUCAAAGGUUUGAUCUAUUUGACCAUCUCUCAUCUGGAUAUUACCUUUGCAGUCAACAUUUUGAGUCAGUUUAAGCACACUCCUCGCAAGCCUCAUCUACAUGCUGCUAUACGCUGGCUCCGCUAUCUGAAAACAACACCUGGUUAUGGAUUCUUCUUUCCAUCCAACUGCAACCUUCAGAUAUCUGCUUUUUGUUACUCUGAUUGGGCAAGUUGUCCACUCACACGACGUUCCACAACUGGUUUCAUCAUCAAAUUGGGCGAUAGCCCCAUCUCUUGGCGCACCGAGAAACAAACAAUUGUUUCUUGCUCUUCUGCUGAAGCUGAAUAUCGUGCGAUGGCCACUACAACUUGUGAACUUGUUUGGCUUCGCCUCCUUCUACAGGAACUUACUGUGUUGCAUCCACAACCUAUUCUGCUUCAUUGUGACAAUCAAGCAGCAAUCUACAUUGCACAUAAUCCGGUCUUCCAUGAACGCACCAAACACAUUGAAUUAGAUUGCCAUCUUGUUUGUGAAAAAAUCAAAUCUGGUCUUAUUACUCCCUCCUAUGUUUCAAGCUCUGAACAUGUAGUUGAUCUUUUUACUAAACCAUUGGGACGUGAAUUAUUUGUCUUCUUUUGGUCCAAGUUGGACAAUACGGGCCUCCAUGCUCCAACUUGAGGGGGAGUAUUAUAGCCAGCUCAUCAACAACAAUCAACGACAAUCAACACAAAGAAUUUUCUUUUAUAGUUAUUUCCAUAUCACAGUUUUUACCAUGUAUAGAUUGGAUUCUCACCUAUAAAUUUAUACAAAAUCAUUUUAACAUAUAUGGAGGAAAUAAUAUAAUCUUCAAUUCUUUCCUCAAUCAUACCUGUGUAUGUCGAGAUUUGUUAUUUAUAUAGAGUAAUUUUAUUUUGAUACUUGUUAUUAAUUUUUCUUAUUGAAAUUUUUUAAAUAUGAAUAUUUCUUUAUUAUUUAAUAAUAAAUUUGAAUUAAAAAUAUACGAUAUUUUUGAUAAAGAAAGAAAAAUUACCACUAGUGUGUUUGAGAAGUAUCGGUAUUCGACAUGUAUCGGAUGUUACUCACAAUAUUGCUAAUGAUAUAUUUCAACUAUGGUCUACGAGAAUAAGAUAUCGUAUGGAACACGUAAUAUCAGCUAAUGAAAGAUAGAAUAAUAGUUGUUUUUAGUACGGCAUGGUAUGCUACAUGAAUAUAUUGUCAACUCUAAAUAUUUUUUCAAUUACCCACAACGUUGCCGAUUAAAAUAAAUUUAUCAAUAGCAGUAAGAGUAGAACAAAUAAUUUAAAAUUGUAGAAAGUGAUAAAAGAGCAAAUGAACUUUCAAUCGAAGUCUAAAUAAACACAGUUUCUUUAAAACAAAUUGGCCUCCUCACUCUACGUGCUUGAGGCUUAGUUUGAGCAUCUGUUUCCUAGGAUACAACGAAAAAUAAGUAGAGUCUAAGCACUGCAUAUACUACUCCGGUGAACUGACUUAGUAUCCGAACAAUAUCACCAAAAUUGAAAAGAAAUUUUUUUUCGACCAAAUAGAGAGCUGUAAAACUAUGUAGCAUGCAGACAAAGUAUUGAUUCUUGUGUGGGAUAUGGAAAACGAGUUCCAUAUAGACUUAACCCCAUGAAUGGUGAGUUAAAUCUGUCUAUAAGUGUAUUAUCUCAUCCAUAACUCUUGGAGUUUCAAUAGUUUUAGAAGUUAAAAGGUCAGUUGGAGGAAAAAAUUGACAAAACGUAGGCCUUCCUAAGGGCUCAAUUUUGGUCCCUUCGGUCUGACAUAUGUGUGUACAGGUUGAGCCCACACACAAGUUCAAGGUUCGAAACCUAUUUCGGUCUAUGAUUUGUACCUCUUACGUGCGCACGUGAUGAGAGCCUCUAUGCUAUAUAUGAUCACACCCUUCAAAGUGUAAUCCUAUAUGAGGUGGUAUUUGCCUUCAUUAUUUUUCUAUGUGGAACAAACCUUAAUUGGUGUCCUUCAAACACAUAAACUCCUUUCAAUUGGCACACUUUGAGCUCCAAUUUUUCAUUCACCCAAGCAUCAUAUUUGACAAGUAAAUAUAUGAUUUCAAUAUUCUCACGACGAACACAAAUCAAUCUUGAUCUUCCAAAAUAAACAACCAGGUCCCACUCAAAAUUUAUGCCAAAGUAAGCCAUUCAACUCAUUUAUUCAAUGAUGUGCCAUCCUAGAUGAAGUGUCCGUGCAACAGAGGUAUUAGGUGUUCGUAAAGUGUUCUUUGAUGGUCAUCCAUUUCUUUUGAUGACUCAAGUUUUCGAGCUUCGCUCUACUAAUCUGAGGAGCAGCGGCCUUCCCCACUAAUCAUCCAUUGUUUAUACCUAUGGAAAUGGUGCCAGUAGCAUAUGGAAAUGUUUAUACCCCUGAUCAUUUAUGGAAAAUCGUACGAGGCCCAAGGCAUGGUAAUGAUUUCAGAGUGGAUUUAGAAGAUACUAUCUGUGCGUUGAAAAUUCUAAAUUGGUUUUAGAUAAUCGUCAAGUUGGCUAUGACACCAAGAAUAAAGUAGCGAAAGGAAGGAUACCUUGCAUAUGAAGUGAUUGGCUAAGGGUUUAUGAGUGGAGUUCUGCAUAUUACGUGUAGUAUAUGAUUUUAUUUCAACAUUUAUUCAUUGGGCUAUUUGUGGCACCAAGAAUAGUGGUGGCUAAAGGAAGGACACAUGCUUAUGAGUGGACCUCUACAUAUUAUGCAUAGUAUUUGAAUUUUUUUUCCUUUUUUUUUUGGCAGAAAGAACUGAAUAAAUAUUGAAGUUAAUGGGCUUUGUGUAACGCUCCGACCCCUGGUGGACCAGAACGCUACUUACUUUAAUUAGCUUAACCGGUGGUUUAGUAACAAGUGUAUACGUUUUAACGGAAUCUUACAUCUUCGGAUAAUAAUUUAAAUAACAAUACUUCAAAUACUUUAAACACAAACACUGAAUCAUUUUUCAAAACAACAAAAUAUAAUUUAUUUGAAGAAAACAUAACUUGUUCUCGCAUUCUGCGUUAUUCAAAACUUUAAAGAAAUAACAUUGGAAAACAUUUCAUAAAAAUAAAUCCAAAUCACUUAUUCACCGGAUUUCCAUGGGCUCGUUGCAUCAUUCUCCAUCUUCUCCUCCAUCCAUGCCCGAGGUAGAAUUCCUUCAAUUUGUAGAGAUGAGAUUAAACCCAUGAGUUGAAAAACUCAAUAGGUGUCAUAAGUGCAUUCGUGAUCAAGCUAUACAUUUCAAAACAUUAACUUUAUAACUCUUCAUACAUGCCGUACCCGGAGGCACCAUUUGAUAUGAAGGGGCAUGCCGUACCCCAGGGCACCAUUUGACAUACGAACAUUUCUUCAACAUAAAGGGGUAUGCCGUACCGGAGUACCAUUUGACAUACAACCAUUAACAUAUAGGGAUAUGCCAUACCAGAUUACUAUUUGACAUACAAACAUUAACAGGAAUCGAAACUUAUAACUUAACACGAUUAAACACAUUGCACCUCUACCUACUUUGAUUGAUGUUUUUGAAACUUUGAAAACUUGGAUUGAAAAUUUCGAUGAAACUUGGACGUUGAAAGAAAUGCACUCCUUGGAUGUUUGAAAACCGUUGAGAAUUGAUGCUUGAAGACACUUUUUAAACUUCUAAGAAAAAUAGUUUUCCUCCCUCUCUUUUUCUCUCUUGGAAACUCUUUCUUUAGUAUGUAAAAACUCUUGCUUUUGUGUGAGAAAAAAUGAGUGAAAUGAGGUCUCUAUUUAUAGGUAAAUAUUCCAUAACUUAAAGCAAAUGAAGGGUCAAAUUUCAUUUAAGAGAGAAAACAUAGUUUCCAUUUAAGUUUGAGGUUAAAUGCUUCAAUUUAGUGGGGGGUUUUUAUUGCCAAAAACGUGGGUGGCCCUUUGAGAAAAUAAUUGAUGAAAAUAAAUAUUUAAAUUCUAGAGAAAAACGAGAAUUUUCAUUUCAGGCAGCUUCGGUCGACCGGUUGUAGUCCGGUUGACACUGCAUAACUUUCAGUGUUUCUAUCAUAACUUUUUUUCCCGAUAUCCGAUUGAGGUAAUCCAAAGUGCGUUGGAAAGCUAACUCAAAAAGCUACAACUUUUAUUUAGAUAUCAUUUUCCAAAUUGAAUGUUUCCUAUGUUGAAAAUGGGUCUCAAAAGAGACUAAAAAUCUGAAGUAUACUUUAGUCAUUCAAUAUUCAUGUCUUAGUGCCACUAAGGUGUCUAGAAUUAUUUGGGGUUCUACAUCCCCCACACCUUAAUUAAAAUUUCAUCCUCAAAAUUUACCUUCUGAUUGGGCGAAUAGUAUUGGAUACUUAUCUUUGGCUUCUUCUUCUUUUUCCCAAGUGGCUCUUCUACGCCGUGAUAAUUCCACUGUAUCUUAACCAACUGAAUCUCUUUAUUCCUUAGUUUAUACACUUUUUGAUCCAAUAUCUUGAUCGGUAGUUCCUCGUACGACAAAUCUUUCUGUACCUCCAAGGUUUGAUAACUAACUACAUGAUUAGGAUCAUGUACAUACUUCUUUAUCAUCGAUAUACGGAACACAUUGUGCACUGCCGAUAAUUCAGGUGGCAAAGCUAGUCGGUAAGCCACAUUUCCGACUCUAUCCAAGGUCCGAUAUACCGGGGUCAUAGCUUGCCUUUCUUUCCAAAUCUAAGUACACCUUUCAUCGAUGCUACUUUCAGAAACGCUUUAUCCCCAACUUGGAAUUCUAAAUCCUUCAUCCUUGUAUCUGCAUAGCUCUUUUGUCGAUCAUGUGCUGCCUUUAUUCUUGCACAGAUCUUAUCGAUUACCUCGACUGUCCUUUCAACUAUUUCUUGUCCUAAAACUCUCUUCUCUUCGACUUUGACUUCAUCCCAAUGAAUAGGGGAUCUACAUCUUCUACCAUAGAGAGCUUCGUAUGGUACCAUUCCAAUAGUUGCUUGGAGGUAAGUAUGACUCCCAAUUACCUCCUAGAUCCAAAACACAUGUUUUCAGCAUGUCUUCCAAAGUUUGGAUGGUCCUUUCAGACUGACCAUCGGACUGAGGGUGAUAUGCUGUACUAAAGUUCAGCUUCGUUCCCAUAGUUCCUUGUAUACUUUUCUAAAAUUUGGACGUGAACCUUGGGUCUCUGUCAGAUAAAAUGGAUACAGGUACACCGUGUAAUCUCACAACCUCUUUAAUAUACAACUGUGCCAAUUGGUCCAAACUGAAUGUCGUUUUCACUGGAAGAAAAUGAGCUGACUUCGUUAGUCGAUCCACUACUACCCAUAUAGCAUUAUUUCCUCUUGCUGAAUUUGGGAAUCCAACCACAAAGUCCAUCGUGAUAUUUUCCCAUUUCCAUUCAGGUAUAUCUAGUGGAUUUAACAAUCCAGUUGGUUUUGGGUGUUCUACCUUAACCUAUUGACAUACUAUGUACUUCUGCACGUAUAGCCCUAUACUUCUUUUCAUAUUUCUCCACCAAAAUGUAUCUCGAAGAUCUCGAUACAUUUUUGUACCACUGGGAUGUGCGGUGUACGGGGUGGAAUGAGCUUCUUUCAAUAUCUUAUUUCUUAAGGCUUCAUCCUUAGGCACGCAAAUUCUUCCUCUAAAUAUCAAUGCCUGAUCCUCAGCUACUCCAAAGUCCUUUUUCUUAUCAGUACCAAUUUCAUUCUUAAUCUUCUGCAAAAAUGAGUCUUUAUUUUGUGCUUCUAUAAUUCGAUCUCUAAGAGUAGGUCGAAUUAUUAAAGCUGCUAGACGAGCAGUGACUUGUCCUGGUGUGAUAACCACUUCGAUCUGCAACUUUUCCAAGUCCUUAACUAACUCCACUUGAGAGGUGGGUAGUGACGUCAAUUGUCCCAUUGAUUUUCUACUUAGAGCGUCGGCCACAACAUUAGCCUUACCCGGAUGGUAGUGAAUAGUGCAGUCGUAAUCGUUCACCAAUUCCAACCAUCGUCUUUGUCGCAUAUUCAAUUCCUUCUAUGUGAAGAAAUACUUGAGACUUUUGUGAUCUGUGUAGAUAUCACACUUCCGUCCAUACAAGUAGUGUCGCCAUAUCUUCAAAGCGUGUACUACCGCUGCAAGUUCUAAAUCAUGCGUCGGGUAGUUCUGCUCAUGUUUCUUCAAUUGUCUUGAAGCAUAGGCUAUCACUUUUCCAUUCUGCAUUAGUACACAUCCCAAUCCUCGCUUGGAUGCGUCGCUGUAUAUAACAAACCCUUUCGUAUCUUGAGGUAUUGUUAAUAUAGGUGUUGAUAUCAACUUCUGCUUAAGUUCUUGGAAACUUUGUUCGCAUUUUUCUGUCUAUUGAAAUUUUACUCCCUUCCUUGUAAGCUGCGUCAUUGGUUCAGCUAUUUUGGAAAAUCCUUCUAUGAAUUUCCUAUAAAAUCCAGCCAAUCCUAGAAAACUCCGUACUUCGCCAACAUUUGUUGGUGCUUUCCAGUUGGUUACUGCUUCUACUUUUGCUGGAUCUACUUCAAUCCCUUGGGCAGUAACUACAUGUCCAAGAAAUCCAACUCGUUCAAGCCAAAACUCGCACUUCUUGAAUUUGGCAUACAACUUCUCCUUGCGUAAUACCUCUAAGACUAUUCUCAAGUGCUCUUCAUGUUGCUCCUUACUCUUGGAAUAUAUCAGAAUGUCAUCGAUGAAGACUAUAACAAACUUAUCCAAGUAUUGAUGAAACACUCAAUUCGUCAUGUCCAUGAACACUACAGGUGCAUUGGUUAGCCCAAACGGCAUCACCGUAAACUCGUAGUGUCCAUAUCGAGUUCUAAAAGUUGUCUUAGGUAUAUCCUUUGUCUCUACUUUCAGUUGAUGGUAUCCCGAUCGUAAAUCGAUCUUGGAAAAUACCUUAGCUCCUUUCAGUUGAUCUAACAGAUCCUCGAUCCUCGGGAGUGGGUACUUAUUCUUGAUGGUUAAUCGAUUUAUCUCCCUCUAAUCGAUGCACAUCCUCAUGCUUCCAUCUUUCUUCCUUACAAACAACACUGGCGCACCCCAUGGAGAUACGCUUGGUCCUAUGAAGCCCAUAUCUAGGAGUUCUUGCAACUGCUUCUUUAAUUCUUGUAGCUCCUUUGGGGCCAUUCGAUAUGGGGCCUUAGAUACUGGUACCACCCCGGGAAUUAGGUCUAUGGUGAAUUCCACUUGUCUAUCGGGUUGAAUGCCAGAUAGAUCUUCUAGAAACACAUCUACGAAUUUCCGUACUACUGGUACAUCUUCAACCCUUAUUGUCUCUUGUUUCCCUCUUGCGAUACUUACUAGAUAUCCUUGACAUGUGUUCUUUUCUCAACAUCUUCUCAAGUUGUAAAGCCGAUACUAGUCGAAUAAGGGGUUUCGUCUUCAUUCCAAGGAACGAAAAUGGUUCCUCUCCUGGUUUCUAAAAUGAUACUUCCAUUUCCUUAUAUCGGAUGGUGGCGUAAUUACAACCUAACCAAUCCAUGCCUAGUAUUACAUCAAAAUCCUUCAUUUCUAUCAUGUAUAGGUUCGUUUCCAUUAGUUUUCCCUCAACUUUGAUACUUACUGACUUGGCUAUCCUAUCAGUAUUCAAAGGGUUGUCCGAAGGAAUACUAACUUCUAAUGUACCUUCUUAUCUUCCGUAUCCACCAGAUGUGGAGCAUACUUUGAAAGUUGAUCAAACUUCCUCUCAUACUCAGUCAGGGACAUAGUCUUUUGCUUGAUUUGGAGGAAUUCACUUUCUUUGUGAUCCCUCAAAGACUGGGGAAAAUACUUGUCCAUUACUUCUCCUUUGAAUUGCUCCCAAGUCAAUUCUUCUUAUUGCUUAGGGGUCCUUGUCCUUGACAUUGAGACCCACCAGUGACUUGCAUUACCGGAGAACAUGAACUCAGCACGCUGAACUUUCUAAGCGUUUGUGCACCCUAUCAAUCGGAAUAUACGCUCCAACUUGUGAAGCCACUCCUCGGUUGCAAGUGGAUCAGCUGCUUUGUUGAAGGUAGGGGACUUGUGCCUUCGAAAUUGCUUGACCACUGAAGUAUGAUUUGGAACAUUAGGAGCUAGUGGUAGGGGUUGAGCUUGGUUCGGGUUUUGCCUGCCUAGGUCUUGAACCGCUCGGAGGAGGUCUCUUAUCAAGUUUUGGUUUGCGCGGGCCAUUUCUUUUAGACAAAGCAUAUGGUUCUUAUUAGUUUCAUUCUUCAAAUACUAAAGCAAAGAAGAUAGUAUUUUAUUUCUUGAUAUAAGGGAAGCUAUUACAAGGAUUUAAAUCUAAUCCCUAUAAGUUCUACGGAUCUUCUUUGGUGGAGCUUCAUCUUCGAGGAGUCUUCCGCAUCAGGUUUGGCUCUAUGUUCAUCUCAACUUGUGGCUCAGGCUCAGGAUCAUUCUCUAAAUCAUCCUCGAGUUCUUCUUCGAGAUCUUCUUCCUCGGCCAAAGCUUCCUCCUCAGGCUCCUCGUGGGUUACAUCAUCCCACAAAUCAAUCAGGGCAUGGCAAUACCUCUCAAACUCGAAUAGGUUUGGGUUGCUUGCUAACAUUUCAUCUCUAACCGUGACUCCCAUAUCUCCCCAUUGAGGUGGGAGGGAGUGUAUGAGGUUAUUUAUGGCCUCAAUAUGUGUGAUCUCCAUACCAGCAUUAACCGUCUUCAUGCAUCUCUCAUGGAUGUCAUACACAUGUUCGCUAAGCGAUCAGGUCAGAUCAGUUACAUAGUUUUCAUAGGAAUGGAUAGCAAUUCUACAGUUCAAUGCUUCUCUAUAUGCCCUAGCCGUUCUACGAGCCAUGUCUGUUGCAUUUUCACAUACAUCAUACUUUUUUUUGCUUAAAGAAAACAUGCAAAUAUUUAAACUUUCAUAUCAUGCAAUUUCCUUUAAACCCUUAACUUUUACCCAAGUUCAUUACAUAUCUUUAAAUAACACAUCUCUAAAUCAUAUCAAAACAUCAUAACAUAAACAUAAUCAUUAACUUUAAACAUAAACAUACCUAGGCCAUAGGAUGAGAUUGAUGGAUGGAUGCACGAUGCCAUGGAAUACCUUAACUUAAACUUUUCAUUUUCCUUUUGUUUUUUUAAAAAAAAAAUACUUGAUCUACAGAACAGGCUAAACCUUGCUUUGAUACCACGCUGUAACGUCCCGACCCCUAGUAGACCGGAACGCUACUUACUUUACUUAACUUAACCGGUGGUUUAGUAACAAGUGUAUACGUUUUAGUGGAAGCUUACAUCUUCGGAUAAUAAUUUAAAUAACAAUACUGCAAAUACUUUAAACAAAAACACUGAAUCAUUUUUCAAAAUAACAAAAUGUAAUUUAUUUGAAGAAAACAUAACUUGUUCUCGCAUUCUACGUUAUUCAAAACUUUAAAGAAAUAACAUUGGAAAACAUUUCAUAAAAAUAAAUCUAAAUCACUUAUUCACCGGAUUUCCAUGGGCUCGUUACAUCAUUCUCCAUCUUCUCCUCCAUUCAUGCCUAAGGUAGAAUUCCUUCAAUCUGUAGAGAUGGGAUUAAACCCGUGAGUUGAAAAACUCAAUAGGUGCCAUAGGUGCAUUCGUAAUCAAGCUAUACAUUUCAAAACAUUAACUUUAUAACUUUUCAUACAUGCCGUACUCGGAGGCACCAUUUAACAUGAAGGGGUAUGCCGUACCCGAGGGCACCAUUUGACAUACGAACAUUUCUUCAACAUAGAGGGGUAUGCCGUACCGGAGUACCAUUUGACAUACAAUCAUUAACAUAGAGGGAUAUGCCGUACCGGAGUACCAUUUAACAUACAAACAUUAACAUGAAUCGAAACUUAUGACUUAACACGAUUAAACACAUUGCACCUCUACCUACCUUGAUUGAUGCUUUUGAAACUUUGAAAACUUGGAUUGAAAACUUCGAUGAAACUUGGAUGUUGAAAGAAAUGCACUCCUUGGAUGUUUGAAAAUCGUUGAGAAUUGAUGCUUGAAGACACUUCUUAAACUUCUAGGAAAAAUAGUUUUCCUCUCUCUCUUUUUCUCUCUUGAAAACUCUUUCUUUUGUUUGUAAAAGCUCUUGCUUUUGGUGUGAGAAAAAAUGAGUGAAAUGAGGUCUCUAUUUAUAGGUAAAUAUUCCAUAACUUAAAGCAAAUGAAGGGUCAAAUUUCAUUUGAGAGAGAAAACAUGGGUGCCAUUUAAAUUUGAGGUUAAAUGCUUCAAUUUAGUGAGGUUUUUAUUGCAAAAAAUGUGGGUGGCCCUUUGAGAAAAUAAUUGAUGAAAAUAAAUAUUUAAAUUCUAGAGAAAAACGAGAAUUUUCAUUUCAGGCAGUUUCGGUCGACCGGUUGUAGUCCGGUUGACACUGCACAGCUUUCAGUGUUUCUAUUAUAACUUUUUCUCCCGAUAUCCGAUUGAGGUAAUUCAAAGUGAGUUGGAAAGCUAACUCAAAGAGCUACAACUUUUAUUCAGAUAUCAUUUUCCAAAUCAAAUGUUUCCUAUGUCGAAAAUAGGUCUCAAAUGAGACUAAAAAUCUAAAGUAUACUUUAGUCAACCAAUAUUUAUGUCUUAGUGCCACUAAGGUGUCUAGAAUUAUUUGGGAUUCUAUACUUUGUGACAUAGAGUGCAAUAAAACCAAAUAGUAGAAUUAUAGAAGAAGGGGGAGUGAAUAGAAAGAAGAGGGCAAAAGUGAAGAAUUGGGGGGAGGGGGUUGGUUAGAAGGAGAGAGAUAGAAAAGGAACAACAAUAGAUAGACGGAAGCAGAAUUUAGGAGAGAGGAAGAAGAGGGAGAAAAGGAAGAGGAAAACAAAUAAGAAGAAUAUUGAGAAAGAAAGGAUUUCUAUCAUUUCUCCCUAAUUGAAAGAACUCGACUCCAAUUCUAAGCAAAGAGGACUAUCUUUCUUUCUGACCAAAUAAUGAAAUUGAUUGCUUGAUGUCAAAUCCUAAAUUAGUUGGCUGAUUUUCUUCUUUUGAGUUGUGGUUGGGGAGAUUUUUGGGUGGUUGAAGAUGGCAAAGGAAGUGUGUGUAAAUUUUGAAUUUCAACAUGAAAUUUGUGUACAACGGAAAUGACUUGCUCUGCUAUCAAAUUGAUGUAUACUGCAAUAAAACCAAAUAGUAGAAUUAUAGAAGAAGGGAAAAUUGAUGUAUACUGCAAUAAAACCAAAUAGUAGGAUUAUAGAAGAAGGGAAAAGGGUAGAGAAUAAGAGAAAUGGGGGAAAAAGAGAAGAAGAGGGGGAAAGAGAAGGAGAUAUGUAGAAAGUGAAGAAGAGACAUUAGAAGCAGAUUUAAGAGAGAGGAAGAAGAGGGGGGAAAGGGAAAAGGAAAAUGAACAAGAAGAAUAUUGAGAAAGAAAGAAGAAAAGAGAGGAGAAAGAGAAGAAGAGGGAGAGAAAAAGAGAAUUUAGGGAGUGAAUAUCAAGUUUAUUUUAUGUCAAAUUUGUAUCUAUUACAAUGCACAAACCUCCUUCAUAUGGGGUUUUGAAAAACCUAUUCUAAAUAGGAAACAAUGAAUCAAAUACUAGAGAAUCUAGUAAAUAAAUAUAUAAUAAAAUCCUCGGAAAUCCAGUAAAUAAACCCUGAUAAUUUUUCCCAAAAUAAGAAUCUAAAUAUGGAAAAUAAUCAUAAUAAUCUAAUAGGAUUUACAUCAUUUUUUCGUGGUCCCGUGGGAAUGUGAGACAAUAUCAUUUAAGAUGUAUGAGUUUUAACUUGUCGCGACUCAUCAAAAUUUUCACUUGCGACCUGGAAAGAAAUCGAUUUGAAAAGUAAUUUUCCCCUUUUUUGAGUAAAGAUCAUGUCUUGGGCUUUAGUAGUGGCUCCACAGGUCUUUUAAUUCUUUUUAUGAUGAUUCACAUUCUUUUCACAUGGUUAAUCCUUUGAUGAUGCUAUUAUACUCUCAAGAUGCUAAUACAAAUUACUAUUGAUUUGAUGUGUAUUACCACCCUGUGUUUGCCUUCUUUUCAUUGUUAACUGUAACCUUGUGCUACAAUUUACUCUACCGUAAUACAGGCAAAACAUGGAAUUAACUGUCUUGAGCUUCCUCUCAUUCAGCACAAGAAGUUGCCUGAUUCUGAUAGACUUCCCUCUGUGUUGAGUGGUAAGUUUCUGACAUGAUUGAUGGUUAUAGGAGAUUGUUUUAGAUUAUCUGGAUGCAUUUGUUCACGUUACGUGCAUUUCAGAGACAGUUUUUUUUUUUUUUUUUUUAAUUUUUUUUAUUUUUAUUGUGAGGGUUUGUUUAGAACGUUUGCUUCAUCAGUUAAUCUGUGAUCCCUAUUGUGUUUUGUGUCAUUAUUGUUUUUAUCUUACAUCUUUAAAGACGAUUCAUAUGGGUGCACAUAAGAUGUUAAUGCACAGGUUGUCAAACUUGAUUCCUCAUUGACCGUAAAUAGUAAAUAUCUUGGCCACAUUUCAGUUAGAUUCGUGAAGAGAGACAGCUCCUCCUUUUGGGCUGUGAGGCACAAGGUACCAAGGUUAUCCAAUCACAGGUUGUAAAUUCACAUGGAUUAAAUUUCUCUAUGCACAUUGUUGUUAUUAUCUUUCUGACUUUGGUGUGAAUGCCAGAUCUUGUGUAUCUAGUCUCCCGCGGAAGUAAAUUGCUAAAUUGAAUGCUUGUUCUUAGUUGCUUUGAAAUGAAUGUUGUGAUCAGACAGAAAAUAAAACUCUCUCAAUCCCCCUUCCCCCUCUUACACAUGUUUCAUGACAGUUACUUCUAUUUAAAUUCACAAAUUCUACAAUGGAUGCACAUUAUGAUUUUUUCUUGCUUAUCUAUUGCUGCAGAUACUGCAUUUGAUUGGAUUGUCAUAACUUCACCUGAAGCCGCUCUAGUUUUUCUUGAUGCUUGGAAGUAAACUUCACAUGGAUGUUGGCACGUCAUUUAUUAUUCUAGAAUGGUCAUUAGUCAGUUAGAGGAAAACUCUAUAAAUAAGAUGGGAGAGGGGAAUUAGAGGGGAUUCAAUGAAUUGUUUAGAAAAAGUGGGGGAGAGAUCAAGGCCUCUCGAAUGCCUUUGAUUAUGUUUAAUUUCAUGACUUUCAUUCCAGUUAAUAUCAAUACAAUUCAUCUAUCUUUACAAUAUACUAUUCCAGUAACUCCAUGGACAUCUUGCAGUCACAUUACAAUUUCAGUGUUUUACCGGACAAAUUACUUCAUAACACUUCCCAGUUGGUCUAGCGGUUUUCUUCCAGUAGCAGUAGCAACAAACAAUAGCAGUAGCAGCAACUAAUCCUCUGCAUUAGCAUCCAGAAUCUGCAGUUUAUCAACCACAUUAGCUAGGAUCUUAUCAUAACCUUAAUUUUUCCCUUUACCUUUUGCUCUCCACGUGUGUCAACAUGAAGGAAGUUCCCUUUGGGUCAGGAUUGUUAUGAUGGAAAAUGCUGCUUAAACAAAUCAAAUGUCAAACUUAGAAGCUGUGGCAUCCUGAGGAUGUUCCUGAGAACAAUAUUUAGCUUGACUAUCUUAAUAUUUUAUAAUUCUUAUGUUGACUUGCUUGAAAAGGUUAAGAAUGUGACUUUUUGAAACAUAAACUGGAAAAAAUUCAUAUCUGAUUCUUUCAUGGGCAUAAACUGAUGACUAUCGGAUCUAUAGGCAGCAAUGAUUAGAAAAACCAAAAAUAAAAAAAGGAAGCCAAAGAUUAUUACAAGCUAUGAAUUUAUGAAAGUUGGUUUAUUGAAUUGGAAUAACUCCAAAAUACAUGGUGAAACACUAUGUAGAGCACCGGGAUAUCACAAUGAGUAUACUCAGAGUGGGUUGGUAAAGAAGUGUUUUAGCGCAGGUUUGAUGCAGUGGCGGACCCAUGACUGGGCCCUUCAUUUUUUACAUUUACAAAGUAGGCCCUUCUGUUGAGAAUCACACCAAAUCAAAUCAGUUUCCUGAUUUUUAGGGAAACUUGGCUGUAUAUUUCGUAAUUAUAGGGAUCCUAUUCAUUUUCAAAAAAUCAGUAUUGUAUAGCUGUAUAUUUCAGUUACAUAGUUGUAGCUUUAUUUUCUAUUUUAUUGACUGUAUUGUAUCUAAAAAAGGGUGACUAUGACUACUUUCCCAUUCAUUCGAUACAAUAUUCUUUUUCUACCCAAUCUAUAUGGUAUCAAAGCCGACAUAAUUGGCCUCUAUUUUUUUUUUUUUGGGUUCUUCCUACCCAUUACCACGUCAGAAAUCUCUAAAUCAACCCCUACCACUGGUGCCAAUAUCAACUCCUCUAAACCUCCAACUGAACCUCUCUCUCAUUCCGUCCAAAUCACCACGAUUCGACUCAAUGGGAACAAUUUUCUCAGGUGGAUCCAAUCCGUUCGAAUAUAUAUUAGAGUGAAGGGGGAAAUCAGUUACUUAAUUGAUGACAUUGUAGAGCCAGAAAAACUGAUGUUGGCCAUGCUGUUUAGGAUGCUGAAAACUCCAUGAUAAUGGCCUGGUUAGUGAAUUCUAUGGAGGAGGAAAUAAGUGCAAACCACAUGUAUUGUCCUAUUGCUAAAGCCCUGUGGGAUAAUGUCACCUUGAUGUAUUCAGUCCUUGGAAAUCAAUCCCAAACAUAUGAGUUACAACUCAAAUUGGGGGAAGUCCGUCAAGGUGAGAAUUUCGUCACUAAAUAUUUUAAUAUUCUCAAAGUUUCCUUGAUUUAUUCAAUGAUGACCAUGAGUGGAAGAACAUGGAUGGUUGCAAUUACUUUAAGAAAAAGGAGAUCUCACGAAUUUUCAAAUUUCUGGCUGGACUCAAUGUUAAUUUUGAUGAAGUAGGAGGCAGGAUUUGAGGUUGUAAACCUCUUCCUUCCCUCGGUGAAGUUUUUUUCUAAAGUUCGACGUGAAGAAAGCAGGAGAAAUGUCCUGCUUGGCAAGAAAAUCAUUGCUGGACUGGUGGAAAAUUCGACAUUAAUGGGGAUUGCUGUUGCUGCCAUCGUGCCCCUAGGGGUGAACCCACUAAGUACGAGGGCGGUCAGCCGCCCCCAUUGAUUUUUCAAAAACCUUCAAUUCGACCUUAUUAAAUUUAAAUUCUCAGAUUUUUUUUUUUUUGGUUUUUUCACAAUUUAUUUUAGCCAAUUUUCCAUCUCUUCCCCACUGAAAAAUAAUUUUAGAUCCACCCCUGUGUGUCCCUAAUACUUAGCGUCGUCAAGAUGACGAAUCGAAGGUUUGGUGUGAUUUUUGCAAUAAAUCACGACAUACUUACGAAACUUGCUAGAAACUGCAUGGAAAACUUGCUAAUUGGAAACCUGUAGAGUGGAAGAAUAAUAAAACUAAUUCGAAUCAUGCCCUAACCAAAGCACAUACUGUGAGACCACCUCUCUCAGUGAAGAACAAAUAGAACAACUCCUAAAGCUACUGAAAUCUGCUCCACCGACUCCCGGUACUCCUGUAGCAUCCUUGGUUCAAACAAGUAGAACUUUGUGUGCCUACUCUUCAUUAUCUACAUCUUGGAUCAUGAUUCAGGUGCCUCUCAUCACAUAACUAAUCUAUCCCAUUUGUUUAUAUCUUAUGAACUCUUUUCUGGAAAUAAAAAAGUACGUACUGCAGAUGGAAAUUUAUCUUCCAUUGCUGGCCAUGUUUCAUUCGUUUAUGAGAAAAAAAUAUUCUGAAAUCUGUUUUACAUGUCUCAAAACUCUCUUGUAACCUUUUGUCAGUAUGUCAUUUAUCUAAAGAUUCUAACUGUCGUGUUAUCUUUGGUGUCUCUUGUUGUGAAUUUAAGGAUUUAAAUGUGGGGAUGAUGAUUUGCAGUACUAGAAUGAUAGAUCUCUACUAUUUUAAUGACAACUGUGUUAGGAAUAAACAAGCUCAGGGUUUUAUUGGUGGUAUCCAAUUAAAUCUUGUUUAUGAUCAAAUAAUACUAUGGCAUAAUAGACUAGGACAUCCUAUUUUUUCCUAUUUAAAGUACUUAUUUCUAGAUUUAUUUAAAGGAGUGGAUUGUAACUCUUUGGUUUGUGAAACUUGUUUCCUGGCUAAAAGCCAUCGAAACUUUUAUAAAAUUAAACUUUUUUGUGCUUCAAAACAUUUUUAUCUAAUACAUAGUGAUGUUUGGGAUCCUUCUAAGAUUACCACUUCAACCUGAAAAAAAUGGUUUGUGACAUUCAUUGAUGUUCAUACACGCCUAUGCUGGCUUUAUUUAAUGAAUUCAAAAAAUGAAGUUGCAAAAUUUUUUAAAGAUUUUUUACUCUUUGGUCGAAAACCAAUUUCAAACUAAAAUAAGUGUUCUUCGAAGUGACAAUGGAAUAUAAUUUUUUAAUGAAUGUUUAGGAAAUUUUUGUACAAGAAAAAGGCAUUGUUCAUCAAUCUAUUUGUAGGGAUACUCAACAAAAUGGAAUUGCAGAACGUAAAAAUAGAUACUUAUUUGAAGUUGCUAGCGCUCUUAUGUUUCAUAAGAAUGUUUCUAAAUAUCUUUGGGGAAAUUCAAUCUUAACAAGUUGUUAUCUGAAUAAUAGAAUGCCCACUAGGGUUUUGAACUAUAAAACUCCUUUACGAACUCUUAAAAAAUCUUUUCCAAACACACGUCUCAUCAAUAAUCUCCCUUCAAAACUUUUUGGUUGUACGAUGUUCAUUCAUGUUCCAUCCCAUCUUCGAUCCAAAUUUGUCUACGAGCUGAAAAAUGUAUUUUUUAGGCUACUCUCCUAAUAAAAAAGGCUAUAAGUGUUUUAAUCCCGACACUAAAAAAUUUCAUAUUAGUAUGGAUGUUCAAUUUCUUGAAACAACUCCAUUUUAUACUAAAACCUUUCUUCAGGGGAAGAAUCUAAAUGAUGAUUAGUUUUGGCAACAAGAAGAACCAAAACUAGUUUCUUUUUUCCCUCAAAUAAAUUAGGAAAUGAAUACUUUACCUAGAGAAAAUAAGAAAAAUACUGAGCUAUAUAUGCCAAGUAAAAAUGUAUCACAAAAAGGGGAAAAACUUUACCACCUAUGCCCACUGAGCUACGUCUUUACACUAUAUGUAGGUUCAAUCCCAAUAUUUAGAAUCUUCCAAUCAAUUCUGAGCAUGGUCAAUCAUCAUCUCCUAGGUCUUCAAUUCCAGGUAAUCUUCCUAAAAAUCCUACUCCUUUACCUUUCUUUGAUCAUGACAUUCCUAUUACCAUUCAUAAAGGAAUUAGGAAUUGUACCAAACAUCCUAUUGCCAAAUAUCUGUCCUACCACAGACUUUCAGAAAAAUACAAAGCCUUCACAACAAAUGUUUCCCAUCUAUUUGUACCUAGAACUAUACAGAAAGCACUACAACACUCGGAGUGGAAGUGAGCAGUGUAUGAGGAGAUAAAAGCACUUCAAAAAAAUAGAACCUGGGAAAUUGUUGAUCUACCUAGGAAAAAGAAGAUAGUAGGGUGCAAGUGGAUUUUUACAAUCAAAUGUAAGUAUGAUGGGAGCAUUGAGAGAUACAAGGCAAGGCUGUUGCUAAAGGUUUUACACAAACUUAUCGAAUUGACUAUCAAGAAACCUUUGCACCUGUUGCAAAAAUCAAUUCCAUUCGAGUGUUACUUUCUCUUGCAGUACAUCUUAACUGGCCUUAGCAACAGUUAGAUGUAAAGAACACUUUCUUAAAUGGAGAGUUGGAGGAAGAAGUGUUUAUGGACUUACCACUAGGUUUCGAAGAAAACUUUGGAGAAAAGAAAGUUUGGCUAUUAAAAAAGUCAUUGUAUGGUCUUAAGCAAUAUCCUAGGGCCUGAUUUGACAGGUUCGGAAAAGUCAUCAAGCUUCAAAAGUAUUUGUAAAGCUAAGCCGAUCAUACAAUGUUCUAAAAACACUCAAGAGAAGGUAGAAUGGCAAUAUUAAUAGUUUACGUGGAUGACAUAAUUUUGAUUGGAGAUGAUAUUGUUGAGAUUGAUAGAUUGAAGAAAGCCCUAGCUCGUGAUUUCAAAAUCAAAGACUUUGGUCCUCUUAAAUACUUCCUUGGAAUGGAGUUUGCUAUAUCCAAGAAAGGUAUUUUUAUCUCUCAAAGAACGUACUUGAUCUACUAGAAGAAACAGGUUUACUCGGUUGCAAAGCAACAGAAACCCCUAUAGAACCAAAUCUGAAGCUUUAGCGUGCAAGUCUAGAAGAAAUGAUUGACAAAGAGAGAACCAACGCUUAGUUAGGAGACUAAUUUCUCUCUCCCAUAAACGUCCUCAUAUUGCAUUUGCAGUGAGCAUGCUAAGUUAAUUCAUGCACUCACCUAAUCAAGGACAUUUUGAUGUUGUGUACAGAAUUUUAAGGUACUUAAAGGGGACCAUGAAAAGGAAUUCUAUAUGAAAAUAGGGGACAUCUCCAAGUUGAAGUGUUUACAGACGCAGAUUGGACAGGAAUGUAAUAGACAGAUGAUCAACUUCGGGAUAUUGUACCUUUGUUGGGGGAAAUCUUGUAACUUGGCGUAGUAAAAAAUAAAAUGUGGUGGCUAGAAGUAGUAUUGAGGUGGGGGUGUAGGGCAGUGGCACAUGGUAUCUUUGAGGUUCUGUGGAUCAAACAUUUACUUGAAGAACUUAAAACUACCCGUUCCUUACCUAUAAAGGUAUUUUGUGAUAACAAAGAUGCUAUUGCAAUCGCACACAAUUCAGUGCUCCAUGAUUGAACUAAACAUGUUGAAGUUGACAAAAACUUUAUAAAGGAGAAAUUGGAGAAUGGUCUGAUUAUUAUACCCUACAUUCCCAGGUCUGAACAGGCAGCAGACAUUCUUACUAAAGGUCUACCAAAGAAGUAGUUUGAUACGUUGGUGAGCAAGCUAGCCAUGAACCACAUCUUCCAACCAGCUUGAGGGGGAGUGUUGAGAAUCACACCAGAUUAGGGCAAAUCAGUUUCCUGAUUUUUAGGGAAACUUGGCUGCAUAUUUCAUAUUUAUAGGGAUCCUAUUUAUUUCCUAAAAAUCAUUAUUGUAUAACUGUAUAUUUCAAUUCCAUAUUUGUAGCUUUAUUUUCUAUUUUAUUGACUGUAUUGUAUCAAUAAAAGGGUAAGUAUGACUACUUUUCCAUUAAUUCAAUACAAUAUUCUUUUUCUACCCAAUCUAUAUCUUCAUUUUUUUACAUUUACGAAGUAGUUCACAUAAUUUUAAGCCAUAAUUUUUACAUAAUUCUGUCUCGCCCCCACUAAAUUAUGUUCUUGGAUCCGUCCCUGCUUUGAUGGCCAUUAUUUGGGAAAAACAAUGUUUUGAAAAGUGUUUUUUAGGAGAAUGUGAGAUUAAAAAAUAAGAAAAUGUUUUGGAUUUACUUGCAGAAUAUUUUAUUGUGUUUAUGUUUGGUUGGAAAUGAGUUUGUAGAAAAAAGAGUUUUCAAAUAUUGGUUAUCGAACCCGGGCAUAAUGGUCCAUGAGAUUUGGAUGAACACAUUAAAGGUCAUAAGCAAAUGUUCUUGCUGCUGCUGCUUUUCCACUCCCCAUUCACCUGAAAAAUUCUUAAUAGAAUUUUAUUUAUUUCUCUUAUUUUUCCAUCCUAAUACUGCUUUUAGCUGUUAAAUAGACGUAUAAUGAUUAAAUCAAUACAGUAUGCUAAUCUUAAUCGCCAACUGUUCUAUAAUUCAAUUAUUAUGUUUCAAUAUGGAGUAAUUAAAAUUUAACAUCCACCGUUAAGAGAAGCCAAUUUUGCAAUUUAGUUAGACUGCCCAUUUUAACAAAUUAUCAAUCUUCGAAUUAAGCAAAGAUCUUAAAAUUUAUACAAUGCCUGUUGGAUCCUUUAGAUGAUGAAACAUGUAGGUUUUGCUUUGCAUUACUUUUGUACUCAUGCGAGCUGGUCUACUCAAGUAUGACUCAGCUUCACGAGAAUUCUUUUAUUAGAUCCUACUAUUUCAAACUUAUAAUUUUAUCUGUAAGGAAAUAUGAAACUGAUUUAACCUGCUAAUUGAAAUUGUCUGUUUCAGAAGAAGGCCUUGCCAAGCGUGGAUUCCAGGUUACUAGGCUCAAUACAUACACAACGGUAUGAUACUCUUGUAAUUUUGUAAAUGUUCUAAUAUCUCAACAAUUUCAUGUAAUUUAUAACUUUAAAUUUUAAUUUGCCUCCACAUAAUGCAACAGAAAAUUUAACAUUACAGUUACAGUCAUCAAUUGCAAGUGUUUAGAUGUCACUAAAUAUUGAUCAACAACAAAUACUCAUCUUGUUUCUGUUAAUUUGGUGGCCUCUGAUAAUUUCCUGUAGGAACCUGUUAGUCGUGUGGACCAAAAGUUCUUGAAUGGGCGGUUUCUGCUCCUGUUGUUUCUGUAGCAUCACCUUCUGCAGUUCGGUGUACUUUUCUGUUAUAGCAGUUCUGUUGAAAAUUAGUCUAUACUGUUGAGCCUGGACUAAUCUUCUGAAUAAAAAGUUUCUGAGUUGAAUUCAAACCUAAGCACAACUCACAUGGGUAUUUGUGUUCACAUAUUAAAUGGAUUGGGUGUACAGUGCUCUUUCUACAUGGUUUUAUGAAAGACAGGCUAUCAGAAAAUGUGAAAUAUGUUAACGGUCUAUUUGUGUUACAGGUGUUUUCGUGAAUAUUUUUAAGACUCAUUUUGAGUGUUUUUUUAUUGUGAAUCUUAGUUGAGGGGCUUAUGUUGUACCAAGUCCAACACUCUUCCCAAAAAUAUUUACCAUUUAAUCUUACCAAUUCACUUGCAGGAUCCUGUUCGUAUUACUGAAUAUGUUAAUUACAGUUUACUACUUGUGGACUUAUUGCCAUUGAAUGUGUUGGGAAAACACCUUCCAAAGAUAGCCCAAAGAUCAAACAAAGUUGACAAUGUGAAAAUUUCCAACCACUUCAAGAACAAGAAAAUGAGGAAGAAAUGAUUUUAAUGGAAUACAUGAAGAUCAAUGUAUUUGGAUUACUUGAACAAGCCUCAAGUUAAUCCCCAAAAAAGAAAAUAACUUUGAAUUUAUACCCAAGAUGAAUAACCUUCUAUCUUGUAAAAUUCUCUCCAAGUUUUCUCUCUUCUUUCUCUCUAAUUUUCGGGUGCAAGGGUUGUCUUAAUGAAAGGGGGGAAAAUGGCAAUAUAUAUAUCCUAUCGGGACGCCUAGGCGCCAGGUUCCUGGCUGUCUUCAUAUUCGGGGCACCUAGGCGCCAUGUGAGUGGCGCCUGGGCGCCCGGCAGAACCAGCAGAACCAACCCCCUUCCUCUCUUCCUUUCUCACAAUUCUCCAUCUCGUACAUCAUUUGAUAGACCUCAAAUUUUGGACGAACACAAGAAGAAGAAGCAAGCACCGACUCGGCUGCACCAUUCAAAUCAUGAUUGCCUACGUACCCAAAACUCGAGAUCAAGCCUCCGUAGUUCACCUCCACCUUCAUAAACACUCCACCUCAUUUCAACCCCGCCCCGAAGGGCCAUGCCCUCUCGGGCAUAUCAACACGGACUAAUGUGAAGCAAGUCCAAGCAAUGUUGAAACUUGCUACCCGUCACAACUUUGGUUAACAUGUCAGCUGGGUUCUCAUUUGUGUGUACCUUCGAGAGUGAAAUAUCACCUUCCUCUAUGACAUCACGCACAAAAUGAUACCUGACGUCGAUAUGCUUGGUUCGAGCAUGAUGAACCUGAUUCUUAGCCAAGUGAAUCGCACUCUGGCUAUCACACCACAAGUCCACACAAUCCUGCCCAAUCCCCAAAUCAUCUAGAAGACCCCAUAACCACAAUGCUUCCUUCACUCCCUCUACCAUGGCCAUAUACUCGGCCUCUGUAGUAGAAAGAGCAACUGUAGCCUGUAACAUCGAUCGCCAACUAACUGGGGCACCAUGUAUGCAGAACACAUAUCCAGUAGUAGAUCGUCGUCUAUCUAGAUCACCUGCAUAAUCCGAGUCCACAAACCCACUUAUAUGACAUGCAUCUCCACCAAAACAUAAACCCGUAUCCGCGAUACCUUUUAAGUACCUCAGGAUCCACUUCACAGCUUCCCAGUGUGCCUUCCCCGGAUUCGCCAUGAAUCUACUGACCACACUCACCGCCUGUGAAAUACCUGGGCGUGUACACACCAUGGCAUACAUCAAACUGCCAACAGCACUAGCAUAAGGUACACGAUUCAUGCGUACCUUUUCUUCCGCUGUAGUAGGAGACUGUUUACCAGAGAGCCUAAAAUGUGGAGCCAAUGGAGUCACCACCGACUUUGCACCUUGCAACCCGAACCUAGCAAUAACCCGCUCAAUGUAGCCUUUCUGACUCAAGAACAUUCGCCGGUUCGUCCUCUCUCUUCUAAUCUCCAUACCUAGUAUUUUCCCAGCAAUCCCCAUAUCCUUCAUCUCAAACUCUUUACCAAGUUGAGAUUUCAACUUAUCUAUCUCCACCUUACUUUUCGAAGCGAUAAGCAUGUCAUCCACAUAUAGAAGAAGAUAGAUAUAGUUACCUCCCCGAAGUUUUCGAAUAUAAACACAACAGUCAUACUCACUUCUGGAGAAACCAUGCUUUAGCAUGAAGGAGUCAAAUCGCUUGUACCACUGCCGAAGAGAUUGCUUCAAUCCAUAUAGUGAUUUUCUCAAGCGACAUACCUGACGUUCCUUAUCCUCAACCUUGUAGCCCUCAGGUUGAUGCAUAUAGAUCUCCUCAUCCAAGUCCCCGUGCAAGAAGGGGGUUUUGACAUCGAAUUGUUCCAACUCAAGAUCAUGAUGAGCAACAAUACUCAAUAGCACCCGAAUGGAAGUGUGCUUGACCACAGGAGAAAAGAUCUCAUUGUAGUCAACUCCCUCUCUUUGUGCAAACCCCUUAGCCACUAACCUCGCUUUGAAUCUUGUACCACCGAGUUUGGUAGGAUCCUCCUUCUUUUUAUAUAACCACUUGCAACCAAUAGCUUUCUUACCUAUGGGCAAUGGGACAACCUCCCAUGUUUGGUUCUUGUGGAGUGAUUCCAUCUCUUCUUCCAUUGCCGCCGACCAACUCUCGCUAUUGUUGUUUAAAAUAGCUUCCUUGAAAGUGGUAGGCUCAUCAUCCUCCACCGAGAGUGCAUACUCAACCAAAUUUGUCUGCCCAUAGUGCCUCAAAGGUUCAUCUGACUCCAACUUUAGAACUUGCUUGUAAGUACGGCAUGGCCUAGAGGAAGCCAAAUUAUCUGCAAGCUACUGUUGUUGCUGUGCCUGUACAUUCUCUUGCUGAACCGCCUCUUGUUCAAGUGCAUCAUCACUCUCAUCUUGAGUGUCUAUUUGAUGCUCCUCUUGAACAUGCCUAGAAUCAGGUUGAUCUCUAGGUUCUAUGUCAACAACUUGAGACAUUGUAGUCUCAACACCAUCACCACCGGGCACUGUAGCUUUCAACGACGCUACCAUGGAGUUCUCAUCAAAAGUAACAUCUUUGCUGAUUAUGAACUUAGAAUCCUCUACACACCAAAGGCGAUAGCCUUUAACACCUGCCGCAUACCCCAAGAAUAUAGCCUUCUUGGCCCUCGCAUCAAGCUUUCCCUCGUUGACAUGAUAGUAGGUUGUGCAUCCGAAUGUUCUGAGUUUCUCAUAAUCUGCAUGUUCUCCUGUCAAUACCCUAUAAGGUACAUCUCCAUCAAACCUUGAAUGUGGAGACCGGUUCACUAUGUAGCAAGCAUUUACAACCGACUCUGCCCACCAUUCUCUACCCAAACCAGCAUAGGAUCGCAUACACAUCGAUUUCUCUCGAAAUGUGCAAUUCAGUCUUUCCGUGACCCCAUUCUAUUGCGGUGUAUUUCUUACUGUCCAAUGUCUCACAAUGCCUUCCUUACCACAGAACUCCUUGAAAGCACCAUCUGUAUACUCAAUACUGUUAUCAGAUCUCAGUGUCUUCAAUUUCUUUCCAGUUCUAUUUUCAACCAUUACUUUCCACUUCUUGAAAGUGUCGAAUACCUCAUUCUUAUGCUUCAAAAAAUAAAUCCAAGCAUAGCUAGAAUAAUCAUCAACAAAUGUAACAAAAUACUUGGAACCGCCUUUGGAAGUGACAGAAGCCGAACCCCAUACAUCCGUGUGCACAUAGUCAAGAAUGCCUCUACUUCUAUGUUUGCUUGGCUGGAACUGAACUCGAUGUGAUUUACCGUACACGCAAUGCUCGCAAAAAUCCAUGCAAGACUUCUUCAAGUUCUUUAGCAAACCUUUCUUGACUAGCAAAUCUAGCCCCUUUUCAGACAUAUGCCCAAGCCUCCUAUGUCAUAGCCAAGUGCACUCACAUGGGUCUCCACCACUUCCACUUGUUCCAACUGCUACAUCUUCAGUAACUGUAGUACCCUGAAGAGCAUAGAGAUUACCUUCACGGAUACCCUUCAUCACAAUCAAAGAACCACGAACAACCUUCUUUACUCCAUUCCAUGUUACAAUCUUGCAACCACCGGAGUCUAAGGCACCAACAGAGAUAAGGUUCUUUCGCAAAUCAGGAACAUGUCUAACAUCCAUCAAUAUUCUAACCACUUCAUCAUGCAUCUUGAUUCUAAUUGAACCAAGCCCCACCGUUUUACAUGAAUGCUUAUUACCCAUCAACACGGUUCCACCAUCAGUGCUUCUAUAGGUAGUAAACUACUUCCUAUUUGGACACAUAUGGUAAGAGCAUCCAGAGUCAAGAAUUCACUUACCGGAGGUCUCUUCAUCACAAGAGAUGGUGUAGCACUCAUCGCUUUCCCCUCCUUUCGAGACAUAGCUUACCUUUUGCUUGACUUGCACCUUCCCACUGUUGUUGUUCUUAUUGUUCUUCUUCCAACCCUUUUUGUUUGGACAAUUCACCUUGAAAUGUCUAAGCUCGCCACAUUUGAAACAAGACCUUUCCGCAACAGGUCUAGAACUCGAUCUAGAUUUUUCUCCCUUGCCCUUUGGUCACACAUUGCUUCUACCCCUUACAAACAAUCCUUGAGCUUGCUCCUUGUUACCAAUGGUAGACAUGUCACUAGUUGCAAUCUUUCGAAGAUCAUCCGCUAGAAGUGACGUUCUAGUGUCCUCCAUCACAAGUUUAUCACCCACAAGCAUCAAUGUUUGUACUAGGUUCUCGUAAGACUUUGGCAAUAAAAGAAGUAGUAGAAGUGAUUGAUCCUCAUCAUCUACAUCCACAUCAAUGUCUUUCAAGUCCGAUAUGAUCUUAUCAAACUUGUUGAUGUACUCCCGGAUUGGUGUACCUUCAUCCAUCUUGCAAGUAUACAAUUUGGACUUCAAAUAGAUCCGAUUUGUUAAAGUCUUCGUCAUGAAGUUCGCCUCCAACUUUGUCCACACCUCCGCCGCCGUUACCUCACUAUCAACCAAGAAAGCAACAUCUCUUUCAAGGCAAAGAAUGAUAGACGCUCGUGCCUCAAGAUCUAGCUCUUCCCAAUCCUCGUCCGACAUAUCAACGUGCUUCUUCUCCUUUCCCGCCAAUGCCUUGUGCAACUUUUGAGAAAUCAACAAAUUUUUCAUUUGCAUUCUCCAAUAUGAAAAAUCAUUCUUCCCAUUGAAUUUCUCUAUCUCAUCCUUCCCAAUCUUCACCAUUCCUCUAGUAGACAUGAUUUAUCCACUUGUUUACCGAAAAUAAACCACAAAAGUUCACUUGGGAAUUUUCACAAACACCUUGUGCACAACAAAGUUCAAGCAACUCACCACAAAAUCGAAACUUAACCACCUUGAUUUAGGAUGUAGCUCUGAUACCAAAUUGUUGGGAAAACACCUUCCAAAGAUAGUCCAAAGAUCAAACAAAGUUGAUAAUGUGAAAAUUUCCAAACAACUUCAAGAACAAGAAAAUGAGGAAGAAAUGAUUUCAAUGGAAUAUAUGAAGAUCAAUGUAUUUGGAUUACUUGAACAAGCCUCAAGUUAAACCCCAAGAAAGAAAAUAACUUUAAAUUUAUACCCAAGAUGAAUAACCUUCUAUCUUGUAAAAUUCUCUCCAAGUUUUCUCUCUUCUUUCUCUCUAAUUUUCGGGUGCAAGGGUUGUCUUAAUGAAAGGGGGGGGGGGGGGGGGGGGGGAAAAANNNNNNNNNNNNNNNNNNNNUAAUGGCAAUACAUAUAUCCUAUCUGGGCGCCUAGGCGCCAGGUUCCUGGCUGUGUUCAUAUUCGGGGCGCCUAGGCGCCAUGUGAGUGGCGCCCAGGUGCCAUGUUUCUGCCGGGGAGGCAGAAACUGGGCGCCUGGGCGCCCGGCAGAACCAGCAGAACCAGCCCCCUUCCUCUCUUCCUUUCUCACAGAAUGCUUUUCUCGAAGCAUUUUCCUUUCUGCAGAUUUCUAUGAAUUUUGUUUACCUUCUCUUGUCUUUUUAUCCCUUAUUAUUUUAACGAAUGAUUGCAUAUCUUCCUUUACAGUGCUUGGAUAAAUCUAAUCCCAAAAUCACAACAGUGGAGCAAUUCUGUUGCAUGUAUUGGUGAGACAACUGCCUUAGCAGCUAAAAAUCUGGGUUUGAGGAAUGUGUAUUUCCCAACCAAUCCUGGCCUUGAAGGGUAAUCAAAUAUCCAUUUGGAACUUUUGGGAAAUCAUGCAUAUACUUGUUUCUGAUGCAAUUGUCUCUGUCUCUAUGCUCUAUGAGUGGUAAAAAGCACUAGCAGUUUUCCGUUCUCUUUACUUUCUGAGAUGUGCGUGAUAUAGUUGAAGAGUUCACUAUUUAGGUGAUAAUUUAGAAGAAAUACGAGGAUGUGACAUAAAUUUACGAUGCAGGGAGAUAUAUUUUAUUUGUAUAUGCCAUGUCUCAGUGCAUAAUUUUGUAUAGUAAUGGCAUGUUUAGAAAAGUGGAUUGCACAAUAGUAUUAAAGGAGAAAAAGAAGUUUAAAUAUUUUUAAUUGUAGUGUUCAUUGUUCAAUCCUGUUCAUUAGUGCAUAUCAAACAUGUUUUAAGUAUCACUGGGUUUAUCCUUCUGUUGCAGGUGGGUUAAUAGCAUUUUAGAAGCCUUGCAAGUCCAGGAACAAGUUCAGAAAGUCUAGGAGUCGUAUGUUGAUGCCCUUCUAAUUUCACCUGGUAAUUUCUAUAUACUGCUUACACUAAGUUGUUUCCCAGUGAAUAAAGAUGCUAUUGAAGAUUAAAUAUAAAUCAGUAAACGUCUCCUCUCUAACAACUUUAGCUUCUAAACGGCAUGGUUCAACACAGUAUCAAAGCACACGUGGAUCAUGAGUUCAAAUAUUGGGGGAUUAUUGGAGAACACUUCUUCCUAUUUCUUUCUCUUGAUAUCCGAUGAUCAUGGUGAUGCCCGUGAAUUCUUAUUUUUACGUAGCAAGUACUUAUUAAUUUGUCUCCUGGACUGGAUCUAUUAUGUCAGAUUUUCACGUACCCGUUGAUAUGCUAUUCCCAAGGACUAUAUCCUGGUAGUUUGUCGGUUAAAUUAAUAAGUGGGGNNNNNNNNNNNNNNNNNNNNNNNNNNNNNNNNNNNNNNNNNNNNNNNNNNNNNNNNNNNNNNNNNNNNNNNNNNNNNNNNNNNNNNNNNNNNNNNNNNNNNNNNNNNNNNNNNNNNNNNNNNNNNNNNNNNNNNNNNNNNNNNNNNNNNNNNNNNNNNNNNNNNNNNNNNNNNNNNNNNNNNNNNNNNNNNNNNNNNNNNNNNNNNNNNNNNNNNNNNNNNNNNNNNNNNNNNNNNNNNNNNNNNNNNNNNNNNNNNNNNNNNNNNNNNNNNNNNNNNNNNNNNNNNNNNNNNNNNNNNNCGAAGCACAUAGACGUUACUCAUUUUAGCGAAUAUACCUCAUCAGGAAAAUGAAACCUUUAGAUACGAGUAUAUAUCUAACAUUUGAAAUCGGCUUCUAGUAGAAGUGUGUUUCUAACAUUAUCUAUCAUCGUCUAUGAUUUUUAUCAGUGUAGGUGGCAGUGAAUGUCGUGAUUUACUGUUCAAUUAUUAAUGCAUCAAAUUACAUCAUAAUUUUAUUGAACAAUGAAUCAGAAGACCUUGUUGUCAAUUACAUCGCUGAUAAUCACCACUCCAUUGACACUCCAUAAAAAACAUGAAAAUGAUUCCAAAGCUGUGGUAUGACCAUGCAAAACCAAUGCUACAUGUUUAAAACUUUUAUCCAAUGAAUAUCCAUUCUUUUUUGUUCUUUAGGGAGAAAUUGAAAUAUUCGUCAGCAAGUCUGUCUCCAACUUUUUAAAUUGAGCAUUUGUUUGAUGCCAUUGAAAAGAGUUUUUUAAUUUUUUCCCCCUUUUGGGAAAAAUGAGUUUUGAAACAGUAAUCUUUUUAAUAGAAAUUUUGAGUUUAAAAAGUAAGAAAAUUUGUUGGAUUACGUGUAAACUAUUUUAUUGUGAGAAUAUUUGGUCGAAAAUGAGUUUUAGGAAAAAGGAGUUUUUGAAGAAUGGUGGACAAACGGGGAUUGAAUGAGUUAUGUCUUAUCCUUUGAUUGAGUUAAUAAUUAUACAGUUGCCUUUGAAAAUCGUUCAAAUCUCUAUUAAAGAUGUCCUGCUUCAAAUUUAUAUGCACUAACUUCAGUUGAAAAACAAAAUUAGUAUCAUAAAGUCGCACUGUGUAAAGGCCAUGACAGAAUGCUUCAUUAGACUGUUCAAGUAAUAAUAAGGCCCAAUGUAGCAAUGUUAUAGGUUUGAAAAAGUAGAAGAGAUUGGUAUUAACUAUAUUUCAAGUCUUGGGAGGCAUAUUACUUUUGAUCGUGGGUGGUCAUUGGCAUUUUCUUGGUUUCACGGUAAAGAUUGUCGAAGACGAUCUAGAAAAUCCAACAAAAUUGUUUACUAUAUGGAGCUUCGAUGGGAAGAUGGUGUACGAAAACAUCAUUGAAUCGACUGAGGGCUUCCGCUUUAGCCACUUUGUUGGGUGGGAGGAUGUGGCAGUGUUUUAGAGCUAAAUUGAAUGACCAGACUGUCGCUAUAAAGAAAUUACAUACACCAUGUAACGUCCCAAAAUUUCAUAUAAUAGAAUUAUUUGGGGAUAACGAUUUUGAUCUAGAUGCCUUUGGUGGACUCAUUCUGUAGUUCGUAUUUAAUGGCAUGUCAUGGACUCGAGAAAAGUUAAUUCAAAUAAGUUAGGUCCAAGUUAUUGAAGUUCCGAGAAAUUGUCUUUAAUUGGUAAUUAAUGAAGUUGGUUUAUGAUUUAAUUUCUAUGACAGCAUCACGUGUAGGACAAAUUUUAAUCCUAUUUUGAUAAUUGUUAAUUGUAAUCCUAUUUUGAUUUUGAUAAAUGUUAAAAAGGUUAAUUGUAAUUGUUACGAUCCAAAUUUUUCUAGUCAAAAAUAAAAUGUUGAAUUGUCAAAGUCAAAGUCAAAAGGGAUUAAAAUGAAAUAAAUUAUUUUAAUUGGGACUCAAUUUAUUAUGAAAAUUAUUUUGAAGGUCUAAGUUGGACAAUAUAAAAUUUUAGAGAUCUACUUAUAUAUUGCUAGAAGUUUAGAAUUUAAUGUUCUAUUAUAGAAAUGUUGGAGGACCUCCUUUGCAAUUUUGAGUUUGUAGCUACUUGAUAUAUUACAAUAAACCCAUUUCAAUUAUAAUUCAACACACACACACAAAUAAUAGGCAAAAACGGGAGAGCGCUGAGAGAGAAACCGAGAAGAAAGAGGAAGAAAAAGAGAAAGAAAGUGAGAAAAAGAAGAAAAGAAAGAAAGAAAGGAGAAGAAGAAGGGAAAGAGGUAGUUCAAGGUCUAUCUUCAUUUUUCCUUCUCUUUAUUUUCUUCAAGAGGUAGAUAAAUUUUAUGUUAAGUUGCUAGGGUUUAAUUUGUGGCUAAAAUUUCAUAUUUAUGCAAGAUGAGUACAAAUUGGAGUUCAAGUUUGUUGAUUAUUUAAUUUUCAAUUUCAUUAAGGUAAAAAUACCAAUUUUGGCAAAUCCUAGAUUUUUAUUUGGGAUUCUUAAUUAUGAAAUGUUAGUGGGAAUAAUUAUAUUGAUGGAAAACUCUCAUCAAACCAUGAAUUUGAGAAACAAGAUAAAAAUAAAAAUAGGUGGAAUCAUUGUUACUAGUUUUCUUUAGAUUGGAAGGUAUAAUUAUUUUUAUGGGUGGGAUGAAGGUAAAUUUGGAUGUAGUAUAUAUUUGUGAAGGUAUUAGAAAGUAGAAUUAGCGCUUAUUGAUUAACGGAAAAUUUGGAAAAAUCAUUCAAAGUAUCGAGAAGUCAAGUUUUAGUAUUCAACUAUUAAUAUUAAGAUAUACUUAGUAUGAGAUUUGUUAAAUUAGUUAUUUUACAUCGUAUUUCAGGUAGUGACGUGAAAGCUGGGCAAGACUGGUAAAUUUAACAAGAUUGCAAUACAUGGAUAUGUGAGUGGAGAACCUACUUUUCCAAUUAAAAAAAAAGGGGGGAAUUUCCUUUUUAAUUUUAUUUUAUAGAAGUAUAUUAAUUACCUGAAAUGUCUUAUUUUCAAGAAAUUAGUAAAUGAGCAAGAUUGUUUUGAAAUUUUCAAAAAAUAAUUGAUGUGAUUAUCUUACUCUAGUGCACUGAGGGGAUACGGCCGUGUACUAGAGUCAUGUAUUUAACUCUUAUACAUUGAGGGGUUGCAACCGUGUGUAAGGAUAACUCUUAUCCACUGAUGGGCUACGGCCGUGUGUAAGGGUACCUAUUAUACAUUGAGGGGCUACAAUCGUGUGUAAGGGUAACUCUUAUCUACUGAGGGGCUACGGCCGUGUGUAAGGAUACCUAUUAUAUACUGAGGGACUACAGUCGUGUAUAAGGAUGAUCAUGUUGUUUCCAUCUUAUACACUGAGGGGCUACGGUCGUGUACAGAGUGUUGAUCAGACGGUUUAUAUGCGUCUGACUUUGUAGCUUUUAGAUCAUCAGUAGAUGUUUACAUGGGGUAUAUUUUGAUGUGAAUUUUAUGUAUAUAGUGGUUUAUUAGCCUUCAACUUAUAUUUCCCCGUUUGCUAUUCAGCUUAUGGAAUUCAGAUUAUAGAAUUCAAUUCGUUCAAUUUUCAGAGUAAAGCUUCCAAUUUAUAGUAUUGAGCAACAAUAUUUCACAGAUUUUCAUAGAUUUCAGAUUAUUUAUAUUCACUAUAUUUUACAAUUAUUGAACUAGAAUGAAGAAUAAAGAAUUUUAUCAUCCAAUUAUGUCAGUUUUAAAAGUGUUACUAAAUUUUUGAAUUUCUCAAAGUUUUAGUAAAGCAAGAAUUAUACAUAUAUGAAAAAGUAUACUUAUUUUCAAUUUAUUCACUCACUGAGUUACAAACUCCAAUUUUUUUACCAUUCUCUUAGCAGAUAGCAUCUAUGUUGAGUAGCUUUGGAGCCUGUCGAUCCACCGAGAGUGCCAGACACACACAUUGUCAUUAGAUGUAUGAUUCAUUUCGUCAAUUUAUAUAGUUCAAAUUUCCUUUAGGAUACAUGUAUGUUUUGACAGAAUCGUUAAUUGGUAAUUUAUAGAUCCAUACCAUGGGCUCACUGCAUAUUUAAUAUUCUCAUUGCUUCUGGGGUCUUUUGUUUAUAAAGCAUGGUAAAUGUUUUGAAUUGUUUGUAUUUUAAAGGACUAGCGUGUUAUAUUUUAAAUUAUCUGUACAGUUUUGAUAAAUUUGAUAUUUGUUUAGGUGAUUUAGUCCAUAUUUUAAAGGAAAUUCUGUCAAAAUUUUUACACAUAUAUGUCAUAGUCAAAGUAGGUCAAAUCUGCUUUGGUGGUGCGUCCAACACUUAGUUGGUAUCUACCAUCGGCUCACAACACAUGUCAGGUCUAUUAGGGUGAUUCGGGACGGGUUGUGUCAGUAAUCCCAACUUAAUCCUUUUUACAGCAAAUGUACGAGAAAAUCAUCAGUGGAGUACAAUCCAAAUUCAACUUUUUGAAACUAUGUUUAAUUAAAAUAUUUAAAACACUUAUCAAGUUGGUAGCCACUUGUGUGCAGUGCAUUAGGAGUUAAUCUUUUUAUUUUUGGAUUAGAAGGAAAACUAAUUUUAAUCAUAAUUUUAUUAGAUUUUCAUUGAUUACUGGUUUAGUUCAAUUAAACAAGUAGAAUCCUACUUUCAAAAAGAAAUCUCAAAUCUCACCGAUUUAUACCCCCACAUUGAAGCAAAUCUGCAUUCGUAAGUUAUUACUUUCAAAGCAUACAUGCACCCAUUUGGUCACAGAAGCAGAGAGUUUAAGAAAGUUUUGAAAUGUACAAUCAUAUUUUUCUUUUCGAAAUUUUGUUUGAUACGAGGGAAGAUACAUAAAGCAUAAGUGGUUCGUCGAUACAUGCAUGAAUUGUUGGUUGACCUUUGGGUUCGACUUAAUAAAACAUGAACUUUUUUGGGUUCUUUAAAACGAAAUAUGAAAUAUCUCAAGAAUUCGAAAUGAGUACGUGAUGAGUGUCUCAUUUUAUCACCGAUAUACUCCAAAUAAAUUGUGGUAUGAGAUGUUUAUUUUAUUGUUAUAUAAUUGUAUAUGAAAACUGCAUGUAUCUUAUUAGGUACUAUCAAAUACUCAUUCUUAAAAUAAUUUACAAGUUAGUUGAGAUCGAUUGAAACUGUGGCAGAAUAGUGAUGUGGACUACCAAGAAGAUUUGAAGAACUAAAAACAUUAAAUUUUCGAUCUUUCAAUUGAUUAUUUAGUUUUAAAUUGUUCAAAAAUAAGUUUGUUCAAUAGUUAGGUAGUUAUAUCUAUUUUUUUAAGGAAAUACAAGUUACAUGCUUUAAAUUGAUAUUUAUUAUUGAAAAUAAAGAGAUUAAUUUUAUUAUUAUCGUUUUCCACAAUAUCGUGAAGGAAAUUGAAUUUUAGUAUCAUUCUAAGGUUUAUGAAUAUUGGGGUGUUAUAAUUUGAUAAUAAAGCACAUGUUUAUCUUUCUGUAUUCUUUUUAACAAAAUAGUUAUUUGUUUCAAAUAAAUGAAUUUUAAUAGGAAUUUACCAAUUAAAAAAUUUGUAUUUUAAGAGUUCCCACUUAUUAUUUGAGUUUUCUUGAUUUACGUAUUUGUAAAAUUGAAUGGUUUAGUCAAAACGACCUAAAUUGUUUAAAGAGAGUUUGAGAUUUAAGUGGUUCACUUAUAAUCUUCCUCCUCACCUGAAAGCCUUUUAGUUGCACGCUAUUCAAAUCAUAAAAAUGAAAAAUAACAUUUCAAACCAUUCCAUAUUUAAGAAAAUUUUAUUUUUAACAAAUUCUAUUUCAAGAGAAUUCCUUUUUAGGAAAUUUUUAUAUUGAAAAAAAAUAAAAAAAUAAAAGUAUUGUCAUAGGAUUUUGCCACUUUGACAGAAAAAUUGUAACAGAUGCGAUGAUAUAAUCCCAGUUGGAAAUAGAUGAUUUGAUGGGGAUGUUUAUUGUGUUUGAAAUUGUCCAAUAAUGGGAUGUCAUGUGAUAUUAUAUCAAAAAUUAUGUCAACUAUUAUGUUCCUGUAGCAUGAUUGAUUUUCAUAAGAAUUAUGAGUUUAAGGAGAAUAUUUUUGUAAAGUUUUUGUAAUGUCCCCAAAUUUUCAUAGAUUAGAAUUUAAUUUAUGUGUGCUAUAUUUUAAUAUUUUGGAAGUUUAGUGACUAAAGUGUAUAUAACGUAAAAUUUAAUCUUUUUGGGCUUAAAAUGUAAAUAUUGGCGGGUUAAUGAUUAAUAUAUGAAUAUUGGGCUUGUUGGAUAGAUCGUAAUUAAAGACACAGUUUAGGCUCGAGAAAAACUUUAUUUGGAUUAGUCGAGCCCAAGUUAUCGAAGCCAGAAGAUAUAACAUUAAAAUAUUAUUUUUAUUACUUUUGUUUUUGGAAGAAUUUACGUGGAGAGAGAGAUGAAAGUUGUUGAGAUAUUUUAUUGUUUUAUUAUUAAUAAUAAUAUUUUAUUAAGUGUUUUGAAUUGGGAGGUCUCACGUGAAGUACUAGGAUUCUAAGUAGGGGUAGGUAAGUGAUAAUCGAUUUGUUUAUUAAAUGAAAUAAAGUAGAGAGAGAGAGAGAGAAUUAUGGGGAGCCCCAACCACGUGAGUGAUUGUUGAGAAACCAAAUGGAUGUGUAGGGUAAUGUUUGGCUGUUGGGUGAUUGGUUAGUUGACAGUACAUGAUCUUAUAUUGAUAAGGUUUGGGUCUCCGAUUUUUUUCAAAAACAGUUUUUUUUUACUUUAUCUAAAUAUCCACUCUCCCACAUGUUUUCCUAUGAAUACUUCUACAUAUGUAUAUGGAAUGAACUGCACGAGAAUAAGGACACAAAAAAUAUAUUGGUACGUGCACACAUUGUCAAUAGAGGCAGAAAAAUAUAGAAGAAAAGAACGUGAUUUUAUUAUUUCUCUUCCGGAAAUUAAAUCAAGGUAGGAUUACGAGGUGCAAGUGGGUUGUCCCAUUUAAAUUAUUUCUUCAUAUUUGAUAAAUAUUAUACUUAUGAAAGUUAUGAUAUGUAUAAUGUAAUUAUGAUAUGUAUGUUAUGGUCAUCCGGUACCAAAGAUAUGAUACGAUAUGAACUCUUACCGAUUCUAAAGAUAUGAUAUGACGGUAUGAUAUUUUGACGCGUGAUUUAAUAUUUUAAUUGGGAUUGCACAAUUUCUCGUACCCUACUGAGUAUUCCCAUAUACUCACCAUUUUCCUACUCCUCACAGGUUAGACCGGGUCAUGUUGGAGCGUGGUGGUUCGAAGGUGUGGUUGUGUCUUGUUUCACCAAAUAAAGAUCUAAGUUAGCACGUAAUGUUUAUUUAUUUUCAGUUUAUUUCAAUAAACAUUUAUUUAUUUACGAAUAAAUUCUCGUUUAUGUUAGUUGCAGAUGAAUAUACGUAUUUUAUGAUUUUUAAAUAGAAGUUUGAACUAAAUGUUAUUUUCCUUCCUAUCGAUUUGCAAAUCUGUUCUUUCAUAUACGUUGGGAAGAAAGAAUUUAAUAGUUUGCAUGCCUAUAUUUGUACUUUACUUUGAUUUUCCCCAAAUUGAUGGAAAUUUAGGGUCAACACAAUGAUUCCCUGCCACCCCACACCUUCAUUUGUGUCCCAUCACAUCCAUAGCAUUAAUUAUGAUAUGAAUUUGAUAGUUUUUGCUUGUACGUGUUAGUCAUGAAUCAAUGUCUUGUUCGUAGUUUUUUUUUUGACAUAAAUGAAUUCUGUUUUGGAUUUUUUUUGUUUAAUUGCAGUAAAUAAACAUUCCGUGAGUUAUUUAAUUCCAUCCGUUGCCUUUGACUUAAUUAAGUAACUAAUUGAAAUUAUGCACUAAUUAGGGGGAAAUAUUGUGUUAUGAACCACUGUAUUAAUUAUGCCAGGAGUUAGCAAAUUCAUGUUUGUCUGCCACACCCGUGUCAAAUUCGUUUUAAUUCAUAAGUCUUAGAUAUAAAUUUAUUGGAUCUCCCGAAAUACAUAGGAAUAAGAUGUUAUUUUAAUUUGACUUGAGUGUUCAACACGUGAAGAUGAUUGAUAAUUGGAGAUUCAAUGAAAGCAAUAUUUUUUUAGAAUUCAUUAUAUAUAUAUAUAUAUAUAUAUAUAUAUCCAUGUGUUUUAUUUAUUUUAUAGAUGGAACUAGAAAGAUUUUCAUGUUGGAUGUUUAUUAUUUUAAUUAUUUAUGGAAUGAAAGGUUUGGUAACGAUUUCUAAAUCUAUAUAAGAUUUGGGUCGUUACAGUUUGGUAUCAGAGCAUAGGUUUAAAUUCCUGUAGACUCACAUGUAUUCUCAUAAUUCGGUUUUAAAAAAAAAAAAAAAUUAUUGUGAACAGUGACCGGACCGUUCACGUGAACAGUACUCGGUACUGUUCACUGUUCACGUGAAUAGUAUUGUACUGUUCACGUGAACAGUGUAGGAUAAAAAAAUAAAAAUAAAUAAAAAUUGUGUGAUGUUAUAUAUAUAUUGAAUUUUCUUUUUUGUUACAUGUUAUAAAAGGCUUAUUUGCUUAUUUAUUUUCCUAGAUAAUAUUUGUUUAAGGUUAAUAUUUAUUUAUUUAUUUAUGAAUUUAACGAUAAUAUUAAAUUAAAAGUUAUGAAAUAUGUGAAUGAUCUUUGGCACUCAACGACCACCAAUCGACCACCCUCCAACGACUCUAAGGUAUGUAAAAAGGGUAAGAAGAUAAAUGUACUUAAAGCUUUUUGCGAGAUUUAAAUGCUUUAAAUUUCCUAUCUUUAAAUGUUAAGACAUCCACGUUUAUUUUUCCCACUAAAUUAUGAUAUAUAUUGUCAUAGAUAAUUAUAACUUAUUAGACUUAGUACUAAGUGUGAUUGGUGACUUCAUAUUAAAUUUUAGGAAAUGGCACCACCUACUCAUACGAAUUUGAUGCGCGAUUUACUACGAGCGGUACAAGAGUUGAGCAGGCAAAAUCAAGCACCUCCACCACAAAAUGCACCGCCACAGCAGAAUGCACCGCAUUUUGCCCCUGGAGCUAUCUCAGUGGUUGAGCAGUUUCGUAGGUACAAGCCUUCCACUUUUGACGGUAAUUCUGAAUCACUGGUUGUCGAAGAGUGGAUAAGAGGCCUGGAGCGCAUAUUUCGACACAUUGCUUGUACGGAUGCACAGAAAGUAUUAUGUGCAGAAUUUAUGUUGAUUGGAGCAGCUGGUCACUGGUAGGAAUCUGUUUCACGUACAAGGACGGAAGAGCAGCACCGUAAUCUGACUUGGGAGCAGUUUAAAGAUGAAGUGAUGGCAAAAUAUUUCCCACAGGCUUUGAGAGAUUUCAAGGAAUUAGAAUUUUUGCAGCUCAGACAAGGGAGUAUGUCACUUACUGAUUAUGAAAGACAGUUUGAGCAGCUCUCAAGAUAUGCCCCGCACUUGGUGGAUACAGAAGUUAAGAAGAUUAGGAGGUUUGAGAAUGGACUGCGCCCUGAGAUCGGCAUGAUCAUUAUGUCCCAUCGUUUCACCUCAUAUCGUGAAAUGUUAGAGAGGGCUCAUGCUAUUUCCUAUCAGAGGACUACCUUUGAACAGUAUGCCCAGCAAAGCAAGGGGUCAUCGGGAAAAAGAAAGUGGAAUGAUCCAAACAAGGACAGACGUAAUUGGUAGAGUAAAAGGCCAAACACAGGAGUUCGUAUUGGGGGAGCGAGUGAGAAUAUUACACCGUGUCCUAAGUGUAAUAAACUCCACAGGGGUGAAUGCUUACUCGGGAAGAACAUGUGUUUCCGAUGUGGUAAGCCAGGGCACAUUGCUCUCAACUGUACAGAGCCACCAAAAAGGAAGGAUGAUGAUCAGGACAAGAACAAGAAAGGAAAGGCCCGAGUUUUCACACUAAAUCAGCAUGAGGCGGAGCAGGAUCCGAAUGUGAUAGCGGGUACUAAAUUAUUAAUAUUUUAACGCACUUGCUUAUGUUCUUUUCACAUAGGACUACACAUUGUUCCAUCUCCGUCCCUUAAAUGUUAUUCUAACACUAUAAAUUAUAAAAACAUGUAUUCUGUUAUUAUCUGAUGUGCCUGCUUAUGUACUUUUUGAUUCUGGGGCUACCAAUUCUUUUAUCUCUGCAUCCUUCGUCGUUAAGUCCAACUUUGCAUGUGUAAGAACGAAUAAUGAACUAGAGGUUAGCAUCCCUUCAGGAAGAACUCUUUGUACAAAUUAGAUGACUAAGGACAUAAAAUUAGAGAUUGACGGAAAAAUAUUAGAGGCAGACUUGUACCUUUUGGAGAUGAAAGAUUUCGAUGUUAUUUUAGGCAUGGAUUGGUUGGGAAUUAAUCAUGCAACCAUUCGAUGUUACGAGAAAGAAGUAUUGUUUCAUAGACCAGGAGAGGAAGAGUUUCGUUUCUUGGGAGCAAAGUUCAAGUCUUUACCGCUCCUAAUAUCAGCUAUGCAAGCAGAAAAGAUGUGAAGGAAGGAGUCAUGCCAGGGAUUCUUAGUUAACAUCAAUAGUUCUCAACAUACAGAAAUGACCGUUAAUGAUAUUAACAUCGUCCGAGACUUUGCAGAUGUAUUCCCAGAAGAUUUGCCAGGCAUUCCACCAGAUAGACAAAUGGAAUUUACAAUUGAUUUAGUUCCUGGAACGGCACCAAUAUCUAAGGCCCCAUACCGAAUGGCACCGAAAGAACUACAAGAAUUGAAGUUGCAAUUAGAGGAGUUACUGGAGAAAGGCUUCAUACGACCAAGUGUAUCUCCUUGGGGAGCACCUGUACUUUUUGUCAAGAAGAAGGAUGGGAGUAUGAAGAUGUAUAUUGACUAUCGGGAAUUGUACCAUCUGACCAUAAAAAAUAAGUACCCACUGCCAAGAAUAGAAGAUUUGUUUGACCAGUUAAUGGGUGCUGCAGUAUUUUCAAAGAUCGACUUGAGGUCAGGGUAUCACCAGCUAAAAAUCAGGGCAAGCGAUAUACCGAAAACUGCUUUCAGGACUCGUUAUGGGCAUUAUGAAUUCACUGUCAUGCCUUUUGGUUUGACCAAUGCUCCAGCUGUAUUUAUAGAUCUCAUGAAUAGAGUAUUCCAUCAGCAUUUAGAUCAGUUCGUCAUAGUGUUUAUUGACGACAUACUUGUGUACUCAAAAGACAAGAAGCAACAUAAGGAACAACUUCGAAUUGUACUUGAAACUUUGAGGAAUGAGAAAUUAUAUGCCAAAUUCAAAAAGUGUGAAUUUUGGCUUGACCGUGUAGUUUUUUAGGUCACGUUGUUACCACCCAAGGAAUCGAAGUAGACCCCGCUAAAGUGAAAGCAGUAACAAAUUGGCUAAGGCCGAGCGAUGUGGGUGAAGUCCGCAGUUUCUUGGGAUUGGCUGGUUAUUAUAGAAGAUUCAUUGAAGGCUUCUCAAAGAUAGCAGGGCCAAUGACUCAAUUGACAAGAAAGGGUAUAAAGUUUCGGUGGACAGAAAAAUGUGAAAAAUGCUUUGAAGAACUCAAGUAGAGACUAGUGUCAGCUCCUGUAUUGACGAUACCUGAAGGUUCAGAGGGAUUUGUGAUUUACAGCGAUGCCUCCAAGCAGGGCUUGGGUUGUGUACUGAUGUGGCAUGGAAAAGUGGUUGCUUAUGCCUCGAGACAGUUGAAACAGUAUGAACAAAACUAUCCAAUGCAUGACUUGGAGCUUGCAGCAGUUGUUCACGCCUUAAAGAUAUGGCGUCAUUAUCUUUAUGGUGGGAAGUGUGAAAUUUAUACGGACCACAAGAGUCUCAAAUACUUUUUCACACAGAAGGAACUAAACAUGAGACAGAGGAGAUGGUUGGAGUUAGUGAAGGAUUAUGACUGCACAAUUCAUUACCAUCCGGGUAAGACUAAUGUAGUUGCAGAUGCCCUAAGCAGAAAGACAGGAACACAGUUAGCAGUUUUACCCACAGUACAGGAACACUUGAUAAGGGAGUUUGAUAAAUUGAGAUUGGAAGUUAUCACGCCGCCAACUCAGAUUUCAGGGAGAAUAAGAGCAUUCAUGAUUCAACCUACACUUCGAGAUCGAAUUAAGGAGGCACAGGAUAAAGAUCCAUUUUUAUAGAAGAUAAAGGCCAAGAUUGGUACAGAUAAACAUAUAGGGUUUGCAGUAUCUGCAGAUAAUGCGCUAACUUUCAAAGGAAGACUGUGUGUACCUAAGGAUGAAAGUAUAAGAAAUGAGAUAUUAGAAGAGGCUCAUUCAACCCCUUAUUCUGCUCAUCCAGGUGGUACGAAAAUGUACCGAGAUCUCCGGGAUGUAUUUUGGUGGAGAAAUAUGAAGAGAGGAAUUGGUCUGUUCGUGGAGAGAUGUAUUAUCUGUCAACAGGUUAGGGCAGAACAUCAAAGGCCAUCAGGAUUACUGAAAUCGUUGGAUAUUCCAGAAUGGAAAUGGGAACACAUAACGAUGGACUUUGUGGUAGGCCUCCCGAGAUCAGCAAAAGGUCACAAUGCUAUCUGGGUAGUGGUGGAUCGUCUGACGAAGUCAGCCCAUUUUCUUCCAAUUAAAGUAAACUUUAAUUUGGAACAGCUGGUACACUUAUACAUCAGGGAGAUAGUCAGGUUGCAUGGAGUCCCAGUCACCAUUGUUUCAGAUAGAGACCCGAGGUUCACAUCUAAAUUUUGGAAAAGUUUGCAGACAGCCAUGGGAACAAAACUGAAGUUUACCACAACUUAUCAUCCUCAGACGGAUGGACAAUCAGAAAGAACCAUCCAAACUUUGGAAGAUAUGCUAAGGGCAUGUGUUUUGGAUCUUGGAGGUAGUUGGGAGACACACCUGCCGUUAGUGGAGUUUGCUUACAACAAUAGUUUUCAGGCCACUAUAGGAAUGGCCCCGUAUGAAGCUCUUUAUGGUAGAAAGUGCAGAUCCCCUAUCCAUUGGGAUGAAGUCGGGGAAAACAGAAUUUUGGGUCCAGAAAUCAUUGAACGAACAGUUGAGGCAGUGGAUAAUAUUAGAGCAAGAAUAAAGGCCGCACAAGAUCGACAGAAAAGUUAUGCUGACAGUAGAAGAAAGGAUUUAAAAUUUCAAAGAGGUGACAAAGUCUUUCUAAAGGUAGCACCAAUGAAAGGUGUAUUGAGAUUUGGAAAGAAAGGAAAGUUGAGGCCGCGGUUCGUCGGACCUUUCGAAAUUCUUGAAAGGAUUGGUAGUUUGGCUUACAGACUUGCCUUGCCACCUGAACUAACAGCAGUGCAUAAUGUGUUCCAUGUUUCGAUGCUCAGAAAAUAUGUUCAUGAUCCCAAUCAUGUAGUAAGCUAUCAGACGUUGGAUGUACCAAAAGAUCUAUCAUAUGAAGAAAUUCCGACGGUAAUUUUGGAAAGAAAGGUACAUCAACUUAGGAAGAAAGGAGUUCCACUGGUCAAGGUGCAAUAGCGAAAUCAUGGACGAGAGGAAUCAACUUGGGAGAAAGAAGAAGAGCUUAGAACCAAGUAUCCAGAACUUUUCAAUUAACCAAGGUAAAUUUUCGAGGACUUAAAUAUUUAAGGAGGGGAGAUUGUAAUGUCCCCAAAUUUUCAUAGAUUAGAAUUUAAUUUAUGUGUGCUAUAUUUUAAUAUUUUGGAAGUUUAGUGACUAAAGUGUAUAUAAAGUAAAAUUUAAUCUUUUUGGGCUUAAAAUGUAAAUAUUGGCAGGUUAAUGAUUAAUAUAUGGAUAUUGGGCUCGUUGGAUAGAUCGUAAUUAAAGACGCAGUUUAGGCUCGAGAAAAAAUUUAUUUGGAUUAGUCGAGCGCAAGUUAUCGAAUCCGGAAGAUAUAACAUUAAAAUAUUAUUUUUAUUACUUUUGUUUUUGGAAGAAUUUACGUGGAGAGAGAGAUGAAAGUUGUUGAGAUAUUUUAUUGUUUUAUUAAUAAUAAUAAUAUUUUAUUAAGUGUUUUGAAUUGGGAGGUCUCACGUGAAGUACUAGGAUUCUAAGUAGGUGGUAGGUAAGUGAUAAUUGAUUUGUUUAUUAAAUGAAAUAAAGUAGAGAGAGAGAGAGAGAAUUAUGGGGAGCCCCAACCACGUGAGUGGUUGUUUGGAAACCAAAUGGACGUGUAGGGUAAUGUUUGGCUGUUGGGUGAUUGGUUAGUUGACAGUACAUGAUCCUAUAUUGAUAAGGUUUGGGUCUCCUAUUUUGUUUCAAAAACAGUUUUUUUUUUUUACUUUAUCUAAAUAUCCACUCUCCCACACGUUUUCCUAUGAAUACUACUGCAUAUGUAUAUGGAAUGAACUGCACGAGAAUAAGGACACAAAAAAUAUAUUGGUACGCGCACACAGUGUCAAUAGAGGCAGAAAAAUAUAGAAGAAAAGAACGUGAUUUUAUUAUUUGACUUCCGGAAAUUAAAUCAAGGUAGGAUUACGAGGUGCAAGUGGGUUGUCCCAUUUAAAUUAUUUUCUUCAUGUUUGAUAAAUAUUAUACUUAUGAAAGUUAUGAUAUGUAUAAUGUAAUUAUGAUAUAUAUGUUAUGGCCAUCCGGUACCAAAGAUAUAAUAUGAUAUGAGCUCUUAUCGGUUUUAAAGAUAUGAUAUGACGGUAUGAUAUUUUGACGCGUGAUUUAAUAUUUUAAUUGGGAUUGCACAAUUUCUCGUACCCUACUGAGUAUUCUCAUAUACUCACCAUUUUCCUAUUCCUCACAGGUUAGAUUGGGUCGUGUUGGAGCGUGGUGGUUCGAAGGUGUGGUUGUGUCUUGUUUCGCCAAAUAAAAAUCUAAGUUAGCACGUAAUGUUUAUUUAUUUUCAAUUUAUUUCAAUAAACAUUUAUUUAUUUACGAAUAAAUUCUCGUUCUUGUUAGUUGCAGAUGAAUAUACGUAUUUUAUGAUUUUCAAAUAGAAGUUUGAACUAAAUGUUAUUUUCCUUCCUAUCGAUUUGCAAAUCUGUACUUUCGUAUACGUUGGGAAGAAAGAAUUUAAUAGUUUGCAUGCCUAUGUUUGUACUUUACUUUGAUUUUCCCCAAAUUGAUGGAAAUUUAAGGUCAACACAAUGAUUCCCUGCCACCCCCACCCCCUCAUUUGUGUCCCAUCACAUCCAUAGCAUUAAUUAUGAUAUGAAUUUGAUAGUUUUUGCUUGUACGUGUUAGUCAUGAAUCAAUGUCUUGUUCGUAGCAUUUUUUUUGACAUAAAUGAAUUUUGUUUUGGAUUUUUUUUCUUUAAUUGCAGUAAAUAAACAUUCUGUGGGUUAUUUAAUUCCAUCCGUUGCCUUUGACUUAAUUAAGUAACUAAUUGAAAUUAUGCACUAAUUAGGGGGAAAUAUUGUGUUAUGAACCACUGUAUUAAUUAUGCCAGGAGUUAGAAAAUUCAUGUUUGUCUGCCACACCCGUGUCAAAUUCGUUUUAAUUCAUAAGUCUUAGAUAUAAAUUUAUUGGAUCUCCCGAAAUACAUAGGAAUAAGAUGUUAUUUUAAUUUGACUUGAGUGUUCAACACGUGAAGAUGAUCGAUAAUUGGAGAUUCAAUGAAAGCAAUAUUUUUUUAGAAUUCAUUAUACAUGAUUAAAUACAUAUAUAUCUAAUAAUUUGUUUUUAAGUUCUUCCAUGCGUUUUAUUUAUUUUAUAGGUGGAACUAGAAAGAUUUUCAUGUUGGAUGUUUAUUAUUUUAAUUAUUUAUGGAAUGAAAGGUUUGGUAACGAUUUCUAAAUCUAUAUAAGAUUUGGGUCGUUACAGUUUUAACCAGGUAAUAACAUGAAAAAUCCUUGGGGACGUUCACUGUUUGACCACUCUCCAAUUGAUUCUAGGUAUGAAUUGAAUGUUAUUCUUUUAUCAUAAUUACGAGUCAUCUUGCUUCAUGUUAUGAAAUGUAUAAGCAUGUUUACCUCUCGUAGUUUAUUAGUUGAACUAUUUUACAUUUUAUAUGAAUAUUGUUUAUGUUGGGAAUCUACUUAUACAUGCACAGUGGAAAAUUAAAAUUAUUUUGAUUCCCACCGAGAAUCCCUUUGUGUUUAGAUAGAAAUCGUGAUAAGAUUGUACCUUUUCAAAUCUGAAAAUUUCUUUACUAUUAUUUUCGUUCCAACAAUCUUGAUUCGCCACCUACAGCUGUCCAAUUGUCCAGCCUCCAACGGUGAUCCACACAAAGAAUAAGAUUGCAGCUAAUAGGGUUUUCUCUCUUGUGCCAGCAAGAAUAAUGAAAAUCAUAUAGACCUCAAACCCUAACCAUGUAUUUAUAUACACCCAAAUGGGCUCGGCCCGAUCCGGUCCAAUAUUUAAUUAAUCCAUUUAAUUAAACCCGAUCUGUGAAUUAAUUAAUCCAAUUUAUUAAUUUAUACAAUGAUGUUAAAUUAACUAAUUGACAAUUUUCAAUCUUCCAAUUCUUUUUUGUGUGUGACCCAUUAGGUUCCCGACCACGAUGUCUAACGACGUGAAAUAUUAUUUUGAUCUAAUCAAAAUUGAUAAAUUAAAACACUCUUUUAAUUUAUCGUCAAUUCACACUCGCCGUCCCUGAUUGACAUCUAGCAAUGUGUCAGGGCAAUACAUGUGACGAAAAAUGUCACGUGGUAUGACAAAAUCAAAUUCGUUCGUUUACCGUGAAACUAUAAUCCCUUCGUCAAUAUGAUCCGAUCAAUUACGAGAUAUGGAAGUGUGUCAAUCUCGAUCAUCGAUCAUAUCUUUCACUCCACUAUUAAGUCAAUAUAAGUCGAAAACUCAUUUUCGACUUAUGAAUACACCUUGGCCAAGGAUUUCAUCAUCGACUUAAUUGAAUGAAACACAGAUCAUAAUCUCCUACAAUCUAAGAGUGACAAAUCCUUUAUUGAUUAAUCACAACCUUCAUACGAUUCUUGACGUACCCGAACGAUAUCGUAUUAGCGGCCUUUUUCAGAGCAACAUCCAACACUGUCAAAGUAUGACUAUCCUCAUGUAAGGUACCAUGACGACAUCAAGUCAAAGGACCAAUUCCAUUACCGAACGUUAGAGAUUAACCACUGACACUUAGAUAGUUAUCCAUGUGGAAUCUCUUGGCGGGUCUCCAAAGUUUUGUUCUAUAACAAAACAUCCACGUGUUCAUUUAAGUGUCACCACACUUUAGCUUGCGAGAUCAGCUACUUACUUUACAAGUAAGAAAUGUCACACGUAAUGAUCUAUCCAUAAUAACGAUAUCCGUAUCUCGUUAUUACUUACGACCACGGAUGAUUUAAGAUUCAAUCAGAUGUAAUUUAUAUCUCACAAUCACAACUCCUUGAUUAACAAAUUACGAAUAUUUGAAUCUACGGACUCUAUUAUUUAUUUAAUUGCCUAUUAAUUAAAUAAUAGAUCUGUCAUUAAAUUGCAUUAAUUAUAUAUCAAAAGUAUUUAUGUCCAAAGUUGAUUGGACUUAGGGCAUAAUACUUACAGUUUAUUCGAGCAUAGAAUGAAAUAAAUUGUCAUUGAAAAAUUAAGCAUAAUUAAAUUUAUACAUUUCACACAUGGUUAAGACUAGACAAAUAUAGUUGAACGAAUAGAAUGGCUAGAAAGAAUAUGAUUUACACAAGUACCUUAGGACCUAUGAUUGUAGCUAUUUGAGAGUAUGAGUACUUUGUGUCAAAUAUGGCCAUGACAAGUUAAAUGCAAAAUUUAAUACAAGGAAUUGAGAAUGGACCAAGAAAAAUCGGAAGGAAUAUUUAAUUAUUUUCAUUCAACCGAUGUAGUAGAGGUUUGCAAUUCAUUGAGUUUCAUUCAAUCAAUGUAGAAGAGAGAUUGUUGUGUUUAAUAUUUCUAAGACAAAAUUUUGUUUUGUAUAAAGAAAAUUUCGAAACAACAAAAUCAAGUUACAAUCAUCAGUGAUCUGUUAAGAGUUGUAUAGGAUCUUGAUAGACAAUAAGCACAGACUGACCUUCAAAUUGCAUCGAUCAAUGCUAACAACACAACUCAAUUGUUGAACAGUUCCACCGUUAUGAGCCCUCAGUUUCCGAUGGCAAAGUAGACUCACUGGCAACUGAAGAAUGGAUAAUCUUCAACAUCUCUCAUCCAAUGAUGCUCUGAAAGUAUCAUGUAAAGUGUUCACGUUGGUUGAUGUAGUGGGCUAUUGGUUGGAAUUUGGCUCAAGCACUAGAACUAAGGCAUGCAACAAGUUUUGACUAGGAUACAAUUCAAAGAAGUGAUAGAAAAAUACUUUCUACAAGCCCUAAAAGAUCAAAAGGAGGUAGAGUUUCUAAAACUUAACAAGGAAAAGUGAAGCUUGAGGAAUAUGAGAGAAAGUUCGAAUAGCUCUCUAGGCACGCACUGCACCUGGUAGAUACCAAGGCAAAAAGCGAGGAUGUUCGAACUAGGAUUGCAUCCAAAGAUUGGUAGAAUAAUGACCUCCCACCAAUUAACCACAUACAAUUAGGUUUUGCAAACUGCUCAAGCAAUCUCAAAUAAAUUAGAGAUUGACCAAACUUUUCAACAAGAGUUUUGAAGAAAGUGAAAAUGAAAUGGGUCCAACAAAGAGAAAAGGGAUGGACAAAACAAGAAAUUCAACAUAGUAUGGAGUUCAUAACAAGUUGUUACACUCUGUCCUAGUGCAAUAAGAUGCAUAGGAGUGAGUGUAUAUGGGAGUAAUAUGUGUUACCGAUGCGACGAAGCAGGCCAUGUUGCUAAAAACUGUAAAGAAGCCCCCUCGAAGAGAAAUGAUGAGCAAGGCAAGAAAGCGAAAGCUAGAGUUUUUGCCUUAACUCAAGACAAGGCAAUGGAGGAUUUGAACAUGAUGGCAGACAUUUUUUUUAUACGUGGAAUUCCUGCUUAUGUUCUUUUAGGCUAUGGAGCCACUCUUCCAUUCACUUUUGCUGCCUUUAUUAAUAAGUCACUUAUUACAUGUGAAGAAUUCGAUAGUGUUCUAAAAGUUACUAUCUCAUUGGACAAACCUUUGAAUACCAAUAAGAAAACUAAAGCGAUUAAAGGACUGGGUGUUCAAAGUCGUUUAUCUUAUGAGAAGGCUCUAACAGCUAUUUUUGCAAGGAAGAUACACAAAUCGAGAAAUAAAGAAAUUGUAUUAGUUAAGGUCCAAUGGUAGAAUUCUGGAAUAAAAUAGUCUACUUAGGAGAGAGAAGAUAUCAAGGUCAAGUACAUGGAAACCUUCAACUAGUUAAUGUAAUUUCUAGGACGAAUUCAUUUGAAGAAUGAGAGAUUGUAAUGCUCCAAAAUUUUAUAAAAUGAAAUUAUUUGGUGCUAAUGAUUUUGAUCUAGAUUCCCUUUUUAUAAUUUUGGGAAAUUGAACGAUUAAAGUGAAAUAGUAUUAAAUUCAAUUUUAUUUGGGGCAAAUAAUUAAAUAUUGAUGGCGAAGAUAAGUAUAUCAAUACUUGGCUUGUCUUGUAGUUCGUAUUAAAAAACGCGUCGUGGACUCGAGAAGAGUUAAUUCGGAUAAGUUAAGCCCUAGUUAUUGAAGUUUAAAGAAAUUAUCAUCAGCUAAUAAUUAAUUAAGUUGGUUUAUGAUUUAAUUUUUAUCGCAGUCUCGGUUCAAUUGUAGAAUAAAUUGUAUUACUAAUUUGAUAAAUGUUAUUUAAUUAAGUUUAGUUAAUGACUUAUCAAGUUGGAAGCCACGUGUGAGUAGAUUAUUAGAGUAUUUUUUUUUUCCUUUUUUAGAUUGGGAGGAAAACUAAUUCUAAUCCUAAUUUUAUUAGAUUUUCAUUGAUUACUGGUUUAGUUCAAUUAAAAAACUGGAAUCCUACUUUCAAAAAAAAAUCUCAAAUUUUACCUAUUUAUACCCCCCAACAUUGAACCCAAUUUGCAUUACUUAGAUAUUAUUUUCAAAGCAUACAUGCACCCAUUUAUUUACAGAAGCAGAGAGUUUGAGAAAAAGUUUUGGAAUGUGCAAUCAUAUAUUUUUUUUUUCAAAAAUUCGUUUGAUCUAUCCAGGUAAGAUACAUAACAUGUAAGUGGUUUGAUUCCUUAUAACUUUAUUUGUGUAUAUAUAUAUAUAUAUAUAUAUAUAUAUAUAUUAUUAGUGGACCUUCGAAUUCGACCUAAAAAUGCCUUUUUAGUUCUUUAUAACGAAAUGUGAAAUCUUUCCAGAAUUCAAAAUUACUAUGUGAUGAGUGUCACGUUUGAUCACCGAGUUACGUUAAAUGAAAUUUGGUAUGAAGUGUCUAUUUUAUUGUUAUAUAAUUGUUUAUAAAAACUGCAUCUUAUUGGGUAUUGUCAAAUACUCAUGUAACAACCCGGUCUUUAUGCCAAAUCCGUUAACUUAUGUACUGUACAAUUUGUGAGAGCUUGAAUUUAUCUUACCUCUUACGAAUUUCUGUCGAGUCCCCAAAAUUCAAACAUAUGACAAUCACCUUAUGAGAGAUUUUAAUUUGAAUUAUAGUACCAAUUGAGCAAGUUGUUUAAUAAGUACCUGGAUUCAACUUAAAUUUCUCAUAAGGUGGAGGUAUUGGGUUCAAAAUUUGACGAUAGAAAGUCAAGAGGGAUAAGAUGGAUUUAGCUCUCCCAAAGCGAACAGUAUGUAAGUUAAUGAUUUAGAUACAGUGAGAGAUUGAAAAUAAGUUUGGAGGUAUGCAUUCAACAAGAAAAUGAGACAGUUGUCCAUUAAGGGUAAAAAAUAAUCAACCUAAAUGAUUAUAGUGAUUGAAUUGACUAUGAACACACACAUCGAUCGAGUAUUAAAUAAGUAUAAAUUUAUUUUGGUGGCAUUGCUUAUGAGACUUAUUUGAAUUGUCAAACAAUUUCAGUACUUAGGACGAAUACAACAUGCUAUCUAAUACUUUGACGUUUAUGUUUCAUUGCUUAUAUGCUCGCGAUGGAUAAGAGUUUAAGUUUGGGAUAUUUCAUAGGCAUAUUUUAUAAACGUCUUUAGUCUUUUAAACUCAAUUAUGGAUAAUUGAAAGGAUGUCUAUCUAAUUUAGUAAAUAUAUUAAUUUUAGGUAAAAUUUGACAUGAAUACAAUUAAUGCAAGAAAGGCAAUUUUUAACUUAAAUGGAGUUGAUUUGGAGCAAUUAAAGUAAUCGAAUUGCACGUGAUCAAUUAUAAGUAUUAAGAGGCAAUCCUAAGAAACUCAUAAGUUUUGUGAGUAAAGUUUGACAUUUGAAAAGUUUGGGAACUCUAUUGUAAACUUUCAAUACUUUUAACGGAUCAAUUAUGAAAGAGAAAUGAUGAUGAUGAUGAUGAUCAAAGUAUAAAGAUUUAAAGAUGAAGGAUCCAUGAUGAAUAAAGAAUGACUCGAGCAUUACCAAGAGGAAGAUUCAGGGAACAAUUUGAAAGAAAGGCAAACAUUGAUCUUGCAAACGCAAGAUUGAUGGAUGCGAUCGCAAGGCUGCUUAAAUUAAUUCAAACAAGUAAAAAUGAAAUAAUGUACGAUCAAAAUGGUUAAUACCAUCAAUCACAUGGAAUUAACAGACUAGGAUUUUUUUUUUUUUUUUCGAAUUUCAUUUAACCUCAUUUUGGAAAGCAAUUAGGAUAGAAUUUACACCUAAUUCCUGGGGCAAUAUAGACAACCUUUCAUCUGUUGUAAAAAGAAGAGGCUUUUGGGAUACAACAAACAUAUAUCUUACAAAGAAGAAGCCUUACAGAUAGAACAUAGAUAUUUCUCGCAUACUUUGAGUGAACUUUUUAUACAAAACACAUAUUUCAUACAUCUUCACUUGGGUUUGAAGAAGAAGAAGAAGAAGAAGAAGAAGAAGAAGAAGAAGAAGAAGAAGAAGAAGAAGAAGAAGAAUAUAUUCAAGGAGAUUGAUCAAGAACCAUUGAAAGGAUUCAAAAUUGUUUUCCAUCUUUCUUCUACCUUUAAUUUCGGGAAAUGAUGUAAUGAUUCAAUUCAUAUUUUUGUAUUACUAUGAUGCUCAGUUAAAUGUAUAGAUGAUAUGAUAAUGAUAAACCCUAUAUUUUGAUACAUUUAUAUUGAAAUCGAAAAUCCAUGAUUUGAAUUGAUGUCAUUUCAUUGAUUCCUUCUAAAUUGCGUUGGAUUUCACUUGACUGUCUAUGGUUCCAUUGUUUGUGCUCGAGGUAAAAGUUUUGUAUAAAUAUAUCACCAUGCUAUUAAGUAUUUUGAUUUAAGAUCUUUUAUUUCUAAGAGGUGGAAUAGAAUAACCCGGUGACCGAGAGAUAACUAUCGAGUAUUUGGACUAUCCGGACACAAACUUCGGGAAAUGGUUCAUGCGUGUUAAGUUUCAAAUAUUGACAUUUAAAUGUUUGUAUGGUUUUGAACGCUUCUUAUUGUCUUCAUGCUUUUUCAAUUACAAGGCCAUGAAUUGAAUUAAUAUAAUUUCUAUUGUCAUUUGAAAGAAGGAAAAUACAGCACAUGGUAACAAUCAUUGUAAAGUCCUAUAGACUUUUCCUAUGCUUUGUAUGAUCUCAUUGAUGUUCUUGUAAUUGAUUGUAUGAUCUCAUUGAAUAUUUUUUUGAUUGAAUGUAUCUUCAUAUAUUCGCGUCCAAGAUAUGAAUAUUUCAUGUCAUGUAUGAGAUAGAUUUAAUUUUUAUCAGGAGAGGUUAUUGAAUAAAAUAUGAGCACUGAUAUACGAGUCCAAAUAAAUGUUAACCAAUUAUGAGAUUGAUAUUAAGAUGGAAGGAUAUACGAGGAUUUGAUGUCCCGGUGACUUAUUGUUUAAUUGAGCCCCCGGUGGCACAGUAUGCCUUCGAUAUUAAGAUGGAAGGAUAUACGAGGAUUCGAUGUCCCGGUGGCUUAUUGUUAAUUGAGUUUAUACGCGCUUCCCAUUUAGUUAAUUAGAUCAAUUAGUUAAUUUUAGGUAUGAUCGGUAAAUAUAAUCAAUCUCAUCUUAAUUGUGAUAUUCGAUUAAAGUUCUCAUUAAUUGGAAUUUAAUUAAAUACUUAGUACUCGUGGAAUUAAUAUGUGAACCAAGAUCGACUUUAAUGUUUGUUUAUGACAUUGUUCAUAGUGGUAUUUUAGCACAGCAAACACAAUUAUUAGUUUAAUCUUUUGGAGAUAAAACAUCUUAAAAUAUAAGGCUAAUUUAGGGAGCCUUUAAAACAUUUCCUCUCCCUCUCUCUCACACACACGCAUAGGUGACUAUAUGCAAAUCUACAUGGGCUGUACUUGCUGUACAUGCAGUUCGAGCUAGACUGUACAAGCAGCUCAACCCAAUCUAUAAAUACAUUUUUUGCUCACUCUAACAAAAAUUGAUAGGCACCAAGAUUAUUAGACUAAGAAAAAUGAUUAGGAUGGUUGAUAGUACGAUGAUUAAGUCAACUAUUAGUAAAAGCUAUAUGGAGAAUUGUGUGUGGGAGAAAUAAAUAGGGAGAGAUUUGGCUAGAAUUCAAAGAAUGUGUAACUUUUUCUUUACACGUCCAUGAAUAUUUAUAGGGACAGAGUUAUAAUGGAAUUAGGUUAAAAUAUUGCAACCCCUAAUUCUACAUGGUGUGUUGUGAUUGAGCAUAGAGUUUUGAAUGAAGUAUGGUAUGUUUCCUUUGUCGGGUUUACUUCCUUGUAAGGCUAAGUUUCCUUAUAGAGAUUGAUUUUCCAUGAUCUUUUCUAAUUCCUCGGCAUCCUCUCCUUAUUUUAACAGAUUGACAAGGCUAUAAAUUUUAGAAUCGAUAAAAUUGUCUCAUUCCAAGAUUUAUCCCAAUAUUGAUUUUAUCUCCAUGUUUCAUGGAUCCUUUGACAUCAACAAGGUAUGGGUCUCAUCCAAAGGCAAUAGGUCACUAGGCCCAUUAGAGCCACAUCCUCCCAUCUCGACACGAGGGGUUCAAUUCGAAGACUAUCACCACUAUCCAUUACUAUGAAUAUUGUAAGAGCUGAUGGGAUAUUUCAUACGAGGCUUGUGACUUGAUUCUUUUGUGCAGGCGAAGACCAUAGGAAAACAUGUAGCAUGUUGGCUCUUGCUCAUGUGGUGUUCGUAAGUCCUCUUGACUUCCAAGUGUACCCAGGAUGUAACAGUGGUCUCUCAAGUUCAAUUUUGUUAUUUAUACUAGGCUUGUGGCUUAUUAGUUUGCUUGUGUUACGAAAAUUUGAAAGUGAAAGGCUUGUGAUGCAGUUGGGCCUCGUUGCUCUUUGGCUAAGAUUGAAUUUAUGCCCAAAAGAAUUUCACUGGCCUUUGCUUACCAUGAUGGUGGUGUGGCGAAGAUGUCUUGACAAAUGCCUCUUGGCCAAGCUAUAACAUCGAAGUAUAACAACUUCGUUUUGAAUACCGUUGUAGAUUUUCCUAUUCCGAUAUAUAAUGUUCAUUUUGAUAUUUAAACCUCUUGUUAUAGUAAAUUCAUUAUUGUCGUUAUAGUGAAAGAUUUACGCAAUUGUCAAACUCUAUUUCUCGCACAUUUUAUUUAUUUCUAAAUUUACUAUGACAUAUUGAGAUUAAUGACUUUUUUACAAAGAUCGGUAGUCUAAUCUUAAUGACACAAAAGAUAGAAAAGAAAUUUCCUUUUUCUUAAAAUCCACCAAUCCAAUAUAACUAGAUCAACCCUUCAAGUUCGCAUUAUUUGAAAAUAGUGCCACAAAGUUACUUUUUUCAAUUGUACUCGAGGAAAAUAAAAAAUAAUAAAAUAAUGAUAUUUAUUUAUUCAUUUGACUCUUUAAUUGCAUAUGCAAAAUUAAUUAAAGUUAAUCUUGUUUCCCAAGCUUUUGGUAAUUCAUUCUUUCUUCACAAUUGUCAUUGUCUUAGAAUAAUCUUUCCCUACGAACCGUCAAACCAAGCACGUAUUCCCUGAUCUCACGGAUUUCUUCGGGUAACACUUUACAGCCUCAUAUUUAGACUUUUCGUCGGCUAUAUAUUAUUAAUAACUACAGAUUACAUUUACAAUUUUUAAUUAUAAUUAUUAUACGUUUUUUUUCUUCAGAAGGCUGCUAAAAAAUACAUAAUAGUGGGUACAAGUAAUAUAUUGAGGUUUCAAAUGAUUUUAGGCCACCGUCAACGCAGAAUGAACUAAUUCUUAACCAGCAAUUCGAAAUUAAACUGAAUGGAAAUUUUACUUUCGAAAAAUCUUGGUGAAAAUCAAAGAGAAUUAUGUUCAUUUUUCUCUCGUCUCUUGCUCUUUUAAAAUAUUUUGUCAAGAUCGAAUGAUUAUUAUAAAUUGAAAUAUUGUAAGGUCAAUGUAUAAGAAUCUCAAUAAUAUAAACGAUCUUUUUUUUCCCUUAUCUAAUAUAAUACGAUUAUAUAUCCGUGAAAAAUUAUCCAACAAAUUUUUUAUGCGAAAAAAAUAUAAUUUUAUUAAUUGACUUGUUGAAAUGAAUUACGCAUGCAUAUAUCUAUCUUGUGCUUGAAGGAAAAGUCGCGCAUUUGCGUGUAAACUACUUAUUUUGUUAUUAAAAGUACAAUCUAACAUAAACUACGUCAGCAGAAACUUUGAGAAAAAAAAUCAGAAAUAUUUACAACAAAGGCUCCAAAUCUAUAGGAUAGCAACAUGUUGAUCCCCAACCUAGAAAUGAGCAAUAUAAUCCUCAAACUUUCAAAAUAAGUGCAAACCUAGUCCUAACAUAUAGAAAAAAUAAUAAUAAUAUUCAUCUAGAAUCCAGAUAAUCAUCUGUCAUUUUUAGAUAAUUCUAUGCAUGGGACAAUGCAGUAGUAGUUUCACUAUAAAUGAAUAUUUCUAGUCUCUUCAAGAAUACUCUUACUCAUAUGGAAAUAAUGUAUCUUAUUUAGGAUUAACAAUGCGAUAAGUCGAGCUCGUUGACCAAGGGACUACACUUCGCUUGGCCCAUGGGCCUUGCCUAUGAUGAGCCGUGCCAACCUACAAGCUUUUUGAUUUUCUUGGUUCAUUAAUCUAAUUUAUUUAACUUAAAUGUGAGUUAAAAAAAAAAGGAAACUCUAACAUAAUUAAAUAACAAUGCAAGGAAAAUAUGACACAAUCGCAAAGUUCAUGUACCCAAUGCUUUACUUGCAAACGUCGACUCGACUCAUUUACUUGUUGUAGAACAAGACUAGCAGAACAGUUGAGCAGUCGAUUUUCUUUUGGUUAUGGACUUUCCGGUUGUAGGGUGAAGGUAUGACAAGGGAAUUCCAUGCUUUUAAGAAGCUUUGUUCUAAGCCUCGGGAUGAAAUUCGAAUCUCACUCAAAUAGGGCAGGUGAAGGAAAAAGAUCUCUUAUACGACCACGCUCUAAGCUAAGUUUAUCAUUGGAUCACUCUUGAUAUACGAAUUUACUAGAGAUAUCAUCCAAUUCGAUUGAAGUAAGGAAAAUACAAAUAGAAAUAGAAAUCAAAAGAAUUAGAAUUAGUUUUGUGAAAAGUGAAUCCAAACAAUUGUGAACCACUCAUUGCCAACCUAAUCCUGUUUUUAAUUGUUCACGAUAAGACAAAAGGGGGCAGUUAUCAUGCCUCGAUAUGCACCUAUUCAAAAAGGUUGAGGACUAUAGUCCCACUACCGCUAUUUAUACGGAUCCAUUUAUGCAAUUUUCUUGAAAAAAUCAGAAAAUUUGUGAAGUGUCAUCAGUAGCGGCAGGUUUGCCAACAAUAAAUCCUGUCUACCAUUUCUUCUCUCCUCUCUAUAAAUAUAACACCCUACAUAUCUGCUUUCCUUUGUCCAUUAGAAUAUACAGAAACUAAACUCAAUGGAAAUGGAAGUGAUUAUCUCUGUAAACAAAAUGGAUUUUGACUUUAACAGUCCACAUGUCAGUGCACCUUCGACGCCCAAGCGUUUUGGGGAAUUCUAUUGCAGCGCUCCGACAAGUCCGACGCAUUUGGCGCAGUUUUAUCGUGAUUUUGAUGAUUUCUCGAACAGAGCCAGCGGAGUCACAUCGAGGGUGCCGUUUGGUUCCCCUAAGAAUGAAGGUGAUUUUGCUUUUGAUAUUGGUGAGGAGUCAUCGGAAAAGGAGUCUCUUUCGGCGGAGGAACUGUUUGACGGCGGCGUAAUUAAGCACCUAAAGACCCCAUCGCGGCUGCAAGCUUCCACCGGAGCAAGAAUUAAGGGUGAUUACUCACCAAGGCAUAAGAAAGAGGACGACCCUUUUGCAAUCUCUUCUCAAAGCGCCACGGCGGAGCACAGUCACAGAAGAGGAAGAGAGAGAGCUCCUGCAGCAGGUUUAUCUUCAUCAAGCCGAAGAGCAACGCGUUCACUUUCUCCUGCGAGAGAUUCUGAUCAAAAUUCACGGGAUCAAGAAGAGAAAAAACAGCACAAUACAAAGAUUUUGUGCUCAUCUUCAUCCUCAAAAUGUCACAGAAAAUGGAGAUUGAAGGACUUUUUCUUGUUCCGAAGUGCAUCUGAAGGACGAGCAGCAGAUAAAGAUCCUUUAAGGAAAUACACAGCAGGGUUCAGAAAAUCAUAUGAAGAUGCUAAGAAUCCGAAUUUCCGGAGAAUGGAUAGCCAGGAUUCUGGAUCAAAUUCAAGUAGAAGAGGAAAAGUUUCAGCUCAUGAAUUGCAUUACACAACAAAUCGUGCAGUUUCUGAAGAUUUGAAGAAGAAAACCUUCUUGCCAUACAAGCAAGGCAUUCUGGGGCGCCUUUCAUUUAAUCCUGCCGCCCAUGCACUGGCUAAUGGUUUCGGGUUUUCUCGUAAAUGAAUAUUCGUCCGGUACAGUUGAGGACGGCAUUGUGAGAAGGAAUAAUUCUCUGCUAAUUAUAAUCUUUUUUUAUUUUUUUUUAAUGUUUUGGAUAGGUAUUUUUUUUCAGAUUUUGGUCAUGAGAUGUAUAAAAAUAAAAUUUACACAUUGAAGCAUCAUAUCUUAUUGUGGAAUUAUUUAUCAAUGUACUAAAUUUUAUUGAUCCUAAAAAAUUUAGGGUCUACUAGAUAAAAUCUUGUUUCAUUACUUCUUUUAGCUAAUUGCUAUGUAGCUGUUCAAAAACAACUAUUCAACGGAAUAUAUUCUACGUUAUGGAUGAUUUCUAUUCUUUGUUUGAUGAAAGACGGAAAAAGACAUCGAUCAUAGAAGGUGACAAUUCAAAAGUUUGAGACAAGCAAUUCGAGACGACUCUUCUUUCUGAACAACGUCUGAGUUAUGGGGAUAUUUAUUGAUAUUUUAAUAUUUAAAACCUUUAAGAAACGUAUUACGAAUUCCGGAAAAUAAACCCAUGGACAAAAAUGAAGAGAGAGAGAGAGAGAGACUAGCGUGCAUUGUGGACUAUCAAUUUCUUUAAUCUAGAAGACAAUUUUUAGGGCGGUCCAUUUGUCGCAUUUUACUCUUUGGUGAAAUCAGAAAUGAAAUGGAAUAUAAACAACAAUUCAUGCAUGAUAUAAAGUUCGACAUUUUUCUAUGUGGCAGUAAGAUAUACCUUGAUUUUAAACAUAUCCAUCCCAUUGCUAGCCAAAUUUUCUCCAUUGACAGGAUAUCAUGUAGGAAAAUUUGUUACCUUUUUAAUCACAAGAUCUUUCGUGUUGAAUAAUCAAGAAUAUAUAAACUACUAUAAAACCUGAAUUAGAAAUGAUUAAUACAAUAGUUGAAUCUUGCGGUUUAUUCUUCCAAAUCAACACACAGACCUUAAUUCUUUAUAAUGAUGGGAGGCAGAACAGAAUGAGCAAUUCACAUGUGAUUUGAAAACCAUAACUGUAUUUAUAUAUAUUGUCGCCAUUUGACCUAAUUCGACCUAUCAUAGAAUUAGGAACCUGACUCAGUUUUUACCCAUAAAAUAUCCACCCUUUAAUUGGAUGUAUUAAAAUUCAAAAUACUGGAAACUUAUUAGAUCACUUUAACUAGGCUUAACCAAAUUUUAUAGCCUUUAAUUUGAUGCACAAUAAUUUACAUAUAUAAACCCACACGGUCAUUUAAAAUUCCUUACAUAUCAAACUUGUUUUCAACCAAAAAUAUACAUCUAAUUUUAUUUUAUAAAUACGAAAAGAACUAGAGAAUUGAAAUGAAACAUAAGCUAUUGUUUGACAAACAUUAUUUAAAAACUUCUUUUUUUUUUUGUACAUAUUCAUUUUUAAUUACACAUUUACAUUAUAAAAUAUUAUGCAUGUAAACUCAAUAUUUUUUCAUACUUUCUAACUGCACAUUCUCCUAAAAAUUAUUUUUUUCCAAAUGAUGAUUGUCAAAUAGAAGACUAAUUAAAUUGUUCCUUGUACAUGACCAAAAUGGAAUUAUAACUUGCUUUUUGUAUAAAUAAACCAUCAACUUUAUUUUUGAAUUGGAAAUGUUAAAUACCUAUGUUGAUGUAAUUUCCACUUCUUUACUCUUCUUUUUUUCUUUCUUUCUUUUCCCCUUUUUCAAAAAAAUAAUUUGGUUGCCCAAUUCUUUGUGCAGAACUGUUUCUCCUACUUAUAAAUUUGAUACACUUAUUUAUUAAAUAAUCGUGACAUUUAAUUUAAGUAAAUUCAACGCUCAAUAUUUUAUGGAUCUCAAACAGUUAUAACAAACUCUCCCAUGAUUUUAGUGAAAUACAUAUUAAGUGUUGGAUUGAUUUAUAUUAAAGGUCAUGAUUAUUUGUUAAAUAAGUGUGUCAAAUUUAUGACUAUUAGGAAUUUGGAAUGUUCUCGUUCUUUGUGCUCUCUUUGUCCGUGUAAUUUGCAACCCAUGUAUCAUAAAUAAUUCUCAUAUACGAAUCAUAAUUGAUUGCCUAUUUGCGUUAUAUGUCCCCUAAUUACUAGCAUUCGUUUUCUUUCUUAAUUUAUAUAAAGAUUCAUUUCCCUAAUAAAUCAAUAAAAAAAAUGAAAUCUUUUACAUUAUUGCAUCAUUUCAUCGCUAAACAGUAGUUCCUUUUCCUUUUCCUAAUAGGACUUUUCUAUUUCACAUAUUUGGGUCGAAUCCAACAAUUUCCAGUUGAUCCAAAACCUCCCAAUCACAGCAUACAUUGACAUUGAUUAUACCACCAAUUUACCACUGUUCUUCAAAUAAUUGUAGUAGACGAGAAAAUUCAUCAAACUGUUAUAAAUUAGAGAAAAAAGAGAAAAAAAAGUAGAAGUUAAUUGACUUGUGUAUUUUAUUAAGAACCAAAAUCACAUAUAUCUAGAGAGAAUAAUUAGGAACACAAUGGUAAUAAAAACUAGGGCUACAAGGGUCUAAUUUUCAUCCACUAAUAAUCAUAUUAUUUAUAACACCCCCUUUCAUUGUUACAUUACAAAAUAUUUGCAUCGUCAAAACAUUGUCAAAAAAAUCUAGUGGGACAAAAUUUGAUCGAAGGAAAAAGAGUACAAUUACUCCCAUUGAUUUCAAUUCUUGUAUCAAUUCAUUAUUGUCUUAUAAAUCAGUAUUUUUAAAAUUGCAAAUUUUGGUUAAAUAUAUCUCAUGUUGUCUUGUAGGUAUUCAAACAAUAUCGUCUACGUACAAGAUAUUUAUAAAAAUUUUGUGACCAUAGUAACAUGAUGAUUGAAAAAUAGAUUUUGUUGAUCUUUUUGCGAGUUUCAUACAUAUAAAAGCAUUAUUUUGAGGGUAAAUGUCUUUAUACGUAAUUGGAUAUUCAUUAAAUAAAAAAUAUGCCUCAUUAAAACCUUAUUCGAAAAAAUCUGUAGAAAAAUCCUAAUUAAGGAAAAGAGUACAUUAUUCUUUUGAAUAGGGAUAAAAGUUGUCUCAUUAAAAAUCUUAUGAGGAAAAUCCAAUGGGACAAAACUUUAUUAAAGGGAAAAAGAGUAUAGCGUGUAUUUACUCCUCCCUCAUAAUAAUAUCUCUUAAAUUAUGUAUCAGGCACAUUAAAUCUGUCAGUGAUAAUAUUAAUAGUCAUGCCAUAUGAAUUGAUUGUAACCGUAUUUCAAGUUUCACGCAUUGUUAUGAUAACAAGAUACAAACAAUGAUUUCAUCCACCACGAAAUUCAGUAUGUUAAGAGUCGUUCAUUCAUAUUGCGACAUUAUUUUUCUAAUUUCUUUUUCACACAAGUGUACACAUUUUGAUUUUUGGGCUGCAAGUCCAGAAACUCCAAAUUUCCUAAUAAAUUCGAAUUUAAUAAGAUUGUGUCCUUUUAUUUGGCCAAUUAUAUUUUCGAUCGAUAUGCGUCAACGAAUUUAUUUCGAUAUCCUCGAAUUCAUAAAUAAGUUGAAAUAUCUCUCGAUUGAGUUUUAACUAUUGGUAAGGCGUAGAGAUAUCAACGAGCCGAGCCAGCUUGUGAAUCGAAACUCCUGACUCGGACUCGGCUUGGCUUUUUUAAGACGGACUUUUUUCGGCCCUAGCCGAGCAAAAGCUUGGUCAAAAAAUUAAGGCUCGACAUGCGCUUUCAGCUCAGGCCUUAUCGAGCGAGCUUGAUUUUUCUUUUUUCUUUUUUUUCCUCUCUCCCUCUUAGCUGCCUAUUUGGCAGCUAUUUGCUACCUCAAUUGACAAUAAAUUGAGUUUCUUUCUCUUUUUUUAAUAACGGACCGAAUCGACUAGAGCCGACUCUCUGAAAUAGGGCUCGGUUUGGGCCUUAGCUCGAUGCCUCCGAGCCAUGGGUGACCCAAGGCUCGAUGCCUUCGAGCUACGGGAGACCCUAGCCGAUGAGCUUGAUUGUCAUUCUUAAUAAGACGGUCAUAUUUCUUUUAACUAAACUAGAACUUGAUUUAGUGGCUCUAUCCAAUAGGUGUGCAACAAUUUUUUCUCUUCGAUUCUUUUUUUCGUAGUGACAUAAAUUAUUGAAAUAUCUCAAUUUUCAACAUAUCAAGAACCUGAAGGUCUUCUGGAGUUUUAUGAUUUGUUAUGUCUAAAUAUUCGUCAAGAGAAUGGAGCCAUCUUUGUUAAUUUCUCCAUUUUUGUUUGAAAAUUUUUAUAUUAGAAUCAAAUAUCAUAACAUUUCAAGCAUGCCAUAAAUUCAAAUAUAAUAUUACCAAGACAUUAAUUCGAGUUAGAGCAUUCAAAGUUCGUAUAUGAGAUAUUGUUGAUCUCUUUGGUCAGUAAAUGCAUUUAAAUAUCUUUCGAACUUUUGAUUCCAAUUAUUUUUGUGAGAAUUUAAAUAAUGAUGCAUUUGUACAUUAUUUUAGUUUCUUAAUUCUUCUUCCUCAUACUGAGAAAAUUGUCUAUUCAAAUUGAUAAUUGCAAACCAUAUUAUAAAAUAUCAUCAGUCUGAAAUAAAAAGUUCGAACAACUCAUUUAUUCUCUAAAUUAUUUACUUUCCAUGUCAAUGCAUUGUGGUGGAUCAAUUUUACAUAUACUACAUUAUCAAAAUUAUUUGAUGAAAAAAUUAGGCUCGGACCAUAUGCCUAGUUAUAGUAGGGAUAACUAUGAUGAUAUGACACGUAAUAGCCUUUCCUAAAUAGAAAUGGAAAGUACUUCGUUUUCAAUUAAAUUAAUUGGAGGUGUAUAACAAUCAAUAAUGUUGAAUCAUUUAUCAACAUUUCAUCUAGUACAUAUUAAAAUGUUGAGAUUUACAAUUACUAGAUUAAGAGGUUACACCGUCUUAACUGUAUAAUCUGAAAAUUCUACUCAUAAUUUAAAAUUUGAGAAGUAAUUUCGCAAACUAUAAGUUAUAAACAUCAUGCAACCAUCGAGCAUACAUGUUAAAUCUAUUAGAUACAAAUAAUAUUUAGAUGGUCUACGUCGAGGAUAAUGAAGCCCCAUUUAUCACCCUGAUUAAUUUUCAGAAAUAUAAUGAAUUCGAUCCCUAUUUUUAACUAGCGAUGAUCAAUUUUCGAUAAAAAAAACAAAUAACGUAUAGGAAUUUAUUGGAUUGAAGAUUCAGGUUCUUUGUUGAAUGUCCAUUUAAAUUUUUUAUUUCAUAUCAUUAUUGAUCCAAUAUGAUCCAACUGGUCAUGCCGAACAAUAAUACAUUCAUUAAUUAAAAUUUUGAGUUAAUAUAUUAUUCGUUCUAAUUAUACUACACAUUUUAGAAACUUAUCACAUUUCACUUUAAUUUAGAGGGGAAUAAAUUAUUAUCAAUAGUAAAAUUUAUUCUCUCACAUAACGCAAUACUAACCCUUCUAUAGUAUCAAAACAUAUUCUUCUAAAAUAUUGCUAUAUACUUGGUUAUGAUUACUCGCAAGUAAUAAAACAAUAUUUUUCAGGAAUAUUGAUAUAUUAAAUUAAUCAUAAUAUUUUUCUAAAAAUAUUAAUAUGCAUAUAUUUGUGCUUCUUCACAAACACAAUAUGGUAUUCUUCAAAAGAAUAUUAAUAUAUAUUAUUUUUGCUUCUUCUGAAGCAAUAUAUCAAUAUUUUUCUGAAAUAUUGAAAUUUUAAUGACAUGGUCUUCAGGAGCAAAUAAUUCUAUCUAGAACAUUCACAUAAGGUAUGUGUUAUGAUUUUCCUAGAAUAUCAACACCAUAUUUCUUUAGUAUAAAUGUAAUUUCUAGUUGUGCUUCUUCAAGAGCACAAGAUAAAUCAAAAUAUUUAAUUAAUCUAAUAAUUCACAAGUAUAAUAUAUAGCAGUAUAGAAAGACUUUUAAAUAAUUUUCAUCCUUGAAUUUGAAAACUUUAGAAAGCGUUAAAUAGUUGAAAAUUUUAUAUUCUUCAAAGAUAUAAAUUUGAAUUUUUUUAUAAAACUUAAAAUUUGCUACUGUCCCACAAAUAAGCCGUUAGAUUUUGAUAAGAAUAGAUUGAUUUAAAAUACAAUGAGCUAUAAACAUCUUGUCCAAAUUUCAUUACGAUCAAACCACGAAUGUUGAGUUAUCAACGUUUUUAUCACAGUUGCUCAGACUGUCCAAAUUCUACAAAUUUUUGCACUGUUGAUUCCAAUAUAAUAAUACAAUCAUUCAAUAUUAUAUAGAAUCACUAUAGGGUCAAUGAACUUUGAGUUUGUGACAUUAUUUGACUCAAUCAUUUUCACUAAUGUACGUAUAGUAGAUGCGAGAAUAGAAUGUCAAAAGUUUUUCUUUUGUUUACUUCGGGUCAAAUAUAAAAAAAGUUAUGUAUAGAUAUUCUAUAUUUUUUCUUGCACAUUCUCCAUGUGAUAUUCAUUGCAUUGACUAUCUUUAAAACUAAUCAAUUUUUUAUUUUAAUUUUUUUUUAAAUUUGCUUGCAUAAAGUGUAUUAUUAAUAUAUAAUUUUGUAUUAUUAGAUAAAAUAAAACAGGUUCUUCGGACCCUUCAAUGAUAUUUGAUGCAUCUAAUAUUGUAUCAAUAUUAUUUUUUGUUAAUGUUAAUUAUAAGUACUUUUUAUUUUAAAGAAUUUUUUGCAUAGUUACACUAUCUUCUAAACAGAUAUCUUAAUAAUCCAUCUUAAUCUUUUUAACAUUCCAAGAUUUAUACUUUUUCAAAAAGAAAUAAUAGAAUAUUCUCUGAGAAUAUUCAAAAACUAAAUAUUAUGCUUUUUCGGAGCAAUAAACUAAUAUCUUCUUGAAUAUUAAUAAAAUAAAAUAAAAUAAAAUACUUUUUUUUUAAUUACAACACAAUAUUGAGUAAUUUAAUUUAUGUUUCCUAGGGAGCACAAUGAAAUAUAUAUUCUUCUAGAACCGUGCCACUUCGAUAACACAUUAUAUUUUAUUACUAUUUCUUCAAAAGUAAUAUAUCAAUAUUCUUGUGGAAUAUUGAAAACUAUAAUUUAAUGCUCUUCAGGAGCAAUAACAUAUUAUUGUUUAGAACAAUAAAUUAUGUAAGAAUUUACUCUUUAAGAUUACAAAAAUAAUUUAUGUUAGAUCUAUUUUAUUAUUCUCUUUGAGAGCAAGUAAAAUUUAAUUAGAAUACUAACGAUUGUGAACCAAUGCUACAAGUCUUUGUAUAAGCUUUUGAGAUCAAGGUUGACAAAGCUGAAGAGCAGUAGCAUUCCACUGACCUGCAUCACCAAAUAAUGCCUUUACAGGCAUGGAAACGUGUCUACUUUAGGAGCAACAAUAUGAUACGGUUUAAAUUUAUUGAAAAAAUAAAAAAAAUUAAUCAAUUUAUAGUAGAAUAAUUUUUUUUUGAACAAAAGUAUAAAAUUCACAAAUUAAAUAUAUUAGACAAUUGCAUAAAAAUAUGCUAUUAUAUUAAUCUAAUCAUGCAAAUUAUAUUAAUGUAAUCAUGCUACUAAAUUGGGAGAACAUUCAAACGGCACGGAGAUGGAUGUGUGCCUUCAUUAAUUACAUAUUAUAAUAAUCAAAUUGUUUGUUAUAAUAAGAGUUUUGCUAUAUGGACAGGGCCACAUAGGCGCAGACAACUGACCAAUAAGAGGAUGCCACAUCGCCGCCAUUUGGAUAAGGCCUACGUGGCCUUGUCCAAGAAGAAUUAUUCAUUAUAAUAAUUCUCUCAUUUUUCUCCUCUAGACAAUUUCUAGUCAGAUUUUUGUUCAAGAUUUGUCAGUGCAAAUUCAAUGAUUGCCAUUGCAAAUUGAUUACAAGGCACCCUCUUUCGCUAGCACUGAAUGGAAUCAAUUGGAAAUAUAUUCCUCUGAAGUCUAUAGAGGAAUUCAAGAAUCACUCGAGCUAAAAUUAGAGACCAAAAGCAAGUUGAGCUUUAAAUUAAAAAAAUUUGUGCUGAUAACAUGUUAUAAAAAUAGAGAAAAGAAUAGGACAAUGAAGAAGUCAAUAGAAUUGUAUAUUAUUAUUAAAAACCAAAGUCUUAUAUUUAUAUUGAAGAAUUAGGGAUAAAAUCAUAAUAAAAAUUAGGAUUGUAUGGAUUUAAUUUUCAUUUACUCAUAAUCAUAUUAUUUACAAUACAAACUUGUUUUCGUAAUUUGCUUCUUCAAUCUAUAAUCUUCAAUUUUCAUUUUUAGUGUCACAUAACUCAUAUUGGCGACUUCGCAAUCUUUUGCAAUAGCAGAAGGCUUUCCUUGAAGCGACUCUAAUGUGACAACUCCAAACUUUCUAUGAGUAGCGUAUACAAAUUACCAACCUUUUUACCUCAUUAAUGCGAUAUAAUUAAUCUUCACAUCAAUUCUCCCAAUGCAUGCUGAAUAUUUAUAUGUCAACGUGUCCAGUGCUCCCAACAGUGUCAAACUUUUUCUCAAUCUUGAGACCUAUUAAUAACCGCUCUGCUACAUCAAAAAUCUUCACACUUAAAAUACUUGAACCUUUAACUUCAAGUUUAUGAUUAUUAGUCAUGACGACAUCAUGAGCAUCUAAUAGCUUAUAAUCCUCAAAGCAGUCCUUGUGUGGGCAUAUAUGAUUACACAUCCAAAAUCCAAGAGUUACUUGAAGAGUCGUAAUUUGUGACACAAUAAUCACUAUCAAUAUCAUCAUCAACCAUGAUCGUAGAAUCAGAGGCCUCUUUAGACUCUAGACUCUUCUUUACUUUAAGAUGAUAUGUCAACUUCUCACAUUUUGCCUUAAUGUGUCCUUUCUUGUGGCGGUAUUAACACUUGGCAUUUCUCCUAUAAUGACAUUGAGAAUGAUCCCUCCGGACAUUAUUUCUUCCUCGCGAUUUACCACACCUCAUUUCAGACUUUGUCUAGAGUACUUGAUUUAAAACCUUCUUCACUAUCGAAGUAGAUUUACCAACUAGUAACGUGGUGACCAAUGUCUCAUCUGACUUAGGUAAGGAAGACAGCAAAAUUAUUAUCUUAUCUUUUUCCUCAAUUUUUGACAUCAAUAUUAAACAACUCAGUUCACACUUAUUCAAAUGAUUCCUAAGAUCAGUGUCCUCAUCUAUCUUCAAAUCAUAUAAUUAUUUUCUCAGAUAUAAACAUAAAUUAAAACAUAUCAGGAUCUUUUAGCAUUUUGAAUAACUUAAAAUGCAAAUUUCUUAUUCAAAACACUAUAAUUUACCUAAGCAAUCAUGCUACGUGGUCAAAGUUAAUGACUAAAAAGUAUUUCCAAAUUACACUUGACAAUUUUUCAUUGAAUAAAGGGUAAAAAAACAUCAUAAAAAUACUCAAUUAUUAGCUGCCACAUCAGUCUAUUUUUUUAUUCCCUAUUUGUUCAGCAUUAUUCUUACCUAAGUACAAGCCAAUCUAAUGGUGUUGACUGUCUCCAGUUUCAAUUCUUCCAACUCCGCUUCUUCAUGCCUUGUGACAUCUUACCUUACAAAUCUUUGUAAAGUCCCUAUUGCAAGAGAAUAACUUCAACUGUACUUCACAAAAUAUUUAAAUUAUUUUUCUCGCCAAAUCGUUUACCCUCAAACUUUGCACAUGCCAUCAUCUUCGAGGCAGUAUCCCGAGUUUGAAUUUUGAGCUCCGAAACCAGUAGACUUCGCAGGAUGAAAUUGGCAGAAAAUGAACAAGAACCAAUGAGAGGUUGAUUAGGGACGAGAAAAACGAAUUGCAGAGAACGAGUCACAUGAACCACCAAAAUCAAACCAAUAAAAUGAAAUAGAGAUAUCAAAUUAAACACAAAUAAAUAUGUAAUCGUUAAAUUCAAUUUUACCACGUCAAUCUGCAGAAAUUUUCGGUGCUCGCAGGCGACAGAGAUAGGUGGAAGAAAGGGAUUCUAUGGGGGCUCAAGAGAGAGACUGUAGAAGUGAUUGCUUUUCUCUCUGUGCUAUUUUAUUAGAGAGAUAUUUAUGAAAAGGAGUUAACCAGUUAGUGAAUAGUGAAUAGUGAAUAGUGAAUAGUGAAUAGUGAAUAUCCGGUUAGUGUAUGAAAUGGGACACCAUAGAAAUGAACAGUGAAGGCUGGUUCCCUCUUUUAUAUAAGUGCAAUGAUUUUAGCAAGUUUUAAAACUUCAAGUCAUAAUAUUUUGGGUUCUAUGGAUAUAUUCACAUUAUACUUUUAGAAAUUGUGUUUCAUUAGGCCAAAAUUAUGUACUGAAUAGUACAUAAGAGAAAUAAAGAAAAAAAAUUACUAGAUUUUUGUGUCACACAGAAAUUUCUCAAUGUCACCCUCUAGGGUAUGCAUUUUGAGAGAGAUGUAAAAUUCAAUCGAACAAAUAUUAAUUUCAAAAAACUGUGAGGCCAUAUGGCUAACACUUGUAGAGAUUGUUAGUUUAAUGUCCCUUUUUUCAGUAGUAUUUUGAAAAACGACAUUCUGAAUUGACAUGCUACAAUUUGAAAUGAUUAUCUAAGGUUCCAUGAACAUAUAGAACGUCACAAAUUAUAUACUCAAUAGUUUAGGUAUAGUAAGAUGCAAUUCAAGAUGUGAUCAAAAUAUGUCGUUUACAAUCUCAGUACAUGAAGUUGGACACUUUAUGUUUAUAAAAUUACAUUGUUCUUAUUAAGAUUUGUCUAUAUUUGGCAAUAAGAACAAUAAUGUGUUUUGUGAUGCACAUUAAACGGGAACCGCAUAGAUAACUCAUUUGUGAUCGUUCGAAAUGAGACUCUAUCAAACAAUUCAACUAAAUCCUGAGUGAGUAAUAUACUUUUGAUUGCUAGUUCAAAUUUUUUGAAGUAACAAUGAGUGAAAUCUUAAUUAGAAGAUUGAUCUUGGUGCUUUGGGAAUCAGGUCGAAACAAUUAGAGAUCAUAUACUUGUGAUAGUGAAAUCCAUUAAUCAUUAAGAUGAGACGAUCAUCACUCUAAGGUAUUUUAGAUAGACAAUUGAACCUGUGCUCAGUAGCUUGAUGAUGAGAUCGUUGGACUCUAUAUUGUUAUUUGAUCACAACUAAUUCAUCUUAUGAAAAUGGAACUUAGAGGGUAAUAAUGUUCAAGGACAAAACGGUUAUUUUAUCAUUUUCAACUUAUUAAUGGUCCAAUGGGGGUUGACUUGUGGAACAAUAAUCGGAGCAUAUUUUCAUCGAAUCAUAAUUUACUUCUAUAACUAUCACUCGACUCGACAAUGGAAUCUCGAUUUUUGGUACAAUGAGCCGAGAUUAAUAGAUGUAUCUCAAUUGGUUAAGAGUUGACCCAAUUAGAAACUUCUAUUGUAGCUUAAGUCUUGUUGGUCUGAUUAGGUCCCUUUCUUGACUACAAUAAAUGUGUGACUUAAUUGGUCUACUACAAUUAAGUCCAAGAAAAUUUGUGCAAUUAUAAAAUCCUAAUUGAGUAUUAUAAAUAUGUCCUUUAUGGACACAUUUUCACUUAGUUUUUAGGGUAAGCCAUAUUUUUAUUUCCCAAAGAGGGAGGCACCUAAAGAACACAAGGGAUAAGAUAUAAGGGAAAAAGCACUUGGCUAGGCCACUAAAAUCUCCUUCAAGGUUAUCAUUUUCCUUUUAUGUGGAAGAAUUUAAGACAUCCAAUGAUCUCAAGGUGAUCGUAGAUCUUUUAUUUAUUUACAUUUAAUCUUCAAAGGGAAAUUAAUUUCCUAUUUUGAUGAUUAAAUUCAAUAACCAACAAAUGGAAUCAAAGCCAAGGUUACUAAGAGCCUUGAGUAGGAUUAAGUGCUUCGAAUCCUAGUAUAAAAUGCAUUUUUAGUAUGGGCGGUGUUAGGUUAUUUAAUUUGACAUGUUUACUACUUUAUAUGCUUAAAGUAGAUGUUUAUACAUAAUCACUUUUGGCCCUGGGAUUUUUUUUUACUUCCCAUUCUAAUUCAUUCCAUUUGUCUUUCUUUUCUCUAGAAAAAUUGUAAGCCAUGCGUCAUUAGGGUUUUGUACAUAUUUUUCAUACUUCUACACUUGUGUAUUAAAAGAAGAUGAAGUUUUUUGGGCUUCAUGCAUUUUUCGUUUCUGAUUCUUGUUAGAGAAAUGGAAGGAGAUAGAAAUAGGACAAACAAAAUGCAAAAACCAUUGUAGAAUUACAAGUGGCGGCAAUAACAACUAUCGCGACCGGAGUGGCUACAGUCGCUGCGUCCAAAUGCAACAGUUGCUCCAAGUUGUGAUAGCUGCUUCUGUUGCCUGUCAUGACAACCAUAGCUACUGCAAAUGUAGCAGCGGCGCUUGCUAUUACUGUUUGCAGUCGCCAUUGCCACUCGACGGCUGCAGCUAUGGUGGCCUCUUUUGGUGUUGCUACUGUCGAUGUCAUUGUAGGAGAUGGAUGGUGGAUGUGAUACAUGGCGAAUUUUCCAGGAUUUGUGAAAUUAGGUUAUUUUUGAGUUUUUGUGCUUUUCUUUAUGACUUGGGCAAAUAUUUUUGGCUAAGGGCUUUUGAUUUAAGGAUUGCGAAAAAAUUAAAUGGACUCAAUUUUUGAAUAUUGAAUGGGUUAGAUUACAAGGAAAUUGAAGAAUUGGGGCGAAAAUUGCUUUAUGGAUGAUGAAUGAAUGUAUGAUUAUCACAUGUCAUGUAGAUUAAAUUGAACACCACCCAAUGCACUAAACAUAUGCAUUGGUAUUGGAUUUUUUUUAUCACUCUAAAUUAAUUAGAUGUGGUUAAAAAAUUAUAUUUAACAAUUUAGUGCCAUUAUAAUUGUUUAUAUUUGGCACAUUAAUUAUAAAAUCAAAAUCCAAUGGUUCAAAAUAAUAAGUGGGGGAAGGUUUAUAGCGUGUAUAAACUUGCGGCCUCCUCCUUCAUCCAAUUUAUUAUUAAAAUACGUAUGUCUGGUGUCAAAUUACAUCGGUCUCCCUAAAGGAAGACUACGUUAUUCUAAAUUAACUGAAAUUGAAUCUUAUAAUAGAAAGUUUUAAAAAUUGGAUAAUCGGCUGAUUAUCCUAUAGAUAACAUCUCAUAUAUUUUGGAUAAUUUAAAAAUUAUUUGCAGAGGUUAUUACACUUAUAUAUGACUUUAUUUUUGGAGGACUUCCAGUAGAAGGUUCCAACAAAAUAUUUAUAAGUCAAAUGAUAAUAAAUCCUCAUUUUUAUUGUGGCACGAGAUGCCUAACUCCAUCAAAUGAGUGGGAGUGUUCCAACUUUGUGAUGAGGACAAAUCAAAAAUCUAAUUAGUGAAUAAAUCAACGCUACAAUCUUCCCGUAUAAAGUGGCAACUCUAAUUUAUUGGUUGUGAACAAAAUAUUUGUAAUCAAAAUAUAAGUUAUGUCACACUACACUUCUCAGUACAAGUACCCAACUUAUAUUGUCACAGGUAAUUAUAAUUACUUUAAUUCAUAUGCUCACAUACUCAAUAAUAAAUAAAUACAUUAAAUGGAUAAAAUCACAAUUUGUUUAUUAUAAAUUAUUAUUUAUUAUAACAAAAUAUACUAUAUGGACACACAACCCCACAGUCUCCACUUCCUACGUACUUUGUUUAUAUUUUUUAUUAUUUUAACCCCAAACCUUAGAUCUCUCUCUUUUAUUUGCACACGCAAACACAUAUUGAAAGCACAGGUCAGCAGCUACAGAAACUACCUAAGAGCCACUAACUUAGGUUGUACACGCCGCAAGAAGAUAAGUAGAAGAAGCCGAAACAAAGAGAACCAAUGCUAAAAGGAACUCAUAAAUAAGGAAUGGGUGGAGAAGACACGACUUCCAAAUAAAAGAGACGAGAUUGGGAGUAUCCCUAUGCUGCAGGCCAGUGGCGGCAUCACGAAAUUGAUACCCAUCAAUGUCGACAGCUCGGGGUUGCUCCAUCGAGGUGCUAAGAGAUUUGGGGAUUUAGAAAUUCCAAAAUGUCUAUCCAGUGUUUAUUGGGUUGAUUACAAGAGGAAUGGAUCUGGUUAUUAUCAAAAAAUGAUUUUUAAUAUGAGAUCAUAAGAAAUUAAAAAAGCGAUUCAAUAAGAGAGGGCAAACGACUAAUGAAUUCAAUGUAGUGAAGUAGUUCUUUUAUUCAAUGUCUCAAGAUGGGUUUCAAUGCCCAAUAACGUUAAAUUAAUUUUUCUUCCAAUUAACUAAGGUUAUUGAGGCUGAGUUUGAGGCGGGGACUUUAUUUCUCAUCCCCUACUCGUGAUAAGGACUUUUUUUCCAACUGUGCUAUGUGUACAAUCGGGAUUGACAAACCCAUUUGACAAUUGGACACUUAGGAGGGGGGCUCACACUGAAUAGAAAAAUCGUGAGCCCCCCUCCUAUGAGUGCAUUGUCAACAUGGAUUGUACAAGAAGAAUAAUUUCUUUUUUCCUAACCCCCACCCCAAUUCAUUGAUUAAUCUAGAAUCCCCCGCUAGUUUGGGCAGGCCAUAUGGGGGACUAGAACAAUUGAGGAUAAUUGCUCCCCCGAAUAUCAUUUUUGAAUGUGUAAUGGUUCGUGCGACUCACAAAGACACUAUACAAAUGUUAUAUAUAUACGUAAUAUAUAUUAUAUUGCACACCCAUGAUAUAUAUUUUGUACGCUCACACGAUCUGUGAUUUGAAAUCGAUCUAGCAAAUUUAUUCAUAAUUUGAUUAAUCUCUCGAAAUAAGUUGGUCGUAUUUUACGUUUAUUGUGGUUAAUGUUUAUGCAUAUAAUAUUUCUACGGAUGUGUUUUAUUUUUUGGUCCAUAUUACGUAUGAUUUAUUUAGAAUUGACAGGAGUUUAAUAGCGUUACGUACGAGAAUUUAACAUCAUCUAAGUUCGGUUUAAUUUUCAAGUCUCUCUCUAUAAUUAUGAUUUUUUUUUGGGUAUAAAAAUACAUAUAUAAAUUCAUUAUUCAAGCACAUUUAUUGAUAUUUAUUCUCAUCCCUUUAUAUCUUUUCUUCUAGAUGAUUGAUGAUUCGAGGCGGUUGGCACGAAUAUGGCUUAUGGUGGCAAAAGUUCCGAUAAUAGAUUAUUUUGUUAUCUUUAAAAUAUUUCUUUUUUCAAGUUAAAUUAUCAAAAUCACUGGAUCAUUUGAAUUAUUAUAUAUGUUUAAUAAUUUAUAUAAUAGUGUUGAAUAUUCCUUAAAUUAUUUUAAUUUAGGAGUUAGUGGCACUCGAGUCGUUAAGGAUUCAGGUUGUCAUAGUUGUCCAAUUAGUAUCAGGAUUAAUUUAAGUCUCUCUUAUGGUAAAGAUCAUGAGUUCGAAUUCUUGGGACGCAAUAGAAAUCUAUUAGAGAUAGGAUGAAUUUAGGUUCUUCCAGAACGAACAAUACAUAAAUUAACGACUUUGGCAUAAAGAUCAGAUCGUCACAUAAUAUUGGGAUCCGAAACCACAUUAAUUGAAAGAUUAUCGAGAACAACCCUAAAUUUUCUCAUAUUGAACAAAAAUCCAUGUGUCCAUGUAUAAACAAAACAAUUGCAAAAGAACAAUUAAGAAAAUAUAAAGAAUAUUGCAAAAUCAUCUAAGGGUCACUACCUCCAAGUACCUUGGCCACCAGUGACUGGGUUUGGAGUAUAUUUUCCUUUUAUGCUUUCUGAUAAGUGUGUUUUUGCACACUUAUUGGGCACUUAAUUUGAUAUAAUUAUUGACGAAAAGAAUAGAAUUCUACUCAUAGUUAAGUAAUAUUCACUUUUGUAGGUAAAAAUCACCUAAAGAAAAGAGAACAAGGCAAAAGGAAGAAAAAUGAGGAAAAAGGACUAAAAUUGUACAAAAUUGUGAAGUUGGAGGCCAAGGAAAACAAGUCAAAAAGUGGAGGAUUUGAGAUGCAAUUUAUGGAGGGCAAAAUCGAAUUGGAAGUCAAAAUUCGAGGACCAAAUUGUACAAAAUUAAAGUUGAGGGACUAGCAUGCAAAUAUUUGAAACUUGGCUUCAAAAAGAAAACCAUUUUCAUGGUUUUGGACAGAGAACCAGGCACCGAGGCGCCCAUUUUAAAAGAAAAAAUGAGUUGGGGACCUUUUUGUUCACUUUUGAAACUUCAGGGACCAAGGCUGCAAUUUUCCUAGGUUUUAAUAUAAAACCAGCAGCUGAGUUUUCAUUUGCAGUUCUUCAGUUCGAUCUUCUGCUGGGUUCUGUUUUCUGCUGGGUUCUUUCUUUUUUUUCAUUUUGCUUUCAUUUUCUUUUCUUUUUCUUGGUUAUUUUGGAGAUAUAACAUAGAGUAACAGGGAGAUAACAUCAAGGAUUUGGCAAAGCAUUUGGGGAAAAUCAUAGUCAAUCUACAAAAAAGGGUUUUAUCUAUAUCUUUGUAUUUUCUUCAUCAUUUAGCCUUAUUUGUAAUACAUUUGAUGAAUAUUCUCCUUGAUUAUCAUUUAUUUAACAUGGGCUAAGUAUUUUGUUGGGAUUUAUGGUAGUAGCUUGACAUAGGUUUAAUUGAUUUUCAAUAUUUGCUAUUUGAUAUUAAAUUGCCCAUUUCCAUGUGUUUCUAUUAUUAUAUUUAUUGCAUUUUCAUUUAUGUGGCCAAUGAAUGAAUAUGUUUCGUGAAGUGUACAUAGUUCGAGAGAAGAUUGUGUAUUUUAGACCAAAUGGUAGAAACUCUAGGUUUGUAUAGAGGAUAGAUAUAUAUCUUUAGCCCUAUGUGACCCAAUGAGCUAUUUUCAUAACAAUUUAAUGCUGUUAUUUAGUUGUAAUCGACAUAGAGAUAUAAUAGGUUAAACCAAUCAAUUAUGGUUAAUUUCACUCGAGAGAGGUAAUUAGCUAAAAUUGAAGAAUCGGAUCUAACAUCGUAAAUGAGUAAUUCGUUAAUUGGCAUAUGGAGAAAUUAAUUAGGCGACGGCUAAGCGAAACCAUGAAUCUCAAUCACGUUUUCCUCCAAAAUUCCCAAGAUUUCCAUAUUUUCCUAUUUUGUAUUUUUUUUUCUUUAGUUUCUAAAAUCAACUCUUUGUUGUGUAUUUGUUUAUUUUCAUUGUUAGAAUUAAAUUGAUUAAAGUUGUGUAAUUUAAAUUAAACAUUCCUCGAGGGAUCGACAACUCGGACUUCAAAUGUCCACUUUAUUACUUGAACGCGACCCGUGCACUUGCAGUAUGAUUUUAGCGAACAAGUUUUUGGCGCCGUUGCUGGUGAAUGUUUUAUUUCAAUUAUCAUCUUUUGUUGAUUCUAAUUUUUACAAGUUUCGUUCUUUUUUUCUUUUGCAUAGCUUUUAUAUAUUUAUUGUGUAAUUAACUUUUAACCUUAGGUCUUUGGUGGUGCAUGCUUCGUUCGAGAAGUUUUGAUCUUUUCGAGCUUGAUCCGGAUAUUGAAAAACCUUUCCAAAGAAGGCGACGGGAACAAAGGGAAUUGAGAAGGCAACAAUUGAUUGAGAUGACACACCAAGGGAGUAAUUUGGAACAUAAUGCUCAACCGGAAAAUGUUCCUCGAGGCGGCAUUCCACCGGGUUUUGGUAACCAAGCGGGUAGAGUUCAAGAGCCUAUUGUAAAUGAGGAAGAUAUACUGUUUGGGAACUUCAUGAACCCACCCGUAGUAGAGAAUGAAUCAAGUAUUGUUUACCCUCCAUAUUGACAUCCAAACUUUCAACUUCGUCCGGAUGUUAUUAGUUUGUUCUCCAAUACCAUUCCAUUCUAUGGAAGGAUUGAUGAGAACCCUCACUCACAUGUUGCACGAUUCAUAGAGAAUGUUGAAAAUUUUAAAUAUGAAGGCGUAAAUGUGGAGACGAUCCGGAUGAGGUUAUUUGUUCACACAUUGAAGGAUAAGGCAAGGGAAUGGCUUGAGACUCUACCGCCCAGAAGUAUAAAUAGUUGGUUGGAAUUUAUUCAAAAAUUCACAGCCAAAUUCUUUCCACCCGCCUGAGUAGCCAAACUCAAGCAUGACAUAACCACUUUCCAACAAUCCGAAUUUGAGAGCUUUCACGAGGCUUGAGAAAGGUUCAAGGAUAUGCUUCGAAAAUGUCCAAAUCAUGGAAUCACAAUGGGGCAACAAGUGAAUCAUUUUUAUGCCGGGUUGACUCCUUCUUGCCGUUCAAAUGUGGAUUCAUCAUCUAAUGGCUCAAUCAAGAAGAAGAAUAUUCGGGAAGCAUAUGAUCUAUUUAAGGUCAUGAGUGAACAAAGUGCUAUGUGGCCGGAUAGAGGUUCACAAAGAGGGGUUGGUGGAGUUCGAGAUGGUGAAGCUUUCUCAAUGGUUCUAGCAAAGAUCGACUCACUAGCAAAGAAGGUAGAAGGACUUUCUUCAUCUACCUCGAGCUCUCAUUCCGCUCAUAUGGUACAAUCUCCACCUAUUUGUGAUAUUUGUGAACCAAAUCACCGAAGCCCGAGUUGUCCAUUGAUAGGUAGUGGUUCAGCAUCUACCGAGCAAGUGGUAUAUACUCAAAACUUUCAACGCCAAGGAUACAAUCCUUAUUCGCAAACUUAUAACCCCAGUUGGUGAAAUCAUCCGAACUUUUCUUAUGGAAAUAAUCAAAAUGUGCUCAACUCGAAGCCACAAGAGAAAAAAAAGGUUGGGAAGAGGCUAUUGCUAAGUUGGCAAACCAUCAAUUAUAAUAUUAAGAAAGCAAUGAUGCCUCUUUGAAAAACUUGGAAUGUCAAGUGGGUCAAAUUGCCAAGCUUAUCUUCGAAAGGCAAUAGCGGGCAUUGCCUAGCAACACCGAAACAAAUCCAAGGGAGAAUGUACAAGCUAUUACCACUAGAAGUGGGGUGCAAUUGCCCGAAAUCACGGUGACACGCCCUAAGGGUCAAACCGACAAGACACCCAUUGAAGAAGAAAGGAUUAUGCAAGAACCUAGUCCAAAGGACGAGACACUAAUUGAAGAAGAAUCGGAGCCAUCAACAUCAAAGGCUCCAAUACCGGUCAAAGCCUAUGUGCCUCAUAUUCCCUUCCCACAAAGGCUUCACAAACAGAAAUUGGAUGCUCAAUUUGGAAACUUUUUGGAGAUAUUCAAGAAGCUACACAUAAACAUUCCAUUUGCCGAUGCAUUAGCUCAAAUGCCGAAUUAUGCCAAAUUUAUGAAGGACAUUCUUUCAAACAAAAGGAAACUAGAAGAACAUGAGACAGUAAUGCUAACGGAAGAGUGUAGUGCUAUCCUUCAGAAGAAGCUACCACCGAAAAUCAAAGAUCCAGGGAGUUUUACUAUUCCAUGCACUAUUGGAGAUUUAAAUUUUAGUAAAGCUUUAUGUGAGCUUGGUGCCAGUAUUAGUUUGAUGCCUUUGUCUAUUUUCAAGAAGCUGGGAUUGGGAGAAGCUAAGGCCACCACUGUAUCAUUACAAUUGGCUGAUUGAUCAAUUAAAUAUCCUCGGGGUGUCAUUGAGGAUGUAUUGGUCAAGGUGGACAAAUUCAUAUUUCCAGCUGAUUUCAUAAUUCUUGACAUGGAAGAGGAUCAUGACAUCCCUAUCAUUUUAAGACGACCAUUUCUUGCCACCGGUCGAGCUUUGAUUGAUGUGCAAAAGGGGCAGCUCGUUCUAAGAGUCCAAGAUGAAAAAGUUACAUUCAAUAUCUUGAAGGCCAUCAAGUAUCCAUCGGAAUCUGAUUCAUGCCUUCGAGUGGAUGUUGUUGAUCAUGUGGUUGCCGAGUCUUUUUACAGGCUUUCUAAGGAUCCUCUAGAAGCAUGUCUUGUUUAUCCUUUGGCUAUCAAAGAGGAAGACCCUAAAGUUGAGCAUAUGGUACACUAUUUGGAGGCUACACCUUCUCGGUCUUAUAAGAGAGCACCAAAUUAUGAGGACUUGGAAAAGAGCUCUUCACCACCACUGCCAUUUCUUCAGCAGACACCUAUACUUGAUUUGAAGCCUCUUCCAUCUCAUUUGAGGUAUGCUUAUUUGGGAGAGUCAUCUAUGCUUCCGGUUAUCAUUGCUAAUUUCUUAAAUGAAUUGGAUGAAGAGAAGUAACUCGGGUGUUAAGGGAGUACAAGGGAGCCAUUGGUUGGACUAUUACAGACAUUAAGGGAAUUAGUCCUUCACUAUGCAUGCAAAAAAUCCUUAUGGAGGAUGAUUUCAAAUCAUCAGUGGAGCAUCAAAGGCAAUUGAACCCCAACAUGAAAGAAGUGGUAAAGUAGCUUGAUGCGGGCAUUAUUUAUCCGAUUUCAGAUAGUACAUGGGUGAGCCCCGUUCAAGAGGUGCCAAAGAAAGGAGGUGUCACGGUUGUGGAAAAUGAGGAUAAUGUACUUAUACCUACUAGACCCGUGAUCGGUUGGAGGGUAUACAUAGAUUACCGCAAGCUUAACAAGACUACAGGGAAUGAUCACUUUCCUCUUCCUUUUAUUGAUCAAAUGCUUGAGCGGUUAGCGGGGUAUUCUCAUUAUUGUUUUUUGGAUGGGUAUUCAGGCUAUAAUCAAAUUCCUAUAGCCCCAGAGGAUUAAGAGAAAACCACCUUCACAUGCUCAUAUGAUAUAUUUGCAUAUAGAAAGAUGCCCUUUGACCUUUGCAACGCACCCGCCACUUUCUAAAGGUGUAUGAUGGCUAUAUUCUCCGACAUGGUGGAGAAAUUUACUGAGGUUUUUAUGGAUGACUUCUCGGUAUGUGGGGCCUCAUUUGAUGGAUGUUUGAGCAAUUUAGAGAUAGUGUUGAAAAGAUGUGAGGAGACAAAUUUAGUACUUAAUUGAGAAAAAUAUCAUUUCAUGGUCCAGGAAGGCAUAGUUUUCGGCCAUCGGAUUUCACGUAAAGGGAUAGAGGUUUACAAGGCAAAAAUCCAAGUCAUUGAGAAAUUACCUCUACAUACCUUGGUGAAAGGGAUAAGGAGUUUUUUGGGGCAUGCCGAAUUUUAUAGGAGGUUUAUCAUGGACUUUUUGAAGAUCACAAAUCCACUUUGCUCCUUACUUGAGAAGAACACUCCAUUUGAUUUCUCUCAAGAGUGCCUCCAUGCUUUUAACACUCUUAAAGAGAAACUCAUCACGGCUCCUAUCAUUGUAGCUCCGGAUUGGAAUUUACCAUUUGAGCUUAUGUGCGAUGCAAGCGAUUAUGCCGUUGGAGCAGUUUUAGGGCAAAGGAGAAAUAAAAUCUUGCAUGUUAUUUACUAUGCUAGCCGGACUUUGACUGAUGCUCAACUGAACUAUGCCGUUACUGAAAAAGAGAUGCUCGCAGUGGUAUUUGCAUUUGAUAAAUUUCGAUCUUACCUCAUUGGAUCGAAAGUGAUUGUUUACAGGGACCACUCAGCCCUCAAGUAUUUGCUAGCAAAGAAAGAUGCCAAACCUCGGUUAAUUAGAUGGGUCCUUCUUCUACAAGAGUUUGACUUGGAAAUUCACGAUAAAAAAGGGACCGAAAAUGUUGUUGCCGAUCAUCUGUCUCGACUUGAGAAAACCAAAGAGGUAGUGGAUAGGGAGAUAAAUGAGGUAUUUCCCGAUGAACAACUCUUGCAAAUUAUGCAUCUUCUACAAGCCACCCAUAUACCAUGGUAUGCGGACCAUGUGAACUUUCUUGCUAGUGGCAUCAUUCCCUCGGAUCUCUCUUACCAACAAAGGAAGAAGUUCUUUGCCGAUAUCAAGCAUUAUUUUUGGAACGAUCCAUUGUUGUUCAAACAGAGCCCGGAUCAAAUUAUACGGAGAUGUGUGCGGAAGAUGAAAUGGAGCAAAUCCUUGAACAAUGUCAUUCCUCACCCUAUGUUGGUCACUUUGAGGCCCUGAAAAUCGCAUCAAAGGUACUUCAAUUCGAUUUUUAUUGGCCUACAUUAUUCAAAGAUGCUCAUAUUCUUGUCUCCAAGUGCGACAAAUGCCAACGCAGUGGUAAUAUUUCCAACCGAAAUGAAAUGCCUUUGAAUUUUAUAUUAGAGGUGGAAAUUUUUUAUGUAUGGGGUAUUGAUUUUAUGGGACCUUUUCCUCCUUCAUUCUCAAAUCAAUACAUAUUGGUAGCGGUUGAUUAUGUGUCAAAGUGGGUAGAAGCGGUGACUUUGCCCACUAAUAACGCUCGGGUAGUAGUAAACUUUUUAAAGAAAAAUAUUUUCUCUCGCUAUGGCACCCCCCGAGCUAUCAUUAUGGAGGUAAAAAUUUUUGUAAUCGCCUCUUCGACUCAGUAUUGACCAAAUAUGGAGUAAAGUAUCGUGUAGCCACUCCCUAUCAUCCCCAAACUAGUGGCCAAGUUGAAAUUUCGAAUCGGGAGUUGAAGAGGAUUCUUGAAUUGACGGUGAGUGCCUCUAGAAAAGAUUGGUCCAAGAAAUUGGAUGAUGCAUUAUGGGCUUAUUGUACCGCGUUCAAAAUGCCCAUUGGUAUGUCUCCCUAUCGUCUUUUGUUUGGAAAAGCUUGCCACCUCCCAGUAGAACUUGAGCAUCAAGCUUAUUGGACAGUGAAAGCUUUGAAUUUUGAUGUGAAAUUGGCCGAUGAGAAAAGAUUGCUCCAAUUGAAUGAACUGGAUGAAGUCCGCCUUGACUCUUAUGAGAAUGCUCAAAUUUACAAAGAAGAGACAAAGAAAUGGCAUGAUAAACACAUUGUGAAAUGCGAGUUCUUUGUUGGGCAACAAGUUCUUCUCUACAAUUCUCGACUCCGAUUGUUUCCCGGAAAGCUCCGCUCAAGAUGGUCUGGUCCUUUUACCAUUGCUAAGAUUUUUCGACAUGGAGCAAUUGAACUUCAUCAUGAGGAAAAGGGAAAUUUCAAGGUUAACGGGCAACGAUUGAAACCAUACUUUGAAGGUGAUUUUUCUAAGGAGAAGUCCUCCAUUCCUCUUGCCAAUUUGGAGUGAACAAGGCCUAUAGUCGAGCUAGGGACUAUAACCAAGCGCUUUUUGGGAUGCAACCCAACUUUCUUAUCCUUAUACUUUUGUUAUUACAUUUUGAAUUAAUACAAUUCUUUUGUAGGUCAAAAUUUUUGUAGUCCUAGCCACCCAUAGAUCUCAACAAAUUUGGGGGUGCCUGGUCCCCAAAGUCAUAAACAAAAAAUUCAUCUACAACAUCCUUCAAAAAAAUCUAAUCGGCGAAGUUUCGUUAUCCCUCUCCUCUUUAUCUUGUUUUUUACACAUUGAGGACAAUGUGUGGUUUAAGUUUGGAGGUGAUUGUGCUUGAAUUGGUGAUAUUAUGUUGAUGUGCUAGAUAGCCUUGCCGGCUUUGCAUGGUUUUGAUGUUUGAAAUUGUUAUUGAUUCAUGAGUUAUGCAUAUAUGACCAAAUAUGCUAUUUGUGCGUAAUUUUUUCCCAAAAAAAAUAAAAAUUGCUUAUCUAUUGUGAGAUUUUGAAUUACUUUGGGCACAAUAGUCAUGAUUAAUUGUUAUCUAGAUGUGGAAAAUUUUUGAUUGAAGGAUAUAUUUUUGAAUUGCUUGAACUAGGUUGUGACUUGUAAGUUGUUUGGAAAUUUUUAUCAAUCUGUAUUCUCUUUUCUUUCACUUUAUCAUAUUAUGAGAUAAGUUUGGAGGUGGUCGAGCCGGUGAAGAAGAUUAUCUAGAAGUGUGUGAUUUCGUGCAUGUUGAAAAUAUUUGUGUAGAGUGUCUGUUACCGAGUAUAAGCUAGGUAAUGACCAUAUGCUAGGGAUCUAAGCCCCAUUUUUGUUGUGUUAAAAAAAAAUGGAGUUAUUGUACUUGUUGAAUCUUGGGCCUCACUUUGUAGCCUUUUUGACUUGAGUUAUUAAGUGCGUAGGGGUAUUUUGUAACCCGGUACCCUUUGGCCUAAACAACCGGAGAGUUAUCGACCUAAAGCUCGCUACAAGGGUCAAAAAAAAAGUUUAAGGGAGUGAGGUAAAACAUGGGAUUCGGCUAAAAAGGAAAAAAAAAAAAAAAAAAAGAGAAAAAAAUGUUAUUGAUAUUUGGGCUUAGAUAACUAGUGAGUUUGAAUUGCUUAGUAUAAACUUGAAUGUGAAAGCACUCAUUAGUAGAGAAUCAUCACAUAACUAGAGAUUGAUAUUACUAGUUAGACCCAAUCGAACUAGAGCGGGAAAAGAAAUGAGUGACUUGAGAGCAGCCUUAUAUUUACACCUCGGGGAAAGAAAUGAAUAUCUAUUUGAGGAGUGUAAAUUCCACGAGUGGGAAAGGAAAUAUUUGACUACAAAGGGUUGGGUUGGAGAGAAUCUGAAGAUUUUUCCGUCUUGACAAAUUUUUCCUAAUUUAGAUGAUAAUUGAAAGUGAUUUUACACAUAUACACCGAUCGAACAUUGGAUAAACUCAAAUUAUUUUUGUUAGCAUUAUUUGGAGCAUAUUUGUGAAUUGAUUAUACAAUUUUACACUCAUUGAUAUUUUUGGCAAGCUAUUUAGUGUGUUGACCAUGAUCACUUUUGCUUGAUUGUGUGGUAGAUAAUCUUGCUCGGGACGAGCAAGAGUUUAAGUUUGAGGGUGUGAUAAGUGUGUUUUUGCACACUUAUUGGGCACUUAAUUUGAUAUAAUUAUUGGUAAAAAGAAUGAAAUUCUACUCAUAGUUAAAUAAUAUUUGCUUUUGUAGGUAAAAAUCACCCAAAGAAAAGAGAACAAGGCAAAAGGAGGAAAAAUGACUAAAAUUGUACAAAAUUGUGAAGUUGGAGGCUAAGGCAAAGAAGUCAAAAAGUGGAGGAUUUGGGAUGCAAUUUAUGGAGGGCAAAAUCGAAAUGGAAGUCAAAAUCCGAGGACCAAAUUGUACAAAAUCAAAGUAGAGGAACUAGCAUGCAAUGUUUGAAACUUGGCUGCAAAAAGAAAACCAUUUUCAUGCUUUUGGACAGAGAACCAGGCGCCGCGGCACCCAUUUUAAAAGAAAAAAUGAGUUGGGGGACCUUUUUGUUAACUUUAGAAACUUCAGGGACCAAGGCUGCAAUUUUCCUAGUUUCUAAUAUAAAACCAGCAGCUGAGUUUUUAUUUGCAGCUCUUCAGUUUGGUCUUCUGCUGGGUUUUUUUUUUUUUUUUUUUUUUUUUUUUUUUUUUUUUUUUUUUUUUUUUUUUUUUUUUUUUUUUUUUUUUUUUUUUUUGGUAUUAAAAAAAAAAAAAAAAAAAAAGGGAUUGAAGUUGGAUGAAUUCUUGAAUUCAGGGACCAAUGUAUUGAGUUUGAAAGUAGAAGAGCCUAACAUGCAAUAUUAAAGGACUUGUGACUAAAUUACACAAACCUGUAAAAAGUCGACCCUUGCGAUCACAAGGGUAUAUUUAGUUGCGGUCGCAAAGACUUUUGCAGAAUUGCUUGUGAGAUAUAGUAGGUUAAAUCAAUCAAUUAGGGUUUAUUUCACUCGAGAGAGAUAAUUAGUUAAAAUUGAAAAAUCGGGUCUAACAUCGUAAAUGAGUAAUUCGUUAAUUGACAUAUGAAGAAAUUAAUUAGGCGACGGUUAAGCGAAACCAUGAAUCCCAACCACGUUUUCCUCCAAAAUUCCCAAGAUUUCCAUAUUUUCCUAGUUUGCGUUUUUUUCUUAGUUUCUAAAAUCAACUCUUUAUUGUGUGUUUGUUUAUUUUCAUUGUUAGAAUUAAAUUGAUUAAAAUUGUCUAAUAUAAAGUAAACAUUUCUCGAGGAUCGACAACCCGAACUUCAAAGGUCCACUUUAUUACUUGAACGCGACCCGUGCAUUUGCGGUAUUAUUUUAGCAAACACUUUCCUUUUAUUUUCUUGAUUUUAUGUUUCUCUUUUUUAGCGGACUUAAUAGCCAUUUUGCACGGAUUUGUUAGUGAGGAGUAUUUCCAAAAUAAAAAUGAAGGGUCGAAGACUGUGAUGCAAAUAAAUGAAGUUUGAGGAUAUAAAUGCAUAAGGAGUUGAAGAUUGAGAAUGUGGCUUAAAUUUUCCAAUAUUAAAAAGAAAAUGUUUUGCCCAAGUCAUUUUCUUGACUACUGUCAAGGAAAAAAAAAUAAAUAAAUCUUUUUGCGUUGAAAUUUGACUCCACAUUGUAGGAACUGUAUGGUCCACCCAUGUGAAAUCCAUUGAGUGCCAAAUCAGAGUUCCCGACAAAUUGUCGUAUGCCCAACAUGAUACAUGAUCUACAAUGUGUUACAAAUUGCCCCUGUAGACAUGUAUGUUUAAUCAAUAAAAAAAAAAGUCUGAAAUUUCCUCAAAUUCAAUAAUGAAUUCUUAAAUCAAAUCUGAAUAAUGAAUUUUCAAUCUUUUGAAUUACAAAAUUCGAAUUUUGAUCUCUAGAACUUGAUGAUUUUAACUUGCCAUUUCUAUAUAGUAUUACGUGUCAAACAUGCAAUGAUUUCAUACUUAUUCGUCCUUAUACUACAUCCUCAACUCUCUCCAUCAAAUUCUUCAUCUAUUCUUGCAAAAUAUAUUGUAGCUUAAAGUUAAACCGGUUUCAAGCAUAAUUUAUCGCUCGGGAAUUAUUCACUCAUAAAUAGAAUAUCUGCAAAUCUUGUAUUUUUGUGAAUUUAGUUAUUUUGUUAAUUGAGAAUAAGAUGAAUGAUAAUCUUCUUGGGAGAUCAUUCUUAUGUGAAAUUCAUACAAAUGUCUUGAGUGCUAUUUUCACCUUCACUCAUUUAUUAAAUAUUACAAGUUCUAGCUUUCAUAGGAAAAUAUAUUUUACUUGGUGUGCUGAAGAUAUUCUUCAACCUUCAGUAAAGUGGGGUUCUAGGUUCUCGACCCAAUUAAAUUUGGAAAUUACAUAAAUUGUUAACGUGAACGUCAAAACUGGACAUGACUUAAAAUUGAAUGUAAAGUGGUUUGAUGCUUUGCUCUCCAACUUUAAAUUACAUAAAAGUCAAGCAAUUCUAAUUUUCACAAUGACGAGUUUUUGCCACAUGGCGAUCCAAAUUCACAUAUUUAAAUACGUUGGGUACCCACGAUAGGGAUGACAACGGGAGAGAUGAGACGGGAUGGGAAGCCGCUAGGGAUUCGUCACGCCCUGUCCAAACCUUGAUCCCAGCUUAAGGUGGGGCGGUUGCAGGGGAUAGGGCAAUAUGGAUGGGAUGCCUCCUCUAUGCACAUAUUGUCCGUUUAAUUUUAUUUAAAUCAUAAGCCUUAGAUAUCUCUUUUUAAUUUUCACGCACUAACACAUACUAAAUGCCCACGUCAAUGGCUGCAAAAAUAGGGUCGGCCCUAAUAUUUUGGGGGCCUUAUGUCAAUUUCAAAUUGGGGCCCUAUAUUUUGAAUUUUCUUAUAUAGAGUUUUAGCCCCUGUUUGAUGAAGAUUAAGCCAUUGUUUGAGACUCAUUUUUUUCAUAAAAAUAUAUUUUUCAACAAUGAUUUGACACCACCAUGUCAACAUAUAUUUUUCAAUAAAAUAAUAUUACAUGCAAAUUCAAAAAUUUUCCUUAUUUUUUAAUCACACAUUCUCCAUCGUAUCACUUUCUCAAAAUGCAAUUUUUUUGGAGAAAAAUGAGGCUCAAAGGCUCAAACAACCCCUAAAAUAGAAUUUUCAUUUUUUUUUUCAAAAUGCAUUAUUAUUUUCUUAUGUUUGCAUAUGAUACUUCUAUACUACAGAAUUUCAUAAAUAUAAUUUUCAUUUUUUUUUCAACCAACAAAUUAACUUUACAUAAUUUGGGCCUCACUUAGGUGAUCGCCUAUUUCGUCUAUACUUAGGGCCACCACUGUGCAAAAACAACACAAGCCACCAAAUUUUGUGGUAAACACUGCAAGAAGAGGAGAACCCUAAACAAAGAGAGGUAAUGCUAAGAGGAACUCAUAAAUACGGAAUGGGGUGGAGAAGACAUGGCUGCUAGUUAAAGGAGAUGUGAUUGUGAGUCUCCAUCCUGUGCAACGAAGUCAUGACAUUGAUACCCAUCAACGUCGAUAGCUAGGGGCUGCUACAACGUGGUGCUAAGAAAUUGGGGGGGGGGGGUUUGGAAAUUUUGAAAUGUCUACGCUUUGUGUAAUGCACGUGCUUAUUUUUUGUGAUUAUCAUGUUUAUCUAAAUUAGUUGCGUUUAUGUUACAUUUACUAUUAAAUUAUUAUAAUUAUCAUAGUCGUGAUUAAUUAUGUUGAUAUAGUGGAAUGUGCCUUGGAUCAAAGUCGUGAUUAAUUAUGUUGAUACAGUGGAAUGUGCCUUGGACACUCUAUGCGAUCGACAUGCCUAUAGCUCCAAACUUAAAAUACAUAUGACUCUAUUUAAAUAUGCAAUUUAAUAUAAUUUGACGCCGUAUCACAUUCCUAUUAAUUUAAUUGUAUUGUCUAUAAUUAAUUUUAUUUAGUUAGAUUAAAUUAUAUAACGUAUUUAUCCUAUUAUGUACAAUCUCUUUUUUAGAUUGAACCUAGACAUUGAGUUGGAAGAUUUCUUUUUAUAAGUAAAUAAAUAAAUAAAAAUAAUAAUGAUAUAUAGUUAAUAAUUGAAUUAAUUUUCUAAUAGGAUCAAUUUAAGGUUAAGGAAGUUAAUAUAGAUAAAUAAGGAGGCGUAAUUUGUUAGAUUAGUACAAAUUAAACUAAAUAAACGCCAGUAGGUUUAGGAGUCUACAUAGUUGCCUUAUUUCACAUCUUUUUAAAAUUAAGUAGAAACUCUUUUUCCUGCCAAAAGUUUAAUUUCAAUUUCUUAUUUUGGGACUAGUAUGCUCUUGCAAUAAGGUAUGGUUCAUAAUUUAUUCAUGAUAUAAUCUAUCGGUUAACCUAUGUGUUUAAUUCUCUCUCUCUCUCUCUCUCUCUCUCUCUACACUACCAUAAAAGAGAGAAUGAGGGUUUACUGUUUAUUUUUGUCACACUCGUUUUCACACUUAACCGGUUUGGGAACUGGUUUGACAACAAGAAAAAUUCUAUUAAAAAAUACUAUAGGAAUUUUGUCAGGAAAAAUUCUAUUCAAAAUACUGUAGGAAUUUUGUCACACACCAUUGUCUACUGUAAUAUUUCUCCCUUGCUUUGAAUCUGACACACCAUGCUCUUUCUCCUAAUUCUCAAGCUAUAAACUACAAACUAUAUCUUAUAUAUUUAAAUUUUUUAAAUUAUAUUAAUAAACAAAAUUAUUGUAAAUAAACUAUAAAAAAAAUAUAUUCACUCUGUGCAUGGAGAAAAAAAUUUACGUCAUACUACAUAAUUUUUUUUGAGCAAAAUGAUGUAUUGAGAAAAUUGUUGGGAAAAAAUAAUAAAUAGUAAUAAAAUAAUUGAUUUUUUUAAAAGAAAAAUGACUUAUACGCAUUUUUUAACACAUACGUUUAAUGUCCGUUUAACUAUUUUCGAUAUUCAUUUAGAUCAUUCGAUGUGUCUAUGAUAUAGUUCUUGAAAUGAGUUUCGAGAGAAUGUAAAAUAUUUAUCGAUUCGACUAUCGUGCAAUCGUCAAUGAAUUUUUAAAGUUAACUCAUUAUCGAAAAUUUCGAAAUAUAGUUUGAAAAUGCCUAUUUUGACGUCCCGUAACAUUUGCUACGAUUAGCCGUUUCACGCAUCGUUAACGACAUGCAAUACUAUGCCGCAAGUACUUCAAAAUGAUAUUAAGAAUGUAAUAUUUCAAUUUCGUUUGAUAUCCCGUAAUGAGCCUGAGAUGAAUACAAAAACAUAAAUUAAAAAAAAAAAUUAGCAAACCUCCGUGCACGGAGGUUAAACCUCCAUACACGAAGGUUUAUGCGUGCGGGGAGUCCCCGCACAAAUAUGCAAUUUUUUUUUUUACUUUUAUUUGUAGUACAUUUUUUUAUUAAUAUUUAAUUUAAAAAAAUUAAAUAUAUCUAAAUAUUUACUUAAAAAUGUUGAAAUUAAUAUUUUUUACGUAUAAGUAACUUUUACAAUUAUAAUUUUUUUUAUUACUUUUAAAUAACUUGAAGUGAUUUGUUUAUUUAUAAAUAACUUUUUACAUUCUCGAUAGUUUAAUCUUUUUAUUAAUAUUUAAUUUUAAAAACUAAAUAUAUCUAAAUAUUUGUACUUAAAAAAUUCACAUUUUUUUAUAUAAGUAGCUUUUGCAAUUAUAAGAGAAUGAGGGAUUAAUAUUUUUUUAUCUUUUAGAUAGUGUAAUCUCUUUUUUUACUUUUAAAUAACUUAACCGAUUUGGGAACUGGUUUGGUAACAGGAAAAAUUCUAUUCAAAAAUACUGUAGAAAUUUGUCACAUGCCAUUUGAGUGCAAUGUCACAUCCACUGCAAUAUUUCUCUCUUACUUUGAAUCUGACACACCAUGCUCUUUCUCUUAAUUCUCACGUUAUUAACUAUUAAUCAUAUCCUAUAUAUUUAAUUUUUUAAAAUUAUAUUAAUAGAAAAACUUAUUGUAAAUAAAAUGUAAAAAAAAAAAUAUAUAUAUAUAUAUAUUCACUCCGUGCAUGAAGAAAUUUUUUUACGUCAUACCACAUAAGUUUUCUUAAGCAAAAUGAUGUAUUGAGAAAAUUAUUGCGAAAAAAUAAUAAAUAGUAAUAAAAUAAUUGAUUUUUUUUGAAGAAAAACGAUUUAUACGCAUUUUUUAACACAUAUGUUUAAUGUGCGUUUAACUAUUUUUGAUAUUAAUUUACAUCAUUUGAUGUGUUUAUGAUAUAUUUCUCGAAAUGAGUUUCGAGAGAAUGUAAAACAUUUAUUGAUUUGACUAUCGUAUAGUGGUAGAUGAAUUUUUAAAGUUAGCUUAUUAUCGAAAAUUUCGAAAUACAGUUUGAAAAUGUCUAUUUUGACGUCCCGUGACAUUUGCUACGAUUAGCCGUUUCACGCACCGCUAAUGACGUGCAAUACUAUAUCGCAAGUACUUUAAUAUGAUAUUAAGAAUAUAAUAUUUUAAUUUCGUUUGAUAUCCCCUAAUGAGUCUAAAAAUGAACAUAAAAACAUAAGCUAAAAAAAAAUGAAGCAACAUGUAUUAAACCUCCUCAUGUCCUCGGUGCACGCACCAAUCCGAUUUUUGGUUACCCAUUUUCUCCACCACUUAACCCUAAUUGUUCUCUCUCUCUCUCUCUCUCGAUCGGCACCAUUGUAGCAAGAAAUUCUGGAAAACCUGAAGCAACUGAGACAUAUACUUGUAAGUCUAAUCAUCACUGCUUCGACUUCUUUCUCUUCUCUUCUGUAUAUUGCUUCUAAUUUGUCGAGUUGUAUUGUUCAAUAUAUUCUUAGUUUUCAAUUUUUUUUUUUUUUUUUUGUUUUUUGAAGAGUUCAAGCCCAAAUACGUAAAGUCAUGUUUCAAGGGGGGGUUAGGUUUGGGUUGUUGUGUAUAUGUUUUUCAAUUUAUAUAGCUGUGGUAUUGAAUAUGAGAUUUCUUGUCCAAUUUGCUUUUUUUUUUGUUCCCCGUUUUCCUUCUUCUGAGAGGUCGAACCCAAAAUACCUAAAGUCUAUUAUUUUCAUGUUGUUAUUAUUUUUUUCUAUUAUUAUUUUCAUGUUAUUAUUAUUAUUUUUUUUUGUUCAAUUUCUUCGUGUUGUGUAUAAGUUUUUUUUUAUUUCUGCAGCCGUCAUGUUGAAUAUGAGAUUUUUUGUUCAAUCUGUGUUUUUUUCCUCAUUUUUUGUAAGAAACUGAACUGAAAAGACAUAUAAUUUGUUCUUCCCAUGUUUGGCUCUUUGAUUAUAUUUAACUUUAAGAAGGAGAACAAAAUGUUUCAAGUCGGAUAAUUCAUUAAAUACCCAAAUGCAAAUUCCGAAAAAGGUUAUCAUUGCUUUUCACUUGCUGCAAUUGAUACACAUGAGUGCUUAAUUUGAUGUUUGUGAUUGACAGAUUUUGAUGAAUACUGUACUACCANNNNNNNNNNNNNNNNNNNNNNNNNNNNNNNNNNNNNNNNNNNNNNNNNNNNNNNNNNNNNNNNNNNNNNNNNNNNNNNNNNNNNNNNNNNNNNNNNNNNNNNNNNNNNNNNNNNNNNNNNNNNNNNNNNNNNNNNNNNNNNNNNNNNNNNNNNNNNNNNNNNNNNNNNNNNNNNNNNNNNNNNNNNNNNNNNNNNNNNNNNNNNNNNNNNNNNNNNNNNNNNNNNNNNNNNNNNNNNNNNNNNNNNNNNNNNNNNNNNNNNNNNNNNNNNNNNNNNNNNNNNNNNNNNNNNNNNNNNNNNNNNNNNNNNNNNNNNNNNNNNNNNNNNNNNNNNNNNNNNNNNNNNNNNNNNNNNNNNNNNNNNNNNNNNNNNNNNNNNNNNNNNNNNNNNNNNNNNNNNNNNNNNNNNNNNNNNNNNNNNNNNNNNNNNNNNNNNNNNNNNNNNNNNNNNNNNNNNNNNNNNNNNNNNNNNNNNNNNNNNNNNNNNNNNNNNNNNNNNNNNNNNNNNNNNNNNNNNNNNNNNNNNNNNNNNNNNNNNNNNNNNNNNNNNNNNNNNNNNNNNNNNNNNNNNNNNNNNNNNNNNNNNNNNNNNNNNNNNNNNNNNNNNNNNNNNNNNNNNNNNNNNNNNNNNNNNNNNNNNNNNNNNNNNNNNNNNNNNNNNNNNNNNNNNNNNNNNNNNNNNNNNNNNNNNNNNNNNNNNNNNNNNNNNNNNNNNNNNNNNNNNNNNNNNNNNNNNNNNNNNNNNNNNNNNNNNNNNNNNNNNNNNNNNNNNNNNNNNNNNNNNNNNNNNNNNNNNNNNNNNNNNNNNNNNNNNNNNNNNNNNNNNNNNNNNNNNNNNNNNNNNNNNNNNNNNNNNNNNNNNNNNNNNNNNNNNNNNNNNNNNNNNNNNNNNNNNNNNNNNNNNNNNNNNNNNNNNNNNNNNNNNNNNNNNNNNNNNNNNNNNNNNNNNNNNNNNNNNNNNNNNNNNNNNNNNNNNNNNNNNNNNNNNNNNNNNNNNNNNNNNNNNNNNNNNNNNNNNNNNNNNNNNNNNNNNNNNNNNNNNNNNNNNNNNNNNNNNNNNNNNNNNNNNNNNNNNNNNNNNNNNNNNNNNNNNNNNNNNNNNNNNNNNNNNNNNNNNNNNNNNNNNNNNNNNNNNNNNNNNNNNNNNNNNNNNNNNNNNNNNNNNNNNNNNNNNNNNNNNNNNNNNNNNNNNNNNNNNNNNNNNNNNNNNNNNNNNNNNNNNNNNNNNNNNNNNNNNNNNNNNNNNNNNNNNNNNNNNNNNNNNNNNNNNNNNNNNNNNNNNNNNNNNNNNNNNNNNNNNNNNNNNNNNNNNNNNNNNNNNNNNNNNNNNNNNNNNNNNNNNNNNNNNNNNNNNNNNNNNNNNNNNNNNNNNNNNNNNNNNNNNNNNNNNNNNNNNNNNNNNNNNNNNNNNNNNNNNNNNNNNNNNNNNNNNNNNNNNNNNNNNNNNNNNNNNNNNNNNNNNNNNNNNNNNNNNNNNNNNNNNNNNNNNNNNNNNNNNNNNNNNNNNNNNNNNNNNNNNNNNNNNNNNNNNNNNNNNNNNNNNNNNNNNNNNNNNNNNNNNNNNNNNNNNNNNNNNNNNNNNNNNNNNNNNNNNNNNNNNNNNNNNNNNNNNNNNNNNNNNNNNNNNNNNNNNNNNNNNNNNNNNNNNNNNNNNNNNNNNNNNNNNNNNNNNNNNNNNNNNNNNNNNNNNNNNNNNNNNNNNNNNNNNNNNNNNNNNNNNNNNNNNNNNNNNNNNNNNNNNNNNNNNNNNNNNNNNNNNNNNNNNNNNNNNNNNNNNNNNNNNNNNNNNNNNNNNNNNNNNNNNNNNNNNNNNNNNNNNNNNNNNNNNNNNNNNNNNNNNNNNNNNNNNNNNNNNNNNNNNNNNNNNNNNNNNNNNNNNNNNNNNNNNNNNNNNNNNNNNNNNNNNNNNNNNNNNNNNNNNNNNNNNNNNNNNNNNNNNNNNNNNNNNNNNNNNNNNNNNNNNNNNNNNNNNNNNNNNNNNNNNNNNNNNNNNNNNNNNNNNNNNNNNNNNNNNNNNNNNNNNNNNNNNNNNNNNNNNNNNNNNNNNNNNNNNNNNNNNNNNNNNNNNNNNNNNNNNNNNNNNNNNNNNNNNNNNNNNNNNNNNNNNNNNNNNNNNNNNNNNNNNNNNNNNNNNNNNNNNNNNNNNNNNNNNNNNNNNNNNNNNNNNNNNNNNNNNNNNNNNNNNNNNNNNNNNNNNNNNNNNNNNNNNNNNNNNNNNNNNNNNNNNNNNNNNNNNNNNNNNNNNNNNNNNNNNNNNNNNNNNNNNNNNNNNNNNNNNNNNNNNNNNNNNNNNNNNNNNNNNNNNNNNNNNNNNNNNNNNNNNNNNNNNNNNNNNNNNNNNNNNNNNNNNNNNNNNNNNNNNNNNNNNNNNNNNNNNNNNNNNNNNNNNNNNNNNNNNNNNNNNNNNNNNNNNNNNNNNNNNNNNNNNNNNNNNNNNNNNNNNNNNNNNNNNNNNNNNNNNNNNNNNNNNNNNNNNNNNNNNNNNNNNNNNNNNNNNNNNNNNNNNNNNNNNNNNNNNNNNNNNNNNNNNNNNNNNNNNNNNNNNNNNNNNNNNNNNNGAUUGAGCUGGUGUGACUGCAAUGGUAUAAUUAUUGCAUGUUUAAUUAUUGUACAUGCAUGUAUUAGCCAAUAAUUUUUGCUUCCCCAGAAAAUUCAACUGAUGGGGAUAAAUUGGAAAAACUUUCUCGUUGUCAUUUGCAUCAUCUGCAAUCAAGCGUUAGCAAGCGCAAUCGUGCUUGGUGUACAAUCAUUUUUACAAUAUUGUUGAUAACAUGCCAUGGGUCAUGUUGUCAUUGGAUAAUUUAAAAAACAAUUUAUAUUUCCUACUAACACUUUUAUGACAUAUACAACAUCGUCAACAAUGUUGUCAAAAAUCAUUGUACAAAUGGCAUUAUCCUAGCAAGAAACACAAGGCAUACGGUGAUGCAAAUAAUGGGCAUAAGCCAUUAGCAUACGGAGAAAAGCCAAGGAAGGCAGCAAACGUUCCUUUUGAUAUUUCCUUACUUGAUAAGUUGCUGUCAGCUUUCUUCCCUUCAUUUUUCUUCCUAAAAAAUAAUUUGUUAUUUGUACUCCUCAUACAUGUGGAAUUCAUGGAUCUUAGGAUAAUCCCAACGCCUAAAAUAUUCGUUGAUGACUUUUGCAUUCCCUAGGCUAAAUUUCACUGGUUUUGUUGAAGAUAUCUAUAUAUAUGUAGAUGAAUAAUACUAUUUUUUCGAGUGUAGAUGAUUUCCUUACGAUAGUAGAAUUUGUUGCUCAAUUCUACACUAAUGGUCAUUAGUUGCUUUCUUUGCCAUUUAUGCUUGUUUUCUUAUUAUAUUUCAUUUCGGGUUUAAUUUUAAUUUAGUGAUAUUAUGGUACAUGGUGUUUGUUAUACUGUGGCUAAGUUCUCAUUUUUAGGUACAUUUGGAUUCAUUAACAUUCUUUUACAUGGCUGUUCUUUAAAACUUAGCCAAAGAUGAUGUUGCAUGGUUGAAGUGGCAAGGUUUUCAUAUUUAGGUAGAAUCAUUUUUGUAUCUAAUACUAAGAGUUGUAACCAAAAUGGUUAAAGUAGGACAAAAGCUUUUACUUAGUGUUUCAUUAUGAUACAUGGAUUGAAAUUUAGAUCUAUCCUAUAACCUCUAUAACUGCAGAUAAUGUAUGUAUUAGAUAGUUUUCUCUUAUAAUUAAAUAUAUAUUAAAUUCUUUUGUCAAAGCAAUUAGUUACAAGGUGUAAGAAAUAUUAAUUUUGUAACAUAGAAUGGAGUUAAUUCGUGAAGUUUAUCAGUUAUUAAGUACUAUUAUUUUACAACAUGUUCAUUUUAAGAGAAUUGAUGUUACUUGAGAAAUUGAAGGAAUGCAUUUGUUGCGCCAAAAGGGGAUAAAGACUGAAUAGACAUAGGUAUUCUUUGACCUAACGAAAGAACUGAAAAAUACCAUGCAUGGUGUUUGAUUAAUAAAGUGCUUUCUCUGUGUUGUGGUAUAUCUUAUUGUCUGAUGCAGGCAAUAAGAUCACUAGGGAAAUGAGAGCUUUCCAAAAUACCAUAGAAUCUUGAAGGAAAUUCAAGUUUGAUUACUUCAGGUAUGUUAGUUUCUAUUUUUUGUUGUCAAUCUUCAAAUUGUUUGUUUUCUCUUUUCAGAAAAUUUAACAAACCGUUCCCAAAAUACCAGAAAAUUUCGACAAAAAUUGGACUCCGAGGACCUCGAGUAUCUUCCUUUAUUAUUUUUCUGUGUAUUUUUUGUUGAAUUAUCUUCAUAUCUACUCUGAAGUUUUCGUUCUUUUCCGUCUAUGUUUGAAGUUCUUUGCAAGGAAAGAAAAGAUUCACGUACAAAUUGAAGAGUAUCAAAAUAAGGUAUGUCGAUUUCAUAUUUGCCUUUAAUAAGGUAUGUCGAUUUCAUAUUUGCCUUUUUUUUUCUUUUUUUCAAAUAAAUCAUUCUCACUAUUUGUUAUCUGUUUGUAUUUUAUUUGAUUUCUCUAUUUCAUUUUAUUGCUUUUUGUUGGUUGUUUAACCUAUUCGGCGUUCGUCGCAACUUGUACAAAUAAACCAUGACAAGAAUAUUGUACUUGUAAAUAGGUAAUAUUAUUUCAUUUUUUAGAUAGUAAUUAUGAAUAGGGAGAGGAGAAAGCGAUUAAACUAUUCACAUUCUCCUCUGUGAUUCCUAACAACAAAGGACUGAUGACUCUAUCGAGAAACAAAAGUAGCAACUUCAGAAGGAAAGAAUUGAAUCAAAUUGCCAUUAAUUUUUUUUGGUAAUAAAUGAAUUAAAUUUCGGUUAUUUUGUUAAUUAAUUUAGUGUUGAUUGAUUUUUUUUUUUUACCGUAUUUUAUCUUUAAAUACAUAUGCAAUCAUUUGUGCCAAAAGACAAAAGUGAAAAUUGAUGGGGUUUUAUUUUUUUUUUUUUUAUUUUUUAAAUGGGUUUGCAUUGUGUUAGAAAUGGGAAGGAUUUUGACACCAAACCGUCUGAUUAUGGAGAAAAGAUAAUAAGUUAAGAAAGAACGGGAAGUUAUUUAAAAAAUUUCAAGUUUUUUCAUAUUAUGUAGGAGAUGGGAUUUCUAUUUUUCUGGCAGAAUUUUCAUCAAUUGUCCAAAUUCAUUUGUCAAUGAGGUAAUUGCUAUUCCAUUAUGCCACAUACAAAGGAUAGAUUUUUGAAUCAAUUUUCGUCUAAGGAUUUGGUUCUAUGGUGUCUCAAAUCCAUGCAUUCGCUGCAUAGUUCUAGCCAGUAGUUCUUAGCCAAAGAGAAUAAACAUUCUAUAACUAUUUAUGAUAAAUAUGAAAUUCACUCAUUUGCUUAUGAGCUGCAUUAUUUAGAAAUAGAUUUUUUUUCCCUCUCUCAUUUUCCCUUCAAAACUCCAUUUUCUCCCCUCUUUUCCUUUUUUUGGAUGGAAAUUUUUUUAAUGGAAUUAUCCUUUUCAGACUUAGAAUCUGAUAUAAUCAUUUUCUUAUAUCUUCGAAAGACAAUCAGGUAUGACUUUUAGAUUUCCUUUUGUAAAAAUCUUAUGUUGCAAUGCUAUUGGAAUUUCAAUGAAAGAGAAUUUUUCUAAUACCCUUUUUUUCUUUUUUUAUGGAGAUUGUAUAUUCACCCAAUGGCUAUUAUUUCGAUUAUUUGUUUAAAUUUUUUUGUGUUAAGGUUGCAAUUUUUUUUGCCUUUUGGAAAUCACUUAAUGGGGUUGUCAGUCUCUUUUCUUGAUUUAAAUAUCUCUCAGGACUUAAUUUGAAGGCAUGCAUUAUGUGAGAACAUGUGAAGGAAGUGAUAAUAUUUUAAUGUAGGGUUUUGAAGAAGUUCAAAGACAAGAUAUCUGAGUUCCAGGUAAAUUAGAUACACAAUAUAAUGGAAAGGUUUGAAUUUCUUCCAAUUCUUCUUUCCAUUUCUCAUUAUCUCUUAAUAAUAAUUUUCUAUAGGCUUUAAGACAAAACAUCCAUCGAGAGUAUCGUGAAAGUUGUCAAGAGGCGUGUAUUCACAGGUUUAACCCUUAUUAUAUGAAAUGAACUUGUGUAACUCUGUGUAAUAGGUUCCUUUCUCUUUAUUCAAUUAACAAUUUCCUUUUUCAUGAACCUCAGUGACAGAAAGUCAAGCUAAUGAAGAGGUAAAACUUGCAACCACGUUUUUAUUCUAAUAAUUAGAAUGUCAUGGACAGGUUUCUCAUUGCUCAAAUGUUUUGCCGCAGACAAUUGAUAAUUGACCAGGACUGGGGAUAGUGAACAAAUCCUUAUGACAUUGUUGUUAUGUGUUAAUUGUCUCAAUGGCAUAUUUCUAUUUACAUAUCUAUAUUAAGGAAGUUAGGACUAUUGGAAUGCUACAUGUUGCAACUUAUAAGCUCAAAUUAAUAAGCAAGUAUGAAAAUAAAGCUUAAUAUCUCAUGGCUGAAAAUAAUCGUUUAUUAGAUUCACGUAUUAUAAUUUUCUGGAUGUAUUCAUCUGUUGUUUUGGUUCCAUUAAGCAUGUGACUUCGGGAUUGCCUCCUCUAAAAUUUGUUCACAUCAAAGAGCAUUCCAUGUUUUAUUGUUAUUUAUUUUUGAAACUUUAACUAAUUCAACUAUGUAAUUAUGGCCCCAUUUGAUCUAUGUACAAGGUUCUGAGAAAUUAUAUAAUUGCAACUGUUGGAUUGUCAAAAGCUUCCACAUGUUGAGCUCGUUUUAAUUUUUCAGUAGAAUUUGAAUUGUAUAAAUGUUGUCUUUAGCAUUCCUCUCAAAACGUUUGUUUUUUUAUGUUUCAUGUAUUGCUUUUUCUUAAGAGUUAUUUAGUUUUACUAGCUUCUUUUUUAAUACAUUGGUCCUAAAAUGGUUUUCUACAAUUUCCUUUGUAACAGGCAAGCUUAGUUACUAGCACCACAAGUUACCAUGUUCCACCACAAAAGUAAUUGUCAAAGUGAUUAGGCGAGUGAUGACCUGAGCAUGAACACGUGGAUAGUUAGGAACAUCUCCCAUUGUCAUUCAAAAACCAUAUUACUAGGAUUCAAGGUAAGUAUACCUCACAUUGUCUUCAUGUGCAUAUUUAAUUAUUAAAUGUAUAAAUGUGUUACUUAAAUUUGUUAUUAUGUGAUCUUGAUAUUUAAUUAUUUCGUUUUAUGUCAUUAAUGCUUCUUUAUGACAUAUUCAUACACAUCAAUGCAUCCAUAAGCAUACAAGAAGUUCCAAGAAAAAAUGAAAGUUUCCAAAUGUUAAUGAAGCAAGGAAUGUUUUUAAAGAUAUAUAUCUCGAAUAUUUUCUUACGAGGUGUAUAUCUAUGUCAUGAAGGGUGUGAGUGGGGAACCGGCACACCCGACUAAUGUUCAAUGAUAAUGUUAAUGUUAUUCGUUUUGUGGACCUAUUGGUAGGACUCGAUCGUGUUCCAAAUAAUAAAUGUACACUGCAUUUUGAUUGGCUAGGUGAUACAUCAAGUGAGCUCACGACGUCAAUAUUAAAUUUUUUUUUUUUUUUAAAAAUGAAUGAAAGAGGAUACAUAUUGAGGAAUGAUUUUAUCUUAAAAUAAUUCAUGUGCAUAUCAUAAGCAUAUAUCAUAUGCAUGAGAUUUGCUUCCUAAGCGUUCGCUCAUUUCACGUUAUUCCUCCCAAUUUUUAGAUAAUGAAGGCAACAAUUCAAGACGAUUACUUGUGGUGCAAUGGAUUGAGUACUAAUAUAUUCAAAAAUUGACUCCUUUUAGAAUAUAAAGUUAACAUUUAAUUUUAUUGUUUUUUAAAUUUAAGUGUAAAAGUUUUCUACAAGUUACGCUCAUAAACGAAGUUAAUAAUGUUCAUUAUAUCAAAGAAAAAUUUCGUUGCUUCCGCAUUUAUAAUUUUAAUAGAAAACCUUUAGCACCAUAUCUUAAGACAUCGAGGAUGUCUAGGAUCCAGGCCCCCCCCCCCCCCCCCCCCCCUUCCCCCCANNNNNNNNNNNNNNNNNNNNNNNNNNNNNNNNNNNNNNNNNNNNNNNNNNNNNNNNNNNNNNNNNNNNNNNNNNNNNNNNNNNNNNNNNNNNNNNNNNNNNNNNNNNNNNNNNNNNNNNNNNNNNNNNNNNNNNNNNNNNNNNNNNNNNNNNNNNNNNNNNNNNNNNNNNNNNNNNNNNNNNNNNNNNNNNNNNNNNNNNNNNNNNNNNNNNNNNNNNNNNNNNNNNNNNNNNNNNNNNNNNNNNNNNNNNNNNNNNNNNNNNNNNNNNNNNNNNNNNNNNNNNNNNNNNNNNNNNNNNNNNNNNNNNNNNNNNNNNNNNNNNNNNNNNUUUUUUUUUUUUUUCAAUUAGGGGCAAAAAACGACGCCGUUUGCUUGAUAUAUAUUUUAUUUUAUUGUACACUACCUCCAAAUUUACUGCAACAUGCAAUUUUCAUUCUUCGCCUACUUCGAUAUAGAUAUAUAUAGUAGAGAUAUAAGAAAAAUACCACUUUUAUAUUAAAAAAAAAAUAAAAAAAGAUAGAGAUAAUAUAGGACUGAAUUUUUUUUACAACAUAUUACUUGUAAGUAAAAAAAUUGAAGAGAAACGAAUUAAAGAGAAUUUUAAAUUGAAAAAAAAAUUAUAACGUAAAAACUACACAGCAAAAAAAAAAAGUAAGUAAUCUCUUCGUGCAUGGAGCAAAAGCUCCCGUGCAUGGAGACAUUAGUCAUUUUUUAUUUUCCAUUUUGUUUAUGUCAAACAAAUGUUCUUCUACACAUCAUGUCAUUAGCAUUAAAAAAUAAUAAUAAUUUUAGUAAAUAUAAAUUACCACGAGCAAAAAAAAAAAACUCCUCUCCACACAAUGCGGAGAGAUGGCAAACCAUGUGCGUAGAGUUGACAAACUCUCUGUACAGUGAGAAGUUAAAAAAAAAUUUAUAAAUUUUUUUUUAUUACAAUUAACAUAAAAAAAUCAUUUUUAUCUUCAACAAAAAAACACAUUUAAAAAUUAGCAAUUUCAUAAUCACUUUUUUUUUAUUCCCGAAAAUACAAUUAUAAAAAAGAAAAUAAUAUUGAAUUAUAAAAACCAAUAUCUGCGAAAUACGGUAUCUAAAGACAAUAUGUGCAAAUACGGUAUGAUGUAAAUACAGUAUGAUGCAAAUAUGAUAUACUGUAUAUAUAGUAUGAUACAAAUACGAUAUGUUGUAAAUACGAUAUGAUGCAAAUAUGGUACGCUGUAAAUACGGUGUGCUGCAUAUACGGUAUAAUGCAAAUACAGUAUGAUGCAAAUACGGUAUGCUGUAAAUACGGUGUGCUGCAUAUACGGUAUGAUGCAAAUAUAAUAUGCUGCAUAUACGGUACGUUGUAAAUAUGGUAUGCGUAAAUACGGUAUAUUACAUGUAUGAUAUAUAUAAUGCAUAUGCGGUAUGAAUAAAUCCGGUUUCAUCCACUACAAUAAAUUUCAAUACCAUAUAUGCUGUCUUUCGUAUUUGCAGUUUACCAUAUAUGCAGCCUACCGUAUUUGCAGGCAACUUACCGUAUAUGCUACCUACUUUAUGUGCAGCUUAUCGUAUAUACCAUUUUUGCACUUACAAAUACCGAGAGUGCAGAACACCAUACAUUCACUUAUCAAACGAAUGUCAGAAAAAAAUUUCAGAUUUUUACUUUUCAACAUAAGCAUAAAAUAAAUAUUAAAAUAUAUGAAAGACAAAAUAUAAAACGCAUAUAAAUAUGCAAGUUGAUUUAUAAUUAUGCAGUGGCACAUAUUAUACAUUUAAAAUUUCUUAUGUCGGUGCAAAAUAACUUUGAAGUCAUUCUAGAGCAAAUUAAACCACUGCAAUGUCUAUUCUAGAAAUACAAUUGUGCAAAUUAAUAUGAAUUAAAUCUACAUUACAUUGGACUUGGAUUUAUUUAUAACAAAUAUUGGUGAUUAGUCUAAAGACAAUAUGUGCAAAUACGGUAUGCUAUAUACUAUAUGUUAUAGUUAAGAUAUAACAUACUAUACGUAUAUGUUAUAAUACAAUGUUUAGCAUAAUAUAAUGAGAAAUUAUUGUUGUACAAUUUUUUUUUGUUAUAUUACAGCAAAAUGCAUAUUACAACAUAUAACUUACCGUAUGUGCUCUAAUACAAUCUGUGCGGCGACUUUCUAUUUUUUUUAAAAUUUAAUCAUGUAACCUAAUAUUUGUUUAGUUUGUUAUUUUAUUAAUUAAAAAUAUGUAUUAAAUCUAAUAACAAAAUAUAAUUACAAGAAUAAGUUUAAUUUCAAUAUAAUAAAAAAAAUUUCGAGGAAAUAAUCAUUGCUAACAACAAAAGAAUCUAAAAAAAUGAAGAAGACAAAAACGAAAAAAGUAAAAUUUGUGAAAAGAAGAAAAUGAAAACAUGAUACCAAAAAAUUUGGCAUUAUUGUUUGAAUGAGAAAUGUUUUAUUGAUACACAAAAGACUUUUGCAGUCACCAGGUUAAAAGUAUAGAUUUAUUGUGUUGUGAAUUUUUUUUAAAUAAUCGUAGUAAAUCUUCUUGUUACGAUAAUAAAAUUACAAUAAUUUUUUUUUUACAAAUAGCAUAAAAAAAUCAUUUUUAUCUUCAACAAAAAACACAUGUAAAAAUUUUCAAUUUCAUAAUCACCUUUUUUUUUAAAUUCCCCAAAAUAAAAUUAUAAAAAAGAAAACAAUAUUGAAUUACAAAAACCAAUAUCUGCCAAAUACGGUAUCUAAAGACAAUAUGUGCAAAUAUGGUAUGCUGUAAAUAUGGUAUGAUGCAAAUACAGUAUGCUGUAAAUACGAUCUGAUUCAAAUACGGUAUGCUGUAAAUACGAUAUGCUGCAUAUAUGGUAAGCUGCAAAUACGGUAUGCGUAAAUACGGUAUGUGGCAUAUAUGAUAUGUAAAGUGCAUAUACGGUAUGAAUGAAUCCGGUUUCAUCCACUACAAUAAAUUUCAAUACCGUAUAUGCUGUCUACCGUAUUUGCAGCCUACAAUAUAUAUAGUCUACCGUAUUUGUAGGCAACUUACCGUAUAUGCUACCUACCGUAUUGCAGCUUACCGUAUAUACUGAUUUUUGCGCUUACAAAUACUGAGAAUGCAAAACAUCAUACAUUCACUUAUCAAACCGAAUGUCAGAAAAAAAAUUUCAUAUUUUUAUUUUUUCAACAUAAGCAUAAAAUAAAUAUUAAAAUAUAUGAUGCUCAAUCUUCAAUUUUUCAAUAUUGAAUUACACAAAUUUUAGAAAUAUAAUGUUCACAUUCAAUUCAAUCAUAUCAACACUAUCAAAGAAUACAGGCAAAAUAGUUUGUAUAACCUCGUAUAUUUCUUAUUUAAGUAUGAAAUAUACAAGCAUAUUUUUUUAGAUAACACAAUACUGUUGUAAUUGUAAAAAUAAUUUGCAAUCAUUUUCUUAUAUCAUGAAAAUAUUUCUAGAUAUUACUUCAAAAACUUUCCAAAAAACUAAAAUUCAUAAGCUAAUAAAAAUAUGAUAAAUACAAAAUUCGUGCAACGCACAUGACAGCGACUAGUAUGAAGAAAAAGGGCAAAUGACUAACCUAUUCAAUGUAGUGAAGUGGCUCUUGUAUUCAAUGUUCACAUGCCCAAGAUGGGUUCAAUUCCCAACAUUGUGAAAUUAAUUUUUCCUCCAAUUUUCGGGGCGAUUUUGAGGUGGAAACCUUGUUCCCUUGUAGUGUCUCUACACGAGAUAAGAACUCUUUUCCUAGCCGGGCCAGCCUACCCUAAUUCCUCGAUUAAUCAAGAAUUUUCUGUUAUUUAGGAUAGUCCUUGUUGGCAUCAAGACAAUCGAAAAUAAUUGUCAUCCUAACCUAAAAUAUCAUUUUUGAAUGUUGAGACCCGAAACCAUAUUAAUUCAAAUGUUAUCUAGCACAAAUCUAAUUUUUCUCAUAUUGAAUAGAAAUUCACGUGCCCACCUUUAAACAAAACAAUUGUAGAAGAAAAAUCAAGAAAAUAUAAAGAAUAUCGCAAAAUUCACUUAAAGGCCACUGCCUCCCACUACUGGGCAAAUCUCCUGAAUCGAACCGAAUCGAACCUGACGGUUCUUCUCAAAUUAAAUACCCAAACGGGUAUCUGAAUUAAGAACUGACGGGUACGAUUCGGUUCUCGAUUCUAGACGAAGAACCGAAUAUUCCUAAUUUUUAUUUUUUUAUAUUGAAUAAAUCAAAUUAUUUUAAUUUUUUCCAAACAAAUUAACAAAUUAGGUGAUUAAUUGAUACUUUAUCUCCUAAGCCCUAGCCUAGCUAGCUUGACCUAACCCAACCAAUUUCUAAAUCCAAUUUUUUGGCCCAAUUAUUUGUUUCAUUUCUAUUUUUUUAAUUUUUAGCCCAAGUGUCAUUUUUAGUUUUUAUUCUUCCAUUUUUUUAGCCCAACAUCCAAGUGAUCCAACCCACUAGUGACUAACCCUAAAUAAAUUACACACAUUAUCACCUACACAUAACACAUUUGACAUUCCAAAACUCAAAUAGAUGUAUAGAACCUCCGACUUCGAGUCCGAAGCUAUGACCUCCGGGCUCCGAUGACGACCUUUGACCGUUGAUUAUUUGAAUAAGGUAGUGUGUAAGCUUUCCUAUAUGUGAUUGGUAAAUUAAUCUUGUUGGACAACUUGUUAUAUACAUGUCAAAUUGGAUUACGUUAAUUUAUAAAAUUACGAUUGAAUGUGUUAUUAGUUGUAUUUAUAUAGUGUUGUUAUAAAUGUUAAAAAAUUUAAUUAUAUAGUACAGAACAGAACCGAACCGAACGGAACUGAACCCGAACGGUUCCAUAAUUAUAUUUGGACCCGACAGUUCUAUUUACUAAAUAUCCAAAAUUUUUGGUUCGGUUCUCUAGUGUGUAAGCUUUCCUAUAUGUGAUUGGUAAAUUAAUCUUGUUGGACAACUUGUUAUAUACAUGUCAAAUUGGAUUACGUUAAUUUAUAAAAUUACGAUUGAAUGUGUUAUUAGUUGUAUUUAUAUAGUGUUGUUAUAAAUGUUAAAAAAUUUAAUUAUAUAGUACAGAACAGAACCGAACCGAACGGAACUGAACCCGAACGGUUCCAUAAUUAUAUUUGGACCCGACAGUUCUAUUUACUAAAUAUCCAAAAUUUUUGGUUUGAUUCGGUUCACUUUAAAAUCGAACCGAACCGACUUACGCCCAGGCCUAAUCAUAACAAUAAUUAUAUACAUCUCUACCUUAUUUCAAUACCAUUCCUUUCACACCAUGUGGGACCCAUCUUUAAACUAAUGGUCAAAAAUUGAUUUUCAAAAUAAGCUCCUAACAGGUUCAUAGAGGUAUAAUCAUUAGGCCCUUAUUAAGCCGAGUUACGAACAAUUUUUUUUUUCAAAAUUAGUUUUAAAAUAAAUAAAGUUUAUCUUUUGUAUAUAGGUGGUCGUGGACCAUGAGCCUCUACCUAAGUCCAAGUGGUGUGGUCUCGAGCCUUGGCGGCUAGGUGCACAUUUAUUUUUCUAGUUUUGAAUCAUCCGUAUAGUAAUUAAUUCACAUGCAGAUGCUUAGUUAUAUGCAGACAAGAUGAUCCUCCAUUAAUUUACACAAAUGGAACGAUUCCAACCAUUCGAAACUUGUGCUAUUUGAUGAUGAUAUUAAAUGGUGCUAAAAAAUAUGUCAUUUCAUAUGUGAAUCUAUUCAUAGAUCUUAUCUACACAACUAACACAUCAUAAUCAAUGACUGUCAUUACAAUAUUGCGUGACAAAUUAUCGAACUUUCACAUAACAUUAUUUAGGAAAUCUUUCUUUUGACUUUAUGUUUCAUUGUAAUAAUCUAAAGAUCUCAUGAAUCCAUUUCGAAAAUAGAACAUGACUUCAAUUCAAUUUGGCAAUUUAUACUAAUCUAUCUUUUAAUUUGAGGAAUUUCCUUUAUAUUUUCUUGCUUAACAUAAAUAUACUUUGCAUUUUUAAUUUCCAGCCUAUUUCAUUAUUUUAAUUUUGUGAUUGUCAUCAACAAUGAAACGAAUACUAGUUUUAUUGAAACAAUCUUUCAUGCCUAAUUAAUUUAAUCCUUGAGCAAUAAAAAUCAUAUUUCUUUUGGAAUUUAUGGUUGGAAUGUGAAAUAAGAAUCACCCGAAAAAUAAAAAUAAAAUCAAUUUAAGAAAUCAAGAUCGUUACUGGAUGUUUACAUGUAAAUUUAAUCAAUAAAUAAAAAAUAUCUAAAAUUUACCCAAAUUCGAUAAUUAAUUCUUAAAUCAGAUAUGAAUAGCGAAAUUUCAGUCUUUUGAAUUGUGAAAUUUCAAUUUUGAUUCCAAUAAUUUGAUUUAAGUUUCAAGCCUUCUAUUCAUCAAAAUCAAGAUUACACUAGUGUGUGGACAUCUUCUUUUAAUUACACCAAAAAUUAAAUUAUAGACCUUAGAAAAAUCACUUCAAUCCAUAUAAACUUUUGGUAAAAGUUUAAAAUAUCUACUCAAUAAAUCUUAAUGUCUCUUAUGAUUUUUAUAGUGCUAUGUUGAUUUCCAAAGGGAGUACUAUUUCAUGUUUGACAAUACAUCGUUUUCACAACUAACACCAACAAUUUUAUUUAAUUUCUAAAUUAAAAAAGGAGAUGCUAUUUACAUCCACCAUUAUUAUAUUUAUCUACUUUAAAAAAGAAAAUUAUAUUAUAUUUUUAACCUUAUGUAAAUUUACUUAAAUAUCAUUAUAAAAUUAAAUAAAAAUAUAUUAGUCUAAAUUUAUCCACUAAUAUUUAUUUUCAUUAAAUUCUUCUGGACUUUUUAUAUUCUUUUAAAUUUAUGUUUAAAUAAAAUUCUAAUAUUUAUAAAAUAUCCUCUUCGACUAUAGUCAAAACAACAAUGAAAGACACAUCAUAAGGGCAAAUGCAUAUAGACAUAACAAUAUAUGAAAAAAGAAUUUGAAAAAGUAGGAUUGCCUUUCAUUGUAAGCAUAAUGAAUUUAGUAUGUGAACAAUUCUUAAUUUUUGUUUGGAGUUUUGAUAAUAUGCAUUUUAAACUCAAGUUGUAUCAGUAAGAAAUUUUAUUACAAAUUAUUUUAGUUUUCUGUUGAGAUUAUCUUUUUUUCUCUAAAUUUUUUGAAUUAAAAAUAUUGAUAGUUAUAUUUUCUGUUGGGAUUAGUAAAACAAGAAUUUGAGUUUCCUGCAGGGAUUAUCUCUUUCUUUUUUCCCCUUUCUUUCUUUCUUUCUUGAUUUUCUUUCUAUGGAUUUAUAAGGACAAUUUUGAAAUAUAGUGCUUGUUUGGUAGGGAAUUUUGAUAAUAUAUAUAUGUCCCGUUUGGGAGUGAUUUUUCACCCCAAAAAUAUGAUUUUUUGAUUGUUAUUUUAUUAUUCCAAUCAUAAUUUUUGACUUCUUCUUUCACAGGUGGCUCCCACAUUUUUCCUAACGAUUAAAAAAUCAAUUUUCAAAAUCACUAUCGAAUAUGCCUAUAGAGUGUAAUAAAUAUAUAUCUAAUAAUGAGAGUAAACAGCGACUCUAUAAAAACUAUGACUCUUUGAAUGAACAUAUAUUAUUGAAUGACAAAUAAAGUACUAUAAGUUACAAGAUUAUUCCAAAAAAUGUGAGACUCUAGUUGCACAAUUUGAAUAAAAUUCCAGCAACAGUGACAUUAACUUUGAAAGGGACUCAAUUUUUUUUAUUUUUUUUUCAUUACUAUCUGUGAGGUGACACACUUUUUUAUCCUUAAUUUCAACGACACUUAAAAUAAUUCAUGACAUAUAUUUUUAUAUAUCAUACAAUGUCAACCUUAAUGUAUGCAUAGUUGAUAAAAUAUACAAAUAGCAUUUUCCUUUGAAUAAAUGCGUAAAUAAAUAUUUUCCAAAUAAUUAUUCCAAAAAGGAUUAGUCAAAAUAAAUUGAGAUUGUGGUUGCACGAUUUUGGAUGUUUGGACUUCCUGAAUAAUUGUAAAAAUGUUAAGUUAAUUCGAAGAGCUUUGCUGGGCCACACAAUCCAUUGUUAUUGAUCAGUUUCACUGUUGCCUUCAUCGUGUUCUUUGACCCCACCAUGUUGAUUAAUUGAACCAAUGAAAUUUCUCCGUGUUCAUUGACCCCACCAUUUUGUAUAAUUGAACCCAACCACUGUUGGGUUCAAUUAUUGAUCAGUUUGCUGGGCCAGAUGGAUGCUUGGGUUCAAUUAUUGAUCAGAGACAAUCCAUUGUUAUUGAUCAGUUUCACUGUUGCGAUCAUCGUGUUCUUUGACCCCACCAUGUUGAUUAAUUGAAACCAAUGAAAUUUCUCCGUGUUCAUUGACCCCACCAUUUUGUAUAAUUGAACCCAACAACCAGCAGACGACUUUCAUUUAUACAUUAUACAAGUCAAUCUCACUUGCAUUCAUCCCUCUUAACUCUUGCUUCCUAUCUUACAAAAAAGAUAAUAAUGGCUGUAAUCGAAGUUUUUCUAGGUGCAGUUCUCACUGUUUUGCUUGAGAAGCUGGCCUCUGGUGAGCUACUGAAAUUUCUGCGUCAUGUAGGAAUCGACGCCCAGCUGGUAGAAUGGAAGACAACUUUGAAGAGGAUCCAGGCAGUGCUUACUGAUGCUGAAAACAAGCAAACAACGGACAAAGAUGUGAAAGAGUGGCUAAUUGAUCUGGAAGAUUUGGCUCUUGAUCUUGAAGACUUAGUGGAUGAGUUGAAUACUGAAGCCUUGCAGCGCAAAUUAAAGGAAAAUAAAGGCAGCACCAGUAAGGUAAAAAAGCUCGUCCCCACUUGUUGUACUAAUCUUUCUUUCACUGAUUUCAUGUCUGAUCGCGGGAUUGCUUCCAAGCUAAAAGAGGUCAGUGGCCGGUUGAAAGAUCUGGAAGAACAGAAAAAAUUUCUCGAUUUGGUGGAAAAUGUAAGGGGAAGGUCUUAUGGAAGAUUGCCAACAACUUCGCUCGUGGUAGAAUCGAAAGUUCAUGGAAGAGAGAAGGACAAGGAGGAAAUACUGAAUAUCUUAUUUGGUGUUGAAUCAAAUGAUAGUCAAAUAUCCGUGAUUCCAAUUGUGGGCAUGGGAGGUAUCGGCAAAACAACUCUGGCCCAACUUGUGUAUAAUGAUGAAAGAUUGAAGGACAAGUUUGAUCUUAAGGGAUGGGCUUACGUUUCGGAGGAAUUUGAUGCUGUAAAAGUAACAAAAAACAUUCUUGAGUCAGUUUCUUCUGGUGGAAAGUGUGAUUAUGAAAAUUUUGACACGCUUCAGAACAAACUAAAGGAGAGCCUUUCAAACAAGAAAUUUCUAGUAGUUCUAGAUGAUAUUUGGCAUGAAAAUUACGAAGAUUGGGAGAUCCUAAGCCGUCCUUUUCUUGCUGGAAAACCUGGAAGCACAAUCAUCAUUACCACUCGACAAGAAAGGGUGGCCAAAAUCAUGUCUGAAAUUCCAGCAUACAAUCUGGAUCUGUUAUCAGAGGGCGAUGCUUUAUCAUUGCUAGCUCAACAUGCAUUUGGAGCUAAAACUUUUGACGGUCAUCCAGCUUUAAUAGAGAUUGGUAAGUCUAUGGUAAGAAGAUGUAAGAUGUUGCCCCUGGCAGUAAAGGCCCUUGGGGGGCUUCUUCGAGUUGGUCGUGAAGAUUGGGAAAAGGUGUUGAAAAGUGAAAUCUGGAUGAAUGAAGAAAAUAUUGGAAUUCUUCCUGCUCUAAAACUGAGUUAUCACCAUCUUCCUCCGGAAUUGAAAAGAUGCUUUGGUUACUGUGCUCUCUUUCCCAAGGACUACGAAUUUGACAAGUUCCAACUAGUGUACUUUUGGAUGGCUGAAGGUCUUCUGCAGGAAACAAAGAAAGAUAAGUUAAUUGAAGAUGUUGGUAGUCAAUAUUUUGAUGAACUAUUGGCUAGAUCAUUCUUCCAACAAUCAAGUGCCAAUGCUUCACGCUUUGUGAUGCACGACCUCUUUAACGAUCUAGCUAUGUCUGUUGCUGGUGAUAAAUGUUUGAGGAUGGAUGAUGAACUGCAGGAGAUUUCUGUAAAGGUCCGUCACUUGUCAUUCAAGCGCAGGAUGUUUGAAACUUAUCCUAGAUUUAACUUUCUUGACAAAGUUCAAAAGUUGAGAACCUUUUUGCCACUACCUGUUGAGGCGUCAUUUAAUUACUUAUCCCAAAGAAAUUUGCUUCACCUAUUCGCAAAUUCAUACUGCUUAAGAGUGCUAUCCUUGAAUGGUUAUGCCAUAUAUGAGUUGCCAGAUUCUAUUGGUGAUUUAAGACAUUUAAGAUACCUGGGCCUAGCUGGAACAAGACUGAGGUGGUUGCCUGAAUCUGUGUGCACUCUUAUCAAUUUACAAGUGUUGAUUCUAAGUGGUUGUAGUAGACUUACCAAAUUACCCACAAGCAUGGAAAAUCUUGUUAAACUUCGGUAUCUGGACAUUACUCAUACUUGCAAUUUACAUGAGAUGCCUCAGGGAAUUGCUCAACUAACAAGUUUGCGAACGUUAACUAAGGUGACUGCAAGUAAAAAUAAUGGAAUGAGUUUAAAGGAGUUGGGCAAUCUAUCAUUUCUACAAGGUAAUAUUUCUAUUGAGGAAUUGCAAAAUGUUGUGAAUGUUAAAGAAGCAACGGAAGCAAGGCUAAUGGAUAAGCCAAGCCUCAACGGAAUAAGGUUGGAAUGGAGCGCAGGCUUUGAUGAUCCUCGGAAUAAAAUUUUAGAAUUGAAUGUGCUUAAUGCAUUAAAGCCCCAUAAGAACUUAUCAACACUUGAAAUCAAGUAUUACGGGGGUGAGAAUUUCUCUAAUUGGAUUGAAGAUUCAGCAUUCCUUAAGUUAGCAAGGAUAAGCUUUGAAUAUUGUAAAAAUUGCACGAUUUUGCCACCAUUAGGGCAACUACCUUUGCUAAGAGACUUAAGCAUUCGAGGCAUUGAUCAAGUAAAAGUGAUUGGAGCUGAAUUUUAUGGAAAUAGAGGCCAUGGAGAAUUACCUUUUCCAUCACUCAUUAAUCUGACUUUUAGUGACAUGUCUAACUGGGAGGAAUGGGUUGGAAUAGGAGGUGUUAUCCAACUUCCUAAGCUAUGCUCAUUGAUUAUAACUGAUUGUUCAAAAUUGGUCAGUCUUCCAAAUCUUUUACUGCCAUCCCUACGUCACAUAAAUGCUGCUGGGUGUAAUGAGGUGGUGCUAAAUAGUAUGCAGAAUUUGAAAUCUUUAACCAGCAUAAUAUUGUGUAGAAUUUUCGGAUUAACUUCAAUUAUCAAAGCAUUUGUACACUUUCCUUUUACACUUGAAAGUGUCACAGUUAAUGAAUGUCACAACCUUGUGACUCUAUGGCCAGGUGAUAGUACUGCACGAAACCUAGUUGACCUACAACGCGUGGAUAUUGACAGUUGUCCUCGGCUAUUGUCCCUUCAAGAGAUUGACGUUCUUCCCGAUCUUAGGAGACUUUAUAUAAGAAAUUGUGGAGCUCUGGAGUUGUUGCCUCAUAAAAUAUCUUGUCUUGAGAGAUUGUCUAUCAACAAAUGUCCAUCGUUAAGGACGAUGAUGAAGCUACAGAAUUGCAACAUCUCGCUCGAUUAUCUAAAAAUUUCUCGUGUGAAUUUGAAUUUGGCAAAUUUACUAGGCUCUGGCUCCAAUUACCAAAGUCUCACUCAUCUACAAAUACGGUCUUGUGAUGGUCUAGAAUUGUUUCCCAAUGGAGGCUUGCCCACACCAAAUUUAAAACUACUAAAGAUAAUUGAGUGUCAACAUCUCAAGUCGUUACCUGAUCGGAUGGAUCUACUUUCAUCCCUUUCGUUCCUGGGGGUGUCUUCUUGUGCUUCAUUGAAGGAACUCUUUCCCCAGGAGGAUAUUCCCCCAAAUCUGUGUCACCUUGAUAUCAGAAAUUGCGGAAAACUAAAACCCCCGGGGGAGUGGGGCCUACACAAACUCACCUCUCUUCAAACCUUUGAAUUUGGUGGAUGUCUAGAGCUGGUUUGCUUCACUAACAAUGCUGACGAAGAACACUGUGUGCUUCCUCCAUCUCUAACAGCUUUGUCGUUGGAUGACCUGCCGAAUCUCGAAACACUAUCAAGGGGCUUCCAAAGCCUCACCUUUCUUCAACAUUUAUGCAUCUCUAGAUGCCCAAAGCUUGAGGCGUUGCCUAUGGGAGACUAUCUUGAAAAGCUUUUGAGCCUUGACAUUCAAGGCUGCCCACUUCUUAAGAAACGGUGUUUGAAGAACAAAGGAGACUACUGGCCCAUCAUUGCUGACAUUCCGGUCGUCGAAAUUGAUUCCCGAUCCAUCUAUGAUCCAUGUCCAUGAAUUCAAUUACACGAGGUAACAGAUUUAAUUUGAUACCUAUGAAUCUCAACAUCAUUUCAUGCAAAACACUUCUCGACAUUUCUGUCAAUUUUGUUUUCAAACAGAAUGUGAAUUUUCUGCAGCAAAUAGUGGAUCUCCCUUUCUGCAAUAGCUAUUCAAGUGUUCAUGCCACUCUGUAUCUUAUAUUUGUGCUUCUGCUCUGCAGCAUAAAUCAAUAUCAGAGCCGAUGUACCAACAAUCAAGUAACUGAUCGGCUAUGGCGCUAAAAUUAGCCUCUUUUUGUACUAACAGUAAGAUUCUAUCAAAUAGAUAAAAUCGGAGUGAUAAUUGUUAGUCGAAUGUGGUUAAAUUAUUAAUAUUUUGAUUCGAUCUGCUUUAGCAAACUGGAAAUGCAUUGAUUUGACUUACUGUAUGUUUAUGCAUUUUUGGGUUUUUAUGUGGCAUGCGUUUUUAAACUUCUCUUGUAGAUUGGAGGUUCCUACGCCAUUUGAAUGGAACUAAUAAAAAUGACAUCGUUUUGGUGUAGGCAUUUUCUGAUUACUUGUAAGAACACAAGAUGGAAUGAAUGUGUCUCUUCAUUAGACCUUCAAGUAAGUUUUUUGUUCGAUUCUUUUGCGUUUUAAGUGUUUGUAUAAAUGCCUCAGUGAAAUUAUAUGGCUGGAUCUGUGACUGAAGCUAUGUUCUUGCCUUUAUUAUUAUUAUUAUUAUUAAUUUCAUGAUUUUAGUAAUAUUUUCUGAAUAAUUCUUUGAAUGAACUUUUCCUUUUGGGGGUUUCCUUCCAUAAAUGUCAAGAAAUCUGUUUAGUCUCUGAAAAUUGUCUUGACUGGCCAAAAAUCCUUUCUCGUGUGAUUUUGGUGUGGUUUAAGGUAUGAGGUACCAUGUUUUACAAUUGCUAUUUUAAAAAUUUUCUUGAUUUUAUUAGAUUAACCUCUGCCGAUUGUGUAUUACAUUCAUCCGUAUGAAUUGGAUGUUUUAAUCCAAUCUGAAGAUUUGAAUCAUUGCUUCACAAUUUCAUGCAAUUAAAUUAAGAAACCGAUUAAUUUUUUAUGUGAAUGCUUUUUAAUCGAAAACUUUAUUUCAAUUUGGAAAGUUCAAUCAUUUUAAGUUUGCAGUUAUACCUCUUGCUGGUAUGCAUUUUUUUAAUGUUAUUAAUUCAUUCUAAUUCUUAUGGAUUCUAUUUCUUUGUAUGGGACUUUUUCACUGGUUAUAAAUUUUGGCUUCUUUGAAUUUUCACUUUCGUAUUUAUUUAUUUAUUUAUUUAUUUUUGGUAAAUAUUUUAAAAAAUGAUUGAUAAUAUUGAAUUAUCCUAGACAUUCUAUAACAUAAUAAAUUGAUGUACUAAUUUGUUAAAUUCAAUUAUUCAGUAUUCUGUUUCUUAAUUUAGUUGAUCAAGUAGGUUAUUUUUUUUUUUUAUCCUAAUCUGGAAUAUAUGUGCUCAGAAUGUCGCUGUGAGCAUAUUGCCUGUCAAGAAGAAUCAUUUGAGUUGAGGACGAUAAGAUGUUACAUUUUUUAGCUAUGCUGUUUUUCAGCUUACUCCAACUUGAACUCGGUACAAUUUUAAUUUUUUGAAUUAAUUCAGUUUCCUUCAACUGAUGAAUUAUUGCAGUAUCAGUGUGAGUUUGUGUGGUUAUUUCAUAUUUGCCUGUGAUUUUGUAUUAAUCAUUUGAGUUGAAAUCCUGACUCGGAUUUAUAAUCAUUGUGGACCCAAAUUGCUGAUUUUAAGAUGUGUUUUUAUAGUAAACUAAUUGCUGAUGUCAAAAUUCUUUUCAUUAGUUUUGGGUUGAUUAGUUAAUAAGUUCUUCUGUCUUUUACUGUUUGGGGAUUCAGCAUGUGUUUCAUUAAUUGGUUCUAUUCUUUUUUUAUAUGGUAUGUACUGACUUCAAUUUGGCAAUUUCUUGGGGAUAUCUUUUUUGUCAAAUUGUAUUUUCACAGAGUUCAACUGUAAAAAUGUGAAAUAUGUCCAAUUAUUUGAAUUUUUGUUGAUAUUUUGAAAUUGAUAUUAUGUAUUGAUGAGCCAUCAAGUUAAAUUUAAAACGAAUUCCAUGUUGCAAAUGCUAUUUGGAAGUUGAAUUUGCUCUGCUGGGUUGCAAAGUAUACUUGAAUUUAUUUUAUCAAAAGAUGAAUAUUUAUCAUCUCUUAGUUUCCCCUUCAUUGUCAUAUAUCUUUACGAAAUUCUUGUAGAAGUAUUUAGAUGAUAAUUGGAUUGUGUUGAUAAUGUAGCUGGAAGAUCAUACGAGGAAUUUCAGGAAAAUAGGUUUUGUUGCUUGAGUCCAUUUUAUUUAAGGUGUCCGGAAAAAAAAGGUUGUGUGAGUGUGGAAAGUAUAUCAUCCUUGCGCGUUUGGAUCUGUUAUUCAUAUUGAUAGAUGGCAUUCCGUGUGUGGAAGCAUAUUUCACUUAAAACAUAUAUUCACCUUGUGUUGUUAGGUAACUAUUGUAGCUUUUCACAUCUGCUUUCGUAAUGGUUUAUUGUUGUACAUUUUAUAGGCUAAUGUUGCUAGAAGAAAAUCGAAUUUCUUUCUGCUCAAACGAUGGAAUGAUGAUUGAUGGCAUCACCUGGUUGCUGAAAUGAUAGGAUUGUCGUAAGUUUUAACUUGCUAUGUAUAGCUUCAUUUCUUGCUUUUAGUUUUGGUCGACUUCAACUCUAUUAAGUAUUUUGAGCCAAAUAUUUUUUAUUAACAGCAUCAACAUAAUUAAAUUUAUUUUACUCUUGAAACAACAAAUAUGUUUCCUCUUCCUUUUUGAUGGAAGUUACAUCACAAUAGAUCUGUCUUUUAUAUGAAGAUUUUCUUCUUCUCAAUUGCUAUUGCACACUGUACUUGAUAUUAGUUGUGGGUCUGGUAGCUUUAAUGCUCGUCUUCUAUCGCUUAAGCUGAUGUGUGACAGCAUAUGAGCCAACAGGUAGACAUGUUCAAUUGGCACUUGAUAGAGGUCUCCCUUCAAUCAAAACUUAAUCUAAAGACAGCUCCCUCUUCAUCCUUUGUCAUAUGAAGUGGUUCACUGCACUCAAUGUAGCAUUGUCUGUGAUAACAAAGGUAUGAUCUUCAUUAAGGUUUGGGGUUUUGUUUUUUUCCAUUAAAUCACCAUUUCUUCAUCAGAUUAAGUGCAGUGGUUUUUAUUGAUUUUUCACCGAUGAAAAUUCUUGAAAUUAAUUUGACAUUUAGCCUAAUGUAGUGCGAACUUUUCUGUGGUUUUUGCUAUUUUUUGCGUGCAUUUCUAUUUCUUUUUUGUUUAUCACAUUUUGUUUGAUACUAUAGUUAUCUGUAAUAAAUUUUGCAAUGGUAAUAUUAGGCUUGCUGUAAGGAAGGCCAAGAAGGAAAAGAAAGCGAAUGAUCCAAACAAGCCAAAGAGACCUCCAAGUGCUUUCUUUGUUUUCAUGUAUGCCCAUUUGCAUUUUUGGUCUCUAGCAUUUCUGUCUAUUGUUCUUAUAUAUUAUCUUUUUUAUGCUGCUUGGCAGACUACAACAAUAAUUUGGUAAUCCAUCUAUGAGAAGCACGGUGUUAUACACAGUUUAGUUUGAAUUGUGAUACUGAAACGAUUUGUGCCAAACUGUUUUUAUAGGCUAGAGGGGCUGUUGAAUUCGACAAGGCAAAGUCUGAGGUUAAUGGUGAUGAGGACGAUGAGAACAGUGGAGACGUUAGUUGAAAUUAAGCUCUACAACUUUUUUGUACUUGAAACUUAGCUACUAUGCUGACUUUUUAUUUUGUUUUAAUUAAUUUAGGAGGAAGAUGAUGAGUAAGCACUAUCAUGAAGAAUUAUUGUGUAAAAUUUGGCUUCAGGUGAAUUUUACUGAAAUUAAUUGAAAGUAAUUAUCAAUAAUACUCCUUUUUUAAUUUUUAUUUUUUAAAGUUGCUAAUGUGUUUGUUCUUCCUUUCAGUGAGGGAACAAGCGUCUCUUUGCCAUUAACUUGGGGCAAAAAAAGAGAGGAAACGUAUGCCUUGUUUUUCAUUAUUGCCUAUUGGUACACAAGACGUAUUUAGAGGAAAGGGGUGGAGGAAGAGGGGGUUGAGUGCUUGUAGACCAUGAGCAAAAAAUGGCAGACUACAAUAAGAAUUUGGUAAUUUCAUCUAUGAAAUUCUCUAUUACAAUGCACUACGUGCAUCUCACAUGCGAAGAACUAGUUCGAUAAAUAUUCAAUAUUUUGCAGCAAGCUUCAUAUCUUGUUAAAUUUUGAAGGUCCUUCCUUUUGUGAAAUCAUUUAAGUUAAAAAUGUUAAGAGAGAAAAACAUUAAUUUAUUAAUAUCUUCAAAACUCUUCUUAUGGUGCAGGUAGAUUUAAUUUUUCUAUAAACAUUAAAUUUCUGACUUUGAUGGGGAUGAUGUUAUUAUUUUACAGAUUUUCAUCUGGUCGUCCAUUACCAAUACAAUUUCGAGACUCGAUUUGAUUAGAGACUAAUAGCUCAGUCAUCUACCAGGUCAAGAAAGUUAUUAAUUGGGUUAGUUGCUUUAAGCUUGUGGGCUGACCACCUAUAUGCCUGCUUUGCAUAUAUUUCGUUGCCAGCUCCAAUCCACAUCAUUUGAUGACGUGUUGUUUACACCAAAUUUGACUUGUACACAAUAUCUGUUACUACGAGAGUUAGAGAGAGAGGCCAAUUCAAACCAUCAUUUGGUGACACAUUUUUUAAGAGCAAUCGUGGAACCUAUAUUUGUUAAGUGAAGUCAAUGUUAUGCUGAAGCAAACAAAAGAUUAUGACGAUUGAGGAUGGUCAAGUUCACAUUUCACUUCUUAUCUUUCCAUUCUCUCUCUUUUAGAGUAAAGAUCAUUUGUAGUAUUUCGUGGCUACCAAAUAUUCAAAUACUCCAGGGAACAUUGUAGAUGUAAAAUUCUGCAUUAUAUAAUAGGAGGAAUUUUUUUUUUUUUUUUCCUAAAUGGAUUAUCAGGUAAGUUGUCAUUAUUUGCAAUAGUAAUAGGCUUUUUAUUAUGAUGUGCAGUUGCACAUGUCCAUGUGUGUCCACGUAUACUUGUGUGUGUAAAUGUGGAAUAAUGAUAUUUACAAUCUAUUCUUACCUAUUAGCAAUUAGCAUUCUAUGUAGAUGUAUUGUUACUGCCACAUUUUCCUAUAAUUUUAGAGUAGGGAUAUUUGUAAGCAUCGUACUGAAAACAACAAUCUAUAUGACAAUGAGAUAUCUGUCUUAUUCUCCUAUGAAAUUGAGUUCGUUUUAAUUUAUUGAAGAAUGUGAUAGUGACCCCAUUAUUACAUCAAAUGUUGGUAAUAAGUACUGUUAUAAACUUAGCAUACAUUUAAUUUAUUGAAGAAUGUUACAAUAAUCAACUGUCGCAUGGACGGUUGAUGGAUAAGUACUGCUUACAAAGAGUAUUACUCCUUAAAAAUGGAAAUUUACUCGGGAUAUGAAGCCAAGUGGACAAAUAUCAGACCUUGCUAAAGAAAUUUCACUCUUAACAAAUACGAUUAUCCAUGAUAGACCAUAUGAAAAAUCAAAAUUGAGGAACAUUCUAACAAUAUCCCUCGACACCCAUCUCACCCUUUUAACUAUUUACCCACCAACCCCCACACUUUAUAUAUAAAUGUUUUUUCUUGUUUUUGUCUCAAUUUUAAGGGUCAAAAUGUCAAACAAAGUUAAAAUAUUAGAAUUUUAAUAUCAUUUUGAAGUGCUCAUAGCUUAGUUUCUCGCAUCAUUAACGGCGCGUGAAAUGACCGACCACAACAAAAGUUACAAUGCGUCAAAAUAGGUCAUUCAAAAUUAGUAUUUCAAGAAUUUCGAUAAUAUGCUAACUUUAAAAAUUUGUUGGCGAUCGUAUGCUAACUGAAUUCAGAAAUCGCUUGUCAUCUUGAUCCAAACCGAUAUAGGUUGUACAUUGAAAAUAAUUAAAUUAUUUGAAAAUUUUUGACGUCAUGUGUCAUGUAAAAUUAUCCUAAUAAAAUGAUUAUAAAAUGAUGUAAAUUAUAUUAAUAUAUUUGUUGAGCAAAAAUAAUAAAUGUUAAUGAAAUAAUUGAAAAAUUUUAAAGGAAAAAAUGAGUUAUGCAUCUCUUUUUGAGACGAUCAUUUAAUUAUUUUCGAUAUUCAAAUUUUGGACCAUUCGGUAUGUCUACGAUAUAAUUCUUAAAACUAAAACAAAUUUUAAAAUUAACAUGUUAUCGAAAUUCUCUAAAUACUAGUUUGGAAUGAUCUAUUUUAAGACAUCAUAACUUUCGCUACGAUUGAAAGUUUUACGCGCCGUUAACGAUGCAAAGAAUUAGACUGUGAGCACUUCAAAAUGAUAUUAAAAAUGUGAUAUUUCGAUUUCAUUUGACAUUCCAUAAUGACCUCAAAAAUUGAGACGAAAACAAGGGGGGAAAAAAACCUUUAUAUAUGAAGAAUGGGUGAUAAGAAUGGUGAGGCGUAGGUGUGGGGUGGGGUAAAAGGGGCGGGGGUCGGUAAAAAGUUAAAAAAUUGGGCAAGUGCAGGAGGAAACAAAAGUUGCCACAUUAGUAGUGGGUAGAAUGUUCUCCUGCACACCAUUGCCAGCAGAACAAUUCUACGAAAAAUAAUACGCGAAGAAUUAAUUUCAUAAUUUGUGAUCGAUAAAAAGUUAUAACCUAUAAAAUUUGUGAUUUUAAGUGUAACGUUUUGUAACUGUGACUGAUACGCAACCGUGAUCAUAAACUAUAUGAUAUUGCGAUCUUAAUAUAUUAAUUAUAUAUUUAAUUAAUGUACCAUAUUUAAUAUUUAUGACCCGGGUUUUGGAAAAUAAAAAAAUAAAAAUUUCAAGUUCGUCAAAAUUGAAAUUGUAACUUAAAAUCUAUGUAACUAUGCAUUCUUCCCAUUAUAAAUAGCAGUGGUGGAUAUAAUUUAUCCAUGGAAAAAUGCAAAAUCUCCAUUAGACUAGAGGAACUGGCUGUCUCGGCAGAGUUAUAUAUCGAAUUUUACUUGUCAUGCUGAGGUCGAGGGCUAAGAUCUCUAGCUUACGUGUAUAUAGGCAGGGGCAGAUCCAAGCACGGGCUCCACCAUGCUAUAGCCCGUGUACGGCCCUUAAAAUGUCUACUGUAUUUUUAUUAUUAUUAUUUUUUUUUAUUGAAAGAUAAAUCCAUGUAUAUUUGUAUUGUAACCCGUGUUCAAACUCAAGACUGAAUCCGCCACUGACAUAGGCGUUUAUUUCUAACCAAGUUACGAACACCAUCACUACUAGUAGUCGAAGUGGGCAGAUAUACAACAGUUACCAUCUAAAAAUGGACCAAAAAUAGUUCAGUGUGUUAUAGCAGAUCGAUGACCACACACUUUGAGCCAUCUAGGUAUCAACUAAUCAUUUACUAUCCUAGAUUAAGAAUAAGUCAUUAUAAGUGAAGUGUGACCUCCCAUUUCCCUUGAGGAGACCCAAACUAACCAUAAUCGUAUAGAAUAGAUGUAGUUCAUAAUCACAAAUCAACAUAGAAUCAAGCAGAAAUAAUACAACCAACAGACGGUAUACUCUGUUACAUUAAAUGUUGCUUUAUUGAAUUCCUCAACAGAACGUGAAAGUGUUCACACCUCUGUUUGAGUCUCAUUCUUUCAAAAAUUCAUUUUUUCAAAACUCAUUUUCAACCACACAUCCUUCAAUAAAGUAAUAUUACACGUAAAUUCAAAACUUUUCUUUACUUGUUAACCACAUAUUCUCAAUCAAUCUACUAUUCAAAAUGCAUUCUUUUCAAAAAAAUGGGGCUCAAGCUAAGUGAAGACUUCACAACAAUGUAAAUGGUAUUCUAGCAAUCAAUAUUCCAGUUUCAAGUUGAAAUGAAAUUAAGAAAAGAAACAUGUUGAUCAGUCUUAGAAAACGGUCAUAUAAAGAUAUUAGAAAGCACAUAACAAUCAAGUGUAUGGAUGGAACCACCUUUACAACAACAAGAGAAACUGGAUGACAGGCAACAAAUACAGUAUCAUAAAGCACAACUAAUCGAAGCUAUAGGAAUUAGAAAAAUACAGACCUCGAUCGAUUGUAUGAGACUCUUAUUAUGUAUACGUAAUAGUCUAGUUCAGUACAUUUGAUCAGCCAAGAAGAGGAUUAAGAACGUGCCCAAUGAAUAGCACUACCCCCGUCAUAUCUUCUCUGAUGAUGAACAAAAAUGGAUGAUCGGCAACAAAAUCGAACUCAUCCUCGACUAAUAAACCCCUCAGUUUAACAAGACCAGCAGAAGCAGCAGCAGCUUCCGUGCCUUCCUCAUUUACCUCGAUAAAUGACUUGUGGAAAAUGCUAGAAACAUAAAGGUUCUGACCAACUUGUGAGUCCACCAUAUCUGUGAGACCACCACCAGAAAAAGGCAACACGACUCCCAGUCCCUUGAGAACUUCCGAGGCUUCAAACCCAAAUGACAAUUUGAAUUUUGGGAUACGGAAUUCACCAACUUCGACCUUUUGAUAUGGGAGGUGAUGCUCCAAGAAUCCUGAUUCCGAACUGACUUUCUCUACCAAAGCCAGCAAUCCAUCUUUGGUGUCUGGAAGAAGGAAGUUCAUAGAGAACUUGCGCUUAUCUUCACCUUGCUUAUACGGAAGGCUCAAAAUUUUGAAACCAUCAAAGGAACGUAUAUAUUGCUUCUUCUUGCUACUCAUGAAGGGUACUUGUACUGAGCUCCCAUCUAGGAGGAAAAAGUCAUGGUCCUUUGUAAUUGAUGCAUCAAACUUCUCACUCCAAGCUCCUUUGAAAUACACUGCAUUUGCAAAGAUGAGCCUCGUGGAAGCAUCAACUGAGCCAGGUGGAAGAAUUUCUUCGACAAGGCCACUUGUUUCCUUUUCAGCCCAUUGAUUGACUUCACCGAUUACCUCAACAGCCUUCAGAAAUAUCAAGAAUAAAGAACAUAACAAUUAAUACAUUGUUAAAGAAAUUUACUUGCAGAAGUAGAAGUUCUACAACAUGAAUGAUUUCACCCAGCCAGUUCCUCUUUCUCCUACAACUCAAGGUGUACAAGCAGAUAAAUAACUGUUUACAUCAUGAAUUCGUUGACAUUACAAUAGAGACUAUUAUGUGUAAGGUUUAUUCUAAAUGUCAUGGGCCAUGAAUACCAUUUACAGAUAUACUUGAAACAGAAGUUGGUUACAUGCUUAUGAACAUAACCACCACCAAAAAACAAAAGCAAAAGCAAAGCCGUCCCCAAUAAAUUUGGAGUCAGGGAGCUAGAAGCAUUUUUCAUCCAUUCGACAGGGAUUUCUUGGUGACCAAUACUAACAUGAAGACAAGAAUAAAUCGGAUGUUAUCCAUUUGAUAUUUUCAUAAUAUCAAACUAUCACAAUUCUGUAAACAAUUACAGAAUUUACAAUUUUAAAAAAAAAAAAAAAGGAGGAUAAAAAUAAUGCAAAUUUUCUUACAAUGUGAAGCACCACAUGGAUUUACAACCACUGGUGUAUGGCAAGUGUUUUAAAGUUUAAAAUUACAUGUCAUUCUAUUUUGGUAUUUGGGAAGAUGAAAUCGAAGUAAUUAGGAGAAAAUGCCUCCGGCUUGGUUGGGCUUAGUUUAGCAACUUUUGAACGUACAAAGGUCAAGUUUUCAGUUAGAAACAGAAAAAAGUGAAAAUUUUUAAAAAAUGANNNNNNNNNNNNNNNNNNNNNNNNNNNNNNNNNNNNNNNNNNNNNNNNNNNNNNNNNNNNNNNNNNNNNNNNNNNNNNNNNNNNNNNNNNNNNNNNNNNNNNNNNNNNNNNNNNNNNNNNNNNNNNNNNNNNNNNNNNNNNNNNNNNNNNNNNNNNNNNNNNNNNNNNNNNNNNNNNNNNNNNNNNNNNNNNNNNNNNNNNNNNNNNNNNNNNNNNNNNNNNNNNNNNNNNNNNNNNNNNNNNNNNNNNNNNNNNNNNNNNNNNNNNNNNNNNNNNNNNNNNNNNNNNNNNNNNNNNNNNNNNNNNNNNNNNNNNNNNNNNNNNNNNNNNNNNNNNNNNNNNNNNNNNNNNNNNNNNNNNNNNNNNNNNNNNNNNNNNNNNNNNNNNNNNNNNNNNNNNNNNNNNNNNNNNNNNNNAAAAAAAAAAAAAAGAAAUUUGACAGCACACAAACCACCUAUAGACACCAAUAAUAAGCAAAAAAAUGUUAUAAGGAAACAAUCAAACCUUGAUCAACGAUAAACAGAUUAAUGAGUUCUACAAUUGAAAAUAGAAAUUAAACUAACCUUAGUUUGAAAAUCAACAGGAUUAGAAGCAGCCUUGUAAAUAUUAUCAACAAUUUCUUUAAAACUGGGCUUGAAGCUGAGACUCUGAUCUAUCCAAACCCCAUUAGCGAAUGACAAGCAAGGCCCACCAAGGGGGCCACCGUCAGCGAAAAUGAGAGUUACAAGCUGAGAGGAGAGUGAGUUGAGUUCAUCAGUGGACUUCGAUUUGAGGAAAUUAAGCAACUGAUUAAGGGUUUGAUCUUUGGAUCCGGCCGCGAUCAGACCCAACACCACGUGAAUCGAGAGCGGCGAGAACACCAAAUUCUUUUCCUUGGCCUCAGUCGAAACCAAGUGAUGUGCAAGCUGAAGUGAUGCUUGUGUUUGGUUCUUGAUGGAUUCUCUUAGGUCCAUUUCUGUGUGCGUCGGCGUGUGGAAGAGGUGAUUGAAUCAAAAUUCGUGCGCGUUUGGACGUUCUGAAAAUCUGCACUGUGUUCACCGACACAUCAGAGGCAAUUUAUAUGUGCCACUUGUGAUGGUUGACUCAAGCGUGUCUUUCAAUGUCUACUCAACACGUUAGGAUUCGUUUCUUCGGGAUAAAGAUAACAAAUUGGGGGAAUCCAUUGUUUAUCCAAACGACCUUGAAGAAUACUUCGACGUAGAUGUUUUGAAAUUAAUUUUGUGAAUAGUGAUUAAUUUAUAGAUUGUAGGGUUAAAAUAGAUAUAAUUAUUUACGUAUAAAAUUAUUUUACCAAAAGAAUGUGUAAGAAAAAUUAGGUUUUAGGAAAAUAUAAUUUUUUUAGUAACAUAACCAACCAUCCAAUAAACUUCUCUAGGGUCUAAAAAAAUUAUAGUAUCGUAACCAACCAUCCGAUAAACUUCUCUAGGAAUUUAAACCCUGAUUGUCACCCAUUAUUUGGAAAAUUAAAAAGUUAUGAACAGUAUUUUUUGAAGAAUAUGUUGUUAAAAAUAAAGAAACUUUAUUAAUUUGUGUGUAGAAUAUUUUAUUGUGUGAAUGUGUAGAGUAGAAUGGUAACGUAACAACAACAAUUUUAAAUUUUAAAUGGGGCCAAACAAGUUUCUUUUACGAUGGAGAUUUCUUGCUUGUUUGACAUUCUUUAAUUUAUUUUAUGGAUUGUAACAUGAUCAUUUUCAAUAUAUUCAUACAAUAAAAUAUUAUACACAUAUACUGCAGAUUUUCUAUACUUUUUAAUCAUACACUUCUAAAAAUUAUUAUUUAAACUCCGUUUUUUUUUUUUUUUUUGCCAAAAUUGUUGUCAAAUAGGCUUCAUCUUGUGUGAUUUUUUGAAAAUUACUUUUUCUGAUAUUUAUUUUCAAUAUAUAUUCUUUAAAAUUACUUUCACGUUUUUCAAUUUUUUUAAUAUUUUAACUGCACAUUUUCCAAGAAAAUCACAUUUCAAAAUCUCCAUCCCACACACUGAUUUCUUUAUUGAUUUUGAAUAUAUAUUUCGACUUUUUUUGCCUUUUUCUUUUCUCCCUAAGAUGAAGUUUAUCAGCCUAUUUGGGAGUGAUUUUUUUUUCUAAAAAAUUGAUUUUUUGACCAUUAUUUUACUAUUACAGUUGUCAUAUUUGACUUUUUCUCUCACGGAUGGACCCCACUUUUCUCCUAACGGUCAAAAUAUCAAUUCUCAAAAUCACUUCCAAACAGGCUCUAUAUCAAGGGCCUGUUAGACAUAAAUUUUCCUAAAUUUUUUUUUCUCUAAUUAUUGUAUAUGUUCCAUAACUUUUUCUUACAUUUUAAUUACACAUCCUCUAAAAAUUUAUAUUUCACUUGAAAAAUCCAUGUCAAACAAACUCUAACAGUGACAUGAUUGAAGGGAAUUCUUCAAAGCUUUCACAAGAACAUAAAGAGGAACUGUGGGCUUUAGCUCCAGGACCAUACCCAUUUAUUUUUGUAUUAAUUCAGUGAAAAUAGUUUUUUAUUAUCCCUUGACUCCACCACUAAUAUCAACCCAUGAUGCGCAAUUCUAAUUAUCACACUAUGCAAAAAUCUAUUUUUGGUUGAGACAUACUUCUCAUUUGUAGUAUUCAAAUUUAUAUGAUUAAAAAUAGUUUAUACGUUUCCUAAAAAUAAGACAAAAUAAUGCAAAAUUUUGGACAAAAAAUGAUUAAUAAAGUAAAAUAAUUCUUCCCUGGAAAAACAAGGCCUAUGUGUCCCUGUUUGAGAAGCAGAACCCUCGUAUAUAAUGUUUACUACCUUGAAAUGUCAUUUCUAAACAUGCACCUACUUGACACCUCCUUAUGAUAUUUUGACUAUGCUUAAGAAGCUCAAUUAUUAAAUAAAAAAAAAGCCUUCUAAAAUAAAUUUUUUAUUGGUAAAUGUUUAACAUAUUUAUAUUAUUUAUUAUAAGUUUUUAUAUAGAAAUGUGUGGAGGGUAAGUUGUUCGUCGAGCCAUGAUUAAAGAGGCAGUUUCGACCUUCUCUCUCUCUACUGUUAAUUUUGAUAUAUUUUUCACUCGAAAUUUGUUUUACCCAGUUUUCAAUUUAUUUAUUUCUUUAUUAUUAUUAUUAUUAUUAUUGUGCAUUUGCGCAUUUUACAUAUUGGUUAACUCAAUAUCUUCAUCUCACAAAAUAUUUACAAUUUCUUAGAGAUUUCAGAGAUCCAACGAAAUGAAAAUUUGGGUUACAAUGUUAGAAAAUGAAAUAUUAGUUAAAAGUAUUCUUCCUAAACUAUUGAUAUAGUAUUUUUUUUGACAUUUGAUUCUACUUAUUCUGGUGGACAUCAUCUAUACGUGUUUUUAGUAGUAUUAUAUUUUGACAAUGAUCAUUUGACUCUUCAGAAGAAACUAUUUUAUUUUAAAUCAGCUCCAUCAAAUGGACCUAACAUAUCGUCACGUCGCACAUACUUUACAACAGUAUUAUAUAAUUAACAAAAUAUUUAACAUCUUUUCUUUUGAUUGNNNNNNNNNNNNNNNNNNNNNNNNNNNNNNNNNNNNNNNNNNNNNNNNNNNNNNNNNNNNNNNNNNNNNNNNNNNNNNNNNNNNNNNNNNNNNNNNNNNNNNNNNNNNNNNNNNNNNNNNNNNNNNNNNNNNNNNNNNNNNNNNNNNNNNNNNNNNNNNNNNNNNNNNNNNNNNNNNNNNNNNNNNNNNNNNNNNNNNNNNNNNNNNNNNNNNNNNNNNNNNNNNNNNNNNNNNNNNNNNNNNNNNNNNNNNNNNNNNNNNNNNNNNNNNNNNNNNNNNNNNNNNNNNNNNNNNNNNNNNNNNNNNNNNNNNNNNNNNNNNNNNNNNNNNNNNNNNNNNNNNNNNNNNNNNNNNNNNNNNNNNNNNNNNNNNNNNNNNNNNNNNNNNNNNNNNNNNNNNNNNNNNNNNNNNNNNNNNNNNNNNNNNNNNNNNNNNNNNNNNNNNNNNNNNNNNNNNNNNNNNNNNNNNNNNNNNNNNNNNNNNNNNNNNNNNNNNNNNNNNNNNNNNNNNNNNNNNNNNNNNNNNNNNNNNNNNNNNNNNNNNNNNNNNNNNNNNNNNNNNNNNNNNNNNNNNNNNNNNNNNNNNNNNNNNNNNNNNNNNNNNNNNNNNNNNNNNNNNNNNNNNNNNNNNNNNNNNNNNNNNNNNNNNNNNNNNNNNNNNNNNNNNNNNNNNNNNNNNNNNNNNNNNNNNNNNNNNNNNNNNNNNNNNNNNNNNNNNNNNNNNNNNNNNNNNNNNNNNNNNNNNNNNNNNNNNNNNNNNNNNNNNNNNNNNNNNNNNNNNNNNNNNNNNNNNNNNNNNNNNNNNNNNNNNNNNNNNNNNNNNNNNNNNNNNNNNNNNNNNNNNNNNNNNNNNNNNNNNNNNNNNNNNNNNNNNNNNNNNNNNNNNNNNNNNNNNNNNNNNNNNNNNNNNNNNNNNNNNNNNNNNNNNNNNNNNNNNNNNNNNNNNNNNNNNNNNNNNNNNNNNNNNNNNNNNNNNNNNNNNNNNNNNNNNNNNNNNNNNNNNNNNNNNNNNNNNNNNNNNNNNNNNNNNNNNNNNNNNNNNNNNNNNNNNNNNNNNNNNNNNNNNNNNNNNNNNNNNNNNNNNNNNNNNNNNNNNNNNNNNNNNNNNNNNNNNNNNNNNNNNNNNNNNNNNNNNNNNNNNNNNNNNNNNNNNNNNNNNNNNNNNNNNNNNNNNNNNNNNNNNNNNNNNNNNNNNNNNNNNNNNNNNNNNNNNNNNNNNNNNNNNNNNNNNNNNNNNNNNNNNNNNNNNNNNNNNNNNNNNNNNNNNNNNNNNNNNNNNNNNNNNNNNNNNNNNNNNNNNNNNNNNNNNNNNNNNNNNNNNNNNNNNNNNNNNNNNNNNNNNNNNNNNNNNNNNNNNNNNNNNNNNNNNNNNNNNNNNNNNNNNNNNNNNNNNNNNNNNNNNNNNNNNNNNNNNNNNNNNNNNNNNNNNNNNNNNNNNNNNNNNNNNNNNNNNNNNNNNNNNNNNNNNNNNNNNNNNNNNNNNNNNNNNNNNNNNNNNNNNNNNNNNNNNNNNNNNNNNNNNNNNNNNNNNNNNNNNNNNNNNNNNNNNNNNNNNNNNNNNNNNNNNNNNNNNNNNNNNNNNNNNNNNNNNNNNNNNNNNNNNNNNNNNNNNNNNNNNNNNNNNNNNNNNNNNNNNNNNNNNNNNNNNNNNNNNNNNNNNNNNNNNNNNNNNNNNNNNNNNNNNNNNNNNNNNNNNNNNNNNNNNNNNNNNNNNNNNNNNNNNNNNNNNNNNNNNNNNNNNNNNNNNNNNNNNNNNNNNNNNNNNNNNNNNNNNNNNNNNNNNNNNNNNNNNNNNNNNNNNNNNNNNNNNNNNNNNNNNNNNNNNNNNNNNNNNNNNNNNNNNNNNNNNNNNNNNNNNNNNNNNNNNNNNNNNNNNNNNNNNNNNNNNNNNNNNNNNNNNNNNNNNNNNNNNNNNNNNNNNNNNNNNNNNNNNNNNNNNNNNNNNNNNNNNNNNNNNNNNNNNNNNNNNNNNNNNNNNNNNNNNNNNNNNNNNNNNNNNNNNNNNNNNNNNNNNNNNNNNNNNNNNNNNNNNNNNNNNNNNNNNNNNNNNNNNNNNNNNNNNNNNNNNNNNNNNNNNNNNNNNNNNNNNNNNNNNNNNNNNNNNNNNNNNNNNNNNNNNNNNNNNNNNNNNNNNNNNNNNNNNNNNNNNNNNNNNNNNNNNNNNNNNNNNNNNNNNNNNNNNNNNNNNNNNNNNNNNNNNNNNNNNNNNNNNNNNNNNNNNNNNNNNNNNNNNNNNNNNNNNNNNNNNNNNNNNNNNNNNNNNNNNNNNNNNNNNNNNNNNNNNNNNNNNNNNNNNNNNNNNNNNNNNNNNNNNNNNNNNNNNNNNNNNNNNNNNNNNNNNNNNNNNNNNNNNNNNNNNNNNNNNNNNNNNNNNNNNNNNNNNNNNNNNNNNNNNNNNNNNNNNNNNNNNNNNNNNNNNNNNNNNNNNNNNNNNNNNNNNNNNNNNNNNNNNNNNNNNNNNNNNNNNNNNNNNNNNNNNNNNNNNNNNNNNNNNNNNNNNNNNNNNNNNNNNNNNNNNNNNNNNNNNNNNNNNNNNNNNNNNNNNNNNNNNNNNNNNNNNNNNNNNNNNNNNNNNNNNNNNNNNNNNNNNNNNNNNNNNNNNNNNNNNNNNNNNNNNNNNNNNNNNNNNNNNNNNNNNNNNNNNNNNNNNNNNNNNNNNNNNNNNNNNNNNNNNNNNNNNNNNNNNNNNNNNNNNNNNNNNNNNNNNNNNNNNNNNNNNNNNNNNNNNNNNNNNNNNNNNNNNNNNNNNNNNNNNNNNNNNNNNNNNNNNNNNNNNNNNNNNNNNNNNNNNNNNNNNNNNNNNNNNNNNNNNNNNNNNNNNNNNNNNNNNNNNNNNNNNNNNNNNNNNNNNNNNNNNNNNNNNNNNNNNNNNNNNNNNNNNNNNNNNNNNNNNNNNNNNNNNNNNNNNNNNNNNNNNNNNNNNNNNNNNNNNNNNNNNNNNNNNNNNNNNNNNNNNNNNNNNNNNNNNNNNNNNNNNNNNNNNNNNNNNNNNNNNNNNNNNNNNNNNNNNNNNNNNNNNNNNNNNNNNNNNNNNNNNNNNNNNNNNNNNNNNNNNNNNNNNNNNNNNNNNNNNNNNNNNNNNNNNNNNNNNNNNNNNNNNNNNNNNNNNNNNNNNNNNNNNNNNNNNNNNNNNNNNNNNNNNNNNNNNNNNNNNNNNNNNNNNNNNNNNNNNNNNNNNNNNNNNNNNNNNNNNNNNNNNNNNNNNNNNNNNNNNNNNNNNNNNNNNNNNNNNNNNNNNNNNNNNNNNNNNNNNNNNNNNNNNNNNNNNNNNNNNNNNNNNNNNNNNNNNNNNNNNNNNNNNNNNNNNNNNNNNNNNNNNNNNNNNNNNNNNNNNNNNNNNNNNNNNNNNNNNNNNNNNNNNNNNNNNNNNNNNNNNNNNNNNNNNNNNNNNNNNNNNNNNNNNNNNNNNNNNNNNNNNNNNNNNNNNNNNNNNNNNNNNNNNNNNNNNNNNNNNNNNNNNNNNNNNNNNNNNNNNNNNNNNNNNNNNNNNNNNNNNNNNNNNNNNNNNNNNNNNNNNNNNNNNNNNNNNNNNNNNNNNNNNNNNNNNNNNNNNNNNNNNNNNNNNNNNNNNNNNNNNNNNNNNNNNNNNNNNNNNNNNNNNNNNNNNNNNNNNNNNNNNNNNNNNNNNNNNNNNNNNNNNNNNNNNNNNNNNNNNNNNNNNNNNNNNNNNNNNNNNNNNNNNNNNNNNNNNNNNNNNNNNNNNNNNNNNNNNNNNNNNNNNNNNNNNNNNNNNNNNNNNNNNNNNNNNNNNNNNNNNNNNNNNNNNNNNNNNNNNNNNNNNNNNNNNNNNNNNNNNNNNNNNNNNNNNNNNNNNNNNNNNNNNNNNNNNNNNNNNNNNNNNNNNNNNNNNNNNNNNNNNNNNNNNNNNNNNNNNNNNNNNNNNNNNNNNNNNNNNNNNNNNNNNNNNNNNNNNNNNNNNNNNNNNNNNNNNNNNNNNNNNNNNNNNNNNNNNNNNNNNNNNNNNNNNNNNNNNNNNNNNNNNNNNNNNNNNNNNNNNNNNNNNNNNNNNNNNNNNNNNNNNNNNNNNNNNNNNNNNNNNNNNNNNNNNNNNNNNNNNNNNNNNNNNNNNNNNNNNNNNNNNNNNNNNNNNNNNNNNNNNNNNNNNNNNNNNNNNNNNNNNNNNNNNNNNNNNNNNNNNNNNNNNNNNNNNNNNNNNNNNNNNNNNNNNNNNNNNNNNNNNNNNNNNNNNNNNNNNNNNNNNNNNNNNNNNNNNNNNNNNNNNNNNNNNNNNNNNNNNNNNNNNNNNNNNNNNNNNNNNNNNNNNNNNNNNNNNNNNNNNNNNNNNNNNNNNNNNNNNNNNNNNNNNNNNNNNNNNNNNNNNNNNNNNNNNNNNNNNNNNNNNNNNNNNNNNNNNNNNNNNNNNNNNNNNNNNNNNNNNNNNNNNNNNNNNNNNNNNNNNNNNNNNNNNNNNNNNNNNNNNNNNNNNNNNNNNNNNNNNNNNNNNNNNNNNNNNNNNNNNNNNNNNNNNNNNNNNNNNNNNNNNNNNNNNNNNNNNNNNNNNNNNNNNNNNNNNNNNNNNNNNNNNNNNNNNNNNNNNNNNNNNNNNNNNNNNNNNNNNNNNNNNNNNNNNNNNNNNNNNNNNNNNNNNNNNNNNNNNNNNNNNNNNNNNNNNNNNNNNNNNNNNNNNNNNNNNNNNNNNNNNNNNNNNNNNNNNNNNNNNNNNNNNNNNNNNNNNNNNNNNNNNNNNNNNNNNNNNNNNNNNNNNNNNNNNNNNNNNNNNNNNNNNNNNNNNNNNNNNNNNNNNNNNNNNNNNNNNNNNNNNNNNNNNNNNNNNNNNNNNNNNNNNNNNNNNNNNNNNNNNNNNNNNNNNNNNNNNNNNNNNNNNNNNNNNNNNNNNNNNNNNNNNNNNNNNNNNNNNNNNNNNNNNNNNNNNNNNNNNNNNNNNNNNNNNNNNNNNNNNNNNNNNNNNNNNNNNNNNNNNNNNNNNNNNNNNNNNNNNNNNNNNNNNNNNNNNNNNNNNNNNNNNNNNNNNNNNNNNNNNNNNNNNNNNNNNNNNNNNNNNNNNNNNNNNNNNNNNNNNNNNNNNNNNNNNNNNNNNNNNNNNNNNNNNNNNNNNNNNNNNNNNNNNNNNNNNNNNNNNNNNNNNNNNNNNNNNNNNNNNNNNNNNNNNNNNNNNNNNNNNNNNNNNNNNNNNNNNNNNNNNNNNNNNNNNNNNNNNNNNNNNNNNNNNNNNNNNNNNNNNNNNNNNNNNNNNNNNNNNNNNNNNNNNNNNNNNNNNNNNNNNNNNNNNNNNNNNNNNNNNNNNNNNNNNNNNNNNNNNNNNNNNNNNNNNNNNNNNNNNNNNNNNNNNNNNNNNNNNNNNNNNNNNNNNNNNNNNNNNNNNNNNNNNNNNNNNNNNNNNNNNNNNNNNNNNNNNNNNNNNNNNNNNNNNNNNNNNNNNNNNNNNNNNNNNNNNNNNNNNNNNNNNNNNNNNNNNNNNNNNNNNNNNNNNNNNNNNNNNNNNNNNNNNNNNNNNNNNNNNNNNNNNNNNNNNNNNNNNNNNNNNNNNNNNNNNNNNNNNNNNNNNNNNNNNNNNNNNNNNNNNNNNNNNNNNNNNNNNNNNNNNNNNNNNNNNNNNNNNNNNNNNNNNNNNNNNNNNNNNNNNNNNNNNNNNNNNNNNNNNNNNNNNNNNNNNNNNNNNNNNNNNNNNNNNNNNNNNNNNNNNNNNNNNNNNNNNNNNNNNNNNNNNNNNNNNNNNNNNNNNNNNNNNNNNNNNNNNNNNNNNNNNNNNNNNNNNNNNNNNNNNNNNNNNNNNNNNNNNNNNNNNNNNNNNNNNNNNNNNNNNNNNNNNNNNNNNNNNNNNNNNNNNNNNNNNNNNNNNNNNNNNNNNNNNNNNNNNNNNNNNNNNNNNNNNNNNNNNNNNNNNNNNNNNNNNNNNNNNNNNNNNNNNNNNNNNNNNNNNNNNNNNNNNNNNNNNNNNNNNNNNNNNNNNNNNNNNNNNNNNNNNNNNNNNNNNNNNNNNNNNNNNNNNNNNNNNNNNNNNNNNNNNNNNNNNNNNNNNNNNNNNNNNNNNNNNNNNNNNNNNNNNNNNNNNNNNNNNNNNNNNNNNNNNNNNNNNNNNNNNNNNNNNNNNNNNNNNNNNNNNNNNNNNNNNNNNNNNNNNNNNNNNNNNNNNNNNNNNNNNNNNNNNNNNNNNNNNNNNNNNNNNNNNNNNNNNNNNNNNNNNNNNNNNNNNNNNNNNNNNNNNNNNNNNNNNNNNNNNNNNNNNNNNNNNNNNNNNNNNNNNNNNNNNNNNNNNNNNNNNNNNNNNNNNNNNNNNNNNNNNNNNNNNNNNNNNNNNNNNNNNNNNNNNNNNNNNNNNNNNNNNNNNNNNNNNNNNNNNNNNNNNNNNNNNNNNNNNNNNNNNNNNNNNNNNNNNNNNNNNNNNNNNNNNNNNNNNNNNNNNNNNNNNNNNNNNNNNNNNNNNNNNNNNNNNNNNNNNNNNNNNNNNNNNNNNNNNNNNNNNNNNNNNNNNNNNNNNNNNNNNNNNNNNNNNNNNNNNNNNNNNNNNNNNNNNNNNNNNNNNNNNNNNNNNNNNNNNNNNNNNNNNNNNNNNNNNNNNNNNNNNNNNNNNNNNNNNNNNNNNNNNNNNNNNNNNNNNNNNNNNNNNNNNNNNNNNNNNNNNNNNNNNNNNNNNNNNNNNNNNNNNNNNNNNNNNNNNNNNNNNNNNNNNNNNNNNNNNNNNNNNNNNNNNNNNNNNNNNNNNNNNNNNNNNNNNNNNNNNNNNNNNNNNNNNNNNNNNNNNNNNNNNNNNNNNNNNNNNNNNNNNNNNNNNNNNNNNNNNNNNNNNNNNNNNNNNNNNNNNNNNNNNNNNNNNNNNNNNNNNNNNNNNNNNNNNNNNNNNNNNNNNNNNNNNNNNNNNNNNNNNNNNNNNNNNNNNNNNNNNNNNNNNNNNNNNNNNNNNNNNNNNNNNNNNNNNNNNNNNNNNNNNNNNNNNNNNNNNNNNNNNNNNNNNNNNNNNNNNNNNNNNNNNNNNNNNNNNNNNNNNNNNNNNNNNNNNNNNNNNNNNNNNNNNNNNNNNNNNNNNNNNNNNNNNNNNNNNNNNNNNNNNNNNNNNNNNNNNNNNNNNNNNNNNNNNNNNNNNNNNNNNNNNNNNNNNNNNNNNNNNNNNNNNNNNNNNNNNNNNNNNNNNNNNNNNNNNNNNNNNNNNNNNNNNNNNNNNNNNNNNNNNNNNNNNNNNNNNNNNNNNNNNNNNNNNNNNNNNNNNNNNNNNNNNNNNNNNNNNNNNNNNNNNNNNNNNNNNNNNNNNNNNNNNNNNNNNNNNNNNNNNNNNNNNNNNNNNNNNNNNNNNNNNNNNNNNNNNNNNNNNNNNNNNNNNNNNNNNNNNNNNNNNNNNNNNNNNNNNNNNNNNNNNNNNNNNNNNNNNNNNNNNNNNNNNNNNNNNNNNNNNNNNNNNNNNNNNNNNNNNNNNNNNNNNNNNNNNNNNNNNNNNNNNNNNNNNNNNNNNNNNNNNNNNNNNNNNNNNNNNNNNNNNNNNNNNNNNNNNNNNNNNNNNNNNNNNNNNNNNNNNNNNNNNNNNNNNNNNNNNNNNNNNNNNNNNNNNNNNNNNNNNNNNNNNNNNNNNNNNNNNNNNNNNNNNNNNNNNNNNNNNNNNNNNNNNNNNNNNNNNNNNNNNNNNNNNNNNNNNNNNNNNNNNNNNNNNNNNNNNNNNNNNNNNNNNNNNNNNNNNNNNNNNNNNNNNNNNNNNNNNNNNNNNNNNNNNNNNNNNNNNNNNNNNNNNNNNNNNNNNNNNNNNNNNNNNNNNNNNNNNNNNNNNNNNNNNNNNNNNNNNNNNNNNNNNNNNNNNNNNNNNNNNNNNNNNNNNNNNNNNNNNNNNNNNNNNNNNNNNNNNNNNNNNNNNNNNNNNNNNNNNNNNNNNNNNNNNNNNNNNNNNNNNNNNNNNNNNNNNNNNNNNNNNNNNNNNNNNNNNNNNNNNNNNNNNNNNNNNNNNNNNNNNNNNNNNNNNNNNNNNNNNNNNNNNNNNNNNNNNNNNNNNNNNNNNNNNNNNNNNNNNNNNNNNNNNNNNNNNNNNNNNNNNNNNNNNNNNNNNNNNNNNNNNNNNNNNNNNNNNNNNNNNNNNNNNNNNNNNNNNNNNNNNNNNNNNNNNNNNNNNNNNNNNNNNNNNNNNNNNNNNNNNNNNNNNNNNNNNNNNNNNNNNNNNNNNNNNNNNNNNNNNNNNNNNNNNNNNNNNNNNNNNNNNNNNNNNNNNNNNNNNNNNNNNNNNNNNNNNNNNNNNNNNNNNNNNNNNNNNNNNNNNNNNNNNNNNNNNNNNNNNNNNNNNNNNNNNNNNNNNNNNNNNNNNNNNNNNNNNNNNNNNNNNNNNNNNNNNNNNNNNNNNNNNNNNNNNNNNNNNNNNNNNNNNNNNNNNNNNNNNNNNNNNNNNNNNNNNNNNNNNNNNNNNNNNNNNNNNNNNNNNNNNNNNNNNNNNNNNNNNNNNNNNNNNNNNNNNNNNNNNNNNNNNNNNNNNNNNNNNNNNNNNNNNNNNNNNNNNNNNNNNNNNNNNNNNNNNNNNNNNNNNNNNNNNNNNNNNNNNNNNNNNNNNNNNNNNNNNNNNNNNNNNNNNNNNNNNNNNNNNNNNNNNNNNNNNNNNNNNNNNNNNNNNNNNNNNNNNNNNNNNNNNNNNNNNNNNNNNNNNNNNNNNNNNNNNNNNNNNNNNNNNNNNNNNNNNNNNNNNNNNNNNNNNNNNNNNNNNNNNNNNNNNNNNNNNNNNNNNNNNNNNNNNNNNNNNNNNNNNNNNNNNNNNNNNNNNNNNNNNNNNNNNNNNNNNNNNNNNNNNNNNNNNNNNNNNNNNNNNNNNNNNNNNNNNNNNNNNNNNNNNNNNNNNNNNNNNNNNNNNNNNNNNNNNNNNNNNNNNNNNNNNNNNNNNNNNNNNNNNNNNNNNNNNNNNNNNNNNNNNNNNNNNNNNNNNNNNNNNNNNNNNNNNNNNNNNNNNNNNNNNNNNNNNNNNNNNNNNNNNNNNNNNNNNNNNNNNNNNNNNNNNNNNNNNNNNNNNNNNNNNNNNNNNNNNNNNNNNNNNNNNNNNNNNNNNNNNNNNNNNNNNNNNNNNNNNNNNNNNNNNNNNNNNNNNNNNNNNNNNNNNNNNNNNNNNNNNNNNNNNNNNNNNNNNNNNNNNNNNNNNNNNNNNNNNNNNNNNNNNNNNNNNNNNNNNNNNNNNNNNNNNNNNNNNNNNNNNNNNNNNNNNNNNNNNNNNNNNNNNNNNNNNNNNNNNNNNNNNNNNNNNNNNNNNNNNNNNNNNNNNNNNNNNNNNNNNNNNNNNNNNNNNNNNNNNNNNNNNNNNNNNNNNNNNNNNNNNNNNNNNNNNNNNNNNNNNNNNNNNNNNNNNNNNNNNNNNNNNNNNNNNNNNNNNNNNNNNNNNNNNNNNNNNNNNNNNNNNNNNNNNNNNNNNNNNNNNNNNNNNNNNNNNNNNNNNNNNNNNNNNNNNNNNNNNNNNNNNNNNNNNNNNNNNNNNNNNNNNNNNNNNNNNNNNNNNNNNNNNNNNNNNNNNNNNNNNNNNNNNNNNNNNNNNNNNNNNNNNNNNNNNNNNNNNNNNNNNNNNNNNNNNNNNNNNNNNNNNNNNNNNNNNNNNNNNNNNNNNNNNNNNNNNNNNNNNNNNNNNNNNNNNNNNNNNNNNNNNNNNNNNNNNNNNNNNNNNNNNNNNNNNNNNNNNNNNNNNNNNNNNNNNNNNNNNNNNNNNNNNNNNNNNNNNNNNNNNNNNNNNNNNNNNNNNNNNNNNNNNNNNNNNNNNNNNNNNNNNNNNNNNNNNNNNNNNNNNNNNNNNNNNNNNNNNNNNNNNNNNNNNNNNNNNNNNNNNNNNNNNNNNNNNNNNNNNNNNNNNNNNNNNNNNNNNNNNNNNNNNNNNNNNNNNNNNNNNNNNNNNNNNNNNNNNNNNNNNNNNNNNNNNNNNNNNNNNNNNNNNNNNNNNNNNNNNNNNNNNNNNNNNNNNNNNNNNNNNNNNNNNNNNNNNNNNNNNNNNNNNNNNNNNNNNNNNNNNNNNNNNNNNNNNNNNNNNNNNNNNNNNNNNNNNNNNNNNNNNNNNNNNNNNNNNNNNNNNNNNNNNNNNNNNNNNNNNNNNNNNNNNNNNNNNNNNNNNNNNNNNNNNNNNNNNNNNNNNNNNNNNNNNNNNNNNNNNNNNNNNNNNNNNNNNNNNNNNNNNNNNNNNNNNNNNNNNNNNNNNNNNNNNNNNNNNNNNNNNNNNNNNNNNNNNNNNNNNNNNNNNNNNNNNNNNNNNNNNNNNNNNNNNNNNNNNNNNNNNNNNNNNNNNNNNNNNNNNNNNNNNNNNNNNNNNNNNNNNNNNNNNNNNNNNNNNNNNNNNNNNNNNNNNNNNNNNNNNNNNNNNNNNNNNNNNNNNNNNNNNNNNNNNNNNNNNNNNNNNNNNNNNNNNNNNNNNNNNNNNNNNNNNNNNNNNNNNNNNNNNNNNNNNNNNNNNNNNNNNNNNNNNNNNNNNNNNNNNNNNNNNNNNNNNNNNNNNNNNNNNNNNNNNNNNNNNNNNNNNNNNNNNNNNNNNNNNNNNNNNNNNNNNNNNNNNNNNNNNNNNNNNNNNNNNNNNNNNNNNNNNNNNNNNNNNNNNNNNNNNNNNNNNNNNNNNNNNNNNNNNNNNNNNNNNNNNNNNNNNNNNNNNNNNNNNNNNNNNNNNNNNNNNNNNNNNNNNNNNNNNNNNNNNNNNNNNNNNNNNNNNNNNNNNNNNNNNNNNNNNNNNNNNNNNNNNNNNNNNNNNNNNNNNNNNNNNNNNNNNNNNNNNNNNNNNNNNNNNNAGUGGUGAUGUUUUUGGUUUCGAAUGGAUCUAAUCAUUCCUAAACUUAUUCUAAAAGGAUUUUCAAUAUGGUUCUAAAUGAGUGGUUGGUUUAAUAAAUAUGUUCUAAGGUCUUAAAAAAUUCUGAGGUGAUUGACUUAUGCAACUCAAUUUUUAAUCAAUUAUAAGUGUAGUCAAGAAUGAGUACGUGCUUGAAUUGUUCAAAAGACAAGUAUAAAUUAAUAGGAUUCAUAAAUAAUUAAAAAUCUGAGUGUCCAUAGGAAUCGAUUUACAUUUUCAUCAGUUGAUAUGAAUUACUUUGUCCAAGUCAAAUCACACAGAAGUAUACAUAAUAAAGUUAUUUAUUUAUUUAUUUUUUUCAAAAUUUUUAACGAGUUUUCCUGUUUUGACUCAAAAUUAAACCUAAAUUAAUCACACACAAAUUAUUCAUGUCCUCCAAAUUUAAUUUCUACAUUGUCCUCGUAAUGCUAUAAAGCCUAAAUUAUCGAAAUUAAAUAAAAGAUAGAAAAUUUGGACUUGCCUGAUAAGUUUUGCGAGAUGGAGUUAGCCUUGAAACUAGAAGAAUAUUUUCCUUUACUUUAUCUUCUCUCCUCCUUCAAAGGAAUUUCUCGUUCUUUGUGCCUAUUUUCGACGAAUAAGAUUGUAAGUUACUUUAACAAAAAAAUAAUAAGUAAUUAUAAUCAAGAUUCCAAUAAAAGAGCAACACAUCAACUACUUAAUCCAUCUAUCUCAAUUUAGUAUAACAAAAUUAGAAAAAUUCCAAAGAAAAAAAUCUUAUGUAAUACUAUUGAGUGAAACUUAAACUUUUCAUGAUUUUUAAAAACAUUGAACAUACUGAUGAUGAAAAAGUUGGUGAUUAUGUGAAUUUGGGUGUCAAAUAUAUGGAGGAGGGAGAGAAUUUUGAAAUUUUGAAGUUAAAACUUAUUAAAGUUAAAAAAAUAAAUAAAUAAAAAAUAGAUCUCUUAUACCAUUUCCAGCACUGCACCAAAUUUUGCAUCAAAUUUUACACCAAAUCUUACACCAAACUAAAAUUUAUCUCCAACUAUUACACUAAAAUUUGCACCAAAUGAACAGUAUUUAACCAUUUUCUUCCCCUUUUUAUUCUUAAUAAUUUAUUUAUUUGAAAUAUUAUUUACAUAAUAUUUUAUAAAUACAAAAAUUACUAAAUAAAUAAUUACAUUAAAUUACAAAAAAGAUUAAAUUCAUUAAUAAAUAUAAAAAAAAUAGUACAAUUAAUAAAAACACUACAACAAUGAUAAUAUUAAAUCAUGCCAUUAAAAAAUAGUGCAAUGCAUUUCGAAUUAAGAUAUUACGAUAUUACGAAGUCGAAAUAUUAUUGCAAUUUAAUUCUCUGAAUUCAUAUCGUUUUCUUUAAAUAAAAUUAGAUUAUCAUACGUAUGUCGUCAUUUAAUAUAUUUCAUUUUUAAUUUAAGAAACAAUCGUGUUUGUUAUAUUUUAAAUUUUUUCUUCUUUUAAUUAAUAUAUUGAUUAUUAUUUUUUAUAUUUAAAAUACAAAUAAUAAUAUUAAUAAUUUAUUGUAUUAAAAAAUAUAUAGCACAAGACACAAAUAUCCUUAAUCAAUUUGUUUGGAAAAGGAAAAGCAAGGGCAAAAAUGAUAUUAUAUACUUUGCACCAUUUGCACCAAAAUGGUGCAAAGCUUGGUGCCACAUUGGAGGAAAUUUGCACCAAAAUUUGGAGCAUUUUAGUGAAAUGGUGCAUACAUUGGAGAUAGCCUUAGUUCAUUUUCUAUGUUUGACCACGGUUGACCACGAUAAACAACAAACUUUUAGUGAUUGUAUUGCAUCGCAGUUGACCGCGGUCAACCAUAUUGUUUAUUUUAAUUUUUUGCAGUGGUAUUAGAAUGACGACUCCAAAAAUAAUAAAAAAAUUUAAAACAAAAUUUAUUUUAACUAAAUAAUAAUUAAACAUGCCUAAUACUAAAUGCAAUUGUGUUAUUUAUAAUCUUGUACAUGUCUAAUUCCUGAAUUUGUCUUGCAUCUUUUACAUGCUUCAUGAAAACUCCCUAAAUUUGCCUGUUGAAAUGUCGAGAUCUCAUGACUUUUAGUUACCUUUGACAUUGGAAAGUACUCUGUGAAACACUUAUGUACCAUAUCAUCAUCCUAAUGCUUUCUUCGCCCGGUGAAUCCAAUCAUUCUCUGGCUUUAUAACAAAGAGUAUGUAGGAAGAGUCUCAAUUAAUUGCUUCAUUGGAUACUCCAUGAAAAUUGUAGUUUUAGUAGAUGUCCAAGAAGCGUGAGAUAUAAUUAUGUAGAUUCCCAUAAUGUUGAAAUAAAACAAAAAAGAUUAAAAGAUAUCACCGAGUUUAAUUACAAUAAACAUGAUAAAAGUUACUCCUCGCUUUCAUUGAUUUUUGCCAUACGAUUCCAAAAAUAUUUUUCGUUUCCUUCCUUGUGUAUCGUAAAUCUCUCGAUAAUUAGUUGAUGUAAUAUGAUAUAUUUUCUUCAAUUUUGCUGUCUAGCCAUCUUUUCUCUUCCAUCACAUUUUUCUGCGUCUUCCUUUUUGUCAUCCUUCCUCUAUGUCUUCUGCUUUUUUCUUUUAUUUGCCUAUCGCCAGCUUCUGUUUACUUUAAAAAAGGAUUCUAAUUCCUUUGGAUUUGAUUCCCAACUAAUUCUAUGUUUCAAGGCCCAUUUGAUGUAUUAUUUCUCUCCAAGGCCUCACUUUUUUCGAAUAAUGUAAUUUAGUCCUUGAUAAAAAUUCAUUUGUGCAGCUCACAUCCUCUUUAUUUCAAAUCAAGCCCUUCAAUUUCUAAAGUGCUGAAUUUGAUCUCAAAGCUGUAGAUUUCAUUCAUUUUCGUCAUUCUUAACCAAUAUUUAGUCCAAUCCCAAAUUUUCUCCUGACAUAAUCCAAAAAUACGAAUAAUUAAGUGUUAAGUUCACUAUAAUACUAACGAAAGACACUUUUUGUGGCUUAAAUAAGUGUAAAUUUAAUACUUAUUCAUAUCCACCUUCACAUCUACUCCUUUAUUUUUAUUUUUAUUGUUUUUUUACUCAUUUGCACACAAUGAAUUUUGUCAUUUCCAGUGUGUCUUCAAUUUCCUAGACCUAAACAAAAUGCAUGGAUUCCAUAUUAGCAUUUAUAUCUUGUUGCCAUAAAUCUGCAUUGACAUAAUCUAUGGCCUCUUCAUAUGAAGUCUUAUUAUCUACUUGUAUUGUGGACAUCAUCUGUUUGGACUGUCCAACUAACAAGUACGUGCAAAGUCUUUUAAUGACCUUAUAACCUUAGCUAAGAGGUUGUAGCUCCUAGAUUGUGGCGUUAUAUGGAAUCACAAUGUUUUCAUCAAAGCGAGUAUCACCAUCAGGUUGACUCCAUUACUUCCUCAUUACUUUUGACAAUUUCUUCAUCUAUAGGAUCAUAUGAAAGAUCAUAGCUCCUACUCUGAUCAUGAUGUCUUAAUAUUCCUAAAACUGUAGGUUGGUUUUCAUCAAAGCUAGCAUCACCAUUAAGUUGACUCCAUUACAUCGUCAGUUUCAACAAUUUCUUCAUCUAUAGGAUCACACGAAAGAUCAUCCCUCCUACUUUUAUCAUGUUGUCUUAGUAUUCCUAAACUGUAGGUUUGUUUGUCACCGGGCUGUGUUUCUAGAAUUGAUAUCGUAGAAUUAUCCUCACUCAUUUCUUCCAAAACAACCUUAUUUUGGUUUGAAAGGACAUAGAUUGAACACAAAGUCAUAAAUAUUAGUCUAGAAUUUCAUGUUAAAACUAAAUAGUGACAUUACAAAUAUUAGAAAAAUCAAAGUUCACUUAUAAUCAUUACAUGCAAUAAUAUGAUACAAAUAUUUUAGAGCUAACCUAUUAGCCAAUGCCAAUUUGAGCCACAUUCGCAGCUGUAACACAUUAUUGAUUCUCCAUAUAAAGAUAAGAAUAUAGUGAAUGUAUUCAUUAAUUACAAUCACAAUAUAAAGCAAUUAAUAAAAAAACGAAUAAGAAGAUCAAAUACGAUAAUUUAUUCUACAGUUUUCUGUGAUCAUCCAAUACUUCUACAUUAUUCAAAUAUUGACGAAUUGUUAUAAGUUCCUUAUUACUCUACAACAUUUUAGGGCAAAUCAUCGCCUCAACCAUCUUUAAGCUCAACCAACUCCUAAAAGAAUAAAAAAAAAAAAAAUUCAACAACUAAUAGGGAAUAUAAAUUCAGUAAUUUUGGAUAUUUGAAUAGCUAACACAUAUUUGACAAUUUUCGAAGGUAAUCUCAUACUUAUUUGCAUUCAAUUUCCACCAAAGUAAUAGGUUGAAAGGCUCAUUAGUCAAAUCUUGACAAUAAUCAUUUAAGUAAUCUAUCAAAUUAUUCUAUCGAUUAAUAGUAAAAUUCAACAAGUAAGUUUAAAUAUAAAUAAUAAAUCAUAUGAUCUAACCAGAAAAUUGAGAUGUAAAUAAACAAAUAGUAUCGUCUAAAAAAGUUAAGGGCUUGGACAAAUCACAACAAAACAAAACAAUUAUCAAUAAAAUAUAAUAAACAAUUACAAAAAAAUAAGAAAAUUUGGAUAAACUUACAUGGAAAUUUAGGCAAAAUUUGAGAAAAAAUAUUAAUAGAAGGAAAAGAAAUGGUGUGAGUUUAUUAAAAUUUAAUUGUCUACUCAAUGCAAUGGACGGUUGAUGAUUAUGGUUUGAAAAAAGUUCAAUACUUCAACCAAUUUGAGGAGUUUUCUUUCACAAUUGUGAUGACUUAUGGGUACUUAUUAUUUUAUUCAUUGGAAUGGAUAGUUGUCUAAUUGGGUAUUGAAUUUAACUGGGUUGGAUAUAAUAUGGAUAUAUAUUUUGAAUUUGGAUGCUUUAAGUUUCAGUUGUGUUGAAUAAAAUUUAAAGUCACUUAUUUUUCAAUUAUUUUUACUUGUUGUAUUGAUUUGACAAUUUGAAAUGGUUUGCAAAAAUUGAAAUCUAAAUAAAACUAAUUUGAAACGAUUUGGUUCAAUCCAAAAUCAAAAUGUUGAGGGAUCUAUGUGAACCCAAUUCAGCGAUUUCAAAAACUAGUUUCAGUUGAUUUCACGGUUUGACAAUUUCGCUAUCCGACCCUAGUAAUAGCUGUUUUUAUUAAAAUAAUGGAUUUUUGCUUAAAGUUGAAAAGUGCUUGUUGACCAAUAAAAUUUCUUUAUAAGUUAUUUUAAAGAAGCUCAAAUUCUUCAGAAAGCUUUGUAUCUAGGGAUGGCAAUGGCUCAACUCGGCCCGUAUACGCAUGAGCUCGGCUCGCACUCAUGGCUCAUUUUCAACUAGAAGAGUUUGAGCUCGGCUCGUUGCUUCUGUGCGAGCUCAACACGGCCCACGAGAGUCGAGCUUUGGCUCACGAGCUCGUCCUUUUUUUUUUUAACGGAAAAAACAAAUGAAUACAAAUGUAUUUUUAAAAAAAAUAAUUUAAUAAGGACAAUUUAUUUAUUUAUAUCAUAUAGUAAUAUUUUCUAUAAAGUAUUAAAUAUUUAUAUAAUGAAAACAAUUUUUUUUUGAAAUAUAUAUAUAUAUAUAAAAUACAUUUUUUUCAUUUUCUUUUUGAAAUAGAUAAAAUAUAAACCCUCCUCCUUUAUUCGGGUUUGGGAUCGAUUACAUCAAUUUUAAGUAAGUGGAUUUAAAAAUUAUACACGAAAAACUUGUUGGUUACGUGUACAAUUUUUUAAAGAAAAUUAAAUAUAACAAUUAAAAAAUAAGAAAUUUUGAUUAAUAUAAUUAAAUCAAAUAUCACUUACCUGACGACAUACAGUUUCAGUAUAUUUAUCUUAUAGUCGAAAAUGAGCGUUCUGUCAAUUCUUCAAGCAUAUUAGAGCUUCCAAAACAUAUUCUUUCAGCCAGCUCCUGACAUCGGUCAAAACCCCUUUUAUCUGCACUAAAAACAGGCUCAGAAAUACCAGUGCUAAUCGGAGGUGUCAGUAGAUCUUUCGCAAUUGCAGAAACAAUUGACCAACGUCUUUCAUACUUUUGCCAGAAUUCAAUUACUUCUUCUGAACUUUUUUUUAAUUUUUUUGUUUGUUGGCAUAUUCUGAUUGAAGUAAUCAAUUAAUUUGGCAAACAUCGCAUUUUGAGUUGCGACCGAUGUUUGAUGAGAUGCAAAUGUAGACGACAUGGCACUAGAUGAACAAAUUGUAGUUGCAUCAUAUCUAUAUGUAUUAAUGCCUUGAAAUAAAUUCAUUAUUUCGACAUCAUCUUUUUCAAUUUCAGCCGAAGACGUAGGUGCAAAGAGUACCCGACUAACAUUCACACACAUUCAGUCUGUAUAUAAUUCAUACAUUUUACAUAAUGUUUGUUCUAAAUUCCUAUAGGUGAUAGGUGUAUCAAAUGUUAAUGCUUUAUUGAUUUGAUCAAUUAUGUAUUUAGUUUCCGAUAAAUUAUAUCGGGGGUCCAUUACGCAUGCUAAAAGAAAUAACAUAGGCAGGUCUUCCAAAUAUUUUUUAAACUUUAAUUCCAUCACAAUUAUAAUUUCACUAAAAUCAUGAUCAUUUUUAUAUUUUUGGAAUGUUCUUGUAAUUAUAUAAAGGCGUUCAAGUACCAUAUAGCUUGUGGGGAAAUAAACGCCCGAUAAAAUUUUUGUGGUUUCAUAAAAUGAUGUCAAAAAUCUUUUAACUUUCAAAGCUAGUAUCCAAUUGGAUCAUUCAACAUAACAUCGCCAUCGCUUCUAACGUGUCUGUUGUUAUAAAAGUUAGUUAUUAAAAUAUUCGAAACAUUCACAUGACUUUAAUAGCAAGUAAGUAGAGUUCAUCUAUGGCUUACAUCGCUAACAAAUGUUUUAACAGUUGUCACUCCUAUUUCGGCACAAUAAUCUUCAAAUGCUUGUUUUCUACUAGAAGAGAUCGUGAUAUAUACUAGUGCAUUCCUAAUACUUUAAAGUUCAUCCUUUAUAUAUUGAAAGUCACCUUACACAAUUACAUUCAAAAUAUAACACACACAACGAAUAUUAAAUAAAUACUCAACGAAAUCAGGUUGCAGUAUCCUACACAAUUUAUCGACAAUUACCUUAUUAACACUAGCAUUAUCGAAAGUAAAAGACCGAAUUUUAGUCUCACAAUUAUAUUCUCUAACAAUAAUGAUAAUAUCAUUAUAUAUAUUAUUAGUAUUGCGAGGAAACUUAAUAAUUCUAAAAGCAAUAAUUUUUUAUGCAUGUACCAAAGUGGGUCUAUAUAGUGUGUGGUUGCAGCUAUAUAGGCUUUUUUAUUAACCACUUCCCAUAUAUUUGAAGUUAAAGAUAUAACACCCCCAUAUUAUUGCAAAGCCAUAAUUAAUUGUUGUUUCGAAUUAUUGAAAUAUUGUAUUGUAUCGACGCGAAGAGCGUUUCGAAUUACCCCAAAGUACAUUGGUUGCAAAUAUUCUUUUACGAAUGAGAUGAAGUGUUGGUUGUCGACAAUAGCCAGAGACAACUCAGUGGCUGCAACAAAUUUCACCAUUCCAGUUUGAUCUUUCUCCUCCGAAUACACUCACGUGGAUAGGGGUAAAGUCGUAGAAUCGAUCCUUAGACUGCCAAAUUGCAAUUGUAUUUGAUCGGCUAGAAGAAGUCCAUGUCUGACCAUACAUGCUUUGUAGUAAUGGUUGAGAUGGGUGGUACCAAUUCCUUUUCACCAUGCCAAUAUUUGUUGGCAGUAUUUAUAUACUGCUUUAGAUUCUAUGAGAUUAUUGACGACUUUUUCCGUUGAAAUCAAUUUAAAGUAAUCCCAACAUUUUUCCUUUUUUCUUCCUUUCGUUUUUCCCUAGCAUCUGGAAUGUUUAAUUCGGGCUCUUUAUUCUCAUGUUCCGCUUCGGGAACAUCAAUAUCAUCCAAAUCAAUUAAAUUGUGGCUUCCAUGACCGUGAAUGUCAACGUCUUCAUGUAUGAUUACGUCAUUUAGACCGGCAAAUUCAUUCUGAAAUUGACUUUGUGGCGUCUUAGGUGAUUUGUCAUGUGGCCCACAUUCUGUAUUGAACAAGCUCUCAACAAAUGAGCGUUAAUCCAUUUGUUUGAUUAUUUGUGAUAAAAUCUAAAUAUAAAACUAGUAAAAAUAUAAAUGUAGUGAGAAACGAGAAUUGGACGAAUUUUCAAUAAAUAAAGUGAGAAAUGAGAAUUUGAUGAAUUGAAACUAAAUAAACUGUAAAAAAUGAUCAAUAUAAUAUAAUGAUAGAUAAUUGACUAAGUAAUCGAGGCUGUUUUGCACAAGAGAGUUGAAACUUGAUAUAAAGAGAGUUGAGAAUUGAGAUGAAAAAAUUGGGUGUUAAUAAGACUAUUUAAUAGAAGUGAGAAAAAAAAAAUCAGUGACCGAAACAGUUACUUUUUCAAAAAAAGUGACCAUUUCGAUCACUUACAAUUAAUGAGCCAGGAGCCGAACGGCUUACCAUUGUGCAGCCAAGCGGGCUUAGCUCGACCAACACACCGGCCCUCUCUGCUCGCGCUUGAGCUCGUAUUUUUACGAGUCUGAGCCAUCCACAAGCCCCCCGUUUUCGCGAGUCGACAAGCCGCUCGACCCAAUUGUCAUCCCUAUUUGUAUCCAAGAAAUUUGAAAUAUGUAUUUAAUAUAACUUUUCAAUUAAUGAAAUUAUCCUUAUUAAUAUAUUAAAAUACAAAUAUAUCCAAACUAUCUUAACAUCGAAAUAACAAUGGAAUAAUAUAAGAACUUUUAUAAUUUAAACUUUCCUUUUGAAAGGUUUACAAAUAUGUUUCUAUCUUAUUUUUAGUAUUAUUUAUCAUUUUAACUAUUAAAUGUCACAUACAAUCCCCAUUUCAAUUAGUUAAAAUAUAUAAUAAAAUAAAUAAUGUGAUCUACACAAAUAAAUAACUUGAUAUUCAUUUACAUAAUAAUACUUCGUUAUUUUAGUUAAAAUAAAUUUUAAUAGUUUCAAUGAAUGGAAAUAAAUAUUAUAUAUUAAUAAAUUAUUAAAAUUUAGCCACAUAAGUAUGUGGUCAGCACUUUUUAGUUACACUACCAAACAAUCUAUUUAGUACUCACAACAUUUUUCAGAUUGACUAUCAAACGAACAACUUUUUAUUAAAAGAUUUUCUUGAAAAGGCUCUACUAGUAAAAACUCUAUUGAUAAAGUUUUACACACAAUAGUCGUACUUAAUAGACCCUAAAAAGAUUAGAUGCAACGUCAUUCUCCAAUUUGACACAAUAACAAAGAUGUUGAUUUUUCAUUAAAUCUUAGUAGAUGGAAUGGCUGGGAUAUAAAAAGCAACAGUGGCUUAUUUAACACAUUUGAAAUUUAUUGACCAAAUAGUAACAGGUGGGAAAGUUUAGUGACCAUUUCGAUAAUUAACCCGACAUUACUCUAAAACAGAGUAUUAUUAUAUAAUUUUUGACCACUUAUAAUAAUGUUUUGUGUUUCUUGAUAGAUCCUUCUAUGACCAGUUUUAGUACUUUUCCAAACUAAAUAUUCUAUGACAUUUGUGGGACAUAGGAAAGAUAAUUGACAAUUGAUAUAUACAAAAUGACAAUUAGAGUCGUUAGGGUGAUUAGUGGUUAAAUAUGAACAUUGCGGGAAGUCUAAAAGCUAAAAUAUUUUUUUUAUAGAAGUCUUGCCAAAUGUUGAACGGCUUAAUUGCAAUUUGUUGGAGGAACUUUGUGAAUAGUGACGCCAAAAUAAGUAUAAUGAUGGUUUGUAAAUCCGUGCCGAAAGUUGGACAGAGUAACGGCAAAAAAAACACAAACAAGAAGAAGAAGAAAGUAGGGACAAAGCCGAGGCAAGAGUUGGACUCUUUGUCCUUAAGUCGAAUUUGCCCCGCAACGGUGCCUACGGAUUUCGGCAAUCGACUCCCAAGAUACAAUGGCUACACUUGUGUUUGUAGCACUCCAAAACACAAGUACAACGAACCAAAUUUAGGCUUAUGUACUCCAAGGAUGAAAUGAAGGAAAAUCAAAAUAAAUGAAAUGAUUUUGAUUUUGGAUAGAAGAGAGGAUGAGAGAUGUUUUGCAUAUCAAAUUGUGAGAAAUAGGACACCCAAAGGGUCCUAUUUAUAGACCAUGAAAGGGUGUGGACGAAAUGGUUGAUGCCAAACCAUGCACCCUUUCCAAACAAUGCACCUUUAUGAAAAGGUGUCUAUUCACCGGACAACCGUGCGGUUUACCAACCAUGCGGUCGCACGGUCCUCAAAAGGUCGAUCCCCGUUUGUGCGCCCGGAAGCGGCGAAGUGGCAAACAAAUUUGCCUAAACGGAUUGAGUCGAGCUUUUGAGUUUUUGGCCGAAGUCGAUACGAAGUCACUUUAAUCGAUUUUCAAUUCUCGAUUUAUUUAACCAAUAUCCAACACAAUUAAAUUACUUAAUUGUGAAAGGAGAUUUUGACUCUUCAGGAUCAUAUUCUCAAAAAAAUCUCCACGACUAGGGAAUUAUUUUCAUUUUAAAUAUAACGGAGAGAUGUCUAAUAAAUAAUAUGCCAAGGUUCGGGAAUUUUAUCGUGUCAGAGAUCUUAACUUUGUGAUUCUCACCUUAUUUUCAUAUAUAGUAAAAUUUUGUUGCAACACUAUUUUGUCUAAGAAUAUUUGAUUAAUUUUCUCACCACCUUUGUAUCUGAAAUUGAAAAAUUCAUAAAAUUGAAAAUUAUCAAACGAUAGAAGGAUUGUGUGCAAUAAAUAAAUAUUAUUGUUCCGGCAUAAUGCAUUAUUUUUCUUUCCGUAGCAGUAAUAUUAUGAAACUUGUACAAAAUAUUUUUCACAAAGUAAAUCGUUAGUUUUUGGUUCCUUUCAAGAAAAAUAGUAAAUUUUAAUCUAGAAUUAUUUAAUAAAAAAUUAGAAGUAAAUAACUUUGGGGACCAAUUUAGAAAUCUCUAAAAAAUUCCUCUCCAAUUUUAACAUUUUAAGAUUUAAACGGGCCAGUUACUAAAUACGUCCAUUUCUUUAUUAACAAACAAAUGUGGAACUGUGGAAGUCAAAUAUAAUAAAAAAUACAUAUCUAAUAAUUAACAUUCAAGGUUGAAUGUCAAAUGUUGAACGAAAUCUUAACAUUUCAUAAGAAUUUAGAGGAGAGAUAAAUUUAAGUCAAAUCUUGGUUGUUAAAAGGGAAAAUUUCAAAUAAUUAAAUCCAUCCUCUAUAUAUCUAAUAAUUUAAGAAUUUAAAUUAAAUUUUAAUAUAUAGUGUCGAAAAAUUAGACAAAAUGUCAUCAACUAAAGUCUCAUUGUUACUUUUAAAAUUUGUAUAUGUAUAAGAUCUUUAAUAAAAAAAUUAAUCCAAAAGUUGUGAAGAAUUUGGUCAAGCAAAAUGAAGAACCCAUUUUGCAAACUCAUAUUUGUAAAUGCAUGUUUUAUAAGCACCAGAGGCGGACCCACAUGGUGUCAUGUGGGAUCAAAUGACCUCACAGUUUUUUUCCCCCUGCUGAAAACGUAAUUUUAUGCUAAGUUGGUAAGUCAACCUAAUUAAUUUUCCUAGUCCAAUACCCAAAAAGCCUAAAUUCUAAAUCUAUAUCCAUAUCACAUUGUCCAUAUCCAUUAAUUAGUCCAUAAAUAUAUCAUAUAAUCCACCGAUUUCUUUCCAAAGUACAAACACCGAACAUGAACAGCAAACCACCGAUUUCUCCUUUUUGUUCAUGAUACAUUGUUCGAAAAAAAUUUCAUUUUUGACUCCACAGUUCGAACUGUUUGGGUCUGCCCCCGAUAAGCGCGUAUAAUGAAGAUUGAGAUGUAAACAAACUGGUGCAAGCCUCAUCCUAACUGUAAAAAAAUUGAAACUUCGACAAGGGAUCCCAACAAGUUGGUCCCACUUCUUUUUCCUAACUUUCCUUGGACGAUAACAAUUAAAAGUGAAACACUAACGAAAAGUUGGGGACCAACUUGAAAAAUGAGGCAAUAUGUUGGGGACCAACAGUGAAAUUUUUGCAGAUUUUGACAACUAUAUAUACGGGUCACAAGUGAGUCAUCUGAUAUUCCAAAAAUUUCUCAAAGCUAAUUGUCCCCUGCAUUCAUUGUCCCUAUAUUCCACGGAAGAAUGAAGGUACGCACACACACAUAGUUGACAUGCAAGAAAUGGAAAAGAAACCCUUGAACCUUCUUAUAUGUAUAUUUACUCUUUCAAUGUUUUUCAUGAUCAGCAAAAAGUGGUCAUUGAGAUCUCGUUAAAUGGCCAUAUCUCUCAAGGCAUCAUUGAGAUGUUGAUGUGCUGCGGAAGUCAAGAGUCGAACCAAGCUACGAAGAUUAGAACGAAGGCCAUGAAGAUUGCAGUUUGCAUCCCACGUAAGUUAAAUCUUUUUUAUGAGUAACAGAGACUGUGUUUGAGCUCUUUUUUUGGUGAAAAUGAGUUUUAUAAUAGUGAUUUUUUGGAGAAUGUUUUGUUAAAAAGUUUUAGAUUUAUGUAAGAAUUAUUUUAUUGAAAGAGUAGAAAUAUGUGGUUAAAAAUAAGUUUGAGAAAAAAAUAAAUUUUUAGAAAAUUGAGCUCAAAGACGGGCUGCAAAAGUAUCUUGCUUAGUACUUGAGACUUACACAUACAUCUAGGAAAUCAAACAAGUCCNNNNNNNNNNNNNNNNNNNNNNNNNNNNNNNNNNNNNNNNNNNNNNNNNNNNNNNNNNNNNNNUUCAAUAUUGUCUAAUCAACUUUAUCAGACAUGCAAUUAGAAAACUUCAACUUAGACAGUGUUAUUCACGUUAUUUUAUAGGGGUAGAGUCAGCAGCAAUGGAGGGGGAGGAAAUGAACAAGCUAACAGUGAUUGGCGAAGAUAUCGACACGGUGACUCUCGUCAAAUUGCUUAGGAAGAAUGUGUGCUUCGCGAAGAUCGUCAGUGUUGGCCCUACAGAGACUGCCAAUACUGCCGAGGACAAGAAUGAGGCCGCUGUGCAUCCCAAAUGCUAUAAUCAUGUGCCUCAUUAUCAAUUAUUGGAAAUCAGAGAACCCUACUAUACCCCCUCAUGUUUCAACUUUUGAGUGCUUAUUGGUUUUGAAUUUGUCCAAAAAAAAAAAAAAAUUAUAAUAAUAAAAUUAUGUUUUGCAAUGGAAAUUAAUAAAGUGACAAAUUUUGCUUGAAAUAAUCUUACAGAUAGAACAUAUUGUAUAAUUAUUGUUUGUUGUGGAAGCUCGCUUCAAGAUCUUCGAACAGUGAUUUUCUUGUUCAGUUUCGCAUUGGCUUUCUCUGACCCACAACCAAUCUAAACGUUUUCGACCCUCAACCAAUCUGUUUACCUUGAUUGCUUCUCAAUCUCAUCCAUAAAGAACAAGAUAACGGUGUUGAUUUGCAAGCCACAAAGAAACGAGAAAAAUAAUGAAUGAGGCACAAAGAAGAGACCAAAACGAAGGUGGAAGUCACUGGCUUUCACUCUCAAUUGCGCACAUUUUUCUCCAAUAGUAGGCAGCCAUGUUCUCUCUUUCAAAACAAAUCACACACUAAAAAAUAGCUAGCGCAAUACACCAGAUAUAUAGAUAUGGGUUAGGUUUUAGUCGGACCAAGAAAGGGGUUAAAUUGACUAAGAUUUAAGAGCCAUCCAAUAGAUUAUUAUAUGGGCAGUAAAUAACAUUAAUUUCUUAAGCUACUUUCAACUGUCCACGUUGUUUUCGUGUUGAGCCUUUAGACUUGGUUGUUAGCAAUCAAUUCAUCAUUGGCUGAGACCUGUGAAAAUAUAUUCCAACGUUUUACAUCAUCGCCCAAGAUUUAUUGGUUAUCAAAACCUAACAAAUUUUCACCUUGAUACCCAAUCAACCUGUAAGCAAUCAAAACCCAAAAUUAAUACUCACAUAAUCAAUGUAACCAAUAAAAUUGGAAUCAUAGACCUUACCUCGUGUUUCGGACCCAAAGUACAUACCAUACCUACUUCAUAUACUUACCAGGGCUAAGGUUAAAAAUUAUCCAAGUAGGAACAAGUAAUCACUGUAAUCAGUCAAGAGCAUAUAAACAUACAAUGAAAAUAUAAUAUAGGAUAACACAGAUCUUUUCAAACAUGUUCACACAGAGCAAUAGACUAACACCAAGUUAAUCAAUCUAAUGGCCAAAUGCUUAUGUAACAAAUGCAUAAAUUGACCCCAUGAAAAGAUCUUACCAUACUUAUCUUAUCCCAUUCUAUGUUGCUCACACAUCAAGAACAUAUAUCUCCUUCCAUCGCCCACCAUGAACACUAAAUUGAUUACUAAACUUAUGUCAAUUUGGUAAAUCAUAAUAGAUCCUAAGUCCACAGAAUAAUCCUCUAUCACCACUCCACUGCUCCCAAUCUAAGUGGAUAAAUAGUCUCCACCUAACAUAAGCGAUAGAAGUGUCUCUUUGACACUUUACCUGAUCAAAGUUUUCACAAAUAAAAGAUUCCAACAUUUAAUUACAUCUCCACUCGUGAUCCACAAAUCACACUCCUCAUCUUCUGUACAAACAACCAAUGCACGUCUUGGCAUCUAUAAUCUACCUUACCAAAAGACACUGCUAACGCACCCAACCUACUAUUCCUGCAAUCACAUUAUACCAAAUAAUCAAAUUGCUCUCAAAUUCAUGCAAAUAUAUAUAUCAAACACAUUGAGAUGCAAAAUAUAACCAUGCAACGGAUUUAAGCAAUCACACACAUGUAGAAGGAAUUACACAUAGAUGCACAUGUAGUAACUAGGUUUAUCUCAAUAAAUCUCGUUAGGGUCAUCACUCGAUCCAAAAGCAACAUUCUCCUCACCUUUCGUCUUACUCUUAUGCUUAUCCUUCUUACUGGGACAGUCCCUCACAAAGUAUAUAGACUUACCACAGCUGUAAACAGCUUACCAACAAGCUCGUCCCAACCCUUACCCUUCUAUCUCCAUCACCACCUGAGUCACUACUCAAAUCAGUAUUGUUUCAAGCUAUACCCAAACUUUUUUGCUUAAACUUCAUUCUACUCCUCAUUAUAUGUACCUUACCACUCCUCCUAUUGUUUCUUUAAGCCUUAAUCUCAAUUUCUUUAUUUAUAAGAGAAUCAAUGAUAAUCUUAGGUGUUAGGGUGUCCAUAUCAUACUUAAUCUCAUUCUUAACCUCCCUAAACAAGUUGGGCAUACAAUUCAACAAAAUAAUAGCACUAUAUGUUUUAGAUACGUUUUCAUCACAAUUAACAAUGUCUUAAACAAGUUUGUUUAAAAUAUCCAAUUUAUCGUCAAGAUCCUUUGAAUGAUCCAUUUUAAAACUGAAAAAAUCUUUCAAACAAGUACAACUUAUUAGAAGUAAACUUAAGCAGAUGUAAGUCCAACUUUUUUUAAACUUCUUUAGUAGAAUCAAAAUUUCCAACUUUUCUCAAAAUAGUAUAUGACGGAUGUAAAAUAGUUGAAGUGUAAGCAAAUUCGUCAUUUUUUUUUUCUUUUUGUGCUUUUGUCAAAUUAGCUUAAAAAAAUUACCAUCUUCAGCUUUUGAAACUUUUUGUUGAAUUAAAAUUCCCUCAACCUUUUAUUGCCAAAUUGAAAAAAUUCCCUUUCUAUUGAAAAUUUCAACUUCGAAAUGUGAAUUCAUUUUGAAAAUAUAGGACAACCAAAGUGCACAAAUAUGUCACACAAAGUGAUCUUAAAGCUGCAAUAUAUACCAUUCUCUAUUCUUAGGGUUUCAUUAGAUUCUAGAUCUCAGCAUUAAGGGAGUGACCAAAUGGGUCAAGUCCAGUGUUCUAAUAGAAUAAUCAAUAUAACACAAAUGUAUGUCAACAAAAAUUUAAUUUUUCACAUAAUGCAGUCUCACACAGUGAAAUUAAAACACAAAAGCAAUUAUAAAUUUGCAAUUAAAUCCGACAAUUUAAAUAUGGCGCAUAAAUCUUAAUUUUCUAGCACAAGGAAUGAUUAACACACACAGUAAUCCUAAUCCUAAUGCCACCCACAUGAUGAUUCGCUAAUACUGAAAUUUAAAUGAAAUAAGUCAAUAUACCAUAACAGACCAAUCUGUAGUCCAUAAAUAAUGAGAUGAAAAUUUUACUACUUUACAACCAACACUAUUCGCUAAUCUCCAAUAACCACGCCAACCAAUUGAGAAAAAAGAAUCCUAAGUGCACAAGGGGCAAAAUUGUCCAGAAUCUCAAUUUUUGCCUAAAAUAGAAAUCAAACACCACAAGGUCCAUCUCAUCAUGUGGAACAAUCUAUUGGAAGAUAACGUCAUUGGAAUCACCUCUACGCGUUCUUACAUGCAUUUAGUGGAGUUCCACGCCCUAUCUGACCACUUCAUGCGCCGAUCAUGGAGCUGUGCCUCCACCUAAACGUGAUUGCCAGCGGUUUUCAUUUCACCAACCAGUCAUUGGAUUGGCUCGAAACACAGAAAUAUGUUUUGUAGCCUUGAAGAAACUGGACAAAUCUGGUUUCUAUUUCGAUUCUACAAAUUUUCUAGUAUGUUGUUAGUCAAAAUUUUGAGCCACCUUGAAGCUCUAACCAAUUGUUGCAAAAGCUCGCUCCAAUAUCUUCAAAAUUGUUAUUUUUUAGCCCAGUCUCAUAUUAUCUUUCUCCAGUUCAAAUGGCACUAACUCACAAUCAAUCCAUUUACCACGGUUAGUUCUCAAUCUCACCCAUACAAGAUAAAUAAUGGUGUUGAUUUGCAAGCCAUGAAGACACGAGAAAAAAAUGAAUAAGGCACAAAGAUGAGACCAAAACGAAGGAAGAAGUCAUCGAUUUUUCACUCUUCAUUGCACAUGUUUUUCUUCAACAAUAAGCCGGCAUUUUUUUCUCUCUUUACUCUCAAAUCACACACUAAAAAAUGGCUAGGGCAAUACACCAUAUAUAGUGAUAUAGGUUACGCUUUAGUUGAACCAAGAAAGGGGAUAAAUGGGCCAAGAUCCAAGAGCUGUCCAAUAGGUAAAUAUAUGAGUCGUAAAUAGCAUUAAUUUCUUAAGCUACUUCCAAUGGUCCUUGUUGUUUUCGAGUUGAGCCACUAUACUUGGAUAUAGGUAAUCAAUUCACCAUUGGUCGAGGUAUGUGAAAAUACAUUCUGACGUUUUAUAUCAUUGUCCGAGAUUUAUUGAGUAGUCAAAAUCCAGCAUCGUUGAAAGAUAAUGAGAAAUAGGUAAAGGAGAGAACUCAACAAAUUGCAGAACCAAUAGGUUUUAAUACUUAAUUGUUGUACUCAAACGGUGUAGGAUGUUUUAUAGUGCUUAAAGAGAUUCACCAGCAAAUGAUUUGUAGAAUAAACAAGUAUUUAAAAAAAUUAAGUACGUGUGUUUUCUUCCAAGACUUGAUGAACAUUAAAAACAUUGAAUAUGUAUAAAAAUGGGAGAAAGAAACACUUAAGUGGAGUUUAAGAAUUGAUAUAUUAUGGUUAUAAUUGAAAACACUUAUUAUAGUUUUCCUAAAACAGUACACAGAUUAGUGCAUAACUUUUUUGAAAAGUUGUUAAUUUUCAUGAAAGCUACCAGGAUAUCAAAAUUGAAAACUAGACUAAUGACUAGUUCUUGUAACCAUGCAUACGCAUUGUUUAAGAAAUACAUGGCACAAAGAACAUGGGUUUAAAGUUGCCCACCCUCCAAUUUCUUCCCAUUUUGAUAUCAUAUUGAUUUUUCUUUUUCAAUGGUAAUUAAUUUUUCAAUUCUCCCUUCCAAUAUAAUUUUUGAACAAAAUAUAACAAUCCUCCAGUUGUUCAAAAUUAUAUGGAUCACAAAUAUAAAUUAUCAACAUUUACACAUAAGGUUUAGACAUCUUUCAAUUUGAAUCUUACUUUAGUGUAAUUCCCACAAAGUAUAAUCAAAAUUUCAGGUAGCAUAAUAGCUUUGAAACAAUUAUUACUUGUGAUGAAAUCGAUAAAAAUAUAUGCAUAAGUGUCAUGUGUUUCAUAGUUCCUCAAACUCGCUUAGAGCUAAUAUGAACUUAUGUUUAUCCUAUUCGUUGAGCUUUUAAGAGAGAAACUCUAAUUCUCUAUUGAGUUGCCUCAAAAUUUAUUUAGAUGAAGUUAUUUUGUUGCUUUGUUACUUUUAGAGUUACUUGUACUUUGUAUUGAAUUUCAUUAAGAGCUUAAAGCUCAACCCUCCUUUAAGUAUAACCAACAUUAUUACAUUUUAGGAUAGAGUUCUCGCGAAUAUAAUAAUGCUGAAAAUAUUCACUUAUUGAAUUACUUAUUUUUACCCUUUCAGCCCAUAGUUAUUAUUUUGAAAUGACAAAUAAGAUUACCUUCAUUGGUGGAUCUUUUAAUUUAGGAGUUUUAACCCCAUCCUACUCAAUGUAGAUAUUACUAAAUCUUUAUUAAGAGGUUUAGUAAAAUGAUCUACUAAAUUCUCAUUUAAAUUAAUGUAAUUUAGGGAAAGUAUUCCAUCUCUGAUCAAUUUUCUUAUGUAGUCAUGUUUUAGACUUGUAUAUCUAAACUUUCCAUUGUAUACCUCAUUGUAUGCUUUUAUUAAUGUGCCGUGACUAACACACAAAAUAAAUAUGGAAAAAUAUAUUCAUUAUUCCCAAAGAAAUCUCAUAUAUAUCUUUUCUUAAGCAACAUAACCCCUAUGUAGGUGUCGGUUAAUCCCACUAAUUUAGAUUCCACGGUUGAAUGUGUUAUACAUGUUUGUUUCUUAAACUUUCAAGAAAUUACACCAUUUCUAAGAAUAGAAACCCAACUCGAAGUAGAUUUAUUUUUAUCAGUGCUAGAUAUCCAACUAACAUCAAUAAAUCCUUUUAAUACAGUAAAAUAUUUAGAAUAUUGUAGAUCUAUAUUUUUGGUUUCCUUUAAAUAACAAAUAACUCUCCCGAUGACCUCCAAUGUUCCUUCUUUGGAUUACUAGUAAACCUACAAAGUUUACUAAUUGCGAAUGUUAUAUCCGAUCUUAUGUAUUAAGCUACAUAAUAAGGCUGUCUAUAGCCCUUGCAUACUCUAGUUGAACAAUUGCACUUCCAACAUUUUUUUUAUAAGUUUAGAGUUUGUAUCAAGAGGGGUACUAAACUCUUUUGUGUUCAAGUGAUUACACUUAUUAAUUACAAUCUCUAUAUAAUGUAAUUGACUUAAAAUUAGCCCUCACUAGUUUUUGUAACUUUAGUACCUAAUAUGGUGUGAACUUGUCCAAAAUCCUUUAUCUUCAAUGUGAAAAAUAGAAACUUGUUGUUUCUUUUAUUUCAUUUAUGUAAUUACUCAAACUCUACACAUCGUCAACAUAAAAGGCAAACAAACACAACAAAUUCAUCAUACACUUUGAAAUAUAAACACUUAACUACACUAUUAUGUAUGAAACCAAACUUUUCAUGCCAUUUCUUUGGUGCUUGUUUUAAACAAUAUAAUGAUUUUACUAACUUGCACAUUUUAUGUUCAUUACUAGAGCGACCAAAGCCUUUCGGUUGUUCUAUAUCAAUCUCCUCUUCCAUAUCCCUAGUUAGGUUUUUAUAUCCAUUUGAUUUGAUGAACAUUCAAGUUAUAUAUGGAAGCUAAUGUAAAUAAUAUUCUAAUUGAUGUAUUCUAGGUACCGAUGCAUAUUUAUCAAAAUAACCAAUUCUUUCUUUUUGUCAAUAAUCUUUAGCUACUAAUCUUACUUUAACGGUAUUAAGAGUACCAUCUACAUUGUAUUUCUCCUAAACACCCAUUUACAUCAAUAUGUUUAAAUUCAAGUGGCAAAUCGACAAGUUCCUACAUAUUGUUUGACAUAAGUGAAUCCAUUUUGUCUUUUGUGGCAUCUUUACAAAAUAUAAUAUCAUAAGAAGCCAUAUUUUCUUUACAAGUCUUAGAAUCGGUCUCUACUUGUGGAAUAAAAGGCACUGUCCUAAUAAAAUUUUUAUUAUUUUUCUCUACCAUGUAAAGUGAAAUGAGUUCAGAAUCUAUCUCAUUCUGUCCGAAGGUUUUUUUUAUUUCCGAGUUCUUUUGCUUCUUUUAAACUCAAUAGAUUUAUCAACAUCUUUAGAAGAUGUUUCCUCUUGUUUUCCACUUUACACUAGGAAUCUUUUCUUGAGUUUCCUUAAGUCAUUAUCCAAAGAUAAUAAAUUCUCAAAGAACUCAACAUCAUUUGAUUCGAUUAUUACAUUUGGUCUCCAAAUUUAACAAUACAUAGGAUUUGCUAUUACUAGCAUAUCAAACAAAGGCAAUUUUGAUGCCUCUUGGUCCCAAUUUGGUCUUUUCCAAGUCUAUGUUCUUAUAAUAAUCGAGACACUCUCACACUUUAGAAUAUUCAAUGUUUUGGUAUUCUUCCUUUCCACAAUUCGUAAGAAGAAAUUUUUUUGAAUUUUAAAGGAAUUCUAUUUAAGAAUCUAUACGCAUAUAACAAAACUUAACCCCACAAGUUAAAUAGCAACUUAACAUAUGUUAAUAUGGCAUUUAUCAUUUCAAAAAACUUCCUAUUUUUUUUCUUUCCCUCGAAAUGUUAUGCCCCUCACAUAGGCACUGAGGCAUCUUCACGUGCCGAAACGUGUAAGGAGGAGGUGCUCCUAAAAUACGAUAUCGUCUGAGGUGUCUUCAAGUGCCACGACAUUGCUUCCAAAAUGUGAGGGCCGAGCCGCAUUGACUGAGGCACUAUGUCUAAGGUGCUAUGUCGCGGAGAAAAGGAAAAGCACCUUUCCUUCGCAAAUUUCAGAGAUCUUCUGGCCAAGAUCUGCUCUGUAUCUUUAGAAAUGAUUGAUGUGAUGUCUCUGCCGUGUGUCAACUUAGAAUCAGUAGAAUUAAUUGCCCACCCUUCUAGGAAGCGAUUGGUGGAGGCCUACGAGCGACGCCUCGCACUGUUGGAUGAUUUCACAUGUCACGCAUCUAGCGGUGCUCUUUGCCUAUAAAUACCACACGUUUGACCAAGAAUAAAGUAACCAUUCCACAACAAAGCAAUUAUAUUUCUUCCUUCCCCUAUUUAGCUGGCACAUUCCAAUACCGUCACUACCACCGUCGAUUGACUUGAUCAACGGAGUAUAUGUGGCUGCCAUCGUCACCACGGGGAUCGGACAUAUAUGCCUGACCAUUUGUUGUUGUACACAGGGAGGAACACGUGGAAUAGCUCUCAAUUGGCCACAUUGGAGGUUCAAUUCAUGGGGUCAACAUGAACCAUUUUUGUCGAAUAUUUUGGGUACAGAACGUUGAUGUAUUAUAUCUCGUUGUUCAUAAAAUGAAUUAAAAAUUACUUGAAAAGUAUUUACCACCUCUAUCACUUCUUAAUUUAUUUAUUUUUAAUUUUCCGUUUAAGUGAUUUUCAACUUCAUUUUUUUAAAGUUCUAAACAUAUCAAAUGAUUCGUGUUUAUGUUUCAUCAAAUAAAUAUAAGUAUAUCUUGAAUAAUCAUCUAUGAAGGUGAUAAAAUACAUAUUUCUCCCAUGUAUAACGUGUCAUUUAAUUCACAUAUUUUCAAAUGAACAAUUUCUAAAUAUGUGAAGUCCUAUUCACACAAUGAUAAAGUUUCUUAGUCAUUUUCGAUUCCACAAAAUUUCUAUAUUUAUGUGUAUAUUUUAUAUUGUAAGAUUUAUAUUGUAAGAUAUCAUAUCAUAGUUUAACAUAAGAAAGAAAAAUUUGAUCACAAGAACUUAAUGUUAGGCCUAUUACUUUAGUACAAAUAUACCUAAACUGAAUUGAGAACGUUGGAGUGCGAGUGAAUGCUAAGUUCCUAUUCAUGUUGGAAACAUGUAAUACAUUUAUAAGGGUAAUUGUUUUUCCAAAAGUGAAGACAAUAUCAACAUUUCAUUUACCAACCACUUUGAAGUAGCCUUCAUUACCCAUUUGCAUCUCUUGCUCACCAUUCGAUUCGUGACAAGUCUUGAAAAAUGACUUAUCAUAUGAUACAUGAAUGUUGUUGCACACGUAUCAUACUUCCAAUCAGGAAUAUUUUAUUUGAUAGCAUUGAUUUCACUCACAGUAGACGCAAUGUUAUCUUCAACAAAUGAUUUUAUUUUGCUCUCAUUCUUGUUUUGUUUUCGAUGCCAACAAUUUUUCACAUAAAUUUCGGGUUUUCUUCCCAAAAAAAAAUCUCUCUUGGACUUUUUGUGAUCCUUAUUAAAAGAAUUCCUUUCGUGUAUGUUAACCUAUGGUUGAUUGUAACCUUAAGCUUUUGAUUUAUAUCAAACAAGUUAAUUUCGUUUACUCAUAAAUUGAAUUCAAGUGAUUAUAGUUUUUCAAAGCAUACAAUGAAAAAUUGAUCAAUGAUGAUUGAAAGAUCAAAAGCUAUUAUCAUAAUCGGACUUCUAAAGGAGGUCAAGAUUGAAGUCACACACUCAAGAGCUUAAGAGCCAAACUUUGAAGCAGAUCAAUGACUAGAUUUCUUAGAUAAAGUUCAAAGAUAUUGGUACUUUGAUAUUUAGCAACGAACAUUUAGGCUCCAAAUCCUUCUCUAUAUUAAAAAUAAUUUUAUGCAUUAAAAGUUAUUUGUGAUAUAACUUUUGAUCAAAUAUAAAAAUGACUUUUAAAAUGGUAUUUUAACGGGAAAAAUAUCUUUUAUCUUGAAACGAUAGUUAAAAAUAUUUUGCAAAAGUCAAACACUUUUCAAAACCUUCAAAUUGGAUCAAAUAGGGCCAAAACUUAAAAAUACCGAAAUUGUCAAACAGUUGACCAGCUAGAAGAAGCGAUCAAUCAAAAUUUUUCAACGGUCCAAAAUUUGACCGUUUUGACCUCUAUAUUUUACUAUACAAAACGCUAUAUUUAUCAUCCAAACAAGACACUAUCGACCGGACAUGUCAUCCGAACAUACAAUUUUGACGUUUUGAACUAUAUAAAUACCUCCAUUUCUUCAUUCAUUACUGCAAUCUUGGAGAGCAUUAAAAGUGAAAAAUUACUAAGUAUAUCUCUUGAGCUUACAUCUCAUUUAUUCUAUCAAACAAUUACUUAGAAAAUCUUUAAUUUAUUCAACUUUUUUAAAAUCAUCUUUUUAUCAAACUUUUUUUUAUCUAAUACUUGAGCUUCAUUUAUUGCUAUUCAACUGAAGUGUUGAAUUCAUCCUUUUUUUUUUUUACUUUCCAUUCACUCGGAUUUCUGGCUUUGGUUUUUUCAUAAAAGUGCAGCCGUAGUAUUCAGAAAAUAGAGAUCUUUUUUAGUGUUUUUCCAAGAAAUCUCUAGCCUACCCAACGCGUUUCGAACUAUUUAAAAUCAAAAUAUCUUAAUUUUCGAUUCCAUUGGACUCCUAUUUCUCUUUUAGUACUUAAUUUAUUUAUAUUAUUUAUUAAGAGAGAAGUUUCAAAUUGUAAAAUCAUUUCUUAUCAAAUUUGUGGAUCUUAUUGAAGUCCUAUAAAGCUCAAUAUUAGAUAAAGAACAGAGCUGCUUGUUUGUAAGCCAUCGAAAGUAUUGUAAGGAUUUGGAUUUUACCAUAAGUUAAUCAAAUAUAGUGAAUUGGUCUUGCUCGUAACUGAGAGCUUGGUAACGUAUGAUAUAGAUCAUCAUUUUGGAUCAAAUCUGUACAUUUAUAUAAUUUGCAUUCUCUCUUCUAUUUUAUUUAUUGCUUUUGUAUUUGUGCAUUUUGUUUGAUUGAUUUAUUCAUUCCCAACUUACUUGAAUUUGAAUCAAUUUUUCGAAAACAUUUUGAAAACCAAUUCACUCCUCUCUUGGGCUAUCAAUUUGAUUUGUUGGACAAUUCAUUCUUUUUCAUGUCAUUGGCUUUUAACAUGACUUCACAAGAGUUUUCAUUCUUAUCUCUUGCCCUCAAUUCUUCUUCAUUUUGGAGAUGUUUUUGAAUUUGGAGUAAAGAAAAUGAAACGAUGAGGGUUCAAUUUAUAUAUUCAAUGCAUCUAUCUUAAUAGUUACACCUUUCUACAAAAAUCCAUUUUGACCAUUAAAUCAUACAUUUUUUAUUGGAACAUGGCCUGAUGGUCUAUAUCGCACACUUUAUAAAGGUAAUGACUCUUCACUAUGCACCAAUAACAUAUGAAGAGUCAUACCUAAUCAUCACAACUAUUGGAGACUUAUUCCAAUUCGUAUAUUAAUCAUUAAAUAACCCGAUAAUUCCAACAAUCGCAAAAUGAACAAAAUAAGUGACUCACCACAAGCAAAAAUAAGAAAAAUUCUAUCUGCGAGAUAAUGAAUCAAUAUAGGUAACUUUUCCUUUGAACCUCCCUUAGUAAGAAAAUUCAUCAGACUUGCUUCGGUAAUAAGUGAAACAACAUUUCAAACUAUCAACCAUUAUCACAAGUUUAAACAAUAGAGCAAACACAUUAUUUCUUAUAUUAGACCUGAUUCUUUAUUAUAUUCAUGAAUUUGACCCUAAACUCUCUUGAGUUCUAAGUACUCUGGAGAAUUCGCCUAAGUAAAAUUUUUCAUAUUUUAUGUUCAUUGAGAUAGUUAAUGAUUCAUUUAGUGUAAAUUGAGUUCUUUGACUUCAAUUGGUCAACAUUCAAAGUAAUUACCAAGCAAGUUAAACUAACAAAUUAUCUAUAUUCCCUUUUGUGUUUGAGACUUAGUUUGCACUUUCCUUAUCCUCAACAAUAUUUGUAGACAUCACUUAUUUACGUUAUAGAAAUAGGGAGAAGUUAAACUCCUAAGUGCUUCUUGUCAAGUCAUUCAUAGUUAGUUUAACUAUUAAAUCCAGUGUUCUAAGACGUGACAAAAACUCCACACUUAAGACCUAUGUGCUAAUUUUUUGGUCAAGGGAAGCAUUGAACGCUUUAAGGCGUUAUUUUUUAAUUAAAUUUUUGAACAAUUUUUAAAAAGCUCGUUUGUCCUACCCUACAUAAAGAUUUCAACUUUUAGGCCAAUUGGAUUGAAAGACCCAAAAAUAAAUAAUUAUAAAAUUUUCAACUUUUAGGCCAAUAGAUUGAAAGAUCUAAAAAGUUGCUCACUUAUUAGUCCACUAAUUUAUAGAGGGCAUCUCCAACGAUUUUGUUACAAACUUUCGAUGUGGGAUAAAAAUUCCUUCAUUUUGGCUACAGUGCAUUAUAUCUUUGAUUUGGUUGUAAUGUAUUGUACCUUCAAUUUUGACAAAUUUAAAAUAAUAUUAAUGUAAGAAAAUGCUUUUUUAACGCCUAAGACUCGCCUAGGUGCGCAUCAUUCGAAGUUUGACCUUCACAUAUCGUCACGCAUGACUUUUUUGGAACACUGAUUAAAACUAGUUCGUAAGAUCUAUAGUAGUUAGGUUAGGUUUUUUAAGAUAUCUCUUUAAGUUUUAAACUCAUUUCCCUCGAUGUACAAUCUAUUCGCUCUCUAGAUAAUCCUUUUUAUAAAUUAAUUGCUAGGUUUUCUCUUGAUUUAUUGGCCUUUGUGUGAACUUCGAUCAAAUAUCCAAAUUCAAUCCGAUAGUCAAAUUAUAAAUAUAAAUAAACUAAUUCGUUCCACUCGUCGAGUAGAUCUUCUUGAUAUAUUUGAAUCUAAAAAUCAAUUUCGGAUGAAUAAGAAAUUGCGGUCUAAAUUUGGAAGAAAAUAGAAAAACUGUCCUGGAAAUUUGCCUAAUAUCAUCGCUCGCCUAACAUUUGAGCGAGUCUGGUGAAAAGUUUCUGUUGAAAAUAUGUCACUGAUUUUUUGAGUGACAGGCUAGACACAAGCUAAGAACAGCAAGGAUGCUUCCCUUCGUGAAGGUUGAUAAGUUCGGAAUGUGACACUUCACUCACAACCUCAUCUUCUAUAAAUAGGACUCUUUGGACGACCAUUAUGCAUCCCAUAUCAUUUUGCAUUGAGCAUUAUAUAAAAAAUACUUGCAAAAACUCUCCAAAAAUCUUUCUAAAAAUUAUUUUCUUGCAGAGUGAAGAAUUUCAUUUGAGUUUGUUGUUGCUUGUAGUUUAAAGUGCUUCUACCACAAGUCUAAUUCGUUGUAUCUUGGGAGACAAAUGCAAUUAUUUAUUAGCACCGUUGUGGGCAAUUUUGUCUUUAAAAAAAGUAUUAAUCAUUUGCCUCGGAUUUCUUUUCCUUACUUUCUUUUUAUUCUUCUUCUUUUUUUUCGUUUCUAAUCUUCAUAGAGUUUAAUUAUACUCCUGCGACUUAAACUUAAUCAUUUUUUUUUUUGUGUUGAUAAACAACCAUUUCCCUACACAUCUCAACAAAAAUUUUAAGACAAAUUUUUUGUGGUUGUUUGUUGAAAAAAAAAAUUAGAAAAAUUAAAAAAUUAAAAAACCCACUCUUCAUCUUUGGAAUAAACCCAUCACAUGCUUUUCCUUUCAUUCGUUCUAUGUGUUGAACUUCUAUUUAUGUAACAUAAAUGAAUACUCUUAAGACUACUUAGAGUCAAGCAACAAAUAAUAUGAACCAUGUGGUUCUGUCUCUGGCUAUCUCAAUAUCAAACUCUCAUAUCUCACAUGGGGAAAAUCGAAAAAGUUUAGAGGUGUGGAUUUCAAAAGAUGGCAACAAAACAUGUUGUUUGAUCUUACUACUUUGAAUUUAACAAAAUUCUUAAAAGAUAACUUUCCUAUUGUAGAAAAAAAGAAGAAAAUAAUCAUGAGUCAAUUAUUGAAUUGGAUACAUGGAAGCACUCAGGUUUCCUUCGAAAGGAUUACAUCCUAAAUGGAUUGGACAAUACAUUUUAUGAAGUGUAUAGUUCGAAGGACUCCGCCAAGGAUCUAUGGGAUUUAUUAGAGAAGAAGUACAAAGCUGAGGAUGCCGAAACAAAAAAGUUUAUUGUCGACAAGUUUUUGGAGUACAAAAUGGUAGACCCCCAAACUGUAAGAAGUCAAGUGCAGAACUUCAAGUUCCACUUCAUGACAUACACAAAGAAAAGAUAGAAUUGAGUGAAUCCUUCCAACUUGCAGCCAUCAUUGAGAAAUUCCUCCUUUAUGGAGAGAUUUUAAGAACUAUCUUAAGCACAAAUACAAGGAGAUGAACUUGGAGGAAUUGAUAGUUCAUUUGAGAAUUGAGGAAGCCAAUAGAAAAAUCGAAAGAAAGUCAAUUGUUCAACUUGGAGCAAACUUUGUUGAAAAUGGCCUGAAGGGCACCAAGAAGAGACAACUCCAAGAGUACAAAAAAAUAUAAAGGCAACUCUUACGAUUGUGGAAAAGUCGGACAUCGUUCAAAUGAGUGUCGAAAGUCGAAAAAGACUACACAAGCAUAUAUUGUUGAAAGAGACACCCUCUCUAAAGGAAUUCAAAGAUGAGUCUAUCUACUGUUAUUUCUAUAUGCAAUAUGGUUAGUAAUUCAAAGGAUUUGUGGGUCGAUAAUGGUGCUACCGAUUAUAUUUGUGCAGAUAAAGCCAUGUUCUCAAACUAUUAUGAAUCAAAAGGACAACAAUUGUUCAUGAGGAACUCUACGAGUUCGAGCGUUGAAGAACUUGGAAAGAUCACAUUGAAAAUGACAUCCAGGAAAGAACUAAUCCUCAAUAAUGUCCAUGUACUAGACAUUUGCAAGAACUGGUUUCGGAGUCUUUACUUAGCAAGAAUGACUUUAAAUUUGUAUAUGUAUCGGACAAAUUUGUACGUACCAAAAGCAAUAUGUAUAUUGGUAAAGGUUAUCUUUGUGAAGGAAUGUUCAUGAACAUCCCAACAAUUUUACGAAAAAGCAUUAUAAAUAAAAAUUCUAAUUAUGUUUAUAUGCUUGAAUUGUCUUGUUUAUGGCAUAGUCGAUUAGAACACAUCAAUUACAAAUCUAUGUUCAAACUUAUGAAUGAAAGUUUAGUUUCGAUGCUUAAGAUUGAUCUUAAUCAUAAGUGUGAAGUAUAUGUUGAAACAAAGUUGACCAAAACACCUUUUCACUCAAGUCAAAGAGUGAUUAAAGUAUUAUUUUCAUGAGGACCAAAUAUCCAAUUCGAUUUUUAAUUAACAUAUAACUAUCUAAAUGCAAUGCUAAGAAACUAGUACGAAGCAUUUAUGAACUCGAUUAACAACAAUCAAUAGGACUUCGAAUCUCUCUUUAUAUUAUGUUUUAACAACCAUCGAAGAUAUUGACAACAUGUUUAAACUUGAUGAUUAAUGUACUUAUUGCGUUUAGUAAUCUUUCUCGAUUAAUACUAAAUAUAUUCUCACAUGUGAACCUACAGUAUGUCUAUGAAAAUUGUGAACGCGUGACAAUGCAUUUAAUCACUAUAUAAUAAAAUCAUGCAAGAUAUAUGGUAUGGGUAUAUAUCUCUAUCACAUAUCGAACCCUACAAAGAUUAUUAUCAUGUGCAUAAUCCUUAUUCUUUCUAUCAAACAUAAUAAAGAUCAUUAAUCUGUUCAACUAAUGAUCAAUUAAUUGAAGCAUUAAACAUGUAACAUACUAUUCAAGCUAAAUAAGAAUUAAUAGUUAGAGUCUCGAAAUUAAAAUUAAAACAUUAUCCUAGUGACUAGGAAUUUAGUCAAGCAUCAUAAAGUUACAAAAACAAAUGCUUGCAUAUUUAGCCAUGUCUCUUAUUUUAAUUGUAGAAAAAAAAAGGAAAAUGUCUUGAACUCAUGAGUUUCUUCAACUCUUAAAUAAUAUCCGUGUACGAAGAAGCCAAAAUCUAAAUUAUAAUCUUCAAUUUUGGUAGAUGAUUGUGUGUUCUUGUAUCAAGCUUCUUGAUUUCUCUCUAACGAAUGGUCCUCCAAGGUAAGGUUUUAUUCCAUGUAGAAGUUGAGUCAAAUUAGGAAACGAAAUUUUUGUUGUCAGACACUACCAUGCAAUCGUACAGUGUCAAGUUUUCACUUGCUAGAAUUCAUGUACCUUGUGAUAGCAUGUAAGGACCCUUGCGGUCAUAAUGCCUUACUUUUCAUUCUUGGUUAAUUUUGGUUUCUGAAUUCCUUCUUCGGCUCAACUUGAUUCAUCUUCUAUUUUCUCCAUAAGUUCAACUUUCAGUUCUUCUCACUUUAACAAAUGUUAUCCACUAUUACCCAUUCUUGGUCUGUCUCAAGUUUUGGAGAUUUACAAUUUAGUCCCCAAACUUUUACAAUUGUUCUUCUUUUGUACUCUUCAACUGACUUUCACUUCUUUUUUAAUCUACAAUCCAAUAUCAAAACUUUUACAUAACAAUCAAUAUUUAACUAAAAUUAAGUGGAAAUUCAAUUGAAGUGACUCCCAAACAUCCACUUUUAAAAGCUUGGAUAAGUGUUCAAAAUACUCUUAUCAAUAACAAAAAUUAUUGGUUUGAGAAUUUUAAAAUUUCGGGAGUUUUAUAGAUUGUCUUUCCUGAUUCUAACUUAGUAUAUACUUAAACUCAUUAAUUUAAUUCUAACAAUUAAUUAUAUAUAAAAUGUUGAGGAACAUAUAUUGAACAACACCAGUACUUAAAAAAUAAAUGAAAAUCUUAUAUAUCAUAGAGUUUAGUAAUCUCCGACGUUUGAUUUCAUUUGCAGACAUCCCAUAAAUACAUGACUCGGUCCAACACCCUAACUUAAAGUAUAGGUAUGGAAUUUUCGACCACUAACAUAAUUUUUUGGGUGUCUUGUUGAUCAGUUAUACAGCUUUUCCACAUUAUGAAAUUUGUGGGACAGUGUUUUUAGGUUGAUUGAUGGUAGUUACAUAUAAACAAUAGGGCCAAGGGGAACCUUAAAAGGCACUAGGGCCUAGGGGAAUCUUAAAAGGCAAAAGCUUUUAUAUAAAAGUCUCGUCGAGGGUAGUUGAAUGGCUUAUUAUAAUUAAAAAACUAGAUUAUGAUUGGAGAAUUUGAACCUUAAAUGCAAGUUCUCGAUUAUUUCUGACUUUUGAAUUAUUUUCAUAUUUUUUUUUGCGAGUCAAGUGCCCGAGUUUCGUCCGACUAAUUUUGAGGAGUAGUUCCUCCCGGUUCGGUUCACCGCCCGAGUAAUUUUGAAUGCGGUUACAAUUAAUGCACACUUAGACCGGACAUUCGGGAUGCAGUUUUCACGUGCAGACAGGACUCUUGGAGGGAUGACUAAGCACAUCAUAACUUUGCCUUUACAAGACAUCUGCCUUCCAACAUAACUAUUGCCUUCCAGCUGCCGCAUGGAUUCGAACUUCCGAUACUCCGUAGAGAACUCUUCUUUUUUACCACUAAACCAUGCUCGGGGGGCUAAUUACUUUCAUUUUAGAUAUGGAAUAGACAGGUGUAAUUAACUAUCAUGGGUCCAUUGAGAGCUGGGAUAUUUUUUGAGUACGAGAGAGACAGAGUCAACCUGUAUUAUGUUUCAAUAUCUUAUUGACUCAUCCAAUUGCUUUUCAAAUAUAGAAUUUCUUCUUUAAAGGCAUUUCUGUCACAAAAUCUCCACUAUGACAAGUAUAACUUGGCCUUUAAGUGUGAAAGCAUGAUAUUAUUAUAAAAUUUUACAAAAUGAGAGCAAGAGUGCAAGACUAAAACUAUCCAAGAUCAAAGAUGAUAUAUGUGAUGGAUUUUUCAUCACAAUUUUGUCUAAAAUUUUAAAACUUAUAAACUAGAAAAUUAUAAUAUAAUAUAGUAAUUGAGGUGCAAUAAUUGUGGGAUGUCGUUAAUGAAAUUGAAUAAGAUUACGGAGAUCGUCGAAGAUUACGCCUUGACGUCUAUUUUAUCAUUAUAAUUGUAUUAUAUAUAGAUAGAUUAUUUUUACCAUAUUUAUAUUAUAGGAUAAUAUUAAUUAAUAUUGUAAUAGAUUGCUACCAUAUUUAAUGGUGAUUUUGCUCCAAUAUAAUGAGAGAACCUCUCACAUUUAGAGGUAUCGAGUCUUACUGAGUAUAUUUGACAUGGUAUUAGAGCGUGUUUAAUUUUAUUUAGGUUAAACUUACAAACUUCUGUUCUCCGGCAAGCGGCAUUGUGCCGCUCCUCCAGUCAAAUUUUCUUGUUUUUGUUUUACAUUUUUAGACCUUCCAUGUCAUGUGAGAGGUAUGGAGUCUUAUUGAGUAUAUUUGACAUGAUAGCAGAGCGUGUUUAAUUUUAUUUAGGUUAAACUUACAAACUUCUGUUCUCCGGCGAGCGGCAUUGUGCCACUCCUCCAGUCAAAUUUUCUUGUUUUUGUUUUACUUUUUUAGACCUUCCAUGUUGAUGUAUUAUUGAGCAUCACCAAGCAUGCAAAUAUAUAGCUUGGACUGAGGGAUAUGAAACCCUUGUCCUUAGGAUCAUACUUUUUUUUUAUCAACCCAAUAUAGAGCUCAAUUGUCUAGUCAAGUUUUAGUUGGAGUUAUUUUGGAGAAGAUUUUGUGUUCUUUUGACUGACCAAUUCGAGUAAUACCCAAUUUCAGGUGACGUGAUUAAUGGCGAUGUUGGGUUCGGCUAUCGAAGGUUCAAGUUACAGAUUUAGGAGUUUGGCAUUAUCGACGCCAGAUUGUGGUCGAAAUGGCACUGCUUUUGGAAAUAGCUUGGAACACCAAAACAGAGUGGUGAGACACAAUGGCACGGUCGCUUUCACUGCAAAUCACGGGAUGCUUCACAGCAGUACGUUCACACACGAAUUUUACAGCUCGAGCAACAACAUAAGCAUAAUCUUCAACACUGUAACCAACAAAAAUUUCAGAGUUCCGGGAUUUUGAGCCGUCAUAAUCAAUUCCAAGACCACUGCCAUUGUCAAUGACUUUCAUACAAGUACCGAGGUAGAUUAAUUCACAGUAGAUUGGGGAUGCUUCACGUACUCCUUCAGAUGUUGUUGAACUCGUCGUGGAUCUGCACUCGCUGAGAAUGGAACGGUGGAGAUGGAGGCUAGCAUCAUGGAUGGUUCUGGCAAGAGAUGUGGCGUCGUUUUUUGUAUCACCACCGUGAAGAACCCUAUUUCCCUUGCCCAUCUCAUCAUGGAAAAAUCUCCCUAUUCUUAUCUUGCAUUCUCUAGAGCCGAAGAAUAUGCUAAACAACAGGAUUGUGGUGUAGAAGAGAGGUUUCGAUGGAGAACAGAGGCAUUGAUGCAGAUCUGUUUAAGGACUUGGGCUAAUUCUAGUGGGCUUCUAUUAUCUUGGGUUAGCUUUGCAAUUAAAUCUUUUGGGCUGUAUGUUAUUUAAGGGUGUUUAUUUGAAGUGGGCUUAUUUUUUUAUUUUUUUGUUGUGUGGGCUGAUUUUGGAGUGGGUUGAAUUUAGGUGGGAAUUUGGUUGGCUUGGAUCUGAUUCUAUUGGGACUUCACGUGGAUUGUGUCUAUUGAUUUUAAGCUUAGUGGGUUUACAUAUAAAUUAUAGAUUGUUGGGCGUCAUAGUUUUAUAGGGCCUACUAUCAUUUGGGGUUAUUGGGUUGUAAACUGUGGAAGCAUGGGAACAUAAGGAGCUGAUGUCUGCUAGUUUUGAAUUGUGUGGAAAAUUCUCUAAUAUGUAUCUCAUGGUUUUUGCAAAGGCGCUGCUAAACAACAAGGAUUUUCAUUUUUUGGUUGAAGAGACAGAGACAUGGGAGUGCAGACUAUUGAGUUCUUUAGUUGCUCGGAUAAUGAGCUAAAGCUUUGGAUUCUCGGUGGAGGAUUAUCUUUGAAGUUUUUAGUAUUGGCUAUUUUGUGGAAUUUCUUUGAACUACAGUACCUUGGCUAGCAAUAUAUUGCUGAAAUUUUGGCCAGUGUAUUGGCGUUAGAACUUUUGUUGGAACACAAAUUUUGUGUUCAAUCUAGUUUUCCCAACAAAUAGAGCUCAUUGUGUAUCGGCACACUUCAUGAAUUUCUUUUGGAAAUUUUUCUUAGGGUAUGAGCUUUCUGAAGUGGUUUUGGAGUAGUUUUUAAUUGUUUCUACACAAUUUGUUAUUCUUGGUUUCUAGUCGUUACUAAUUUUCGUAGAUGGUUGCUCUGAUUUGGGUUUCUUCUUUGUGAGCACAAGUAUUGUCGUUGUCGUCAGUUCAUGAUUGCAAAAUGAUACUUUUACCAACAUCAAUUUGAGGGUGAUGUCAAUAAGAUUGAAUAAGAUUAUAGAGAUUGUCGAAGAUUACGACUUGAAGUCUAUUUUAUCAUUAUAAUUAUAUUAUAUAUAGAUAGAUUAUUUUUACCAUAUUUAAAUUAUAAGUUACUAUUAUUUAAUAUUGUGAUAGAUUGCUAAAAUAUUUAGUGGUGACUUUGAUCCUUUAUAAUGAGAGAAUCUCACUUUGAGAGGCAUCGAGUCUUAUUGUCUGACAUCUCCUAUGUUCAUACAUUUAUCUUUUGCUAUUCAAUAAAUUAUGCCACCUUGCGUGGAUUUAAUUUUUAAGAAAAAUAAAAGCUAAGCCCUACUGAUACGAUUUCGGCACAAUAUUGGUGAUUCUUCUAUGAAAACAAUAUUUUGAAACUUUUUGAAUAUAUUUAUUUUAUGUCUUGUAAAGUAACUAUGAGUUUUUGUCUCUUUCAAGAAAAUAGUGGUGGUGUUUCAAAGAAGGAAAUAAUUUUAUCUUUUUAUUUACUUAAAAAAUGAUAAUAAUUUUUUUAGACCAAUAUAGAGAUUUCUAAGUAUUGUAAUUCCUUAACAUUUUUUUAAGAUUACUAAGGUUGAAUGUGAAUUUCAAAUGUUGAUGAAAUCUUGAAAUAUAGAAUUUACGAUUGAUUUGGUCGAAGUUGGGGUUGUUUUAUAUAUAUAUAUAUAUAUAUAUAUAUAUAUAUAUAUAUAUAUAACUAAAAUUUUCAAUUUAAGUCUCUCUAUUGCUUAUUUAUAAAAUUUGUUCGUGUAUAAGAUCUUCAAUGAACUAUAAAUUUACUUGCACAUUGGUGGUGGAUAAUCUACUUUUGUGGUUGUUGGAUAAGUAAAGCUACUAUUUUUUACCACAAAAGGAUAAGUUUGCAAUUUCUUAAUUGUUAAGUUAAGCACAUGCAUGCAUGCAUAGAAUGGAGGUUGGCAAAUUCAAGUUUUUUUCUCCUGCAAGUGGUAGUCGAAAUGCUUGAAAAAUUCCAGCCACUUGACAGGCCGAAUGUGUAGAGAAUUCCAACAAAUGAAGGUGUUAGAACUUUGACUCUUUGAAGCAAUUAAAGGUGGUAAAACUUCCAGCAAUAUCCAGCCCAUUUACAGCCAAGUUUAGCCAUUAUUCUUGACAAUUGAAGGUGGUGGAAAUCCUACAAAUGACAAGCAAAGUUGUAGAUAAUUUUCUUGAAUUUUUCAAGCAAUUAUGGCGGCCAAAAAUCUCUAUAAAUAUGGGCAAGAGUUUGAGAGAAAAGUAUGCCGUAUGUAGAAGAAAAAUUGAGAGAAAUUAAAAGUAGAGAGUAGAGAGAAAAUUGUGGGUGGAAAGAUAAAAUUAUAGAGAGAAAAUUCAUUAUUUUUCUCCUAAGUAUUUCCUACUUGUAUUUUCCUAUUACAAAAGAGACUAAUUGUUGUUAUCUCCUUGUAUUUAGAGAGUGUGUUAUAAUUCUCCGACUAUAGUGAAAUCCUCCUAUACUUGCUCGUGGACGUAACCUAAAUGGGGUAAACCACGUAAAUACUUGUAUCCAUUUUUAGCUUCGUUUUCUUAAUUCCAUUUUUUGUCAGCCAAACUCGACCCACGUUUUUCCUAAUAGUGGUAUCAGAGCUAGGUUCUAUGCAGGGUCUUUGUUCACUACUUACUAUUUUUAAUUAUAGUAUUCGUGAGCAAAAUGGCGACAAAGUAUGAGAUUGAAAAGUUCAAUGGGAACAAUUUCUCAUUAGAAAAAAUGAGAACAAAAGCAGUUUUGCGAAAAGAUAACUGCUUGUCAAGUGUGUGUUGCUAAUCUGCAUCUAGCACCAGCUGAUGGAGUAUUGUCAAGUGUGGUGGAGAAAAAGAUAGCGAAAGAAAUAUGGGAUACGCUGACAAAGUUGUACGAGACCAAAUCAUUACACAACAAAAUCUUCUUGAAGAGAAAGCUUUACACCUUUCGGAUGAUGGAGUCAACUACGGUGACCAACCACAUCAACACCUUCAACACUCUAUUUUCACAAAUUACAUCAAUGGAGCAUAAUAUGGAGGCAGGUGAGCGUGCUGAGAUCUUACUUCAAAGUCUACCAGAUUCGUAUGAUGAACUCAUCAUCAACUUAACCAACACCCUUAAAACUCUAGUCUUUGAUGAUGUUGCAGCUGCUAUUCUUGAAGAAGAAAGUCGACGCAAGAAUAAGGAGGGCAAAUUGACAAUUUCACAUCAGACGGAAGCUUUAACGAUAAUGAAAGGGAGAUCAACGGAACGUGGCUCCAGUGGGAGUCAAAUCAGAAUAGAUCAAAAUCCAGGAGUAAGAAAAAUGUCCAGUGUCAUUAUUGUGGCAAGAAUGGGCACUUAAAAAGAGAUUGUUGGAGUCUCAAGAAGAAUGAAGAAGCCAAAAGAAAAGGUCCUGAGAUGUCAAAAGCUCAGGGUUGUGUAGCAAGCACCUCAGAUGACAGGGAAAUUUUAUACAGUGAGGCAACAACAAUUGUUGAAGGCAAGUAAUUUUUUAAUGUCUGGCUUAUGGACUCAGGAGCUAUAUGGCACAUGACAACAAGGAGGGAAAGGUUCUAUCAAUAUGAACCUAUCCUAGGAAGAUCCAUGCUUAUGGAAAAUGAUCAUGCCUUGGAAAUCCCUGGUAUUGGUACAGUCAAAUUGAAAAUAUAUGAUGGUAUAGUUCACAUUAUCCAGGAAGUACGACACGUAAAAGGCCCGAAGAAAAAUCUAUUAUCUCUAGGACAACUGGACAGCAUUGGAUGCAAACCCAUAUACAAGAUGAUAUCACGAAAAUUAUCAAAAGUGCACUUGUGGUGAUAAAAGUGAAAAAGAUAGCUGCAAAUUUGUACAUGCUUAAAGGAGAGACACUACAAGAAGGAGAAGCAUAUGUCACAUCUACAUGUUCAGUAGAAUAAUUAACGAUGAUGUAAGCUUGGCCACGUGUCAGAACGUGGUUUGAAAAUUCUCUCAGAACAAAAGCUUCUUCCAGUGCUAAAAAAUGUUUCAUUACCCUUUUGUGAGCAAUGUGUUACUAGUGAGCAGCACAAAUUGAAAUUCAGCAGUUCCACUGCUAGAAGUAAAUUUAUCUUGGAGCUGGUCCAUUCUGAUAUUUGGCAAGCACCAGUUAUAUCCCUAGGAGGUACAAGAUACUUUGUAUCUUUUAUUGAUGAUUACUCCAAGAGAUGUUGAGUGUAUCCAAUAAGAGCAAGGCAGACGUGUUCACAAUCUUCAAAAUGUUCAAAACGCGUGCGGAGGUUGAAUCUGAAAAGAAGAUCAAGUGUCUGAGGACUAACAAUAGAGGAGAAUAUACUAGUGAUGAAUUUGAUAACUUUUGUCAACAAGAAGGUAUCAAGAGAUAGUUCAUGAUGGCAUACACUCCCCAGCACAAUGGAAUGGCAGAGCGGAUGAACAGAACAUUGUUAAAAAGAAUAAGGGCAAUGUUGAAAACUGCGGGGCUAGCCAAGUCGUUCUGGGUAGAAGCAAUCAAAAUUGCUUGUUAUGUGAUCAAUUAGUCGCCAUCAACCGCAAUUGAUCUGAAAAUGCCUAUAGAAAUGUAGACUGUAAACCACCUGAUUAUUCUCGUUUACAUAUAUUUGGAAGUCCUGUGUACGCUAUGUACAGCAGCAAGAAACGUCAAAACUGGAUCUAGAAUCCAGAAAAUGUAUUUUCUUAGGAUAUACUGAUGGAGUCAAGGGGUACUGCCUGUGAGAUCCCACUAUCCACAAGGUGAUAAUCAGCAGAGAUGUGAUAUUUUACAGAAGGCAAGGUACAUGAAAAAGAAAAUGAUAGCACUUCAAAAGAAAAAUAAAAAACUACUACAGUCGAAGUUGGAGAAGAACGAGAAGUUAUAGAUUCUUUUGAAACAAAACUAGAGCACGAAGAAUAAGAACAGGCUGAAUCUAGUGCUCUGAUACUCGACGAUCAACACAGGAAAAAAGAGAGCCGGCUUGGCACUCAGAUUACAUUAUAGAGGGCAAUGUUGCGUACUACUUACUGACAGAAGAUGGAGAGCCAUUAACUUUCCAUGAGGCUAUAAAUGGCCAAGAAAUUUCUCUGUGGACAGCAGCAAUGCAAGAAGAAAUUGAAGAUUUUCAUAAGAACCAGGCAUGGGAUCUUGUUCCACUACCACAAGAAAGGAGGGCCAUUGGGAAUAAAUGGGUUUACAAGAUCAAGCGAGAUGGUAAUGAACAAGUGGAGCAGUAUCGUGUGAGACUGGUGGUGAAGGGAUAUGCUCAGAAAUAAGGCAUUAACUUUAAUGAAAUAUUUUCUCCUGUGGUUUGACUCACAACAGUUCGAGCAGUCUUCGUAAUGUGUGCUACAUUUGACUACACCUGGAGCAAUUAGAUGUGAAAACUACAUUUCUUCAUGGAAAACUUGAAGAAGAGAUUUAUAUGCUCCAAUCAGAAGGUUUUGAAGAAAAAUGAAAAGAGAACUUGGUUUGUAGGUUGAACAAAUCUCAAUAUAGUCUGAAACAGGCACCGAGAUGUUGGUAUAAGAGAUUUGAUUCCUUCAUCAUGAGCCUUGGAUACAACAGACUCAAUUCAGAUUCAUGUGCAUACUACAUGAUAUUUGGAGAUAAUGAUUUCAUUACUCUGCUAUGUUGACGACAUGUUGGUAGCAGACCUUAACAAAGAUCGUAUUGAAGACUUGAAGGCACGGUUGGUUAGGGAGUUUGAAAUGAAGGACUUGGGACCGGCAAACAAGAUUCUAGGGACGCAAAUUUACCGAGAUAGAAAUAAUAGAAAGAUUUGGCUUAGUCAGAAGAAUUACUUCAAAAAAUCUUGCAUCGCUUCAAUAUGCAAGAUUGUAAGCCAAUUUCUACCCUUCUUACUACUACUUUCAAGUUAUCCUCAAGUAUGAGUCCUAGCAAUGAAGCAGAGAUGAUGGAUAUCUCUCGAGUAUCGUAUGCAUCAGCAGUUGUUAGCUUGAUGUUUGCUAUGAUCUGUACAAGACCAGACAUUGCACAAGCAGUGGGAGUGGUCGGUUGAUACAUGACAAAUCUUGGUAAAGAGCAUUGAAGUACUGUAAAGAAGAUCUUGAGAUAUGUCAAAGGUACCUCAAAUGCUACAUUAUGUUAUAGAUGAUCAAAUUUUAUUGUCAGAGGCUAUGUUGAUUCAGAUUAUGCAAGUGAUCUUGAUAAAAGCAAGUCCACCACAAGAUAUAUAUUUACUCUUGCUGGAGCAUUUGUAAGCUGGGAUUCGAAACUGCAGUUUGUAGUGGCUACUUCUACAAUGGAGGCAGAAUACGUAGCUGCUACACAAGCUAGCAAAGAGGCAAUCUGGUUGCAAAUGUUAAUGGAAGAGCUCGAACAUAAACAAGAGAAGAUUGAUCUAUUUUGUGAUAGUCAGAAUGCUUUGCACUUGGUAAAGAAUCCAGCAUUUCAUCAGAAAACAAAAUCUAUUCGAGUUCAAUAUCACUUUGUUCUAGAAAAGGAUGAGGAAGGGAGUGUAUAUAUACAGAAGAUCCAUACAAUAGACAACCUAGCUGAUAUGUUAACAAAGCUGAUCAAUAUUGACAAGGUUAUAUGGUGUCGAUCCUCCAUCGGCCUAGCAGAAAUGUAGCAUGGAAAUGACAAGUAUGGGAAGAAUUGAAGUGGUCAACAAAAGUGACUUUAGGAGGGAGAUGAUAUGUUAAAAAAGCUGAUCAAUAUUGACAAGUUUAUAUGGUGUCGAUCCUCCAUCGGCCUAGCAAAAAUGUAAGUAGCAUGGAAAUGACAAGUAUGGGAAGGAUUGAAGUGGUCAACAAAAGUGACUUUAGGAGAGAGAAAUGUUGGAUAAGUAAAGCCACUAUUUUUUACCACAAAAGGUUAAGUUUACAAUUUCUUAAUUGUUAAGCUAAGUAUAUGCAUGCAUGCAUGCAAAGGAACUUGGCAAAUUCAAGUUUUCUUUCUCCAACAAAUGGCAACCGAAAUGCUUGAAAAAUUCCAACCACUUGACAGGCCAAAUGUGUAGAGAAUUCCAGCAAAUGAAGGUGGUAGAACUUUAACUCUUUGAAGCAAUUAAAGGUGGUAAAACUUCCAGCAAUAUCGAGCCCAUUUACAGCCAAGUUUAGCAAUUAUUCUUGACAAUUGAAGGCGGUGGAAAUCCUACAAAUGACGAGCCAAGUUGCAAAUAAUUUUCUUGAAUUUUCAAGCAAUUAUGGUGACCAAAAAUUUCUAUAAAUAUGGGCAAGAGUUAUAGAGAAAAGUAUGCCGUAUGGAAAAGAAAAUUUGAGAGGAAUUAAAAGUAGAGUAGAGAGAAAAUUGUUAGUGGAAAGAUAAAAUUAUAGAGAAAAAAUUGUGAGUUUUUCUCUUAAGUAUUUUCUACUUGUUUUCUCUUAUUACAAGAGAGAUUAAUUGUUGUUAUUGUGUUGUAAUUCUCCUACUAUAAUGAAAUCUUCAUAUACUUGCAUGUAGACAUAGUCUAAAUUAGAUGUACCACGUAAAUACUUGUGUUCAUUUUAGCUGCAUUUUCUCAAUUCCAUUAUUUGUUAGCCAAACUCAACCCAUGUUUUUCCUAAUAGUGGGUAAAAAGGUUUCCAUUGUAUUGACUUUUAUAAUGGCUUAAUAGCACAAAACAUCACUACGUUUGAUUUGCAGUGUGCAAAAUGUCCCCACAUUUCAAUUUUUUACAUUUUCACCCCAAUUUUCACGUUUCAUUGUGAAAAAUGUCAUUUUUACCAAUUUUUAAUGUAAAAUGACCAAUAUACCCUCCUAUUUAAAUAAAACAAAAAUAAAAGAAAAUUAAAGAUCAAAUUGCAACUAUAGGCCCAAAUUUUUCAAAAGGCUCAAUAGCACAAAAUAUCCUUACUUUUUUCCCACACCCCAUCCCACCCCAUGCCAACCCAACCCAACCCAACCCAAUUCACUCAUUAUUUUGAAGAUUCAAGGAACUGUCGGCCUCCAUCUCAUCAACUUCCACCUAACCGCCACCUAAAAUACUAGAGCUCAUACUACAAAUAGCUGUCAUCAACACCCAAACACUUUCUUAUAAACAAAUUGAACAAACAACAAAUUUAUAAGGUCAAAAUCAACAAAAAAUGUAACUAUCGCAUGAGCAACAUGUUGCCUUUUUCCGUCAAUUUCGACACAGGUAAUGCUUCUCACCAUCGCAGACCACCCAUUUCAACUUCACCACAUCAUGCCACACUGCUACAAUAAUAGGUUUCCAUCAAUUUCAUCUAUUAUUCCCCAGAAUAUGUGGCCAUUUAUUGCCCAAUAAGAAAUUGAAAGAUGUUGCUAUAGAUUUUGAUUUUGUGCACCUGUUCAAGUUUUAAGUCUAUGAAGAGAGGUGCUCCAAUGAAUAUAGUUGAUUUAUAAGUUGGGAAUGCAAUGGGUCUUGUCGGAACAGAAAAAGAAAAGAAGAGAAAAAAGAAUUUUUUUUUCCAAAAUUUUUUAUUUGGACUCAUUUAUACUUUUUAAAAAGUUUAGGAGUAAGAUUGCAAUUUGUUCUUUAUUUUUCGUUUCUUCUCUUUUUGGUUUUAUUUAAAUAAGAGGGUAUAUUGGUCAUUUACAUUAAAAAUUGGUGAAAAUGAUGUUCCGCAACGAAACGUUAAAAUAAGUGUGAAAUGCAAAAAUUUGAAACAUAUGGACGUUUUGCACACUACAAGCCAAACAUAAGGAAGCUUUGUGCUAUAAAACCUUUAAUAAUUUCUUUAUGACUUUGGUAGAGGGUCUAGAGGUGUAAUUGGUCUAGCCUUCAGUCUGUUCACAUUUAAAAUCAAACGACAAAAUCAGACAUCAUAGGCCUACAAAUAUAGAUAAAUCACACCUUUGGUCUUGAACCAUUUUUCGAAUCUUGAACAAAAUUUACAAGCACCAAAAUAUCCAUUUAUGCUGCACCAAAAUCAAGUCAAGGAAGAAUCUAUUUUGCAAAUCUAUAAACAUAAUUUUUCACUACACAUGCCAACGAGUUGGUCAAGUUUUUUUCUUCUUGAUCUUGCUAUUAAAUUAAAAAUUUGUCGGAGUCAUCUAGUGGGAUUAAGCUCUUGUUUGACAACCUUUAAAGCAAACGCUUUUUUUCUUAAACUAAAUUUUUAAAAUAAAAUAUUCGGUACAUAAAUCUAAAUUUUUUCCUACUUUUGUUUAUAUAUUCCUCAAAAAAUCACUAUUCAAAACCUUGCUUUCUCCAAAAUACUCAUUUUAAUGAUUGUUAAACAGAGGCUAAUAUUGCGACACCAGAGGCUAAUAUUGCGACACUAAUGAAAGGUUGAGGAAAUAUUUGCUCCUAUUCAUAGGCUGGUGACUAACAUGCAACUAACACAAUAGAUUGGGGCUGCUAACUUACAACUUUCACAAUAGGUUGGAAAGGAAGGUAGAAAUUUUUGAAUUUUUCCACAAGUAUAUAUAGGACGCAAGUCACUCAUAUUUUAUUAGAAUUAAUUGUAGGCAUUGUAUGUAAUUGCACUGUAGCUUAGUUUUAUUUCAAUUCAUUAGUUGGCCAGCUGUGUUUUUUUCCUUUCAUUUUUGGCGCCAAGCUCCAUUGCUAUUUAUGUAUCUCUGAACAUUCAUUCAAUUGAUUGAAUGAUCAAUAGAGUUUCAAUUCAUUUUCUCUCUAUAAAUCGAAGAUGGUAUCAGAGCAAAAUCAUUUCCACGCUCUUCUCUCCUCAUCACAGAUUUAAUCUGUUGCUGGAUCUCCUCUUCAUAUUUCUUUUUUUACUUUCACAAAUUCAAUUAAUCUGUUGUUCGAUCUAAUCUCCACAUAGAGUUAUUACAGUCCGGAAAUUGGUUUGAUUCAAGGUCAUCAAUGAACAAAUCAAGUCCUUACUUCUUACUUCAUUCAAUGAGUAAUUUCCAGAUCUCCAGAUCUGCACCGAAUGAAGAUAAAAUGCAUAAUUCACAACAACCUGGGAUUGGAAAUUUAAUUUAGAGCUUGAAUCCUGCUCAAUAUCAACAAUUGAUGUCGACAUUGUCCACUCAUCUGGCAUCAAACUCACACACAGCAGCUUCUGAUUAUCAGGACAACAAAAUUACAUUAUAUAAUGCAGGUAUAUGCCAUUUCAUAUCUGUUAAUCCAGUCUUGUAUUCCAAAGAAAUUUGGAUAGUGGAUUCGGGAGCCACUAAGCAUGUGUGUUCUAUUGCUGCUUCAUUCAUGAACAUGAGGAUUAUUGAUGGUUCAAAUGUGACUUUAACCAAUCGCACACAAAUUCCAGUUAGAUUGUGUGGGAAUAUCAGGCUGAGUCCAAAUAUUGUGCUGCAUGAUGUGUUAUUUGUACCACAAGUUUCAUUAAGUUUCUCUCAUGAUAACUUCAUUAUUCAAGAUGCCAAAACCAAGAUGAUGAUUGGUAGGGGUGGUCAAAUGCAAAAUUUGUAUGUUCUAGAUACCAGAAUUCCGAAUUCCGUUUCUAAUGCAUUUGUUAAUACUGUGUCUAUCCAUGUAUGGCACAACAGACUUGGGCAUCUUUCAUUCAAAAGGCUAGACUGGUUGAAGGAACAAUUAUUGUGUGAUGUUAAAAAAUUUAAGAGGCAUAUGCCUUGUUAUGUUUGUCUACUUGCUAAACAGCGGAAAUUGCCUUUUGAAUUGAAUAAUAGACCGUUAAAUGAUCCCUUUGAUCUCAUACAUUGUGAUGUAUGGGGACCUUACCAUGUUACUUCACACUCGGGAUACAAUUAUUUCUUGAUAUUGGUGGAUGAUUGUUCAAGGUUUACAUAGGUCUAUUUGUUAAAUCACAAAUCAGAUGCCAAGAUUGUUAUUCCCAGAUUUUUCAACAUGAUUGAUACCCAAUUCAAUGCCAAAAUAAAGACAUUCAGAUUUGACAAUGCUUGUAAAUUAACCUUUAUAGAUUAUUUUACUAAAAAGGAAGUAAUGCAUCAGUUUAGUUAUGUGGAAAAACCACAACAAAACUCCGUCGUUGAGCGCAAACAUCAGCAUUUGUUAAAUGUGGCUAGGUCUCUGUACUUCUAAUCACGAAUCCCCAUCAGUUUCUAGUUUAAAUGUGUUUUGAUAGCCACAUUCUUGAUAAAUAGAACUCCAUCUUCUGUGUUGAAGCACAAAAUGCCAUAUGAAGUUCUAUAUGGAAGACCUACAGAUUAUUCCUCACUUAGAGUUUUUGGAUGUCCAGCUUUUGCAUCUACUCUAACUACACAAAGAAACAAAUUCUAGCCACGAGCUAGGCUAUGUGUGUUCUUGGGAUAUCCAUCUGAAGUUAAAGGUUACAAACUCUAUGAUGUUGAGUCAAAACAUUUCUUUGUAUCACGUGAUGUUGCGUUUCACGAAAAAAUCUUUCCUUUUCAUACAGUUAUGGCAAAUGAUCAACUGAUAGAUCCGUUCCCUGACUUAGUCUUACCAAAUCAUUUUUUACAUCUUCAUCAAGAUUCACAUGCAUCCUCAACUCAGUAUAACUUACCUCAUAUUUCUUCCUCUGAAAGUCAUAAUUUGCAUCAAGAGUUAUUCCCUACAUCACCAUCCCUUGAUACAAUGUCUGCACCUGACAGUCCUGAUAAAAAUGGCACUCCACAUACUGACAUUAGUCACACAUGUCAACCUACUACUAUCACUAAUUUGAGACGUUCACAAAGAGCUGCUAGACCCCUACAAUGCCUUAGAGAUUUUCAUUACAACUCUUUUCUCAACAAGAUAACUCCCAUCUUCAUUCACUCCAUCAUGUUAGCCAAUUUAUUUUCUAUAAUCAUUUAUCCCAAAACCACCGGCAAUUUGUAUUGAACGUGUCCUCUCAAUUUGAGCCUCAAUUUUUUCACCAGGCGGUUAAAUAUCCACAAUGGCGUGAAGCCAUGAAAGCUGAAUUGGAGGCUAUGGAAGCCAAUCACACUUGGUCAGUAGUUCCUUUACCAGUUGGUAAACAUAUUGUUGGAUGAGGGUGGAUCUUCAAGGUAAAACAUAAUUUUGAUGGGUCUAUUGAAAGGCACAAAGCACGUCUUAUAGCUAAAGGUCAUACACAACAAGAGGGCCUUAAGUACUUUGACACUUUUUCCCCACUAGCAAAGAUUGUCACUGUUAAAGUAUUGUUAGCUCUUACAGCCUCUCAACGGUGGCACUUGUUCCAAAUGGAUGUAAAUAACGCCUUCUUGAAUAGUGAUAAGUUCGAUGAAGUUUACAUGGAUCUCCCGCCUGGUUAUGAGGUUCCCAAUGCUGUCAAACAAGUGAAGAAAUUGGUUUGCAAGUUGCAAAAGUCAAUUUAUGGCCUCAAGCAAACGUUAAGGUAGUAGAAUUCUAAAUUCACCCAAGCAAUGGUCCAUUGUGGUUUCAAUCAAUCAAAGGCCGAUUAUUCCCUAUUCACUAAAGGUUCUGGGAAUGAAUUUGUGGCAUUGCUUGUGUAUAUAGAUGACAUUGUCAUCACUGGACCAAACAUUCAAGUUAUUGAUUCUUUAAAGAAGUUCUUAAACUCUCAGUUCAAACUUUAGGAUUUAGGGAAGUUGAAGUACUUCUUGGGCAUAGAAGUGGCUCGUUCUAACUCUAAGAUUGUCAUAUCACAAAGACAUUACGCCCUACAGUUGCUUGCGGAUUCAGGUUACCUGGACUGCAAAUUAACAAAUACUCCUAUGGAUCCAAAGGUUACCUUAAAUAUUCAUGAUGGAGACCUUCUGCCAGAUGCAUCUUCUUAUCACAGGUUGAUUGGAAAAUUGAUUUACCUGACAAUAUCACGACCAGAUAUUACUUUUGCUAUCUACAAGCUGAGCCAAUUUUUGUCAUAGCCUCCACUACCUCAUCUCAAGGUAGCUCACCAUCUUCUUCGGUAUUUAAAGGGUAGUCAAGGUCAGGGACUAUUCUUUCUGUUCAAGAAAUAUUUUCUUUCGAUUUAAAUCACCGCAAGUGUAUGGUUCGUUAACAAGUAAUAAAAUGGAUCAAUUGAGUCCAAAUAUUGUCCCAUAGAGAUUGACUAGUUUAAUUUUACUUAACUUGGCCUUAACUGAAACCGAUUUGUCAAACGUGAAUUGUAGUGCCUUAAAUUAACCUUACUUGGACUAAAUAUGCAAAUAUGUAUGAUUUGAAUGAAUUAAAAUGCAAAGUGAAUGUGUUAAUUGCAAGUUGGUGUACUAAAUCAAUGAAUAUAAAAGCGCACUAGGACCACGAAUCCCCAAGCAAUGCUCAAUUUAACCUUAAUUUCACACUUUGACAACAUGAUGACAUUGUAAGAAUCAAUACUCCUAAAUCUAUCCAACACUCUCUCUCGAGAUGAAUUGAAUCUAUUCUCAUACACCACCAACCUAUAUCUCUAUGACGGAUACAAAUAUAUGAGAAUGCAUGUAAUUUUAUGAGUACUUAGAGAUUCACCAAAGCAUAGGGGUCUAGUCCUAUCCUCUAUCGGACUCUAUGAUGAUUUAUACCUUGUCGAAUUUAUUCCUCUUCUUUCGAAUAGAUGAAACAAACCACCAAAACUCACACAAUUACGGGCCCAUAAUCAUGAAAGCAAUUAAAUGAAUAUAAAUCAUUCAAAACAAUUAAUACGUGCUUUAAUGUCAAAAUACAGAACAAAGAAUUAAAUAUCAAAUUACAAAGUUCAUCGAUCUCCUAGUAUAGAUUUUUCUAGCCUAACAUGAUGGGAAGAAGAACAUAAUAACAAGAAUCUAGAAAAGACAUCACUCUAUCGCCCUUUAAUUUGAAAUCUUGAAUCUUGGAAUGAAUCCUCUCAUUCUUGCCUUUUUCUUGCUCUUCAAAUCCUCCCAAAAUAAUGUAUAAUGCAUGUUGUCUGUUUUUGGACAUCCCUAGAACUUUAAAAGACUCUCAAGAUUUAUUUCCAUAAGAGUUUUAAUCAAAAAAAUCAGAAAAUUUUUGUCCGCUAUUGGCCUGGGCUAUCACUCAGGCCAACAUUUUCUUCUCAGUAAUAAGAAAAACAUAUGGGGUGAUCGCCCAGUUUUUAUAGCUGAGUUGUCAUCCAUGCAAAAUUUCUUCCAUAUGUUGUAUUUUAGCCCCCGAAGUCAAUUUUUGAUUUUUUCAAGCCCUUUCUCUUGUAAUUUCAACUCUUUGACUUUCAUUUGCUUCCAAUUGAACUCGCAACAUCUUUAAUCUUCAUUUUGUGAUCCUAACAACUAUUGAAAUAUUUGAAUUUAGUCCUCAUACUUUUGAUUUUCUUCCUUUUUGGCUCUUUUUCUUUUCUUUUCUCUUGAAGUCCACCACAUUUAUCAAUAUAGUCCUACAAAACAUAAUUAUAUAGAAUUAAGUCAUAAUUCAAACUCUUUGACCAUAAUUAAGUCAUGUUUGUGAACUAAGUGUGUAAAAACACACUUAUCAAACCCUCAAACUUGAACUAUUGUUUGUCUUCAAACAAGAUAGUGACUCAAUACUAAACAAACAUGUCUUAAUAACCUGUCGUGUCUCGAGAUUGGACUAAGUAUUUGACUUAAAUAAAUUUUGAUUAGUGUAAGAAUGAAAUCAACAGUUACCUGUUGAUUGCAUACCCGACGUGCAUGUAUGAAAUCAUGCUAACAUAAUUAGUUCAUGAUGGAGUUAGUCCUGACCCAAAGUGGUCAAAUAUGUCCUUACUUCGCUCGAGAGGUACACAAAACCCCAAACUAUUUCUUUUCACUCAGUUAACCCGGGGUUGUGUUUUGAAGUUAGGAUUUUAGGCAACUGCAGUCCUUACCCUCUCUUAAUUUGGAUAGAUCUCACUAUCACAAGUUCACAUGUCAACAAAUGAAGGCUCUCCUAGAUUUGUUUGCUUCAACACCUAAGAUUAAACUAAGUUAUUAGGCUCGCAUCAAAGGUAUAUUUUCUUCAACCAAAUGUCCAAGGACCUCUUGAUGUUAUCGUGUCUUUUCUCACUUAUUUUCUGAUAAUUUUUUUUUGUCAUCUUCUCAUUUGCUUUCUGUAUAACUCCUAUAGCGAGCUUUAAAUCGAUGACUCCCAAACCAAUUGGCUUUAGGAUAUCAAGUUUUAAACCCUUGCCGGCUUAUUCACUCGAUUUAUAAAGGCUCGAUCAGAUGACUUUUUAUUCACCUCUUCUCCUAUUGCUUUCUAUAUGACUCAUGUAACAAGCUUUAAGCUGAUAACUCCUAAACCAGUUGGUUUUGGGGCACCAGAUUUUGAAAUAUGCUUAUAAGCUUACUUACUCGAAUCAUAAAGGCAUGGACAAAAGUGUCCUAUUUUCACAAGUUAGAUUUAUGCCCUUUAUUAUUUUUCUAGACAUUUGGCUUCCAAGACCAACCCCCAAUUUAAAAUUUUCAUCUAAUUUUUAUUUCACUGGUCUAGGCAAUCCACACAAUAAAAUUCAUGCACGGAGCCCCCACUUAUCUCGAUGUUUUCCUAUGAUUGCUCAACCAUCUCCAAACCGUCUUAAGGUGGUUUAUUAUUUGAUUUAGUAGAGGGUUAUAACUCUUCUCCUACUUUAUGUUCAAAACCCCAAUCACUAGCCUGACAUGUGAGCAUGAGUGGCGUGCAUAAAUAAUGUUAAGUAUUACAUCAAUAAGUAUUGGCUAAUUUAUUCAGCACCAUAUCCACAGUUUAUAAUUUAUACCAGUCCAAUAUUCACAUCAUAGCCGACAAGACAAUCAAGCCCACACAAGCAUGCAAAAAAUGAAAAUACAGCAAACUAAAUAAAAUACAAAGAAUUAUCUUUUUAACACUCAUCAAGCACAUAAUAUGCACUCAUGAAAUAUAGAUAUUGAUGACCAUAGGCAAAAUGAUGAAAAGAUGUUCUUGUCCAAGAUUAUGUCACCCACCCUCAAACUUAGAUAAUACAUUGUCCUCAAUGUGAAGAUGAAAUAAAAGUGUAAGCAGACAUAAUUGAAGGAAAAUAAUAAACUAAAAGCACAAGAUGGGAUACGAGUACUCCCCUGAUCUAUAUGGAGAUGGUGAAUGAAAACUAGGACCCGCUGUGUUUUUCCUUUCCAUGUGACAUUCUUUUUGGUGGCAUCCUGUAAAAGUGCAAAGUAUGCGUAUUAGUUCACAUGUUGUAAACAGAUGCAAUUAAGGCAAGAAAUAACCUACGUAGUGCACAAAUUUUCCAAAAUUGCUUCAAGGUGCAUGUGUACAUUGUUGGUGUACAUAAUGCAUAAUUUAUGUCUCAACAUAGGGUUUAUAUCACAAAAAUGUGAAUCACCAAUGAAACUUCACUCAAAACAUGUACUUUGUUCAGUUUGACACAUGACUGACUAAAAUAGGACUUCAACCUCAUGACUCGUGCUCAGUGCAUUGGGACUUGUGUAGACCAUGCCUAGACUCCAUGUGAUAGGGAUGUAUGAUUGAUGAUCGAAAACUACUAAUAAUGCUAAAAAUGAAAAGUUCCUAAACUAUAGCAAAACGAAGUAAAUGAAAUGAUAGAAACGUUAUGUUGCCUCCCAACCAGCGCUAUUUUAUAGUCAAUAGCUCGACUUUUGGCAUAGGUGUGUUAUAGCACUUUAAAUAUGGCUUGGAAAGUCCUACGUAGUUUGUUCAAUAUGGUCUUGUUCCGCAUUGCAGUUAUCCUCCACACUUCAAAACUGUCCUUUUCCAAGUGGUGUGACUCUCCCUCAUCAUCCAUUUGAGACUCCACGGUGCAUAUCUCGAUCUCCUUUGAGUCAGUGAGAGUGGAUUGAGGGUACAUCAUAUCAACCUAUUGAAUGUCUAGCGGUUUCUUCAACUGGUAAUUGUAGAGGAUUUCUAUGUCAAUCACAUCAAUCUGGAAACAGGUGUUUGGCUUCGUGGGAUAUUUCAUUGAUUUGAAAACAUUAAAAGAGGUCUGCUCCUCUCCCAGUCUCAGAGUUAAUUGUCCUUGUUGCACAUCUAUGAGAGCUCUUACAAUUGCCAAAAAUUGUCACCCCAAUAUGAUAGGCACGUCCUUGUCUUCUUCCAUGUCCAGAAUUAAGAAAUCUGCUGGGAAUAUAAGUUUAUCCACUUUGAUUAAUACAUCUUCAAUAAUCCAUCGUGGAUGUAUAAGUGAUUGAUCAGCCAGCUGUAGAGUUACUGUAGUUGCUUUAAGUUCUCCCAAUCCUAGUUUCCUGAAAAUAGAGAGUGGCAUCAAGUUAAUACUCGCACUAAGAUCACACAAUGCUUUAUUAAAAUAUAAAUCACCAAUUGUGCAAGGGACAGUAAAACUCCAUGGAUCUUUCAAUUUUGGUGGGAGCUUUUUCUGGAUCCUGGCACUGCUCUCUUCAGUUAACAUCACUGUUUCAUGUUCCUUUAGCUUGCGUUUAUUUGUUAAGAUGUCCUUCAGGAACUUGGCAUAGCUGGGCAUUUGGAGUAGUAUAUCGGUGAAUGGGAUGUUGAUGUGGAGCUUUUUAAAGGUUUCAAGGAACUUCUUAUAUUGUUGCUCCAUCUUAUGCUUCCUUAACCUCUAGAGAAAUGGAAUGGGUAACUCAUAGGGGUUAACUGAAAUGGUGGCCUUACCCCGUGAUGUCUUUGAACUCUCCUUUGGUGUGGAUUCAUGUGUCUGCUCGUUUUACUGUACAAUCUCAGAGUGUUGUUUCAUUGUUUACACUCGACCUCUUAACGUGUCUUUCAGGUAGUUGCAUCCCAUUUCGAGUUGUGAUCGCUUGAACAUGCUCUCUGGGAUUCAACUCAGUAUUGCUUGGUAAAGUAUUUGGUGCCCUUUUUGUCAUAGCAAGUAUCAUCUGCUCCAUCUACGUCUCCAAGUUCUUAAUUGCAGUACCCUGAUUUUGGAGAGUAGUUUCAGUUUUCCUUAUGAACUGGUUAUUUGCUUCCAUAUAUUUCUCAGUCUUUUCCAUGAACUUUGCAAAUAUUUCAUCCAAUUGAAGUGUCUUCUCCUAUUGAAAUUGCCUCUGGGAUCUAUUCUGAUUCUGGGUACCCCAUGAGAUAUUUGUAUGUUCUUUCCAACUGAGAUCGUAAGUGUCUGAAUUUUGAUAGUUCUGUUGAUGUUGACCCCAUUGUGAGUACUUUAUUUGUUCCAUUUCUUGUGACAGAAUUGGGCAUUCUGUUGUACUAUGAUUCGCUCCACAUUCUUCACAAUUUGGUUUUCACACAUACGUUGCAUUCGCUGACUGUGAUAUGUUUUCUACCUUAUGAAAUAGUAAGUCAAUCUUUGCUGAUAAGGCAGAAUAUGCAUCUACCUCAUAAACACGCAGAGGCUCUUUUUGAAUCACUUGCUCAGAGGACCACAUGGCUGAAAUGGUAGCCAUUCUCUCAAACAAUUCCAAUGCUCCGUUGAUUGUUCGUGUGGAAAUUAAGCCGUCUGAUGAUGAGUCCACCAUGCUUUUGAAGUACGGGAGUAACCCUAUAUAGAAUAAUCGAAUUUGGGUCUUUUUGUUGAACCCAUGUUGAGGGCACCUCUAGAGCAUAUUCUUGAAUCUGUUCCAGGCUUCAUCAAAUGAUUCGGAUUCUCCCUAGCUAAAAAUGGAUAUUUCGUGUCUCAUUUUAGCUAUUUUGGCUGGUGAGAAGUACUUCGUGCAGAAUUUUUGAGCCAGGUCGUUCCAAGUAGUGAUGCUUACAAUAGGAAAUGAAUCCAACCAGUCAAGUGCCUUAUCCCGUAGUGUAUGUGGAAACAACCUUAGCCUAAUAGCAUUAUCCGAAAUUCCUUGAUACCUGAAGUGUUGUCACAUAUCCAAGAAUCGAGAUAUGUGUGUAUGUGGAUUUUCUUUGGCUUUGCCAUAAAAUUGGUGUCCAUUCUGGAACAGUUGUAUCACAUUAGUCUUCAAUUGAAUAUAAGGCUGCCCAAACGAUGGAUACACUAUGCUAGACUAGCUUUGAAUUUCUUGAGGAAUCAAGAAAUCUCCCAAAAUCUCAUUUCCUUCAUUAGUUGGGAUAACAUCGUUGUUAGGUUCAUUAGCCAUUUGCAACUGUGCUUCUCUAGUAUCUCUUUUUAGUCGAUGAAAAGUUCGCUCAAUUUCAAGAUCAGUUGGAAUAAUUCUCCUCCAAUCGAUCUUAGGAUGCAAUUCGACAAGAAAACCAGUAGUAGCACUCAGAUUCAAACAAUCUGAAAAACUAUAAUAAAAAUAAAAAUAAAAAUAAAAUAACCUAAACGAAAAUUAAUAAAAAUAGAAAUUUCAAGUUCGAGUUAGUGUCUAGAAAAAUAAAAUCAAACUAAUGCUCAAUCCCUAGUAACGACGCUAAAAACUUGUUCACGAAAUAUUUUCUUUCGAUUUAAAUCAUCACAAGUAUACAGUUCGUUAAUAAGUAAUAAAGUAGAUCAAUUGAGUCCGACUAUCGGCCCACAGAGAUUGAUUAGUUUAAUUUUACCUAACUUGGCCUUAAUCGAAACUGAUUUGUCAAACGUGAAUUGUAGUGACUUAAAUUAACCUUACUUGGACUAAAUAUGUAAAUAUGUAUGAUUUGAAUGAACUAAAAUGCAAAGUGAAUGUGUUGAUUGCAAGUUGGUGUACUCAAUCAAUGAAUAUAAAAGCGCAUUAGGAUCACGAAUCCCCAAGCAAUGCUCAAUUUAACCUUAAUUUCAUACUUUGACAACACGAUGGCAUUUUGAAGAAUCAAUACUCCUAAAUCUAUCCAAUACUCUCUCUCGAGAUGAAUUGAACAUAUUCUCAUUCAUCACUAGCCUAUAUCUCUAUGAUGGAUGCAAAUAUAUGAGAAUGCAUGUAGUUUUGUGAGUACUUAGAGAUUCACGCAAAGCAUAGGGGUGUAUUUCUAUCCACUAUCGGACCCUACGAUAAUUUAUACCUUGUCGAAUUUAUUCCUCUUCUUUCAAAUAGAUGAAACAAAUCAUCAAAACUCACACAAUUACGGGCCCAUAAUCAUGGAAGCAAUUAAAUGCAUAUAAAUCAUUCAAAACAAUCAAUACGUAUUUUAGUGUCAAAAUACGAAACAAAGAAUUAAAUAUCACAUUACAAGGUUCACCGAUCUCCUAGUAUAAAUUUUUCUAGCCGAACAUGAUGGGAAGAAGAACUUAACAACAAGAAUCAAGAAAAGACAUCACACAAUCGUCCUUUGAUUUGAAAUCUUGAAUCUUGGAAUGAAUCCUCUCGUUCUUACCUUCUUCUUGCUCUUCAAAUCCUCCCAAAAGUAAUGUAUAAUAGGUGAUAUCUAUUUUUGGAUGUCCCUAGGGCUUUAAAAGACUCCCAAGAUUUGUUUCCAAAAGAGUUUCAAUCAGAAAAGGAAACAAGAAAAUUUUCGCCGCGAUUGGCCUGGGCUGUCGCUUAGGCCAACAUUUUCUUCUCGGUAAUAAGAAAAACAUAUGGAGUGAUUGCCCCAUUUUUAUAACUGGGCUAUCGCCCGGGCAAAAUUUCUUCCAUAAAUUGCAUUUUAGCCCUCGAAGUCGAUUUUUUAUUAUUUCAAGCCAUUUUUCUUGUAAUUUCAAUUCUUUGACUUUCAUUUGCAUCAAAUUGAAUCCACAACAUCUUUUAUCUUCAUUUUGUGAUCCGAAUCAACUAUUGAAAUGUUGCAAUUUAGUCCUCAUACUUUAAAUUUUCUUCCUUUUUGGCUCCUUUUCGUUUCUUUUCUCUUGAAUUCCACCACAUUCAUCAAUAUAGUCAUACAAAACAUAAUUACAUAGAACUAAGUCAUAAUUAAAAUUUUUUGAUCAUAAUUAAGUCAUGUUUGUGAACUAAAUAAGUGUGUAAAAACACACUUAUCUCUUUUCCUUCAUCAUUUGACCCACAUUCACUUCUCAAGCUUUGGGCCUUUUCAGAUGCAGACUAGGGAGCUUGUCUUGAUGCAAGAAAAUUAGCUACUAGUUUUUUGCAUUUUCCUUGGAGACCCUUUAAUAUAUUGGAAAGCUAAGCGACAGUCCACUGUUUCUUGAUCUUCAACUGAAUCAGAAUAUAGGGCUCUAGCUACCACCAUUAGUGAAGUCAUCUGGAUUAGCCAAUUGCUCAAGGAUUUUCAGACGCUAUCUCCCCAGGUGCCUUAUUUUGUGAUAACCAAACUGCCAUUCAAAUAGCCACAAAUCCAGUUUUUCAUGAACGAACGAAACACAUCGAAAUCGAUUACCACUUCAUUCAGGAUAAAGUUGCAGCUACAAUUAUUAAGCUCCUUCCAAUCUGAUCUCAACAUCAACUAGCUGACGCAUUUACUAAGCCACUUUCUGCAUCUGUCCUUCUCCCUUUAACGUCCAAGAUGUCUGUAAAGAAUAUUUAUCAUACAUCUUGAGGGGGAGUAUUAGAAUUAAUUGUAGCUAUUGUAUGUAAUUGCACUCAGCUUAGUUUCUUUUCACUUCGUUAGUUGGCCAGCUGUGUUUUCUUUCUUUCAUUUUUGGCACCAAGCUCCAAUGUUAUUUAUGUAUCUCUGUACAUUCAUUUUCAAUUGAUUGAACGAUCAAUAGAGUUUCAAUUAAUUUUCUCUCUAUAAAUCUAAUAUAUUUUCUACAUUGAAUCAUAAAUUUCACUAAAGAAAUUGUCUUCUAUAUCCACCAUCUACAGUCAAGCCAAGGAUGACGGUAUGUACACACACACACAUAGUUGACAUGCAAGAAAUGGAAAUCUAAAAAAGCCCAAGGACCUUCUUAUAUGUAUAUUUGCUCUCUCAAUAUUGUUCCUUAUCAGAAAAAGGUAGUCAUUGAGAUCCCUCCAAAUGGCCAAAACUCUAUUGGUCAAGGAGGCAUCAUUUAGAAUAAAGGCCAAGAAGAUCACGAUGAGCAUCUCGGGUAAGUUAAAUCUUUAUAUGACUAAUAUAAACCGUUUCUUUGGUAUUGUGUACUGUACAUCAGUAUGUCUAGGAUACGAAACAAGAUUUUAGUUCUUUAUUUUCCUUUCUUCAAUACUUUCUAGAAUAAUGCUAUCUAUUUAUGACUACUAGUGAAUGUGAUGCAUUUUCACUCACAAAUUGGAUUGUAUGGCAAACAAUUUCACUGAUAUUAGGAUCUAUUAAGACUUAAAGUUGCAUAUUAAAAGGUCAAACUUGGUAAGAGAGGUAACCCAAGUCUUUAUAUGUUGGUCUAUAUGUCAUCAAUUUUUGAUGUGUAAUUUAUUCCUUAACAUAUAUCCGCACGAAGGUGGUUUGUUUGAGCAAACCAAUCUGAAAAUUCAUGUACUCUUUUAUGGGUCUUUAUCAAAUCAAAUUGCUCCUUGGGGUUUAAUAACCUUUGAUAUCAUAUUAGAAUUUAGGGUUCUAUCUUAAAAUGUCGACUUUGGUUAGAAGAGUGGCUCAAGUUUUUAAAUGUUGGCCUAUAUUUCUACAAUUAUUCGAUGUGGAUAAGGAUCUUGAAGCUGCAAAAAACAUUUUAUAUUUAUCAUUCUUCUCAUCUUCGAUGGACAUUGGAUUUACCAUUAAAAUCUUCCCUACUCUCAUGAACGUUAUUUGUAGAAGUUGAGUCGGUGGCAAUGGAGGGAAGCGGGAACAUUCUAACAGUGAUUGGUAAAGAAAUCGACUCGGUGAGUCUUGUCCAAUGCCUAUGGAAGAAGGUGUGUUUUGCUAAGGUAGUGAGCGUACCAAACUGAGAGGUGUUAGGUAAUUUGUUGUCAAACGACCCCCCGGGCUAUAAUGUAACCCCAUAUUUAUUUAUUAUAAAUUGGCUUUGGCUAUAUGAUUGAUUUAUAUGUCGACACUUUUAUCGAAACAACCCAACCCACAUCUCUGUGGACCGUUAGAAGCAACCUAUUUUUAAUAGUGUUGCUCAUGGUUCGUCCCACUUCCUUGGAGGGCUAUGGUUUUAAUUUGGAGCCCAUUACUUUGAUUUGAGCCUUGUUUGGUCCACUAAAUAAACCUAACCUAACUUACUAUUUUGGUCACUCAUUUGGCUUAUAUUCUCGGCUUCUCUUCACCUCCACUAUGAAGAAAUCUCUAUCUCUCUCUGUGACUUUGAUUCUCGGUUUUUUCUCUUCAUAUAACCUUUAUGGUUUCUUGUGGCAACCUAUUGUUCUUCAUCUUGGCCAACUCUUUGUGAGUAUAUUGUAACAACCAGAGGUGGGAACAAAGGCGGUGGUUUUGGGUGUUGUCUCAACCGGCGGUGUUGUCGAUAUAUGGUGGAAACUGAGCCCAGUUUACCUUGGUAAUUGCUGGAAUUUGACCCUACAACUGGUAUUAGAACAGCCGGUCAUCUCGUCCGGCCAAAAAUCCACCAAAAUGGCGGCGGGUCUCACGAUUUCUCAAAGGGACCGAAUCUGCAAUUGUCAAUUCUGACCAAACGUGACCUCUAUUGGACGAACGGAGGCCGGACCCAUAACCAGCAGGUGGAGGCACCUCCGGUGGUGAGGCGCGUGGGACAGCGACCGGCGGCGGGCGAGGGCGCGUGGAGGACUUCAUGCGUAGUUUUUUUGUGCCAUUUCACUCAUUUUGAUUUCUAGAACGUAUUAAUGUGUUUAGUUUAGUGUUUCAGGUUAUGCAGAAAAGAUUGGAUGAUUUUACCCCUACCUUCAAUCUGCAUUUGUUGCUUAUCAGAAUUGCUAUAUUUGCUUAAUCUUUAAGGCGAAUAGUGGUGGCCCUAAAGCAGCAAAUUCGCAUCUCUCCAUGUUACGGACUCAGACAGGUUUGCUCUGGUAAAUUGAUUGAAACCUUUAUAUUUCUGCAUUAGCAGAUCAUCAUGUGAGGUGAUCAUUAGGUUUGGGAGUUGCCAAUGCUUGGCAGCCAUUGUUUGUGCAAGAAUUAGGGUUACGUGAUCUUAAUUAUUUUGAUUGAGUAUUUAUUUUUGGGUUAAAAUUAGUUUGUAAUUCUUAGUGAUCGAAUUACUGUGAAACUAGUUAUCUACUAAACGUAUCAUUUUGCAUUGUUACUUCUGCUGCUUACUUAUUUCGUUGGAAAUAUCGUGACCUUACCCGUUCGAACAUUCCUUUGAUCUAAGACCACGAGACUUACAAAACUCUGGGAAUCUAGAAUGGUGUAUACUGUCUGUGACCCUAUGACUAGUUUGUGUAGUUUGAUUGUGGUUUGUACAUUCUUUGACUGUUGUGUAAAGAUGAUGACUCACAACUUUGAUUUGGGAGUUUUUAAUGGAAAGGGUGACUUUGCUAUUUGGCAACAAAAAAUGAAGGACAUUUUAGUCCAACAAAAAGUUUCAAAGCCAUUGAAGGCAAUUUUUCAACUGAUUUUUCAUAAGAACAAAGAGAAGAAGCCGAUGAGCUUGCUUAUACCUCAAUCAUUUUACACUUGUCUGACGUCAUUUUAAGAAAUGUGGGUAAACUAAAAACCAUUAAAGAACUUUGGAAAAAAUUAGAAAACUUAUAUUGCUCAAGUCUGCAUCGAAUAAACUUUACUUGCUCGAACGUUUUUUUAGUUAUAAAAUGGAUCCUUCAAAAGAUCUUGAUGACAAUUUAGAUGUAUUUAACAAAUUGGUGCAAGAUAUAGUUAAUUGUGAUGAUACUAUGUUCAAAACUUAUAAGGCUAUAAUUUUGCUCAAUGCAAUUCCUGAUUCCUAUAAGGAAGUUAAGAACGCCAUUAAGUAUGGUAGAGACACGUUGACACCUAAAAUUGUCAUAGAUUCCCUUAGAAGUAAAGAAAUGGAAAUUAGGGCUGAAAAAUACGAUAAGAGGAACGGUAAGGUACAUAUGAUGCGGGGUAGAACUCAAUUUAGGCAAAAUAGUCAUGAUGGAUAUCAAACUAGUGGCGACUCAAGUGGUAAUGGAUGGAAAAAGAAGAGCAACUGUAGGUCUAGAUCAAAAUCUAGGACUAAGGUGAGAAAAUGCUAUGGUUGUGGAAACACAAGGCAUUUUAUAAAGGAUUUCCAUAAGGAGAAGGGUAAGCUAAAAGUUAAGGAGAGAGAUGAGGUCAAUGUGUUAGCAUCUACUUCCAACAUAAAUGGUGGUGAGGUCUAUAUGAUUACAAGUCCCGUUGCAUAUACUGCUGAAUUAAAUCUAACUACUAAUUCCCACAUGCAUGAGUGGAUACUUGACUCUGGUGCAUCUUUUCAUGUGACGUCUAAAAAGAAUUGGUUUUAUAAGUUGCAUAAAUCUAAUGUUGGGUAUGUUAUGUUGUGUGAUAACUUCGCCUAUACUAUUGCUGGAAUUGGUGACAUAAAUGUAAAAUUUGACACAGGUUUUGUGUAUACGUUAAAGAAUGUUAGAUAUAUUCCUGAGUUGUCUAGGAAUCUGAUUUCAGUAGAGAGACUUGAAAAGGAUGACUUUACUUGUAAAAUUGAAAAUUGUAUGCUAAAAAUGAUCAAGGGUACUUUAAUUUCCAUUAAGGAAAUUAAGAAAAAUGAUAUAUAUAUAUUACUACUGGGGAAGUGAUUAGAGGUGUGAACCCCUCUAUCUCCUCUGCCAAGAUUGAUCACACACACACAUGGUAUAAUAGACUUGCUCACGUAGGGGUCAAGAGACUUAAGCUACUUAACGAAAAAGGUGCUUUUGGUAAUGACUAUGUGUCAAAUUUUUCAUUUUGUGAUCAUUGUGUGCUUGGUAAGCAUCAUAAAACUUCUUUCUCCACGAGUGUUAAUAGAGCUAAAAGCAUGCUCGAAUAAGUGCACUCUGAUCUGUAGGGUCCUGCUAGUAAUCCCACAUCGGGUGGAAAUAGGUAUUUCUUGUCUAUUAUCGAUGACUACACUAGGAAAGUGUGGGUCUAUCCUUUGAAUGAUAAAUCUGAGACCUUUAAUAGUUUUAACAGUUGGAAGAGAUAAGUGGAAAACCAAACUGGCAAGAGAAUCAAAAUUUUAAGGACAGAUAACGGCCUAGAAUUCUACAAUAAGGAAUUUGAUAGUAUGUCUAAAGAAAGAGACAUAACUAGACAUAAGACCGUUCCUUACACUCCUCAGCAAAAUGGGGUAGCAGAAAGGAUGAAUAGGACUAUACUUGAUAAAGUAUGUUGCAUGAUGAUAAGUUCUGGUGUUCCCAAGUCAUUUUGGGGUGAGGCUGUUAUUACUGCUUGUUAUUUGAUUAACCUGACUCCUUCUACUGCAUUGAAUGGUGACAUUUCGUAUGAGAGAUGGUCGGGUAAACUGAGUGAUUACUCGAUGCUUAGAACUUUUAGCUGUACAACUUUUUCCAUCAAAGUGAGGGUAAGCUGGAACCUAGAGCUAGGAAGUGUGUCUUUCUAGGAUACCCCAAGGGUGUUAAAGGUUAUAGGUUAUGUGAUAGAAGCCAAAAAGGAAUUAAGAUUAUCAUAAGUAGGGAUGUCACGUUUAACGAGAAUGAGAUGCCGUGUUUUAAAGGGAAAACUGAACUUGAGAGUAAAAUUGAACCAGGUGAAGAGAGAGGCCUGUUUAAGAUGGAGUUAGGAAAGCUCAGUACACCUAUCCCUACUGCUCCUAAUGAGAUGGAGAUUCAAGGUCAGGAACCUGAGGUGGAGAAUAGUAACGAAGUAAUGAUAGAAGAGCACUAUGAGGAAGAAAAUCAUUUAGCUAACUACAACUUAGUUAGGGAUAGAGAGAGGAGACAAACGAGAAAACCUAGAAGGUUCGGAUUUGAAUCUGAAUUAGCUUUCGCCCAGGCUAGUUAUGAAGAACUAGCUGAUAAAGAGCCAAAGACUUUUGAAGAGACAAUAGGCAGUGAUCAAUCAAUGAAUGGCUUAAGGAAAUGAAAGAAGAGAUGAGUUCUCUAGAAAAGAAUCAUACUUGGGAGCUAGUACCUAGGCCUAAGAACAAAUUGAUUGUUGAUUGCAAAUGGGUUUUUAAGGUUAAGGAAGGUACUAGUAACUCGGAACCCCUAAGGUUUAAAGCAAGGUUAGUAGCUAAAGGCUACAUAUAGAAGGAGGGCGUUGAUUAUAAUGAAAUUUUCUCACCAGUUGUUAAGUAUACCACUAUUAGGGUCAUGCUCGCAUUAGUUGCACACUUUGACUGGGAACUUGAACAACUUGAUGUAAAAACUGCUUUUUUACAUGGUGAGCUUGAUGAACAAAUCUUCAUGAAUCAACCAAAAUGUUUUAAGGAUAAGUCAAAACAUGAUUAUGUGUGUCUUCUGAGAAGAUCCUAGAAUGGGUUAAAGCAAUCUCUUUGACAGUGGUACAAGAGGUUUGAUUCCUUUGUACUCACUAUAGGGUUCCAAAAAAGUAAAUUUGAUCACUGUUUGUAUUUUCAACACAAUGAGACUGAUGAUAAUUAUCUAUUUUUGUGCUCUAUGUGGACGACGUGCUUUUGAUUGGAUCAUUUUCUAAGUGGAUAAAUUACAUAAAAGCAAAACUAAGUGGUGAAUUUGAUAUGAAAGACCUAGGUAAGGCUAAGAGAAUCUUAGGUAUGAAAAUCGAAAGAGAUAGGUCAAAUUCCUUUUUGUUUUUGCAUCAAUCUCCAUACAUAUCAAAGUAUUGAAGAAAUUUAAUAUGAGUGAUUGCAAACCUGUCACGUUGCCUCUUGCUAAUCAUUUUGUUUUAUCGAAGGAACAAUCCCCUUGCAAUGAGCGUGAAGUAGAGUACAUGAAUAGAGUGCCUUACUCUAAUGUGAUUGGUUCCAUAAUGUAUUUGAUGGUUUGCACUAGACCGGAUUUAGGUUUUGCUGUUAGUACUCUAAGCAGAUACAUGGCUAAUUCGGGACCUGAACAUUGGGAAGCGCUAAAGUGGCUAUUAAAGUACUUGAAGGGUACAAAUGAUGUUGGUUUAAAGUUUAGUGCUAAUAAAGAAGGUAUAAAAUUAAAGGGUUUUAUAGAUGCAGAUUACACGGGAGAUAGGGAUGGUAGGAAAUCCACUUCGUCUUACGUGUUUACCUUAUCUAAUUCAUGUGUUAGUUGGAAAUCACGGUUACAAUAUAUUGUUGCACUAUCCACUACAAAAUCAGAAUAUAUUACUACCACUGAAGCUAUUAAAGAAGCUUAUGACUUAGAGGCCUUCUUCAUGAACUAUGUGUUUUGAAUGAUUAUGUGGUAGUGUAUUCUGAUAGUCAGUCAUCUAUACAUUUAUGCAAGAACCCCAUUUUUUACAAGCGCACUAAACACAUUGAUGUUAGACUCCACUUCAUUAGAGAUAUAGUAUCUCAAAAGAUGGUAAGACUUGAAAAGGUCCACACCCACUAUAACCCUUCUGAUAUGGGGACGAAGGUACUGUCGCUGGCAAAGUUUAGAAGUUGCAAGGAACUUUUAAACAUUGGUACAGGUAAAUGAUUUCCAAUUUUAAUGGUUUUUAUUAGAGGUGUCACUAAUGGGAGACAUUUUCUUUUGCAGGUCCUUUGACACCAAGGUGGAGGUUGUUAGGCAAUUUGUUGUCAAACGACCCCCCGGGCUAUGAUGUAACCCUGGAUUUAUUUACUAUCAAUCGGUCUUGAUCAUAUGAUUGAUUUAUAUGUCGACACUAUUAUCGAGACAACCCAACCCACAUCCCUAUGGACCGUUAAAAACAACCUAUUUUUAAUAGUGUUACUCAUGGUUUGUCCCACUUCCUUAGAGGGCUAUGAUUUUAAUUUGGAGCCCAUUACUUUGAUUUGAGCCUUGUUUGGUCCACUAAAUAAACCUAACCUAACUUACCAUUUUUGGUUACUCAUUUGGCUUAUAUUCCCGGACUCUCUUCGCCUCCACUAUGAAGAAAUCUCUAUCUUUCUCUGUGACUUUGAUUCUCGAUUUUUUCUCUUCAAAUAGCCUUUGUGGUUUCUUGUGGGCAACCUAUUGUUCUUCAUCUUGGCCAACUCUUUGUGAGUAUAUUGUAGCAACCAGAGGUAGGAACAAAGGCAGUGGUUUUAGGUGUUGUCUCAACCGGCGGUGGUGUCGAUAUAUGGUGGAAAUUGAGCCUGGUUUACCUUGGAUUGCUGGAAUUUGACCCUACAAGAGGGUUGAAACUAAGCAACUGAAACUUGAGAACACGAAUCCGGCUACCUGUGUCUGUGCCUCACCGAUGCUGUAAUCACUCGCCUCACUGGAAAAUAUUGGAAAUCAGGGAACCCACAUCCUCCUGCUUCAACUUUUGAAUGCUUCUUAUGUUAAGUUGUCAAACAAGAAAAAAUGAAUUUUUGUUGUGAAGAAAAUUAAGCAACAUUAAUUCACAAUAGAUUUUGUUGCAAAUUCUGUUUGAGAUAAUGUUACAAGUGGAACAUUGUAGAAUAAUUUCAAGAGAUCAGAAGUAUAAGUUGAGAGAAAACUUUGUUUUCAUUUCUUGGAUCGGAUAGAUAGCAUCACUCUUAUUGAAUGGAGGUUUGCAAGAGUAUAUAUUGUAAUUUUAGCUUCCAUGAAGAGCAGUAGAAAGCUCAUUUUCUAGUUGUCAGAUGUCUCCGGUGAUUGAGUGUCAUUGGACUGAAUUGAUAGAUUCAUGUUUAAACUGGACUCAUUGAGUCUUAUUUGAUUUGUGUUUAUGCAUCGAAAAGACAAAAAAUAUUUUUUUAUCUUUUUAUACAGAAUUUUUAUACACAAAUUGAUUCCAUAAUCGUAUCUCAAGAAAAUGCGAGUUGCAAGUGUCAUUAUAAUAAAAGGGCAAAAUGGUCAUUUAAUCAUGAUUAAUUAUUCGAUGUUCGAUGGGGUAAUAAAUAUUGAUGAUAAGUCAAAAGAAUAUAAAUUAACUCCCUGCAUAUAGGGCUAGUUUCGGAUUGGCUUGAUUGGACGUAACUAUUGUAGUUUCAAUUAUAUUAGUCCGAUCAGGCCCUUUUGAUAGCUUUAGUAAAAGUUUUGAGCUUAAUUACAUUAAUAAUUCAAGUUCUUAGACCAUGUGUAAAAAGUCCAAAAUAGAACUUGCAGUUUAGUGAAAUUGGGGAACAGGUUGUGAUACAUGUACAGGUACGGGUUGACCUGUACUGAACACUCACAUACACUGGGUGGGUGAGUUUUUUUCUUCUUCUCUCUUUUUUUUUCUUUUUCAAUGCAAGUGGGGCCCAUUGUGUUGGUAGGGGUUCUGUUCCUGUACACCCAACACUUUCCUUGGGGACCAAGGUCCAAGCCUUAUUAGUAGGCCUAAGUGGAUGCCCUUGGCAUAAUUGAAUGCCCUAGUCGUCCAAUACACAUAAAGAGAUCAUUUUUCUAUUGUUUGAUUCCUCAACUUGAUUCUUGAUUGGCUUUCAAGUUCCACUCAUUAAUUGCAGUUCAUACUUUUGAAGAAUACUAAAGAAGAUAUGAGGUUGAAAGCUUGAAGAUUGAAUAUCAAUAUUAAAGAACAGAAUUGGAGCAUCUUCUAAGGAAUUCAGAACUAGUCACACACUCACACUUCAAGGGUGAUUCCAAAGUCCUUUAUAUGAUUAAUUCAACAUGUUAUAACCGAGUUUAAUUAUUUAGUUAAUAUUCUUGGGUUAAAACUUCUUAAGAAAAGAAAUUAUUAUCCAACAUUGCUGGACAGAGACUAAAUUGGUUCUUUCAUUUAGAAGGGGCUAAUCUCAUUUUUCACACGCAUUGUGCUCGUUUUCCUUUCUUUAGACAUUUUUUAUGUGUUCUAAAGAAUUCUGAGUGAUUUCUUCAAUCACUGUACUGAAUUUGUUCUUGAUUUUCAUUCUAAUAUGAAAGCCAUAUCUACUUUGGUAGAUUCUCAACGGACAAAUAAUGUAGCGCACAUGAACAUUUGGAUCCAUUAGUGAACAAAAAUUCUUGUGUUUAAAUUUCUUUAAUUUUUUACACAUUUAUUUCAAUCUUUUAUGGUUAAAACAUAUAUUUAGGACUAACAAGUGGCAUCAGAGUCAGAACUUAAUUUUGAUAUGGUUUCUGGCUUUAAAAUGGAAACCUAGUUUGUUCUUUUUGAAAAUUCUUUGUACUAUACUAGCUCUUGAUCUAGAAUUUUUUGUGGAAACCAACUUAUUUCCAAAUCUUUGUGACUUGAUGUAUCUUCGAUUCAACAUUCGAUGGCUCGUUUGCAUUCCCUGUUGGGGUGUGAUGACUUUACACAGUUUCUGGCGAUUCUCGGUGACUCCUUAUUCUUCUCAACUCAUUCAAUCUGUUACUGAUUCUUGGUGUUUCAGUUGGCAUUCUGGGAUAAAUUUUAGUAGAGCAGAGUUUAAAUAUAGAAAUUAAUUUGUUUUGUAUUGAAGACACAAACUGAACAUUAGACAAUUUAGAAGUUCUAAUGACAUAGGAAAGGAUGUUAUAACUAUUAGGUAGAGAAGAAAGUGGUGGAUUGUGCUAGCUAGCCAUGAAUAUGAUGUAUAUAAAGAGCUUUGUGGUAAACAUUGGCAAAGAUUGUACCAGAGGUUGGUUUGGCUUUGAAGUGUUGGAGAUUAGCCUCAAAGCUUAUUUGUUUCUUAUGGAGCUUCUCAAAGGUAAUGGGAUAUCGCGUGCACCAACAACAGAUGAGAUGUCCUUAUUGUUAGAAUUUUGAGGUGACCCAAAUUCUUUUGUCAAAAUAAUUGUAGAAUUCUAUUUGAAGUGCACAUAAAAAGGAAUUAUAGUUGGAAUGCUUUGAGAAAUCCUAUUUAAGUUUAAUUGUCAAAUUCUAUUUAAAGUUCUAUUUUGAAGCCCAUUGAGAGUUGAAACUUGAGUUGGACUUGAAGAGUUCAAAUAAUGAAACUUUUAGGCAUUUUAUUUUAUCUAUAACUCUACUUCUAGAUAAUGAUUUUUUUCUAUAAAUACGAGGCUCCUCUGUCAGUGUUGGAAGAAGCAAUUUUGCUAAGUUGUAUUUGUUUUCUCCAUAUUGUUCAGUAAUAAAUAUCGUUACUCUGCAUUUUACCCUUUUGGUUUUUCUUUACUUUAAAUCUUGUUUUCGUAGUGUAAUUUUGUUUACUUCAAUAUUAUCAUUAAAUCUCAUUCUUUACAAUCCGGUUUGGGAUCAACAAACGGUAUCGGAGCUUUCGUGCCCAACACUUAUGGUCACUGCGUAGGCCAUCAAGAAUUUUUAGAGUCAGGUCUUCAUAGUGAAUGGGAAAGUCCUUAAUAGAAAGUUCAACAAUCAUGCUUUUCUAAGAUUGUAGAAACUCGAUAAUGGUUAAAGAUCCUAUAGUAAGGUUGGGAAGUCGACUUUUUCAUUGCAUAAUGCAUCCUCCUGAGGGUUCGUCAUUUAUUUCAAAAAUAUUGUUCCCCACAUUAUGAGAUCUUUGGUAAGAAGUGAUGUAUGGAAUAAUAGUGGAAGAACGGAUCCAACAAUUGCAUUUAAUAGUAGUUGUUUUUGUCCAAUACCAUAAGCAAAUGAUUGAUUUAGUAAAGUAUUGGCAUUUUCUAUAAUAUGUAGCUCAUAGAGUGAAACACAUGUAUGCUAGAAAGCAGGCCGAUGCCAACAUGGAGCAAGGGGAGCACACCUAACGGAAUGGUACAAGGAUAUUUUUGGAUUUUUACAAUAUCUUGUACGAGCUAGGUUAGUAUAUAUGUUGUGACUCAAUUAUUUCCACAUUGUGAAAAUUAUAGUUGCCUCACUCUCGUAGAUAUAGGCUACUGUCAAACCAUGUAAAUCUCUCUCUCUCUUUCUCUUGAAUUUGUACUAUUCAUCAUAUCAUUAUUGUCGCACAUAACACAACACCAUUGAUAUAAGCUGGUUGUAAACCCAUGAGAUCAUACGUUAUGAGAAGGGUAUUAAAUUGUAAUUUCUAUAAGGACUAAUAUCCUACGUGCAAGAUACUCUAGCGUCCAAAGCUUCAGCCUUCUUCCUCCUGCUCAAGUGAGCUUUUCUUUUGUUUAAAUGAUCAAUGACUACACUUCUACAAUGUCAUCUAGUCAUCUUGUCCUACUCUCUCGCCUUCUCAUUGAUCCUGAUCAUGACCUAACUGCUUCCACCUCCACCUCACACGCUCAGUUCUCGCCCUAUGAAAACCCUUGACGAAGAUCAUAUUUCAAAACCAAUUCCAAAACUAAAUCUCAGCCCUUGAUCUUGAUUCCAUUAUUCUCACUCUUAGCCACAAGCCUUAAACGUCCACUUUGGUUCUAAUCCAUGUGUGAGGAUUUUGAUGGCCUAUUACGUGAUGCAUUUAAAAGCUAGCCUCUCCGCUUCAAUUCCAAAUUAUUUUCAUUUUUAAAUGGGCUUUUUGUGUUGAACGGAAACCUAAUGUUUACAUUUAUCGUGCCCGACGAAUGGUUUUCAUCAACGCUCACAGUAGACUAAAAUGAGAAUUUUAGCCUAGUUGUCAAUCCUACCACCAUCCGUCUCAUCCUUAAUCUUGCAUUGGUACGGUAUUGGUCUCUACGUUGUUCGAUGCCAGUAAAGCGUUUCCUCGGGAUUCACUAAUGAAAACUAUUUACGCGUCUCAUAUUCAAGAAUUUGACAAUAUAGAAACUUCCAUUAUGAUUGUCCAUUUCAUGAAGGUAUCUGUAAUCUCAAACAAGCUUGUCGAGCGUAGUACAAUGAAUUACGAAACUUCUUGCUUGCCCGUGGGUUUACCAAUUCCAAAUCUAACUAUAUUCAAUUGCAACUCCAACCAGUGUCGAAUCUUAGUUUUGGUUUAUGCUAAUGACAAGGGCUGGCCCCGAAAAUUUAGAGGCCCUAGCCGUCUAAUUAUUAUGGGCCCCUCAACACAAAAUUUACUUUUACAAAAGUAUAACAAUAUGUAAAUAUUUAAAUAAUUAAAAAAGUCGGACCUUAUAUCAGCUUCAAUAUCUUCCAUUACAGCCAUCUUUAUAAUUUAUAUGCCAACUUUUAUUUUCUGCCAUCCACCCAAAACACCUUUUUAAAAAUUCUAGGUUGUCAAGUUUUUGCCCUGAGCAAAAAGAAAGAACAAACAAACAAAAAAUUGGGAAAUAUAUAUUUUACACAAAAAUAAGUAUAUGUUUGCAAACUCUCUAUGUGUGAAAGCGAGCUGAAUUACUCUUUUUUUUCCCUCCAAUUUACCCAAAUGAGAUGCGAAUCAUUUCAGCGGAGAAGUCUUGAAAUUCUUGCAAUUUUAAUUCAGAUGUUUCCAAGGUGUGAUUGGGGAGGGGAGGCUCUCCAGGGUUAGAGUAAAAAAAGGGAGUCAGAAUGGGAGAGAGAGGUGGGCGGCUAAAAGUUUCACAAAACAUGGAUAGGUUACACAAGCAUAAGAAGAAGACGAAAAGGCCGAACUUGUUGUUGUGUAAUCGGAGUUCUCCAGAAUUUUUGCAACUUUGCUGGUACACUGGUAGUUUUUAGGGAUUUUCGAAUUGGGAUUGUUCUCUACUUCUCUUAAAAUUUAUCGCGUACACGUUCUUGAUAAAAAGGAUGGAGAUUUUUUUGGUGAAAAUGAUUGGAAUGGAAUGGAGAAGAAUCAUUGUCACGAGAGACUCUAGUUUUAAUAUCUUUGUUACUCAUUUGGCACUAUUUUCUCUAGAGAUGUCAAAAAUUCUAAUCGAACACAAUCCCCAUAGGGACAUAUCCCAAAUAGGACAAGAGUUUCUGGCUUUAAUCGAGUUUGCAUCCGUUUAUAUUUUAACAAUAUUAAUAAAAAUUUGCCCAAUUUCUAUUAUAAUUUUUUUUUUAAAAAUGAAUAAAUAAAUUUACGUAUCAUGCAAUCCAAUCUAACAUCACAUUCCAUUCGAGAGAAAAUGAAAAAAUAGAAAAUUGAUUUAAAAAAAAAAAAAGCAAAAUAAAAUAUAAUGGCCCUGUAAAGUGGAUCCCGCUCUAUUGUCAUCCCUAGAUUUGGAUACUUGUUUCUUGGGGAUAUAAGUUAUUUUUCUCUCCUUUUUCUCUCACGACAUUUGUUUGUGUCUCAGUAAUCUUCUACGCAACAUAAUUUGCAUGAGUACAAGUCAGUGUCUAUUUCUAUGUACAUGACAACUACCUUCAGCUUGAUAGAUGUCACAACUCUUCUUGAAAACUACCUUCAGCUUCUAAAUAUAGGCAAAGUUCUUGGCAACUUGCAAUAUUCUUUACUCACUCGCCAGGGCAUUGUUAUUUAGUUAACCAUCUGUAUCAAUAUAUCACUAAUCCAUUUCUAACCCCUGGAUGGCUGUUAAACUUAUGUUUCUUGACUUUUUUGGCACUUUGGGCUCUUUCUUCGUCGCCAUUCUCCUAUCGUGUCGUAUGCCUUCUCUAAAUCUGAUUGAGAAGAAAAUGGUAAUGAUCCCACAUCCAUCCUUGCCAAUCUAGUGAUUCUUGAACGGAACCUAAUUGUUUCUCUUUUUUUUUUUUUUUUUAUUGAAAUCGACUAUCAUAUGGCUUAAAUAUUUAGUAAUUGAAUUCAGCGAACCAAUUUCCACCAAUCGAGUAAUCUAAUUUCAUACUAUUAGCACCACAUGCUUAAUGACCUAACACUAUUUCUCACCUGUAAUGGAAUACAUUAAGAUUCAUGUGCACUUUGUUCAUGACAAGAUUUAGACCAGUGAACUCUGGAUUUCUUGUGUUGUCUUGUCCAAUCAAUUUGUUAAUGUUCAAACUAAACAUUAAUCAUAUGCGUUCGCAUCUACUCCUAUCUGAUAUAUGUGUCACUAAUAAGACCGCUUUCUUGUGCGGGGCAUAUUAUAGAUAUUAAAGUAAUUAGAGAUAGCAUAGUACGAUAAUUAGAGCUUCAUCUUGUGAAAUAAUAUUAAAGUAGUUAUAGAUAGUGUUACACAAUAGUUAGAACUUGUCAUUACUGAACGUGCAUCAUAUAUUUCUGUUACAGAAUGUAUACAUAUAUAUAGCACAUACAAGGAGAUAUUUUAGACUAUGCACUAAUUUAGGCUAUGAUUGAGAUUGACCCUCAUUAUAUGUGGAGUCAGAUGACAAACUAUACUUCCCUAUAAUUAUUGAAUAAUGUUAUUUAAUAUUAGUAGAAUUAGAGUGCUAGUCUAAGUUGACAUACUUGAUAAGUUCAAUUAAAUUAAUCGUGUGGUAUUGCAUUUAAAUGAAUUUAUUGCUUAGUGUCACGAAAUUAGGGUGGCAACAGUUCGGUUCAGGGUCGGUUCGGCCAAAACCAUCACCGAAUCACCAAAUUUUUUUGUCAUACCAUAACCACGUAAGUUGGUUCGGAUCGGCUCAGUUAGGACGAUUAAUAACUACAAAAAUAAAUUAUUUUUUAUAAGUUCAGCUAUCAAAUUGGGAAAAAAAAUUAUGAUAAAAAAAGUCAAUGAAAACAAAAACACAAUACCAAGUCAAUUUAACAAACAAUAUCCCAAUUUCCAAAGGCAAAACACAAUACCAAGUCAAUUUAACAAACAAUAUCCCAAUUUCCAAAGGCAAAAUCCGAAUUUAACAAACAAUAUCCAUAAAUGUUUAAUAUUUGUGUAGUAGAGCGUAGGGUUAUCGGGUUCAGUUAGUUGGACUUAACGGGUUUGUAAUGGGCCAAAAAUUUGAACUGAACAGAAUCAUAGAAAGACUAAUGGAAAGCCUAAUUGCCCAAUUAGUUUUUUUUUAACGGGUAAUCGGUUCGGAGUUGGACGACGGUGUAAAUAUCAUACUCGUCCCGCUCCAAAUCGGGGCAUUAAAAUCAAAUACCAUAUCCACUCCAUUGCGCCAUUGGUUUGGUUAAUCGCGAUUUUCGAUUUUGAUAGUUCGAAUUGCCAUCCUUACAUGAAAUUGCAUCUAAACUAAAGUUUAACACUAAUGGUGCUAAAGUGCAUUACUCAUAGUUAUUAUAUGAGUAAUGCCAUUUACCACUAUUAGUUAAGCACCGUUUAGGUGGCAUGCAAUAAUCAUUAAUUGAAAGAUCGCCUUAAAAGUAGAAAAAUGAGUCACAUUUAAAAUGUUCUAUCACUUGCAUGCCAUCUAAGUUGGUGCUAUGUAACAUUAUUCUUAUUACUUUUCUUGAUUGACAACUUGCACCAAUAGUCAUCUUGCAACUUAUUGAUAUACUAAAAUCAAUGUGAGAUAGAGUUUAUGUAUUUGAGUUGGAGUCGAUCAAGUUUUUAUAGAACCUAAAUAAUCUUCAAAUGAAUCAUAGUUACUCAAGUUGUUUCUUACCGCUCUAAGCAUCAAUCCAAACACAUUCUUAUGUCAAUCAAUAUGUCAAUUUUUACAUGAAUCAAUUCAUCCUUUGUUGUUAGAGUUACUUUAGUUAGCUACUUUAGCAGAGAUAUCAAGUUAUACAAAAGCUCAUUAGAAACAUCAAAGUUAGAUAUAAACUGUAAGGCUUAAUUAUAGUUUUGUGUACUGUUACAGAAACAUUCAAAGUUUUUCGAGUAAUAUAGAUCAUUUCACUAAUCCUUUUUAUUUUUAUUUUUUUUAUAUACCAUUGUAUGAUUAAAUAAAAUUAGUAUAAAACAUCAAUACUUCAUCUACAAUGUACAUAGUUUAGCAACAAUGUUAAUAGCAUUGAGUUUAUAUUUCAUCAUAAUUCUCUAGACCAAUUAGAAAUAUUAGGAAGUCUCUAGUAUUUGAUCUUGUCUUCCCAUUUCUUUUAAUCGAUACAUAUAAUUAAUCAAGCAACCAAAAUAAAAUUUUUAACACCAUAAUACCAAUAUAAAAGUUACAAAUCUAGAAUAAAUCACUAUUACUCAUAGGAGUUACUUUGUAGAGCCCAUAUAGAAAACCUUGAAGGCAUGUCGAUUAAUACAUGUACUAUGCUGUUUCAAUUAUAAGUUAAUGUAACUCAUUUUCUUUCUUACACCAUAUAAAUACUUUAUCAACUAGGCCAACACUCAUCAUAAUUUAGCAAAUAAGACUUAGAAAAUGCACCGUUUUUUAUCCAUAACUCUUCGACUUUAAUCUAUCAUGAUAUCGUCAUGCCAUUACAGAAGCAAAGAGAAUCUGGCAUAUAUAAUUAUUAAUAGGGUAAGGAUGCUUUAGCAGAUUUCGUCUAAUCUGCAAUUUAGGAAAAAUUGCAUCAUACAACCAUUUGUUAAGGGGAUGCCCAUGGCAUAAGUGAAUGCCCUAGUCGUCCAAUACACAUAAAGAGAUCGCUUUUUAUUGUUUGAUUCCUCAACUUGAUUCUUGAUUUGGCUUUCAGGUUUCCACUCAUUAAUUGCUGUUCAUACUUCUGGAGAAUACCAAAGAAGAUAGGGGUUGAAAGCUUGAAGAUUGAAUAUCAAUAUUUGAAGAAAAGAAUUGGAGCAGCUUCUAAAGAAUUCAGAUCUAAUCACACUUCAAGUGUGACUCCACAAUCCUUUAUAUGAUUAAUUCAACAUGUUAUAAUACGAAUUUAACUAUAUAUUAUUGGGUCAAAACUUAUUAAGAACAAAAUUUAUUGCCUAUGUUUUUACUUAUUGUCUAACAUUAUUCUUAUCUUUACUUUGGCUUUGUGAACAUACAUUUUCAGUUCAGUGGUUAUGAGUUAACUUUGUAUCUAAUAACGCUAAAAGAUAAGGUUCUUUAAUACAUUAACAUUGUUCAUGUACCAUAAAAAGCCUCCUUGUGCAUAAAGAAAUAUACAACUCUAUUAUGGGUCUUUCCUAUAUUUUAUGUACUUUAUAUAAUAAGUACUUAGAGUGGGAGAAGAAGAUUGAGUUGAUAUUCGAUUGUCACAAUUACUCGGGAGAGAAAAAGGUGAAAAUUGCGGUUCUUGAGUUUUUCGACUAUGCAAUAACUUGGUGGGAUCAAGUAGUGACGACGAGGUGGAGGAUUGGGGCACAACCUAUAAAUACUUGGGAGGAGUUGAAGAUGUUAAUGCGAAAAUAGUUUGUACCUAAUCACUAUUACCGGAAGCUUCAUCAACGGUUACAAAAUCUAUAUCAAGACACUAGGAACGUAGAGGAUUACCAUAAGAAGAUGGAGAUGCUUAUGAUUAGGGCGAACGUGGAAGAGGAUAGGGAAGCCACUAUGGCUUGAUUUUUGAGGGGGGGAAUAAAGACAUUGCCAAUGUAGUGGAAUUGCAACAUUAGGUGGAGAUUGAAGCAUGCUACAUGUGGCCAUGAAGGUGGAAAAGCAAUUGAAGUGAAAGGGAACAGCAAGGUAUUAAGGUGGAUCUUCGAUUUCUAAUCCUUCUUGGAAGCCGAGGUAGGAAAAUAAUAAAGGAGAUGGAGCUAAUACAAGAGCAAGACCGGAGCCACUGAGAGGAAAGGAGGAAGGAGCUAGCAAGACUACACCAAAGGUAGAAUCCCAGCCGUCAAGGAAUCGAGACAUCAAGUGUUUUCGUUGCUUAGGAGUUGGACACAUUGCUUCACAAUGUCCAAAUAAAAGAACCAUGAUUUUGCAAGACAGCGGGGAAGUGGAGACCGAGAGUGAAGGUGAUUAUGAAGACAUGCCGGAGUUGGAGGACACUGAGGAGGAAAACACCACUGAGUAUGCAGUUGGGGAGUUGUUGGUCACGAGGCGAGCACUUAGUGCUCAAAUCAAGGUAGUUGACUUGGAGCAGCAGUGAGAAAAUAUAUUCCACACACGGUGUCACAUCAACCGGAAGGUAUGCAGUGUAAUAAUUGAUGGUGGAAGUUGUACAAAUGUAGCUAGCACUAAUGUAGUGGGAAAAUUGGGAUUAACACUAUUAAAAUAUCCUAGAUCCUAUAGGGUGCAAUGGUUAAAUGAAUGUGGGUAGGUUGAUGUGACAAAAAAGGUGUUGAUUAAUUUUUCCAUUGGGAAGUAUUAUGAUGAGAUAUUAUGUGAUGUUGUACCUAAGCACGCGGGACAUAUUUUGUUGGGGCAACAUUGGCAAUAUGAUAGGAAAACAAUGCAUGAUGAGUAUAAAAAUAAAUAUAGUUUUGUGAAAGAGGGAAAGUCUAUCACUCUACACCAUUAACACUGGUACAAGUGUAUGACGACCAAAUCAAAUUGAAAAAUGAGAAAGAAAAGAGAGUGAGAGAGUUAGAGAAAAAGAGAGAAAAUAGUAAGAUGGCCGGUGAGGAAGAAAAAAGAGUGGGGCCACAUGAGAGAAAGAAAGAGAGUUUUCCGAGAGGAGAGAAAAGCCGAAAGUGAAUUUCUUUGCAAAAGGGAGUGAAGUGAAAAAGGCGAUAGUGGAGAGACAACCAAUGAUUCUUUUGGUAUAUAAGGAAUCACUCCUCAAUUUUGAGGAGUCUAACACAUCCUUCCCUAAUUUGGCUACUUCUUUAUUGCAGGAACUUGUCGAUGUGUUUCCGGAAGAUGUGCCUAGUGGAUUGCCACCCAUUAGGGGGAUGGAACAUCAAAUUAAUUUCAUACCUGGAGCUGUCAUUCCAAACCGACCAGCUUAUCGAAGUAAUCCGGAGGAGACAAAGAAGCUUCAAAGGCAAGUGGAGGAGUUGAUGAGCAAGUGUUAUGUAAAGGAGAGCAUGAGUCCAUGUGCCGUACCCAUAUUGUUGGUGCCAAAGAAAGAUGGAACUUGGAGGAUGUGCGUGGAUUGCCGAGCUAUCAACAACAUUAUGGUAAAGUAUGGUCACCCAAUUCCUAGGUUAGAUGACAUGUUAGAUGAAUUAUAUGGUGCUUGCAUCUUUUCUAAAAUUGACCUUAAGAGCGGGUAUCAUGAAAUUCGUAUACGGGAGGGUGUUGAAUGGAAAAAAACAUUUAAAACGAAAUAUGGGUUGUAUGAAUGGCUAGUUAUACCCUUUGGACUCAUAAAUGCACCAAGCAUGUUUAUGCGAUUAAUGAAUCAUGUUUUGCGUGCUUUCAUUGAAAAAUUUGUUGUAGUUUACUUUGAUGACAUUCUAAUCUAUAGCAAGGACCUAGUAGAGCAUUUAGAACAUCUUAAAUUUGUGCUUAGGAUUUUAAGAAAUGAACGACUUUAUGCGAAUUUCAAGAAGUACACAUUUUGCAUGGAUAGAAUCAUAUUUCUAGGAUUUGUGGUGAGUGCUAAUGGGGUUGAAGUUGAUGAAGAAAAUGUAAAAGCUAUUAAGGAUUGGCCAACACCUAAAAACAUAACCGAGGUUAGGAGUUUUCAUGGGUUAGCUAGUUUUUAUAGGCGAUUUGUUAGGGAUUUUAGCACACUUGCCACACCACUUACAAAAAUUGUCAAAAAGAGUGUUGGGUUUCAAUGGGGUGUAGAAUAAGAACAUGCAUUUAACACCAUCAAAGAAUUUUUAUGUAAAGCACCUGUUUUAGCACUUCCUAAUUUUGACAAAACUUUCGAGAUUGUGUGUGAUGCAUCAGGAAUAGGUAUUAGAGCAGUUUUGAUACAGGAAAAGAGGUCGAUAGCAUACUUUAGUGAGAAACUAAGUGGGGCAGCUCUUAACUAUCCUACUUAUGGCAGGAGCUUUAUUCUCUAGUUCGAGCCUUGGAGACAUGGCAACACUACCUAUGGCCAAAGGAGUUUGUUAUUCACACCGACCAUGAAUCAUUGAAACAUUUGCGGGGUCAAGGUAAGUUGAACAAACGACAUGCACGUUGGAUGGAAUUCAUAGAGACUUUUCCAUAUGUCAUUCGAUACAAACAAGGUAAGAAAAACAUAGUAGCCGAUGCAUUGUCGCGAAAGUAUGUGCUUCUCACUUCUUUAAGUGCAAAAUUACUUGGUUUUGAGUAUGUUAAGGACAUGUGUAAAAACGAUAUUGAUUUUUCUAACAUCUAUAAUUCAUGUAUUGAGAGGGCUAUUGACAAGUUCUUUAAGUAUGAGGGGUAUUUGUUUUGAGAAAACAAAUUAUGUGUUCCUAAUUGCUCAAUGCGUGAAUUGUUGGUUAGGGAGGCACAUAGUGGGGGUUUAAUGGGUCACUUUAGGGGUAGCAAAGAGUUUAGACAUGUUAAAUGAACACUUUUAUUCGCCUAAAAUGAAGAUUGACGUAAAAUGAAUUUGUAGUCGUUGCAUAACUUUUAAAAAGGCUAAAUCAAAGGUUUUACCCCAUGGACUUUAUACACCUUUACCGGUACCUAGCGAACCUUGGGUUGACAUUUCAAUUGAUUUUGUGUUAGUUUUGCCUAGGACUAAAAAGAGGCGUGAUUCAAUUUUUGUUUUUGGUGGAUAGGUCUAGUAAAAUGGCACACUUUAUACCAUGUCACAAAAUUGAUGAUGUCACUAACAUUGCGGGACAUGUUUUUCAAAGAAGUAGUGUGUUUGCAUGGUGUUCCCAAAAGUAUUGUGUCCGAUAGGGAUAUUAAGUUUCUUAGUCACUUUUGGCGGGUCUUGUGGAAUAAGUUAGGCACGACAACUCGUCACCUACAAAUCGAUGGUCAAACUGAAGUAGUGAAUAGAACAAUAACACAACUAUUGCGCACUGUGGUUAAUAAAAAUCUAAAGAAUUGGGAAGAAUGUUUGCCUUUCAUUGAGUUUGCAUAUAAUAGAGCCACGCAUUCUACUACAUCGUUUUCACCAUUUGAAAUUGUUUAUGGUUUUAAUCCUUAAACACCUAUGGAUUUAGUACCUUUGCGUGUGAAUGAACGAGGUAGUUUGAAUGGGAAAAAGAAAGCCUAAUUGGUAAAGACACUCCGUGAAAAGGUAAGGGAGCAAAUAGAGAGGAAGAACAAUCAACGAACAACACAAGCAAACAAAGGCCGAAAAUAUGUCACUUUCGAACCGGGAGAUUGGGUUUGGGUGCAUUUCAGGAAAGAGCGAUUCCCAGAGCAAAGAAAGUCAAAGUUAUUGCCACGAGGAGAUGGAUCGUUCCAAGUAAUUGAGAAGAUCAACGACAACGCUUAUAAGAUAGAUCUUCCAGGUGAGUAUAGUAUUUCUGCAACUUUCAAUGUCUCUGACUUAUCUCUUUUCAAUGCAGGUACAGAUUUGAGGUCGAAUCCUUUCGAAGAGGGAGGGGAUGAUGCGAUCCAGGAAGCACAAGUAUCAAAGUCAAGUCCAGAGUCGAGCCCGAGGAAAGAUCCGUUGAUAGUCGAGAGGCCGAUGACAUGAUCGAGGGCCAAGCGCAUGAAAGAGGCGAUGGGAUUGCUUGUCAAAGUAACGGUUGAUGAAACAAUGUUCGGGAUACAAAAUGGAGCAAGUUUCAUGUUGGGGACGAAGGCCGAAGAGUAUUGGAUCAACGUGUUUAAAGUUGAAGAAAAUGGAGCUGGAGCAUUAAAUCAUGCGGCCGCAUAGGUCUAAAGUCCUGCAGUCGCAUACACUCAGUAGAAGUUCCAAAGUCGCGGACCAAUUACACUAUGCGACCGCAUGCUCUAAAGCUAUGCGGCUGCAUAGGCCAAGUCCGAGGCGAAUUUUUUCAAAUUUCGCAUUUUUUCCUUAUUUUAAUAGAAUUUCAUUAUUAGUAGAUUUUUAGCUAUUGUGGACGAAUUUUGCAUUAUUCUUAGAUAUUUUUCCUAGUUUACUUAGGUUCUCUAUAAUAGUAUAAAUACUUUAUUCAUUAUUGUAAAACAUUACAACUCUCAUAUUAUUGAAUAUUAUUCGUGAGGCAUUAAUUGCUUUCUCUAGUUUUUCGUUGAACAGCUUGUGAACUUAUCAAGAUUAAUCUUGUGGCGUUCAAAUUAAUCGGGUAAGAUUCAUUUAAAUUUCGUAAUCAAGAGGUCCACGUAUUGUCGGCGAUUCGAAUUGCUUGGUUCCAGUUUAUUGGGUUUAAUAAAAAAUCUUGUCUUUGGCUUUCUUGGGUUUGAUUCUCAAUUUGUUGUGAGUUUGGUAGUGAUCGUGCUAUGCGGGUUCGCAUCAGAUUUCUUCAAACAUUUUACUGAAUUUGUUCUUGAUUUUCAUUCUAAAAUUAAAGUCAUAUCUACUUUGAUAGAUGCUCAACGGAAGAAUAAUGUUGGAGCACGUGAACAUUCAGAUCCAUUAGUGGAUGAAAAUUCUUAUGUUAGAAUUUCUUUAAUUUUUUACACAUUUAUUUCAAUAUUUUAGGGUUAAAACAUAUAUUUGGGACUAACAAGUGGCAUCAGAGUUGGAACCUUAAUUUUUAUAUGGUUUCUGGCUUUAAAAUGGAAAUCUACUUUGUUCUUUUUGAAAAAUCUUUGUACUAUACCAGUUCUCGAUCUACAAUAUUUUUAUUUUUAUUUUUAUUUUUUGGAAACCAAUUUAUUUCCAAGUCUCUGUGACAAAUAUGUAUCUUCGAUUCAACAUUUGGUUAAAUUUUUUGAUGAACUCGUUUUGGUUUCUAGCGAUUCUUGAUGGCUCGUUCGUAUUCCUUGUUGGGGUGUGAUGACUUUACGCAGUUUCUGGCAAUUCUCGGUGACUCCUUAUUAUUUGUUGAGUUGAGGUGACUCAUUCAAUCUACUACUGAUUCUUGGUGUUUCAGUUGGCAUUCUGGGAUAAAUUUUAUUAGAGCAGAGUUUAAAUAUAGAAAUUAAUUUGUUUUGUGAUGAAGACACAAAUUGAACAUUAGACAAUUUAAAAGUUCAAUGACACAGGAAAGGAUGUUAGGACUACUAGGUAGAGAAGAGGGUAGUGGAUUGUGCUAGCCAUGAAUAUGAUGUAUAUUAAGAGCUUUGUGGGGGAACAUUGGCAGAGAUGGUACCAGAGGUUGGUUUGGCUUCGAAGUGUCGGAGCUUAUUUGUUUCAUAUGGAGCUUAUCGAAGGUAAUGGGAUAUCGCGAGCACUAACAACAGAUGAGAUGUCCUUAUGGGCACUACGUAGGCCUUCGAGAAUUUUUAGAGUCAGAUCUUCAUGGUGGAUGGGAUAGUCCUUGAUAGCAAGUUCGACAAUCAUGCUUUUCUAAGAUUGUAGAAACUCGAUAAUAGUUAUAGAUCCUAUAGUAAGGUUGGGAAGUCGACUUCUUCAUUGUAUAACGCAUCCUCCUGAGGGUUCGUCAUAUAUUGCAAAAAUAUUGUUCCACACAUUAUGAGAUCUUUGAAAAGAAGCGAUGCAUGGAAUAAUAGUGGAAGAACGGAUCCGAGAAUUGCACUUAAUAGUAGUUGGUUUUGUCCGAUACCUUAAGCAAAUGAUCGAUUUAGUAAAUCAUUGGCAUUUUUUAUAAUAUGUAGCUCAUAGAGUAAAGCACAUGUAUGCUAGAAAGCAGGUUGAUGCCGACGUGGAGCAAGGGGAGCACACCUAACAGAAUGGUACUAGUAUAUUUUUGGAUUUUUACAAUAUCUUGUGCGAGCUACGUUAGUAUAUACAUUGUAACUCUAUUAUUUUCACAUUGUGAAAAUUAUAGCUGCUUCACUCUCGUAGAUGUAAGCUACUGUCAAACCACAUAAAUCUCUCUCUCUCUCUCUCUUGAAUUUGUACUAUUCAUCAUUAUCAUUAUUGUCGUACAUAACACAGCACUAUUGAUAUAAGCUCGUCGUAAACCCAUGAGAUCAUACCUUAUGAGUAGGGUAUUAAAUUGUGAUUUCUAUAAGGACUAAUUUCCUACGUGCAAGAUACUCCAACAUCCAGAGCUUCGGCCUUCUUCCUCCUGCUCGAGUGAGCCCUUCUUUCGUUUAAAUGAUCAAUGGCGACACUUCUACAAUGUCAUCUAGUCAUCUUGUCCUACUCUCUCACCUUCUCAUUGAUCCCGAUCAUGACCUAACUGCCUCUACCUCUACCUCACACGCUUAGUUCUCGCCCUAUGAAAACCCAUGACGAAGAUCAUAUUCCAAAACCAAUUCCAAAACUAAAUCUCAGCCCUUGAUCUUGAUUCCAUUAUUCUACACUCUUUAGCCACAAGCCUUAAACAUCCACUUUGGUUCUAAUCCAUGUGUGAGGAUUUUGAUGGCCUAUUAGGUGAUGCAUUUAGAAGAUAGCCUCUCCGUUCCAAUUCCAAAUUAUUUUCAUUUGUAAAUGGGCUUUUUGUGUUAAACGGAAACCUAAUGUUUACAUUCAUCGUGCCCGACCAAUGGUUUUCAUCAACGCUCACGGUAGACUAAAAUGAGAAUUUUAGCCUAGUUGUCAAUCCCACCACCAUCCAUCUCAUCCUUAAUCUUACAUUGGUAAGGCAUUCGUCUCUACGUUGUUCGAUGUUAGUAAUGCAUUUCCUCGGGAUGCACUAAUGAAAACUAUUUACAUGUCUCAUCAUCAGGAAUUUGUCAAUAUAGAAACUUCCAUUAUGAUUGUCCAAUUGCCAGUGGGUUUACCAAUUCCAAAUCUAACAUGUAAGUCUAUAUUCAAUUGCAACUCCAACCAGUGUCGAAUCUUAGUUCUGGUUUAUGCUAACUACAUCAUUGUCACGAGAAACUCAAGUUUUAAUAUCUUUGUUACUCAUUUGGCACCAUUUUUUUCUAGAGAUAUCAAAAAUCCUAACUGAACCAGUCCCCAUAGGGACAUAUCCCAAAGAGAACGAGAAUUUCUGGCUUUAAUCGAGUUUGCAUCCAUUUAUAUUUUAACAAUAUUAAUAAAAAAUUGCCCACUUUUUAUUAUAAAAAUUUUAAAAAAUGAAUAAAUAAAUUUACCUAUAUUAAAAAAAAUGAAUAAAUAAAAAUUGAUUAAAAUAAAAUAGAACGGCACUGUAAAGUGGAUCCCGCUUUAUUGUCAUCCCCAGAUUUGGAUACUUUAUACUUGUUUCUUGGGGAUUAAGUUAUUUUUCUCUACAAGGCCUUUUUCUCUCACAACAUUAGUUUGUAUUUCAAUAAUCUUCUACACAACAUAAUUUGCAUAAGUACGAGUCAGUGUCUAUUUCUAUGUACAUGACAACUACCUUUAGCUUGAUUUGAUGUCACUACUCUUCAUGAUGCUUCUAAAUAUAGGCAAGUUCUUGGCAACUUGCAAUAUUCUUUACUCACUCGCCAAGACAUUGUUAUUCAGUUAACCAUCUGUACCAAUAUAUCACCGAUCCAUUUCUUACCCUUGGAUGGCUGUUAAGCUUAUGUUUCUCGACUUUUUUGGCACUCUGCACUUUGGGCUCUUUCUUCGUCGCCAUUUUCUUGGCUUGUUGCAUGCCUUCUCUAAAUCUGAUUGAGAAGAAAAUGGUAAUGAUCCCACAUCCAUCCAUGCCGAUCUAGUGAUUCUUGAAUGGAACCUAAUUGUUGGUUUUUUUUUCUUUUUUUUUUUUUAAAUCGAGUAUCAUAUGGCUUAAAUAUUUAGUACUUGAAUUCAGCGAAUCAAUUUCCACCAAUCGAGUAAUCUAAUUUCAUACUAUUAGCACCACAUACUUGAUGACCUAACACUAUUUCUCAGCUUGAAUGAAAUAAAUGAAGGCUAUUUUGAUUGGUUCAAAUUCCAUGGAAAAUGGAAUUCUAAUUUCACUUUCUUCCAAUUUUGUUUGUUUGAUAGGUUUUGAAUUCCAUGGAAUUUGGUUUCUUGAUUUUCUUGGAACUUGAAAUUUUCUUGAUUUUCCUUAAAAACCAAUUCUCACCAACAUGGUGGGAACUAGCUUUCUAGUUCCUUGUUACGUAUUUUUUUUUAUUAUAUCUAUAUCUUUUAAGGUAAUGGAAAUAAAUUCUAAGAAAUAUUGUACAAAAAUAUUUCAUUUUAAUUGGCAAUUUCCAUGUAAAACAAAGUCAAACGAACACCAAAAGAUAGAUGAUUUUCUUGAUCUUUUUAUUUUUUUGUUGGCAAUGGAAACAAACUUCAUUCCCAAAACUAGUAAAAUAUAUCAUUUUAAUUGAAAAUUUUCAUGUAAAAUAAAGCCAAAUGAACACCAAAAACACUUUUAUUUUAAUAUUUUCCACGAGGAAAAUUAUACCAAUCAAAUACAAUAAUUUACAAUUCUCAUGAAAAUAAUUUAUAGGCAAUUCAAUUAUCUAGAAUUCGUUUUCAAUUUAAUUCAAUUCCAUCUUUGCAAUCUUGUGAAAUAAUAUUAGAGUAGUUAUAGAUAGUGUUACACAAUAGUUAGAACUUGUCAUUACCGAACGUGUAUCAUAUAUUUCUGUUACAGAAUGUAUACAUAUAUGGAAAAUUCUAUUUGUAUAUAAUUAUUGUACAUAAUAGUGUCCAUAAUGUGAUGUGGCAAUCAUCCGCAUGUUGAUAUGUAAGUGUGAGAUUUGAAUUAAAGGUUGAAUCCAGUGCCAUAUGUAAUUAUGGACACUAUUAUGUAGACAAUUAUGUACAUGUAGCACUUCCCUACAUAUAUAUAGCACAUACAAGGAGAUAUUCUAGUCUAUGCACUAAUUUUAUUCUAUGAUUGAGAUUGACCCACAAUAUAUGUGGAGUUAGAUGACGAACUAUAGUUCCUUAUAAUUAUUAAAUAAUGCUGUUUAGCAUUUGUGGAAUUAGAGUACCAAAUCAAAGUUGACAUACUUGAUAGGUUCAAUUAAAUUAAUCAUUUGACAUUGCAUUUAAGUGAAUUUAUCGUUUAAUGUCAUGAAAUUGCAUCUAAUAUGAUGCUUAACACUUAUGGUGCUAAAGUGUAUUACACAUAAUUAUUACAUGAGUAAUGCAAUUCAGCACUAUUAAGCACCAUUUAGGUGGCAUGCAAAGACCAUCUUAAAAGGAUGGAAAUGAGCCACAUUUAAUUUCUUCUAUCACAUGCAUGCCAUCUAAGUUAGUGCUAUGUAACAUUAUUCUUAUUACAUUUUAUUUUUGACUGACAACUUGUACCCAUGGUCAUCUCUUAACUUAUUGAUAUACUAAAAUCAAUGUGAGCUAGAGUUUAUGAAUUUGAGUUGGAGUCUAUCAAGUUUUUAUAGAACCUGAAUAAUCUUCAAAUGAAUCAUAAUAACUCAGGUUGUUUCUUACCGCUCUAAGCGUUGAUCUAAGCACAAUCUUAUGUCAAUCGAUUAAUCAAUUUUUUACAUGUAUCAAUUCAUCCUUUGUAGUUAGAGAUACCUUAGUUAGCUAUGAUGCCCGGUCAUUGCAUAAACUAAAACAAAGCAUUAAAAGCCUAACAUAUUAAGAAGGAAAUGAAUUUUAUAAAAAAAUGAAAAAAAAAAAUCCAACUAUUCGAUUUUCCCACUAUAAUAUUACUUAGUCCUUGUGGGGGUGGUCCAUCGUUUUUGUGGUGAAAAUAAGGUCCAACAUUUUAACUUUCCGUCGAAGUUAAAUUUUAGACCAACUCAAUAGAAAUUUAGGAGUGAUUGUUGGAAUUGCCAGAAUUUCAGAAAAUUAAAGAAUAAUUUCACUAAUUAAAGUUUGAAAUGUUUUGGAGUGAAUAUAGUUAGUUCAGGAGAGAAUUUGUUCCUAUUCUAGACCAAAAGAUCAAGCCACUUGCCCGCUCAACGUCAUUUUAGUCAGAGUACUGACCUAAAGUUUGUGCCAUCGUGUCCAAGAUGUUGUACUCCUGAUUGGUUGUUGAGAUCGGCCAUACAGGUCAUCAUGGCUCCUAGGUUGCAGCUGUGGCUUAGGCAAUGAUUACUUGAUUUUAGUGAUCAUUGCUAGCUUAUGAUUAAUUGAAAAUAAGGUGCUAACGUCGCAGAUGCCACAUGUCUUUCUAGGAGAGGUGGAUCGAUAGGUGAAGACCGAUUGUCAAUAAUUGUGAAUCACAAUGUUUCUUCAAAUUACGAUAGCCAUUUCUCGAAAUGUGCUCAUACUUCGAGAAUCUAACAUAUCAGCAGUAUAGAAAUCGUAUUUUAACCUAUUUUUUACUUUACGUGCAAAAUAUUUUAUUGUGUGGAUGUAUGAUCAAAAAUGUGUAUGAAAAAUAAAGAGAUUUAACACAAAGAGAGUCGAAUAGGGGCUAAGAUCUCAAUCUCGCUUGCACGCAAUAUAUGUAUAAGCUAAAAUAUAGUCAUAAAAAACGUUAUUAUACCUAUAUGUACUUGUUCUAAGUUAUUUGUAUGAAUGUUAGAAUUGAAAUAAGAAAAAUGUCCGUCUCAUUACAAUAAUUUGUUCUAUUAAAUACUCUUACCGUUUCAUAAAGAUAAACUUUUUUUUCAUUCUCGCACAUGCUAAGAAAAUAUAAUUUUCGCUUAUUUUUUUCCGGAACAACCAAUGUUUGAAAAAUGGAACUUGUCCAAUCAGUUCAACUGGGAAUCAGGAUCGAAAUCGGUCCAAUUAGGCUUAUAAAACCCCCAAUUAAAAACCCGUCCCAAAGUCAAGUAAAUCGUUUAAUUUUUAGAAAAAUCGUGGCCCUUUGUCUAUUUAACCGAUUCAAUCUAUGUAAAUAUAUAUUUUUUGAAAUUUUUAAAUGUAUGUGUGCAUACAAGUUUCGUAAAAUGUAUAUUUUUAAGUCUAAAAAAUCACGGUUAGAUCUCGGAUCAACUUUUUGACCUCGGUUAGAUCUCGGUUCCACUUAAAAAUCCUUUUCUUGUCCGAGUCGAUGAUCGGGUCAUUUUUUAAAAACAAUGGAUACAACCCCAUGUUAAUAAUCAUUUAAAUAGGAAUAGUUCAUAUUCAUUAAUAACAAAUUAUAUAAAAUCAUGGUAUAUAAAAAAAAAUUAAAAAUCAACUAUACUCUGAACAAAGAAAAUAACCUAUAAUUUGGAACAUACGAAAAAGGAAAGCUAAGAUACUUUUCAAGAAAUAGAGAGAUCAAACUUGCCCUUAUUUAAAGCAAAUUCUCAAUAAAUUUUACUUUUUAAUCACACAUUCUCUACAAAAUUAUUAUUACAAAACAAUAUUUUUUACAAAUAUGGAAUCAAACAGAUCCUAACAUCAACAGUUCUAUAUGUACAGGCUCAGUAAUAUAAAUACUUUUGCAAACAACACGGGGCGACAUUUGAUUGGAAGUUGCCAAAAAAAAAAAGAUCAUAUAGUGUAGCACCUAUAAAAGAUGUGCAUUAUUCUCUCGAUUGUGUUACAUGUACAUAAUUGAUUUACAUAAUGAUUUCCAUAGACAUAACGUAAUGAGAUAUGAUUAUGUCAGAAUUUAAUUAUUUUUUAAUUACAUAUUCUCUUAAUAAAAUAAUUUUAUAAGUAAAUAUAAAAUAUUUUCUUACCUUUUAAUCACAUUUUUCAAAAAAAUCACUAUCACAAAAUAUCUUUUUUUUUUUUUUUCAAAAAAUGGGGCUCAAAUAUAGUUCACCAUCAUCUUUUAUGUUAGUUGCAUAUUAACAUAACUUACAUUCAUAUUUUGUAACAUGAUUAAAUUGUAAAAGCUUUUCCAAAGGGCAAGCUAAAAUUCAGAGAAAAAAAAUGCGCACACAAAAAGGGAAAAAAAAAUACCAAUAAAGCGUAUCUUCGGUACUCCAAGAUCUCAAUUUUGAUCGAGACUUGAACAAUUCAGAAAAUUUCAAUACAUUCUUUAAUUUUGUAGAACACUAUUCAGUAUUUGGUGUUGUUAAAAAUUAUAUUUUUAAUAGAUUUUGAUAAAAAAUUAAUGAAAUAUAUAAUUGAAUUUAUCAUUAAUUGUUGAAUUUAAUUUAAAUUUUUUUUUAUCAACUUUUAAAGGUGAAUACUGAAAAGAAAUUAUAAAUAACAGUGCACAAAAUUUUGUCCUUUAAAUGGCCCCCUUAACAUAUAUUUUCACCAUUUGCAUGAUCAGUCAGUCAGAAGUUCAAUUAUUCUUCACUUGUUCGAGUCUCUGAGUUCUGACCACUUCACAAUGAGAAAACGAUACAAAAGACAGAACCCAUUACCUCAAUUAUUAUUUCACUUGUUAUUUGCAAAUCGGCAACGGAAGAAAGGCCAGAGACUGAACUAAUAUCAAUACCUGCCACCCCACGUGCGUCGACGCCGGAGAUACAGACGCCGUCCUGUCAAAGGUCGCCGAGGAAGGAAUCCAGCACAGCCAAGUCAUGGACUCCAACUUCGUUCAUUUCGCCGAGGUUUUUGAGCCCCAUUGGGACACCCAUGAAGAGGUUUUUGACUAAUAUGAAGGGGUAUUUGGAGGAGGUGGGGCAUUUGACGAAGCUGAAUCCUCAAGAUGCUUGGCUUCCCAUUACAGAAUCACGAAAUGGGAAUGCCAAUUAUGCAGCUUUUCAUAAUCUGAAUGCUGGUGUGGGAUUCCAGGGAGAACGUUGGUGGGAAAUGCAGCUUUUAUUUUAUUUUUUUUUUUUUUUUAAAUAUCAAAUUGGUAUGAACGUUGGUGGAAAUAUCAGCUAGACGUGAAGAAGAGAAUAACUUACACCAUUCGGACACAGGGAGAAACACGUGUCAAAAAAAAAAAAAAAAUAAAUUUUAUGUGACAUACCCAUACUUCUUAUAUUCAUAUGUCGAGUAAAGUAUACAUCUUUCCAUCUUAUAGUCCCUUUCAAACACAUUGCAUGAAGGAAAUUGAGUAAAUUUACUAUGAUACGUAAUUUCAAAGAAUUUUUAGCUUUCAAUAAUCCCUACUUUACUUGGUCCUCAUCCAAAUACAAAAGGUGUCAAACUUGGGUUUUUCCAAGUUCCCCUCAUCAUUAUCUUACGGCCAACUUUUCAUCACCAUUGGAAUAUUAUUUUCAUGUGUUAGGAGAACACAAAUUUAAAUAAACGCACUCCGUAACUGAAUUAGCCUUGCAUUGUACAUAAUGACAGAAUUAUGAUAUAUUUAACAUCGCGCACCCAGACACACACAUGAACUGCCGGUAAGUAUUAUAAAGCAUGCAAUAGUACGAUCAUUUAGCUUAGACAAAAGAAAAUUGUAUUAUAAUUAAGGAGGGUAUCAUGACGAAAUUAAGUUCGAUUUGAUACAAUUUCUUUAAAACUUAAUUUUAACCAUAUUCUCUCAAUAAAAUAAUUUUGUAUAUAAACUCAUAAAUUUUAAUCUACUUUUUAAUUAUACAUUCUUCAAAAAUAUUAUUUUUGAAAAAGUUAUUCUCAAAAAAUCUAAACUUGAAGAAUGUUUAAUUUAAAAUAAAGAAGUAAUUGUACUUGAUCCCCAACCUAUUCUUUGUGAAGCAAGUUGGUACUCAUUCUUUGAGAACGAGACUUUGUCCUCGUCCUUCCAUUCAAUUGCACAUAAUAAUAAAAUUUAUAUAUAUAUAUAUAUAUAUAUGUUAAACUAGCCUAUCAAGAAUAAUUUGGCUCCUUCCAAUCCGGAGGGAGAAAAUAAUAAUUAUGUGUUUCUCGUAAAAGGAGUGCUACUUGGACAGGGAAUUGUCCAAGAAGAAAAAUUCUUCUCAUAUACGAAGUUACUGGAAAUGGACCACUGGGAAAAUGACAAGUGUCAUCCAGCUGGCUCAGAUUGCGAAAACCAUCGUUUAUAUUCAAAAUGGCAUAAUAAUAAUUGAAAAUGGGUCCAUGAUUAUGAGCAUACCACGUAUGUGUUAGUUGCCAUACUGUUUAUAUACAGAAAUUUUAAUUUAAAUCAAAGUUAACAAUUCAUUUCAAUCACAUAUUUCAUGAAAUUCACAAUUUUUCAAUCACAUAUUUCAUCAGUUUCUAUCAAAAUCAACUAAAAGUAGAUUUUAAUUUCGAUACGUGGGGCCCAUAACACUAUCCAAUCUGGAGACAUGGAAAUCUUAUGAUAUCGGACGUGCUGAGCUGUAUAGCACCGCCGGAUUCUUGUGGGGCAUUCCUUACUUAUUCCACGCACCAAUACAUUUUUGACCAAUAACAAAUUGGAAAACCACACGGACAACCACCUAAGCUUAAAAAUAUGAAAUUUCACUUUUUUAUUUUUAAGUAAAUAAAUUUAAUAUUUUCAAAAGUAAAUUUUUUACUUUGUAAUUCAUACAAGUAAACUUUUUUUUUUUAAUUACUUUGUUAUUCACACAAGUAAAUUAUUAUUUUCAUUUCAUAAAUAUUUCAGAACUUAUUUAUUAUAACAUAAGUUUUUUAAGGGUAAAUUAGGGCUGAGCUUCCCAUCCUUUUAUGUGGUGAGAUUACGUAUCUUCAACCUUUAAAAUUGAGAUUUUGGGUUUUCAACUUAUUUGAAUUUGUGAAUUUUUUAGCCUAACUUGAUGAAAAUUGUUUUUUAGAUGAUUUGAAUUGAAUUGAAUAUAAAUAUUAAGUUGUUUGAUGAUUUUUUCCUCCAUUCGUGAGUCAUAUAAAUUUCACAUGUAAUUUUAAACAUUACGUUGAUGGUUUCGAUCAAUUGAAGAUCCAAAUAAAUAAAUUUAAAUGGAUUGAGGAUUCAUAGCCUCAGUUUUGAGGGUUGGAGGAUUUAUAACCUCAUUCAGUAAAUGGUUGGCAAUUCUAAUCCUAACUUAACCCUUUCUAAGCCUAGCCAAAGUAAUGUCUACUAGAUUCAUAAGCCACAUGUUCGAGUGUCAAAAAUAAUUAAGAAGUUUAUUUGUGUACAUCAUGGUUGCCUCGCUGUGCGAUGACCUACGGUCGACUGAUUUGGUGUAACACAUCAAGUUAUUAUAAAAAAGAUGUACUUUUUUGUAAGUUAUGAGCAAUUUAUAUUUACUUGAUUGAUGAGCAAGUCUCGAAAUACUAUUAUGUCAACAUUAUCAAAAGAGAAAAGAAAAAUAAAAGAUUAAAUUUGUUGGGUUAAUUGGUCGAACCGAAUUUAUUUACUGUAGCCAAUGCUUCAGGAAGAUAAACGAUGGAUUUGAAUUUAUAUUGUAACAAUAAUCAAGAUAGACAAAUAAUAUUUUUAUUCUCAAUUUAUAGUUAGUGCAUACAAAAAUGUGAUAAUCAUAUCAUUGAUUUAAUUGUAAGUGCAAGUUAAUAUGUUCAAAUAUUGAAUAUUGGUAUAAAAACAAGAGAAACCUGUUAGAUUGAAACAUCAUCAAAUUUUUAUUCCGUCCAUUUUCUCAUUACCAAAUGACCCACGUGCACAAAAUUGAGUCAAAGUUUUAACAUAGUGGAAGGUACUGGUUUUUUCUUGACAAUGAAUCAAGAAUUCAGUGACAUUUCUCUGAUUACAUGCCCUCAUUAUGAGCAAGACAAAGAUUGAGUAAUAAAUCGAUUAACAAGAAAACUCUCGAAAAGUUCAAUUGCUUAUAUUAGAUCAACGACUAAAUUUUCAGUGGGACAGGCAUACUAUCCACGUUGUGCACCUCAGCAUUGGAUGGUGUGCCCGCCCAAUGCUGAGACACUACCUUGAUGGGUGGCCCACACACUUGGGGGUGUGUGGUGGGCCACCCGCCGAGGUGACGCACAGGACCGCCCCGUUGAAGUUUCACUCUAGAUGAAACACUAGUACAAUCAAGAAACUUUGUAAAUCUUCUUGGCAAUAAAGAAUCAUGUAAACAUAUAUAUGUGUGUAAACUUAUGUGAUGUGGAUCCUGUUAUGCAAGAAAAUUAUGUAUUUGUUUUUCAGGGAAAAUGGAAAUUAAUUUUUUUUUUGGAAUGUUAUACCUUAUAUAGAAACUGUUUUCAUCUAGUCUAAAUUAUACGUAAAAUGCUAUGAUAAAUUAAAAAUGAUAGGAACACUAUGUCAGUAGAAGCAAUGAUUUUGAAAACAAAAAGGAGAUAUGAGAUAGACAAAUGAAUAAUUCGCAUGAUUCAAUUUCUUAAUCGAGUUAUUCACGUCUUUCUCAACAUACCAAUUUUCUUUAUUGAACAUAUUACUAAAUUUUGUAAGGUAACAAAUGUAGAUGAAAUAAAUGAAUGGUCAAGUUAGCGAUGUAAAUCCAAUACGGGUUGGGCAGGUGUGGGCAAAUUCAUGAGCUAUUUUUUUCAAUUCUUUUCAUAAAAAGAAAUGUGUUCGGGGUCUUGUGGAAAAAUGAGAACUGUGUAAGGAUAAAGUCACUCUUAGAGAAAUUGAACACUUCCCACAUAACGCCUACAACGUAGUAACAUGAAGGGUCUUCAUUAAAGGUUUUACAAACUUAAAACUAUUAGGAAUAGAUGUCAAUAGCUUAUGAAAUUACAAUAAGCUUCCCUAAGAAAAAGGUAAUCUCUAUAAUAAGUGAUAAAUUUUAAAUUAUACAGAAAUUUUGUCUUUUAACUUUUUCUGUAUCCACCUUUCUGAUUCUAUAUAAACGAGCAGACCUCCAUUUCUCAGCGACUCAAUUAUCAACACAGUAUACAAAGGCAGAGAGAGAGAGAGAGAGAGAGAGAGAGAGAGAGAGANNNNNNNNNNNNNNNNNNNNNNNUGUUGCGUGUUGUCACACCUGUCCUACCCACCUGGGCCAGUGGCCCACUCAUCCUGAUCCACGUGGCAUUCCUGCCGAGGUGGCCCAUAUUGCCGAGAUGGGUUAUAUCCGAACUGCUUCUAACCGAGGCCCAUGGCCCGAGGUGUGGAAGCCUUUGGUUGUAGCUGAGGUCCUCAAAUGGACGAAACCCCGAAGUUGAUGCGCGAGCCUCAACCACAAGGAAACAUCCUCCAUGGUCAUUUCUCCCAAGAGAUCGCCUGCACGGAUCUUAUUCGAAUGAUUGAUGGAAUGUCUGUCAUAAGCAUAAAGGUCAAGUCUUGUCACUAGCAUGGAGGCCCUGCACAAGCAAUAAAUGCGCCUUAAGCUAGCAAGUCAAAUCCCAUGCCUAAGAAUAGACGUUUAAACCAAGGAGAUGAGGCCACGUGCCAUUUCAUCCAAGGGCUCCCAUUCCAUAUGUAUCACUAUAAAUACCCCCAUUGUAUAAUGUAAAAGGCUAAUGCAAGAAUCAAUACAAAAAACUACAUUUUACUCAACUCUCUCCAUUUACUUGCACACAUUUUAUACACUUUUACACAUAUAUUCAAGAGCACCGGUUGGUAAUUAUUGUACAAUCGGAUUACGAACAACCCGCCGGAUCCCGAACGUUACCGUCCCGCGUCGUUGGGCUACUCCCACGCCCCUUUGAACCGCUCGUUUAGACCGUCCACGUGUCUUAGCGUGUUGGACAUUCGCCCACGCAAGCGCGGGUGGGACCGGCAUCUGUUGGCGCACUUUUUGGGGUCAACAGAUUGGCGCCGUCUGUGGGAAUCCAUACCAUAACCACGAGCAACCUUGUGGUAAAAGCUUGCUGGAAAAACAUUUGGGCAACCCCCCUUGAAAAAGGAUUUGUUCUUGAAAGAGAACAGGAAGAACCCCUACCACUGGGAGGAAACUAAGAUUGGCAUAAAAGAAAAAUGAGUUCUAACGAAGAUACUCCCCCAAGGAGGGUAAGAGAAAAUACGAAUGUGCCUCCCCAGCCUGCUGUCCCAGCAGCUCGGCAGAGGCUCCACCACCACCAGAGGAGAGGUGGGAUGCGUGCGACGGCACGACUGUCAAGAGAAAUGGCUACUAUGACAGCCAACAUGAGGGAUAUAGCCAACCAAAACAUGCAAGGCCAAGGAGGUUUCCCCAUUCCUCCAUAUGCCCCCCAUGGGCACUAUCAGCAAGAGGACGAGGUCCAAAGUCAUAGGGCUGCCUCGCCAGACUAUGACCGAGGUGAAAGUCCAUUCGAGAGGGAAGUGGAAGUUGACAUUUCCUCCAAUUAUGCAUCUGGCCGACCCUCUGAGGUCCAAAUGAGCCAUGAUAACUUUCCACCUCCGUAUGAGCAAGACCCAAGACAAAGGAGAGCAGGAAGUGUUUUUGACAGAAUCAGCCCUGCCGAACCAAGGCCCAGUCAACAGCGAGCUCAGCAGCCUCGGACGAGGCCACAGCCCCCACCUCCGAUGCCCCAACAGCCGGAGAAAAGGCAUGAAAAUGCCCCCCACGCUGUCCCGCCUAGAAGUAGGCCGCCAAGGAGGGAGGAAGAGGCUAGGAACCGACCAGGACCUUCUCACCAACAACCUAGGUACGAGGCCGAAGAUUACGAUUCUGAUGAGCAGCAGAGGUCCUGUGACUUGGACGAUGACGAUGAGAACCUGCCAUUCUCAAGGGAACUAAGAGAUGCCUAGGUCCCGAGCCAUUAUGUUAUGCCGAAAAUACCAAAGUAUGACGGGAGAGGUGACCCAGAAAAGCACCUCAAUGCUUACAAAACUCACAUGAGCCUGAGGAGCGCCACCCCAGCUGUAAAGUGCAGAGCAUUCCAUUUAACCCUCAGUGGAGCGGCUGAAAUCUGGUAUAGUAGACUACCAUCUGGGAGCAUCCGAAGCUGGCCCGAGUUCAAAACUACUUUCUUGAAGAGGUUCGCAAUGAGCAAGGAAGGAGAGGCCCCCAUCCAGCGUCUUCAAGACAUGAGACAGGCGCAUGGCGACUCCUUGAAAAGCUUCCUAUCCCGCUUCACCGACGAGAUGACCUACUGUGUGCAAGUCACCGACAGGGAAGCACUAUCUGCAUUAAGAGGAGGAUUGAACAUGAACACCAUAUUCUGAAGGGAUGUGCAGAAUAAGGACCCAACCACCUAUGACGCCCUACUAGAAAUGAUGAGAAGAGAGAUAAUCAAUGAAGAAUUGAUUGAGCAUAGAAACAGGGCAAGCAGGGGCCUCCCACCUCCACAGAGACAGCGAGGUAGGGGCCCGACCUCCCACCUCAUGGACUACCAGAUGAACCGAUCUGGAAAUGAGAACUCCGGCCAAGCCCUGGCCACCACAACUCUGAACGCGGUACCAACCUUGGCGUAUGAGGAUGUCAACCCAACCGCUGACCCAUAUCAGCUACAGGCGCAUCAGGGACCCCGUAGAGGGAGAGGCCGAGGUCGAGGUCUAGGUUUUGCACCUAGAAAUAGGUCUAAUCCGAACCUCCCUGGAUACUGUUUGCACCAUAGGUCCUACGGACAUGACACCGCGGAUUGCAGAGACUAUGCACACCGCUCGCGGCAGGAACCCGCCAGGGAAAGACAUAACUCGCCCCAAGCCAACAGGCCCCCGCCCAGGCAAGACAACCGACAUGGGCGUGAGGCGGCCGCUCCUCGCCAAAGGGAUGUUUCCCCAAGGCGAAGAGAGCAAGACACGGAGAGGCCCAGGGAAGGGCGUAGACACCGAAGGAACAGGCAAGCUCAAGAUGAGGCCCCUAUCCACGAGAUAGAUACCAUAUUUGGAGGCCCUUACGUUGGCGGUGAAACGCGAAACGCCAAAAGAAACUAUGCUAGGGAGGCUAAGCACCCCCUCUGACAAGUUACAUUGUAGAUAAUAGCUCCCGAAGAAAUCAAGCACCACCCAUUGUCUUCACCCAGGAAGACGCCGAAGGAGUUCAUUACCCCCACUGCAAUGCGCUGGUAGUGAGGGCGGUCAUAGCCCGAAAUGGGCUCAAACGAAUGCUGGUCGACAACGGCAGCUCCGUCAACAUCUUAUUCGGGUCCGCCUUUGAUAAAAUGAUAUUGGACCAUCAGUUGACACCCACCACCACUCCAUUGUACGGAUUUACCGGAGAUAGCAUUACUCCGAGAGGAAAGAUAACACUGGCGGUGGAGAUGGGAGAAUCUCCUCAAACUACGAUGAACUUUAUGGAGUUCCUCGUAGUCGACAGCCGGUCGGCUUACCACGGAGUCUUGGGCAGACCGGUCCUAAAGGAAUUGGGAGCAGUCACCUCCAUCCACCACCUAUGCAUGAAAUUCCCAACAGAAAAUGGGGUGGCAAUGGUGAGAGGCGACCAGAGAGGUUCGCGAGAGUGCUAUCAGAGCUCCAUUAAGAAGGUGGAGCCCCGAGACAUCCAUGUGAUCGUGGCUGAUGUGGUUAUGACGGAUGUCCCAGGUGACGCUCCCAUUGACCAGGAAGAUGUUGAUAUGAUUGACGCACUCCUCGUUCAGGAGGCGCUGAUCGAUGAGAUCGACCCCCGCAUAAUGGAACAUGAGCCCCAAGCAUCCCCUGUAGAGGAACUUGAGAGCUUCUCAGCCGGCCCUCAAGAUCCGUCCAAGGUGCUGAAAGUAGGCAGGGGGUUAUCCGACAUUUUGAGAGAAAAGAUUAAGGAUUUUCUAGGUAAGAACCUGGACGUCUUCGCCUGGAGACAUGAGGACAUGGUUGGCAUAGACCCCAAGGUCAGCUGUCACCACUUGAAAAUCAACCCUAAUUUUACCCCGCAUAGACAAAAAAGGAGAGCCCUCAACCCAGAGAGGUAUGAGGCCCUGAAGGAAGAGGUUCAGAAGCUAAUCCAAAAUGGCUUCAUCAGGGAGGCCACCUACCCGAAGUGGGUGUCCAACCCGGUCUUGGUUAAGAAACCCAAUGGCAAAUGGCGAGUGUGCAUCGACUUCAUCAACCUUAAUAGAGCUUGCCCGAAAGACAGCUUUCCGCUUCUAAGGAUUGACCAAUUGGUGGACUCCACGGCUGGGCAUGAGUUAUUGAGCUUCAUGGAUGCAUACUCCGGAUACAACCAGAUCCCCAUGCACCCGGCUGAUGAGGAGCACUCCUCUUUCAUCACGGAUCGAGGCCUCUAUUGCUAUAGAAUGAUGCCUUUCGGGUUGAAGAACGCCGGAGCAACUUACCAAAGACUCGUGAACAAAAUGUUCACCGACCUCAUCGGCAAGACAAUGGAGGCCUACGUGGAUGAUAUGCUAGUGAAAAGCUUAGAGGCAGAAAGCCACGUAUCGCACCUCAACAACACCUUCCAAAUCCUGAGAAGGUAUAGGAUGAGGCUCAACCCCUUGAAAUGUGCCUUCGGGGUGGCUUCCGGCAAGUUCUUCGGGUACAUGGUCAACCAGCGAGGAAUUGAAGCAAAUCCCGAGAAGAUUGAGGCUCUGUGCCAGAUGAGGUCCCCCCAAAAGCCAAAGGAGGUGCAAAGCUUAACUGGGCGAGUGGCAGCACUUAGUCGCUUCGUCUCCAAAGCAACUGACAAGUGCCUCCCAUUUUUCAAAGUGCUCAAGGCUGGGAAGAAAUUCCAAUGGACUGAGGAAUGCGAAGAAGCCUUCCAAGGAUUAAAAAGGCACUUGGGGCAGGCCCCCCUCCUCUCCAAGCCGAAGCCCGGCGAUAUCUUGCAACUAUAUCUCGCGGUCUCUAAUGACGCCAUCAGUUCGGUUUUGAUUCGGGAAGAAGGGUCCACCCAACUUCCCAUCUACUACACGAGUAAAGCGCUCCUAUCGCCGGAGACCCGAUACCCCGAUAUGGAGAAGCUUGCUUUGGCCUUAAUCACGGCCUCUAGGAAAUUGAGACCUUACUUCCAAGCUCAUACCAUCCAUGUACUUACAAAUUUUCCCCUGAGGCAAGUACUCCAGAAGCCCGAUGCCUCGGGAAGAUUGUUGAAAUGGGCAGUGGAACUAAGNNNNNNNNNNNNNNNNNNNNNNNNNNNNNNNNNNNNNNNNNNNNNNNNNNNNNNNNNNNNNNNNNNNNNNNNNNNNNNNNNNNNNNNNNNNNNNNNNNNNNNNNNNNNNNNNNNNNNNNNNNNNNNNNNNNNNNNNNNNNNNNNNNNNNNNNNNNNNNNNNNNNNNNNNNNNNNNNNNNNNNNNNNNNNNNNNNNNNNNNNNNNNNNNNNNNNNNNNNNNNNNNNNNNNNNNNNNNNNNNNNNNNNNNNNNNNNNNNNNNNNNNNNNNNNNNNNNNNNNNNNNNNNNNNNNNGCCUCAUCCCAUCCUUUGAAAAGUUCGAGUUAAUCCAGAUUCCCCGCAUCGAAAAUGCUCAUGUGGACGCACUCUCGAAGCUGGCUAGUAGCAAGGACUCAGAACUACUCACUGUAGUACCUAUCGAGCACCUCCUACGGCCUUCAACCGGGGCCCCUAAUGUCAUGUGGGUCGGUGGAAUUCCCACCUGGAUGCAACCAAUUAUAGCAUACCUGAAAGACCAGGUGCUACCCACCGACAAAAAUGAGGCUUACAAGCUAAGAAGGAGGUCAGCCCAUUUCCUCUUCAUCGACGACAUUCUCUACAAGAGAAGUUUCUCCUCUCUACUCUUACGAUGUGUCGGAGGGGAGGAGGCUACAUACAUACUAAGAGAAGUCCACGAGGGAGUGUGCGGCAACCACUCUGGAGGCCUAUCUCUAUCACAAAAAAUACUGAGACAAGGAUACUACUGGCCUACCCUGAAACGGGAUGCCCUCGAAUUUGUGCGAAAAUGUGAUAAGUGCNNNNNNNNNNNNNNNNNNNNNNNNNNNNNNNNNNNNNNNNNNNNNNNNNNNNNNNNNNNNNNNNNNNNNNNNNNNNNNNNNNNNNNNNNNNNNNNNNNNNNNNNNNNNNNNNNNNNNNNNNNNNNNNNNNNNNNNNNNNNNNNNNNNNNNNNNNNNNNNNNNNNNNNNNNNNNNNNNNNNNNNNNNNNNNNNNNNNNNNNNNNNNNNNNNNNNNNNNNNNNNNNNNNNNNNNNNNNNNNNNNNNNNNNNNNNNNNNNNNNNNNNNNNNNNNNNNNNNNNNNNNNNNNNNNNNNNNNNNNNNNNNNNNNNNNNNNNNNNNNNNNNNNNNNNNNNNNNNNNNNNNNNNNNNNNNNNNNNNNNNNNNNNNNNNNNNNNNNNNNNNNNNNNNNNNNNNNNNNNNNNNNNNNNNNNNNNNNNNNNNUUGAAGCCGUAAACAAGACAAUCAAGCACGUCCUGAAAAGAAGGCUUGAUGUGUCCAAAGGAGCUUAGGUUGAUGAGCUGCCCCAAGUACUUUGGGCAAUCCGAACCACCACCAGGACCCCAACCGGGGAGAUCCCUUUCCUCAUGGCUUUUGGGACUGAGGCGAUGAGCCCCGUGGAGGUCGGACUCCCAUCUCCACGACGUCUGCACUUUAGUGAAGUGACCAACGACGAGCUCCGGAGGCUAGACCUCGAUUUCAUUGAGGAGAGGAGGGAUGACUCCCAGCUGAGGUUAGGCACCUACCAAAGGAAGAUGACAAGGUACUUCAACUCCAAAGUGAAGAAGAGGUCUUUCCGAAUCAACGAUCUUGUGCUCAGGAGGGUCUUUCCAUCUUCAAAAGAACCCGGUUCCGGCUCCCUGGGACCGAACUGGGAAGGUCCAUACAAGAUCAGAGAAGAAAUCCGACCUGGAACCUAUUGGAUUGAAGACAUGGACGGCAAGGCACAACCCCGUCCAUGGAACAUUGAACACCUCAGAAUCUUUUAUCAGUGAAUUGUAUCAUGCUGGAUGACUUUCCCAGCCUUUGUAAUAUUUCUAUGGCUCAAUAAAAUGCGUUGAUUAAAUCGCCAUACUACUUCAAUAACCUCGGAGGAGAGGCUCGGGACCCACCACUGGGCCACAUCGCUUGGACUCCGAGGCUCUAGCACAUGCCUCCCUUUUGGCCUUGCUGAACGCCAAGGGGAGAAGCCUCAACAUGGCUGCACCAUCCACCAUGUCUGGGAUGCGUCGUAACCUCGAAGGAGAGGCUCGGGACCCACCACUGGGCCACCUCGCUUGGACUCCGAGGCUCUAGCACAUGCCUCCCUUUUGGCCUUGCUGAACGCCAAGGGGAGAAGCCUCAACAUGGCUGCACCAUCCACCAUGUAUGGGAUGCGUCGUAACCUCGGAGGAGAGGCUCGAGACCCACCACCGAGGCACCUCGCUUGCACUUCGAGGCUCUAGCACAUGCCUCCCUUUUUGGCCUUGCCGAACGCCAAGGGGAGAAGCCACAACCUUAAACCCGAGGCCCCAACAGUUCAUCUUAAGUUAUGUUCAUUUUCUUAAGUCCGAGGCUCCAACAGUUCAUCUUCUUAAGUUAUGUUCAUUUUCUUAAGUCCGAGGCUCCAACAGUUCAUCUUAAGUUAUGUUCAUUUUCUUAAGUCCGAGGCUCCAACAGUUCAUCUCCUUAAGUUAUGUUCAUUUGCUUAAGUCCGAGGCCCAUACAGUUGACUGAAGUCAAAGUUAUUUAGUUCGUGCGCUUAUCAACUUCCAGUUCGUUUGUUUAAACGAGGCACAAAAACUUGGAUAAAGAACAAUCAUGAAUGAAGAAAAACAUUAUAUUAAUAUUUAAAAAGGAUCACAACGGAGGGCCUCUGGCCAUUACACAAAGUACUGAAAAGGAAAACCUAAUCUAAACCUGGCUGGAUGAAGGAGGUGCCUCAGCACUUGGGGGUUCGGCAACCUGAGCAUCAGUAGUUGCUUCCCCUGCCUCAGCAUUUGGGGCUUCGGCAUCAGCUGCCUCGUCACCCUGCACCUCCUCAGCUGGGGUCUGAGGAACCUCAUCCACAAAUUCGGACCUAAGUUGUGCCAGGUCCAAGUUUGGAUAAAGCUCCUCUGCCCUCUCCAGCACUUCGGCAUAGGCGAAGUUCCUCCAAUACGCGCUGAAACUUUUAUACUCCUCUGUAGUAUGGAAAUUGGCGAUGUAUGCCCUCACCGCCUCUUCCGCUGCAUCCCGAGCCUCUUCUCUGGCAAUCGAGGCGUCGUUCAUGUACCACUUCGCCUGGCCUUCGAGAAACUGAUUGGCAUCAUGAGCGCCGGCCAAGGCGAGAUUCGCCUGCUCCAGAGCCUCGGCAGUCACCUUUUGGUGCUCAUUGGAGACCUCCACCUUCUUCGUCAGGGAGGCCACCUCGCACUGAGACUCAUAUACUUCCCUCUUUAGGGCCUCAAUUUGGGUCAGGGCAGACUCGAGCUUCGCCGCUUCUUCAACCCUCUGUGCUUUGGCUUCUUCGGCCUCGGCCUUAGCAGCUUUGACCUCCUCAACGAGCGAAGCAGCUUUCCCCUCCGAGGCGUGAGUCCUUGUUUGGAAUUCACUUAAUGCCUCCCUGCAUUCUAGUGCGAGGCCAAAGGUCCGGGCGCUUUGGCUCACCAGUGCCCUCGUGAGGUCGGUGGCAUCACAAGACGAGGCAUGAAGCUGCCACCUCUCCGUCCAGAACUUGUAAAAGCUCUCAGUGGCACCUCUGAUCUCCUCAGGGAGAGCCUCCACCAAGGCUGGGGCCAGCUCAUCCUCCCUCCCAGCUAGGAAGUUUGGAGACUUUCCCUUCUCCCGAACUGGUUUCUCCUUCGCCGCCUCCUCUUCGGCUGCUUCAGCAGCUAGCCUGGCAGCCUCUUCCCUGGCCUCUUCAGCCUCCACCUCUCUUACCAUCUCCAUUUUGAUGGCUUUAGAGGCUGCAGCGAGAAGCUUCGGCUCUCCAGUUUGUUCUGCCCUAUGGGACACUGAAGUCCCAAACUUGCCAGCUGAGCUGGAGAUGUGCACCAGCUUCCUCUUCUUAGUCUCCUCAGAGACUUUCUCCUUGCCCCGAGGCUCCUUGGACUUCUCUGGCCUCUGAGUAGAUGCCUCUUCCGAGGCCCUGGGAGUGCAGUCCUUGGACAGGCGCUCAACCCUGCCACGGACCUCCUUUGCCCCACUAGACCCGGGUUUCAGAGGCCUUGCCUUCGCAGUAAAAGUGGCCUUCAAGAUGGAGGCCAUAUUCGGAGCCGGGUAUUCCCUCUUCUUGAAUUUGUCUGCAACACGUCAGAUUAGCAUCAGCACAAUAAACAUUGAAAUUAAACAUCAAGUGUUGGAGCCCCAUACCUCUGGACGCCAUAAGCCCGAAGUCCAAGAAGUAUCUGCUUCCAUCAAUCAGGUGAUCGAAGUGCCGAAGCUUUAGAGGCCUCUUGUAAAUGUCCUCUAUCACCUCGAAUUCCUCCCUGCUGAGCUCGAACCUCGUACUACUAUCUACAAAGACGAACCUUCAACAGUUAGACGAGUAAAUACUCUGAUUUCAAAACACAAGCAGAGGUUGGGAGACUCACGAGCUUCGUAGUACUGGGUCGGCACUGUGCAUGACAGGGCUUUGUCACCCUCUACUGCCUGCCAUUUACCUCGUACCCAGAACCAGGACUCCUUCCACCCCUUGAUAGAGGAAGGAAGUCCCACCACAAAGGGUGCGUGAGCCCCUCAAGGCGUGAGGUAGUACCACCCCCUUAACUCCUUCCCAAUUACCCGGGGCUGGUACAGGGUCAUAAAGACAUGAAGGGGCAUGUCCUCCCCAAGUGAAACUUCCUUCCACAGGAAGUAAGAGCCGACCAGCUGGCUCCACCCAUUCGGCAGAACCUGGGUCGGCGACAGCAUAAAUUUCCUAAGCACCGCCCUAAAGAAGGGGUGCAAAGGAAGACGCAUACCUGCUUUGAACAGGUAUUCACUCACGGCCACGCAGCCGGGCCUCGGAUAGCAGGCCCGCUCGUUCGGUUCAGGGACUAACAUCUCUAUGUUAUGAGGCACACUGUACCUCUCCCUAAGCUCCCCCAACCUCUUCCCCGUCAUGUUUGAGGGCACUCUAGAAGCCCCCCACUCCUGGGUAUAAUCCACGUCCUCCUCGGCCAUGGCAUACCUAUCCACCUCGGACGUCCCCCCAUGACCUACCCCGUGGUCUAAAGACGCUACAGUGACAAGUUCCCUACCCGAAGUGGACUCCAUUGUUUGAGGACAAAGAAUAACAACGGUUUUUUUUAUGCAAACAAUACCUAAAAGAGUUCAACACAAACGGAGACCGGUCGGAAUCUAAUCGCAGACAACCUCAACGCCGGAAAAUGGGAGAUUUGAGAGAGUUUGAGAAUGCAAAGUGCUUAAAAUUUCUGGAAAGUAGAAUUUUCUCGCCUUUUAUAAAGAUCCAAGGCGAACCCCACCCGUCAGAUCAAAUCUCAGUCAAUCCGAGCCCUCCGUUUCAGAUCCAAUCCGAGGCGUUGAAUUCAAAUAGUCUUUGAAAUCCUACGCCUCCUAUCUAUGCGUACCUCACACGCACCUCUCCAGCGCGUCUGCUUCUGGAAACGCCAGCUGCCCUCAUAAUUGCAUUUUUAAUUCGUUGGCGCUAGCACAUUGGAAGCCGUAACGGUUCAGCUACCUUUUCUCGAAAACAAGCACAAAACAUCAAAUCAUUGGCACAGAGACCAAAGCAUAAUCAUUACAUUGGACCUCGGCUUCUUCACGUGCCAGUCAGCAUUUCAGCCUCGCAGGCUUGGUUUCACACCACCUCGGCUCCUCAUAUGUCAUUCAGCAUUUAAGCCUCGCAGGUUCGGUUUCCCAACCACCUCGGCUUCUUCACGUGCCAUUCAGCAUUUAAGCCUCGCAGGCUCGAUUUCACACCACCUCGGCUCCUCAUAUGCCAUUCAGCAUUUAAGCCUCGCAGGUUCGGUUUCCCAACCACCUCGACUUCUUCACGGCCAUUCAGCAUUUAAGCCUCGCAGGUUCGGUUUCCCAACCACCUCGGCUUCUUCAUAUGCCAUUCAGCAUUUAAGCCUCCCAGGUUCGGUUUCCCAACCACCUCGGCUCCUCAUAUGCCAUUCAGCAUUUAAGCCUCGCAGGUUCGGUUUCCCAACCACCUCGGCUUCUUCACGUGCCAUUCAGCAUUUAAGCCUCGCAGGUUCGAUUUCCCAACUACCUCGACUUCUUCAGACGCAAUCAGCAUUCAAAUCAUGCAGGUUUCGGUCCCCCAACCACCUCGGCUUCUUCAGCAUAAACCUACACCAAAACUUCUCUAACUCCAAUCAUGAUAUAAAUUUUGUAAGGUAACAAAUGUAGAUGAAAUAAAUGAAUGGUCAAGUUAGCGAUGUAAAUCUAAUACGGGUUGGGCAGGUGUGGGCAAAUUCAUGAGCUAUUUUUUUCAAUUCUUUUCAUAAAAAGAAAUGUGUUCGGGGUCUUGUGGAAAAAUGAGAACUGUGUAAGGAUAAAGUCACUCUUAGAGAAAUUGAACACUUCCCACAUAACGCCUACAACGUAGUAACAUGAAGGGUCUUCAAUAAAGGUUUUACAAACUUAAAACUACUAGGAAUAGAUGUCAAUAGCUUAUGAAAUUACAAUAAGCUUCCCUAAGAAAAAGGUAAUCUCUAUAAUAAGUGAUAAAUUUUAAAUUAUACAGAAAUUUUGUCUUUUAACUUUUUCUGUAUCCACCUUUCUGAUUCUAUAUAAACGAGCAGACCUCCAUUUCUCAGCGACUCAAUUAUCAACACAGUAUACAAAGGCAGAGAGAGAGAGAGAGAGAGAGAGAGAGAGAGAGAGAGAAUGUUGCGUGUUGUCACACCUGUCCUACCCACCUGGGCCAGUGGCCCACUCAUCCUGAUCCACGUGACAUUCCUGCCGAGGUGGCCCAUAUUGCCGAGGUGGGUUAUAUCCGAACUGCUUCUAACCGAGGCCCAUGGCCCGAGGCGUGGAAGCCUUUGGUUGUAGCUGAGGUCCUCAAAUGGACGAANNNNNNNNNNNNNNNNNNNNNNNNNNNNNNNNNNNNNNNNNNNNNNNNNNNNNNNNNNNNNNNNNNNNNNNNNNNNNNNNNNNNNNNNNNNNNNNNNNNNNNNNNNNNNNNNNNNNNNNNNNNNNNNNNNNNNNNNNNNNNNNNNNNNNNNNNNNNNNNNNNNNNNNNNNNNNNNNNNNNNNNNNNNNNNNNNNNNNNNNNNNNNNNNNNNNNNNNNNNNNNNNNNNNNNUUUUAACUUUUUCUGUAUCCACCUUUCUGAUUCUAUAUAAACGAGCAGACCUCCAUUUCUCAGGGACUCAAUUAUCAACACAGGAUACCAAGGCACAGAGAGAGAGAGAGAGGGGGAUGGAGAAGAUUAUUGCAUUCUUUGUGCCUAUUUUUACCUUUCCAUUUACUGUAUUUUUAUAUGUAAUUUCACUGAGAAUGAAAAGAAAACAUUCAGAGAGGAAAACUAAGCUCCCUCCAGGCUCCAUGGGGUGGCCUUAUAUUGGAGAAACUCUUCAGCUCUACUCCCAAGAUCCAAAUGUCUUUUUUUCUGACAAAGUAAAAAGGUUUCUUGCUUUCAUUCUCAAUUACUUACCGUCCAAUUCUGUCUAAUACUAAAUACCUGAGAUUCCCUGAUAGAAUUUUUCUAACAAUAAUUCUAAACGGGGCAGGCACCCUACCAAUAGGGGGACACGUGUCCCCCCGGACAAACAGGGCCCUGUUUGCCAAGCAAAUCUCUUUUUCUAAACUGUAUGUUCUUAUGCAGAUAUGGAGAAAUCUUCAAGACUCAUGUACUUGGUUGCCCUUGUAUAAUGUUGGAAAGCCCAGAAGCAGCCCGAAUCGUGCUAGUCACCCAGGCACAUUUGUUCAAGCCAACGUAUCCAAAGAGCAAGGAAAAUUUCAUCGGCCAGUCUGCGCUGUUUUUUCACCAGGGAGAGUACCAUAUGCGGCUUAGGAAGCUCGUCCUUGGAGCAUUAUACCCAGAAGCAAUCCAAAACCUAGUAGCAGAUAUUGAAGCCAUAGCAGUGUCUGCAAUGGAUUCGUGGGACGGUGGCCGUGUCAUCAACAUUUUCCAUGAGAUGAAAAAGGUUCGUCUCUUUGAAUUCAUGCUAACACCCAUUUAUAAAAAUUGUGCACCUGUCACCUCUUUAAUGAAAAAAUAUCGUUGGCAUGCACACAGGGACGUGUUGAAAACUUCAAUUUAAAUGAACAAAUCUGUCUCUUUUAAGAUUCUAGAUGAGAAAUCUAAUUUGUCAUCUACCAUUGAUUACCUGCAGUUCUCAUUUGAAGUAGGUAUACUCUCCAUUUUUGGUCAUUUGGAGCCCUAUUAUAAAGAAGAACUGAAGAAGAACUAUAGCAUACUCGAUAGAGGGUACAAUUCUUUUCCAACAAAGUUACCUGGAACUCCAUACCAAAAGGCAAUGAAGGUAAAGUAACGAUAAUUGUACUCUGUUACAUAGUACUAUAAACGAGAUUUUAACUUCCUUUUUUAUUUUUAUUUUUAUUUUUUUUUUCUUUUUUGUUUAGACUGUCUAGUCUACCUUAAUACACGUGUUGAAAAUGGACUCUCAUUUUGAUUAGUCAUAUUUACCAUUUUAAUGUAUGAAGGCAAGGAAGAGGCUGGGUGAAAUAUUAAAUAACAUUAUGAGAGAAAGAAAGGAAAAGAGGAUUACGAAGGACCUGUUGAGUUGUCUGCUAGUUUCGAAAGAUGAGAACGGUGUAACUCUAAACGAGGAUCAGAUUGCUGACAACAUCAUCGGAGUACUUUUUGCAGCACAAGACACGACUGCGAGUGCCAUGACAUGGAUUCUCAAGUACCUUCACGAUUACCCAAAAAUUCUCGAGGCUGUCAAGGUAAAAUCUAGAAGGCAUUUUCUAGUUGCUCUGGAAUAAUACAAGGUUCUCUAAGAAAAACGUAGCUCUAUUUUCUGUUUGUGGGGUCAAAUCAAUAUAUUGUAAGAUUCUCGUGUCUCUAGAUCAUUCUCAUUUCUUGACCUUAUUCUUAAAUUUGCUUUGUAAUCGUCGUAGAUAAUAUGUUUCUGAUUUGCAUGCAGGCUGAACAGAAGGCAAUAUACCAAUCAAAUGGAAAUGGAAAUAGUCAUUUAACAUGGAAUCAAACAAGAAAUAUGCCAUUUACUUACAAGGUAUUUGACUACCAUAAAUAAUAUAUUUGGUAUAUUUCGUUUCAAUUAGGUCGGUUAACACCAUUUUUAUUUUUUUUACAAAAUCAUUUACAAGUAGUAUCAAUUCACUUUCAUUCUCUAACGUCUAACUUGCUUCCAUCAUCCACACGCAAUAUUUUGACCUGUAUUUUUGUUUUCAGGUGAUUUUAGAGAGUUUGAGAAUGGCAAGCAUUAUAUCAUUCACAUUUCGAGAGGCAGUGACAGGUGUGGAAUAUAAAGGUCGGCUUUCUUGUAAGGGAUAUGCACCCUUUUCGGGGGCAUCCUAAUUCUUGUAAUAUUAUCAAAUAAUCCACUGAAUUUUGCUAUUUGUAUGCCGACAUUCACACUCCCCUUACAUGAGGGAGGGGCCCACACCCAAUAAAAAAAGUGUGGACCCCUUGUGUGAGGAACGUGUACACUGUCGUGCCGUUGUACGUGUAGGCGUGUACUUAUCUGAAAUAAAUGUUUUUUGGUCACUGACAGGGUACCUAAUUCCAAAGGGAUGGAAGGUCAUGCCUUUAUUUAGGAAUAUUCACCACAAUCCUGAUUUCUUUGUUGAUCCUCAGAAGUUUGAUCCUUCCAGAUUUGAGGUACGAGUUAAUAUUAUACUUUUAAUGGUUGACGUUAAGUGCAUAUUUAGCCCCUAUCUUACAGUCAUGAUCAUAAAAUUUAUAUUUUUUUCUACGUGCUGAUUUCAACCACACAUUCAUACAAUAAAAUAUUCUGCACGUAAACUCAAAAUUUUCUCGUACUUUUUAACCACAUAUUUUCUAAAAAUUCACUAUUCAAAACUUUAGUUUUGCCUUAGUGCUUGUUUGAUACUUUUCAACUUAUCAAACUUAAACUUUUAGCUACAAAUUGGAUCCACAACUUUUUAUCAAUUUUUUUUGUCAAAAGUUUUGUUAAACAAUCCCAUGGUACUUAGAACUAAAUCUAAGAAUCUUUUGUUAGGGCAUAUGAAAAUAGAUUAAGUAUUAAUGCCAAGCAAUUAAACUUCAUUUUCACCAUAUAUUGACCUAAAUAAAAAAUUGAGUUCGACUAAAAAUUUAAUGACCACCAUGAUUUUAAUCCGAUGAAAGUAUGGUACGAAAAAUCUUUUUUUCCUCAAAAUAUAAAGAUUAAAGAGACUUAUUAAGGAGAAAAAAAUUGUAGGAUGAAGUAACGAAUAUUAAUUUAUGGUUUCUUGUAGGAUGUGGUGAAACCCAAUACGUUUAUGCCAUUUGGCAGUGGAGUACAUGCCUGCCUCGGUAACGAACUUGCUAAGCUAGAAAUGCUCGUUAUGAUCCACCAUCUAAGUUCUCAGUUCAGGUACUUUAUCAAACUACAACAAGUAUUUUUGGAAAUGCGUUUUUUAGAUAAAUUAAAUCAUAAAUAACCAAUUCUAUUUUAUACUGCUCGGUUCCUCGUAUGUUCAGUUGAAUUCACCAAACAUGUCAUACAUGUAUUUUAUGCACCAUAUAUCACAAGAUUCGAUUAAAAUAAUGUAACUUUUUUUUUUCCUCUCAAUUUUGUGUUAUACUAUACAGUUUAUCUUACUAACUAUGUGACGACGUUGGUGAGUGGUAUGUGAAAUUAGGUAUUAUUUGACAAUUGUGUUUGUAGGUAUGAAGUGGUGGGAUCCCAAAGUGGGAUUGAACACACGCCAUUCCCCAUCCCUUUCCAAGGACUCCCUGCCAGAUUUUGGAAACAAGAACCAACCAAUUAAGUAGGACAUACCAAGACAAUUGUUCCUUAACCAAUUUUCACUUUUCCUUUCUGUUCCCAUAAUCCAAUUUAAUAUGGAGAUGGCUUUUUUUCCUCAAAGUGAAUUAAUAUAAGUUCAUAAUCAAUGAACUAAUAAUCAAUGAAGAAUUUAGAAUUUAUUCAGAUAUCUCAUUGGUUAAAUAUAGCAAAAUUUGUACUAUUUUUAUUGCAAGGUUGGUAUUGAAAUUGAAAUAUUAAUGAAACAAAAAGACAAUAGAUUUGAUUCAAUCGAAUUAUCUUGUUUCUUGGCUUUGUUGACUUGAAAAAUCGUUUUAUUUUCUUGAUUGUUAUUGAAAAUCAAUUAUUACUUUUUCUCAAGAAAAUUUGCUUGAUAGAGGUCAUAUGUCGCGAGAAAAUGGAAAAUAGUCACUUUUUAUUUUCAUUAAAAUCAUGAGUAGAAAUUAAGGCUUCGAGCAGUCUUGAGCCACACAUUGUGAAAUUAAUUAAAUAAAAAAAAAAAGGAGAGUUUUUAUUAAUUCCAUUCUUUCAUUUCAAUUCCGACAUCUCUGCCCUUAUGUUUUUGUUUAUGAUGUUUGUGAUGCCACUGUUAGUUUACUUAAUGAAAUGUUGAACUAUUGCAAUGUUUAAAAUUUGUUUAUCAUUUUUUUUAUAAACUAGUCGAGUAAAAUUCAAUCAUUUGGUCAAAAUGAUCGAUUUAAGUUCCUAGUUGGUUCUAUAUUGGAGGAAUCGAGUUUGGGAACUUCUAAUUUAUGUAGAAUUAAAUUAUCACGCAAUUUGCAUCCGCUUUUCACAAAUUUUCCCUCGAGUAAUGCAAUUCAACAUUACUGAUAUCAAGCACUAAUUGAAGAGGCAACUUCAUGACAUUAAAUAAUUGAUUCAAAUAAAUGUAAUGUCAUAUGAUUCAUAUAAUUAAAUCUAUUAAAUGUGACCAUCUAAAUCGGCAUUUCAGUACAGUUGGUGCUUGACAACAUUAUUCGAUGUGAAAUGUGAUGUUGGGUGAUAUUUGUUGAUGCCACGUUUUGAAAUGUUUCAUAAAGUUCUAGUUGUGAUGAGAGGCCAUAUUAGAACCAGAUGGUAAGAAUAUGAUUGGUCAAGUGAAGAUGGGUUUGGUCCAUAAGAGCAAUCUCUAAAAGAAUACUAUUGCUUUUGUCGACUACAUUUGACGUUACAUUUCACAAUACGUAGUGAAUUAUUUCAUUUCCUAACAUAUUUUAGUGGAAUUGUAUUUCUUUUUUAUGAAUGAGAGCUCUCUUAAUGAAUAAUGAUAUAUGACGGGUAUUUUAAAAUCAGUCUAAAUAACAAUGUAUGAUAUUAAAAAAAAGGGCUCAAUAUAGGACCAUAUUAAAUUUAAUAUUGAACUUAUCAUGCAUGGCUACAUAAAUUAAUUUGAAAACAUCAACUAGAAUAUAUAGAAUUACCUUUCUUAAAAUUUUAUUUAACUAUGUAAGUCGUCAUUACUAUAAUUUAUUUUCAAUUUGUGCUAUGUUGACAUGUUUAACUGUAUCAAAUUCUCGAAAAAUUGGAUUAAAUGGUCUCAAACCUUUGCUCUUCUUGCAUUUCUUGGUCCCAGAACUUUAAACCUUGACAAUCAUGUCACAAACCUAUGUAUUUUGGCAUAGUUAUUCCUUUUAGAUGGAUUCGGUUUAAAAUGGUGGUUAAUUUUGUGCGUAGAUUGUAAUUUUCUUAUUUUAUUUUUGUCUGAAGAGGCAAAUCUGUCAUAUCAAUAUCAACUUAAGUAAAAAAUAAAAAUAAAUUUAAAAAGAAAAUAGUUUUAAAGAAAAAAUUAUAAUCAUAUUCUUCUUCCACCCACGCUAUAUUUCAUACAUACAAAGACAUGGGAACGGGAAUUGUGACGAGCAGAGUAAUGAUUCGCUUGUACAAGCCACUCGUGAAAAAUGUCAUUUCGAUAAUAAUAAAAAUGUUGACGUGCCACGAGCGGCUCAACUUCUCCCACUUCCCAUCCCUACAUAGACAUUUAGAGAGAGAAAUACAUGUACAAACGUUUACAUUUAGAGCAGUAGAAGGAUAUUUGCAUAUAACAUCCACAUUUUCUGGUGGAUAAACAAACAGAGCUGGUUAGCUAACAUAAUGGUUGUCAAAUCGUAUCUCAUUCAGAUUAAUGCUAAAAAAUUUACAGGCUAUAAUGUUUUAUGUAAUUUGAUCCCGAAACCAAGUAAAUCUUCAAAAUUUUUACCAUAAAAUAGUAAGGCAAACCAAAAACUAGGAACCGGAAUUGAGAACCGGCAAGAUCUGGUUCUUGGUUCUUGAAUUGGAACCGUUGGUACCCAAAUUGAGCCCUUUUAAUAAUACUUUGUUCUCACAAUUUAUAGGCUGAAAAAAAUAAAUAAAUAAUAGGGAAAAUUUCACAUAGAAGAUAUUAAGUAUAGGGCAUUUCAAAAAUAAGAAAAUAAGUAUCAUAUUUCAAAAAUCAGAAAUUAGCCUAAAAAUAAAUACAAAUAUUAAUAUAAUUUAAUAUGGAAAACAAUCCCGAGCAAAGAGCCGUAAUAUCAGGAUUCUCCUAAAAAAAAUUAAUUCAUCUUUCAAUCUGAUUUCAAUAGCCAGAAGAUCUGAAAAUACAUCCAAUUACGACCGGCUCUUGCGGAAUUGAUGGUGAAACCGAAUUCUGGUCACAAAUUGCAGUCGCGGGUCGUAUGAGAUCGGCUCAAACAGUCACUGAAAACAUUAUUCAGGCAUGUAAUUAAAUUGAUCAGGUGUGUAAUUGCGAUUUAUUCAUUAUAAUUUGUCGUUUUUUCACGCUAGACAAGCUUCGAUUGAUCAGAAAUAUGAUUCAUUGUAAUUGCGAAUAACGGACAUUGCCGUUCGAAACUGUUGUGACCGUUAUGGAAAACAUGUGACCCUGGAUGCAAGAUAUAACCUCAUGCAUUCAGUAUGUAUGGGUGUUUGUGUCUCGAAAUGUGUGAAAUGUUUUAAUCUGUGUAUUAUGAUACUGAUGCUCUUGUUCGAAUCUAAUCAUAUGCGACAGACCUAUACUUAGUUACUGUGACCGAUUAUUGCAUGUAAUUGUAACACAUUGAAUACAUGUGACCUGCAUGUAUUCAAUGUGUGACCAUGACAUUCAAGAUACCACAUGCGUUCGCUUUGACCUGUGAUCAUUUAACAGUAUUGUGACCGACAUGCAAUUAACUGUGACCAGUAUACAAAGACUUAAAUGUCACAUAUGACCUAUGCAAUGAUCUGUGACCUCUCGUAAAAAAAAUCUGGGAAAUAAAACUAUGUGACCUGCAUGUUUUCAAUACGUGACAAUGAUACUUGAGAUUCGAUAUAUGUUUAUUGUGACAUUUGACCAUUAAUUUAAUUUUGACCCAUUUGCAAUUAGAUUUAACAUAUAUUUGGAUGUUAGGCUGAUCAUGUAUUUGCAAAUUUUGCAGAAAAUGGGGUUAAUUCACGUGUGUCUGUUGAAUGGAUCACAAGUGUCACUGGUUUUAAUUGAUCGUAGUUGCGGGUAUUUGAGGCUUGUCGACACAGUUAUGAAAGAGUUUAGCUUUGACCCUGCAAAAGUUGUUGUGACAAUGAAGUAUGUCUUGAACAGUGAUCUGUCUCCAGUAGCAAUCAAAAGUGAUGAGAACGUCUUGUCUUACAUGGUUUUAAAGGAUAUGAGUCGUGACCCUGCGAAAUAUCCAAUUCACAUCGAGGUGACAACUGCGGAUAUCGAAAAAUAGCCUAUUGUGCUAUCAGUUGAUGUUAAUCGAACGAGCAUGGGUUUUCAUUAACAGAUAUGUCAUCAGACAUAUGUCGAGCAAUAAUGGAUCCAUCUAGUGACAAUCUUGAGCAUGAGGUCACAGUUGUGGCGGUGGCAGAUGCUAGGGAGGUAGAGGAAGGAAGAGUCUUCCGUAACAAGGAGAUAAUGAAAUUGAGCUUGUCGUUUUAUGCAAUCCAGAACAUGUUUGAGUACGUGGUUGUUCGGUUCGAUAAGAAAGACUAUCUUGUAAAAUGUACACGUGAUGAGUGUAAUUGGAUAUGUAGAGCAUCGAAGCUAGCCAAAACAGAUAUGUUUAAAAUCAGACACAUUGCAGAAGGUCACAUAUGUGCUUCAAACAUCGUACUCAGUACUCAUAGGCAAGUAGCAAAGACGGUUGUGUCAACUUGCAUUAAGUAUAAGUACACAUCAUCGCGCACAAUAUACACACCGAAUGAUAUACGCAACGACAUGCUGCAUACAUACGGAGUAUCUUUGAAUUAUGUCCAAGCUUGGCGAUCUCGAGAAGAAACUCUGAAAGUGCUUAGGGGUGAUCCAACCGAUUCAUUCAAUAAGAUACCAGCCUUUUUUUUUGUGAUACAACAAACAAAUCCUGGAUCAGUGACAUGUCUAGAAAUUGAUGGUCACAAUAGGUUUAAAUAUUACUUCAUGGCACUAGGUGCAUCUAUACGGGGAUGGAAACAUUGUAGGCCAGUUGUUGUGGUUGAUAGCACCUAUCUAAAUGGACACUAUGGUGACACCUUAUUCACGGCAUGUACACAAUAUGCAAAUAACAGCAUUUAUGUACUUGCUUUCGGGAUUGGGGAUAACGAGAAUGACAGCUCCUGGACAUGGUUUUUUAGACAGUUGAGAAAAGCAUAUGGGGAUAGAGACAGUUUGUGCUUCGUGUCGGAUCGUCACAACAGCAUCAAAAAGGCGAUUGAAAACGUGUAUCUGGGAGCAUGUCACAGGAUAUGUUCUUACCAUCUACUACAAAAUCUAAAAUCACGGUACGGGAGAUCAGGACAAAACAUAACACAAGCAUUCAAUGCAGCUGUUCGCACCUACACACUAUUGGAAUAUGAAUAUUACAUGCAACAACUUGGGUCGAUUAAUCAGAAGAUAAGGGGUUAUCUGGUACUAUACUAUAUGUUGUCCUAUGAUGAUAUUCACAUAAAUACGUUUAACAUGGUACUGUACGCUAUAUGAUACACAUUUCCAUGGUUUUGUUUUGUAGGACAAAGUUGGACCUGAGAGAUGGUCACGUAUCCACAUGCCUUCAAACCGGUAUUCUACAAUGACAUCGAAUAUUGUGGAGUCGAUUAAUGCGGUCACAAAGUCUGCCAAGAACUACCCUAUUCUAGCUUUGUUGGAGUCAUUGAGACAAAUUCUACAAUCUUGGUUCUGUAGACACAAGGAGGAUGCCCAAGGCACUUUUACAACCUUGUCAAUCAAGUAUGAGAAGAAGAUGAGGGAAAUGAGUACAGAUAUAAGAAACUUGAGGGUAAGCUUGAUUACUGUAACCUAAUCUAUAAUCUGUGACUUACCGGAUCUGAUCUGUGACAUGUGCUGUGACUUCUGCUGUGAUCUGUACCGUUGUGUUUCAGUAAUAUUUGUACAAUAUUAUAUAGAACUACAUGACUUGCAAUUUCGUCUGUGUCCUACUUUUUAAUUACGUGACUUGUUAUGCCUAUAACUUGAGUCUAUAUCUGUAGGUUUCACCCAUUAAUCAGGCAAUGUUCUCAGUUAGCGGUGAAAGUUCCUCCUUCGUUGUUGAUAUAGAAAAUCGGACAUGCAUAUGUAGGAUGCUUCAAGUUGAUCAACUACCUUGUCCACAUGCUUUGGCUGUGUUUGCGAGUAUGAAGAUGGAUCCAUAUGAAUACUGCUCCUACUACUACACAAGUGAAGCGUUCAGAAAUACAUACCAAGAAACCAUUUUUUCGGUAGGAAAUCCAGCUGAAUGGACAGUGCCAAAUGAUGUCCAUGACAUAGUUGUAAUUGCACCUAAUCAAAAGCGAAGUUGUGGAAGGCCUACUGAGAAGAGAUUCAGAGCAGCGUACGAGGAAAACAUAACCGUCAAAUGUGGUCGGUGUGGUGAAAGUGGUCACAAUCGUAGAACAUGCAGCAGCUUAGUUCCGUUGAGUCAAAGCAACAAGAAUAAAGAGAGGAGGAUGAUGAAGGACUGGAAAUGCACAUUGAUAAAAUUUUUAUAAUUCCAUUGUUUUUUUUAUUCAUUAAUUUUUUGUAAACGUAGGAUGCAAAACAUUGGAUGACACAAAUUAAUGAUCUGUGAUCAUUCUACAAUAACAUGUGACUAGUAUGCGUUAACUAUGAUCAUUAUUAAUGACAUGUGAUCAGAAUGCAGUGACUUGUGACCAAUAUAAAUGAUCUGUGACCAGAAUUCAGUGACCAGUGACCCCUGUGCAAUCAACUGUGAAUAUAUGAAAUCAUCUGUGACUAGAUGUCAUUGAGCUGUGACCAAUAUGCAGAAAUCUGUGACCAUUUAUUGUGACCAACAAAAGAUGACCAGUGACAUAUUGCAAAAACUCUGCAAAAUGGAAGUGGUUCAGCUGUGACAAAUGUAUGAAAUGAUCUGUAACAAAUCUUCAAUGACCUGUGACCAGAUUGGAUUGACUUUUAAUAAUUCUUUAUGACCUGUGACCAAUAUACUGUGACCUGUGACCAGGGUGCAGUGACCUGUGACAAUGGGAAUUGACCUGUGACCAAAUUACACAAACCAGUGACCUGUGAUAAUCCUAGAAACUAGUGACCUGUGAUAAUCCUAAAAAUUGCAGGUAACCUGUGACCUGUGACAAUGGGAAUUGACCUGUGACCAAAUUACACAAACCAGUGACCUUGGAACUGCAGAUAAUCCUAGAAACUGGUGACCUGUGAUAAUCCUAAAAAUUGCAGGUAACCUGUGACCUGUGACCUGUGACCAGGUUGCAGUGACCUGUGACAAUGGGAAUUGACCUGUGACCAAAUUACACAAACCAGUGACCUUGGAACUGCAGAUAAUCCUAGAAACUGGUGACAUGUGAUAAUCCGAAUAACUGCAGGUAACCAUUAAAUUUUGAGACUUUGCCCUCGAUACGGUGUCAAUAUAGCAAAAUAUGAUAUAUAGUGAAACUUGUAGUAAAGUCCCCAAACAUUAAUGAACUUUUUGAUAUAAACAGACAAAAGUAAUAACUGCGUUGUCAUUACAAACGAAUUUCCAAAACAUUGAGACAAUGUUUCCUGCUAUUACAACAUGUUACUUCUAAAUUGCACUAUCACUCUAAAACAAUGCUUUCCCCACCAGUAGGCUGCACCGGCUUUCUAGUCUUCCCGAUUUCACGAUGUUUGAACAACAGUGAAGCUACAUCCAACCGAGCUCUCCCCGCAUCAAACUUCAUUGGCAUGGAUCCUAUAUCGUCAUGUAGCAUGUACUCCGCGUACUUGACCACGUAAAUGCCACAAUCAUGUCUAAGAACACAAAAAACAAAAUAUUAGCUAUGAAAUCAAGCAAGUUAUAAUAUGUUUAACUGUUAGUGGAGGGAAAAAAACUUGCCCAUUUUUCUGUUGGGGAAGAGAGAAAUCAAAAUCCACAUUCAACUCCAUGGAAUCUUUUUUCCAUAUUCCAACAGAUUUCAUAAGAUGCGGAAGCAUGCUGACAAAGGGAUCAAUUCCAGUACGAACUUUGAUAUCAUUGUAUGUCUUCCUAGACGAAUUCAAUAAACGCAACGUAUGUGCCUUUAUGUCCAACACUCCAAGCAUCCAAUGUGCUUUGUUGGUAGGCAGAAGUGGGAUAAACACAAGGUCAACUUCAGCCCAUGGAGUGCUCAAUGGAAUUCGCGCACCGGUAAUAUCGUUAAUCAGUUUAUCAUCCGUGACAAGAACAUUUGCAUCAUCCUUGAAAUUAGGAUACAUGUGCUUUAGGUUGGCCUGGAACAACGAGUCCGUUGUGGUAGCUACAAACUUGAAAUCUCUUGCACUUCUUGCCAGUUGACGUAUAUAAUAGAAGCACACGUCCAUAUGCUAUAGAGAUGAAAGUACAAUAAACAAUUUAGAAACCAUGUAUACACCAGAAAACACGAUGCAAUAAGCUGUUAAUUUGAUGUGUGACUCGGCUAGAAUGUGAUCACUACAAUCUGUAGUUAGUGACCACUCCAUAACUGAACCGGACGUAAUAAAGACAUGUGUGCUAUACUGAUGCAACUGCAGAUAUGUGUUCUCCUGUGCAGCGCGGAUUGUGACCUACUGUUCGUGUGAUUUGUGACCCAGGCAUCAGCUGUGACCUACUGUUCGCGUGAUCUGUGACCUACUGCUCGUGUGAUCUGUGACCCAUGCUCUGUGUGACUAGUAUACAAAAAACUGUGACUAAUGUGACAUGUACUGUAACAUACCCUUUAGAACUGUUACUUUUGUGUAGUGACUUACCGAACUAGUCAACGACACCUCCCUAGAUACAAAUUCGUACCACCGUGUCUUGUUUCCCGCCAAGUACUGACCGAUUGAAAAAGGUGGACGGAUGACAUCAUCUUUAUCAUUGAACUUCUUCCUGCAAAUGAGAAGAACGGAUCAUUAUUUGGAACAUUGUGAAAAUAGGACAACAAUUUCGUACUUGUUAUGCGGUUUGUAUCCUCUUUGAAACCAAUUUUGAAAGUCAGCAACAUCUGCAUCUUGUACAUUCUGAUUGUAGUGUUCAAAGACCACUACAUUUCCUGAAAAUUUCAUUUGUUUCAUUUUGUCGGCAACAUAAGGGGACUGAAGGGCUUUAGCUGGCUUUGGAGCCCUCUUCACCGGCAAUCCAGAACUUGGUGCAGCCUCAGGUGAGUGCUGCGUAAUAAAAUGUGUUCUUUAAUAUGUGACAUGCAUUAAUCACCAAAAAUACAUCGAUGUUUGGAUACCUCUUGCUGAAAACAUUCCGUGUCCUUCAAAACAUCGGCUAUGACCGAUUCAACUUGCCUGUCAACGUCCUUUGAUGCUUUUGCAACAAUCUGGCUUGGUUGUGUGAAUCCAAGACCAAGAUCAAAAGAUGGAGGUUCAAUAGAACAUGGGAAUUCAACUGCACACACAAAAUCAACCUUUGCCUUGCCUUUCGAAUCAACACUUCGUUCGACUUUUGCAGCCUGAAAAUUAGAACAAAAAUGCAUUUGAUGAGAAGUGUAUAUCAAACGGUUUAUGGUAAACAGACAAGUAAGAGGCAGUCACAGUUGGGGUACUUACUUCGCAUGUUGGUCCAGAUCCUACAACAAUUUCUGGUCCUGCGUUCUCUCUGAAUUUUUUCAUAAUUUCUUCCAUUGAACUAGUAUCAAUUUAGUCACAGAAUCAGACAUACACUGCAUGUGUGCUUUGAUGUCCAACAUGUCAGUACGAAUUUCACCUUGCAUACGAACUAGCAGAUUCAGUUUCCUUUGCUGAUCAGACUUUAAAGAAGACACCUGUAACUGCAUUGACUUGAGCUGUUUGCUUAGCAACCGAUUCUCAGAAUUAAGAUCAGAUAUCUGCCCUUUGAAAUAAUUAUUCAAUUCAUCGACAACCUGCAUCACAUGAAUACCUAUAAUCAGUAAAAUUAUGAUGAUGAAAUAUGACAUUGAUCUGUGAUCAGCAGUGACAUGUGUAUUGGUAUGUGACCCAAUCACCGAAACCUGUGACCUGAAUUUUUAUGUGACCAAAUGGACUUGUUACAUGAUAGAUGAAAUUGGAAGAGCUUACAUUUUUUGAUGGCAUAUCCUCUGAAUCAGUGGUGCCAUCUGACUUAAACUCCCCAGUUGGAGAAUCUUCAUGGAUUGAUGUCCCCUUCCAACUGGGUGGUGCGUCAACAAAGUCAUUAUCAUCAAUGGGGAGAUCAGAGUGUCCCAAUCGUCCAUCGGUUAUCAAAAGCAUGGGAGUAGAUUGUUUCAUUCCUGGAUUACUUGGUUUUGAACUAGUCCCAGCACGAUGAUCUGAUCGGUGUAUGCUACCACCCUUUCUCUUUUCCCCAUGUGACCGAUUGGGUAGGAUAGGUUUCUCAUACUGCACCUGACUCAUGUAUGGCAUUGCCAUUUCAGCUGGUGGGGGGUCCAGGUCACAUAUUACCAACUGCCAUUCAUAUCACAACAAAAAGUGCAAUGUCAACAACCAAAAAUUAUGUAUGAACAAACAGAUAUAGCUUUGCACAUCACACAUAUUCAAUUUGUUUGCAUUAAUUGUGAUAUAACAAGGGCAAAUGGCGCCGAGAAAAUGUCAGUGACCUAGUAUGAAAUGAUCUGUGACAUAAUGAGUAAAUCUGUGACUUCGAGAAUGCAAUUUGUGAUUUGACGAAAAUAUAUUUGUGACCUAAGAAAUAUGAUCUGGAACAUGAGAAAAAUGUGCCAGUUUAAUAUUUUGAAACCAGAACUGCUGCAUCGGUGGUCACUUACGUCGGGAUUGGAGAAGCAUUCAGGUCCCUCAAACUUCGCAGCCGAAGGGUGAUCAUCAGCCGUCCAGUUCAUUAUCCUGGGGUACACUCUCGAAAUCCCUCUCGCAGUGUAUCCAUCGAGACUGGGUAUUGUCUCGUAAAUCCACACUUGAAAGGCUACAAGCAACCCUCUGAGUCUGUAAUGUGUUGAUCUCUUACUCAACCCCUCCCUCAAUGAAUUUACUAGUUUGUCAAACAGCGACUUACCCCAUGGAAACACAUUCAUCGCACUAAAAUCUUCAACUAGUAUAAAUAAGAAGUGCUCCACAGCCUUCUUGUAGUCUCUCGGAUGUAGAUAAGAUGUUAUGAAAUACAAUGCACCUAGCAUGGCAACAUCCUCAUCCGGAAUGUCAGUAGAACCAAAAAAUGCGUCCUUGAUAUUUUCAUGAGUAACAUUUUUCAACCUUGAAAAAUACAAAUUUUUUAAUCGUGAUGGAGUAUUUUCCAUCCUACUUGUGUCAUCAUCGCCGACAUAUCUCAAACCAGUCACCAAACAAAAUUCUGAAAUUGAGAACCGCACGAAUCUCCCAGCUAUGUUGAACCACAACUCACUCUUGUUAGGUUGUUGCACUUGUCUCAGAAGAAAAUAGUGUAUCAGCUGCGAUUGGAUAACAAUUUCCUCGCAUUGCAGGAAGUGAGCAAAACACGUAUUCUGAAGGAUUCGGCGUUGGGCUUCAUUGAGAUUGUUUUUGAAGUUCGACACCACACCUUUGACGGGGGUAAUUGUAAUUUUACCCGGAAACCAACUCUUCUCGGGUAUAAUGUAUCUCCACGCCUGCAACAACGAUCACAAUAAAACUCAUUAUUUUGGUCACAGGUGAAAAUCCAGGUAGUCUCAAACAUCAACAUAUAGGUCACAGAUCCCCUUCAGCAAAAAAGAAAUCAACAACACCUAUACAGAAUGACACAAUAGCGUUCCAUAAUUCACAAAUGAACAACCACUUUUGAAAAAAACAUUAAAAACCCUUACUACAAUCAGGCAUUUCGAUUACAAAUUCAACACAACAUACAUCACAAAUUCAAAAAUACUUCAUCAAUACACAUUACCCAUCGAUUAAAAUGAAGCUAGGUAUACUCGAAAUAAGUGAACAAUUGAAAAAUAUCAAAAAAUCACCUUCUUCGACGACUGUUUUCCGACCGAACUUCUGGAUUUUUGUCUUUUAGAGGAUGAUUCCUUCUGCACUUCAUCCAACUUCCUUUUAACUCUUCUUCCUGACUCGUCGAUUCCAGUUUUCUCCCCACGUUUCCCACUGCUUGAACGAGUCAUCGUUGAAGUUUUAGAAUACUUCGGGUAAACUGUGAACACAGCUUUGGGAAGGAAUGUAAAAAUUAUGUGACCGACAGUGAAAGAAGUUGAUCGGGGAAUCGCCGGAGAACGACAGUGAUGAACGACCGAAUGGAUGAACACGGUUAGGAUGAACACGGUUUAAUCGAAAAAUGGGAUACGUGAGGGACGUGGUUAUGGAAAUGACGGUUUUAUGGAAAUGACGUGUUUAAAGAAAAUACAGUUUCAAAAGUUUUGAAUUACGUGAUUUUAGGUAGAGAUAGCUAUUAAAUAAUUUUAAAUUAAUUAGAAAAUGAAAAAAAAAAUCUGAUUACAGAAAUGUGAAACUUCCACUCUUAUUUAGGAAAUAUGAAUUUAUAAAAUAUGGAUUUGUGUAAUUACCACUAAAUAAUACAAUAUAAAUUUACUUGUAUAGUAAAUAGGCUUCCCAAUUCAGCCCAUGAAAAAACCCGAUCCAAAGCCUUUGGGCCAUUUGUCAAAUAAGUAUAUCCAGCCCAAAAGCAAUCUAGGCCUAGACUUGAGACCAAAAUGGAGAAGAUAAAAUAUGUGGAAAAUUUCAUAAAUAAAAGAACAAGUUUCAAAUUUUAAUUUUUAUUAAAAUUUAUUUUUGAUUUAAUUAAUUAAUUUAUUAAUUAAAAAUAUUUAGGUCACAAAUCUAUAUAAUUUGAUCACAAAUUAACAAUUUAAUUAGUCACUUAUUAGUUUUUUGUUACAAAUCAAAAAUUUUAUGUCACAAAUUAUUUUACGGUUACAAUUCAAAAAUUUUAUAGAUCACAACUUGUUUAUCAGUCACAAAUCAAAAAAUGUAAAAGUCACGAUUUAUUUAUUGAUCACAAAUCACAAAUAUUAGAAUUCACAAGUUAUUAUACAGUUACAAAUUAUCAAUAAUAAAUUAACAAUUUUUUUUGUCACAAUUUAUAUUUUUUAUUGAUUACAGUUUAACCAAUUUAAUGGUCACGAUCAAUCAAAUAAUUCAUGACCACCAACACUUGCGAACACCAUAUCACCACUUCUUCCAGCACCACCACCACCUCCACCUCCACCUCAAACAAAUCAACCCAUUGCAGAAAACACAACCACAUUGUCGAUGCCAAAUCCACCACCAAGAAAAAAAAUUAUUUACAUUAACUGCCACCAUUACUACCACAGAUCAAACCCAAAUUUCCUAGAUCUCCUGUCAUCCACCACCACCUGCACCAUCUAGAUUGUGACAACCAUUGCCAAUGCCAAGCUGUGACUACCAAAAACUACAGCUACUUCACCACCACUGUGACAGCACUGCAAAAUAAAUCCAAAAUCAAAGCCGUAAUGGAAGCGACAACCACUGACACGACCAUCACCAAAGCCUACAUCACAACCGCCAUACCCGCAGUAUCACAGUUGCACCACCACCACCGCCACACCCAAAGGAUCACAGUUUCCAUUUACCUCCCUCUUUAUGGUGGUGUAAAACGUAGAGGAAAUUUUAUAUUGCUGUAAAUUAAGAUGCCUACUUUUACCGUUAUUGCCUAGGAGAAUUUGUUGGAACCUCGAGUUCGAGACUCUUGCAAAAGCCCUCGAAGCCUAACCAGAGAGUGUCGAACGAUGAUGGCGAAGCAACUAAAGAGAUAGAGGAUUCGAGCACGAAUCCGAGAGUUGGAGGCUCCAGGCACAUAUAUAUCGCCGGCUCUCUACGUGACGCCGGAACUGGCUACGAUACCAUGAAUUCUUCCUCGCCUUCGCCGUAUGUCGUCAACCAAAAGAGAUGCGGCGUUGGCAAGAAUAGUAGGCAGACAGUUGAGAAAUGUGAAUCUAAACCCUAGAAAAAAGAGGGAAAUGAUUUGAAUUUGGAGGGGAUGGUGGGCGAUUUUGUAAAUGAAGGUGAAAUAUAGAAAGAGAAUGAAAGGGAUGAAGAUGGCUGGCGAGGUGAAAUAUAGAGUGAGAAAAUGAAAGGGCUGAAUGAAAAUAAAUUUUGGGUUUGGUAGGAUGAAUAUGUAAAUUUGAUUUUGUACUAUAAUUAUUAAUAUUUAAAAUAUAAUAAUUAAUUAAUAAAAUAUCUUAUUUUUGAAAUAGUAAACUUUACCUAUGAUUUAUGAAAUGAGAUCUCUAAAUCUAUUAGAGUGUGUUUGAUUACAUUUAUUUUUCAUGGAAAAUAUCAAUUUUCUACCCAAAUUCCUACUUGGAGUAUUUGAUUGCUAUUUUUUUCCGUGAAAAACAUUUUCCAACUAAAAUUAAGCCUUAUACGGCCCCAAAAUGAAGCAGUUGAAAAAUACUUCCUCCAAGUUGAAAAUUUGAAAUUUACAUCAUUCCAUAUAAAUUUCUUUGGGGUCGAAAGGGUAAAAUCAUUUGACAAGACCUUCUCUAUUUUUGGCGAUUAAGAUUCAAUUUUCAGCUUCACUUCGUAGUUCUGCAAUUUUGGGUGAAUUAUGUUCAAUAAUUGUUUUUUCCCCAUUUAUAAAUUGAAGUGUCAAUUUUUAGCUUCACUUCAUAACUCUGCAAUUUUGGGUGAAUUAUUUUCAAUAAAUUGUUUUGCCAUUAUAUAAUCAGAUUUAUGGUGUUGUAUUAAAGUGUCAAAUUCAAGUUUAACAUAUAUAAAUAUACACACACACACACACUUAGCUAGCAAAUCACCUGAAGAUAUGUUAAGUAGCAUGUCGGUUUCAUUGAAGUGUCAAACUUACUAUUUUUUUUUUUUUUUUUUUUUUUUUUUUGUUUUUUGUAUCAAAAUUUAGGUUGUUUCACACUAUACUUUUCAAUGCAAGUACCCAACUUAUAUUAUAUCAAAUGAUCAUAUGUACUUUAAUUUUCAUGCUCAAUAAUAAAUGAAUGUAAUAAAUAAAUAAAGUCACAAUUUAUUUAUUAUAAAUUAUUAUUUUAUCAUAAUAAAAUAUACUAUAUGGACACACAAUCCAACAACUAACUCCGUCACACCACCUUGAUCGACCUGCCAAUAUUCUAUAAACCUCAAGAAAUUCUCCAUGUGAGUGCUCCAAUGAUUAUAAUGACCAUCAAAGCGUGCAGUUGCAAGUUGAACAAAACUUUCAGAAGCAAUUUGGAAACGACUGCUGCAAAGAAAGAAAAAUCUAAUGCCACAACACACUUUCUUCCUCACUUUUCCAUAACUAGGCUCUGAUACCACUAUUAUAAAUUGAAAACUAAAAACUAAAUGUGAAUGGAGGGGUAAAAAAAAAAAUAAAAAUAAAAAAAUAAAAAACUUCCAUACUAUAGGCUUAUUCGAUUAACCAAAUGGCCCUUUAAAUAGACAAUACGUCAUAAAAAAAUAAGCUGAAAAAGCGCAACUGACGCUCUAGGAUGUGAUAUAAAACUAGCAAAAAUGAUUAUAACUAGGACAACAUAACACAAUAUGACAAACCACGUGAACGACAACUUUGACAAUCCAUAACAAAUACGAAUAAUAAUCCACUGAAGCCCCUUUGUUGGAAAAUUGAAAUGUCAUAUAAUUAAGACCAAUUAACAUAUGCAUUAUUGUUAUAUUGAUUAAUAAUAUUGUACUUUGUACUUUGAAACCGUUCCGUCCAUACCCACCACAAAUAAAGGACCUUAAUCAUUUGAUACCAUCAAUGUUCCAACUUUAAAAGCCUUAAUUUUUUGCGUUAUAUUUGAUCUUCGAACCUAAAAUUCGACAAGAUUAAAGAAGAAAGAGACUUAAGAUUGCUUGUCAAUUGUUUUAUUUAUGCAGGGCAACCCAUGUGAAUUAAUAAAUUAAAGAAUAAACUCAAACAAUCUUCUAAUUUUAUCUUUGUUUGUAAGAUUUAACAGAAAAUUAAAUUUGAGAACCGUCGACUCAAACGAAUUUCAAAAGCAAAAAUGUGGAGAGGCUCAAAUUUAUUCAAUAAUCCAAGAUUGAGUCGACCCUAGUGGACCUCAUUUUUAUAGUUCAAAAUUUAGUCUUCAUGAGGGCUAGGGACCUUGCUUGGGUGAAGCUCAGUUUUUGUUAGAAAAAUAUAGUUCUUUGUCUAAAUCCAACUAUGUUUAUCAAGCACUUAGCAGUUGAUCUAAAACCGAAUAAGAAUUUGUUUUAAACUUAAAAUGUUCUCUAGAUUAGUAGAAGGCAUAUCCAACUCAAGUGUGCACACGAAAAACAAGAAGAAUAGGUUUUUUAGAAUAGUUAUGCUUGUGAGCAUUGAAAGUAACACUCCAUCACAUGCUCUACAUGGUUUUCCAUUAAUUUUGUAGACGGGUCUCGAGAUGGUCCCAAGUUUCUUUGAGGUUCACGUGUGGUCUUACUUGGAAUGUUUCGUUAUUCAUCUAUUGUUCUUUUUUAAGGAUGGGGACGGAGUUGUACUGUUCUUUGGUAGUUUUCAGUAGUAAAUCAUGUAUAAUUUUAAAUUACUUAUAUAAUCAAAAAUAAUUUUUUAAGUUGUUCUAUGUGCUAACAAAAGUUAUUGUCUUGGAGGGAAAUUUUCAACAUUGAUACUACUGAAUCUAGAGACUCGAAAAAUAAAAUGAAAAGCUAUUAUAAAUGUACUCCAUGGGAAACUAUAUGUUCUGAGUUCCUUCCAUUUUAUAUUUCCUAUCCUGGAAUUGUGCAUGUAUGCGUAGUGUGCUACUAAAUUUGACUUAAGGUCGCAUUUCUAGAAAUGCGACUUUGCAAAUGGAGGCCUUUUCUGAGAUCUUGGCACCUGGCGUAAUCCUAACUGUUUGAUGACGUUUUAGGAUGGUUUUAGGGUUUGUCUAUAUGUACAUCGGGGUUGACGUGCACCGACCCCCCCCCCCACAAGAGGAGGGAGGCCACAUAUAUUUAUUCGUCAUGGGCCCCCCUCUUGUGAGGGGGUCUGUGCACCGGGGUAUCAAACCUGGUGUACAAAUAGAAAAACUCGUGGUUUUAUUGCCAUUAUCUCUGCCGUUUCACUUGAAAUACUUCAUUCUAGCUUUUCAAAUUUCUGUGACGAGAGAGUUUACGCUAGUUUGGUUAGGGUUUCAUCUUGAAUCAUCUUCUCUCUUGAAAAUCUCAUUCGCAAUUGAGAUCAAUGUUUUACUUCCUUUGAUUCUUGUAUUUUCCGAGUGGUUCUUAUACUUUGUUGAUCAAAGUAUUGUUUAGAGGCUUCUUUCGUGAUUCCUUGAGUAGACUUGCAGUUUUAUCUUUGAAAAGAUAACUAUUGUGACUUUAUCUUGUAUUGGUUCAACGUUUAUAAACUUUGUUGUCUUUUGCGGCUAAAUAGUGCAAUCGAGCAUUAUCCAUUUUAUAUGGAUAAUCAACAGGGAAUUACGUAUUAGAAGUAAUCAUCGAACCCUCGGAGUUUCAGCCGAAACAAUUCUUUGUGUUGGUUUUCAUUUCUUGCAAGUUUAUUUUCUAUAUUAUUUUUGAGUUCGACAAAUCACUCAUACCUUGCGUUUUUUGGGCAUUUGAGUAGUAUCAAAGCUUGGAUCUUGAAUUGCGAAACCAAUUCUUCAAGGAAACUAAAGAUCUUAGAGGGACCUCAAAUUUUUGUGCACUGUUUUGAAGGAAUUUGAGUUUUUCUUAUAAAACUCACUUGAUGAGAUUUUUUAAUAUUAUGCAACAUACAAUUUUAAAAAAUUAGAGUUUCUAGAUUUUUUCCUUGAUUUACGAUACCAUUACAAAAUAUCCGCCGGAUACUAAUAUGUGUCCAAAGUCUCUUAUAAGGUUUUGGAAAUUUAAGAUAAAUCGAGUACACGUGUAUAACGGGAGGAAUAAAAAUUUGUGAUCUCUAUUUGCGAUUCUUGUGAUAUUUUUUGUUGCAUGUCCACUAUUAAGUACAUAUUCUUUGAUUAAGUAAAAACUCUUGUGUAUAACUCGAAAUAUUAUACCAUUACGUGCACUGCUGUGAUUUAAACUGAUCUUGUUGAAGUGUUGGUUCUUUACCGUGUGUCUUUCACAGUCUCUAGUCAGACUUGCUUGUCAGUCUCUUACGAAACAAUAUGAUGGGAAGGGGAUUUUAAUAUGUGGAGUCAGAAAAGGAAAGGUACCUUGAUGCAAAUGAGAUAUGCUAAGGCCUUAGAUAAUACUUGGCCUGCUGAUAUGGUCCCUACUAAAAGAGCUGAAAAAGAAGACAUUGCUUAGAGUACUAUGUUUUGUUCCUUUCUAAAAUGUGAUUAGAACCAUUGGUGAAACUAAAACAGUUAUUGAACUUUGAAUCAAUUGCAGGCUCAGUAUAUUACCAAAACUUUUCCAAAUGUGUGUUAUUUGUUGAAACAGUUCUUUUCUUCUAAAAUGGAUCCUUCUAUUGACUUGGAAUAAAACUUGAAUAGAUUUAUAAAACUUACCAAGAUUUAGCCUACUGUGAUGAAAAACUUUCAAAAGAUCAAUUGGUUAUGGUCUUGUUAAACUCCAUUAGUGACAGUCAUAGAAACCUCAAUAAUACCCUUAAAUAUGGUACAGAUGAGAUCACUAUUGAUAUUAUAAUCGGUGCCCUUAGAAAUAGAAUUCUUGAAAUAAAUUCUGAAUUUAAAGAUGGUCAAAAAGGAGAAAAUUCAUUGGUUAAGGAUAGGAGCAUUGGAAAAUCUAAUCAUCACUCUAUAGGCAAUAAUGAGUAUAAAAAGAAAUAGAGUGAUGAGAAUAAACUCUAAAAAUGUUUGACAUGUAUGAUUUCAAACUUGUAACUUUGCCAUUAAUCAAUCAUUUUAAGCUUUCCUCCAACUGCCGCCCAAGGAAGAGCAUGAUUACUUAUGCAAAUGUUAUUGGAUCUAUCAUGUACUCGAUGAUAUACACUAGACCUGAUCUUGUUCAUAGCAUUAGUGUACCUAGCAAAUUUAUGAGUAACCCUGGGCAAGAACAUUGGGAUGGAUUGAAAUAGCUUUUGAAAUAUCAUAAAAGAACUUUUGAUUUAGGAUUUAUGUUUAAAAUGAAGUGGUAACUUCCAAAGGUUGUACUGAUUUUUACUUUACUGGAGAUAGGGAUAAUAGGAGAUUAACUUCAUCCUAUUGAUUGCGUGGACGCUUCAAGAGAUCUUAAAUUCAAGCUCAGAAAAACAACCAAACGAAUACCUCCCAACCUCGGCUCAACCCACACCCUUCCUUCACUUUGAUUGCUUCAAGAUUUCUUACCGUCAAAGGAUGAUGGUGGUGGUGACUAUAAUAUAGAGGAAAGAAUGAAGCAACAAUGGUUGAGUUUCUCAAAACUCACACCAAAAAUUGGUUGUCUCCUUCACUCUUUUCUCCAUUUUUUCACAUACGCGCAAACGCCAAUAUAUAUAUACGUUAAUGCUAGUUUGGUCAAGACUCACUUAAAUAGGCCACCUUAAUAACAAGGUAAAUGGGCUCACACACAUUAUCUCGAACUCAAACUUGGGUCCUUCAUAAGUGUAGGCUAUUUUCGGUCAAGCCUAGUGUAUGUUGAUGUUCAUUUAAUGGUUUAUUGAGCCCGAAUUAAAGAUUUCUCAAAGUUUCGUAUAAUAAAUGGUAUUAGAGCUUAUGUUAUUGAGAAAUUUGUGAAUUUUUCAGCCAAAAUCGAUUGUAAGGCUAAAAAUGAAGCUGGAAAAUGGAAGAAAAUAGGAAAUAAUCUGGAUACAUUGGAAAUCAUCUCUUUCAGUUUUUUUUCUUUUUUUUUUUUUGGUAAUUCUCGGCUAGACAACUCACGGUUUGGAGAAACCAACGCCACAUGAAGACUAUGCAAGUGGAGGAGCACAUGGGAGACUUGCCCGUGAAGCUCUGGCAUGACGGCAGUGAAGCCACCUGGAAAGAAAGAAGUCUGACGUGAUAGAAGUCUGGCAGGGUUUGGUAACAACACUUGAAGACAAAAAUAUUGCUGACAGCGAAGUGGAUCCUGCGAUGGUGCUUAUUUUCUAUUUGGGAGCAAAAUAGUUAAAUCUAGACUAUUUUACCCUUGGACGUUGUGGUGUCGGAUUUUUUUUUUUUUGUUUGUCGAAGUUUUUGGAGGCUUUAAAGCGAAUAGUGGUGGCCUAAAGUGAUGAAUUGUGCAUAUUUCAAUUACGUCUAUCAUAGGGAUAACCAUUUACUUUUCACAUUAGAAGUCAUUGUGUGGGGUGACAUUAGGUUUGGGGUUAUUGGGUGGGGGUAACCAUUGCUUGUUGCUAAACCUAAGAAUUAUUUUUUUUAAUUAUUUCUAAAUUUUUCUACAUUGCUAGAAUUGCAUGUGACCUUAGGGAAGUUUGUUUGACUAUUGCGUGUGAAUUGUGUCUUUACUUUGCUUGUGGUUAAUAUUUGGUGUUGAUGGCAAAUGUAGGUCUGAGACAAGUACGAAAAGUAAGGUGAUUUUUAACAUCAAUAUUUCAGACAUGUUGAAAGAGAUUGUCGUAUGAAGGAUAAUAGAAGGAAAAAUAAAGAGAGAGGUGAGGUAAAUGUUGCCACUCAGUUUGGUUAUAACUCGAGUGACGUUUAUUGAGAGUAAACUUGGAUACUGUAUGUUCAUUUGUGUAUAAUCAUUUCUUCAUGUAUGGUCGCUUAAUUUUAUUACAAUGUUAUAUAUUACAUUUUCAAUCUGUUUGAUGUGUUUAAUCGCAUGAAUUAAGAGUAAUCUUAAUGUGUAUGUAUACAUAGUGUGUUGAGAUCUAUGACAUAUUCUUUUUGCUCUGUGGGUGGUACAAGAAAGUGUGGUAGUGAAAAGAAAAAGGGGUAGCUAUUUUCUCCUUUACAUUUGUGGGCCUAUGUCGUUUGUGAGAUUAUAUGAGGUAGCCAUGUGUGGGUUAUCAUCUUUCUCUUUGUGAGCCUUUUAGUAAUUGUAGCGAAGAACCAACUGUUUCUUAUAUUUUCCUUGUGAGUGCCACAUACAUCCUUCUUUUUGUGGACUUCUUGAGCUUUGAUGAGGAAGAAAUCUUUUCAUGCGUUGGUCAAUUUAAACUGAGCCCUAACCUUUGUGGUCACCAAAGGUGUCAAUUUUGUCAUAGUGGCGUUGAUAGUAAGCGUGCUGUGUUUCAUUUGGUAAUGUGAAGUAUAGAUGCCUGAGGGUGCAUUGGUGAUAUACAUGGAUAUGUGGAUAGUGAAAUUUGGAUCAUGAGUAGAGAUGUGAUUAAAUGUCCAGACUCCUCUAUCUAUGAAAGACCUUGUACAGUUAAAGUGUGAGAGAGACAUUUUUAUCGCUUCUGUUAGGUAGAGACACAUUGUCCACUUAGAUUGAGACAAGUGAGGUACUGACAGAAAUAUUAUCUCGUGGACUUAAAAUCUAUUGUGGUUUACCAAUUAGACAUGAAUUUAGUGAUCAAUCUAGUGAGCAUGGUGGACGGUGAGAGAGAUAUAUGUUCUCAAAGUACAAGCAAUACGGAAUGAGAUAGGAUAAGUGUGAUGAGAUCUUUUUACGGGUUUAUUUAAGCACUUGUUGUAUAUGUGUUAGUCGUUUGAUUGAUUAACGUGAUAUUAGUUUACUGUUUUGUGUGAACAUAUUUGAAUGGACCUAUAUGUUAUCCUAUUUUAUAUCUUCAUCGUAUGUUUAUAUGUUUUUAAUUUAUUACUGUGAUUAUUUGUUCCUAUUUAGGUAAUUUUGACAUUAGCCCUGAUUAGUGCAUUGAAUAGGUAUGGUAUGUCUUUGGGGUCGAAAACACGAGUUAAGGUCUGUGGUUUUGAUUAUGGUGUCCUUAGAUCCUUGUGUGGAAGCUUCGAGAAAUCUUUAGUACGGGCUCAGAAAAACCAUCAAAUGAACACCACCUCUGGCUUGCUUGACCCACAACUUUACACUUGGUUGUCUUCUUUCCAACACCCACAAAGCAUAGAACUUCGGUGAUUAAUGUGUGCCAACAAAGGAGGAAGAGAAUAAAUAAAGGAAUGGUUGAACUCAAAUUAUACCUAAGUUGGUUACCGCACAUUUUCUCUGCACAAUUGCACAUUAACUCACGGCUGCCAAAAAUGAAGAGAUAAUGGAUGUAUACAGUAUUAGGUUAGAUUCCAAACUUGGCCAAAUACUUUAAAUGGGCCAAGACAAAUAACAACUAGGAAAAAUUCAUAAAUAAGAUGUUAACAAUCACCUAUUUCAAAAUUAAGAACAAAGGUUUCAAAUUUCAAAAAUCAGAUAUUUAUUACAAUUUAUUUACGAUUUAAUUAAUUAAUUAUAUAUUUUAUUAAUUAAACAUAUUAAAGUCAUAGAUGUAUGCAAUUUGGUCACAAAUUCACAAAUUUAAUUGUUUACAUAUUAUUUUUCGAUCACAGAUCAAAAUUUUUAUAUGUCAAAAAUUAUUUUACAAUCACAAUUCAAAAAUUUUAUAGGCCAUAAUUCAUACAUCGAUCACAAAUAAUGAACAUUAUAAGUCACAACUUAUUGGUCACUUACAAAUUAUCAUAGUAUCAGCCACAAAUUAACAAUUUUUUAGGUCACACAUAUUUCUUGGUCAUAGUUCAUCUCUUUCAUUGAUCACAUAUUAUUUAUUGGUCACUGAUUAACCAAUUUAAUUGUCACAAUCAACUGAAUAAUUUGUGACUACCAUUAAUGCGUCUAACCAUCACGUCACCACUGCCUCCGAUAGCACCAUCUCGCGGCCUGAAACUCCAUCACCUACAACAAAUCUAACAUAUUGCAAAAAAAACCAACAAUUCGUCGAGCCAAAUCCAUCGCUACCUCACGACCACAAACACCGACAAACCACCAUUUUCAACUACAAAACUACCACCCGUCAACACAUCCAUGCCACAUUUACCAACACCAUCACCUCCACCAACAAAAGUCACCCCACCACCGAUCUGACACUAUCGCACCCAAAUAAUUGGUCACAACCCGGCUCCAAAACCACUGCCUGGCUACCACAGUACCCGCAAAACCACCACACCAGCACCGUGCAUAUAGCACACAACCACUGCCACCGUUAUAGCCAUCUCCUCUAUCUCAAUCUACACCAAAUCACUACCACAUCCCUGCCAAAAAAUCCUCAAACUCGCAGCCACCACCAAAUAUAAUACCACCUACACUACUAUAGGCAAAAGCAUCGCAAAACUCACGUAAUAAGAUAAAAUAAGUAGCCCAAAAACCUCCAUCGUCGAUUGCCACACUGCAGCAGCAGCAAGUGGUGCUAUAAUCUCAACAUAGAACUGACGCAAAUGAUGUCCGAAGCGUGAGGGUUGAAGCCCAUCGCUCACACAGCACCAGUAGCGUCGUGUGAGUACAGCACCGACAACGUGAGGAUAAAGAGAGAGAAAGGGGAAAAGUGAGAUAUAGAGAGAAAAAUGAUGUGAAAAUUGAUUAGGUUUUAGUAUGAAAAUUGUAUAUUUAAUAUUUAAAUAUGAAAUAUCUAAUUUGUGAAAUGUGAAACGUCCAACUUGAUUUUUGAACAUCGAUCUUUAAAGGUGGAGUGGGGUGUAAUUUCCUCUAACCCUCUAACAACCAACCAUUAGUUGGGUUUACACACAUAUCACUCUCCAAACCUAAACAACAAAUGGGAUAACUCACAAAUGUGCCAUCCUAAAUGAAUUGGUAGUUUUUGAGUCAAGCCAAGCACUAUGGUGUCGAUGAAUUAUCCAACAUAUAUUUUAAAUCAUAGCCGGAAAUUUAUUUGGUAUAAAAAAUUCAACACUAUUUUUAUGCACUCUGCAGUACUAUUGUAAUUUGGAAAUCACAACUUCAAAAGGUUGUGUCUCUAUCUUCAACAAAGGCAGAAUAUAUUGUUUCCACCGAUGCCAUUAAAGAAGGUAUUUGGUUAAGUGAUUUGUUAGGUGAACUUGAUUUUGUUGAUGAAAAUACAAUACUAUUUUUACAUAACCAAAGUGUCAUACAUUUGAGUAUAAAAUCCCAUGUUUCAUGAUAGAACUAAGCACAUGUAUAUUAAAUAUAAUUUCAUAAAAAACUUUAUUUCAAAAGGGAUACUUAAUGGUAAAUUGUUACUCAAUUUAAUCAUUUAGAUAUGGGUACCAAAGUAAUACCUUUAUGUAAGUUUCAAAAUUGCUUGAAGUUAUUAUUCGUUGAUACUAUGUGUUAAAUGUGCAAGUACACUGACCAAUGAAAUAUAAAAAUGUUGGUAAUGCUCUUGGUUGCACUAUUAACUCCAAAUUCUAGAUAGCAAGGUAUAAGCUUGCUGGAAUUGUACAUGUGUUUGCAGUGUGCUCCCGAAUUUGACAUAAAGUCGCAAUUUUGGAAAUGCAACUUUGCAAGUGGAGGCCCUUUAUGAGAUCUUAAUGUUAAGUGAAUAAAUCCCACAUCGGUUAAAUACCGAAAUAUUGACCAACUUAAAUAGAUCUUGGGUCACUCCUCUUAAUAAGGUUGACCUUAUUAAGAUGGACUUCAAAUCUUAACAUGGUAUCAGAGCCCAAUAAGCUCCAACGAGCUAUUCAAUCCGAUUAAGUCUCAAAAAUGAGCACAUGAAUUUCAAAAUUAGUCUGCUAAAAAAGAAUCACCAUCUUGUGGUGCAUGUUAAGGGAAUAAAUCCCACAUCGAUUAAAUAUUGAAAUAUUGAUCAACUUAAAUAGAUCUUGGGCCACUUCUCUUAACAAGGUUGACCUUAUUAAGAUGGACCUCAAAUAUUAACAUGGUAUCAGAGUUCAGUAAGCUCCAACGAGCUAUUCAAUCCGAUUAAGUCUCAAAAUGAGCACACGGAUUCCAAGAUUGGUCUGCUCAAAAAGAGCUAACAUCUUGUGGGGGCAUGUUAAGGGAAUAAAUCCCACAUUGUUAAAAUUUCGAAAUAUUGACCAACUUAAAUAGAUCCUGGGACACUCAUCUUAAUAAGGUUGACCUUAUUAAGAUGGAUCUUAAAUCUGAACACUUAACGCCUGAUGCAAUCUUGGUCAUUUGAUGAUGAUUCUCGAUGGUUCAAUUUCCUUUACUAUGUGUCGUUUCACUUGGGAGACUUCAUUAUGGCUUUGGAGAUUUUUUUGAAGAUAGAGUUUACUCUCUUUUGGUUAGGGUUUCAUCUUGUAUCGUCUUCUGUCUUGAAAAUUUCAAUCGAGACUGAGAUUAGUGUUUUACUUUCUCUAAUUAUUGUAUUUUCUGAGUGGAAUUUUGAAAAAUCAAUAGGGUGCUUAUGUUGUGCCAUUCAAAGUGUUGGUUUGAGGGGUUAUUUUGUGAUUUCUUGAGUGGAUCUAUUGUUUCAUCUUUGAGAAGAUUAGUAUUGUGACUUUAUCUUGUAUUAGUUGAAUUAUUGUAAUCUUCGUUACCCUUUUCGGUAAAUAGUGCAAUCGAGUAUUAUCCAUUUCAUAUGGAUGUUCAACAAAGAUUAGGUGUUAGAAGUGGUCACCGAACUUUUGGGGCUUCACCUGAAACAAUUCUUCAUGUUGAUUUUCAUUUCAUGCAAUUUUACUUUCUGUACUUAGUUUUUGAGUUUGACAAAUCACUUAUAGUUUGUGUUUUUUGGGCAUUUCAUCCUCUAACAUGCAUUAGCUGUAUACUUUGGAUUCACUUAUCAUAUCCAAAAAAGGAAAGAAACUUGCAUGUAUACGUUUGGUACGCUUGGCUAUGAAGUAAGAAAGAAAUAACAAUCAAAGUGUAUAGACACGGAAGAGGAUGCGGUCAUCCAUCCUUCUUAUUGUCAGAGUCUAUCUCAUUUCUAGAAUGGAUUGACGAACUAAAGUAUUGCCCAAAUGAAAUUCUAUUAUAAUUGCCAAUUAUCCCGUCCAGCCCACAUAGGAUGAUUGAGGACAAAAAUGCAAAAUAUGAUGAACUUAUUGUCUUGUCCAAAUGGUCAUUGAACUUUGCAUUGGGUUUCUAAGAAGUCGUUGAACUUUAAAAAUCACUUAAAUAAUCAUUGAACUUUACAAAAGAUUUCUACAAGGUCACUGAAUUUUAAAAAUCAUUCAAAUAGUUACUGAACUUUGCAAAAGGUUUCUCAGGGGUCACUAAAUUCAGUGAUCAUUUAGGUGAUUUUUAAAAUUCAGUGACCCCGUAAAAACCUUUUGCAAAGUUCAGUAACCAUUUAGGUGAUUUUUAAAGUUCAACGAUCCCUUAAAAACGUUUUGCAAAGCUCAGUGACCAUUUGGGCAAUUCACUCGAACUUGGCAGCUUUGAGAUGAAUCAUCAAUAUAUUUAUUUGUUCAUACUCUCUACAUUGUACAAUGGAAUUUUAAAUCAAUAUAAAUAUGUUGGUCGAGUCAAAUAAACAAUAUAUCAAGCAUGCCCAUAAAAGUAAAAGUGAAAUUACUAAAAAUAUGAAUCUCCAAACUUAUUCAAGGGAUUUUAUUUUCUCGUCCAUGGCAAUGGAUUUCUUGCAAUGAGCAAUCGCUGUCUGAAUUGCACUCUGCAACUCUUCCAUAUUACUAUCACGUGCUGUAGUAGGAGUAAGAGUUCCAUUUGCUACUAAUAGACCAAUGUUUGUUUGAGAUGUUCUCAUUGAACUUGGUGCAGAAAACUCCCCUCUUCUUCCUCUCAACUCUGGCUUCCCUCUAUUGCGUAAAUUUCCCGAACAUGAAUAGGAUUGCUUGUGUAAUUUAUCCCCUCUUCUGCAGAUCAGAAAGGGCCGAGCCAUUCUCACGUAUCUUUUCAAAACCUGACUUACAUGGAAUUUUAACUUCUUUUUCUUCCUUUCUUUAUAUUUCUUUUCUCCUUUUCGCCAUUUCAAUAAGCUAAACAAGGAAAAAGGCUUGAAAUUUGCUCUUCCUUUGGCAUCAAAGUUGUGAUCAAUAUUGCUGUCAGUACUGUUGAUUGUCUGAAUGGAUUCUAAUUCUUUAAUGGAUAGGGUAAAACUGUCCAAAGAGUUGUUCGAAGAACGAGGGGAUACUGGAAGGUGGGAGAGUAGAUGGAGAGGAAGCAAAUGGCCAUGGAAAAAUAUAUCAUCUGCUGGAGAUAAAUCUAUGGCGAAUGAAGAAGUGUUCUUAUUAUUUUCUGGGGAUUUUGCAGUUGUUGAAGGAUGAAGAGAAAUGGUGAAGGAGAAUUCAUGAGAAGGAGAUGAACUGAAGGUGGUAAGGGUGCUGCAAUUGGUUGCAGCUGAUUAUUCUCUCUCUGCAGAUUUUCUUCAUGCUUCUCUCUCAUCUUAUGAUGAUGUUUGUCUAUGCUUCAAUGCUAAAAGAUAUGUCGGAUCUGAAGUUUUUCUUGACUUGCUUUGAUAUGAUAUUCUCUGGUUAGAAAUGUGAGGAAAUAUUUUUGAGGGGAUAAGGAUGUUAGGAAGCACUAUAGUUCGUGUGUGAGUAUCGGGAGGAUAUGUAGGGCUAACGGGUAAGCGUCGGGUGUGGGUAUGGGGUUACGGAGUGGGACAGGGUUUCAUUUGUUUUUUGAAGGGAGGGGGACUGUUCUCAACAGGGUGGUUAAAUGAAAUCCGUAUUUAAUAGUGGGUUUCAUAUGGACUCGAUGGGACAUAAUAAUAAUAAUGAUGAUGAUGAUGAUGAUGAUAAUAAAUUAAAAUAUUGAAAGUGCUUAUGAACGGUCUAAAUUAUAAAUCAAUUAAAAUGUUGAUAAAUAAGUGGAUAAUUUUUAUGAAUCUUAUAAAAUGUGUGGAAUAAGGAGAAAUUUGACCGACUAUAAUCAUUAUCCAAGAAUGAGUUCAAAAAUUUAUAGGUAAUUAAAAUUUUAUGUUGUCGUAAAAUAUCCGAUAAUAAUGACUGAUUAGUUGAUAUUAUUAUGCCCAUGUUUGGUUUCACUAAAAAUUUAGAUUAAAAUUAAAGUUAAAGUCAACAAUUAAUUUUAACUACACAUUUUAUAAGACUCAUAACUUUUCAUCCAAAAAUUCCAUUAACUUUUACCAAAAUCUGGAAAAAAUUCGAUUUUAUCUAAACUAAACAAGGGCCAGAAGGCUAGAUAACUUUCCUACUUUCGAAGAAUGUUUUCUGUUCAAAUUAUCACUCAUUGAAACCUUAUAUAUAACGGUCAAUGCUAUGAUGAAAUUCACACAUGAGUUAUGAUACCCUUAUUUUCUUCUAUUGUUCUUGCUUUUCUUCUUAAUUUAAUAGCACAUUAUCGGCACGAGUUCUAGUGAAUUUAACUAAGAAAAAAAAUUCCCGGCAAAAGAUAAGUUAAGAAUCCGUUAUGAUAAUUUUGAUGAUGCAAUCUUAAUAUGAAAAUUAGUUACAAAAAAAUUUAAGAUAUGCAUUUCAUCAUUACUUUUGAAAAAGAAUGGCCUAAUAUUCAAUUAGAAUUUGUGGGGGUGGAUAUUGCAUUGUUGCUCCUGUAGAGCACAAACUUAAAUAUCAAUAUUUAUGAAAUUUAUUAUAUGGCUCAAAAAUAUAUAAACAUAUAUAUUUCAUAAGAAUAUGGUAUCGUUCAUGAAAAACAUAAAAAAAAUUUCAUUGUGUUUAUGGAGAAGUACAAACUAAACGACUAAAUAUAGUGUUGUAAUCCUUGAAGAAAACACUUCAUUAUUUUAUAAUAUUUAUAUGGUACAUUAUGUUAAUACUUUGGAGGAAGUAUAGUUUUCAUACAAUAUUGUGAAAUAAUAUUUUGUUUUUAAUCUCGAUGAAACAAGAGUUUAUAUUGUAUUAUUGCUCCAGAAGAAAAAUAGAUUUCUUAUUUAUCAAUAUUUUUUAAAAACAUAGUGAUAUUCUUGAAUAAUAAAUUUUAUACAAACCAAUAUCUUACAUAAUUUGAAAUUUUAAAAAUUUCAUAAAAAGCUCCAGAAAGGCCAAAAGUUUGUUAUAUGGGUGAACAAAAUGGAAUACUACAUUAAUCUGCUCCCCAUUUCAAAUGAAUAAUGAUAUUAAAAAUUCACAUAAAUAUUAAUUAAAGAACCAAAAAAUUCUUUCAAUGAAUUCCUUGUGUUUUUGUUCUCAUGAUAUAUGUUGUAAUGUGACCCAAAUUCUUGUGGGUAUUGGUGUCUUAGUUGAAGUGGUCUUGAAGAAAUCAAAAUUGUAGCAAUGAAGAAAAGUCGCCGUAUUUUCGCUAGCCUAACACUAGUUGGCCGCUCGGGCUGCACCAACAUAUUUUGAUUAGAGAUUUUUCACCCGCUUGGUGCUCAAGCGAUGGGGCUGUCACCAUCUAUCACGCCCCGUAGCUCGAGGAACGAGGUCAUCAGCCCAGCCCCUUUUUCCAAGUUUUAAUGCCUUUUGGACUCUUGUUUAUCUUCAACUUAGUUUCUAAGGUUUUAUAUAUAUAAGCCCCUACUUAUAUUGUUCAUAUAACACUCAUACAACAUCUUGAAAGCUUUAGAUCUUAAUUGAGAGCAUUGAAAUUUUGUUGUAAACAAAUUGUUAUUGCUAAUAGUGGAUUUCUCCUCCUCCGCCCAUAGUUUUUUGCCAUGUUAAGUUUUCACGUAAAUCUUGCUAUUAUUUAUUUUGUUCUUGUUUAUUUCAUUAUUGUCAUAAACUUCCGAUCAAAUUCGCAACAAGUAGUAUCAAAAUGAUUCUGAUAACUUGUUUGUUCAUGUCAAGUGAUAUUAGAGCCAGGUUGAUUAUCUAGCAUGACAAUGACGAAGUAUGAUAUUCCAUAAUUGGAUUGAAAUACAAGAUUUUCUUUAUGGAAAGUGAAGACGCGAGCAAUUCUCAUACGGAUGGAUUUGGAAGAAGCCUUGGUUUUGAUAAGAUGCCUUCAACCUGGAUAUAGAGAAAAAGUAGCAUACGGAUCGGAAAGCCCAAUCCCAAAUUUAUCUACUUCUAUCAAAUUAAAUUCUUUAAGAUGUUCUCAAGGAGAAGAGUGCCUCGUAUUAUGGUUAAAGUUGGAGCAGCUUUGUAUGAAAAAGAGAUUGACCAGCAAGCUUCACUUGAAAUAGUUGUAUUUUCACAUGAUGUUCUAAGAUACAUCGUUGGAUGAUCACUUAACUAUGUUCAAAAAAAUUGCGGCCAAUUUGAGACAUUGGAGGUUAAGUAUAAUGAGGAGGACUUGGCGUAGAUGUUGUUGUGUUCACUGUCGCUAUCAUAUAUGACUUUUAGAAAUACUAUCUUCUAUAAUCGAGAUAUUCUCACCAUGGAAGAGAUCUAUGAUUAUUUGCUAUCUAAGGAGAAAAUGCAUCUUGUUGGGGAUCUGUGAGUCAAGCUGAAGGCCUGGUCAUUCGUGGAAGAAGUCAGGAUAAAAAUCUUGAUAGAAAUAUAAAGACCAGAUCGGAAUCCAGACAUAUAGAAAAGUAAUGUCAUUACUCUACGAAGAAGGGAAAUAUCAUGGUUACCUUCAAAAGGAGGUACUUAUUAUCUAUUAAAAGUGUUUGAUGAUUUAUCCAAGAAAGUUUGGGUAUUCUUCUUAAAAUAGAAGAUUGAAUUAUUUGGAACCUUCAAGGAAUGGAAAACAAUGAUAGAAAAGCAAAUUAAGUGUCUAUGCACAGAUAAUGGAUUAGAGUUUUGUUCAGAUGAUUUCAUUAGCUUCUACAGGGCUGAAGGCAUCUUGAGACAUUUGACAGUACCCAGAACUCCUCAACGGAAUGGUGGGCAGAACGGAUGAAAAGAACUUUGAUGGAAAGUAUUCAUUGUAUUUUUUAAAACUCUGGGUUGCCUAAGAUUUUUUGGGCUGAAGCUGCUACCACAACUUGUUUUCUGAUAAAUUGCUCACCCAAAACUGUCAAUGAGAAAAAGGCACCAUAAGAGGUAUGGUCUGAAAAACCUUCUUAUUAUACUGAUUUAAAGAUUUUUGGGUAUCUCACUUAUGCUCAUAUAGAUAAUGGGAACUUGAGGCCUAAUUUAAGGAGAUAUGUCUUUCUUGGGUAUAAAUCAGGUAUGAAGGGGUAUAAAUUAUGGUGACCUAAGACAAGAAAGGUGGUGGUUAGUAGAGAUAUAGUAUUUGAUGAACUGACUAUGGUUCAUAAUUCAUCUCGUAUGAAUUCCGAUAAAAAUGAAAAACAGAAUCAUUCAACUCAGAUGGAAUUGAAAAUUGGUCCAAUGAAUAAUUAGAGGUUUCAGAACAGUCUAGCUCAAAAUUGAUAGACAGUAAUACUUUGCCUACACCACCAGCAACACUACAGUAUUCAAUUGUUAAGGGUAAACCUCACAGAUAGAUUAGACUUCCACAGAACAAUGGAGAAGCAGACUUGGUAGCAUAUGCUUUGAAUGUGGCUGAAGAAAUUGAUUCCACUAAGGAACAUGUUACAUAUAUAGAUAUCAUCAGCAGUAGUGAUUCAUGCAGACGGUUUAUUGCUACGCUAGAGGAGAUUGAGUCAUUGAAUAAAAAUUGUACUUGGGACUUGGUGAAACUACCUAAGGAUAAAAGUGUCGUUCACUGCAAGUGGGUAUUCAAAAGAAAAUAAAGGACAUUAUGGAUUGAAGAUACUAGGUAUAAGGUCUGAUUGGUAGCAAAGGUCUAUAGUCAAAUUCUAGGCGUUGACUUCACAGAUGUGUUCUCUUUGAUUAUAAAGUAUAGUUGAUUGUAAAACAUGGUUCAAUUCAAGCUUUACUUGAGAUAAUGGCAAAUAGUGACUUGGAACUUGAGCAAAUGGAUGUCAAUACAGCAUUUUUGCAUGAAAAACUUGAAGAAAACAUUUACUUGCAACAAUCAGUGGUUUUACAGUUUAUGGGAAGGAAGACUAUAUGUGCUUGUUGAAGAAGUCCUUAUAUGGACAAAGCAGUCAUCGAGGUAGUGGAACAAAAGGUUCGAUUCAUUCAUGACUACUCAUACUUUCAGCAGAAAUAAUUAUGACAGUUUUGUGUACUUCAAAAAGGAAGAUGGUGGAGCGAUCAUAUAUUUGCUGUUAUAUAUUGAUGAUAUGGUCAUUGUACCUAAGGAUAAAGUAGAGGCCACAAAGGUGAAAUCUCAACUUAGUAAGGAGUUUGAGAUGAAGGAUUUGGAUGUAGCAAAGAAAAUUCUUAGUAUGAAAAUCUUGAGGGAUGGUCUUUCAGAUUGUAUUUGAGUCAGAAUGGGUACAUUAAGAAGGUGUUUCAAAGGUUCAAUAUGUUGAAUGCUAAGGUUGUCAAUAAUCCCUUAGCUAUCCACUUUAAAUUAUCAUCUGGAUUGUGUCCUCAAUUAGAUGAAGAAAUUGAUUAUGUCUCUGGUCCCUUAUUGCAGUGCAGCUGGUUCGUUAAUGUAUAAUAUAGUUUGUACAAGAUCAGAUUUGGUACAUGCAGUCAGUACAAUUAGUAGAUACAUCGCAAAUCUUGGCAAAGAACAUUGGAAAAAAUGAAAUGAAUAUUCAGAUACUUGAAGGACUCAAUUAAUGCUUGCUUGUAUUUUGGUAAAAAUAAAGCUAGAGUUAUUGGAUAUAUUGAUUUAGAUUAUGCAGGAGAUCUUAAUAAAAUGAGAUCACUUAUAAGAUAUGUAAACACCCUUGGAGGUUGUGCUAUUAGCUGGAAAGCUACUUUGCAAAAUAUAGUAAUUUUGUUUACAACAGAGGCAUAUAAGAAUGAUAUGCGGUUAAGUUGUUUGAUUGUUGAAAUCAAUGAAGGCUUGCAGAUUUCUACAAUAUAUGUGAUAAUCAGAAUGCUAUUUUCUGACUAAGGAUCAAAUAUUACAUGAGAAAACUAAGCGCAUUGGUGUGAAGUAUCAUUUUGUGCAUGAAGUGAUUGCUCAUGGUAAUAUUGUAGUGGACAUGGCUAAUACCAAAGAUAAUCAUGCUAAUAUGAUGACAAAACUACUUCAUAUUGCUAAGUUUGAGCAUUACUUGAAUUUAGUUAGUGUUUACCAUUAAUUUAGUCCAUUGGGUCUUGUUUGGAAGAGAAUGAAUGUUGUUUGCUUUGAAGAUGUGUUUUUGAAAUUUCUUGUAUUGAAAUUUGGUUCAAGGUGGAGAUUUGUUGUAAUGUGACCCAAGUUCUAGUGGGUAUUGAAGUCUUAGUUAAAGUAGUCUUGAAGAGCUCAAAAUUAUGGACUAGAAAGAAAACUCGUCACAUUUUCGCUAGUGUAACGCUAGCUGGCCGCUUCAGUGACGCCAACACGGUGGGGCUCUCUCUUCCUAUCACUCGAGUGACAGGGUUAUUCGGCCCAGUCUGUUUUAACGCAUUUUGGACUCCUAUUUAUUUUCAACUUGAUUUCGAGGGUUUUUAUAUAUAUGAGUUACAACUUCUAUUGUUUACAUAACAUUCAUGCAAUAUCUUGGGAGCUCUAGAUCUUAGUUGAGAGCAUUGAGAUCUUAUUGUAAACACAAUUGGUAUUGAUUACAAUGGAAUUUGCCUCCUCUGCUAGUAGUUUUUUCCCAUCUUGGUUUCCACGUAAAUCUUGGUGUUCUUUAUUUUGUUCUUGCUUAUUUUAUUAUUGUCAUAAUCUUCCGAUCAAAUUCGCAACAGGUGGUAUCAGAGCGAUUCUGGCAUCUUGUCUGUUCAUAUCAAUAUAUACACUAGUUGGCUUUCACUAGCUAAAAUCGAGAUUGAAUUCCUUCUAUUUCUAAAAAUUAAUUUGGGUGAUUUAUGAGAUUCUUUCUAUUCACGAUGACUACCUAAAUAUUAUUUGUAUCUAACAAAUACAUCUAAUAUAUAAUUGUAUGUUAUUAUUUUGGCUAUGUUUGAGUCCCUUUUGUGUAAAAAUUGAGUUUUCUAAUAGUGAAUUUUAUGAAUAACGUGUAAUUAAAAAGUAGGAAAAAAUUUAAGUUUACGUACAAAUUAUUCAUUUGAAGAAUAUAUGGUUGAAGUUAAGCUUGAAGAAAAAUGAUUUUUUGAGAAAAUGUAGCUCAAACAUGGGUUAUAUAUUCAUAACCUGACAUUUGCAAGAUUAAUUGCUCAAAAUUUAAAUUAUGAGCAUAAUUUUCAAGUUAUAUAAUAAGAAUGCUAGUGAGCAUAAAUUUCAAACUUUUAAUAAAUAUUAGUUUGGAUAAAAAAAUGGUUUAACACUGUUAUUUAUUAAAUAUCUCCAAUUAAUUUUUGAACCAUUACUAUUUAAAAAAAGGGUUUUUCCAUUUUUUGUCUAAUGAUACUAUUUUUAGUGGACAACGCUUCUACACAUUAUGUCAACAUCAAAGUUCUCCCUAUAUAGUUAGUUAGCUUGUGGUCAAAGCUUAAUAUUUCACAUCUUAUGAUUUUAAAAUAUUCAAUAUAUAUACAAUUGUUCCAACAUAGCGCACUAACAUAGACAUUAAACCGUGAUACAAAUUAAAUUAUAACGAUUUGUCGACUUCAUUUUGAUUACACAAUUUUCUUAGUAUUGGGAGGAGGUAUUAAGAAGUUGAAAAUAAUAAAAAUAAACAUAAGGAGGAGGUAUUAAGAAAUUAAAAAUUACAAAAAUAAGGCAUCAUUUUAUUAUUUAGAUCAUUAUACAUGAUAAUGUGAAUUAAGAAUUUGAAAAGAUAAUUCAUUUAAGUGCAUUUACUCAUAAAAGAAUUUGACAAUAUAUUAAACAUUAGCUUUACAUGCUCCAACUCAAGUUGACGUCAUGGAGUAAAAAUCCAUUUACAUUAUACUUGAUAAAUCAAUGGCACGCUGAUGCAUGAUAAUUUUUUAUUCCAAGAUAAAAAUCUAAAAACAAAAUAAAAUAAAAAAUAGAGUGAAUAGUAAAGAUUUUCCCAUUAAGAUAUAUAUACUCUUGGAGAGUGUAUAACCACAGCAAUUUGUAAAACCGCAUAGAGGUUCAUGUAGAUGAAGUAUUGAAAUUGAGAUAUCUCAAUAAAUUUUAUUAUUACGAAUGGAAGAAACGAAAUCGAAAAGAAAAAGUUGCUAAAACCACUUUUGUAGAUGAUGCAGCACGUUAUAGUAUGAACAAUAUAGAGAAUGUCAAAAAAAUUCAUCGAAAAAUACGGAAGUAGAAAUGAAUGGCUAAAAUAACAUGACAUAAUUCAGGCAAAAUUAAACAUAAUAGAGAUAUCUAAAGUUUUUGGACAUGCAUUUCAAACACCUAAACGUGUAAAGUUAGUUUUACAUAUGCGAAUACCAAGUGACAAACUGAAGUCAGGAAAUAUAAUGCAUUACUCUUAACAUAAUAAAUUUUGGAAAAAAAAAUCAUAUAGAUAAAUUUUCAUGUGGCGGAUGAAAUCACAAAUAUAUAUCUUGUUAACCUAAUAUGCAUAAUAUCUAAUAAAUGUGGUUAUAAUUAACCCAUCGACAAGAUUAUUAAUACUAUUUUUAUAAAUACUUUAAUUAUUCAAUAUGCUUAUAGUUCAAGUGAUAUUGUCAUAGAGAAGUAUAUAUAAUUUGUACACUUCUUCGUUUUUUUUUUUUAUUUCUUUUACCAAGAUUGUAUCUCAUUGUUUUUCUCAAAAAUGCUCUUUUUUCCUCAUUAGACUAUUUUAAAAAGGUUCUACCUAGUGAGAUUUUCACGAUGUAUAUUAUGUGUAAUGAAUAUUAAUAACAUACGUGACAUUUACUCUCAAUAUAACUUUAUGAUUUUACUCUUGUAUACUAUAAAUUGUAUAUGACACUUCCGAAAGGAAGAAUAAUAAAAUUUAUUUUUCAAUGGACCAUCAUGCAGAAUGAAGUAAAAAAAAUAAAUAAAUAUUAAUAUAUUUUAUGAAGACGAGUUUGCUUAAUACUAUAGCAAGACAGUAUAGAACAUAAUUCAUCAGAAUUAUUAUAUAAAUUUUUGGAAGAUGGUACAUUGAGAAUCGUACACUUGCAUUUUAAGUGAACUUGCAGUUUAAGUGAACAAUAAUUCUAGGCAAUUUUUUUUUAUAUAGAGGAACAAUUCUCUCGUUUAGUAGUCUGAGAAUUAAAGUCAUUCAUGAACUAUUUCUCUUCCCAUUGAAAAGAGCGAUUGGCAUUUGCAAGAACUUUCAACAAAAAUAAAAAAAGAUGAGUACCCCCCCCCCCCCCCCCCCCCCCCCCCCGUCCCCCCCCCCCCCCCUCUCGCUACCACCAUCAACACCAUUAUUAGCUUUGAAUGGAUCAAAACCAAAAAUAUUAUGAAUAGAAGGAAAGGAGAUAAGCUAGAAAGAAGUUUAGUCGAAACUUAAAAAAAGAUACGUAGUUUGAACAAUAUUGAUAUUCAAUUUAGUAAAUAUAAAUAAUAAAAAUACAUAAAAUUAAAGAUCACUCCAAAAACAAAAUCUCCACCCGCGAAUUAUUAUCAUGAUAAAUGAAUUCUUAAGUCCAUAUAAACAAAGAUACGAUUUGAUAUUUUGUAUAAUUAAUGUGUAUAUAAAAUGCAAACACAAACGAUUCAUUUUUUUGUCUAGAAAAGAACAUAUUGUCCCUACCAUGAAUAUUCAUUUUUCAUUAAACAGAAACUUCAACUGUUUUUCGGCGGACUCUCACUUCACCAUUCGGUGUAAAAAAUAAAAAAUAAAUUAGGUAUUCUUUAGUCAAAAAAAUAAAAAAAUAAAUAAAGGCAUCUUGACUAGUCAGCUGUUGAUUUGAUAGCUUAUAUUGAUGAAUUAGCUGUGUCGAUUUCUGUUUUAUAUUUUCCUUAUAAAUUAUUUAGUCAUAUGCAUCGAUAUGUAUUCUACAAAUAUAUCAUAUGAAUAUUUUAUAUGCAGUAAUAAAGUGAAUAUAAGGGGCGGGGCGAGGGGGGGGGGGUGGAAUCAUCGAGAAAAUUGUAUUCAGUAAUUUGACAAUGGGAAUAAUGGUUGUAUGAAAAGGAGAGAAAACAUAUUAAAGCCUUGUUUGAGUCCCAUUUUAGGAAAAAAAAAAUGUAUUUUUGAAUAGUGUAUCGAUGAGAAAUGUAUGUUUAAAAAUUAAGAAAAAUUUUUGAAUUUGCAUGUAAUAUUAUUUUAUUAAAAAUUUUGUUACUAAGUGCUCCAUUAGUCCAUUUCAAAGUUUGUUCGCUUAUUUAAGGUCAAAUUUUAUUAAAAAUUUUGUUACUAAGUGCUCCAUUAGUCCAAGUUUGUUCACUUAUUUAAGGUCAAAUUCUAAAUCUUGGAUGCAUUAUUUGGGUGAACAGGCUUAUCUUCCCCAACUUAGCACUCAAAAUUAUUGUGUGUGAGUGUGUAUAUUCGUUGCACUCAAACCCCAUAAAACAUUUAUUUAAAAAUGACGCGAGUAAUUAGAUGAGCAAAUUAUAAAUUAAUUAGAAAAUAAAAUAAAUAAGAAAGAUCUAUAAAAAUGUGCGUAACUUUCAACUCGAGUGUCAGAUUUACGCAAGCGAGUAAAAUUCGAAACUCUUUUUUUCGAUUUGCACAUUUUUUUGGGACAAUGUUGGCCGAAAGUCAAACUUUUGGGCUCAAAUUUCAUCGUUUAUAUGUCCAUUUUAGCAAUUUUCUAAUUUUUAGUCCAUUAAAGGGCAUUCUCAUCACUUUACGCCUUUUUUUAGUUUUAUUUAGAUUUGUGUGUUGAAGUAGAGUUUCUCUUUGAUUAGGAUUUGUUUUGACUAUUUAAAUAUUUGUUAAGAGUUUGAAAAUUCUAUAUUCAUUUUUUAUUAAUAAUUAGUCUUCAGUUGCCUCGUUAUUUGAUGGAUUCUAAUAUAUCUCAAGUUCGCUCGAGUGCAAUUCAAACAAUAGUCGUUUGUUCGUGUGUUAGAUGGCAGUUCAACCUCCAAAUAAAUAUUUUUCAUUAACUAGGACAUGGGUGCUAAAGUUAAGGGACACCUAGCGAAAUUUAUCCUAUGAAUUGUAAAGUUGAUGUGGGUGCUAAAGUUAAGGGACACCUAGCGAAAUUUAUCCUAUGAAUUGUAAAGUUGAUGUCUUGUACCAUGUUGAUUGACUUGUCUUUAGUAAAAAGAUCAAGAUAUUGAAGCGGAUAGUGGGAAAAGUAGAAAAAAGUUUAGGUUUUCCCACCAAGUAUUUUUUGUGGGAUGACUUUGAAAUCACUGUUUCAUGCCAAAGAUAUUGGUCCCACAUCCACGUAUCAAUAUUUUUCAACCAAUUUUGCUAAAUGUACAUCAUAGUUUAUACUCUAACUUAUCGAAUUUACAAUUGGCACAAUCUUACAUCAUCUUACAUAUUUAAUUCAAUUAUCACAAUCUUACCACAUCACUCAUCAGUCAACAAGGAUGUCAAUGUUAAUGUACAAAUAGUUUAAUUAUUUUUCAACCUCCCCCCUCAACACAAGUAUUGAGCAGAGAAAAGGGUAAAAAGAUUUAGCUCUUAUUUGGCCCUUGUUUCUUAGCAUUUAUUUAUCAAAAUUAUUUUUUAAUUAAGGUAAUUGGCACAAAACGUCCCUACCAUUCGAGUGUAUUGUGGAAGACGUUCCUACCUUUCAAUUUUUUGGCAUUUUUGCAUCUAUUUCCACCUUUCUUUGUGUCGAACGUCCUUUUCACUUUUUUGGUGUAAAAUGACCAAUAUGCCCUUCUAUUUAAAUAAAAGAAAAAAGAAAAAAAAUUGCAACUAUAGGCGAAACUUCUAAAAAAGUGCAAAUGCCCCCCCCAAACUUCACCUUCUUCCCACACCACCGCCACUUGUCGACCAUUUUCAGCCACCUUCCAAUCAGCUUGGUCGUCGGACCAACAUACCAACUUGAAGUCCUCACUUCCUUCUUCACAACCCACCCAACCACUGGCCGAAAAUCUAUAGGAAUUGGCUCGGAAAUUGCGCCAAAAUAGGCUGCUCACGCAACAUGAAAUGGCCAAAAAUGGAGGCCGAAAACUCCAUUUCCGAUGACACGCAUGGCAUACCCAUCCUCCAGGUCGAUUAUGAUCCUCAUUGCGCUCCUAUAGAUGUCUUCAUAUCAUCAAACAAAGCUGAAAAUCAAAAUCUAAAGCCCGAAAAUCAGAGUCGCGUUCGACCAAUGGUUCUUGAGUUCAAUCUUGAAAAUUGAUCGUUUGGUUGAUGAAUUGAUGAAAUUGAUGGAAGGCCCAUAGUUGUAACAACAUUAAUUGACGAUUACAUGCUAGAAUUGGUGGAUUGAAGCCUGUAGCAUUAUCAAUUGAAAGGGGAUCGGCCGAGUUUCUUUGUAUACGAACUGUCAAGAUUGUUUCUACAAUUUUUUGCCAAAUUUGAUGAUGACCCAUAGGUUCAUUAGGUUCGCCUUGAAGAGACAGUGCUAGAAGGGGUGGUCCGUGAUCGUCGAUCGUGACACCGACGUCAAAAAAUGUGUUUGAAUUUGUCGAUUUCGCUGAAGCCAGUGGGGUGAGGUGUGGGAAGAAUGUGAAGUUAUAGAGGGUAUUUGAACUUUUUAGAAGUUUCACCUAUAGUUGCUAUUUUUUCUUUUCUUUUCUUUUUUCUUUCAUUUAAAUAGGAGGGCAUAUUGGUCAUUUUACACCAAAAAACAGUGAAAAUGACGUUCAAUGCAAAGAAAUGUGGAAAUAGGAGCAAAAACGUCAAAAAAUGAAAGGUAGAGAUGUCUUCCACAAUACACUCGAAAGACAUGAAAGUUUUGCCCCAAUUACCCUUUUAAUUAUAUAUUUUUUAUUAAAUUCAUUGUUAUUAAUUAAAAUUGAAAGAAUAAAAGCGAGUCCAUGUCCCAACUAGUAGGGGUGUAAGCGGUCCGGUUUUACUGACUUUUGACAGAUUUUCAAACGAAACAGUUUAAACCGGUUUGAAAAAAAUUCAAAUCUAAACCAAACCAUUUUGAACAAUUUGAAAAUAAAAUAAAUAAAUAAAACUCAAACCUAAAUCUGAUGGUUUGGUCCGAUUUUAAACCGUCGAUUUUACCACAUAUUUUUUUCUCGUCUACUUUUAUGUCAUUAAUUCAAAACAAACUAAACCCCUGUUUGAACCAAAUUUUUGGAACAAAAAAAUUAAAAUUUGGACCGUUAUCCCACAAGUUCAGUCGCCUUUUUUGACCUGCUGUUUCAUGUGUGGGACCCAGCCUCCUCUCCAACGAUCAAUUUUCUCGUUAUGAUCAUAUGAAAAAUAUGGCUCAACACAGGGGUUAAAUAUAUAUACUAUAAAUUUAAAUACCAACUAAAUCAAAGAUAAAUUACAAUAAACUAAAAUACAGUUUUUUUCAUUUUUUCACCUUUUUUAGGCUAAUGGUGAUAUAAUAACGUUACAAUACAAGUCUACUAGAUAUAAAGCACAAAAAAUAUAAUGAUAUCCAAUAAGACCUAGUGAUCAUCAUAUUUGAAAAAAAAGAUACUAACUAGACAAAGAGAAUAACCAACCACAAUAUUAAAGUAAUUGUGUAUAAUAUCUAAACAUAACAAUUACACAGGUUUACGUUUGUAUGAUGUUACGAAACGCAUUUAAUUUCAAAUUCUUACCUUAAUUUGCUCCAAAAAAAUUAUUGAUUUGAAACUUUAUUCGUAACAAAUAUUAUCACCAAAAGUCUAGGAUCUCUUUGUCACAAUUUGGUAUAAUAGACUUCAAUUCAACUUUGAAGAAGCGUCAAAAUUUUGAAAAAGAAGUGUAUGGUGCCGGUAGCUCAAGACUGUGUUGGAUGUCGGGUAGAAUUCAUCUAAAUUUUGAAGAGGAAAAUGACUUUUGUUAGAUUAUGUUAGUCUUGAGAUUAUUAGAUAUAUAGUAGGAUUAUUAGAUAAUAAUAAUAAUAAUAAUAAUAAUAAUAAUAAUAAUAAUAAUAAUAAUAUAUCUAUAUUAGAAAAUUAGAAAUUGACAAAAAUACCCAUGAAUGACAAAACUAUUGAAUUUUACAUAUUUGAAUGAAUUUUCGAAAAAAUUCAUUUUUUUCAUUCUUUUAUUUUGAUAUAUUUUUUCGCCGGUCCGAUUUGGUUUUAAAUUGCAAUUAAAAUUCUAAAACUUAAACAAACCCAUUUUGACCGAUUUGGUUUGGGUCAAAACCAUUUCGUUGACUGGGUUCACAUGACAACAAACCGACGAUUUCUAAAAUGCGAUUUUGGUUCGAUUUUCUAGUUUGACGAUCUUUGCUUACAGCCCUACCAACUAGGUGAACCAUACCAAAGCAAGCUCAAUCAUGUGCGAACCAAAUCACAUACAAACUCAGAAUAACAUUAGCAAGCUUAUAUGGAUUUCAUUAGCCUUUUUCACAUUAGCAAAAGCUAUUAUCAUAGUGCACAUGAACAAGCAUGGCAAGCAUGAUUUCACAGCCAAUGAAUAAAGAACAAGAAAGAUAACAAAUAUGACCAUAUAACAAUUUCAUUUAUAAAUUCACUAAUCAAAGGUUGCUACAUGACAUUAACCAAAAGAUGUAUUUACACCCCGCCCAAGGCUUUGAUAAGAAACUAUAAGUAAGCGCCAAUUUAAAAAGAAGAGGAUAUGCAAAUUUGAAUAGCUUCCUCCCGAUUAAUCAUUUCUCCCCUUUCUCUUUAUUGAACAUAAGAUUAUGAGUUUAGCAAGGAAAAUCUUGAUUAGGUAAGGAAUUUAUUGAUCAUCAUUUAGAGGUCAACAUCCACAAUUUUUAUUAACUAUUCAAGAAUACAAUUCAUUUACUUUUAUCAAUAUAUACUAAAAAUCUAAUCUUUAUUCAAACGGUCAAGUGCUUAAUCAAAUUCGUAAAUCGGGGACUAAAAAUUAAGCCCCGUUUGGUCUGGCCAAAAAUAAAAUUUUUAAUAAAUUUGAUACAAGUUAAUGACAUAUACAGUUAAAAGUUAAUAAAAGAUGCGAAACCAUUAUUGGGACAGCUAUAUUCAGAAUUCUAUACAUGUGUACCAUAAUUGUUUUCAACAAGUUUUAUCUUUUCCCAAUAUAAGACAAAGUUACAUCAAAACGAAAUGUUAAUGUUCCAUCAUGUUAAAAAUAUUCAUAGUAAAAUAUACAUAUCAAGACUCAAUCGCACUUUGCAAGUGGAAAUACUGAUUAUGUUACUGCUCCAUCAUGUUAAAUUCGUGAUAUAGGCAACUAAAAAAGUAAGCUUGCUGCUCUUCAAUACCACCAACUAAAAAAAAAAGAAUCCAUUUCCGAUUGUUAGCUUCUAAAUUUUUUGGGCAUCCAUCUCAAUGUCAUUCCUGAUGCUCAUCAUGGUCCUAGCCAUUCAGACAAAGUGUAAAACUGAAGAUAAUUGGGCAGAAAUCGAAGAAGUUUUUGGAAUUUACAAGGUCCAUUAGGUCCUUCUCAUCUAAAAUAGAUGACCAGGCAUUUUCUGCAGUAAUUUUGAACCAUGAUGAUAGAGAGCUCCUGCAAACAAGCAAGGUGGUACUAAAAUCUAGUCAAAAGAAGAAAAGAAAACUAGACUAGCGGUCGAGACCGGCAGGACCAUGCCAGGCCUUACUGCUUCAUCCUGCCUGGUUCAUCCUCUACCUGCCUCUAUCUGCAAAGACAUUACCAAAAAAUCUCUCCCAAACAGCGUAUUACAACCCAUGAAUUAACCUGUUUGGACAGGGUUAAUUCCAAGGCCAAAAACAGGAGCGCCACAUGGCGGACAGCAGCCCUUUCAAUAGGAUGGCGCCCCUGUUUUUGGCCCUGGAAUUCACCCUGGCUGUCUAGCAGGGUUGAAAACCCAUUGAGGAGGGCCUUAGCCAGGGAAGGAGAGAGUGGCCAAGUGGUCAAAAGUGACAGACUCUAAAUCUGCCCAAGUCUACAGAACAAUCACCCAGAUACAUUAAAAACGCAUGUGCCUACAUUACAGAGAUGUCUAACGAGCAAGGUCGCUGCCCUUCAAAGCAUGCUGAAAACACAAGGCCCAGUACAGCCCAUCUUGACACCUCUAUACGUACAAUGUAAAUUUUUUUCCUUGGGACAGAAUUUUGAAAAACAAGUUCAUUGGGACCCAUCAACAAAUGCAAUAUAUACAAUGAGAAAUGCUAUAACACAACUGACAGAUUAACUAGAUCUUAUGAAUAAACAACCUUCACUUGGAAAUUUGUGCUUUUAUCAUGGUUACGUAACUAUUGCGUGCAAAUAUCACGGAGAAUUUCUGCGAGAUGCUUUUAGUUCUACAUCUAGUGCUAAGCUCGAGUAAGAAAAAAGAAGGAUUAGGUCAGAUUCUUAUUUGACUUCAGCUAUCUACAAUCAUAAGUUACAGUUGGCCGAUAAGAUACAUAUACAUUUGGCGUCAAUAGAAAGGCAAUAAGAUUCCAGAUAAUGUCGCUACCCCCGAAAACAUGUACAAAUCAUAGUGUCUACUUUCUGGUUAAUCCAGAGCAGUCUUCAUGAGAAAGUGAAGUCCUUGUGCCAUUUAUAAUCUUGAACGACGAAUGCAUUUAGCGCCCGCUUGGUCCCCAUUUUAUUCUCAUUUUUUCCUCAUUUUUCCAACUUUUGUCAACAAUAGUGGGCCCCAAAUCAAAAAAUGAAACGGCUCCCUGACAAAAAUUUGAGGCAGCAGCUUUUCAGACAUUUUGUUGAAUUUAGAAUUUUUGUCUUUCCACCUCUGCCCUCCAUUUGAAAUUUUAUUCCUUCAUUGUAGCACUUGUUGUCAACUGGAAUUUUAUUUUUUAAUUGAGGGCAAAAUGGUCAGAGAAAUUCAACGGUAUGGUACCUUGUUCUUUCAUUUCAGACAGUUUCUUCAAUGCUGUCACCAUCAACUACCACGAAAACUGUAGAAAAAUGAGAUAAGGUAGAAAAAUUGACAAGAAUGAGCAUCAAAUAGGGGCUUAAUAGGAUUCAACGGUGAAUUCCUUCGUGUAGAGACAGGCGAUACCCUUCUCAAGGACGGGGAUUAUUUUAGAUCCCAAUCUUCCACAUUCUUCAGUACAGAAACGUCGAAGAGGAAUUGACCAAGAACUCCACGAGCACUUAUGCUUGGUGGGCUGGAUAGACGUAUGUAAGGCUCUUUACGUUCAUCCUGCAAAGAUCCAAAAUCCCCACCCUCGUGAUAUUCUAUGGAAUUUGGAACAGACAAGGACAAUCCUCUGGAAACUCUGACUUGAUCUCUCUGCGGCUUUUUUUAGAUUGGUCCAGAGAUCUCAUCAUGUGUGCCCACGAAGCCUAUCUUCUCACCAUCAAGUUGCCGUAAUCUUCUAGAAUAAAUUACAAAAGCUUUUCCAAGCAACUCAGUCACCGCAGCCUUUCAUUCGAUUGGAUAAUGCCGAAAAUGACCUGCACUACAAACAUAACAUGAAAAAUACAGUAUCAACAAAUAUGAAUUUUUCCAAGAUGCAAUAACAAAAAUGCUACACGCCAAUGGUAGCUAGGAAAUCCUCCAAAGAAAAUCUUGUAUUACAGAUUUCAAAUUACUAAUGAUUUACUUAAAAGAAUUAUAUUCCAGUAAGUCAGCUGAUUGUCGCGGACCUAAUUUCGUUACACCCAAUAAUUAGAACCAUGCGGCCUUAACGUUCAAUAAUUUCCGUCCCUCACGAGAAAACGUUAAGUCAGUCUUACAACGCUCACAAACAAUUUAACCAAUGAGGUUAAAUUAUAACUAUUUUGAGUAGAGGAUUUGUAGGAAAUAUAAGGAAAACAAGGUUGGGAGAACUCUCUUUAUAUAUAGCCCCCAUUUGGUUCUAAUUUUUCACCCCAAAAAAUCAAUUUUUUAAUCGUUACUUUCCUAAGUCAACUGUCAUUUAAAUUUCUUUACUCACAAGUAGAACCCACUUUUUCUCGCUAACAGUCAAAAAAUUAAUUCUCAAAAUCACUACCGAACAGACCCAUAAAUGAAAGGAAAACUUUACAUUUCUCUGAAGUAUUCAAACCAUUCGUUUCAUAUGAUUUACAAAUAAGACUACAUCUCUAUUUAUAGGCAAAACCUUGCAAGUUGUCUUGAAAUCGAUGGCCAAGAUUAAUUCUGAUUCAAGAGUCCUCAUUUGUUGCAAGUUGCAUUAAUCUCCUUUAAUCAAGUGGUAAUUCUAUACACUUUCCAAUCCAAGAUGCAUGUUACUUUCCAAUCUUAUGUUAGUUGACAUCAAGUGGCAUAUCUCUACAAUUCAUAUGCAAGUGAAUAAGUCAUUUUCACAGUAGCCAAAUUGAAGUUUGUUUCCUCUUUGGCACUAUCUUGCAAGUGGCACAAGUGAAUUAGUGGCACAAAUUGGCCAAGUUGUCCACUUAUGUCCCCAAACCAUUCGACCGUAGUCCAUUGUAUUUCUCCUUCCCAAAAUAGUAGUUUUUAACUUAGAGAAAAAGAAAAAACCCCUCCAUCUUAUCACUCGAUCAGCCAAAAUGGAUUUAACAUCUUUCUCAAAAGAUUUUGAGACAAUGAGAGGCGCCCUUUGUAAUUUGUUUCUCCCCAGAUCUUCCAAGUCCAACCUAUAUGGCUUCAACAUGCUUACAUGAAAAACUGGAUGGAUCUUCAAAGUACCCAAAAGCUAGCCGGUGGAAACUCUUCCAACUUUAGCCAUCAUGGGAAAAGAACCUUCAAACCUUCUAACCAAGCCUUUAUCAACUUUGCGAUAGGCUUUGAAUUAUUGAGGCAACACUUUUACAAGUUCCUGAUCUCCAAUGUUGAACUCCAAUAGUCUCCGUUCAGAUCGGCCCACUUUUUCAUACGUUUUCAAGCUUUCUCCAGGCAAGAUCUCGCUAAGUCCGCAUGAUCUCUCCAUGACUUAGCCAUUUUUUGUUACUCUGGGACUUCGAUCUGCAUCACCAACCAUAUGCAAGGUAUGAGGCGUUGUGGGCUGUCACCCCGUUGCAAGUUCAAAAAGACUAUGUCCUAUGGAUUCACUUUUCUGCAAGUUGUAGGAAAACUGAGCUAUGUCUAUGAACUUCACCCAAUCCCGCUGCUUAGUAUUAACAAAGUGCUGAAGAUAACACUCCAACUACCCAUCCGUUUGCAGGUGGAAAUUGCUAGAAAGGUGCAAACCCGAUCUAAGGAACUUAAACACCUCCAUCCACAAUUUUCCCAUAAAACUGGGAUAUUGAUCACUUAUAAUAUUCUAAGGUAACCCCCAAUACUUCACAACAUUUUUGAAACCUUGCCGUCUCCUCCGCAGUGCAAUCUUUAAGGGUCGAAAUGAAAGUAGUAUUCUUUGAAAAUCAAUCAACAACAACAAUUAUUAAUCUGAACCCUUCGGACUUUGGCAAGGUACUAAUGAAAUCAAUGACAACCACGUAUCAUGGUUGAUCAAGAACAGGAAGAGGAUCAAGAAGCCAACCGGUAAUGCAAGCAGACUUAGUCUAGGGACGCAGAUAGCCUGUUUUGAUGGAACACGGGCUGGGGCACGGAGGAAGUUUUCCCAACACAGAAAUGAGGUUUCUCUAAGUUAAAAACUGCUAUUUUGGGAAGGAGAAAUACAAUAGACUGCGGUCGGAUGUUUUGGACACUCAAAUGGGCAACUUGUACAAUUUGUGUCAAUUGUCCACUUAUAUUACUUGCAAGAUAAUGCCAAGAAGGAAGCAAAGUUAAAUUUGGUUGCUAUGAAAGUGACUUGUCUACUUGUAUGUAAAUUGUAGAGAUAUGCCGCUUGAUGCCAACUAGCAUGAGGUUAGAAGGUGACAUGUAACUUGCAUUGGAAAGUGUAGAGAAUUACUACUUGAUCAAAGGAAGUUAAUGCAACUAGCAACCAAUGAAGACCUUUGGAUCAAAAUUAAUCUUCGCCAUUGAUUCCAAGACAACUUGUAAGGUUUUGUCUAUAAAUAGAGAUGUCUCAUUUGUAAAUCAUAUGGAGUGAAGUGAGAUGAAUACUGGAGAGAGAUUGUGAAGUUUUCCAUUCAUUUAUAUAUAAAGAGAGUUCUCACAAACUUACUUGUUUUCCUUAUAUUUCUUACUUCAAAUCCUCUACUCAAAGUUGUUAUAAUUGAGCUUCACUGGUUAAUAUUUUUUAUUUUAAUAAGGAAAUAAUGUGAAACAAACAAGGGCUAAAUAAAUGUUUCUAAAAUUUAUUUUCCAACAGCACAAUAAAUAAUCACAUUGCUCAACUAGAACGGUCGAUAAAUGUAGUAGCAUAAUGCACUUUAGUUCUUAACAGAGAAAUUUUACUAAAUGUAAAUUAAUAUAUAGUUUCAUCAAGAAUAAUAUUCUUACCAUAUGCAUCGUGUCUCACUCGCACUUAAAAAAUAAAAUAUAAACAUUUGGGAGGUGUGGUUUGGUGAAGCCAAUCACGCUUAUGGAUUAAUACCGCUUUAUAAGUCUUGAAAAGAAGUCAAACCAUUCUCUAUCUAAUAUAUGAAGUUGAGAUUUGACAGAAAAUGAAAGAUAUGCAAGUAAAAUUUGUGAUUCGGCUCGAUCCUCAACCUCCAUUUAACUUGGUCUUUGUGCAAUCAUGUCGUCAUCUUAUUAUGUUCCUCGAUUAUGCUUACACAUUUUUGGUAGAGCUCCACAUCAUUAAUGGAAGUAAAGAUUUUAUUUUAUAAGUUUUGUGAGGCCUAUGAUCAAGUACCAACAUGGUGAAGUGAUAGAAUAUGAUCCUAAUAAUUGAAUUUGUAAUCUGACUAUGAAAACCCUCAUCCGCAUGAAUACUUUCUUUAAUGUAAAUUCGAUUUGUGUUUAAAAUGUUCAAUUUUCAAUAAUAUAUUAUAGUCUUUCGAACGCUACGCCAUGGCCAAGUGAGGGAAUGCAUUAAGCACAUGAUAGUGCCUGCUUCAGCGAGGAAAGAAUCCAUUUUAUUUUUAUUUUUUUGGCUUGUUUAACAUAACUUUUUGUUUUUACUUUUAUUUCUGCUUCCUUUAGAAGAGUGAGGUUUUUGUUUUUGUUUUUGUUUUUUGAAAUUACCUUAAUUUUCAGUGGUGAAACAAAUUUAUGAUUAUGAUCAUCUUCAAAUGCUUUAACAAUCUAAUAGCCACCUUCAAUGUCGUUUGAGAUUCGCAUGUUAGCCUUACAUCUACCUCUAACCGUUGAGCAACUUCUUCCUUUUGUAGAACCCUAUAUCUGACAAUUCUCUAUUUCACUUAAUCCUUCAAAAAUCUUCCUACUAUAAUAUUUUCUUUCAUGUGAGCACACAAAUUUAAUAAGGGUAACUUCAUUUAUACAUGGGUGUUACUUAACUACUGUUUGAGUACGAAUCCAUAAACCAUUUUGUCAUCCAUAGUCUUCGUAGUAUGCCCUUGCUUCCUUUGCCGUCUUAAAUUUCAUCCCAAUGUAAGGCGCUUUGCCUUGUAUUGACGAUAACCCAAUCUCAUCAAAUUGAGACGCAUGUACAUAAUUACCACAAUUGGUUGCACCCAUCUACAAAACAAUUUUGAAAGAAUCAAUCAAUGAUAUUGAUUGCAUAGAAUUACCGAUAAUCAAAUUCAUUGUCGAAUAACUCGUACAUAUAUUUUCUUAAACAAAUUGUAGCAUACUUAAUUUUUAAAGUAUUCCCUGUUGAACUAUAUAAUAACAUUUAUUAACCAUUUUACUAACACUUCAAGCUAGUGAUAGCAACGGGGCGGGUUUGAGGCGGGGUUAACAUUUAUUAACCAUUUUACUAACACUUCAAGCUAAUGAUGACAACGGGACGGAUUCAGGGCAGGGGGCUCCCACCCCGUCCUUCCCUGCCCCAACCCCACCCGCCCCGCGCCCCAAGCGUUUAGGCGGGGGCGGGUUCGGUGUAGUUUUUUGCCCCGUUUACUACCCCAUUUAACUUCUUUUUUUUUUUACACAUUUUCAAAAUUUAGAGUUAUAUUAUUAAAUUAUAAAAUACAAAUUCAAAAUUUAAAAAUUCAAAACAAAUAAUGCUCAAAUUAAAAUCAAUAUUCAAAGAAACACUCGAAAAAACAAUACCCAACUAUUCACAGGGAAGGUUCGGGGCGGGUUUUUUUUUGCCCCAUUCAGGACGGGCUCCGUCGGGACGAGGCGGGCGGGGUAAAUUGUCAUAUCUACUUCAAGCAAAUUAAAGCUCAAUUAUAACCUUUAAAUCACAGAUGAAUCAAGCAUUAUGCUGAAAUUGAUGCAAUACUACUCAAACUGCAUGAUACAUCAUGUUGAAAUCAAAAGAAAAUAAACACGGAUCCUUUUUCCCACCAUUCAUGAUAAAUCAGAUUUGGAUAUUUGAGGAAAAUCUGAUUCAAGAACAUGAUAUAACACAGUUUUAACAGCAUGCAGAAUGAUGAAAAUAACAAAAUCGAAACCUCAUGUGAGAUUUUGGUUGAAAAACAGUUAACAGCUUACAGAAUCAUACCUAAAAAAAUUACUUCAGUUCUUAUUCUGCUUUCUCCUAAAUAAAUGAUUUGAUGACACAAUAGGAAUCCUCUAAAAAUUUAUACAUGGGCAAAGAAAUUCUUUACAUGCAGUGAUGAUUUGAAGAUUCAAUUUUGCGAGGGAGAUGAUGAAUUUCAGUGGUGAUGGAGAAUGCAUAAGAUGAUAGAAAAUCAUGAUGUUGUUGAGAGAUUUUAGGGAUUAAUAUAAGGUAAUUAGGGGUGCUUGGAAGUAAGAUUAUGAAUCCUUUAGUGUUUUAAUAGAAAAACUCCGAGCAUUGGAUUGAUUUUAAUUAAAGACCACGAUUAUUUGUCAUAAAUACUUGUCAAAUUAAUGGGUAGACUUCCCUAUGCUCAUCAGAUUUGAGCCGCUGGUGAAUUUGUUGGAUAGACAGAUCUUUGUGAAAUUGAAUCAAUUGCUUAUGUGAUCGCCCUUUAGCCCUUUGUUUGGCCAAAAAGACUCCCAUGAGUUGGAUGGGCUAAUGCCUAAAAAUAAAUUUCAAGAGAUUCCGUAUUUUAAUUUUUGAAAAUAGAGAGUGGGUAAAUAUACGAAGAAAUUAAUAAAUAUUUCUUGAGAAAAGUAAAAGAAGAAGACAAAAUAGAAAGUAUUAUUGCAGAGAAUAAAAUUUAGAAUCCUUAAAUUUAAAGAUUCUCUAUAUAAUGCAUAAAAUUUUUUUUACAAAUAAAAAGUUUGUUGGAGUUGAUCUAAUGAUGGUAUAAAUGAAAGAUUUGGAUAAAAUUUGUAAAAAAAUAAAAAUAAAAAUAAAAAUAAAUAGUAAUAAUAAAUGAAAGAUUUGGAAUUACAGCUGUAUUAUCCCUACGAUGGUUAUGUUGCCACCAUAAUUUUUAUUUGUCACACCACAAUUUAAUUGUAGUUAGACUCCCAAAUCCAUGCUCAUUGUAAUAAUUAUUUCCUUUAUUUUCGUUGAAUUUUUAUCUUCAACUUUCAUUAAUUAGUACAUCACGUCCUGACGAUAAUUUAUGUUAAAAUAUUUUGUGUACAUGCUCUACAUUAAGGGAAAAUAAUUUUUAUUUUUAUUUUUUAUAUAUGAUAAAAAAAUAAGUUGUUGUAAGCUGUUUUUUUAAAACAUAAAUUGUUAUCAAAUACAAAAAUAUAUUUGUAGUGGUCCAAAUUAUCCAUUGGGCUCUUGACCCAAUCCAUGUAUAUUGAAUGUUCCUAGCCCAAACUAAUGUAUGCCAAUCAUGCUCAUCCUUGACCCACUAAUGAUUUAUCACUCUUACUUUGUGUCCGACCUAUCACAAGGUGUCACGUAGAGUCUAAAGGAUAAACUUCUCAACAAGCAAAUCAGUUCAACUCUCCAUCUUUUCUAUAAGAGUCGUGAGCUAAGGGUAAGUUAUGGUAACUCCACCCAAAGUUGGUCGAGUUUUUCGAAACUCGGAAAAUAUUGUCCUGAUUAAUCAAUCCAUCUGGUGUCCACAUGCUCCACUAUUUGUGGAUCAAACAACUUUGCUGGUCCUCUUAUAAAUAUGAGGGCCAACUAUUCAAGGAGAGAAAAAAAAAUUAUUGAGCCUACACAGCUUCCUCAAUAUUUAUCCAAUUUAGAUAUCUUAUGGCAUUACUAUCACUUUUAUUUGUCACCUCUCACAAUCAUAUCAUCCAACCACUUUGCUACUACCACUAUUUCAUCAUGCCAAUCAUAAAUAUCAUCAGUGCCUACUUUUAGAAUCAACUGUAGAUUCGAACAUCUACAAUUUGGCGCCCACCCCGUGGGCCCCAGUGAUUUUUAACACAAAAAAUAUUCCACUAACAGUAAACAUUUUGAUCACAAUGGCGGAAUCCCCAUUAUUGUCAAAGCUAGCAGCCAUGCUUGUUCAAUUUACUUCUCAAAUGGCUGAAACCAACCAGAAGUUCUAGCAGCUAGAAGCAUAAAAUGUACAACUUAAGCAGACAAUUAGAGAGCUCUCUACACUCUCAACGUUAGCUGGGACCAAGUGCCACAUUCAAUUUCACACUGUAGUGAGAAACAUACAGUUACUCGACAUGCCAAAGCGUGACAUGCUAGGUAUAUGAAGAUCUAAUGUCAAUACUAACAAUGUCAAUACAAGCCAUGAGAUAGACAUGGAGGACGAGGUACUCCUUGACGACCUACCCAUUGUAAAGGAGCUAGAACCACAGGUCAUUAAUACAAAUUACCAAAACAAGGACUCUUCACGCAACAAAGGCAAUAGCCCAAAUCCGAUAUCGAUCAACGUUUCGCCAUGACAGAGGCCAUGAUCAACCAAAUCUUGAGUCUACCUAUACCGAUCAAGAAAAAUAGGCAAAGCUUUGCGGACUCACCAUUUGUCUAUUCGAUAGCUCUAGUUGAAAUGUUAAGAAAUUUCACUUUUCCAAUAUGAAGAUGUAUGAUGGCACCACCGACCCAAAUGACCAUAUUUCCCAAUGUAAACAAAGAAUGUUCACAGUAGUCAGGCCCGAUUCUGGGGCCAGCCAAUUGAGGCCUACGCCUCAGGCCCAGAUUCUAAGGGGGGCUCAUUUUCAGCCCAGAAUUUUAUUUUAUUUUAUUAUUUUUUUCAGUUGAACCAAACCCAGUGAUGAAGAAGAGUACCGCACAACUUCAAGCCCAAAUCCAAUAUCCUUAGUCUUAAUCCAUUUACCCAACUUAUACAUCCAUAAAUCAUAACCCAUUAUCUGUCAUUUACCCAAAGUUCCCAAUUUCCCAAUGCCCAAUCAAAAACCCCUUUCUCCCAAACGCUCGUCUGAGUAGUCCGUCCCCUUCGCAGCGUCGUCCGUCGCCUCUGUCUCUCUUCUCGACUUCCUCAUUCCGACUUCCAGAUUUCCUCUUCCUUGAGUCAUCAGUCACGAUCCACGGAGUUGGACACCGUCAUAGUUCACACUAGUUCCCUUCCGCUGCGGAGCACAGUUCGCUAUUCACCCCUGUUAGCAAGCAAGUGCUUGGCAGUUGGCUGUUAGUUUAGUAUGUUAAGAUUAUUAAUUCCUUUUGAGUUAUAUGAUUACAUUUACACUAAGUAUUCAACUAUUCAUUCAUGGCUUUUACCUUUUACUUAUUAUAAUUUUGAUUACUUAACUUUAACUGAUAAAUGCUCUUUUUCUAUGUUACUGUUAAAUACUUUAAUGUUAAUGGGUUAACUGUUAUCUAGUCUAGGAUGGAGUCAAGGACCUGAAAAUGCUACAACUAUGUUUAAUGAUUAUUGAUUAAUAUAUAAUUUGUUGUACAAGUUUGAGAUGAAGAACUCUCAAAUCUCAAGUAAUGACUAAUGUGUGAAAUAGUUUGUAGUUAAUUUCAAUAACUUAGUUUGAUAGGUCCUUGUGAGAAUAUAUAGUUGAGAACUUGAGAUAUUAUUAUGUCAAUGAACUUAAGAAAAGAUAUCUUCAGUUUUUGCAACCAGUAUACUAAUUUGAAUUAAUUUAUUUUGUUGAUGAAAUUGUUUUAACGGUGAUUAGUUCUUAUUAAAUGUGUUAUUUCCCUAAGCUUGACUAAAUGUGCGCCUAUUUUUAAGUAUUGGUGUUUGAUGUUAAAUUUUGUUUCAGGUUCGUAAGUUAUGACGAUGAAACUCUCAAGGGUGUGAUUCCACAGUUUUCGCUGCAAUUCUGCUUCUCAAGUAAGCAGUGGCUUUCUCUAACUUGUUAUUUAAGAGAUUGGAAAUGUUUGGAGCCUUCUCGGCUUAUAUAGUUGCAACUUGGUUGGUUUAUAUGAUUGAUUAUUGUACGAUCAACUAUGUCAGAAGAAAGAUAGAAUGGAUUGACUAUGUUAUCAAUAGAGAAAGAAAUAAUUGAAUAGCUAAGGGGGUGUUCUCUUUGUGUUUCAGUUUUGUGUUUUGAGUUUUAAAUUCAUUUUGAAUUUUGUGUUUUCAGUGUUUGUUUUGAAAUUGUUGAAAAUGCGUUCUUUUUGUUAGUUUCUCAAAACAAAAAAAAAUGAAAUUUUUUUUUUUGAAAUUUUGAGAAUCACCACAAGAUCACCUCAAAAAAACGUUUUCAAAAACGGGAAAGAGAACACGUUUUCACCGUUUUGAAAAAUCGAAAACAGAAAACGGCCCGAAAACGGUAAAGAGAACAGGGCCUAAACUAUUCAGAUUUUAUUAAUGUUUUUGCCUUUUAGACGAAUAAUAUUUAACUAAUUAUUUGAAAUAUUUUGGUUUUUUUAUUUGAUACUAUAAAUUUUUUAUAUAAUAUAUUUGUUUGUUGUUUUAACUAAAUUUUAAGUUAGCAAUAAGUUACAUAAUACACCAUUACAUUUACAUUAAUUUCAGGAAGGAGCCUAAUUUAUAUGCUUUGCCUCGGGCCCUGACAGUAGCAAACCCACAUGAUCUCUAAGAAGCAUACAGGUGCAAAGGAUUCGGCUCUAGUCUUAUAGGACCAGCUUUAUAGUGGUACAUCAAUUUAACUAACAACUCAAUAUCAUCUUUCGUACAAUUAAAUGAUAUUUUUGUAGAGCAAUUCGCAAGUAGAAGAAAAUUAAUUAUUCGAACGACCUCUAUAAAAUUGUACAAUGCACAUAAAUCUCUAGUUUCAAAAAAAGAUUUAACCUGACUCAGACCUCUACAAGGAAUUGACUAAGUAUCCUUACUAAACAAUGAAAGAUGUGUUGGUAGAGGCCUAGGCUCAAAUCAAGAGGGAAGAUGAUGAGGCUAAUGCAUUUCGCAACCUACUCUUCAAGAUCAAAGAGCCUAAAGGUAUCCAGAGGAUAGAAAGACGACAAAUUGACCCAUAUCCAAAAUUGAUUGUAGAAUCUUGGGAAGAACGGACAACUAGAAACUGUUGAGUGCCUCAACCAUUCUUACGAUAGACCAAGGAUACCUGAGUACAACCUUAGCAUUUUAUCAGUUGAAGUUGUAGCCGUAAUAAAAGGCAAGGAAAAUACCAUCAAAUUGAUAGGAAAAAUGAGAAGUCAUCCAGACAACAGGCUUGAUACAUCCAAACCGUGUGUAUUUUAUGGUGAUCACGAACACAAAAUUCAGGGUUGUAUUGGUUUGUGAUUGGAAGUUGCUGAUCUACUCAAAUGUAGGCACUCACCAAUCUCCUAACAAAGAAAGGAAAAAAUACAUUGUUUCUCGGCAACCAAUGCGACAACGAACCACACAAUCUAUGAAUUUCCAAGCAUAUCCAAAACUCGAUCGAGCAAUAAACUUCAUCACCAAAGGAUCAAAGGUUAGUGGGAUCACUCAUUCUAUUGUACAAUGAUGCAUUCAAAUAAUUGCAUAGGAGACGUGGAACGAAUCUCGAAAGCUUUCAAGAAGCUAAGAAGGCCAUCCCACUACGCUUAACUUUACAAGUAACGAGGCAUUAAACCUCCAAAACCUUCAUCACUAUGCUUUGGUUAUUUCGUUAUGUAUUGCUAACUAUCUUAUGAAAAGAAUUUCUAUCGACAAUGUGAGUUCUACUAAUAUACUUUUCCUUGAGAUAUUAAGAGAGAUGUAGGUCCCAGAGUCCAGCAUUAUAUGCAAUAUUACCACACUCAUAUGAUUCAAUUGAGAACACAAAACUACACUAUGAGAGAUUAUGCUCCCAGUUUAUGAUGAAGAAGUAAAUCUUCAUACCAAGUUCCUUGUCAUCGAGUGCCCAUUGGCCUACAAUGUAAUCAUAGAAAGACAUUGGAUAUAUGCAAUGAAAGAUAACCUUCAAGCUAUCACAAGGUCGUGGGCUUUCCAAUUUCCUGGAGAGUUAAAAAAAAUAUGAGGAGAAUCAAAGAGUCUCACGCAACUGCUAUAUGAAUGCUUUUAUGGAUCUAAUGAAUAGGGUAUUUGGAGACUUUCUCGAUAAGUUUGUAAUUGUAUUUAUCGAUGAUAUCCUUAUUUAUUCUCGUACUAAGGAAGAACAUGCGAAACACUUGAGAAUAGUUCUGCAGGUCUUAAAGGACAAACAGUUAUAUGCUAAGUUUAAGAAAUGUGAAUUUUGGUUAGAUAGAGUUGAAUUUUUGGGACAUGUAGUAUCGGGUGAGGGUAUAUCAGUAGAUCCAAGUAAAGUAGAGGCUAUUAAUAAUUGGCCACGACCUACAAAUCCUUCAGAAGUCAGAAGUUUUAUGGGAUUAGCUGGAUAUUAUCGCAGAUUUGUGGAAGGAUUUUCCAAAAUAGCUUCUUCUUUAACGAAAUUAACCAGAAAGAGUACUAAGUUUGAAUGGACAGAUGCUUGUGAGCAAAGUUUUCAGGAAUUGAAGAAAAGACUAACUUCAGCCCCUAUCCUUUCAAUCCCAUCUGGUACUGGAAAUUUUGUAGUUUAUAGUGAUGCUUCAAAGAAUGGUUUGGGAUCUGUAUUGAUGCAAAAUGGUAAAGUUAUUGCAUAUGCAUCUAGACAACUAAAAGAGUACGAAAAGAAUUACCCUACACAUGAUUUGGAACUCGCCGCAGUUGUGUUUGCACUUAAGAUAUGGAGGCAUUAUUUGUAUAGAGAGCGGUGUGAGAUUUACACUGAUCACAAAAGUUUGAAGUAUCUAUUUACACAAAAGGAAUUGAAUAUGAGACAAAGAAGGUGGCUAGAGUUGGUAAAGGAUUAUGAUUGUGUAAUAAACUAUCAUCCCGGUAAGGCUAAUGUUGUAGCUGAUGCAUUGAGUAGGAAGUCGACAUCCAGUGUUUCAAAUAUGAUUGUAACUCAAAAAUCAGAAUUGAUAGAUUUACAGAAAAUGGGUAUUGAAGUUAUGUCACAAGGAUCUAUAGAGGCUAAACUUGCUGCAUUGACACUUCAGCCAACUUUACUGAACAGAAUUCAACAAGGGCGACAGGAAGAUGAUUAUUGUUCCAAAAUAAAGAAUGAUAUACAUGAUGGAAAAGCUUCAGAUUUUCAUAUAUCAGCAGAUGAUAUCUUGCGGUUUAGAGGACGAUUAUAUGUACCUGAUACGGAAAAUAUCCGAGGUGAUAUUUUAUCUGAAGCUCAUAUGACACCCUAUUUUGUUCAUCCUGGACCUACUAAAAUGUAUAGAGAUUUGAAGUUGCACUAUUGGUGGCCGAACAUGAAAAGUGAGAUAGCCGAAUACGUGGGACAAUGUUUAACUUGUCAACAGAUAAAAGCAGAAUAUCAAAGGCCAUCAGGAACAUUACAACCAUUACCUAUCCCGGAAUGGAAAUGGGAAAGAAUCACAAUGGACUUUGUGGUGAAAUUACUAAAAACGACUAAAGGAUAUGAUAGUAUUUGGGUUAUUGUGGAUAGGUUAACAAAAUCAGCCCAUUUCAUUCCAGUUUGUUCCACUUACUCCAUCGACCGAUAUGCUCAGCUUUAUGUACAAGAAAUAGUCAGACUUCAUGGAGUACCACUAUCUAUUGUCUCAGACAGGGAUUCUAAGUUCUUAUCUCUCUUCUGGAGAAGCUUACAUAAGACUUUGGGAACACAAUUAUCUUUUAGCACAGCUUAUCAUCCUCAAACUGACGGGCAAUCAGAAAGAACUAUACAAAUAUUGGAAGAUAUGCUAAGGGCUUGUGUAUUGGACUUCCAAGGCUAGUGGAGUAAAUUUUUACCUUUGGUAGAAUUUGCAUACAACAAUAGUUAUCAGGCUACAAUUGGUAUGGCUCCUUAUGAAGCAUUAUACGGUAGAAAAUGUAAAUCUCCAGUUUAUUGGGAUGAGGUUGGAGAAAGGAAACUAUUAGGUCCAGAUAUGGUACGUGAAAUGGCUGAGGUUGUGACACAAAUACGUCAACGGAUGCAAACCGCUCAAAAUCGACAAAAAUGUUAUGCAGAUCAAAGAAGAAGAAUAUUAGAAUUUACUGUGGGAGAUCAAGUAUUUUUAAAGAUAGCACCAAUGAAAGGAGUGAUGCGGUUUGGAAAGAAGGGAAAACUAAGCCCGAGAUAUAUUGGUCCAUUUACUAUUAUUGAGAGAAUCGGGAAUGUUGCCUACAAACUUGACCUUCCUUCAUCGAUGUCUCAAGUACAUAAUGUGUUUCAUAUAUCCAUGCUAAGAAAAUAUAUUGGAAAUCCUUCUCAUGUAUUGAGGAAUGAACCGAUGGAAAUAAAACCAGAUUUGACUUACGAAGAAAAGCCGAUAGAGAUCCUUCAACGAGAGAUAAAGUAACUGCGAAGCAAGAAAAUUCCAUUGGUUAAGAUAUUGUGGCGGAAUCAGUCAACAGAAGAGGCCACUUGGGAAAUAGAAGAUGAAAUACGGAUUAAAUAUCCUGAACUUUUUUGUAAGCAAAUUUCGAGGAUGAAAUUUUUAUAAGGAGGGGAGGAUGUAAUACCCCGAACUUCACGUUCUACAUUUGACCAAUAUGAUUCAUGCAUUUCAUGCUAAUUACAUUGUCAUUUGUAUCAAUUUCCUGAUUGCCUUCUCUUAAAAUGAUGCAUUUGAUCAUCAAGGCUUUAAAAUCUUUACAUGAUGAUAACCUUCGACUCUUCCAUUUAGGUGGUGAAUUUUAUAUUGAGCUAUGAUAGAAAGUUAGCUUAACUAAAUGUUGGAGAUUGGCUUGGUAAGUAAUGUAAUAUUUGAAAGGCCGAAAAUUUGUAUCAACGAAGGUUCAAGCUUUCCAUUUGGCUAAUCGAGGUCACCUUAAACCCUAGAUAGGUAAUUCACAUAUUUGGGACAUGAGGGAUGAAGUGACAUUAUCACAACGUAAUAAUAUAUGUCUUAUACGACAUUAUAAAUAUUGAGGUGCGAAUUGUUGAAAUCAGUUGAGAAUCGGGUAAGAAAUUAAAUGAACAGCUGAGGAAUUAGAUCUAUAAAGUACUUUGGGAUCUUAAUGCAAGUGAAAUAGAUUGUAAGUACAUCAAAAUAAACGAAUGACACUUGAUUUAUACCUGCAAGGAUAGAUGUAAAAUCAUAAUUUAAUCAAAGGAGACAACACCUACUUAACAUGUGACGACUUACCACUUUAACCUCUAAUUCCUUCAACCUUGAGCCUCCAACACGUCCUAUAAGUCCUUAGAACUUUACGCAAGAUAUUUAUAACUCUUCUAAGUCACAUAUGGCUCCAUGUGGUGCAAGGGAGAAGUCAAAGUUGGCUGCAAGAAGCCACCUCCUACUUGGACAGCUCAUGCUAGGGGACUUUUCACUUUAAUAUAUAGUUGCUUCAACCUUAAGGCAUAAAUUUCGUGUCUAAUCCCCAAGGACUUAAUAUAGGAUGAAUAUAUAUCUUAAAUAUCAUAAAUGGACACAAAAAUAAUGGUAGAAAAGUCAAGUAUUGCAGCCAAGAUGACAGCUCCAGCUUAGUGACUCACCUUGAUUGCUUGAGGUGGCUGCAGCCCAUGAUAUUCUUAAUCCUUAAGUAAUAUGCACGACUUCAACUAUUUAAAGACCACUCAUUUACCUCCUAGAUAAUAUAUUAACUCCCUGAACUCGUCCCUAAGUGAUUCCAAGUGAAAAGAGGGUGAAACAGUCAAAGAGAAAUAGAAACAAGAAGCUGGAAUUUCUGAACAGCUUUGUUACUCCACAGUUUUGAGGUUUGUUUCUAUUAUUUCUUAAGGGAUUUAUGAUUUCUUGAACAUCUGAACUUGUUUUUGAUUAAUUUGGAGUGUUUUUAAUGAUGUUAUGAUGCCUAAAUAAGGGUAAUUAAUUGCAAGAAUUUGAAAGAAAGUAAUCUGGACAGAGAUGAUGAAUUGCUGGAUUGAGUGAUUUAAACCUUGAUUUUGGGAUGAUACUUAGUGUUUAACUUAUAUAUAUCAAUAUGAACGUUUUUAUAUGCAAGUAGGGAGUGUAGAAAUGAUUUUAAUGGCCUAUAAUUCUGUUGGUAUCAUAAUAAUAAAAUGGAAACCGAAAACAGUCAAAGGGAAAAACUGCCUGAUUUUGUGUAGUGGAAAAUGGACUGUUUUUCAAGCUCCAAACACUUCAUUUGUCACAAUGUUAUGAUCUGAUUAUCUUCACAUAUAUGUUAUAGGUGUGUGGUAAAAGUUUGGGAGUCGUUAAAUGUAGGUAAGGACAUGAAAAAGAAUUUGAAAAAUGAGUGGACGGUGAUGGAAACCUAGAAAACAGAUUCUGUCCAUUUGGGUAUUUAAUGUGAUUUCAACAUUUAGAUGUCCCCUAAUGAACUCUUGGGCCUAGAAAAUAUAUCCUAAGGAAUACUAGGUUGUCGAAAACAAUUGGAUGACGUUGACGUUCAUAAUUGGACUCGAGAGAUAGCGAGACUUAUGGGAUUAGUUUGUAAUGUCAUUGGUAACUUGAAAUAAUGAUUUUGUCUAAAUUGUUUUGGCGUGAAUGGACGUAUUUUGGGAUUGUGUGUGUUAAGAUUAUUAAAUGGAGGAUUUUAUUUAAUAUUAGAUGACAAUACAGGUGACUUUUCAAUGUUGAGCGAAAAAAGGGAAUCUAUAACACUCCAUAGGAGCUCACACAUAUAAAGGCGAAAGGUAAGUGAAAAUCCAUUUGCAACUACGAUGCAAGAACCUAGUAUAUGUGACAUAGUAAUGUUGAAAUAUCUACAUAACUUUGAUAAGAGGCUUAUAGCACAUAAUAUGGUGGUUACGAUCAUUGAGUAUGAGAUUGCGUAACCUAUUGACAUCGAUUUUCAUUUAUGAGCAUUUUCAUAUGCAUGCACGACAUGUAACAUGGUUGAAAAUGCUGCAUGCAAAAUAUGAUUUCAAAGUGAGUUUCAUUAUAAAUGUUUUAUUGACCACUACUAGGGCACCGAGACAUGUGAGGCAUGCUUAUGUGAUAUGUUUGGCAUUGCGGGUGUUACUUCCUGGGUGAUUGCAAAGGUAGAAAGGGGAUGGGCCAUUGGUGAUCACGGGAGGGCGGACCACUCGACUGUGCCCUUGUGAUAUUAUGAUUAUUGGCGCUACCGGGUGGGAGACUUCUUGGGUGAUCAUAGGGGUAGUCAGGGGAUGGGCCUCUAGUGGUCACGAGAGGAUGGUCCACUUGUCGGUGUCGAUUUCAUACUGGCCAUUUGAUUAUUGAUAUUGAUAUUAUGCAGAGCUCUAUCCGGUGCGUAGUAGGUGAGUCAAGGGCCCAAUGAAAUGAAAGAUUUCAAGUGAAAUGAUUUCUAGUCGAAUUUGACAAAUAUUGAAAUAUGAAACUUUUUAUCGUGAUAUUUAAAGUAAAUGGCAUGAUGUCAUAUGUCGUUAUUACUCAUGUUCAGGACAUGCAUGAUUUUGCUUACUAAGCAUUGGCUUAUGUAGUUCUUGCAUUGUAGAUGAACAUGGAACUACAUAGAGAGCAUGGCUAGCUGUGGAGCUCCUACAGGAUUCCAGAGUUCGAUGUACAUGGAUGACGACCUGUAGGGUUAUUUUGUAGGCUGCUAUCUGUUGGGUUAUAUUUUGGAAUCCUAUAUAGUGUACUUUUGAAAUGGCCUGUAGAUGUGUUUAUAAGCUCAGAAUAUAGAUGUUGGAUUAUGGCGAUAUGAUUUUGGGUUUCGAUAUGUUAUAUGAUCGUGUCACAGGUGAUUAGAAGUUAACAAACUCGAAAAAAAAUAUAUAUGUAAAAUUUUAUAUCUAUGUUGUGUAUAGAUAUCAAUGUUAAUUUGGGGGUGUGACACCUGGGGGCUAGCAACAUGUAUUUAUAGCUCAUAUGAGUCGUAACCAUUUAAAGUUGUGAUAUUGAAUUUAUUGACCUUCUAAUUAUGUUAGUGAAGAAAUAAUGGCUAUUUUAUAGUACAAAUCAGGUGAUUGAUCCACUUACACUCUAUAUAUUGCAAUAAAAAAGAGACCAUACCGCUAAAAUUAUCAUAAUUUUAGGAACAAUAUUAGAAACGUAAAAAAAUAAAUAAAUUAUACACGAAAAUUCUGAAAAUUUUGAAUUAAUUAAAUUACUGAAUGUGAUUUAACAAUUUUUUUUAUUAAUAACUUAAUUUGUCAAAAGUAAAAGCUUUUUUUAUUUUUUUAUUACUCGCUUGCUUGAGGCCCAUCUGAAAAAAAGCCCAAAUUAAAGGCAUAGAUAUCCAACUCUUACCCAGCCUGUUUACAGUUUAUGUAUAGAGCAAAGGGGACGAUCGGAUCUCUUCCUCGAUUUACGCUAAAAUUCGGGAACAAUUCAUCGCCCCUGGGCACCAAUUUAUCUCGUGGUGCUGUGCUUUCUACUCAACUUCUGCAUCACCAAACUUGGGAGGUAGUAUCGGAUUUUAUUAGUGUAAAAAUGGCUAUAUAUGAUGAAAUCGCAUUCUAUUUGAAUGUUGUGUGAAUGAUUUAAUUUUAUCUCAAGUCCUUAUAAUUUGUUCCAAAACUGUUGAUUCUUGAUGAUAAUUUUCCUGUAGCAACAUUGAUUUUUUCGACAACACUUCUCUUGAAUUUUUGAUGCGGUUGUUCACUGUUUUCUCCUUGCUUUGAAAACUUGCUGCCCCUCAAGUGUAAUACGUGAAAUAACCAGGACCAAAAUCCAGUGGGGGCAGUUAAUAUACCCAAGGUCCGGCUCCGGCUCCUGCCAUGUACACAUCUGAGUUAAAAUUCAUCAAAUAUGAAAAUUUUGUGUUUGUACUCUUUGUUAUGAUGUGUAGGGUCAUACUAAAAACGGUAUGCCUAACCAUUUUUCAUGACCAUUUACUUGUUUGGGCUUACUUUUUCGUUAUUGAUGUUUGGUUUUGAGAUUGCAUUAUUUAAUAUCGCUGAUGGGGAAAUUUUGAUGAGUCUACAUAUUAUUGGAGUGGUAGAAGCUUCUGGUAGUACUAUGGCUUGGAAUGUUACUUCACAUCUUAUUGAUUCGCGAACCCUCACAAAUGAAGCUGAAAUUAAAAGGAAAAGGGGGUUCUGAUUUUUUAUCUGAUGAUCUGUUUCUACACAAUAUUAUGUGGUUCGACUGUCAUUCUAAUUGGUGUAAAUUUAUCUAACAAUUAAAAGUAUAAAAUAUAAAAGUGUUUACUUUUCUUGUGUACAACAAUUUUAUUGUGAGCUUGCUUGAUACUGUCUGUAACCAUUGAUGGAUGCUAUUUAUUCCCAUGAAAUGAAAAUAUUAAAUAUUAAAAUGUUAGAAUGAUAAGAACAAAAGAAGAAAAAAACUGAGAUGUGUUGAUAUAGGAAAAUGAGAUGCUGUAUUUAACAAGUGACAAAACUUUGUAUUUAGUUAGCCCCUAUUGGUUAAAAAUGGUUGCAAACUUCAUACAAUAUAGGCCCAUUGUAGGAUUUUAGAAUAAAAAGUUACUUUCUUAAGGAAUUAAAUGAAAGCCGACUUUGGGGUGAUAUGUUGUUUCUUUGGCAUGUUUGUGGAUCUCUAUUUCAAAAUAAUAGUAUAGACUGAACUGAGCACUUCAGUAAGAGUGCUCUUCGGAAGGCAAAAGCUGCCAACUUACUAUCAAUAACUUGAGUCACCUUAAUUUGGGUAAAAAGCUGACUUUCCCUUGCCAUUCUGGUUGUUCAAGUAAAAACAAGGAGAAAACUUGUGGCUACCUAAAAAAUACGAUAAUUGGGCUGCUUUUGGGAUUGGAUGUGCAAACAUGGUAAACUUUUUGGUUUAUUCUUCUAUUUUGUGGCUUAGUCUGAUGAUUAUGCUCAUAUGUUGGUCAUCACGUUACAGAAGUACAUUUGUUAGUGCCCAAACGGAAGAAGUUGUUUUAUGAAUUAAGCUCCUAGAUAUUACUGUAAGAUGCACAUAAUAGAUAGAUCCUGGAAGAUGUACAACUGGAAGGGCCUAUUUCCCUGAUAGGAUUAUGAGGACUGUAUAAUCUGAUUCAAAAUUGUGAAAUAGCAAGAAAAUUCAAAUGCCAUGAUGAUACAAUAGGAAACUUUGGUUUCUACUAAUUGCAGGAUUUGGGAAUUAUUUUAAUCAAUAGUUGGUGUAGUCUUUUGCCUCUUGUUUGGUCUUCGACUUUGCAAUCUAGGUUUUCUUACAGCAUCUUUGGCUAAGCUUACAAAAAAAUAAAGUUAAUUUUUAAGAAGGUGUUUGAUAGACAUUUUUAUGUAAAAAUGCAUUUUAGAAUAGUAAAUUGAUGUGAAAUGUGUAGUUGAAAAAUAAGGAAAAGUUUUUGAUUUACGUGUAAUAUUAUUUUAAUAAAGAAUGUGUGGUUGAAAAGAAGAGAGAGAAAAAUGCAUUUUGAAAAAAAUAACUACCAUACAGGGCCUAAGUAACUUUUUGUCUUUAGAUAACUUACUUUUAAUAAAAAGUUAUUUUUUCUCAGAGUAAUACUUUAGUGUCAAAAUAAAUAAUUCAUUACCUUCUUUGAUCAAUAAAUGAAUUAUUUCUUUUUGAAAGAACUUAUUUACCUGUUAGAAAACCUUUUAAGCAUAGCCAAACUUGUAGCCUGCUAUACAUUUGAUGCUCUUGUAAUGGAUCUUUUGAUACGUGCAGUGUUCAAUCAUGAUUGAGAGUGGAAAUUUAAUCCUCAAAUCUCAUUAUGAGAUCCUCGAUGUGAAGGAAGAUGCUAGCUCUGACGAAAUUCGUACAUGCUACCGAACUGCCAUUCUGAGUUAUCAUCCAGAUAAAAUGCAAACAACAUCCCAAACAUCAAAUCCUGCAAACGAGUUGGGCAGAAGGUUUUUAGAGGUGCAGAGGGCUUGGGAAAUCCUCGGAGAUUCAAAAUCUCGUGCACUUAAUGAUAACGAGCUGCAAUCUUUGAGGCAAGAUUCUGCAACUGCUGAAGAUAUCAGAUUAGAGGAUCUGUCAAUCGAAGAGGUUGGUGAUAUUUUUGAGCUUUUGUAUGGCUGCAGAUGUGGCGAUUACUUCCUAAUCGAUUCUCUGGAGUUGUCAGAUAUGGGAUAUCGACUGUUGAAAAAUGGGAGUAAAAUUGUUUUGCAAGCGCCUAGAUCUCCACCUGCAUCUGUUGUUCUUUCUUGUGGGUCAUGCUCGCUUAAAGUACGGUUAUUGAUUAAUUCUGAUAGUAAGCUUCAAACUGAGUUGAGUAAUUGAUAAUAGUUUUUCCAUUAAUCUGCAAUUUUGGUCUGAGAAAGUGAUUUAAAAUUAUCUAUAAUUUUGUGGAAUGUAACAGAGAAUUGGAAAAAUGACGGGUCAUUUUGAUUAAAAUUUGUAAUGUGUACUGAUUCAAUUGCUCAUGCAAUUGUUGUGGCCUGUGGUGCCAUUAUUUGAAUAGCAAAGGAUUUGAACUCGCAAGAGAUCUAUUGCAUAGUUUUUAUUAAGAUUAGACAAAACUUUCGAAUCAAAUGAGACAAAUUGGACCCGAUUCCAACUAAAUCGAAUCGAGCGGCUUUUCUUAAGUUAAAUACUUAAAUGGGUGUUUGAAUCGAAAGCUUUCUCCAGAAUUCCAUGGUGUAAAACAUGAAAGUCAAGCUAAUGACUAUAAAUAAGCACUUAUUGGAAUGCAAUUCAAUUUCUUCUCUUUUAUUUAUUUUUACUUUCUAAAAUAUAGGAUUAGUAAAUUUCAUUUUUUUAGUAGUUUUGUAAAUUUUAUUGCUUUUAGUAAUUUAGAGAAUCCUUAUAUUCAUAUUUUCCUUUAAGAAGCUUUAGAGCUUGUUUAAAUAUGCUCCAUGGUAUAAUUGAAUUUUAUUUUAUUUUUCUUGAAGAAACAACAUGACAUCUAAGUACAUUGGAUAAGGUAAAAUACAUAACAAGUGAUCCAACACUCUUAUGCCAAUCUAUCUACCACCUUCAAAUAUAUAUAUCAGGGAAAUACUUAGUUAUAUUUUUAGACAUUAAGGGCAAUAUCUCUUAUAAAUUUGGGGAUUAAAAAAUAUCCAGUUUUUAUCUAUUUUUACUAUUUGGUACUUGCAAAAAAACUUCAAAAAUUCAAAAAAAAAAAAAAUUAUCUUCAGUUUUAGUUUUGCUUUUAUAUACUUUCGUUGAUUAUAUAAAUUCGUCUCCUAUGAUGCAUAUAUUUGGAACCAUGUGUAAGGUUAUAAAUAGUGAAAAAGUUGCAUGAUAGGUUGAUUUAUGCUUAUUAAUGUAAAAUUUGACAUUUUUGCACACAAGAUUAUUGUUUUGCAUCAUUAAGGAUUAAUUUGAUUCAAAUUUUGAAUAGUUUGAAAUAAAUUUAGUGGACCAUAGAUGCUAAACCUAGAUAAACACUAAAUUGUACAUCCUUAAACCUAUUUUCAUAUAAUUUGGGGGCGACUGAACUGAUGUAGGGAGAUAUUGAGAUAAAUAUAGAUUAUAUGCAUAUUUUGUGAAUUGUUUAAUGCAAAAAAGAUGAAAAUUAAGUGUAAAUUUUUGUGUCAAUUUUUGAGAAUGAGUGUUUAGUUAGGGGCAUUGUACUGGACAUUGCAUGGGAAAAUAAUUUCAAAGAAGAAAGAAACUCACAUUAUGAAACUUCUUUUUAUAGCCUUCAUGACUCAAGUUUAAAAAGCUUAAUUGAGAUAAGUUUGAACAUAAAAUGAAAAUGAAAAUAAAAAUAAAAAUAGAAAAAGCAAGUAACAAAAGGUGUACUACAUGCCUUGAUUAAACUCCAAAUACUUGUUUUAGAGAAUUAGACAUUUGACAAAGGAUUAUUAGCCUAGUUGAUUUUUGGAGGUUGAAGUAACCAAAAAUAAAGAGAAUUCUCAUUUGUUGAUGUGUUAGCUGCAAUUAGUAAGAUCUAACCAAAGUAAAGAGGGUAAUGAUUAGUAUAAAAAAUUCAACUUUAGAUCACACUUUAGGAAAAGAGUUUAAAAAAAAAUUAGUUUGAAUGUGAACCUUAUGCGAGAAUGAAGUAAAUAUUCGACCAAUUAGGGCCGGGACAUAAAUCACCUAAUGAGAACUUGUUUGAGCCCCAUUUUGAGGGGAAAGAAUGCAUUUUUAAAUAGUGAUUGAUGGAGAAUGUGUAGUUAAAUAUUAAGGAAAAAUUUUGGGUUGUGUGUAAUAUUAUUUUAUUGAAGAAUUUAUGGUUGAAAAUGAAUUUUUAAAAAAAUAAAUUUUUAAAAGAAUGAGGCUCAAACAAGGGCUGGAUUUAUGAUGUUUGACAUGAAUUUGUACACACGGGCGUCGAUUUUGCAUUAGAUAAGUAGAAAUUAAUUUUAACAUUGUGAUUUUGAAGUAGCUCAUAACGUUAACACAUAAAUUUCAAUCCUAAGACCAAUGACAAAUUAUCUAAUCAUGUUUGUUUAAAAAAGUUUUGGUUAAGUUAAGCUAUAUUUUGUUAGAGGAUAAAUAAUUGUUCAAGUUUGGAGGUAUUUGAUGAGUGCAUUUCUAUAUACUUAUUUGGUUAUUAAAUGAGAGCCAUUAUUGUUAAUUUGAAUGAAUUAGAGCUUAUUUAUAUUUUAAUUUUAUUUGUUAGGUAAAAAUCGAGAUAAAUUGGGUGAAUUAGAAGAAAGAAGUGAAAAAUGGGUGAAAAAAAUGAAAUAUAAAGUUAGGGAUCAAAUUGUAAAUAUCUAAUAGUUGAUUUGAACCACAAGAUGAUAAUUGAAGAUUACAAGGAGCCAAUUGUAUGCAAUUAGAAGUCAAAAAGGAGUGAAAUACAACCAAAAUCAAAGGAUUCUUACAAAUCAAUUUUCAUCCGUACAACUUAUAUUCCAGAUUUUUAGUCGGAGAUGGAGACCCAUUUUAAUUUAGUAAUCGUUCUAAUAGAAAAAUGGCUACUUCUUCAUUAAUUGUAACACUUUGAGUUAGCAUUCCAAUCAUUUUGAAUAAACUCAAUCGAAUAUCAGGAGAGAAAUUUGUGACCAAAUUAUUGACGAGUGUGCAAAGAGAUAAUCAUGCACGUGUGAAGGUAUAUUUUCUUAUUUGAUUGAAACAUUUUAGGAACCUAACUUGAACGCAUUUUUUAAUCUAAUUUUACCUUAUCUCUAUCUAAUAUAAUCAUCCAUGGAAGAUCUCUAUCCCACCUCUCAAAUCACUUCCAUAGCAUAAAAUCAUUCAAGAACGAGGGAAAAAUUCAUCAUAAUUUGGUGGGGAGAACAAAUCUAGCACAUGGACCGAAUAAAAAAAAAAUCAAGAACUUGAAUAAUCAAAGCUUGAGGUUGAGAAACAAGAUCAAGAAUUAGACCGUGCAUCUCUUUCUUGCAUUUAUAAAUUUCGAGUGAUAUUUUUCUUGUUGUUUUAUCAUUAGAAACAUGUUUAACUAGAACUUCUUUGUAUUGGCUGAAGAUAAAUUCUUUUUUUUAAUUAUUUUAAUUUAAACUAGUAGUUUGUUAUUCCUUUUCUUGAUUAAUUUUACAUUCUUAUUGCAUUAUUUAAUUAUUUUGCCAUCAAUUAUAUAAUUAGUUGCUUAUUGUAUUGUCAGAAGACUCACAAUAAGUUUAAAACGCUACAAAUUAGUAUGUGCACAAUAGAUGUUAGGAUUAAUAUUUAUCACUUAUGCAAUCAAGUAGAUAACCUAAAAUUUAAUGCAUUCUAGUCAUUCGAAUUUAAACUAGGAAUAGACUUAUAUGUGAUUAGAAUAAAUUUAAUUUGUCUUGAAAAAUGAAGUUAAAUAAGUAGCUUUAUUGAUUGUCAAAAAAGCAUGAAAUGACUUAUAUUACAAAUCAAGAAUUGAAAUAGAUAACAAUAGAUGGAUUUGUAGUCUAUUAUAAUCAUCCAUAAUUUAAUAAAAACCAAUUUUUUAUGACUUUAUUAGAUUUAGAAUAAUCAACACCAAAACCUCUUUUGUUUACAUAAUUCGAAUUCCAUACAUAACUAGUGAACUUGAAUUGGUAUUAAGUCACUCAAAUUUAUUACUUGUCAACGAUCCCUUACACUUACUAGAUUUUAUCAAACACCAAUCAAUUAGAAAGUUAGUGCCUAAAAUAAAAAAAAUCCAAAUAGAUACAAUAGUGGAGAUAAGAGAAAGACUUAGAAUGUUCAAAUGUCCUUUUAUUUACAUAGACUGAUUGACAAUAUUUACAAAUGCAAAGUUAUUUUAUGGUGAACUAAAAUUAAAUAUGGAAUGAUGAAGUGAAUGAAUUCAAAAAUUGUUGUAAAAAAAGCUCCAUAAUUUCAAAUUUACACAUUAUUUUUUAAAAAGAAUUUCUUAUAUAGAUUAAAAACAAUAGAUGUUUUCAAGUGAUUUUAAACUGUAAAAAAUUGUCCAAAUUUAACAAAAAUUAAUAAUCAAAUCCAACUUGAAUUGAGCCCAAGCCCCAACCCUAAAAUUGAUCAGUUUGGGUUGGGUUGGAUUGAGUUUAAACCAACAAUUGGGUUGAGUUGGAUUGCGGGGGAGCACUUUAAAAAAUUACGUUUCUCACUUUUUCUUUGUUUUCUUUGAACCUAAAAAGAGUUACUUUGCAAACAUUUUUUCCUUCCUCCCAGUGGUGGAUCUAGGUAGUGGCGAGCUUGGGCGACCGCCCUAGCUGGAUCCGCCAGAGUCUUCACUAGCCGUCGGGUGGAAGAUUGAAAGUUGCAGAGCCGCGAUUGAACUGAAGAAGGGAGGACUGGAGGAGGAAGAUGAAAUUUUGAAUUUGGGUCUUUUUUUUUUUUUUUUUAGUUUAGGCCUUUUUCUUUGGGCUGAUGAGUUGGGCCUCUUUGUUUGAAAAAAAAUUAGACCCAAUCCAUGGAUGAUGAUUGAUGGAUAUAUACACAUAACUGCAACCACACCUCCAAAUCAGAGGCAAUAAUCGUAGCAAACCCUUCUGUAACUGUUCUCCUUUUCCCUGCUGUUGGCCGCAGAUGUUAUUGCUUAUUUCGGUGGUCAAAACCUCAAUUGGUGGCAUUAGAAAUAGGAUGCCUAUGUGCUGGUGAGAAACUUCUAAGUUCUAAUGGCCCAUUUUUUCGAUUUCCAUGUGUCUGCCUUGUAUUAAUGCAAAUUAUGCAAGCCUGUAAACUUAGUUUUUUGUUUAAUAUCUUUUUCAGGAAAUAAGAAUAGGCCACUCUUGCCUCACACAGAGUCCACCUGAGUGCCGCUCACACAUGUGACUUGUGAGCCCUCUCUUCUCUUUCACUUUUUUGUUUGUUUGUUUGUUUGUUUGUGUUUUUUGUCCUUUUAAUUCAUUUUUUUUAUUUAUCUUUUAUUUUUGAGCUAUGAAUCUAUGACUUAUGUUUUACUAGUUAUGAUUUAUGUUUUAUAUUUUAUGAGUUAUGACUGUGAUUUGUGAUAAAUAAUUCAAGAUGAAAUCCCUACCUUCUAGUUCUAGUUCGUUUUAGGUUGUUGCUAGUUCAUUAGAUUUGGAAGAUUAUAAAUAAUUUGAACUUUGUUAAUAUAACAAAUUAAUAAUACUUGUUAAUUAACUUUAAUUAUAAACUGAAUAUUGGCAUUUUGUUAAUAUAUUUUGCCUGUUUAAUUGAAAAAUAAAUUAAGGCAAUUUUACAGAUUAUGGAGCUAUUUUUUCAUUUGAAAUGAAAGUUUGUACAUAGUUUCAGUUCUAGUGGUGCAUCUAGUUCUAGUCCGUACGGUUUUUUGAAUACUAUUUAAUUAAAUAUUAAUAAACGAUUUGCCUAUCAUGGAUGCUGACUGUUGACAGUUUACGUUCAACGUUUACGGUCCGCCCUAGCUGAACUAAGACCCUGGAUUCGCCCCUGCUUCCUUCCACCUAUUUUUUCCUCCCUCCAUUUCAUAACUACAAAAGAAUAUCACUAACACUAUCGAUACAUAUAAAAAUUCUAGUCAAUGAAUUGUUGAUCAGUUAAUUGACAUUGUUUCAAGUUUUUGUGUUCGUUCUGUAUAUGACAAAGUUGUCGAUAAUCCUUACAGUUCUCACAUGGCCCUGUUGAGAAGAAACGGAUUGCCACUUGCUAGGGAACUUUCUAAGGUAGCUAGGAUGCUGUGGUUGUUUCAAACUCGGAUCCAGCUUCCAUUCUUUUGGAACCUUCAUAGCCACAUUUACAAUGACACUCAGAAUCGACGUGAAAGGUUGGAAUUAUGAUUAACGACGACCAAUGUUUUAAAACCGAUUCAGGUUAGUCACCUUCUCGUGUCAAGGUUCACAGGAUACAAUUGGAGUUUAACUAGAUAAUAUUCGUCACAUAGCAUGAGAUAUGUCAAGGCUCAAAUUGCUCCUUAACCCAAAGUUCUUAUUUUCAGUUAAAAAAAGCUGAAAAACUUCUAGGUUUCAUCCCGUCUUUUUAAUAUAUGGUUUUUAAGGUAUAACAAUACUUUCCAGGUUAAUUCAUCGUUUUAUCUCUCGAACCAGUUAGGAUAGUCUGGUUAUCAGAACACUAAAGAAAACAAUAUGAGAAAAAUAGAAGAUCUUGAUAUUUUUUGCAAGUCACCUUUCAAACAUUAUUCACUUUUGUUCGUGAGAAACCUACAAGCGUAUCGUUGACAAGUAAUAUAAUUAACAAGUUUAAAGUUAUUGUCCCACAUGAAAUAAACUCAAUUGAAAUUUACCAAUUUCAUAUGGAAUUCGAAUUACAUAACACAAAAGAGAUUUUUAAAUUGAUAUUUGAUAAAUUAAUUUAUGAAAUAUUUAAAAGUUUGGUUUUUAUAAUUUAUGGAUGAUUGUAUUAAAUUUAUGCUCUUCUAUUGUUAUCUAUUUCAAUUUUCAGUUAUGUAAUCUAGUCUUAUUAAUGCAUUUUUGAUAGCCGACAAAGUUAAUGUAUUUAACUUUUUUUUCAAGAUAAAUUAAUUCUAUUAUAGUCACGACUCGAAUCUAUUUCUAGUUUGAAUUUGAAGAAUGGAAUAUAUUAAAAUUCAGAUUAUUUAUAUGAUUGCACACAUGAUAAACGUCAUUUUUAACAUCUAUUGCACAUACGUUAAUUAUAUUGCAAUCUAAACUUAUUGUGAAUCUCUCAACACUACUACAAGUAACUGAUUAUCUAAUUGGUGGUCAAACAUUUAACUAAUAUAAUAAGUAUACAAAAUUAAUCAAGAAGUGUAAGAAAUACUAAAUUACUAGUCAUGAAUUAAAAUAAAUAAACAAUAUGGUUCAUCUUUAUCCAAUACAAAAAUAGAUCUAACAUGGCAUGCUUUUAAAUAAAAUAUAAGAAGAAUAAUAGGAAAAUAUCACCCGGAUCAUGAAAAUAAUGCAAGAAAUCUUGAUCUUCAAUUUCAAGAUUAAGUUCUUCCAAAUCUUGAUGUAACUGGUUUCAAUUCCUUGCUAGGGUUCGGUCCCGUCUCUCAAUUAUAGCAAUUGACCACUUGUUCUUGAUAAAUUUUAAGAUAUUACUGUGUAUCUAGAAGCUAGAAAGAGUUCAUUUCCACGUUUAGAUGUUGUUUUGUAUUUAUAGGAAUUGAAAAUUUGGGUUAAAAUCGUGUAAAAAUUCAAACUAGGAAGAGUUUUAUGUCAAACAGAUUAUUGCAACAGGGUCAUCUAAUUAGAAAACGGGAUAGGAAAUUUUUGAAUAACUCAUCUUGUUGCUGCCUCAUAUCCUGAAGGCGCUAUAUUGGUCUUUCAGGCUCUUUACUUGUGGCAAAGCAUUUAAGGAAAGCCUUCUUAAAAUCUAGUCAGCUUUAGAUGCUUCCCUCCGAGAUCCUGGUGUAUCACAUUUCAGUCACUCCACUUAGAAUUAAGUGAAAGGCUAUGCACUUCAUGGCGGGGAUGGCUCUUCUAAGGCUUGUUUGAGUUUCGAAGAUGUUGAGGUGUUUUGUAGAUUCACCUCUUCUAUCAUACUUGGGGAUUUUAGGGAGCGUGAAGUGAUUUAGGAGAAGGGUAUUCCUGAUCCCUUGUGAGAAUGGGAGAUUGUCAUCAUCGUUAUCAAGAUGGCAAGACCUUUGUGAUUCGUCAAAAUCUUUAUCUUCUUUGACUCGUGUUUCCCAAGGUGGUUGAGAUGGUCUGUCUUGAUUCCUUGCCUGGCCUCAUGCCUAUUUCUAGGUGAAGGGAACUGGAGGCAUGUUGUUAUCCACUGGUUCAUUUUGUCUUUCGAAUUGAAGUGGUCUCUGUUGCCUAUUUCUAGGUGUAGAGAGAGGUUGAGCCUACAUAUUUCUAAGCUGCCCUGGGCUCAGCCCGUCGAAGAUGCUUACUGGCUUUCGAGGCAUGCCUUUUGGUUCAUAGUUUGGAGGAGAUCUGUAGCAUGGUGGAUGUAUCCACCCUAACUUCCAUUUCCUGAGGGGCUUUCUCCUUGGUGUAUUGUUGGUAUUUAGCCAUUUGGCUUUGGACUUCCUCUUUACAAUGGUAGUAGUUUCCUUGUGAGGGAUCAUGGAAUUCAAUUCUUGAGCUACAUAGAGAGGAACUGGGUAUCCUCCUUGGCCUUGCAUGCUCCUUAGCAUCUCCUACAUAAUAAGGUUUUGUUAGGUUAUGUUUCUCAUAUUUGCGGCCAUGGUGGCCACUUCCCUGUUGAGUUUAGUAGUUGUCCUAGACCCACAUCUUGAUCUACCUCUUCUAUGUGAUUGAUGAAAUCGAUGGCGAGUUGCUGGAGCAACUUGAGAAGGUUCCCUUUCUUCAGGGUGUUCCCUAGCUCUUCGAGGUGCUGACUCUUCAUUAGAACUCAUGGAUUCGUUUCUUAAUAGCGUGAUUCCUUGACUGUGAUUUUCCUUUAUUCAAGGAAUUUACAAGGUUUUUUCAAAUGAAUGAUUCAACUUGGGAGUAAUUAGUGGUUCUGCAAUGGAGUGUUUCAGCAAAGAACAUCAGAUGGAGAUGCACUUCGGCCAGAGAGAUCAACCCUUUUCAUUGAUUUGUUCAUUUUGUCCUUGUUGACUUUUAGAUGUAUUGCCCCCACGCAGCUUCGACUUGGCUUCCACUGGAAGCUUUGGAUACAAAGCGAAAUUUAAUAUUUAAUAUCUAUUCCAUAUGGAUUAAAAUCUCUAAAUCAAAGCAAACAAUUAAUUUUCAUCACAUAUUUUCGUGGAUUCUAUAAUGGAUAAAUAGCCAAAACCCCAUGUUUGAAACAUUUUUGUGCAAGCCCCACUGCCAUCAAGAACUAUCAAAUUGAUCGUUAAAAGCACUAAAAAAAUGUCAAAAUUGAAAAGGAAUAAAUGCAAUUUCAGUAUCUAAACUUUUAUUUUUUUUUCACAAUUUAAAUACAAAUUUUUUAUAUGUACCACCUACAAUCCAAAUAUUUAAAACUUUAUUUUCCACGCCACCCUCUUCAUCUUCUUCCCCAAAAUAUUCUUUUUUAGGUUUUCCUUCACCAAAAUCUAUGAUUUCAUUCCUAUUUACUAGUCGAUGCCACAUGCGUUGCACGAUUAUUGUAUUUAAUAUGUCUUUAUUAGCGUGAUGUAGAGAUUUUAAUUUUAUUGUCAUAAUCGUAACAUGCUUUUGAAGUUUGAAUUAAAUUUUUUGGCAUGAAUUUUCUCUGACAAUUAGUAAAAAUUAGAUUUAAAAUUGUGGGAGAUAUAAGUAAAAGAUAAUUUAUAAUUUUAUGGGAGUCCCGCACGCUGUCGCGCAGAGUCAGCACCAAUUCCAUUCGAGGAAGUCCCCGCACAAUUCGUGCGGAGUCCCCGCACAGUCUGCAGGGGAUUCCGCACCAAAAUUGCUACAAGAAGCCAUAUUUCACGAGUUCUAGGUGUUUGCAUUCUCAAAGUGAUUAAGAGAACUAAUAUCACCAAAAUUCAGCAAAAAUAAAGAUGAGAAUAUUUAUUAAUAUAAGCAAGGGAUGAAAAGUGGAAAUAACUUCCCAAAAAUUGAAAUGUACAGCCAUCAACAUUGAGAAAAAAACACACAACAUGUAAUCAUAUUGUGCUACUGGCUCAUUUUUAAUUAAUUACUACCAAAAAGUUUUGCAACGGGAAUUCUACAGGCAUAAAUAAAGAUUCAAAUGAUCUAUCCAAUCACCUUACUAUGCUCUGUUUAAAUCUAUAGCUAAAAACUUAACAUAAACAAUUUGCAACUAUUAACUAAAAUAACAAAACCCCUUAGAGCAAUUCAAUUAUUUUCACCAAACUUAUAUGCUUAACCUAAUCAUUCAUCGAUUUCUUGCUAAUUUCUUUAUUCCUACAUUUUCCUACUUCAGAUGCCAAACCAUAGCCUAAAAAAUUAAUCUAUAUAUUUUUUUUGUUUUUUCCUCUCUAUAAUCUGUUGAUCUUAUGGCCAAAAAUUCAUUUUAAAAAGACUUAUACAAUCUGAAAAUACACACAUUCUUAAUAUGCAUAAAAUAUGAAUAAACCCAUAUCAAGAGUCCCAACAAAAAAAAUUAAAAAUAAAUAAAAAGACAGAUUUUUUCCCUAGUUGACUUUAAAAAAAAUAAAAUAAAAUUCAAGACUUCUUUUCUACAGCACAUAUCAAAAGUCUAUUCACGGCAUCAUCGAAACAAUAAUCAACAAACAAAACCCAUACACCAAAAAUUAAUGAAAUGACGAAAACUCAAACAUCUAACACAUAAAUUUAGGGAUUAAGAUAAGAUAAGCCCAUACCUUCAACAUUAUUCAGUGUUAAAACCCGAAAAGUCCCCGCACAGUCUAUGCGGAGACUCCACACCUAGAUUACUACAAGAAGCCAUACUUUACGAUUUCUGCCAAGAUUGCUAAUGCAUGAGAUACACAAGAGACCUAAAUGAAUUAACAAGCCAAUAAGCAUUUUAAUUUACAUUAAACCAAGAAUAUACCUCUCUAUUCACACAAAAACCCAAAAUUGUGAAUCGAAUAAACAAAAUUAUAAUUAUCAGAUAAAAUCGAGGAUAUACCUCUCUAUUCACUCGAAAUAAAAAAAAUUUCACGUAGAAUCUUGAAUAAACAAAAUCAUAAUCUGAGAAAAAUGGCAUGCCAGUAUUUACCUCUUUAUUCAUGAGAAUUUUGCACGAAGAGAUUAAUCACAGAAAAAACGAGAGAAGAAUUGAAGAAGAAGUGAGAGAAGAAAAUGAUGAUGAUGAUGAUGAUGAAGAAAGCUUGUGUCUGGGUUUGCGUGGGGAAAUGGCUUCACCGUCCUUUUGAGUAAGAAAAAAUGGGUAUGACUGAUAUCUACAGUGAAAUCACUAUUUAACUAAAGUAGAAGACCCGAAUACUAUUGCAAUUACAGUGAAUUUUAUUCAUCUUUCUAUAAUAAGUAGUUAGAUUAAAAAAAAAAAAAAAAGAAACUGUAAUUGUGGUGUUUCUACAUGAGUUAACUUAUGCGUGUUUUAUAUAAAUCUCCUUGUUCUGUUUGCUAAUGAAGAUCGUGCAUUGGUCAGCUCUAAAAACAAGAUUCAAUAACAUUUAUAGAAUAAUAUAUUAAAUUGGAUAGCUUAAGGAGGUCGCCGGAAUUUGGGGUGGCCAUAUUGCUCAACCCCAGAUGGUGUUCAAGUAUCUGUCUAUUCAUUUUCUGUGUAUAAUCUUAUCCAAGAACGAGUCAUGUAUUCUAGCGAGAAAUUAAUAUCAAGAUUCCAGUUCUUGACAUCUUGUUUAUCCAAAAUUUUUCCUUUCUCUUGGUGUAAUAUAUGGUCAUAGGUAGUGUUUUUGUGGGAAUCAGAUCUUUGUUUCUCAUUUUUUAAGUUGGAUUUCAAAUCUUGAUAUUUGGACUUUUGAUUCUCGAAGUGUCCAAUAAUUUAACUAUAAUUUUCAAGAACAUAAUUAUUGAAAGGGGGAUGGACUUACUGUAUGUUCUUGGAACCAAAAAGAGAGGUGAAUUCUAAUUACAUAAUUAAUUCAUUAUUUAAACAUCCCAUUCUGAGACUAGGGGAGAUGGACUUGCUGUAUUUUCGUAGAUCGAAGAAAAUGAAUUGGGGUGGGGGUUGGAAAAUAAAGUUCUAGAGAUUUGGGAUUGUAGGUGGCAUAUAUAAAAAUUUGGAUUUAAUUUGUAAAAAAAAAAUAAAUAAAUAAAUAAAAUAAAAUUGGGUAUUGAAAUUACAAUUAUUCCUUUUUAAUGACAAAUUGAUGGAUCUUGACGGUAGGGAAAUUUUUCACACAUAAGAUUUCAAAUAGGAUCCCCCCUCCCCCCCCAAAAGAAGUAAGGUGUGUAUCACACAUGAAAACGCUUCUAGUGGAUUUUCUGUCAUUAAUCCAUGCUACAACCUUUCAACUACAUAUUUAAUCAAUUUUUAUCAAAUUUAAUAAAAAUUAGAUUUUAGGUAGUGUGUGAUAAACUCCAAUUCCAUGGAAAAUAGAAAUUCAUUUCCACCUUUUGUCAAAAAUGAGUGUUUAAUAGGUAAAAAAAUUCUAGGGAAUUCAUUUUCCAUGAUUCUUGCCACCUAAGCAAUUUUCCCACUUUUCCUUGAAUUGGAAUUCUCACCAAAAAUGGUGAGAAUUCCAAUUCCGGUUUACUGUAGCGAAAUUUUUUUUUCAAUUUUUUUUUGGCAAUAGAAACAAAUUUUAAGAAUAAUUGUAAAAAAAAUAUUUUCCUGUAAUUGACAAUUUUCAUGUAAAACAAAGUCAAACGAACACCAAAAGAUAGAUGAUUUUCUUGAUUUUUUUUGUUGACAAUGGAAACAAAUUUCAUCUCCAAUACCAGUAAAAUCUAUCACUUUAAUUGAUAAUUUUCAGGUAAAACAAAGUCAAACGAACACCAAAAAUACUUUUAUUUCAACAUUUUUCACUUGAAAAAUUAUACCAAUCAAACAGAAUAAUUUACAAUUCUCAUGAAAAUAAUUUAUAGGCAAUUCAAUUCCCUAAAAUUCAUUUUCAAUUUAAUUUAAUUCCAUUUUAAAAAUCAAACGGAGCCUUAAUUCUUAUCAAAUGGGGCUUAGUUAAAAGUUUCUAAUUCUAUAUUAUAUAAAACUUUUUAAUAAAAAACAAAUUAAAAGUAAGUUUGUACUGCAUCAUGGGGCACAACAAACAUCAAAUGAAAUAAUCUGGUGUGGAAGGUCCGCACAGUAAGUAGUUUACAUAGUUGGAUUAAAUUAAUGUUAGAGUUAUGCUACAAUGACAAAGAGGGUUUACCAAGUUAGAUUACAAAAUCAAAUCUACACCAAUUAUUUUAAAAACAGAUUUUUAAAUUAUUUAAAAUCAAGGGUCCAGAUUUUGCCAACAUACUUUGGCACUCCACUUUUGUACACCAACCUUGUAGGAGUAGAAUUAUUCUUAAUGUUAAAAACAAAUUUGCUACAUUUGGAUUUGUAAGAAGUCAACACGUAUCCAUGUCUCCACUUUCUCUCUCUACUCUAUCUCCAGUUCUUCUUCCUGCGGUUUCUUUUUCUUCUCUGCAAUUUCAACACACGAAAAAAAUUGCUAUAAGAAUUCAUUCUUCCGCUUCUUUGGCUACGGGAUUGAAUCCCAAAGUUGUGGUCACGAGAGAACGUGAGAAAAACGCUAAACUCAUUAUUCUCUGGUACAUUUUUAUAUUUGUUAUGUUUUUGUGAAUAUAUAUUCUCAACGCAUUCUUUUGAGUUUUGAAACUUGCAAUUUUAUUAUUGAAAUUAUAAGCACUUGUGGCUGUUUUUGAUGUGGGAACGUGUUUUUUUCCUUGUGGUUUUUUAUAGGAAUCUUGUGGUAUGAAUUUUUGUCAGUGGUUUAUUUUUGUGUAAUGGAGGCAAUAAUUGUUUGAUCAAAUGUUGAAAUAAGUUUAACCUUUCCAUCUAGGGGGGAAAGAGAGAGAGAGCGAGUUGUUGGAAAACUAUUUUGAAGAGUGUUGAGUGAUGAUAAAUAUGGAAAAAACUAUUAGCUCACUUAAGAUAAAGGAAUUGAAUAUAAUAAUUAAUAUAAAUUUAUACUCUUUGUUUAGAUGAUGUGUUUCAAAUAUAGUACAUAUCAAAUUAUAUUAUGAAGAAAUUUCUGGAAACAAACAAAUGUGUGGGAGAAUGAAAAAUUGCGCUGCUGAUUUUAAGGUAGAAAAUUUCCCUUUCCAACAAUUAAGUCUAUUGUUUGUCCUUGCGUCAGCAGAUGCUAUUUCACUGGGUAGUCAAUGAAAUAAAUUGAGCAGUGGCUUAUAAGUCUGUAUAUGAGUAUUAUGUCACCCACCUUAAUAGAAGAGCAUUAGAAAAUAGUGGAGUUGUUUGCCUAAUUAUGCAAGUCAUGCAUUCAGGUAGAAGUUGAAAAAAUGGUUUCGCAGUAGCAUUAGAAUGCGUCUGAUACGUCGGCAUGUGAUUUUUGAAAGAUAUACUAAUACGAUACAUCAUCGCCACAUUGAUUAAACUUUUUAAAAUUCUUCAUUUAUUAUUACAGCCAGCUCACCAACAGCAAUCAACGGCAAUCCACACAAAGAAUUUUCUUUUAUAGUUAUUUCCAUAUCACAGUUCUUACCAUGUAUAGAUUGGAUUCUCACCUAUAAAUUUAUGCAAAAUCAUUGUAACAUAUAUGGAGGAAAUAAUAUAAUCUUCAAUUCUUCCCUCAACCAUACCUCUGUGUGUCGAGAUUUAUUAUGGUAUCAGAGCAACCUCCUUCUUCCGGCCUCUUUUGAUUUCUCUGACUUCCGAAACCAACAACCACCAUGUCUGAUUUGACAUCGUUGACACCUUCACAAUUGAUCAACAACCUCACAUCCCUAUAUUUCUUAACGCCCGCUGAUAACCCUGGUGCUGUAUUCAUCCUCGAUCUUCUCAGUGGAGAAAACUAUGCAGCCUGGAAACGCUCGAUGCGUAUGGCCCUUAAUGCCAAGAACAAACUCGUCUUUUUCGAUAGAACUCUAAAGCGACCGUCCGAAGCUCAAAUUGCCAACCUUUGGGAUCGUUGCAGUGAUAUGGUUUUCUCUUGGCUCUUAAAUUCCAUCGAUAGGCACCUUAGACAAAGUUUGAUCUACUGCACCUAACCUUCUGAUGUAUGGACUGAUCUGGACAACCGAUUCUUUCAAAGCAAUCACCCCCGUCUUUACCGCCUCCAACGUGAUUUGGCUAACCUCAAACAAAACGCCAUGUCCGUCACCACAUACUACAAUAUAAUUAAAGGAAUCUGGGAUGAGAUCAAUGCACUAACCGAUGCCAACCCCUGUACUUGUGAUGCUCACAAAAAGGCCGAAGACACAGCCAAUACCGAACGACUCUUUCAAUUUCUUAUGGGCCUCAAUGACUCCUUCUCCAACAUUCGAAGCCAAAUUCUCGCCAUGGACCCCCUGCCCACAAUCUCCAGAGCAUAUGCCACCAUACACCAAGAAGAGACACAACGCCUCCUACAAAUUCCAUUGUUACCCAAUGCCGAAAAUUCAGCCAUGGCUGUCUCACGCACCAAUUCUUCGGUUAAUCACGGUUUUCGUUCUCGCAACAGUAGAAAAUGCACAAAGUGUGGGAAAGAUGGACAUCAAGAAGCCUCCUGCUUUGAAAUCAUUGGCUACCCCUCCCAUUGGAACACCAAUAAGCCGAAGCAGCCCCUGCGGUCCGCACCUGUCAAAAAAUCGGCCACAGGAUUCGGGCAAUAAUCGGCCACCCACAGCGAACAUGGUAUCCCGUACCUCAGCCCCUUCCAUGUCGAGUGCAAUCCUUGGCUUAUCUGACGAGCACUACUGGCAAUUGAUGGAAAUGUUGGAACCUAGCACCGUUGCACACUCGGCCUUCUCUGGUAUCUCUCUAUCUCAUCUCCAAAUCGCCCCAGGUCCUUGGAUUAUAGACAGUGGGGCUUUAGCCCACAUUUCUUGUGUUUCUAACUUACCCAAAGCCUCACAUGUUUGGGCCCAUAGUCAAUCCCUUACAUUACCUACAGCCUUCAAGGCCCAAGUCACACAUAUAGGCCACAUCCAUAUUUCUUCCCAUUUAUGUCUACAUAAUGUUCUUUUUGUUCCCGAUUUUAAAUACAAUUUAAUCUCAAUAAAUCAACUCACAAAAUUGUCUAAUUGUGUUACCAUAUUUUCCUCUUCUAUUUGUUUAUUUCAGGACCUACGCACGAGGAAGCUGAUUAGGAUGGGUGAAGAACAUGGAGGCCUCUACCAUUUUAAACCAUUUAAUCAUGUUGCAUUUCAACUCAAAGCAAAUCCUGCUGCUACACCGUACGUAUGGCAUCUUCGUUUAGGCCAUCCUUCAAAUUCUUGUAUUCCAAAAAUUUUAUGUGAUUCAAAUAAAGUUAGAAAUUGUGAUAUAGUUGUGUUCGCGGUAAACAUACGCGCCUUCCCUUCAAAUUGGUCGAAAAUAAAAGUAUUUUUACCUUUAACCAAAUUUAUUGUGAUAUUUGAGGCGGAUAUUCCACACCCUCUACAACUAGUGCCACUAUUUUCUCACAAUUAUUGAUGAUUUUUCAUGUGUUACUUGGGUAUACCUCAUGCAUUUUAAAUCUGAUACAUUUACUUGCCUAACCACGUUCAUUAAAAUGAUCCACACGCAGUUUGAUUGCCCUAUCAAACAUAUUAGGUCGGAUAAUGGUCAAGAAUUUCUUUCUCAUCGUAUGCAACAAUUCUUCCUUGACCAUGGGAUCAUUCAUGAGCGCACUUGUGUUGAAACACCCCAACAAAAUGGUAUAGUAGAAUGAAAACAUCAUCACCUGCUAAAUGUAGCUCGAUGUCUUCGCUUUCAUACACAUUUACCUAUUUUCUUUUGGGGUGAAUGCAUACUUACUGCCACUUAUCUGAUUAACCGCGUAUCAACUCCCACGCUUGGUCACAAAGCGCCUUAUGAACUCCUUUUCAACAAACCUCCUACCUGUGACCACCUCUGUGUCUUUAAAUGUCUUUGCUAUGCACACACUAUAAGUGUUCAUCGGGACAAGUUCUCUCCUCGUAGCACACCAUGCAUAUUCCUAGGCUACUCUCAAUCUCCACAUACCCAUCGUGUUUAUAACUUGCAAACCAAGAAAAUUUUCCUCUCUUGUGAUGUCUACUUUGUAGAAUCUACCUUUCCCUUCGCUCCUACCAUGCAACCUUCACAGAUAUCAUCAGAUACCAAUCAGCCCCUCGAUGUCCCUUACAAUACCCCACUUCCAACCAACGUUUCACAUGACACCCCUGGCCCAUCUCCUUCAUCCACGUCAGACAUGGAACUAACUAUACCAACACCACAAGUUGUUGAUGGACCUACCAACUCCCUAGAAAUCGUCACCAGCUCACCCCCACCAACUAGACCUCGAUGCACGAUUACUCGUCCUACAUAUCUUCAAGACUACAUUUGCUCAGAUUUACCUCUAGAGGGACAUCAUCUCAUUCCCAGUCUUUCUCAGGUACAGUUCACUCUCUACCUAAUUUUCUUUCUUAUCGUUUCUUUAGUCCAAAACAUUUUGCUUUCCUCUCUUCUGUCUCCAAAAAUGUUCAAGACCCUGUUCUUCACUCUCAAGCUAUUCUCGAGCCGUAUUGGCAACAGGCAAUGGCUUUUGAAAUUCAAGCCCUUGAAGCCAAUCACACAUGGACCCUUGAACAUCUUCCCCCUGGUAAGAAGGUAAUUGGUCGCAAAUGGGUUUAUAAAAUAAAAUUGCGUGCUGAUGGUUCCAUUGAAUGCCAUAAAGCUCGUUUCGUUGUCAAGGGUUUCACUCAGGUUGAAGGUCUUGACUAUAAUGACACUUUUGCUCCUGUAGCUAAACUUCUUACUGUUUGAUGUCUCCUUGCUAUAGCUGUAGCUAAACACUGGAUUCUUCAACAAUUGGAUGUUCACAAUGCUUUCCUCCAUGGUGAUCUUGAUAAGGAAGUGUAUAUACGACGACCACCAGGAUAUUAUCGUAAAGGGGAGACUCGCGUUUGCCGUCUCCACAAAUCAUUAUAUGGUCUCAAACAAGCCUCAGGUUAGUGGUAUUCAAAAUUAUCUCAUGUUCUCAUCCUUGCAGGUUUUGAUCAAUCUGCUGCUGAUCAUAGUCUCUUCACCAAAACCAAGGGUAAAACCUUUACUAUCGUUCUUGUCUAUGUUGAUGAUAUCAUUGUUGCUGGUAAUGACAGCUCUGCUGUCAGUUUUAUCAAACGGCAUCUUGCACAGACCUUCAAAAUUAAAGACCUUGGUGAUCUCAAAUAUUUCCUAGGGAUUGAAGUUGCUCGAUCUCCUAAAGGCAUAUUUAUCAAUCAAAGGAAAUAUACCUUAGACAUUCUUACUGAUUCAGAUCAACUUGGCUCUCGCUCGGCAUAUUUUCCCAUGGAACAACAUUGCAAACUUAAUGACUCAGAUAGUGAUCUUAUGGACGAUCCUAGCUCAUAUCGACGCUUGAUUGGUCGUUUGAUCCUAUAAUGCUCGGACUCGGGUAUGGGUAUCGGGUACGGGCACUUAUCUAAGUACCGGAUCUUUUAUUUUCUAAAAUAUAGGAUACGGGAACAUGGUUAAAAAGAAUCCAAAUUUCAAACACGGGUACGUGGGUAUGUCUUUCAAGCUUCAAUUUUUUUUAUUAACCCAAGAUGUCAUUUUGAAUAGACCAAAAUCAAUAGUUUACAAAAAAGGAAAUGAGUAUUAAAUAAGAUGUUAAGACUAAUAAAAUACAAUUUUGGGGUUUAGUUUUCAAUUAUCGAAAACGGGAAAGAAAAGGAAAAGAAAAAAGAAGAAGUAGAAAAAGGCGAAGUGUCCGGUUUAAAUUUGAAGGAUCCGACACAUAUCCCAUACCCAUACCCAUGUCGUGUCGUGUCCGACACGGGUAUUUCAACCAUUUCGAAGAGUCCGAGCAUCAAAGGUUUGAUCUAUUUAACUAUCUCUCGUCCAGAUAUUACCUUUGCAGUCAACAUUUUGAGUCAAUUUAAGCACACUCCUCGCAAGCCUCAUCUACAUGCUGCUAUCCACUUGCUCCACUAUCUGAAAACAACACCUGGUUAUGGAUUCUUCUUUCCAUCCAACUGCAGCCUUCAGAUAUCUGCUUUUUGUGACUCUGAUUGGGCAAGUUGUCCACUCACAUGACAUUCCACAACUGGUUUCAUCAUCAAAUUGUGCGAUAGCCCCAUCUCUUGGCACACCGAGAAACAAACAACUAUUUCUCGCUCUUCAGCUGAAGCUGAAUAUCGUGCGAUAGCCACUACAACUUGUGAACUUGUUUGGCUUCGCCUCCUUCUACAGGAACUUACUGUGCCACAUCCACAACCUAUUCUGCUUCACUGUAACAAUCAGGCAGCAAUCUACAUUGCACAUAAUCCGGUCUUCCAUGAAUGCACUAAACACAUUGAAUUAGAUUGCCAUCUUGUUCGUGAGAAAAUCAAAUCUGGUCUUAUUAUUCCCUCCUAUGUUUCAAGCUCUCAACAAGUAGUUGAUCUUUUUACUAAACCAUUGGGAUGUGAAUUAUUUGUUUUCUUUCGGUCCAAGUUGGACAUUACGGGCCUCCAUGCUCGCCUCCAUGCUCCAACUUGAUGGGGAGUAUUAUAGCCAGUUCCCCAACAACAAUCAACACAAAGAAUUUUCUUUUAUAGUUAUUUCCAUAUCACAGUUCUUACCAUGUAUAGAUUGGAUUCUCACCUAUAAAUUUAUACAAAAUCAUUGUAACAUAUAUGGAGGAAAUAAUAUAAUCUUCAAUUCGUCCCUCAACCAUACCUGUGUCUGUCGAGAUUUAUUAUUUAUAUAGAGAAUUUUAUUUUGAUACUUGUUAUUGAUUUUUCUUAUUGAAAUUUUUUAAAUAUGAAUAUUUAUUUAUUAUUUAAUAAUAAAUUUGAAUUAAAAAUAUACAAUAUUUUUGAUAAAGAAAGAAAAAUUACCACUAGUGUAUUCGAGAAGUAUAGGUAUUCGACAUGUAUCGGAUGUUACUCACAAUAUUGCUGAUGAUAUAGUUCAACUAUGGUCUACAAGAGUAAGAUAUCGUAUGGAUCACGUAAUAUCAGUGAAUGAAAGAUAGAAUAAUAGUUGUUUUACGACAUGGUAUGCUACAUGAAUAUAUUGUCAACUCUAAAUGUUUUUUCAAUUACCCACAAUGUUGUUGAUUAAAAUAAAUUUAUCAAUAACAGUAAGAGCAGAACAAAUAAUUUAAAAUUGCAGAUAAUAAAAGAGCAAAUGAACUUUCAAUCGAAGUCUGAAUAAACAAAGUUUCUUUAAAACAAAUUGGCCUCCUCACUCUACAUGCUUGAGGCUUAGUUUGAGCAUCUGUUUCCUAAGAUACAACGGAAAAUAAGUAGAGUCUAAGCACUGCAUAUACUACUCCAGUGAACUGACUUCGUAUCCGAACAAUAUCACCAAAAUUGAAAAGAUAUUUUUUUUCGACCAAAUAGAGAGCUGUAAAACUAUGUAGCAUGCAGACAAAGUAUUGAUUCUUGUGUGGAAUAUGGAAAACGAGUUCCAUAUAGACUUAACCCCAUGAAUAGUGAGUUAAAUCUGUCUAUAAGUGUAUUAUAUCAUCCAUAACUCUUGGAGUUUCAACAGUUUUAGAAGUUAAAAGGUUAGUUGGAGGAAAAAAUUGACAAAAUGUAGGCCCUCCCAAGGGCUCAAUUUUGGUCCUUUCGGUCCAACAUUUGUGUGCACAGGUUGAGCCCGCACACAAGUUCAAGGUUUGAAAUCUAUUUCAGUCUAUGAUUUGUACCUCUUACGUGCGCACGUGGUGAGAGCCUCUAUGCUAUAUAUGAUCACACCCUUUCAAAGUGUAAUCCUAUAUGAGGUGGUAUUUGCCUUCAUUAUUUUUCUAUGUGGGACAAACCUUAAUUGGUGUCCUUCGAACACAUAAAUUCCUUUCAAUUGGCACACUUUGAGCUCCAAUUUUUCAUUCACCCAAGCAUCAUUUUUGGCAAGUAAAUAUAUGAUUUCAAUAUUCUCACGACGAACACAAAUCAAUCUUGAUCUUCCAAAAUAAACAACUAGGUCCCACUCAAAAUUUAUGCCAAAGUAAGCCAUUCAACUCAUUUAUUCAAUGAUGUGUCAUCCUAGAUGAAGUGUCCGUGCAACAAAGGUAUUAGGUGUUCGUAAAGUGUUCUUUGAUGGUCAUCCAUUUCUUUUGAUGACUCAAGUUUUCGAGCUUCGCUCUACUAAUCUUGAGGAGCAACGGUCUUCCCCACUAAUCAUCCAUUGUUUAUACCUAUGGAAAUGGUGCCAGUAGCAUAUGGAAAUGUUUAUACCCCUUAUCAUUUAUGGACAAGCGUACGAGGCCCAAGGCAUUGUAAUGAUUUCAGAGUGGAUUUAGAAGAUACUAUCUGUGCGUUGAAAAUUCUAAAUUGGUUUUAGAUAAUCGUCGAGUUGGCUAUGACACCAAGAAUAAAGUAGCGAAAGGAAGGAUACAUUGCAUAUGAAGUGAUUGGCUAAGGGUUUAGGAGUGUAGUUCUGCAUAUUAUGCAUAGUAUAUGAUUUUAUUUCAACAUUUAUUCAUUGGGCUGUUUGUGGCACCAAGAAUAGUGGUGGCUAAAGGAAGGAUACAGGCUUAUGAGUGGAGUUCUACAUAUAAUGCAUAGUAUUUGAAUUUUUUCCUUUUUUUUUUUUUUUUUUUUUUUUUGAGAAAGAAUUGAAUAAAUAUUGAAGUUAAUGGGCUUUGUGUAACNNNNNNNNNNNNNNNNNNNNNNNNNNNNNNNNNNNNNNNNNNNNNNNNNNNNNNNNNNNNNNNNNNNNNNNNNNNNNNNNNNNNNNNNNNNNNNNNNNNNNNNNNNNNNNNNNNNNNNNNNNNNNNNNNNNNNNNNNNNNNNNNNNNNNNNNNNNNNNNNNNNNNNNNNNNNNNNNNNNNNNNNNAUUUAGGAGAGAGGAAGAAGAGGGAGAAAAGGAAGAGGAAAACAAAUAAAAAGAAUAUUGAGAAAGAAAGGAUUUCUAUCAUUUCUCCCUAAUUGAAAGAACUCGACUCCAAUUCUAAGCAAAGAGGACUAUCUUUCUUUUUGACCAAAUAAUGAAAUUGAUCGCUUGACGUCAAAUCCAAAAUUGGCUGGCUGAUUUUCUUCUUUUGAGUUGUGGUUGGGGAGAUUUUUGGGUGGUUGAAGAUGGCUAAGGAAGUGUGUGUAUAAAUUUUGAAUUUCAACAUGAAAUUUGUGUACAAUGAAAACGACUUGUUCUGCUACCAAAUUGAUGUAUACUACAAUAAAACCAAAUAGUAGGAUUAUAGAAGAAGGGAAAAGGGUAGAGAAUAAGAGAAAUAAGGGAAAAAGAGAAGAAGAAGGGGAAAGAGAAGGAGAUAUGUAGAAAGUGAACAAGAGACAUUAGAAGCAGAUUUAGGAGAGAGGAAGAAGAGGGAGAAAAGGGAAAAGGAAAAUGAACAAGAAGAAUAUUGAGAAAGAAAGAAGAAAAGAGAGGAGAAAGAGAAGAAGAGGGAGAGAAAAAGAGAAUUUAGGGAGUGAAUAUCAAGUUUAUUUUAUGUCAACAUUGUAUCUAUUACAAUGCACAAACCUCCUUCAUAUGGGGUUUCGAAAAACCUAUUCUAAAUAGGAAACAAUGAAUCAAAUACUAGAGAAUCUAGUAAAUAAAUAUAUAAUAAAAUCCUAGGAAAAUCCAGUAAAUAAACCCUGAUAUUUUUUCCCAAAAUAAGAAUCUAAAUAUGGAAAAUAAUCAUAAUAAUCUAAUAGGAUUUACAUCAUUUUUUCGUGGUCCCGUGGGAAUGUGAGACAAUAUCAUUUAAGAUGUAUGAGUUUUAACUUGUCGCGACUCAUCAAAAUCUUCACUUGCGACCUGGAAAGAAAUCGAUUUGAAAAGUAAUUUUCCCCAUUUUUGAGUAAAGAUCAUGUCUCGGGCUAGUGGCUCCAUGGUCUUUUAAUUCUUUCACAUGGUUAAUCCUUUGAUGAUGCUAUUAUACUCUCAAUAUGCUAAUAUAAAUGACUAUUGAUUUGAUGUGUAUUACCUCCCUGUGUUUGCCUUCUUUUCAUUGUUAACUGUAAACUUUUGCUACAAUUUACUUUACCGUAAUACAGGCAAAACAUGGAAUUGACUGUCUUGAGCUUCCUCUCAUUCAGCACAAGAAGUUGCCUGAUUCUGAUAGACUUCCCUCUGUGUUGAGUGGUAAGUUUCUGACACGAUUGAUGGUUAUAGGAGAUUGUUUCAGAUUAUCUCGAUGCAUUUGUUCACGUUAUGUGCAUUUCAGAGACAGUUUUUUUUGUGAGUUUUUUUUUUAGAACUUUUGCUUCAUCAGUUAAUGUGUGAUCCCUAUUGUGUUUUGUGUCAUUAUUUUUUUUAUCUUACAUCUUUAAAGACGGUUCAUACGGGUGCACAUAAGAUGUUAAUCGCAGGUUGUCAAACUUGAUUCCUCAUUGACCGUAAAUAGUCAAUAGCCUGGCCCCAUUUCAGUUAGAUUCAUGAAGAGAGACAGCUCCUCUUUUUGGGCUGUGAGGCACAAGGUACCAAGGUUAUCCAAUCACAGGUUGUAAAUUCACAUGGAUUAAAUUUCUCUGUGCACAUUGUUGUUAUUAUCUUUCUGACUUUGGUGUGAAUGCCAGAUCGUGUGUAUCUGGUCUCUGCGAAAGUAAAUUGCUAAAUUGAAUGCUUGUUCUUAGUUGCUUUGAAAUGAAUGUUGUGAUCAGACAGAAGAUAAAACUCUCUCAAUCCCCCUCCCCCUCUUACACAUGUUUCAUGACAGUUACUUCUAUUUAAAUUCACAAAUUCUACAAGGGAUGGACAUUAUGGUUUUUUCUUGCUUAUCUAUUGCUGCAGAUACUGCAUUUGAUUGGAUUGUCAUAACUUCACCUGAAGCUGCUCUGGUUUUUCUUGAUGCUUGGAAGUAAACUUUCUCUUGGAUUGCAAGUACUCGUAAUUUUGAAUUAAUCCUGUACUUUAUGUGAAAAUAAUUUGUUGGCAUAUUUGGUAGCGCUUUAAAAAUCUUCCAUUAUAUUUUCUGGAAAUAUGUAUGUGAGAAUUAUGAAAAGCAAUUAUCCAAACACAACUAGUGGCUAUAACGCUACUUAGGUUAUGAGAAUCUUGAAAAACAAUUCCCCAAACAAAACUAAUGGAAAACAACACUAAUAUCAAUCAAUUUCUGGAAAUGUUGCUGCAAUACUAAAUGUACACUUAGGUUCCUAGAAGAACACAUUUUUUAAGCAUUUAUUACUCAUCAAUUAUUUGCUGGCCAGAUUCACUGAUCCAAUUUUGCUAACUUCUGAUCCAUAGAGCUGCUGGAUCUCCGAAAGUUAAGAUUGGAGUAGUGGGAGCUGGUAUGACAAGCAUAUUUACUGAAGUUUUGCAGUUCUCAAAGAAAAAAUCUUGACGUCACCUGUGCACCAUCUAAAGGUUCAUAUGCUAGUUUUGAUUUUAUUCUAUACCAAUAAACCCUAUUAAUUAAUAAGAGUCUGAACAUGUGUACAUGUGCAUGCAUUAAUCAUGUCUGUGAGCAUUUUCAUAUUGUUGCAACAUAUUUGUGUGACUCAGUUGCACCUCAAAGUCCAUAUGAUUGACAGCUGGAAGCCUAGAAUAAAGAAUUAACUUCAUUUUUAAUUUCCAGCAACUGGGAAGGUUCUGGUUUCGGAGCUUCCAAAGCAUGUGAAUAGAAGUUGCACUGUCUUAUAUCCUGCUUCUUCAAAAGCUAGUGGUGAGAUUGGUAUGUGUAGUAUGCCUGACUUUUAACCCGAUAGAUCUCCAUCUGGUUCACAUUGAUACUGCCACGUCAUUUUUUAUUCUAGAAUGUUCAUUAGUUGAUUAGAGGAAAACUCUAUAAAUAAGAUGGGGGAGGGGAAUUAGAGGGGAUUCAGUGAAUAGUUUAGAAAAAGUGGGGAGAGAUCAAGGCCUCUUGAAUGCCUUGUAUUAUGUUUAAUUUCUUGACUUUCAUUCUAGUUAAUAUCAAUACAAUUCCUCUAUCUUUACAAUAUACAAUUCCAGUAACUCCAUAGACAUCAUCUUGCAGUCACAUUACAAUUUCAGUGUUUUAUCCCGCAAAUUAGUGCAUAACACUUCACUGUUGGUCUAGCCAACAAACAGUAGAGGUAGCAGCAACUAAUCCUCUGCAUUAGCAGUCAGAAUCUACAGUUUAUCAACCACAUUAGCCAGGAUCUUAUCAAUUGGUAUUAGAGCACUAAUUCUCUGGCAAAUGGAAACAAAAUUCAGACAAGAAUGGGAGGAAAAAUGGAGCUCAUUAUUGAAUCGAUUUGAUCGCAUGAUGGUGCAAUGGGAAGGAGGAUAUUGAGCAAAGGAUUCGAAAUUGGAUACGCUAGGUCGAUUAAAAAUAUCAAUAUUCUAUGAUGGCGAUCCAGACUAUUGGUUAAGGAAAGCCGAUGAAAUUUUUGCAAGGAACUAAUUGUCCAAGAGGGAAAAGGUGGAAGCCACUACAGCGUGUUGGGAUGGUGAAGCUUGGGAGUGGUUCUGAUGCUAGAUCUUCGACGACCCGUGCAAACUUGGGAAAAACUAAAAAAAUUGAUGUCUGAUCGAUUUAGCACGAGUAAGGUCUUUGUUGGUGAUGAAUUUUCAGCUUGGAAGUAGUAUGAUGGGUUGAACUAGAAGACAGAGAAUGGAAAGCCAGAGAAAGAAUAGUCGGCACCAGAGGAAGAGCGGGAAAGGAAAGGAAACGGGCGGGUCGCUACUUUGCCAGAAACCACCCACACAUUUGAAUUGCCACUUUUGAUGAAACUUGGGUAAAUAGAGGUAGGCUUGAAAUCUUACCAUUACCACCGUCGAUGGAGGAGAAGAGAUUGGAGUAGGUUUUAGAGGGAGCCUUUGUAAAAUCGUUGAAGCAGGAGAAGAGCAAAGAAAGGGAAUUAUUGAGUUUGAUGGAUUUGGACUGGGGAAAGGAAUGGGCCGAAAGGAUUGAAGACCCGAAUGAGAAGUAGGCCCAUUUGAACUUUGACCCAUCUAGGUCUAAAAUUAAUAUGGAUAACCCAAGCCCACAAUUCCCUUAUUUCCCUGUCAGCACACGUAAGUCGGCUCUCAAGACACCACAUCCAACCAACCUGAUCCACACCAAAGCCACGGCCACCUCCAAUUUCCAUCAAGCGAUAACAAUUAAAGGGGCUAAUUCGUUCAAGAAAUUAAUUGAUGAGCCACAAAUGGACAGAGACAAGGGGCUGUGUUUUUUUAGUGAUGAGAAUUGCCCCAACAACUCACAGACGCCGCAAUACUGAGUUGCAGGUAUUGUUGGUUACCAAUAAUGGGGAGGAAGUGGGACAAGGAGAUGAUUAAUUAGAGGUUUUGGAAGAAGAUGAAGAAGAAAAUGAUGUGGGUGAAUUGAUUGAGUUCUCACUCAAUUUCCGGGAAAGGACUAACUAAAUAAAAAACAAUAGAAAUUAAGGGGUUGAUUUUGGAGAAGGCAGUGGUGGUCCUAAUUGACGAUGAAGCGACCUACAUUUUUAUUUUGGCUAGUCAGAUAAAAAAAUGGUACUAUUUGUUGGUAGGGGCAAUUGGAUAUGGAGUUUCCUUGAAUACGAUACUUGCGAUAAUUGCUUGCUUGAUCAAGUCCUCUCACUUCGAGGACUUGAAACGUUCCCUUCCAGUGAUGACAAUGACUGGAGUGCUUGCAAGACAAAUGGUUUGGUUGCAACAUGGAUCGACCAAGACAUCAACAACUUCCACCUUGAGGACAAGGUGGAUUUUGGGGUGGCACGUAAUGAUAGAUUUCCAUCUCAUUCACAUGGAUGUCGGCACGUCAUUUGUUAUUCUAGAAUGGUCAUUAGUCAGUUAGAGGAAAACUCUAUAAAUAAGAUGGGAGAGGGGAAUUAGAGGGGAUUCAAUGAAUUGUUUAGAAAAAAUGGGGGAGAGAUCAAGGCCUCUCGAAUGCCUUUGAUUAUGUUUGAUUUCAUGACUUUCAUUCCAGUUAAUAUCAAUACAAUUCAUCUAUCUUUACAAUAUACUAUUCCAGUAACUCCAUGGACAUCUUGCAGUCACAUUACAAUUUCAGUGUUUUACCGGACAAAUUACUUCAUAACACUUCCCUGUUGGUCUAGCGAUUUUCUUCCAGUAGCAGUAGCAACAAACAAUAGCGGUAGCAGCAACUAAUCCUCUGCAUUAGCAUCCAGAAUCUGCAGUUUAUCAACCACAUUAGCCAGGAUCUUAUCAUAACCUUAAUUUUUCCCUUUCCCUUUUGCUCUCCACGUGUGUCAACAUGAAGGAAGUUCCCUUUGGGUCAGGAUUGUUAUGAUGGAAAAUGCUGCUUAAACAAAUUAAAUGUCAAACUUAGAAGCUGUGGCAUCCUGAGGAUGUUCCUGAGAACAAUAUUUAGCUUGACUAUAUUAAUAUUUUAUAAUUCUUAUGUUGACUUGCUUGAAAAGGUUAAGAAUGUGACUUUUUGAAACAUAAACUGGAAAAAAUCCAUAUCUGAUUCUUUCAUGGGCAUAAACUGAUGACUAUCAGAUCUAUAGGCAGCAAUGAUUAGAAAAACCAAAAAUAAAAAAAGGAAGCCAAAGAUUAUUACAAGCUAUGAAUUUAUGAAAGUUGGUUUAUUGAAUUGGAAUAACUCCAAAAUACAUGGUGAAACACUAUGUAGAGCACCUGGAUAUCACAUUGAGUAUACUCAGAGUGGGUUGGUAAAGAAGUGUUUUAGCCCAUGUUUGAUGCAGUGGUGGACCCAUGACUGGGCCCUUCAUUUUUUACAUUUACAAAGUAGGCCCUUCUGUUGAGAAUCACACCAAAUCAAAUCAAUUUCCUGAUUUUUAGGGAAACUUGGCUGCAUAUUUCGUAAUUAUAGGGAUCCUAUUCAUUUCCAAAAAAUCAGUAUUGUAUAGCUAUAUAUUUCAGUUGCAUAGUUGUAGCUUUAUUUUCUAUUUUAUUGACUGUAUUGUAACUAUAAGAGGAUGAGUAUGACUAUUUUCCCAUUCAUUCGAUACAAUAUUCUUUUUCUACCCAAUCUAUAAUUGGCCUAUGUUUUUAUUUAUUUAUUUAUUUAUUUUUGGUUCUUCCUACCCAUUACCACGUCAGAAAUCUCUAAAUCAACCCCUACCACUGGUGCCAAUAUCAACUCCUCUAAACCUCCAACUGAACCUCUCUCUCAUUCCGUCCAAAUCGACUCAAUGGGAACAAUUUUCUCAGGUGGAUCCAAUCCGUUCGAAUAUAUAUUAGAGUGGGGGAAAAUCAGUUAAUUGAUGACAUUGUAGAGCCAGAAAAAUUGAUGUUGGCCAUGCUGUUUAGGAUGCUGAAAACUCCAUGGUAAUGGCCUGGUUAGUGAAUUCUAUGGAGGAGGAAAUAAGUGCAAACCACAUGUAUUGUCCUAUUGCUAAAGCCCUUUGGGAUUAUGUCACCUUGAUGUAUUCAGUCCUUGGAAAUCAAUCCCAAACAUAUGAGUUACAACUCAAAUUGGGGGAAGUCCGUCAAGGUGAGAAUUUCGUCACUAAAUAUUUUAAUUUUCUCAAAGUUUUAUGGUAGGACCUUGAUUUAUUCAAUGAUGACCAUGAGUGGAAGAACAUGGAUGGUUGCAAUUACUUUAAGAAAAAAGAGAUCUCACAAAUUUUCAAAUUUCUGGCUGGACUCAAUGUUAAUUUUGAUGAAGUACGAGGCAGGAUUUGAGGUUGUAAGUUUUUUUCUAAAGUUCGACAUGAAGAAAGCAGGAAAAAUGUCAUGCUUGGCAAGAAAAUCAUUGCUGGACUGGUGGAAAAUUCGGCAUUAAUGGGGAUUGCUGUUGCUGCCUAUCGUGCCCCUAGGGGCGGACCCACUAAGGGACGAGGGCGGUCAGCCGCCCCCAUUGAUUUUUCAAAAACCUUCAAUUCGACCUUGUUAAAUUUAAAUUCUCAUAUUUUUUUUUUUUUGGUUUUUUCACAAUUUAUUUUAGUCAAUUUUCCAUCUCGUCCCCACUGAAGAUUAAUUUUAGGUCCACCCCUGCGUGUCCCUUAUACUUAGCGUCGCCAAGAUGACAAACUGAAGGUUUGGUGUGAUUUUUGCAAUAAAUCACGACAUACUUACGAAACUUGCUAGAAACUGCAUGGAAAACUUGUUGAUUGGAAACCUGUAGAGUGGAAGAAUAACAAAACUAAUCCGAAUCGUGCCCUAACCAAAGCACAUACUGUGAGACCACCUCUUUCAGUGAAGAACAAAUAGAGCAACUCCUAAAGCUAUUGAAAUCUGCUCCACCGACUCCCGGUACUCCUGUAGCAUCCUUGGUUCAAACAAGUAGAACUUUGUGUGCCUACUCUUCAUUAUAUGCAUCUUGGAUCAUAGAUUCAGGUGCCUCUCAUCACAUAACUAAUCUAUCCCAUUUGUUUAUAUCUUAUGAACUCUUUUCUGGAAAUAAAAAAGUACGUACUGCAGAUGGAAAUUUAUCUUCCAUUGCUGGCCAAGGUUCAUUCGUUUAUGAGAAAAAAAUAUUCUGAAAUCUGUUUUACAUGUCUCAAAACUCUCUUGUAACCUUUUGUCAGUAAGUCAUUUAUCUAAAGAUUCUAACUGUCGUGUUAUCUUUGGUGUCUCUUGUUGUGAAUUUAAGGAUUUAAAUGUGGGGAUGAUGAUUGGCAGUGCUAGAAUGAUAGAUCUCUACUAUUUUAAUGACAACUGUGUUAGGAAUAAACAAGCUCAGGGUUUUAUUGGUGGUAUCCAAUUAAAUCUUGUUUAUGAUCAAAUAAUACUAUGGCAUAAUAGACUAGGACAUCCUAUUUUUUCCUAUUUAAAGUACUUAUUUCUAGAUUUAUUUAAAGGAGUGGAUUGUAACUCUUUGGUUUGUGAAACUUGUUUCUUGGCUAAAAGCCAUCGAAACUUUUAUAAAAUUAAACUUUAUUGUGCUUCAAAACAUUUUUAUCUAAUACAUAGUGAUGUUUGGGAUCCUUCUAAGAUUACCACUUCAACCUGAAAAAAAUGGUUUGUGACAUUCAUUGAUGUUCAUACACGCCUAUGCUGGCUUUAUUUAAUGAAUUCAAAAAAUGAAGUUGCAAAAUUUUUUAAAGAUUUUUACUCUUUGGUAGAAAACCAAUUUCAAACUAAAAUAAGUGUUCUUCGAAGUGACAAUGGAACAUAAUUUUUUAAUGAAUGUUUAGGAAAUUUUUGUACAAGAAAAAGGCAUUGUUCAUCAAUCUAUUUGUAGGGAUACUCAACAAAAUGGAAUUGCAGAACGUAAAAAUAGAUACUUAUUUGAAGUUGCUAGUGCUCUUAUGUUUCAUAUGAAUGUUUCUAAAUAUCUUUGGGGAAAUUCAAUCUUAACAAGUUGUUAUCUGAUUAAUAGAAUGCCCACUAGGGUUUUGAACUAUAAAACUCCUUUACGAACUCUUAAAAAAUCUUUUCCAAACACACGUCUCAUCAAUAAUCUCCCUUCAAAACUUUUUGGUUGUACGAUGUUCAUUCAUGUUCCAUCCCAUCUUCGAUCCAAAUUUGUCUACGAGCUGAAAAAUGUAUUUUUUAGGCUACUCUCCUAAUAAAAAAGGCUAUAAGUGUUUUAAUCCUGACACUAAAAAAUUUCAUAUUAGUAUGGAUGUUCAAUUUCUUGAAACAACUCCAUUUUAUACUAAAACCUUUCUUCAGGGGAAGAAUCUGAAUGAUGAUUAGUUUUGGCAACAAGAAGAACCAAAACUAGUUUCCUUUUUCCCUCAAAUAAAUUAGGAAAUGAAUACUUUACCUAGAGAAAAUAAGAAAAAUACUGAGCUAUAUAUGCCAAGUAAAAAUGUAUCACAAAAAGGGGAAAAACUUUACCACCUAUGCCCACUGAGCUACGUCUUUACACUAUAUGUAGGUUCAAUCCCAAUAUUUAGAAUCUUCCAAUCAAUUCUGAGCAUGGUCAAUCAUCAUCUCCUAGGUCUUCAAUUCCAGGUAAUCUUCCUAAAAAUCCUACUCCUUUACCUUUCUUUGAUCAUGACAUUCCUAUUACCAUUCAUAAAGGAAUUAGGAAUUGUACCAAACAUCCUAUUGCCAAAUAUCUGUCCUACCACAGACUUUCAGAAAAAUACAAAGCCUUCACAACAAAUGUUUCCCAUCUAUUUGUACCUAGAACUAUACAGAAAGCACUACAACACUCGGAGUGGAAGUGAGCAGUGUAUGAGGAGAUAAAAGCACUUCAAAAAAAUAGAACCUGGGAAAUUGUUGAUCUACCUAGGAAAAAGAAGAUAGUAGGGUGCAAGUGGAUUUUUACAAUCAAAUGUAAGUAUGAUGGGAGCAUUGAGAGAUACAAGGCAAGGCUGUUGCUAAAGGUUUUACACAAACUUAUGGAAUUGACUAUCAAGAAACCUUUGCACCUGUUGCAAAAUCAAUUCCAUUCGAGUGUUACUUUCUCUUGCAGUACAUCUUAACUGGCCUUAGCAACAGUUAGAUGUAAAGAACACUUUCUUAAAUGGAGAGUUGGAAGAAGAAGUGUUUAUGGACUUACCACUAGGUUUCGAAGAAAACUUUGGAGAAAAGAAAGUUUGGCUAUUAAAAAAGUCAUUGUAUGGUCUUAAGCAAUAUCCUAGGGCCUGAUUUGACAGGUUCGGAAAAGUCGUCAAGCUUCAAAAGUAUUUGUAAAGCUAAGCCGAUCAUACAAUGUUCUAUAAACACUCAAGAGAAGGUAGAAUGGCAAUAUUCAUAGUUUACGUGGAUGACAUAAUUUUGAUUGGAGAUGAUAUUGUUAAGAUUGAUAGAUUGAAGAAAGCCCUAGCUCGUGAGUUCAAAAUCAAAGACUUUGGUCCUCUUAAAUACUUCCUUGGAAUGGAGUUUGCUAUAUCCAAGAAAGGUAUUUUUAUCUCUCAAAGAACGUACUUGAUCUACUAGAAGAAACAGGUUUACUCGGUUGCAAAGCAACAGAAACCCCUAUAGAACCAAAUCCGAAGCUUUAGCGUGCAAGUCUAGAAGAAAUGAUUGACAAAGAGAGAUACCAACGCUUAGUUAAGAGACUAAUUUCUCUCUCCCAUAAAUGUCCUCAUAUUGCAUUUGCAGUGAGCAUGGUAAGUUAAUUCAUGCACUCACCUAAUCAAGGACAUUUUGAUGUUGUGUACAGAAUUUUAAGGUACUUAAAGGGGACCAUGAAAAGGAAUUCUAUAUGAAAAUAGGGGACAUCUCCAAGUUGAAGUGUUUACAGACGCAGAUUGGGCAGGAAUGUAAUAGACAGAUGAUCAACUUCGGGAUAUUGUACCUUUGUUGGGGGAAAUCUUGUAACUUGGCGUAGUAAAAAACAAAAUGUGGUGGCUAGAAGUAGUGUUGAGGUAGGGGUUUAGGGCAGUGGCACAUGGUAUCUUUGAGGUUCUGUGGAUCAAACAUUUACUUGAAGAACUUAAAACUACCCGUUCCUUACCUAUAAAGGUAUUUUGUGAUAACAAAGAUGCUAUUGCAAUCGCACACAAUUCAGUGCUCCAUGAUUGAACUAAACAUGUUGAAGUUGACAAAAACUUUAUAAAGGAGAAAUUGGAGAAUGGUCUGAUUAUUAUACCCUACAUUCCCAGGUCCGAACAGGCAGCAGACAUUCUUACUAAAGGUCUACCAAAGAAGUAGUUUGAUACGUUGGUGAGCAAGCUGGCCAUGAACGACAUCUUUCAACCAGCUUGAGGGGGAGUGUUGAGAAUCACACCAGAUCAGGGCAAAUCAGUUUCCUGAUUUUUAGGGAAACUUGGCUGCAUAUUUCAUAUUUAUAGGGAUCCUAUUUAUUUCCUAAAGUCAUUAUUGUAUAACUGUAUAUUUCAAUUCCAUAUUUGUAGCUUUAUUUCCUAUUUUAUUGACUGUAUUGUAUCAAUAAAAGGGUAAGUAUGACUACUUUUCCAUUAAUUCAAUACAAUAUUCUUUUUCUACCCAAUCUAUAUCUUCAUUUUUUUACAUUUACGAAGUAGUUCACAUAAUUUUAAUCCAUAAUUUUUACAUAAUUGUGUCUCGCCCCCACUAAAUUAUGUUCUUGGAUCCGUCCCUGCUUUGAUGGCCAUUAUUUGGGAAAAACAAUGUUUUGAAAAGUGUUUUUUAGGAGAAUGUGAGGUUAAAAAAUAAGAAAAUGUUUUGGAUUUACUUGCAGAAUAUUUUAUUGUGUUUAUGUUUGGUUGGAAAUGAGUUUGUAGAAAAAAGAGUUUUCAAAUAUUGGUUAUCGAACCCGGGCAUAAUGGUCCAUGAGAUUUGGAUGAACACAUUAAAGGUCAUAAGCAAAUGUUCUUGCUGCUGCUGCUUUUCCACUCCCCAUUCACCUGAAAAAUUCUUAAUAGAAUUUUAUUUAUUUCUCUUAUUUUUCCAUCCUAAUACUGCUUUUAGCUGUUAAAUAGACGUAUAAUGAUUAAAUCAAUACAGUAUGCUAAUCUUAAUCGCCAACUGUUCUAUAAUUCAAUUAUUAUGUUUCAAUAUGGAGUAAUUAAAAUUUAACAUCCACCGUUAAGAGAAGCCAAUUUUGCAAUUUAGUUAGACUGCCCAUUUUAACAAAUUAUCAAUCUUCGAAUUAAGCAAAGAUCUUAAAAUUUAUACAAUGCCUGUUGGAUCCUUUAGAUGAUGAAACAUGUAGGUUUUGCUUUGCAUUACUUUUGUACUCAUGCGAGCUGGUCUACUCAAGUAUGACUCAGCUUCACGAGAAUUCUUUUAUUAGAUCCUACUAUUUCAAACUUAUAAUUUUAUCUGUAAGGAAAUAUGAAACUGAUUUAACCUGCUAAUUGAAAUUGUCUGUUUCAGAAGAAGGCCUUGCCAAGCGUGGAUUCCAGGCUACUAGGCUCAAUACAUACACAACGGUAUGAUACUCUUGUAAUUUUGUAAAUGUUCUAAUGUCUCAACAAUUUCAUGUAAUUUAUAACUUUAAAUUUUAAUUUGCCUCCACAUAAUGCAACAGAAAAUUUAACAUUACAGUUACAGUCAUCAAUUGCAAGUGUUUAGAUGUCACUAAAUAUUGAUCAACAACAAAUACUCAUCUUGUUUCUGUUAAUUUGGUGGCCUCUGAUAAUUUCCUAUAGGAACCUGUUAGUCGUGUGGACCAAAGUUCUUGAAUGGGCGGUUUCUGCUCCUGUUGUUUCUGUAGCAUCACCUUCUGCAGUUCGGUGUACUUUUCUGUUAUAGCAGUUCUGUUGAAAAUUAGUCUAUACUGUUGAUCCUGGACUAAUCUUCUGAAUAAAAAGUUUCUGAGUUGAAUUCAAACCUAAGCACAACUCACAUGGGUAUUUGUGUUCACAUAUUUAAUGAAUUGGGUGUACAGUGCUCUUUCUACAUGGUUUUAUGAAAGACAGGCUAUCAGAAAAUGUGAAAUAUGUUAACGGUCUAUUUGUGUUACAGGUGUUUUCGUGAAUAUUUUUAAGACUCAUUUUGAGUGUUUUUUUAUUGUGAAUCUUAGUUGAGGGGCUUAUGUUGUACCAAGUCCAACACUCUUCCCAAAAAUAUUUACCAUUUAAUCUUACCAAUUCACUUGCAGGAUCCUGUUCGUAUUACUGAAUAUGUUAAUUACAGUUUACUACUUGUGGACUUAUUGCCAUUGAAUGUGUUGGUGGCAAUAUAUAUAUCCUAUCGGGGGACGCCUAGGCGCCAGGUUCCUGCUUGUCUUCAUAUUUUUGUGGCGCCUAGAAGCCAGGUGAGUGGCGCCCGGCAGAACCAGUAGAACUAGCCCCCUUCCUUUCUUCCUCUCUUCCUUUCUCACAAUUCUCCACCUCGUACAUUAUUUGAUAGACCUCAAAUUUUGGACGAACACAAGAAGAAGAAGCAAGCACCAACUCGGCCGCACCAUUCAAACCAUGAUUGCCUACGUAUCCAAAACUCGAGAUCAAGCCUCCGUAGUUCACAUCCACCUUCAUAAACACUCCACCUCAUUUCAACCCCGCCCCGAAGGGCCAUGCCUUCUCGGGCAUAUCAACACGGACUAAUGUGAAGCAAGUCCAAGCAAUGUUGAAACUCGCUACCUGUCACCACUUUGGUUAACAUGUCAGCUGGGUUCUCAUUUGUGUGUACCUUCGAGAGUGAAAUAUCACCUUCCUCUAUGACAUCACGCACAAAAUGAUACCUGACAUCGAUAUGCUUGCUUCGAGCAUGAUGAACCUGAUUCUUAGCUAAGUGAAUCGCACUCUGGCUAUCACACCAUAAGUCCACACAAUCCUGCUCAAUCCCCAAAUCAUCUAGAAGACCCCAUAACCACAAUGCUUCCUUCACUCCCUCUGCCAUAGCCAUAUACUCGGCCUCUGUAGUAGAAAGAGCAACUGUAGCCUGUAACAUCGAUCGCCAACUAACUGCGGCACCAUGUAUGCAGAACACAUAUCUAGUAGUAGAUUGUCGUCUAUCUAGAUCACCUGCAUAAUCCGAGUCCACAAACCCACUUAUAUGACAUGCAUCUCCACCAAAACAUAAACCCGUAUCCGCGGUACUUUUUAAGUAUCUCAGGAUCCACUUCACAGCUUCCCAGUGUGCCUUCCCCGGAUUCGCCAUGAAUCUACUGACCACACUCACCGCCUGUGAAAUAUCUGGACGUGUACACACCAUGGCAUACAUCAAACUGUCAACUGCACUAGCAUAAGGCACACGAUCCAUGCGUACCUUUUCUUCCGCUGUAGUAGGAGACUGUUUACCAGAGAGCCUAAAAUGUGGAGCCAAUGGAGUCACCACCGACUUUGCACCUUGCAACCCGAACUUAGCAAUAACCCGCUCAAUGUAGCCUUUCUGACUCAAGAACAUUUGCCGGUUCGUCCUCUCUCUUCUGAUCUCCAUAGCCAGCAUUUUCCUAGCAGCCCCCAUAUCCUUCAUCUCAAACUUUUUACCAAGUUGAGAUUUCAACUUAUCUAUCUCCACCUUGCUUUUCGAAGCGAUAAGCAUGUCAUCCACAUAUAGAAGAAGAUAGAUAUAGUUACCUCCCCGAAGUUUUCGAAUAUAAACACAACAGUCAUACUCACUUCUGGAGAAAUCAUGCUUUAGCAUGAAGGAGUCAAAUCGCUUGUACCACUGCCGAGGAGAUUGCUUCAAUCCAUAUAGUGAUUUUGUCAAGCGACAUACCUGACGUUCCUUAUCCUCAACCUUGUAGCCCUCAAGUUGAUGCAUAUAGAUCUCCUCAUCCAAGUCCCCGUGCAAGAAGGCGGUUUUGACAUCGAGUUGUUCCAGCUCAAGAUCAUGAUGAGCAACAAUACUCAAUAGUACCCGAAUGGAAGUGUGCUUGACCAUAGGAGAAAAGAUCUCAUUGUAGUCAACUCCCUCUCUUUGUGCAAACCCCUUAGCCACUAACCUCGCUUUGAAUCUUGUACCAUCGAGCUUGGUAGGAUCCUCCUUCUUUUUAUACAACCACUUGCAACCAAUAGCUUUCUUACCUAUGGGCAAUGGGACAACCUCCCAUGUUUGGUUCUUGUGGAGUGAUUCCAUCUCUUCUUCCAUUGCCGUCGACCAACUCUCGCUAUUGUUGUUUAAAAUAGCUUCCUUGAAAGUGGUAGGCUCAUCAUCCUCCACCGAGAGUGCAUACUCAACCAAAUUUGUCUGCCCAUAGUGCCUCAAAGGUUCGUCUGAUCCCAACUUUAGAACUUGCUUGUAAAUACGGCGUGGCCUAGAGGAAGCCAAAUUAUCUGCAAGCUGCUGUUGUUGCUGUGCCUGUACAUUCUCUUGCUGAACCGCCUCUUGUUCAAGUGCAUCAUCACUCUCAUCUUGAGUGUCUAUUUGAUGCUCCUCUUGAACAUGCCUAGAAUCAGGUUGAUCUCUAGAUUCUAUGUCAACAACUUGAGACAUUGUAUCUCAACAUCAUCACCACCGGACACUGUAGCUUUCAACGAAGCUACCAUGGAGUUCUCAUCAAAAGUAACAUCUCUGCUGAUUAUGAACUUAGAAUCCUCUACACACCAAAGGCGAUAGCCUUUUACACCUGCCGCAUACCCCAAGAAUAUAGCCUUCUUGGCCCUCGCAUCAAGCUUUCCUUCGUUGACAUGAUAGUAGGCUGUGCAUCCGAAUGUUCUGAGUUUCUCAUAAUCUGCAUGUUCUCCUAUCAAUACCCUAUAAAGUACAUCUCCAUCAAACCUUGAAUGUGGAGACCGGUUCACUAUGUAGUAAGCAUUUGCAACCGACUCUGCCCACCAUUCUCUGCCCAAACCAGCAUAGGAUUGCAUACACAUCGAUUUCUCUCGAAAUGUGCGAUUCAGUCUUUCCGCGACCCCAUUCUGUUGCGGUGUAUUUCUUACUGUCCAAUGUCUCACAAUGCCUUCCUUACCACAGAACUCCUUGAAAGAACCGUCUGUAUACUCAGUACCGUUAUCAGAUCUCAGUGUCUUCAAUUUCUUUCCAGUUCUGUUUUCAACCAUUGCUUUUCACUUCUUGAAAGUGUCGAAUACCUCAUUCUUAUGCUUCAAAAAAUAAAUCCAAGCAUAUCUAGAAUAAUCAUCAACAAAUGUAACAAAAUACCUGGAACCGCCUUUGGAAGUGACAGAAGCCGGACCCCAUACAUCCGUCAAGAAUGCCUCUGCUUCUAUGUUUGCUUGGCUGGAACUGAACUCGGUGUGCUUUACCAUACACGCAAUGCUCGCAAAAAUCCAUGCAAGGCUUCUUCAAGUUCUUUAGCAAACCUUUCUUGACUAGCAAAUCUAGCCCCUUUUCAGACAUAUGCCCAAGCCUCCUAUGCCAUAGCCGAGUGCACUCACAUGGGUCUCAACCACUUCCACUUGUUCCAACUGCUACAUCUUCAGUAACUGUAGUACCCUGAAGAGCAUAGAGAUUGCCUUCACGGAUACCCUUCAUCACAAUAAAAGAACCACGAACAACCUUCUUUACUCCAUUCCAUGGUACAAUCUUGCAACCACCGGAGUCUAAGGCACCAACAGAGAUAAGGUUCUUUCUCAAAUCAGGAACAUGUCUAACAUCCAUCAAUGUUCUAACCACUCCAUCAUACAUCUUGAUUCUAAUUGAACCAAGCCCCACCGUUUUACAUGAAUGGUUAUUACCCAUCAACACGGUUCCACCAUCAGUGCUUCUAUAGGUAGUAAACCACUUCCUAUUUGGACACAUAUGGUAAGAGCAUCCGGAGUCAAGAAUCCAUUUACCGGAGGUCUCUUCAUCACAAGAGAUGGUGUAGCACUCAUCGCUUUCCCCUCCUUCCAAGGCAUAGCUUACCUCUUGCUUGACUUGCACCUUCCCACUGUUGUUGUUCUUAUUGUUCUUCUUCCAACCCUUUUUGUUUGGACAAUUCGCCUUGAAAUGCCCAAGCUCGCCACAUUUGAAACAAGAACUUUCCGCAAGAGGUCUAGAACUCGAUCUAGAUUUUUCUCCCUUGCCCUUUGGGCGCACAUUGCUUCUACCCCUUACAAACAAUCCUUGAGCUUGCUCCUUGUUACCAAUGGUAGACAUGCCACUAGUUGCAAUCUUUCGAAGAUCAUCCGCUAGAAGUGACGUUCUAGUGUCCUCCAUCACAAGUUUAUCACCCACAAGCAUCAAUGUUUGUACUAGGUUCUCGUAAGACUUUGGCAAUGAAAGAAGUAGUAGAAGUGCUUGAUCCUCAUCAUCUACAUCCACAUCAAUGUCUUUCAAGUCCGAUAUGAUCCUAUCAAACUUGUUGAUGUACUCCCGGAUUGGUGUACCUUCGUCCAUCUUGCAAGAAUACAAUUUAGACUUCAAAUAGAUCCGAUUUGUUAGAGUCUUUGUCAUGAAGUUCGCCUCCAACUUUGUCCACACCUCCGCCGCCGUUACCUUACUAUCAACCAAGAAAGCAACAUCUCUUUCAAGGCAAAGAAUGAUAGACGCUCGUGCCUCAAGAUCUAGCUCUUCCCAAUCCUCGUCCGACAUAUCAACGUGCUUCUUCUCCUUUCCCGCCAAUGCCUUGUGCAACUUUUGAGAAAUCAACAAAUUUUUCAUUUGCAUUCUCCAAUAUGAAAAAUCAUUCUUCCCAUUGAAUUUCUCUAUCUCAUACUUCCCAAUCUUCACCAUUCCUCUAGUAGACAUGAUUUAUCCACUUGUUUACCGAAAAUAAACCACAAAAGUUCACUUGGGAAUUUUCACAAACACCUUGUGCACAACAAAGUUCAAGCAACUCACCACAAAAUCGAAGCUUAACCACCUUGAUUUAGGAUGUAGCUCUGAUACCAAAUUGUUGGGAAAACACCUUCCAAAGAUGGCCCAAAGAUCAAACAAAGUUAACAAUGUGAAAAUUUCCAAACCACUUCAAGGACAAGAAAAUGAGGAAGAAAUGAUUUCAAUGGAAUAUAUGAAGAUCAAUGUAUUUGGAUUACUUGAACAAGCCUCAAGUUAAUCCCCAAGAAAGAAAAUAACUUUGAAUUUAUACCCAAAAUGAAUAACCUUCUAUCUUGUAAAAUUCUCUCCAAGUUUUCUCUCUUCUUUCUCUCUAAUUUUCGGGUGCAAGGGUUGUCUUAAUGAAAGGGGGGGAAAAUGGCAAUAUAUAUAUCCUAUCGGGGAGUGGCGCCAGGUUCCUGCCUGUCUUCAUAUUCGGGGCGCCUAGGCGCCAUGUUUCUGCCGGGGAGGCAGAAACUGGGCGCCUGGCAGAACCAGCCCCCUUCCUCUCUUCCUCUCUUCCUUUCUCACAGAAUGCUUUUCUCGAAGCAUUUUCCUUUCUGCAGAUUUCUAUGAAUUUUGUUUACCUUCUCGUCUUUUUAUCCCUUAUUAUUUUAACGAAUGAUUGCAUAUCUUCCUUUACAGUGCUUGGAUAAAUCUAAUCCCAAAAUCACAACAGUGGAGCAAUUCUGUUGCAUGUAUUGGUGAGACAACUGCCUUAGCAGCUAAAAAUCUGGGUUUGAGGAAUGUGUAUUUCCCAACCAAUCCUGGCCUUGAAGGGUAAUCAAAUAUCCAUUUGGAACUUUUGGGAAAUCAUGCAUAUACUUGUUUCUGAUGCAAUUGUCUCUGUCUCUAUGCUCUAUGAGUGGUAAAAAGCACUAGCAGUUUUCCGUUCUCUUUACUUUCUGAGAUGUGCGUGAUAUAGUUGGAGAGUUCACUAUUUAAGUGAUAAUUUAGAAGAAAUACGAGGAUGUGACAUAAAUUUACGAUGCAGGGAGAUAUAUUUUAUUUGUAUAUGCCAUGUCUCAGUGCAUAAUUUUGUAUAGUAAUGGCAUGUUUAGAAAAGUGGAUUGCACAAUAGUAUUAAAGGAGAAAAAGAAGUUUAAAUAUUUUUAAUUGUAGUGUUCAUUGUUCAAUCCUGUUCAUUAGUGCAUAUCAAACAUGUUUUAAGUAUCACUGGGUUUAUCCUUCUGUUGCAGGUGGGUUAAUAGCAUUUUAGAAGCCUUGCAAGUCCAGGAACAAGUUCAGAAAGUCUAGGAGUCGUAUGUUGAUGCCCUUCUAAUUUCACCUGGUAAUUUCUAUAUACUGCUUACACUAAGUUGUUUCCCAGUGAAUAAAGAUGCUAUUGAAGAUUAAAUAUAAAUCAAUAAACGUCUCCUCUCUAACAACUUUAGCUUCUAAACGGCAUGGUUCAACACAGUAUCAAAGCACACGUGGAUCAUGAGUUCAAAUAUUGGGGGAUUAUUGGAGAACACUUCUUCCUAUUUCUUUCUCUUGAUAUCCGAUGAUCAUGGUGAUGCCCGUGAAUUCUUAUUUUUACGUAGCAAGUACUUAUUAAUUUGUCUCCUGGACUGGAUCUAUUAUGUCAGAUUUUCACGUACCCGUUGAUAUGCUAUUCCCAAGGACUAUAUCCUGGUAGUUUGUCGGUUAAAUUAAUAAGUGGGGUAUUUCCGGCCAAGCAAAACUGGCUGUAAAAUAGUAAAUUUACGAGGCCUUCAAUAAAAAUGAAUACAGUGUGCACUUGAGGAUGACGUGUUGAAGAUUCAAUUUAAAUAAAUAAAUGUCUCUCCUCUCUAAUAGACUAAUGGCUUAAGCUUUUAGCUUCCCUUUUCACUAUUUGUUAUUUCAGGCACUAUAAGUCGGAUUAGAGCAUAUUUUUUUCAGGUUAAAGGUGGGUGCAGAGAUUCCAAUAUUCAUUUCCCUGUAUAAAUAAACACCUAGAAACUCGAUUUAAUGAUGGUAGAAAUGGCAGAAAUAAAGAUCUCCUUGCUGUUUGCCAUUGCAGAAUAAGCAUGUAUAUCUGGCAAAGUUUUGUAAUAUGUAAGUGAAGAACAUACAUAGCGAUGAUGCGGAUGUAUUGCAAAAUUGUAAGUGCAUAUUUCUUGCUGUAGAAUGUAAAUAUAAUUUUUAUGUUGAUGCAAUUUGCUAGACUAUUAUUCUUUUCUUCAGCGCAUAAUGCAGUUACUCGGUUAGUUUUCCUUUUAUCUAAUCAUAAUUUCCUUUUCGUAGUGCUACGUUUAUUUAAAAUUUGUAUCUUGGUCAUCAAAUGGUCGAGAAACUCUCAAGUAGUUGAUAGUCUUUACUUCUUGUUCAUUUACCUGCGAAGCACAUAGACGUUACUCAUUUUAGCGAAUAUACCUCAUCAGGAAAAUGAAACCUUUAGAUACGAGUAUAUAUCUAACAUUUGAAAUCGGCUUCUAGUAGAAGUGUGUUUCUAACAUUAUCUAUCAUCGUCUAUGAUUUUUAUCAGUGUAGGUGGCAGUGAAUGUCAUGAUUUACUGUUCAAUUAUUAAUGCAUCAAAUUACAUCAUAAUUUUACUUAACAAUGAAUCAGAAGACCUUGUUGUCAAUUACAUCGCUGAUAAUCACCACUCCAUUGCCACUCCAUAAAAAACAUGAAAAUGAUUCCAAAGCUGUGGUAUGACCAUGCAAAACCAAUGCUACAUGUUUAAAACUUUUAUCCAAUGAAUAUCCAUUCUUUUUUGUUCUUUAGGGAGAAAUUGAAAUAUUCGUCAGCAAGUCUGUCUCCAACUUUUUAAAUUGAGCAUUUGUUUGAUGCCAUUGAAAAGAGUUUUUUAAUUUUUUCCCCCUUUUGGGAAAAAUGAGUUUUGAAACAGUAUUCUUUUUAAUAGAAAUUUUGAGUUUAAAAAGUAACAAAAUUUGUUGGAUUACGUGUAAACUAUUUUAUUGUGAGAAUAUUUGGUCGAAAAUGAGUUUUAGGAAAAAGGAGUUUUUGAAGAAUGGUGGACAAACGGGGAUUGAAUGAGUUAUGUCUUAUCCUUUGAUUGAGUUAAUAAUUAUACAGUUGCCUUUGAAAAUCGUUCAAAUCUCUAUUAAAGAUGUCCUGCUUCAAAUUUAUAUGCACUAACUUCAGUUGAAAAACAAAAUUAGUAUCAUAAAGUCGCACUGUGUAAAGGCCAUGACAGAAUGCUUCAUUAGAUUGUUCAAGUAAUAAGAAGGCCCAAUGUAGCAAUGUUAUAGGUUUGAAAAAGUAGAAGAGAUUGGUAUUAACUAUAUUUCGAGUCUUGGGAGGCAUAUUACUUUUAAUCGUGGUCAUUGGCAUUUUCUUAGUUUCACGGUCAAGAUUGUCGAAGACGAUCUAGAAAUCCAACAAAAUUGUUUACUAUAUGGAGCUUCGAUGGGAAGAUGGUGUACGAAAACAUCAUUGAAUCGACUGAGGGCUUCAGCUUUAGCCACUUUGUUGGGUGGGAGGAUGUGGCAGUGUUUUAGGGCUAAAUUGGAUGACCAAAAUGUCGCUAUAAAGAAAUUACAUACACCAUGUAACAUCCCAAAAUUUCAUAUAAUAGAAUUAUUUGGGGAUAACGAUUUUGAUCUAGAUGCCUUUGGUGGACUCAUUUUGUAGUUCGUAUUUAAUGGCGUGUCAUGGACUCGAGAAAAGUUAAUUCAGAUAAGUUAGGCCUAAGUUAUUGAAGUUCCGAGAAAUUGUCUUUAAUUGGCAAUUAAUGAAGUUGGUUUAUGAUUUAAUUUCUAUGGCAGCGUCACGUGUAGGACAAAUUAUAAUCCUAUUUUGAUAAUUGUUAAUUGUAAUCCUAUUUUGAUUUUGAUAAAUGUUAAAAGGGUUAAUUGUAAUUGUUACGACCCAAAUUUUUCUAGUCAAAAAUAAAAUGUUGAAUUGUCGAAGACAAAGUCAAAAGGGACUAAAAUGAAAUAAAUUAUUUUAAUUGGGACUCAAUUUAUUAUGAAAAAUAUUUUGAAGGUUUAAGUUGGACAAUAUAAAAUUUUAGAUAUCUACUUAUAUAUUGCUAGAAGUUUAGAAUUUAGUGUUUUAUUAUAGAAAUGUUGGAGGACCUCCUUUGCAAUUUUGAGUUAGUGGCUACUUAUUAUGGCCCUAUUUGAGCCCUAUUUUUACCUUAUUAAAAUGAAAAAUAUGACAUUUAUCCAUCACAUCAAGCCACCAUUUUUUAAUUUCUAUCUCUUGUAUAGGGUUCAUAACGGCUCUAUUUUUCAUUCUCAUUCUACAAAUAAUGUGGCUCAAACGGGCUCUAUAUUACAAUAAACCCAUUUCAAUUAUAAUUCAACACACACACAAAUAAUAGGCAAAAACGGGAGAGGGCAGAGAGAGAAACCGAGAAGAAAGAGGAAGAAAAAGGGAAAGAAAGGGAGAAAAAGAAGAAGAAAAGAAAGAAAGGAGAAGAAGAAGAAGGGAAAGAGGUAGUUCAAGGUUUAUCUUCAUUUUUCCUUCUCUUUAUUUUCUUCAAGAGGUAGAUAAAUUUUAUGUUAAGUUGCUAGGGUUUAAUUUGUGGCUAAAAUUUCAUAUUUAUGCAAGAUGAGUACAAAUUGGAGUUCAAGUUUGCUGAUUAUUUAAUUUUCAAUUUCAUUAGGGUAAAAAUACCAAUUUUGGCAAACCCUAGAUUUUUAUUUGGGAUCGUUAAUUAUGAAAUGUUAGUGGGAAUAAUUAUAUUGAUGGAAAACUCUCAUGAAACCAUGAAUUUGAGAAACAAGAUAAAAAUAAAAAUAGGUGGAAUCAUUGUUACUAGUUUUCUUUAGAUUGGAAGGUAUAAUUAUAUAAUUAUUUUUAUGAGUGGGACAAAGGUAAAUUUGGAUGUAGUAUAUAUUUGUGAAGAUAUUAGAAAGUAGAAUUAGCUCUUAUUGAUUAAAGGAAAAUUUGGAAAAAUCAUUCAAAGUAUCGAGAAGUCAAGUUUUACUAUUCGACUAUUAAUAUUAAGAAAUACUUAGUAUUAAAUUAGUUAUUUUACAUCGUAUUUCAGGUGGUGACGUGAAAGUUGGGCAAGACUGGUAAAUUUAACCAGAUUACAAUCCAUAGAUCUGUGAGUGGAGAACUUACUUUUCCAAUAAAAAAAAAAAAGAUUUCUGGUAAAUUUAACCAGAUUGCAAUCCAUAGAUCUGUGAGUGGAGAACCUACUUUUCCAAUAAAAAAAAAAGAUUUCUUUUUUUUUUUUAAUUUUAUAGAAGUAUAUUAAUUGCGUGAAAUGUCUUAUUUUCGAGAAAUUAGUAAAUGAGCAUGAUUGUUUUGAAAUUAUCAAAAAAUAAUUGAUGUGAUUAUCUUGCUCUAGUGCACUGAGGGGCUACGACCGUGUACUAGAGUCAUGUAUUUAACUUUUAUACACUGAGAGGGUACAGACGUGUGUAAGUGUAACUCUUAUCCACUGAGGGGCUACAACCGUGUAUAAGGAUGAUUAUGUUGUUUCCAUCUUGUAUACUGAGGGGCUACGACCGUGUACUAGAGUAAUGUAUCUAACUCCUAUACAUUGAGGGGCUACAACCGUGUGUAAGGGUAACUCUUAUCUACUCAGGAGCUACGGCCGCGUGUAGGGGUACCUAUUAUACACUGAGGGGCUACAGCCGUGUAUAAGGAUGAUUAUGUUGUUUCCAUCUUGUACACUGAGGGGCUACGACCGUGUACAGAUUGUUGAUCAGACAGUUUAUGUGCAUAUGACUUUGUAGCUUUCAGAUCAUCAGUAGAUGUUUACAUGGGGUAUAUUUUGAUGUGAAUUUUAUGUAUAUAGUGGUUUAUUAGCCUUCAACUUACAUUUCCCUGUUUGCAGUUCAGCUUAUGGAAUUCAGAUUAUAGAAUUCAAUUCGUUCAAUUUUUAGAGUAAAGCUUCCAGUUUAUAGUAUUGAGCAACAAUAUUUCACAGAUUUUCAUAGAUGUCAGAUUAUUUAUAUUCGCUAUAUUUUACAGUUAUUGAACUAGAAUGAAGAAUAAAUAAUUUUAUGAUCCAAUUAUGUUAGUUUUAAAAGUGUUACUAAAUUUUUGAAUUUCUCAAAGUUUUAGUAGAGCAAGAAUUAUACACAUAUGAAAAAGUAUACUUAUUUUCAAUUUAUUCACUCACUAAAUUACAAACUCAUAUUUUGUUAUCAUUAUCUUAGCAGAUAGCAUCUAUGUUAAGUAGCUUUGGAGCCUGUCGAUCCACCGAGAGUGCCAGACACGCACAUUGUCAUUAGAUGUAUGAUUCAUUUCGUCAAUUUAUAUAGUUCAAAUUUUUUUAGGAUACAUGUAUGUUUUGACAGAAUUGUUAAUUGGUAAUUUAUAGAUCCAUACCAUGGGCUCACUGCAUAUUUAGUAUUCUCAUUGCUUUUGGGGUCUUUUGUUCAUAAAGCAUGAUAAAUGUCUUAAAUAAUUUGUAUUUUAAAGGGCUAGUGUCUUAUAUUUUAAAUUGUAUGUACAGUUUUGAUAAAGUUAAUCUUUGUUUUAGUGAUUUAAUUCAUAUUUUAAAGGAAAUUUUGUCAAAAUUUUUAUACAUAUAUGUCAUAGUCAAAGUAGGUCAAGUUUGCCUUACUGGUGCGUCCAGCACUUAGUUGGUAUCUAACAUCGGCACACGACACGUGUCAAGUCUAUUAGAGUGAUUCGGGACGGGUCGUGUCUGUAAUCCCAACUUAAUCCUUUUUACAGCAUAUGUACGCGUAACGUUUUACGAGAAAAUCGUCAGUGGAGUACAAUCCAAAUUCUACUUUUUGAAACUAUGUUUAAUUAAAUUAUUUAAAAGACUUAUCAAGUUGGUAGCCACUUGUGUGUAGUGCAGUUAAUCUUUUUAUUUUUGGAUUAGAAGGAAAACUAAUUUUAAUCGUAAUUUUAUUAGAUUUUCAUUGAUUACUGGUUUAGUUUAAUUAAACAAGUAGAAUCCUACUUUCAAAAAGAAAUCUCAAAUCUCACCGAUUUAUACCACCACAUUGAAGCCAAUCUGCAUUCAUAAGAUAUUACUUUCAAAGCAUACAUGCACCCAUUUAGUCACAGAAGCAGAGAGUUUAAGAAAGUUUUGAAACGUACAAUCAUAUUUUUCUUUUCGAAACUUUGUUUGAUACGAGGUAAGAUACAUAAAGCACAAGAGGUUCGUCGAUACAUGCAUGAAUUGUUGAUUGACCUUUGGGUUCGACUUGACAAAAUUUGAACUUUUUUGGGUUCUUUAAAACGAAAUAUGAAAUAUCUCAAGAAUUCGAAAUGAGUACGUGAUGAGUGUCUCAUUUGAUCACCGAUAUACUCCAAAUAAAUUGUGGUAUGAGAUGUUUAUUUUAUUAUUAUAUAAUUGUAUAUGAAAACUGCAUGUAUCUUAUUAGGUAUUAUCAAAUACUCAUUCUUAAAAAAUAAUUUACAAGUUUGUUGAGAUCGAUUGAAACUGUGGCAGAAUAGUGAUGUGGGCUACCAAGAGGAUUUGAAGAACUAAAAACAUUAAAUUUUUGAUCUUUCAAUUGAUUAUUUAGUUUUAAAUUGUUCAAAAAUAAGUUUGUUCAAUAGUUAGAUAGUUAUUUCUAUUUUUUUUAGGAAAUACAAGUUACAUGCUUUAAAAUUGAUAUUUAUUAUUGAAAAUAAAGAGAUAAAUUUUAUUUUUAUCGUUUCCACAAUAUCGUGAAGAAAAUUGAAUUUUAGUAUCAUUCUAAGGUUUAUGAAUAUUGGGGUGUUAUAAUUUGGUAUUAAAGCACAUGUUUAUCUUUCUGUAUUCUUUUUAACAAAAUAGUUAUUUGUUUCAAAUAAAUGAGUUUUAAUAGGAAUUUACCAAUUAAAAAAUUUGUAUUUUAAGAGUUCCCAUUUAUUAUUUGAGCUUUCUUGAUUUACGUAUUUGUAAAAUUGAAUGGUUUAGUCAAAACGACCUAAACUAUUUAAAGAGCGUUUGAAAUUAAGUGGUUCACUUAUAACAUUCCUUCUCACCUGAAAGCCUUUUAGUUGCACACUAUUCAAAUCAUAAAAAUGAAAAAUAACAUUUCAAACCAUUCCAAAUUUUAGAAAAUUUUAUUUUUAAAAAAUUCUAUUUCAAGAAAAUUCCUUUUUAGGAAAUUUUUAUAUUAAAAAAAGAAAAAAAAUCAAAGUAUUGUCAUAGGAUUUUUCCACUUUGACAGAAAAGUUGUAACAGAUGCGAUGACAUAAUCCCAGUUGGAAAUAGGUGAUUUUCAUGUGACAUUAUGUUAAGAAUUAUGUCAACUAUUAUAUUCAUGUAGCAUGAUUGAUUUUCAUAAGAAUUAUGAGUUUAAGGACAAUAUUUUUGUAACGUUUUAACCAGGUAAUAACAUGAAAAAUCCUUGGGGACGUUCACUGUUUGACCACUCUCCAAUUGAUUCUAGGUAUGAAUUGAAUGUUAUUCUUUUAUCAUAAUUACGAGUCAUCUUGCUUCAUGUUAUGAAAUGUAUAAGCAUGUUUACCUCUCAUAGUUUAUUAGUUGAACUAUUUUACAUUUUAUAUGAAUAUUGUUUAUUCGAGCAUUGAAUGAAAUAAAUUGUCAUUGAAAAAUUAAGCAUAAUUGAAUUUAUACAUUUCACACAUGGUUAAGACUAGACAAAUAUAGUUGAACGAAUAGAAUGGCUAGAAAGAAUAUGAUUUACAGAAGUACCUUAGGACCUAUGACUGUAGCUAUUUGAGAGUAUGAGUACUUUGUGUCAAAUAUGGCCAUGACAAGUUAAAUGCAAAAUUUAAAACAAGGAAUUGAGAAUGGACUAAGAAAAAUUGGAAGGAAUAUUUAGUUAGUUUCAUUCAACCAAUGUAGUAGAGGUUUGCAAUUCAUUGAGUUUCAUUCAAUCAAUGUAGAAUAGAGAUUGUUGUGUUUAAUAUUUCUAAGCAAAAUUUUGUUUUGUAUAAAGAAAAUUUCGAAAUCAAGUUACAAUCAUCAGUGAUCUGUUAAGAGUUGUAUAGGAUCUUGAUAGACAAUAAGCACAGACUGACCUUCAAAUUGCAUCGAUCGAUGCUAACAACACAACUCAAUUGUUGAACAAUUCCGCCGUUAUGAGCCCCCAAUCUCCGAUGGCAAAGUAGACUCACUGGCAACUGAAGAAUGGAUAAUCUUCAACAUCUCUCAUCCAAUGAUGCCCUGAAAGUAUUAUGUAAAGUGUUCACAUUGGUUGAUGUAGUGGGCUAUUGGUUGGAAUCUGGCUCAAGCACUAGAACUAAGGCAUGCAACAUGCUUUGACUUGGACACAAUUCAAAGAAGUGAUAGAAAAAUACUUUCUACAAGCCCUAAAAGAUCAAAAGGAGGUAGAGUUUCUAAAACUUAACAAGGAAAAGUGAAGCUUGAGGAAUAUGAGAGAAAGUUCGAAUAGCUCUCUAGGCACGCACUGCACCUCGUAGAUACCAAGGCAAAAAGCAAGGGGGUUCGAACUAGGAUUGCAUCCAAAGAUUGGUAGAAUAAUGGCCUCCCACCAAUUAACCACAUACAAUUAGGUUUUGCAAACUGCUCAAACAAUCUCAAAUAUAUUAGAGAUUGACCAAACUUUUCAGCAAGAGUUUUGAAGAAGGUGAAAAUGGAAUGGGUCCAACAAAGAGAAAAGAAAUGGACAGAACAAGAAAUUCAACAUAGUAUGGAGUUCAGAACAAGUUGUUACACUCUGUCCCAAGUGCAAUAAGAUGCAUAGGGGUGAGUGUGUAUGGCAGUAAUAUGUGUUACCGAUGCGAUGAAGCAUGCCAUGUUGCUAAAGGAGCCCCCUCGAAGAGAGAUGAUGAGCAAGGCAAGACAGCGAAAGCCAGAGUUUUUUCCUUAACUCAGGAUAAGGCAACGGAGGAUUUGAACGUGAUGACAGACAUUUUUUUGCAUGUGGAAUUCCUGCUUACGUUCUUUUAGACUAUGGAGCCACUCAUCCAUUCACUUUUGCUGCCUUUAUUAAUAAGUCACAUAUUACAUGUGAGAAUCCGAUAGUGUUCUAAAAGUUACUAUCUCAUUGGACAAACCUUUGAAUACCAAUAACAAAACUAAAGCGAUUAAAGGACUGGGUGUUCAAAGUGGUUUAUCUUAUGAGAAGGCUCCAACAACUAUUUUUUCAAGGAAGAUACACAAAUUGAGAAAUAAAGAAAUUGUAUUAGUUAAGGUCCAAUGGUAGAAUUGUGGAAUAAAAUAGUCUACUUAGGAGAGAGAAGAUAUCAAGGUCAAGAAUAUAGAAACCUUCAACUAGUUAAUGUAAUUUCUAGGACGAAUUCAUUUGAAGAAUGAGAGAUUGUAAUGCUCCAAAAUUUUAUAAAAUGAAAUUAUUUGGUGCUAAUGAUUUUGAUCUAGAUUCCCUUUUAUAAUUGUGGGAAAUUGAAGGAUUAAAGUGAAAUAGUAUUAAAUUCAAUUUUAUUUGGGGCAAAUAAUUAAAUAUUGAUGGCGAAGAUAAGUAUAUCAAUACUUGGCUUGUCUUGUAGUUUGUAUUUAAAAACGCGUCGUGGACUUGAGAAGAGUUAAUUUCGGAUAAGUUAAGCCCUAAUUAUUGAAGUUUAAAGAAAUUAUCUUUAGUUAAUAAUUAAUUAAGUUGGUUUAUGAUUUAAUUUUUAUGGCAGUCUCGGUUCAAUUGUAGAAUAAAUUGUAUUACUAAUUUGAUAAAUGUUAUUUAAUUAAAUUUAGUUAAUGAAUUAUCAAGUUGGAAGCCACGUGUGAGUAGAUUAUUAGAGUAUUUUUUUUUUCCUUUUUUAGAUUAGGAGGAAAACUAAUUCUAAUCCUAAUUUUAUUAGAUUUUCAUUGAUUACUGGUUUAGUUCAGUUAAAAAACUGGAAUCCUACUUUCAAAAAGAAAUCUCAAAGUUUACCUAUUUAUACCCCCAACAUUGAAGCCAAUUUGCAUUCCUUAGAUAUUAUUUUCAAAGCAUACAUGCACCCAUUUAUUUACAGAAGCAGAGAGUUUGAGAAAAAGUUUUGGAAUGUGCAAUCAUAUAUAUAUAUAUAUAUAUAUAUAUAUAUAUUAUUAGUGGACCUUUAAAUUCGACCUAAAAAGUGCCUUUUUAGUUCUUUAUAACGAAAUGUGAAAUCUUUCCAAAAUUCAAAAUUACUAUGUGAUGAGAUUCACGUUUGAUCACCGAGUUACGUUAAAUGAAAUUUGGUAUGAAGUGUCUAUUUUAUUGUUAUAUAACUAUUUAUAAAAACUGCAUCUUAUUGGGUAUUGUCAAAUACUCAUGUAACAACCCGGUCUCUAUGCCAAAUCCGUUAACUUACGUACUGUACAAUUUGUGAGAGCUUGAAUUUAUCUUACCUCUUACGAAUUUCUGUCGAGUCCCCAAAAUUCGAACAUAUGACAUUUAGCUUAUGAGGGAUUUUAAUUUGAAUUCUAGUACCAAUUGAGCAAGUUGUUUAAUAAGUACCUGGAUUCAACUUAAAUUUCUCAUAAGGUAGAGGUAUUGGGUUCGAAAUUUGACGACAGAAAGUCAAGAGGGAUAAGAUGGAUUUAGCUCUCCCAAAACGAACAAUACAUAAGUUAAUGAUUUAGAUACAGUGAGAGAUUGAAAAUAAAUUUGGAGGUAUGCAUUCGACGAGAGAAAAAUGAGACAGUUGUCUAUUAAGGGUAAAAAAUAAUCAACCUAAAUGAUUAUAGUGAUUGAAUUGACUAUGAACACACACAUCGAUCGAGUAUUAAAUAAGUAUAAAUUUAUUUUGGUGGCAUUGCUUAUGAGACUUAUAUGAAUUGUCAAACAAUUUCAAUACUUAGGACGAAUACAACAAGCUAUCUAAUACUUUGACGUUUAUGUUGCUUAUAUUUUAAGUAGAUAAUCUUGCUCGCGAUGGAUAAGAGUUUAAGUUUUGGAUAUUUCAUAGGCAUAUUUUAUAAACUUAUUUAGUCUUUUAGAUGUCUGUCUAAUUUAGUAAAUAUAUUAAUUUUAGGUAAAAUUUGACAUGAAUAAAUUGGUGCAAGAAAGGCAAUUUUGAACUUAAAUGGAGUUGAUUUGGAGCAAUUAAAGUAAUCGAAUUGCACGUGAUCAAUUAUAAGUAUUAAGCGGCAAUCCUAAGAAUCUCAUAAGUUUUGUGAGUAAAGUUCGACAUUUGAAAAGUUUGGGAACUCUAUUGUAAACUUUCAAUACUUUUAACUGAUCAAUUAUGAAAGAGAAAGAGUGUGGAUGAUGAUGAUGAUGAUCAAAGUAUAAAGAUUUAAAUAUGAAGGAUCCAUGAUGAAUAAAGAAUGACUUGAGCAUAACCAAGAGGAAGAUUCAGGGAACAACUUGAAAGAAAGGCAAACAUUGAUCUUGCAAACGCAAGAUUGAUGGAUGCGAUCGCAAGGCUGCUUAAAUUAAUUCCAACAAGUAAAAAUGAAAUAAUGUACGAUCAAAAUGGUUAAUACCAUCGAUCACAUGGAAUUAUCAGACUAGGAUUUUUUUUUUUUCCCGAAUUUCAUUUAACUUCAUUUUGGAAAGCAAUUAGGAUAGAAUUUACACCUAAUUCCUGGGGCAAUAUAUACAACCUUUCAUCUGUUGUAAAAAGAAGAGGCUUUUGGGAUACAACAAACAUAUAUCUUACAAAGAAGAAGCCUUACAGAUAGAACAUAGAUAUUUCUCGCAUACUUUGAGUAAACUUUUGAUACAAAACACAUAUUUCAUACAUCUUCACUUGGGUUUGAAGAAGAAGAAGAAGAAUAUAUUCAAGGAGAUUGAUCAAGAACCAUUGAAAGGAUUCAAAAUUGUUUUCCGUCUUUCUUCUACCUUUAAUUUCGGGAGAUGAUGUAAUGAUUCAAUUUUUUUGUAUUAUAAUGAUGCUCAGUUAAUAAAUGUAUAGAUGAUAUGAUAAUGAUAAACCCUAUAUUUUGAUACUUUUAUAUUGAAAUUGAAAAUCCAUGAUUUGAAUUGAUGUCCUUUCAUUGAUUCCUCCUAAAUUGCAUUGGAUUUCACUUGACUAUCUAUGAUUCCAUUGCUUGUGCUCGGGGUAAAAGUUUUGUAUAAAUAUAUCACCAUGUUAUUAAGUAUUUUGAUUUAAGAUCUUUUAUUUUUAAGAGGUGGAAUAGAAUAACCCUAUGAUCGAGAGCUAACUAUCGAGUCUUUGGACUAUCCGGACACAUACUUCGGGAAAAGGUUCAUGUGUGUUAAACUUCAAAUAUUGACAUUUAAAUGUUUGUUUGGUUUUGAACGCUUCUUAUUGUCUUCAUGCUUUUUCAAUUACUUGGCCAUAAAUUGAAUUAAUAUAAUUUCUAUUGUCAUUCAAGAGAAGGAAAAUACAGCACAUGGUAACAAUCAUUGUAAAGUCCUAUAGACUUUAGGAACAACUGCCUAUGCUUUGUAUGAUCUCAUUGAUGUUCUUGUGAUCGAUUGUAUGAUCUCACUGAAUAUUUUUGUGAUUGAAUGUAUCUUCAUAUAUUCACGUCCGCGAUAUGAAUAUUUCAUGUCAUGUAUGAGAUAAAUUUAAUUUUUAUCAGGAGAGAUUAUUGAAUAAAAUAUGAGCACUAAUAUUCGAGUCCAAAUAAGUGUUAACCAAUUAUGAGAUUGAUAUUAAGAUUGAAGGAAAUACGAGGAUUCGAUGUCCCAGUGACUUAUUGUUAAUUGAGUUUAUACAUGCUUCCCAAUUAGUUAAUUAGAUCAAUUAGUUAAUUUUAGGUAUGAUCAGUAAAUAUAAUCAAUCUCAUCUUAAUUGUGAUAUUCGAUUAAAGUUAUCAUUAAUUGGAAUUUAAUUAAAUACUUAGUACUCGUGGAAUUAAUAUGUGAACCAACAUCGACUUUAAUAUUUGUUUAUGACAUAGUUCAUAGUGGUAUUUUAGCACAGCAAACACAAUUACUUGUUUAAACUUUUUAUUAUGUGCAUGUUAAGUGUAGUUAAGUUAUAAUUUAUAAAGGCCAAACACAAAUUUUAUUCAUAUAUAUUUAUAAUUUAAUGGAAUCACAAUUUACCGCUCACAUUAUUUCGCACAUUCUAUAAGACCUAUUACUUAACUUUUUAAUUUAUAAGCUCCCAAAAAGUACUAUGAUUGUUAUAUAAUUUUUGUUUUUCAAAUUCUGUCCCCCCGCUUAAUCUUUUGGAGAUAAAAUAUCUUAAAAUAUAAGGGUAAUUUAGGGAGCCUUUAAAACACACACACACACACACACACACUCUCUCUCUCUCUCUCUCUCUCUCUCUCUCUCUCAUGCGCACACACACACAGAGGUGAUUGUAUACAAAUCUACAUGGGUUGUGCUUGUUGUAUACUCUCAUGUACAGCAAGAGUCACAGAGAGGAGGGCCUUUAUGCGAGGGGGUUGUAAAUGUACAGUCCGAGUUGGACUGUACAAGUAGCUCAACCCAAUCUACAUUUACGUUUUCUGCAUGCUCUGACAAAAAUCAAUAGGCGCCAAGAUUACUAGACUAAGAAAAACGAUUAGAUGGUUGAUGGUACGAUGAUUAAGUCAACUAUUAGUAACAGCUAUAUGGAGAAUUGUGUGUGGGAGAAAUAAAUAGGGAGAGAUUUGGCUAGAAUUCAAAGAAUGUGUAACUUUUUCUUUACAUGUCCAUUGAAUAUUUAUAGGGACAGAGUUCUAAUGGAAUUAGGUUAAAAUAUUGCAACACCUAAUUCUACAUGGUGUGUUGUGAUUGACCAUAGAGUUUUGAAUGAAGUAUGGUGUGUUUCCUUUGUCGGGUUCACUUCCUUGUAAAGCUAAGUUUCCUUAUAGAGAUUGAUUUUCCAUGAUCUUUUCUAACUCCUCAACAUCCUCUCCUUAUUUUAACAGAUUGACAAGGCUAAAAUUUUAGAAUUGAUAAAGUAGUCUCACUCCAAGAUUUAUCCCAAUAUUGAUUUUAUCUCCAUGUUUCAUGGAUCCUUUGACAUCAACAAGGGUAUGGGUCUCGUCCAAAGGCAUUAGUUCACUAGGCCCAUUAGAGCCACAUCCUCCCAUCUCGACAGGAGGGGUUCGAUUCGAAGACUAUUACCACCAUCUAUUACUGCGAAUAUUGUAAGAGCUGAUGAGAUACUUCGUACGACGAUGCUUGUGAUUUGAUUCUUUCGUGUGGGUGAAGACCAUAGGAAAACACGUAGCAUGUUGGUUCUUGCUCAUUUGGUGUUCGUAAGUCCACUUGACUUCCAAGUGUACCUAGGAUGUAACAGUAGUCUCACAAAUUCAAUUUUGUUAUUUAUAUUAGGCUUGAGGCUUAUUAGUUUGCUUGUAUUACAAAAAUUUGAAAGUGAAAGGCUUGUGAUGCAGUUGGGCCUCAUUGCUCUUUGGCUAAGAUUGAAUUUAUGCCGAAAAGAAUUUCACUGGCCUUUGCUUACCAUGAUGGUGGUGUGGCGAAGAUGUCUUGACAAAUGCCUCUUGGCCAAGCUAUAACGUCGAAGUAUAACAACUUCGUUUUGAAUACUGUUGUAGAUUUCCUUAUUCCGAUAUAUAAUGUUUAUUUUGAUAUUUAAACCUCUUGUUACAGUAAGUUCAUUAUUGUCGUUAUAGUGAAAGAUUUACGCAAUUGUCAAACUCUAUUUCUCGAACAUUUUAUUUAUUUCUAAAUUUACUGUGACAUAUUGAGAUUAAUGACUUUUUUACAAAGAUCGGUAGUCUAAUCUUAAUGACACAAAAGAUAGAAAAGAAAUUUCCUUUUUCUUAAAAUCCACCAAUCCAAUAUAACUAGAUCAACCCUUCAAGUUCACAUUAUUUGAAAAUACUGCAACAAAGUUACUUUUUUCAAUUGUACUCGAGGAAAAUAAAAAAUAAUAAAAUAAUGAUAUUUAUUUAUUCAUUUGACUCUUUAAUUACAUAUGCAAAAUUAAUUAAAGUUAAUCUUGUUCCCCAAGCUUUUGGUAAUUCUUUCUUUCUUCACAAUUGUCAUUGUCUUAGAAUAAUCUUUCCCUAGGAACCGUCAAACCAAGCACGCAUUCCCUGAUCUCACGGAUUUCUUCGGGUAACACUUUACAGCCUCAUAUUUAGACUUUUCGUCGGCUAUCUAUUUUUCGCCUUUCCAUUCAUUUCAAUAAUAAAGUUACUUAAAAAUCAAAGUAACUAUAGUAUAUUAUUAAUAACUACAGAUUACAUUUACAAUUUUUAAUUAUAAUUAUUAUACGUUUUUUUUUUCUUCAUAAGGCUGCUAAAAAAUAAAUAAUAGUGGGUACAAAUAGUAUAUUGAGGUUUCAAAUGAUUUUAGGCCACCGUCAACGCAGAAUGAACUAAUUCUUGACCACUGACCAGCAAUUCGAAAUUGAACUGAAUGGAAAUUUUACUUUUGAAAAAUCUUGCUGAAAAUCAAAGGCAAUUAUGUUCAUUUUUCUCUCGUCUCUUGCUCUUUUAAAAUAUUUUGUUAAGAUCGAAUGAUUAUUAUAAAUUGAAAUAUUGUCAAUGUAUAAGAAUCUCAAUAAUAUAAACGAUCUUUUUUUUUCUUAUCUAAUAUAAUACGAUUAUAUAUCCGUGAAAAAUUAUCCAACAAAUUUUUUAUGCGAAAAAAAUAUCAUUUUAUUAAUUGACAUGAUGAAAUGAAUUACGCAUGCAUAUAUCUAUCUUGUGCUUGAAGGAAAAGUCGCACGUUUGCGUGUAAACUACUUAUUUUGUUAUUAAAAGUACAAUCUAACAUAAACUACGUCAGCAGAAGCUUUGAGAAAAAAAUCAGAAAUAUUUACAACAAAGGCUCCAAAUCUAUAGGAUAGCAACAUGUUGAUCCCCAACCUAGAAAUGAGCAAUAUAAUCCUCAAACUUUCAAAAUAAGUGCAAACCUAGUCCUAACAUAUAGAAAAAAAUAAUAAUAUUCAUCUAGAAUCCAGAUAAUCAUCUGUCAUUUUUAGAUAAUUCUAUGCAUGGGACAAUGCAGUAGUAGUUUCACUAUCAAUGAAUAUUUCUAGUCUCUUCAAGAAUACUCUUACUCAUAUGAAAAUAAUGUAUCUUAUUUAGGGGUAACAAUGCGAUAAGUCGAGCUCGUUGACCAAGGGACUACACUUAGCUUGGCCCAUGGGCCUUGCCUAUGAUGAGCCGUGCCAACCUACAAGUUUUUUGAUUUUCUUGGUUCAUUAAUCUAAUAUAUUUAACUUAAAUGUGAGUUUAAAAAAAAAAAAAAAAGGAAACGUUAACAUAAUUAAAUAACAAUGAAAGGAAAAUAUGACACGAUCGCAAAGUUCAUGUACCCAAUGCUUUACUAGCAAAGGUCGACUCGACUCAUUUACUUGUUGUAGAACAAGACUAACAGAACAAUUGAGCAGUCGAUUUUCUUUUGAUUAUGGACUUUCUGGUUGUAGGGGGAAGGUAUGACAAGAGAAUUCCAUGCUUUUAAGAAGCUUUGUUCUAAGCCUCGGGAUGAAAUUCGAAUCUCACUCAAAUAGGGCAGGUGAAGGAAAAAGAUCUCUUAUGCGGCCACGCUCUAAGCUAAGUUUAUCAUUGGAUCACUCUUGAUAUACGAAUUUACUAGAGAUAUCAUCUAAUUCGAUUGAAGCAAGGAAAAUACAAAUACAAAUAGAAAUCAAAAGAAUUAGAAUUAGUUUUGUGAAAAGUGAAUCCAAUCAAUUGUGAACCACUCAUUGCCAACCUAAUCCUGUUUUUAAUUGUUCACGAUAAGACAAAAGGGGGCAAUUAUCAUGCCUCGAUAUGCACCUAUUCAAAAAGGUUGAGGACUAUAGUCCCACUACCGCUAUUUACACGGAUCCAUUUAUGCAAUUUUCUUGAAAAAAAUCAGAAAAUUUGUGAAGUGUUAUAAGUAGCGGCAGGCUUGCCAACAAUAAAUCCGGUCUACCAUUUCUUCUCUCCUCUCUAUAAAUAUAACACCCUACAUAUCUGCUUUCCUUUGUCCAUUAGAAUAUACAGAAACUAAACUCAAUGGAAAUGGAAGUGGUUAUCCCUGUAAACAAAAUGGAUUUUGACUUUAACAGUCCACAUGUCAGUGCACCUUCGACGCCCAAGCGUUUUGGGGAAUUCUAUUGCAGCGCUCCGACAAGUCCGACGCAUUUGGCGCAGUUUUAUCGUGAUUUUGAUGAUUUCUCGAACAGAGCCAGCGGAGUCACAUCGAGGGUGCCGUUUGGUUCCCCUAAGAAUGAAGGUGAUUUUGCUUUUGAUAUUGGUGAGGAGUCAUCGGAAAAGGAGUCUCUUUCGGCGGAGGAACUGUUUGACGGCGGCGUAAUUAAGCACCUAAAGACCCCAUCGCGGCUGCAAGCUUCCACCGGAGCAAGAAUUAAGGGUGAUUACUCACCAAGGCAUAAGAAAGAGGCCGACCCUUUUGCAAUCUCUUCUCAAAGCGCCACGGCGGAGCACAGUCACAGAAGAGGAAGAGAGAGAGCUCCUGCAGCAGUUUUAUCUUCAUCAAGCCGAAGAGCAACGCGUUCACUUUCUCCUGCAAGAGAUUCUGAUCAAAAUUCACGGGAUCAAGAAGAGAAAAAACAGCAGAAUACAAAGAUUUUGUGCUCAUCUUCAUCCUCAAAAUGUCACAGAAAAUGGAGAUUGAAGGACUUUUUCUUGUUCCGAAGUGCAUCUGAAGGACGAGCAGCAGAUAAAGAUCCUUUAAGGAAAUACACAGCAGGGUUCAGAAAAUCAUAUGAAGAUGCUAAGAAUCCGAAUUUCCGGAGAAUGGAUAGCCAGGAUUCUGGAUCAAAUUCAAGUAGAAGAGGAAAAGUUUCAGCUCAUGAAUUGCAUUACACAACAAAUCGUGCAGUUUCUGAAGAUUUGAAGAAGAAAACCUUCUUGCCAUACAAGCAAGGCAUUCUGGGGCGCCUUUCAUUCAAUCCUGCGGCCCAUGCACUGGCUAAUGGUUUCGGGUUUUCUCGUAAAUGAAUAUUCGUCCGGUACAGUUGAGGACGGCAUGGUGAGAAGGAAUAAUUCUCUGCUAAUUAUAAUCUUUUUUUAAUUUUUUUAAUGUUUUGGAUAGGUAAUUUUUUCAGAUUUUGGUCAUGAGAUGUAUAAAAAUAAAUUUUACACAUUGAAGCAUCAUAUCUUAUUGUGGAAUUAUUUAUCAAUGUACUAAAUUUUAUUGAUCCUAAAAAAUUUAGGGUCUGCUAGAUAAAAUCUUGUUUCAUUACUUCUUUUAGCUAAUUGCUAUGUAUCUGCUCAAAAACAACUAUUCAACGGAAUAUAUUCUACGUUAUGGAUGAUUUCUAUUCUUUAUUUGAUGAAAGACGGAAAAAGACAUCGAUCAUAGAAGGUGACAACUCAAAAGUUUGAGACAAGUAAUUCGAGACGACUAUUCUUUCCGAACAACGUCUGAGUUAUGGGGAUAUUUAUUGAUAUUUUAAUAUUCAAAACCCUUGAGAAACGUAUUACGAAUUCCGGAAAAUAAACCCAUGGACAAAAAUGAGAGAGAGAGAGAGAGUAGCGUGCAUUGUGGACUAUCAGUUUCUUUAAUGUAGAAGACAAUUUUUAGGGCGGUCUAUUUGUCGCAUUUUACUCUAAUAUUAUUGAGUUGGUGAAAUCAGAAAUGAAAUGGAAUAUAAACAUCAAUUCAUGCAUGAUAUUAAGUUCGACAUUUUUCUAUGUGGCAGUAAUCUAUCCCUUUGAUUUUAAAUAUAUUCAUCCAUUGCUAGCCAAAUUUUCUCCAUUGAGAGGAAAUCAUGUAGGAAAAUUUGUUACCUUCUUAAUCACAGGAUCUUUUAUGUUGGAUAAUCAAGAAUAUAUAAACUAAUACGGAACCUGAAUUAGAAAUGAUUAAUUCAAUAGUUGAAUCUUGCGGUUUAUUCUUUCAAAUCAACACGUAGACCUUAAUUCUUUCUAAUGAUGGGAGGCAGAACAAAAUGAGCAAUUCACAUGUGAUUUGGAAACCAUAACUGGGCCCGGUUUCUACCCAUAAAAUAUCCACCUUUUAAUUGGAUGCAUUAAAAUCCAAAAUACUGGAAACUUGUUAGAUCACUUUAACUAGGCUUAACCAAAUUUUAUAGCCUUUAAUUUGAUACACAAUAAUUUACACAUAUAAGCCCACACGGUCGUUUAAAAUUCCUUACAUAUCAAACUUGUUUUCAACCAAAAAUAUGCAUCUAAUUUUAUUUUAUAAAUACGAAAAGAAUUAGAGAAUUGAAAUGAAACAUAAGCCGUUGUUUGACAAUCAUUAUUUAAAAACUUUUUUUGUUUUGGUACAUAUUCAUUUUUAAUUACACAUUUACAUUAUAAAAUAUUAUGCAUGUAAACUCAAUAUUUUUUCACACUUUCUAACCGCACAUUCUCCUAAAAAUUAUUUUUUUCCAAAUGAUGAUUGUCAAAUAGAAGACUAAUUAAAUUGUUCCUUGUACAUGACCAAAAUGGAAUUAUAACUUGAUUUUUGUAUAAAUAAACCAUAAACUUUAUUUUUGAAUUGGAAAUGUUAAAUACCUAUGUUGAUGUAAUUUCCACUUCUUUAUUCUUCCUUUUUUUCCCCCAAAAUAAUAAUUUGGCUGCCCAAUUCUUUGUGCAGAACCGUUCUUCCUACUUAUAAAUUUGAUACACUUAUUUAUUAAAUAUUCAUGACCCUUAAUUUAAGUAAAUUCAAUGCUCAAUACUUUAUGGAUCUCAAAUAGUUAUAAUAAAUCUCCCACAAUUUUAGGGAAAUACAUAUUAAGUGUUGGAUUGACUUAUAUUAAAGGUCAUGAUUAUUUAUUAAUAAGUGUGUCAAAUUUAUGAGUACUAGGAAUUAGGAAUGUUCUCGUUCUUUGUGCUCUCUUUGUCCGUGUAAUUUGCAACCCAAGUAUCAUAAAUAAUUCUCGUAUAGGAAUCAUAAUUGAUUGCAUAUUUGCAUUAUAUGUCCCCUAAUUUCUAGCAUUCGUUCUCUUUCCUAAUUGAUAUAAAGAUUCAUUUCCCUAAUAAAUCAAUAAAAAAUAAAAUAAAAUCUUUUACAUUAUUGCAACAUUUCAUCGCUAAACAAUAGCUCUUUUUCCUUUCCCUAAUAGAACUUUUCUAUUUCACAUAUUUGGGUCGAAUCCAACAAUUUCCAAUUGAUCCAAAACCUCCCAAUCACAGCAUACAUUGACAUUGAUUAUACAACCAAUUUACCACUGUUCUUCAAAUAAUUGUAGUAGACGAGAAAAUUCAUCAAACUGUUAUAAAUUAGAGAAAAAAGAGAAAACAAAGUAGAAGUUAAUUGACUUGUGUGUAUAAUUAAUAACCAAAAUCACAUAUAUCUAGAGAGAAUAAUUAGGAACACAAUGGUAAUAAAAACUAGGGCUACAACGGUAUAAUUUUCAUUCAAUAAUAAUCAUAUUAUUUAUAACACCCCCCUUCAAUGUUACAUUACAAAAUAUUUGUAUCGUUAAAACAUUGUCAAAAAAAUCUAGUGGGACAAAAUUGAUCAAAAGAAAAAGAGUACAGUUACUCCCAUUGAUUUCAAUUCUUGUAUCAAUUCAUCAUUGUCUUUUAAAUCAGUAUUUUUAAAAUUGCAAAUUUUGGUGAAAUAUAUCUCAUGUUAUCUUGUAGGUAUUCAAUCAAUAUCGUCUACGUACAAGAUAUUUAUAAAAAUUUUGUGAUCGUAGUAACAUGAUGAUUGAAAAAUAGAUUUUGUUGAUCUUUUUGCGAGUUUCAUACAUAUAAAAGCAUUAUUUUGAGGGUUAAUAUCUUUAUAUGUAAUUGGAUAUCCAUUAAAUAAAAAAUAUGCCUCCUUAAAACCUUAUUCGUAAAAAUCUAUAGAAAAAUUCUAAUUAAGGAAAAGAGUACAUUAUUCUUUUGAAUAGGCAUAAAAGUUGUCUCGUUAAAAAUCUUGUGAAGAAAACCCAAUGAGAUAAAACUUUAUUCAAGGGAAAAAGAGUACGGCGUGUAUUUACUCCUCCCUCAUAUAAUAUCUCUAAAAUUAUGUAUCAGGCACAUCAAAUCUGUCAGAGAUAAUAUUAAUAGUCAUGCUAUAUGAAUUGAUUGUAACCGUAUUUCAAGUUUCAUGCAUUGUUAUGAUAACAAGAUACAAACAAUGAUUUCAUCCACCACGAAAUUCAGUAUUUUAAGAGUCGUUCAUCAUUUUGUGACAUUAUUUUUCUCAUUUCUUUUUCACAUAAGUAUACACAUUUUGAUUUUUGGGCUGGAAGUCCAGGAACUCCAAAUUUCUUAAUAAAUUCGAAUUUAAUAAGAUUGUGUCCUUUUAUUUGGCCAAUCAUAUUUUCGAUCGAUAUGCGUCAAUGAAUUUAUUUCGAUAUCCUCGAAUUCAUAUAUAAGUUGAAAUAUCUCUCGAUUGAGUUUUAACUAUUGGUAAGGCGUAGGGGUGUCAACGAACAGAACCAGCUUGUGAGUGGAAACUCCUGGCUCGGGCUCGGCUUGGCUUUUCUAAGGCGGACCUUUUUUGGCCCAAGCCAAGCAAAAGUUCGGUCAAAAAAUUAAGGCUCGACAUGAGCUUUCAGCUCGAGCCUUAACGAGCCAGCUUGAUUUUUCUUCUUUUUCUCUCACUCUUAGCUGCAUGUUUGGCAGCUAUUUGCUACCUCAACUGACAGUAAAUUGAGUUUCUUUCUCUUUUUUUAUUAACGGAAUGGCCCAACUAGAGCCGACUCUCUGAAAUAGGGCUCGGCCCGAGCCUUAGCUCGAUGCCUCCGAGCCACAGGUGACCCAAGGCUCGGUGCAUUCGAGCUACGGGCGACCCUAGCCGGUGAGCUUGAUUGUCAUUCCUAGUAAGACGGUCAUAUUUCAUUUACCUAAACUAUAACUUGAUUUAGUGGCUCUAUCCAAUAGGCGUGCAACAAUUUUUUCUCUUCAAUUCUUUUUUUCGUAAUGACAUAAAUUAUUGACAUAUCUCAAUUUUCAAUAUAUCAAAAACCUGAAGAUCUUCUAAAGUUUUAUAAUUUGUUAUGUCUAAAUAUUCAUUAAGAGAAAGGAACCAUCUUUGUUAAUUUCUCCAUUUUUGUCUGAAAUUUUUAUAUUAGAAUCAAAUAUCAUAAUGUUUCAAGCAUGCCAUAAAUUCAAAUAUAAUAUUACCAAGACAUUAAUUCGAGUUAGAGCAUUCAAAGUUUGUAUAUGAGAUGUUGUUGAUCUCUUUGGUCAGUAAAUGCACUUAAAUAUCUUUCGAACUUUUGGUUCGAAUUAUUUUUGUAAGAAUUUAAAUAAUUAUGCAUUUGUACAUUAUUUUAGUUUCUUAGUUCUUCUCCCUAAUACUGAGAAAAUUGUCUACUCAAAUUGAUAAUCGCAAAUCAUGUUAUAAAAUAUCAUUAGUUUGAAAUAAAAAGUUCGAACAACUCAUUUAUUCUCAAAAUUAUUUACUUUCCAUAUCAAUGCAUUGUGGUGGAUCAAUUUUACAUAUACUACGUUAUCAAAAUUAUUUGAUGAAAAAAUUGGCUCGGACCAUAUGCCUAGUUAUAGUAGGGAUGACUAUGAUGUUGACAUGACACGUAAUAACAUUUCCUAAAUAGAAAUGGAAAGUACUUCGUUUUCAAUUAAAUUAAUUGGAGGUGUAUAACAAUCAAUAAUGUUGAAUCAUUUAUCAACAUUUCAUCUAACGCAUAUUAAAAUGUUGAGAUUUACAAUUACUAGAUUAAGAGGGUACACCGUCUUAAUUAUAUAAUCUGAAAAUUCUACUGAUAAUUUAAAAUUUGAGAAGUAAUUUUGCAAACUAUAAGUUACAAACAUCAUGCAAUCAUCAAGCAUACAUGUUAAAUCUAUUAAAUACAAAUAAUAUUUAGAUGGUCUACGUGAAGGAUAAUGGGCCCCAUUUAUCACCCUGAUUAAUUUUCAGAAAUAUAAUGAAUUCAAUCCCUAUUUUUAACUAGCGAUGAUCAAUUUUCGAUAAAAAAAAAAAAAACAAAUAACGUAUAGGAAUUUAUUGGACUGAAGAUUCAGGUUCUUUGUUGAAUGUCCAUUUAAAUUUUUUAUUUCAUAUCAUUAUUGAUGCAAUAUGAUCCAACUGGUCAUGCCGAACAAUAAUACAUUCAUUAAUUAAAAUUUUGAGUCAAUAGUGUAUUCAUUCCAAUUCUACCACACAUUUUAGAAACUUAUUACAUUUCACUUUAAUUUAGAGGGGAAUAAAUUACUAUCAAUAGUAAAAUUUAUUCUCUCACGUAACACAAUUUAACCCUUCUGUAGUAUCAAAACGUAUUCUUCUAAAAUAUUGUUAUAUACUUGGUUAUGAUUACUAACAAGUAAUAAAACAAUAUUUUUUAGGAAUAUUGAUAUAUUAAAUUAAUCAUAGUAUUUUUCUAAAAAUAUUAAUAUGCAUAUAUUUGUGCUUCUUCACAAACACAAUAUGGUAUUCUUCAAGAAUAUUAAUAUAUAUUAUUUUUGUUUCUUCUGGAGCAAUAUAUCAAUAUUUUUCUGAAAUAUUGAAAUUUUACCGACAUGCUCUUCAGGAGCAAAUAAUUCUGUCUAGAACAUUUACAUAAGGUGUGGGUUAUGAUUUUCCUAGAAUAUCAACACCAUAUUUCUUUAGUAUAAAUGUAAUUUCUAGUUGUGCUUCUUCAAGAGCACAAGAUAAAUCAAAAUAUUUAAUUAAUCUAAUAAUUUACAAGUAUAAUAUAUAGCAGUAUAGAAAGACUUUUAAAUAAUUUUCAUACUUGAAUUUGAAAACUUUAGAAAGCGUUAAAUAGUUGAAAAUUUUAUAUUCUUCAAAGAUAUAAGUUUGAAUUUUUUUUAUAAAACUUAAAAUUUUCUACUGUCCCCACAAAUAAGCCGUUAGAUUUUGAUAAGAAUACAUUGAUUUAAAAAUACAAUGAGUUGUGAACAUCUUGUCCAAAUUUCAUGACGAUUAGACCACGAAUGUUGAGAUAUCAAUGUUUUUAUCACAGUUGCUCAGACUGUCCAAAUUCUGUAAAUUUUUGCACUGUUGAUUCCAAUAUAAUAAUACAAUCAUUCCAUAUUAUAUAGAUCACUAUAGGGUUAACGAACUUCGAGUUUGUUAUAAUAUUUGACUCAAUCAUUUUCAUUAAUGUACGUAUAGUACAUGCGAGAAUAGAGUGUCAAAAGUUUUUCUUUUGUUUGCUUCUGGUCAGAUAUAAAAAAAGUUAGGUAAAGAUAUUCUAUAUUUUUUCUUGCACAUUCUCCAUGUGAUAUUCAUUGCAUUGACUAUCUUUAAAACUAAUCAAUUUUUUAUUUAAAAUUUUUUUUUUUAAGAUUUGCUUGCAUAAAGUGUAUUAUUAAUAUAUAAUUUUGUAUCAUUAGAUAAAAUAAUACAGGAUCUUCGGAACCUUCAAUGAUAUUUGAUGCACCUCAUAUUGUAUCAAUAUUAUUUUCCGCUAAUGUUAAUUAUAAGAAGUACUUUUUAUUUUAAAGAAUUUUUUUUCAUAGUUUCACUAUCUUCGAAACAGAUAUCUUAAAAAUUCAUCUUAAUUUUUUCAACAUUUCAAGAUUUAUACUUUUUCAAAAAGAAAUAAUAGAAAGUUCUUUGAGAAUAUUAAAAAACUAAAUCUUAUGCUUUUCCGGAGCAAUAAACUAAUAUCUUCUUGAAUAUUAAUAAAAUUAUAAAAAUACUUUUUUUUAAAAAAAAAAAUUAAAACACAAUAUUAAGUAAUUUAAUUUAUGUUUCUUAGGGAACACAAUGAGAUAUAUAUUCUUCUAGAACCGUGCCACUUCAAUAACACAUUAUAUUUUAUUACUAUUUCUUCAAACACAAUAUAUCAAUAUUCUUCUGAAAUAAUGAAAACUAUAAUUUAAUACUCUUCAGGAGCAAUAACAUAUUAUUGUUUAGAACAAUAAAUUAUGUAAGAAUUUACUCUUUAAGAUUAAAAAAAUAAUUUAUGUUAGAUCUAUUUUAUUAUGCUCUUUGAGAGCAAGUAGAAUUUAAUUAGAAUAUUAACGAUUGUGAACCAAUGCUACAAAGUCUUUGUAUAAGCUUUUGAGACCAAGGUUGACAAAGCUGAAGAGCAGUAGCUAGUGGUGGCAAUCGGCUCGAUCCUUAAUCUCACGAGUUUGGCCCGGCUCGACUCGUUGAAUUUGGACGAGCUCGGCUCGGCCCACGAGCUUGUGGGCCGAUCCGAGCUUUGGCUCGUGGGCUCGUCCUUUUUUUUUUUUUUUUAAAGAGUUGUACAAAUAAAUGAAAUAAUAGAAAACACUUUUAAAAAAAAUAAAAAGUGUUAAAAAAAACAAAUAAUUUAAUGAAAACAAUUUUUAUUUUUUAAUUUAUAUUAUAUUGCAAUAUUUUUUAUAAAGUAUAAAAUAUUUAUAUAAUGAAAACAAAUUAUUUUUUGAAAUACAUUUACAAAAAAUAUAUUUUUUAGAUUUCUUUUUAAAGUAAAUAAAAUGUAAACCCUCCUCGUUUAUCCGGGUUUGAGACCGGCUAUAUCAAUUUUAAGUAGGCGAAGUAAAAAAUUGUACACGAACAACUUGUUGUAAUGUGUACAAUUUUUUAAAGAAAAUUAAAUUUAAUAAUUAAAAAAUAAAGAAAUCUUGAUUAAUAUAAUUAGAUCAAAUAUCACUUACCUGACGAUGUGCGAUUUCAGCGUAUUUAUCUUGUAGUUGAAAAUGAGUGUCCUGUCAAUCCUUCACGCACAUUAACGGUUCCAAAAUAUCUUCUUUCAGUCAGCUCCUGACAUCGGUCAAAACCCUUUUACCUGCACUAAAAGCAGAUCCCGAAGCAACAGUGCUAACCGGAGGUGUCAGCAGAUCUUUCGCAAUUGUAAAAACAAUUGGCCAACGUCUUUCAUACUUUCGCCAAAAUUCAAUUACUUCUUCUGAACUUUUUUUAAUUGUUCUGUUUGUUGGCAUAUUAUGAUUGAAAUAAUCAAUUAAUUCGACAGGCAUCACAUUUUGAGUUUCGCCCAAUGUUUGAUGAGAUGCAAAUGUAAAAGAUAUGGCACUAGAUGAACACAUUGCAGUUGCAUCAUAUCUAAAUGUAUUAAUGCCUUAAAAUAAAUUCAAUAUUUCGGCAUCAUCCUUUUCAAUUUCAUCAGAAGGAGUAGGUGCAGAAGGUACCCGACUAACAUUCACACCCAUUCUUUCCGCAUAUAAAUCAUACAUUCCACAUAAUGUUUGCUCUAAAUUCUUAUAUGUGAUAGAUGUAUCAAGUAUUAAAGCUUUAUUGAUUUGAUCAAUUACGUAUUUAGUUCCUGAAAUAUUAUAUCGAGGGUCCAUUGCGCGUGCUAAAGGAAAUAACAUAGGCAGUUCUUUCCAAUAUUUUCUAAACUUUAAUUCCAUAGCAAUUAUAAUUUCACUAAAAGCACGAUCAUUUUUAUAUUUAUGGAAUGUUCUUGCAAUUAUAUAAAGGCAUUCAAACACCAUACAAUUUGUACGAUAAUAAAUGUCGGAUAAAAUCUUUGUGGUCUCAUAAAAAGAUGUCAAAAAUUGUUUAACUUUCAAAGCUAAAAUCCAAUCGAAUUCAUUUAACAUGUCAUCGUCAUCACUUCUAAUGUGUCUAUUGUUAUAAAAGUCAGUUAUUAAAUUUUCGAAACUUUCACAUGACUUCAAUAGUGAGUAAGUAGAGCUCCAUCUAUGGUCUAUGUCGCUAACAAAUGUUUUAGCAGUUGUCACUCCUAGUUUGGCACAAAAAUCUACAAAUGCUUGUUUUCUACUAGGAGAGAUCGUAAUAUAUACUAAUGCAUUCCUAAUCCUUUGAAAUUCAUCCUUUAUAUGUUUUAAGCCAUAUUGCACAAUUAAAUUCAAUAUAUGACACACACAACGAAUAUGAAACAAAUACCCACCAAAAUCAGGUUGAAAUGUCCUACUCAAUUUAUCGACAACUACCUUAUUAACACUAGCAUUAUCAAAAGUAAAAGACCGAAUUUUAGUCUCACAAUUAUAUUAUCUAACAAUACUGAUAAUAACAUUAUAUAUAUUAUUAGCAUUGUGAGAAAAUUCAAUAAUUCUGAAAGCAAUAAUUUUCUUAUACAUGCACCAAAGUGGGUCUAUAUAGUGUGCGGUUGCAGCUAUAUAUGCUCUUUUAUUAACCCCUUCCCAUUAUCAGAAGUUAAAGAUAUAACACGCCCAUAUUAUUGCAAAUCCAUAAUUAAUUGUUAUUUUGAAUUAUUGAAAUAUUGUAUUGUAUCGACAUGAAGAGUGUUUCGACUUACCGCAACGUACCUCGGUUGCAGAUAUUCUUUCAUGAACGAGACAAAGUGUUGGUUGUCUGUAAUAGCUAGAGGCAACUCAGUGGUGGCAACAAAUUUCACCAUUCCGAUUCGAGUAUUAUCCUCCGAAUACACCCACGUGGAUAGGGGUGAAAUUGUAGAACCGACGUCUGGACUGCCAAAUUGCAAUUUUGUUUGACCAACUGGAAGAAGUCCAUGUCUGGCCACACUUGCUUUGUAGUGGCGGUUGAAAUGGGUGGUACCAAUCCCUUUUUGCCAUGUCAAUCUUUGUUGGUAGUAUUUACAUACUACUUUAGAUUCUGAAAGGCCAUCGACAACUUUUCCCGUUGAAAUUAACUUAAAGUGAUCCCAAUAUUUAGCUGGUUUUUUGGCCUUUCGCUUUUUCUUUGUAUCUGAGAUGUUUAAUUCGGCAUAUUCGUCCUCAUGUUUUACUUCGAGAACGUUAAUAUCAUCCAAAUCAAUUGAAUUGUGGCUUCCCUGACCGUGAAUAUGAACAUCUUCAAGUAUGGAUAUGUCAUUUAGAUCGACAAAUUCAUUUGGAAAUUGACAUUGUGGCAUCCUAGGCGAUUCCCCAUGAUGUGGCCUACAUCUCGUAUCAAAUAAGCUCUCAACAAAUGAGCAUUGAUCAAUUUGUUUGAUUGUUUAUGAUGAAAUCUUAACUAGAAGAAUAUAAAUGUAGUGAGAUUGUGAGAAUUGAGAAUUGGAUGAAUUGAAAUUGUAACUAAUAAACUGUAAAAAUUGAAUUGAUAUUGUAUAUUUUGCAGCAUAAGAGAGUAAAAACUCAAUAAUUGAUAUAUUAAAAGAGAGUUGGAGACUUGGAGUAGAUUGAGUAAUUGAUAUGAAAAAAAUAAAAGGGGGUUAAAAGGUAUUUAUAGUAUAAGGGGGGAAUUAAAAAAAAAAAUUCAGUGACCAGAACGGUCACUUUAUUUUGGGCUCACGACGUUGCUCGUGGCUCGUUCAAGCGAGCCGCUUGUGGGCCCGACAAGGCCCGCUUGGCUCGCUCUCGGGCUCGUGAUUUUACGAGCUCGAGCCGCCCACGAGCCCUAUUUUCACGAGCCGAGCCGACGAGCGGCUUGGCCCUUUUGACAUUCCUAGUAGUAGCAUUCCUCUAACCUGCAUCACCAAAUAAUGCAUUUACAGGCAUGGAAACGUGUCUAUUUCAGGAACAACAAUAUAAUACGGUUUAAAUUUAUUAAAAAAAUAAAAAAAAUUACUCAAUUUAUAGUAAAAUAAAUUUUUUUGAACAAAAGUAUAUAAUUCAUAAAUUAAAUAUAUUUGAUAAUUGCAUAAAAUUAUGCUAUUAUAUUAAUAUAAUCAUGCAAAUUAUAUUAAUGUAAUUAUGCUACUUAAUUGGGAGAACAUUCAAACCGCUCGGAGAUGGAUGUGUGCCUUCAUUAAUUGCGUAUUAUAAUAAUCAAAUUGUUUGUUAUAAUAAGGGUUUUGCUAUAUGGACAGGACCACGUAGGCGUAGACAACUGACCAAUAAGAGGAUGCCACAUCGCCCCCAUUUGGAUAAGGUCUAUGUGGCCUUGUCCAAGAAGAAUUAUUCAUUAUAAUAAUUCUCACUCUUUUCUCCACUAGACAAUUUCCAGUCAGAUUUUUGUUCAAGAUUUGUCAGUACAAAUUCAAUGAUUGUCAUUGCAAAUUGAUUACAAGGCACCCUCUUUUGCCAGCACCGAAUGGAAUCAGUCGGAAAUAUAUUCCUCUGAAGUCUAUAGAGGAAUUCAAAAAUCACUUGAGCUAAAAUUAGAGAUCGGAAGCAAGUUGAGCUUUAACAUAAAAAAAAAAUUUGUGCUGAUAACUUAUUAUAAAAAUAGAGAAAAGAAUAGGAGAAUGAAGAAGUCAAUAAAAUUGUAUAUUUUUAUUAAAAACCAAAGUAUGAAAGAAUUAGGGAUAAAAUCGUAAUAAAAACUAGGGUUGUAUGGAUUUAAUUUUCAUUCACUAAUAAACAUAUUAUUUACAACACAAACUUGUUUCGCAGUUUGCUUCUUCAAUCUAUAAUCUUCAAUUUUCAUUUUCACUAGUCACAUAACUCAUAUUGGCGACUUCGCAAUCUUUUGCAAUAGCAGAAGGCUCUCGUUGAAGCGACUGUAACGUGACAACUUCAGACUUUCGAUGAGUAGCCUAUACAAAUUACCAACCUUUUUACCUCUCAUUAAUGCCAUAUAAUUAAUCUUUACAUCAAUUCUCCCAAUGCAUGCUGAAUACUUAUAUGUCAACGUAUCCAGUGCUCCCAACAGUGUCAAACUUUUCCUCAAUCUUGAGACCUAUUGAUAACUACUCGGCUACAUAAAAAAAAUCUUCACAUUUACAAUACUUGAACCUUUAACUUCAAGUUUAUGAUUAUUAGUCGUGACGACAUCAUGAGCAUCUAAUAGCUUAUAAUCCUCAAAGCAGUCCUUGUGUGGGCAUAUAUGAUUACACAUCCAAAAUCCAAGAGUUACUUGAAGAGUCGUAAUUUGUGACACAAUAAUCACUAUCAAUAUCAUCAUCAACCAUGAUCGUAGAAUCGGAGGCCUCUUUAGAUUCUAGACUCUUCUUUACUUUAAGAUGAUAUGUCAACUUCUCACAUUUUGCCUUAAUGUGUCCUUUCUUGUGGCGGGUAUUAACACUUGGCAUUUCUCCUAUAAUGACAUUGAGAAUGAUCCCUCCGAACAUUAUUUCUUCCUCGCGAUUUACCACGCCUCCUUUCAGACUUUGUCUAGAGUGCUUGAUUUAAAACCUUCUUCACUAUCAAAGUAGAUUUACCAACUAGUAACGUGGUCACCAAUGUCUCAUAUGACUUAGGUAAGGAAGACAACAAAAUUAUUAUCUUAUCUUUGUCCCCAAUUUUUGACAUCAAUAUUAAACAACUCAGUUCACACUUAUUCAAAUGAUUCCUAAGAUCAGCGUCCUCAUCUAUCUUCAAAUCAUAUAAUUAUUUUCUCAGAUAUAAACAUAACAUAAAACAUAUCAGGAUCUUUUAGCAUUUUGAAUAACUUAAAAUGCAAAUUUCUUAUUCAAAACACUAUAAUUUACCUAAGCAAUCAUGCUACGUGGUCAAAGUCAAUGACUGAAAAGUAUUUCCAAAUUACACUUGACAAUUUUUCAUUGAAGAAAGGGGAAAAAAAAAUCAUAAAAAUACUCAAUUAUUAGCUGCCACAUCAGUCUAUUUUUUUAUUCCCUAUUUGUUCAACAUUAUUCUUACCUAAGUACAAGCCAAUCUAAUGGUGUUGACUGUCUCCAGUUUCAAUUCUUCCAACUCCGCUUCUUCAUGCCUUGUGACAUCUUACCUUACAAAUCUUUGUAAAGUCCCUAUUGCAAGAGAACAACUUCAACUGUACUUCACAAAAUAUUUAAAUUAUUUUUCUUGCCAAAUCGUUUACCCUCAAACUUUGUACAUGCCAUCAUCUUUGAAGCAGUAUCCCGAGUUUGAAUUUUGAGCUCCGAAACCAGUAGACUUCGCAGGAUGAAGGCAGAAAAUGAACAAGAACCAAUGAGAGGUAGAUUAGGGACGAGAAAAACGAAUUGCAGAGAACGGGUCACAUGAACCACCAAAAUCAAACCAAUAAAAUGAAAUAGAGAUAUCAAAUUAAGCACAAAUAAAUAUGUAAUCUUUAAAUUCAAGAUUACCACGUCAAUCUGCAGAAAUUUUCGGUGCUCGCAAGCGACAGAGAUAGGUGGAAGAAAGGGAUUCUAUGGGGGCUCAAGAGAGAGAACUUAGAGCAUCUCCAACCACAACACCAUUGCACCAUUUUGCACCAUUUUUUGGUGCAAAAUUGCUCCAACCCAACAUCAAACUUUGCACCAUUUUUCACCAAAAUGGUGCAAAGUGUAAAAGUCCCUUUUGCCCUUAUUUAACAUUUUCCAAAUAAAUUUGUUGAGGGUAUUUAUGUCAUUUGUGCUAUAUAUUUUUUAAUACAAUAAAUUAUUAUUAUUUUUAUUAAUAUUAAUAUUAAUAUUAUUUGUAUUUGUAUUUAAAAUAAUUUUAAAUGUAAGACAUAAUAAUUAAUAAAUUAAUUAAAAAAUGAAAACAAUUUAAAAUACAUCAAACACGAUUAUUUAUUAAAAUUAAUAUGAAAUAUAUUAAAUAGCGACAUACAUACGAUAAUCUAAUUUUAUUUUUAAAAAAAGGAUACAUUAAAAGUGCAUUAAUCGAUCGUUUGUGGGAUGAACAUAUGAAUUCUAAGAAUUAAAUUGUAAAAAUUUAGCUACUUCGUAAUAUCGUCUAUCCAAAUUCGAAAUGCAUUGUACUAUUUUCUGAUAGCAUGAUUUCAUAUUUUCGUUGUUGUAGUAUUUUUAUUAAUUGUUCUAUAUUUUUUAUAUUUAUUAAUAAAUUUAAUAUUUUUCGUAAUUUAACGUAAUUAUUUAUUUAUUAAUUUAUGUAUUUAUGAAAUAAUUAAAUAAAUAAUAUUUCGAAUAAAUAAAUUAUAAAGAAUAAAAAAAGGAAGAAAAUGGUAAAACACUGUUCAUUUGGUGUAAUUUUUGGUGUAAUGGUUGGAGAUGAAUUUUAGUUUGGUGCAAGAUUUGAUGCAAAAUUUGGUGCAAAAUGGUGCAAAAUUUGAUGCUGGGUUGGAGAUGGCCUUAGAAGUGAUUGCUUUUCUCUCUGUGCUGUUUUAUUAGAGAGAUAUUUAUGAAAAGGAGUUAACCAGUUAAUGAAUAGUGAAUAUCCGGUUAGAGUAUGAAAUGGGAGACCAUAGAAAUGAACAGUGAAGGUUGGUUCCCUCUUUUAUAUAAGUGCAAUGAUUUUAGCAAGUUUUAAAACUUCAAGUCAUAAUAUUUUGGGUUCUAUGGAUAUAUUCACAUUAUACUUUUAGAAAUUGUGUUUUAUUAGGCCAAAAUUAUGUACUCAGUAGUACAUAAGAGAAAUAAAGAAAAAAAAAUUACUAGAUUUUUGUGUCACCCAGAAAUUUCUCAAUGUCACCCUCUAGGGUAUGCAUUUUGAGAGAGAUGUAAAAUUCAAUCGAACAAAUAUUAAUUUUAAAAAACUGUGAGGCCAUAUGGCUAACACUUGUAGAUAUUGUUAGUUUAAUAUCCUUUUUUUCAGUAGUAUUUUGAAAAAACGACAUUAUGAAUUGACAUGCUACAAUUUGAAAUGAUUAUCUAAGGUUUCAUGAACAUAUAGAACGUCACAAAUUACAUACUCAAUGGUUUAGGUAUAGUAAGACGCAAUUCAUGAUGUGAUCAAAAUAUGUCGUUUACAAUCUCAGUACAUGAAGUUGGACACUUUAUGUUGAUAAAAUUACAUUGUUCUUAUUAAGAUUUCUCUAUAUUUGGCAGUAAGAACAAUAAUGUGUUUUUUGAUGCACAUUAAAUGGGAACCGCAUAGAUAACUCAUUUGUGAUCGUUCGAAAUGAGACUCUAUCAAACAAUUCAACUAAAUCCUGAGUGAGUAAUAUACUUUUGAUUGCUAGUUCAAGUUUUUUGAAGUAACAAUGAGUGAAAUCUUAAUUAGAAGAUUGAUCUUGGUGCUUUGGGAAUCACGUCGAAACAAUUAGAGAUCAUAUACUUGUGAUAGUGAAAUCCAUUAAUCAUCAAGAUGAGACGAUCAUCACUCUAAGAUAUUUUAGAUAGACAAUUGAACCUGUGCUCAGUAGUUUGAUGAUGAGAUCGUUGGACUCUAUAUUGUUAUUUGAUCACAACUGAUUCAUCUUAUGAAAAUGGAACUUAGAGGGUAAUAAUGUUGAAGGACAAAACGGUUAUUUUAUCAUUUUCAACUUAUUAAUGGUCCAAUGGAGGUUGACUUGUGGAACAAUAAUCGGAGGAUAUUUUCAUCGGAUCAUAAUUUACUUCUAUAACUAUCACUUGACUCGACAAUGGAAUCUCGAUUUUUGGUACAAUGAGCCGAGAUUAAUAGAUAUAUCUCAAUUGGUUAAGAGUUGACCCAAUUAGAAACAUCUAUUGUAGCUUAAGUCUUGUUGGUCUGGUUAGGUCCCUUUCUUAACUACAAUAAAGGUGUGACUUAAUUGGUCUACUACAAUUAAGUCCAAAGAAAUUUGUGCAAUUAUAAAACCCUAAUUGAGUGUUAUAAAUAUGUCCUUUAUGGACACAUUUUCACUUAGUUUUUAGGGUCAGCCAUAUUUUUAUUUACCAAAGAGGGAGGCACCUAAAGAACACAAGGGAUAAGAUAUAAGGGAAAAAGCACUUGGCUAGGCCACUAAAAUCUCCUUCAAGGUUAUCAUUUUCCUUUUAUGUGGUAGAAUUUAAGACAUCCAAUGAUCUCAAGGAGAUCAAAGAUCUUUUAUUUAUUUACAUUUAAUCUUCAAAGGAAAACUAAUUUCCUAUUUUGAUGAUUAAAUCCAAUAACCAACAAAUGGUAUCAGAGCCAAGGUUGUUAAGAGCCUUGAGUAGGAUUAAGUGCUUCGAAUCCUAGUAUAAAAUGCAUUUUUAGUAAGGGCGGUGUUAGUUUAUUUAAUUUGACAUGUUUACUACUUUAUAUGCUUAAAGAAGAUGUUUAUACAUAAUCACUUUUGGCCCUUGAAUUUUUUUUUUUUCUUCCCAUUGUAAUUCAUUCCAUUUGUCUUUCUUUUCUCUAGAAAAAUUGUAAGCCAUGCAUCAUUAGGGUUUUGUACAUAUUUUUCAUACUUCAACACUUGUGUAUUAAAAGAAGAUGAAGUUUUUUGGGUUCAUACAUUUUUCGUUUCUGGUUCUUGUUAGAGAAAUGGAAGGAGAUAGAAAUAGGACAAACAAAAUGCAAAAACCAUUGUAGAAUUACAAGUGGCGGCAAUAGCAACUAUCGAGAUCGGAGUGGCUACAAUCGCUGCAUCCAAAUGCAACAGCUGCUACAGGUUGUGAUAGCUGCUUCUGUUGCCUGUCGCGACAGCCAUAGCUACUGCAAAUGUAGCAGCGGCGCUUGCUACUGCUGUUUGCAGUCGCCAUUGCCACUCGACGGCUGCAGCUAUGGUGGCCUCUUUUGAUGUUGCUACUGUCGAUGUCAUUGUAGGAGAUGGAUGGUGGAUGUGAUACAUGGCGAAUUUUCCAGGAUUUGUGAAAUUAGGUUAUUUUUGAGUUUUUGUGCUUUUCUUUAUGACUUGGGCAAAUAUUUUUGGAUAAGGGCUUUUGAUUUAAGGAUUGCGACUCAAAAAUUAAAUGGACUCAAUUUUUGAAUAUUGAAUGGGUUGGAUUACAAGGAAAUUGAAGAAUUCGGGCGAAAAUUGCUUUAUGGAUGAUGAAUGAAUGUAUGAUUAUCACAUGUCAUGUAGAUUAAAUUGAACACCACCCAGUGCACUAAACAUAUGCAUUGGUAUUGGAUUUUUUUUUAUCACUCUAAAUUAAUUAGAGGUGGUUAAAAAAUUAUAUUUAACAAUUUAGUGCCAUUAUAAUUGUUUAUAUUUGGCACAUUAAUUAUAAAAUCAAAAUCCAAUUGUUCAAAAUAAUAAGCGGGGGAAGGUUUAUAGCAUGUAUAAACUUGCGGCCUCCUCCUUCAUCCAAUUUAUUAUUAAAAUACGUAUGUCUGGUAUCGAAUUACAUCGGUCUCCCUAAAGGAAUUAUUCUAGAUUAACUGAAAUUGAAUCUUAUAAUAUAAAGUUUUUAAAAUUGGAUAAUCGGCUGAUUAUCCUAUAGAUAACAUCUCAUAUAUUUUGGAUAAUUUAAAAAUUAUUUGCAGAGGUUGUUACACUUAUAUAUGAAUUUAUUUUUGGAGGACUUCCAGUAGAAGGUUCCAACAAAAUAUUUAUAAGUCAAAUAAUAAUAAAUCCUCAUUUUUAUUGUGGCAUGAGAUGCCUAACUCCAUCAAAUGAGUGGGAGUGUUCCAACUUUGUGAUGAGGACAAAUCAAAAAUCGAAUUAGUGAAUAAAUCAACGCAACAAUCUUCCCAUAUAAAGUGGCAACUCUUAUUUAUUGGUUGUGAACAAAAUAUUUGUAAUCAAAAUAUAAGUUAUGUCACACUACACUUCUCAGUACAAAUACCCAAUUUAUAUUGUCACAAGUAAUUAUAAUUACUUUAAUUCAUAUGCUCAAAUACUCAAUAAUAAAUAAAUACAUUAAUCGGAUAAAAUCACAAUUUGUUUAUUAUAAAUUAUUAUUUAUUAUAACAAAAUAUAAUAUAUGGACACACAACCCCACAGUCUCCACUCCCUCCGUACUUUGUUUAUAUUUUUUAUUAUUUUAACCCCAAACCUUAGAUCUCUCUCUUUUAUUUGCACAUGCAAACACGUAUUGAAAGCACAGGUCAGCAGCUACAGAAACUACCCAAGAGCCAUUAACUUAGGUUGUACACGCCGCAAGAAGAUAAGUAGAAGAAGCCGAAACAAAGAGAACCAAUGCUAAAAGGAACUCAUAAAUAAGGAAUGGGUGGAGAAGACACGGCUUCCAAAUAAAAGAGACGAGAUUGGGAGUAUCCCUAUGCUGCAGGCCAGUGGUGGUAUCACGAAAUUGAUACCUGUUAGACAUUAUGUUGUCAAACGACCCCCGGGCGAUGAUGAGAACCAAUUUUAUCAGUCGACAUAAAUGACUGAACGAUAAUUCAACAUCAAAUAAUGGAUGAACCGACCAAACGUUGCCUUACCUAUUGGACGGCUAAUAUUCUUUGUGGCUUGUUGAUUUCUUCCAUUGGAAGUUAACCCUAGUCGAGCCUACUUACCAUAUCCCGACUUACCUUAUGUUGGCCACUUGACUUACUAUAUAUAUUGGUGUUUUUGCCUUUGUUGGUACGGUCCAAAAGUUGAACCCGUGAGUUGAAGAAACUGCCGUGUCCAAGCCGUGUCCAAGCCGUGUCUUCUGUCUUCAUCUUCUUCGUGAUUUCUUCUCCACCCAAAUUGCUUGAGUCUUUGUGAACCUUACCUGAGUGGUAUCCAUCCUAAGUGUGUGGAUUUAAUCAACCAAGCAAGAGAAGAAAGCAACCAUAGGAAGAAGAGGCGCCGGCGGGUGGUUCAUUCCAGUUUUGAUGUUGAAUUCGGUUUUAAUGGUUAACUGAGCCCGGGAAUCAGCGUGAGCAGCUAGAGGAAGGUCCUAACAUCUGGUAUCAGAGCUUGGGUGGCAAAAAAGGCUCAAAAUCGGCUGAUUUUCACACUUUCAACUUAGAACUCGAAUCUGAAAAUUUGCAAUUACUCACAAACCGUAGCUCGGUUGGACAAACGGAGGCCAUACCCAUCAUCAGCAGGCCGAGGCGCUCCGGGACAGGCGNNNNNNNNNNNNNNNNNNNNNNNNNNNNNNNNNNNNNNNNNNNNNNNNNNNNNNNNNNNNNNNNNNNNNNNNNNNNNNNNNNNNNNNNNNNNNNNNNNNNNNNNNNNNNNNNNNNNNNNNNNNNNNNNNNNNNNNNNNNNNNNNNNNNNNNNNNNNNNNNNNNNNNNNNNNNNNNNNNNNNNNNNNNNNNNNNNNNNNNNNNNNNNNNNNNNNNNNNNNNNNNNNNNNNNNNNNNNNNNNNNNNNNNNNNNNNNNNNNNNNNNNNNNNNNNNNNNNNNNNNNNNNNNNNNNNNNNNNNNNNNNNNNNNNNNNNNNNNNNNNNNNNNNNNNNNNNNNNNNNNNNNNNNNNNNNNNNNNNNNNNNNNNNNNNNNNNNNNNNNNNNNNNNNNNNNNNNNNNNNNNNNNNNNNNNNNNNNNNNNNNNNNNNNNNNNNNNNNNNNNNNNNNNNNNNNNNNNNNNNNNNNNNNNNNNNNNNNNNNNNNNNNNNNNNNNNNNNNNNNNNNNNNNNNNNNNNNNNNNNNNNNNNNNNNNNNNNNNNNNNNNNNNNNNNNNNNNNNNNNNNNNNNNNNNNNNNNNNNNNNNNNNNNNNNNNNNNNNNNNNNNNNNNNNNNNNNNNNNNNNNNNNNNNNNNNNNNNNNNNNNNNNNNNNNNNNNNNNNNNNNNNNNNNNNNNNNNNNNNNNNNNNNNNNNNNNNNNNNNNNNNNNNNNNNNNNNNNNNNNNNNNNNNNNNNNNNNNNNNNNNNNNNNNNNNNNNNNNNNNNNNNNNNNNNNNNNNNNNNNNNNNNNNNNNNNNNNNNNNNNNNNNNNNNNNNNNNNNNNNNNNNNNNNNNNNNNNNNNNNNNNNNNNNNNNNNNNNNNNNNNNNNNNNNNNNNNNNNNNNNNNNNNNNNNNNNNNNNNNNNNNNNNNNNNNNNNNNNNNNNNNNNNNNNNNNNNNNNNNNNNNNNNNNNNNNNNNNNNNNNNNNNNNNNNNNNNNNNNNNNNNNNNNNNNNNNNNNNNNNNNNNNNNNNNNNNNNNNNNNNNNNNNNNNNNNNNNNNNNNNNNNNNNNNNNNNNNNNNNNNNNNNNNNNNNNNNNNNNNNNNNNNNNNNNNNNNNNNNNNNNNNNNNNNNNNNNNNNNNNNNNNNNNNNNNNNNNNNNNNNNNNNNNNNNNNNNNNNNNNNNNNNNNNNNNNNNNNNNNNNNNNNNNNNNNNNNNNNNNNNNNNNNNNNNNNNNNNNNNNNNNNNNNNNNNNNNNNNNNNNNNNNNNNNNNNNNNNNNNNNNNNNNNNNNNNNNNNNNNNNNNNNNNNNNNNNNNNNNNNNNNNNNNNNNNNNNNNNNNNNNNNNNNNNNNNNNNNNNNNNNNNNNNNNNNNNNNNNNNNNNNNNNNNNNNNNNNNNNNNNNNNNNNNNNNNNNNNNNNNNNNNNNNNNNNNNNNNNNNNNNNNNNNNNNNNNNNNNNNNNNNNNNNNNNNNNNNNNNNNNNNNNNNNNNNNNNNNNNNNNNNNNNNNNNNNNNNNNNNNNNNNNNNNNNNNNNNNNNNNNNNNNNNNNNNNNNNNNNNNNNNNNNNNNNNNNNNNNNNNNNNNNNNNNNNNNNNNNNNNNNNNNNNNNNNNNNNNNNNNNNNNNNNNNNNNNNNNNNNNNNNNNNNNNNNNNNNNNNNNNNNNNNNNNNNNNNNNNNNNNNNNNNNNNNNNNNNNNNNNNNNNNNNNNNNNNNNNNNNNNNNNNNNNNNNNNNNNNNNNNNNNNNNNNNNNNNNNNNNNNNNNNNNNNNNNNNNNNNNNNNNNNNNNNNNNNNNNNNNNNNNNNNNNNNNNNNNNNNNNNNNNNNNNNNNNNNNNNNNNNNNNNNNNNNNNNNNNNNNNNNNNNNNNNNNNNNNNNNNNNNNNNNNNNNNNNNNNNNNNNNNNNNNNNNNNNNNNNNNNNNNNNNNNNNNNNNNNNNNNNNNNNNNNNNNNNNNNNNNNNNNNNNNNNNNNNNNNNNNNNNNNNNNNNNNNNNNNNNNNNNNNNNNNNNNNNNNNNNNNNNNNNNNNNNNNNNNNNNNNNNNNNNNNNNNNNNNNNNNNNNNNNNNNNNNNNNNNNNNNNNNNNNNNNNNNNNNNNNNNNNNNNNNNNNNNNNNNNNNNNNNNNNNNNNNNNNNNNNNNNNNNNNNNNNNNNNNNNNNNNNNNNNNNNNNNNNNNNNNNNNNNNNNNNNNNNNNNNNNNNNNNNNNNNNNNNNNNNNNNNNNNNNNNNNNNNNNNNNNNNNNNNNNNNNNNNNNNNNNNNNNNNNNNNNNNNNNNNNNNNNNNNNNNNNNNNNNNNNNNNNNNNNNNNNNNNNNNNNNNNNNNNNNNNNNNNNNNNNNNNNNNNNNNNNNNNNNNNNNNNNNNNNNNNNNNNNNNNNNNNNNNNNNNNNNNNNNNNNNNNNNNNNNNNNNNNNNNNNNNNNNNNNNNNNNNNNNNNNNNNNNNNNNNNNNNNNNNNNNNNNNNNNNNNNNNNNNNNNNNNNNNNNNNNNNNNNNNNNNNNNNNNNNNNNNNNNNNNNNNNNNNNNNNNNNNNNNNNNNNNNNNNNNNNNNNNNNNNNNNNNNNNNNNNNNNNNNNNNNNNNNNNNNNNNNNNNNNNNNNNNNNNNNNNNNNNNNNNNNNNNNNNNNNNNNNNNNNNNNNNNNNNNNNNNNNNNNNNNNNNNNNNNNNNNNNNNNNNNNNNNNNNNNNNNNNNNNNNNNNNNNNNNNNNNNNNNNNNNNNNNNNNNNNNNNNNNNNNNNNNNNNNNNNNNNNNNNNNNNNNNNNNNNNNNNNNNNNNNNNNNNNNNNNNNNNNNNNNNNNNNNNNNNNNNNNNNNNNNNNNNNNNNNNNNNNNNNNNNNNNNNNNNNNNNNNNNNNNNNNNNNNNNNNNNNNNNNNNNNNNNNNNNNNNNNNNNNNNNNNNNNNNNNNNNNNNNNNNNNNNNNNNNNNNNNNNNNNNNNNNNNNNNNNNNNNNNNNNNNNNNNNNNNNNNNNNNNNNNNNNNNNNNNNNNNNNNNNNNNNNNNNNNNNNNNNNNNNNNNNNNNNNNNNNNNNNNNNNNNNNNNNNNNNNNNNNNNNNNNNNNNNNNNNNNNNNNNNNNNNNNNNNNNNNNNNNNNNNNNNNNNNNNNNNNNNNNNNNNNNNNNNNNNNNNNNNNNNNNNNNNNNNNNNNNNNNNNNNNNNNNNNNNNNNNNNNNNNNNNNNNNNNNNNNNNNNNNNNNNNNNNNNNNNNNNNNNNNNNNNNNNNNNNNNNNNNNNNNNNNNNNNNNNNNNNNNNNNNNNNNNNNNNNNNNNNNNNNNNNNNNNNNNNNNNNNNNNNNNNNNNNNNNNNNNNNNNNNNNNNNNNNNNNNNNNNNNNNNNNNNNNNNNNNNNNNNNNNNNNNNNNNNNNNNNNNNNNNNNNNNNNNNNNNNNNNNNNNNNNNNNNNNNNNNNNNNNNNNNNNNNNNNNNNNNNNNNNNNNNNNNNNNNNNNNNNNNNNNNNNNNNNNNNNNNNNNNNNNNNNNNNNNNNNNNNNNNNNNNNNNNNNNNNNNNNNNNNNNNNNNNNNNNNNNNNNNNNNNNNNNNNNNNNNNNNNNNNNNNNNNNNNNNNNNNNNNNNNNNNNNNNNNNNNNNNNNNNNNNNNNNNNNNNNNNNNNNNNNNNNNNNNNNNNNNNNNNNNNNNNNNNNNNNNNNNNNNNNNNNNNNNNNNNNNNNNNNNNNNNNNNNNNNNNNNNNNNNNNNNNNNNNNNNNNNNNNNNNNNNNNNNNNNNNNNNNNNNNNNNNNNNNNNNNNNNNNNNNNNNNNNNNNNNNNNNNNNNNNNNNNNNNNNNNNNNNNNNNNNNNNNNNNNNNNNNNNNNNNNNNNNNNNNNNNNNNNNNNNNNNNNNNNNNNNNNNNNNNNNNNNNNNNNNNNNNNNNNNNNNNNNNNNNNNNNNNNNNNNNNNNNNNNNNNNNNNNNNNNNNNNNNNNNNNNNNNNNNNNNNNNNNNNNNNNNNNNNNNNNNNNNNNNNNNNNNNNNNNNNNNNNNNNNNNNNNNNNNNNNNNNNNNNNNNNNNNNNNNNNNNNNNNNNNNNNNNNNNNNNNNNNNNNNNNNNNNNNNNNNNNNNNNNNNNNNNNNNNNNNNNNNNNNNNNNNNNNNNNNNNNNNNNNNNNNNNNNNNNNNNNNNNNNNNNNNNNNNNNNNNNNNNNNNNNNNNNNNNNNNNNNNNNNNNNNNNNNNNNNNNNNNNNNNNNNNNNNNNNNNNNNNNNNNNNNNNNNNNNNNNNNNNNNNNNNNNNNNNNNNNNNNNNNNNNNNNNNNNNNNNNNNNNNNNNNNNNNNNNNNNNNNNNNNNNNNNNNNNNNNNNNNNNNNNNNNNNNNNNNNNNNNNNNNNNNNNNNNNNNNNNNNNNNNNNNNNNNNNNNNNNNNNNNNNNNNNNNNNNNNNNNNNNNNNNNNNNNNNNNNNNNNNNNNNNNNNNNNNNNNNNNNNNNNNNNNNNNNNNNNNNNNNNNNNNNNNNNNNNNNNNNNNNNNNNNNNNNNNNNNNNNNNNNNNNNNNNNNNNNNNNNNNNNNNNNNNNNNNNNNNNNNNNNNNNNNNNNNNNNNNNNNNNNNNNNNNNNNNNNNNNNNNNNNNNNNNNNNNNNNNNNNNNNNNNNNNNNNNNNNNNNNNNNNNNNNNNNNNNNNNNNNNNNNNNNNNNNNNNNNNNNNNNNNNNNNNNNNNNNNNNNNNNNNNNNNNNNNNNNNNNNNNNNNNNNNNNNNNNNNNNNNNNNNNNNNNNNNNNNNNNNNNNNNNNNNNNNNNNNNNNNNNNNNNNNNNNNNNNNNNNNNNNNNNNNNNNNNNNNNNNNNNNNNNNNNNNNNNNNNNNNNNNNNNNNNNNNNNNNNNNNNNNNNNNNNNNNNNNNNNNNNNNNNNNNNNNNNNNNNNNNNNNNNNNNNNNNNNNNNNNNNNNNNNNNNNNNNNNNNNNNNNNNNNNNNNNNNNNNNNNNNNNNNNNNNNNNNNNNNNNNNNNNNNNNNNNNNNNNNNNNNNNNNNNNNNNNNNNNNNNNNNNNNNNNNNNNNNNNNNNNNNNNNNNNNNNNNNNNNNNNNNNNNNNNNNNNNNNNNNNNNNNNNNNNNNNNNNNNNNNNNNNNNNNNNNNNNNNNNNNNNNNNNNNNNNNNNNNNNNNNNNNNNNNNNNNNNNNNNNNNNNNNNNNNNNNNNNNNNNNNNNNNNNNNNNNNNNNNNNNNNNNNNNNNNNNNNNNNNNNNNNNNNNNNNNNNNNNNNNNNNNNNNNNNNNNNNNNNNNNNNNNNNNNNNNNNNNNNNNNNNNNNNNNNNNNNNNNNNNNNNNNNNNNNNNNNNNNNNNNNNNNNNNNNNNNNNNNNNNNNNNNNNNNNNNNNNNNNNNNNNNNNNNNNNNNNNNNNNNNNNNNNNNNNNNNNNNNNNNNNNNNNNNNNNNNNNNNNNNNNNNNNNNNNNNNNNNNNNNNNNNNNNNNNNNNNNNNNNNNNNNNNNNNNNNNNNNNNNNNNNNNNNNNNNNNNNNNNNNNNNNNNNNNNNNNNNNNNNNNNNNNNNNNNNNNNNNNNNNNNNNNNNNNNNNNNNNNNNNNNNNNNNNNNNNNNNNNNNNNNNNNNNNNNNNNNNNNNNNNNNNNNNNNNNNNNNNNNNNNNNNNNNNNNNNNNNNNNNNNNNNNNNNNNNNNNNNNNNNNNNNNNNNNNNNNNNNNNNNNNNNNNNNNNNNNNNNNNNNNNNNNNNNNNNNNNNNNNNNNNNNNNNNNNNNNNNNNNNNNNNNNNNNNNNNNNNNNNNNNNNNNNNNNNNNNNNNNNNNNNNNNNNNNNNNNNNNNNNNNNNNNNNNNNNNNNNNNNNNNNNNNNNNNNNNNNNNNNNNNNNNNNNNNNNNNNNNNNNNNNNNNNNNNNNNNNNNNNNNNNNNNNNNNNNNNNNNNNNNNNNNNNNNNNNNNNNNNNNNNNNNNNNNNNNNNNNNNNNNNNNNNNNNNNNNNNNNNNNNNNNNNNNNNNNNNNNNNNNNNNNNNNNNNNNNNNNNNNNNNNNNNNNNNNNNNNNNNNNNNNNNNNNNNNNNNNNNNNNNNNNNNNNNNNNNNNNNNNNNNNNNNNNNNNNNNNNNNNNNNNNNNNNNNNNNNNNNNNNNNNNNNNNNNNNNNNNNNNNNNNNNNNNNNNNNNNNNNNNNNNNNNNNNNNNNNNNNNNNNNNNNNNNNNNNNNNNNNNNNNNNNNNNNNNNNNNNNNNNNNNNNNNNNNNNNNNNNNNNNNNNNNNNNNNNNNNNNNNNNNNNNNNNNNNNNNNNNNNNNNNNNNNNNNNNNNNNNNNNNNNNNNNNNNNNNNNNNNNNNNNNNNNNNNNNNNNNNNNNNNNNNNNNNNNNNNNNNNNNNNNNNNNNNNNNNNNNNNNNNNNNNNNNNNNNNNNNNNNNNNNNNNNNNNNNNNNNNNNNNNNNNNNNNNNNNNNNNNNNNNNNNNNNNNNNNNNNNNNNNNNNNNNNNNNNNNNNNNNNNNNNNNNNNNNNNNNNNNNNNNNNNNNNNNNNNNNNNNNNNNNNNNNNNNNNNNNNNNNNNNNNNNNNNNNNNNNNNNNNNNNNNNNNNNNNNNNNNNNNNNNNNNNNNNNNNNNNNNNNNNNNNNNNNNNNNNNNNNNNNNNNNNNNNNNNNNNNNNNNNNNNNNNNNNNNNNNNNNNNNNNNNNNNNNNNNNNNNNNNNNNNNNNNNNNNNNNNNNNNNNNNNNNNNNNNNNNNNNNNNNNNNNNNNNNNNNNNNNNNNNNNNNNNNNNNNNNNNNNNNNNNNNNNNNNNNNNNNNNNNNNNNNNNNNNNNNNNNNNNNNNNNNNNNNNNNNNNNNNNNNNNNNNNNNNNNNNNNNNNNNNNNNNNNNNNNNNNNNNNNNNNNNNNNNNNNNNNNNNNNNNNNNNNNNNNNNNNNNNNNNNNNNNNNNNNNNNNNNNNNNNNNNNNNNNNNNNNNNNNNNNNNNNNNNNNNNNNNNNNNNNNNNNNNNNNNNNNNNNNNNNNNNNNNNNNNNNNNNNNNNNNNNNNNNNNNNNNNNNNNNNNNNNNNNNNNNNNNNNNNNNNNNNNNNNNNNNNNNNNNNNNNNNNNNNNNNNNNNNNNNNNNNNNNNNNNNNNNNNNNNNNNNNNNNNNNNNNNNNNNNNNNNNNNNNNNNNNNNNNNNNNNNNNNNNNNNNNNNNNNNNNNNNNNNNNNNNNNNNNNNNNNNNNNNNNNNNNNNNNNNNNNNNNNNNNNNNNNNNNNNNNNNNNNNNNNNNNNNNNNNNNNNNNNNNNNNNNNNNNNNNNNNNNNNNNNNNNNNNNNNNNNNNNNNNNNNNNNNNNNNNNNNNNNNNNNNNNNNNNNNNNNNNNNNNNNNNNNNNNNNNNNNNNNNNNNNNNNNNNNNNNNNNNNNNNNNNNNNNNNNNNNNNNNNNNNNNNNNNNNNNNNNNNNNNNNNNNNNNNNNNNNNNNNNNNNNNNNNNNNNNNNNNNNNNNNNNNNNNNNNNNNNNNNNNNNNNNNNNNNNNNNNNNNNNNNNNNNNNNNNNNNNNNNNNNNNNNNNNNNNNNNNNNNNNNNNNNNNNNNNNNNNNNNNNNNNNNNNNNNNNNNNNNNNNNNNNNNNNNNNNNNNNNNNNNNNNNNNNNNNNNNNNNNNNNNNNNNNNNNNNNNNNNNNNNNNNNNNNNNNNNNNNNNNNNNNNNNNNNNNNNNNNNNNNNNNNNNNNNNNNNNNNNNNNNNNNNNNNNNNNNNNNNNNNNNNNNNNNNNNNNNNNNNNNNNNNNNNNNNNNNNNNNNNNNNNNNNNNNNNNNNNNNNNNNNNNNNNNNNNNNNNNNNNNNNACCAAGGUGGAGGUUGUUAGACAUUAUGUUGUCAAACGACCCCUGGGCGAUGAUGAGAACCAAUUUUAUCAGUCGACAUAAAUGACUGAACGAUAAUUCAACAUCGAAUAAUGGAUGAACCGACCAAACGUUGCCUUACCUAUUGGACGGCUAAUAUUCUUUGUGGCUUGUUGAUUUCUUCCAUUGGAAGUUAACCCUAGUCGAGCCUACUUACCAUAUCCCGACUUACCUUAUGUUGGCCACUUGACUUACUAUAUAUAUUGGUGUUUUUGCCUUUGUUGGUACGGUCCAAAAGUUGAACCCGUGAGUUGAAGAAACUGCCGUGUCCAAGCCGUGUCCAAGCCGUGUCUUCUGUCUUCAUCUUCUUCGUGAUUUCUUCUCCACCCAAAUUGCUUGAGUCUUUGUGAACCUUACCUGAGUGGUAUCCAUCCUAAGUGUGUGGAUUUAAUCAACCAAGCAAGAGAAGAAAGCAACCAUAGGAAGAAGAGGCGCCGGCGGGUGGUUCAUUCCAGUUUUGAUGUUGAAUUCGGUUUUAAUGGUUAACUGAGCCCGGGAAUCAGCGUGAGCAGCUAGAGGAAGGUCCUAACAAUACCCAUCAACGUCGACAACUCGGGGUUGGUCCAUCGAGGUGCUAAGAGAUCUGGGGAUUUAGAAAUUCCAAAAUGUCUAUCCAGUGUUUAUUGGGUAGAUUACAAGAGGAAUGGAUCUGGUUAUCAAAAAAUGGUUUUUAAUAUGAGAUCAUAAGAAAUUAAAAAAGCGAUUCAAUAAGAGAGGGCAAACGACUAAUGAAUUCAAUGUAGUGAAGUAGAUCUUUUAUUCAAUGUCUCAAGAUGGGUUCAAUGCCCAAUAACAUUAAAUUAAUUUUUCUUCCAAUUAACUAAGGUUAUUGAGGCUGAGUUUGAGGCGGGGACUUUAUUUCCCGUCCGCUACUCGUGAUAAGGACUUUUUUUCUAACUGUGCUAUGUGUACAAUCGGAAUUGACAAACCCAUUUGACAAUUGGACACAUAGGAGGGGGGCUCACACUGAAAAGAAAAAUCGUGAGCCCCCCUCUUGUGAGUGCAUUGUCAACAUGGGUUGUACAAGAAGAAGAAUUUCUUUUUUCCUAACCCCCACCCCAAUUCAUUGAUUAAUCUAGAAUCCCCAGCUAGUUUGGGCAGGCCAUAUGGGGGACUAGAACAAUUGGGGAUAAUUGUUAUCCCGAAUAUCAUUUUUGAAUGUGUAAUGGUUCGUGCGGCUCACAAAGACACUAUACAAAUGUUAUAUAUAUACGUAAUAUAUAUUAUAUUGCACACCCAUGAUAUAUAUUUUGUACGCUCACACAAUUUGUGAUUUGAAAUCCAUCUAGCAAAUUUAUUCAUAAUUUGAUUAAUCUCUCGAAAUAAGUUGGUUGUAUUUUACAUUUAUUGUGGUUAAUGUUUAUGCAUAUAAUAUAUCUACGGAUGUGUUUUAUUUUUUGGUCCAUAUUACGUAUGAUUUAUUUAGAAUUGACGGGAGUUUAAUAGUGUUACGUGCGAGAAUUUAACAUCAUCUAAGUUCGGUUUAAUUUUCAAGUCUCUCUAUAUAAUUAUGAUUUUUUUUUGGGUAUAAAAAUACAUAUAUAAAUUCGUUACUCAAGCAUAUUUAUUGAUAUUUAUUCUCAUCCCUUUAUAUCUUUUCUUCUAGAUGAUUGAUGAUUUGAGGCGGUUGGCACGAAUAUGGCUUAUGGUGGCAAAAGUUCCGAUAAUAGAUUAUUAUGUUAUCUUUAAAAUAUUUCUCUUUUUAAGUUAAAUUAUCAAAAUCACUGGAUCAUUUGAAUUAUUAUAUAUGUUUAAUAAUUUAUAUAAUAGUGUUGAAUAUUCCUUAAAUUAUUUUAAUUUAGGAAUUAGUGGCACUCGGGUCGUUAAGGAUUCGGGUUGUCAUAGUUGUCCAAUUGGUAUCAAUAUUAAUUUAAAUCUCUCUUAUGGUAAAGAUCAUGAGUUCGAAUUCUUGGGACGCAAUAGAAAUCUAUUGGAGAUAGGAUGAAUUUAGGUUCUUCCAGAAUGAACAAUACAUAAAUUAACGACUUUGGCAUAAAGAUCAGGUCGUUACAUAAUAUUGGGAUCCGAAACCACAUUAAUUGAAAGAUUACCUAGAACAACCCUAAAUUUUCUCAUAUUGAACAAAAAUCCAUGUGUCCAUGUAUGAACAAAACAAUUGCAAAAGAACAAUUAAGAAAAUAUAAAGAAUAUCGCAAAAUCAUCUACGGGUCACUACCCCCAAGUACCUUGGCCAUCGGUGACUGGGUUGGGGUAGAUGAUGAAUAUAAUUAUUUUCCUUUUAUGCUAUCUGAUAAGUGUAUUUUUGCACACUUAUUAAGCACUUAAUUUGAUAUAAUUAUUGAUGAAAAGAAUGGAAUUCUACUCAUAGUUAAGUAAUAUUCACUUUUAUAGGUAAAAAUCACCUAAAGAAAAGAGAACAAGGCAAAAGUAAGAAAAAUGAGGAAAAAUGACUAAAAUUGUACAAAAUUGUGAAGUUGGAGGCCAAGGCAAACAAGUCAAAAAGUGGAGGAUUUGAGAUGCAAUUUAUGGAGGGCAAAAUCGAAAUGGAAGUCAAAAUACGAGGAACAAAUUGUACAAAAUUAAAGUUGAGGGACUAGCAUGCAAUAUUUGAAACUUGGCUGCAAAAAGAAAACCAUGGUUUUGGACAGAGAACUAGGCGCUGCGGCGCCACUAUUCCAGCACCACGGCGCCCAUUUUAAAAGAAAAAAUGAGUUGGGGACCUUUUUGUUAACUUUUGAAACUUCAGGGACCAAGGCUGAAAUUUUCCUAGUUUCUAAUAUAAAACCAGCAGCUGAGUUUUUAUUUGCAGUUCUUCAGUUCGAUCUUCUGCUGGGUUCCGUUUUCUGCUGGGUUUUUUCCUUUUUUUUUUUUUUUAUUUUGCUUUCAUUUUCUUUUCUUUUCUUUUCCUUUUCUUUUUCUUGGUUAUUUUGGAGAUACAACAUAGAGCAACAAGGAGAUUACAUCAAGGAUUUGGCAAAGCAUUUGGGAAAAAUCAUAGCCAAUCUACAAAAAAGGGUUUUAUCUAUAUCUUUGUAUUUUCUCCAUUAUUUAGCCAUAUUUGUAAUACAUUGGAUGAAUAUUCUCCUUUAUUAUCCUUUAUUUAACAUGGGCUAAAUAUUUUGUUGGGAUUUAUGGUAGUAGCUUGACCUAGGUUUAAUUGAUUUUCAAUAAUUGCUAUUUGAUAUAUUAAAUUGUCCAUUUCCAUGUGUUUCUAUUAUUGUAUUUAUUGCAUUUUCAUUUAUAUGGCUAAUGAAUGAAUAUGUUUCGUGAAGUUUACAUAGUUCGAGAGAAGAUUGUGCAUUUUAGACCAAAUGGUAGAAACUCUAGGUUUAUGUAGAGGAUAGAUAUAUAUUUCUAACCCUAGGUGACUCAAUGAGCUAUUUUCAUAAAAAUUUAAUGCAGUUGUUUAGUUGUAAUUAACAUAGAGAUAUAGUAUGUUAAACCAAUCAAUUAGGGCUAAUUCCACUCGAGAGAGAUAAUUAGCUAAAAUUGAAAAAUUGGGUCUAACAUCGUAAAUGAGUAAUUUGUUAAUUAACAUAUGCAGAAAUUAAUUAGGCGACGGUUAAGCGAAACCAAGAAUCCCAAUCACGUUUUCCUCCAAAAUUCCCAAGAUUUCCAUAUUUUCCUAGUUUGUAUUUUUUUUCCUUAGUUUCUAAAAUCAGCUCUUUAUUGUGUGUUUGUUUAUUUUCAUUGUUAGAAUUAAAUUGAUUAAAAUUGUGUAAUUUAAAGUAAACAUUCCUCGAUAGAUCGGCAACCCGAACUUCAAACGUCCACUUUAUUACUUGAACGCGACCCGUGCACUUGCGGUAUUAUUUUAGCAAACACUUCCCUUUUAUUUUCUUGAUUUUAUGUUUCUCUUUUAUAGCGGACUUAAUAGCCAUUUUGCACGGAUUUGUUAGUGAGGAGUAUUUCCAAAAUAAAAAUGAAAGGUCGAAGAUUGUGAUGCGAAUAAAUGAAGUUUGAGGAUAUAAGUGCAUAAGGAGUUGAAGAUCGGGGAUGUGGCUUAAAUUUUCCAAUAUUAAAAAGAAAAUGUUUUGCCCAUGCCAUUUUCUUGACUACUGUCAAGGAAAAAAAAAUAAAUCAAUCUUUUUGCGUUGAAAUUCACUCCACAUUGUAGGAACUGUAUGGUCCACCCAUGUGAAAUCCAUUGUGUGCCACAUCAGAGUUCCUGACAAACUGUCGUAUGCUCAACAUGAUACAUGAGCUACAAUGUGUUACAAAUUGCCCCUGUAUACAUGUAUGUUUAAUCAAUAAAAAAAAAAAUCUGAAAUUUACUCAAAUUCAAUGAUGAAUUCUUAAAUCGAAUCUGAAUAAUGAAUUUUCAAUCUUUUGAAUUACAAAAUUCCAAUUUUGAUCUCUAGAACUUGAUGAUUUUAACUUGCCAUUUCUAUAUAGUAUUACGUGUCAAACAUGCAAUGAUUUCAUACUUAUUCGUCCUUAUACUAUAUCCUCAACUCUCUCCAUCAAAUUCUUCAUCUAUUCUUGCAAAAUAUAUUGUAGCUUAAAGUUAAACCGGUUUCAUGCAUAAUUUAUCGCUCGGGAAUUAUUCACUCAUCGAUAGAAUAUCUGCAAAUCUUGUAUUUUUGUGAAUUUAGUUAUUUUGUUAAUUGAGAAUAAGAUGAAAGAUAAUCUUCUUGGGAGAUCAUUCUUAUGUGAAAUUCAUACAAAUGUCUUGAGUGCUAUUUUCACCUUCACUCAUUUAUUAAAUAUUACAAGUUCUAGCUUUCAUAGGAAAAUAUAUUUUACUUGGUGUGCUGAAGAUAUUCUUCAACCUUCAACAGUGAAGUGGGGUUCUAGGUUCUCGACCCAAUUAAAUUUGGAAAUUACAUAAAUUGUUAAUGUGAACGUCAAAACUGGACAUGACUUAAAAUUGAAUGUAAAGUGGUUUGAUGCUUUGGUCUCCAACUUUAAAUUACAUAAAAGUCAAGCAAUUCUAAUUUUCACAAUGACGAGUUUUUGCCACAUGGCGAUCCAAAUUCACAUAUUUAAAUACGUUGGGUACCCACAAUAGGGAUGACAACGGGAGAGAUGAGAUGGGAUGGGAAGCCGCUAGGGAUUCUUCACGCCCUGUCCCAACCUUGAUCCCUGCUUAAGGUGGGGCGGUUGCAGGGAAUAGGGCAAUAUGGAUGGGAUGCCUCCUCUCUUCACAUAAUGUCCGUUUAAUUUUAUUUUAAUCAUAAGCCUUAGAUAUCUCUUUUUAAUUUUCACGCACUAACACAUACUAAAUGCACACGUCAAUGGCUGCAAAAAUAGGGUCGGCCCUAAUAUUUUGGGGGCGUUAUAUUUUGAAUCUUCUUAUAUAGAGUUUUAGCCCCUGUUUGUUGAAGAUUAAGCCAUUGUUUGAGCCUCAUUUUUUUCAUAAAAAUACAUUUUUCAACAAUAAUUUGACACCACCAUUUCAACAUAUAUUUUUCAAUAAAAUAAUAUUACAUGCAAAUCCAAAAAUUUUCCUUAUUUUUUAAUCACACAUUCCCCAUCGUAACACUUUCUCAAAAUGCAUUUUUUUUUGGAGAAAAAUGAGGCUCAAAGGCUCAAACAACCCUAAAAUCGAAUUUUCAUUUUUUUUUUUUCAAAAUGCAUUAUUAGUUUCUUAUGUUUGCAUAUGAUACUUCUAUACUACAGAAUUUCAUAAAUAUAAUUUUCAUUUUUUUUUUCAACCAACAAAUUAACUUUACAUAAUUUGGGCCUCACUUAGGUGAUCGCCUAUUUCGUCUAUACUUAGGGCCACCACUGUGCAAAAACAACACAAGCCACCAAAUUUUGUGGUAAACACUGCAAGAAGAGGAGAACCCUAAACAAAGAGAGGUAAUGCUAAGAGGAACUCAUAAAUACGGAAUGGGGUGGAGAAGACAUGGCUGCUAGUUAAAGGAGAUGUGAUUGUGAGUCUCCAUCCUGUGCAACGAAGUCAUGACAUUGAUACCCAUCAACGUCGAUAGCUGGGGGCUGCUACAGCGUGGUGCUAAGAAAUUGGGGGGUUUGGAAAUUCUGAAAUGUCUAUGCUUUGUGUAAUGCACGUGCUUAUUUUUUGUGAUUAUCAUGUUUAUCUAAAUUAGUUGCGUUUAUGUUACAUUUACUAUUAAAUUAUUAUAAUUAUCAUAGUCGUGAUUAAUUAUGUUGAUAUAGUGGAAUGUGCCUUGGAUCAAAGUCGUGAUUAAUUAUGUUGAUACAGUGGAAUGUGCCUUGGACACUCUAUGCGAUCGACAUGCCUAUAGCUCCAAACUUAAAAUACAUAUGACUCUAUUUAAAUAUGCAAUUUAAUAUAAUUUGACGCCGUAUCACAUUCCUAUUAAUUUAAUUGUAUUGUCUACAAUUAAUUUUAUUUAGUUAGAUUAAAUUAUAUAACGUAUUUAUCCUAUUAUGUACAAUCUCUUUUUUAGAUUGAACCUAGACAUUGAGUUGGAAGAUUUCUUUUUAUAAGUAAAUAAAUAAAUAAAAAUAAUAAUGAUAUAGUUAAUAAUUGAAUUAAUUUGCUAAUAGGAUCAAUUUAAGGUUAAGGAAGUUAAUAUAGAUAAAUAAGGAGGCCUAAUUUGUUAGAUUAGUAUAAAUUAAACUAAAUAAACGCCAUUAGGUUUAGGAGUCUAUAUAGUUGCCUUAUUUCACAUCUUUUUAAAAUUAAGUAGAAACUCCUUUUCCUGCCAAAAGUUUAAUUUCAAUUUCUUAUUUUGGGACUAGUAUGCUCUUGCAGUAAGGUAUGGUUCAUAAUUUAUUCAUGAUAUAAUCUGUCAGUUAACCUAUGUGUUUAAUUCUCUCUCUCUUUCUACACUACCAUAAAAGAGAGAAUGAGGGUUUACUGUUCAUUUUUGUCAUACUUGUUUUCACACUUAACCAGUUUGGAAAUUGGUUUGGCAUCAGGAAUAAUUCUAUUCAAAAAUACUGUAGGAAUUUUGUCACACGCCAUUGUUUACUGCAAUAUUUCUCCCUUGCUUUGAAUCUGACACACCAUGCUCUUUCUCCUAAUUCUCACGCUAUAAACUAUCAACUAUAUCUUAUAUAUUUAAAUUUUUUAAAUUAUAUUAAUAAACAAAAUUAUUGUAAAUAAAAAAAAACAUAUUCACUCUGUGCAUAGAGAAAAGAAUUUACGUCAUACUACAUAAUUUUUCUUGAGUAAAAUGAUGCAUUGAGAAAAUUGUUACGAAUAAAUAAUAAAUAGUAAUAAAAUAAUUGAUUUUUUAAAAGAAAAACGACUUAUACGCAUUUUUUAACACAUACGUUUAAUGUCUAUUUAACUAUUUUCGAUAUUCAUUUAGAUCAUUCGAUGUGUCUAUGAUAUAGUUCUUGAAAUGAGUUUCGAGAGAAUGUAAAACAUUUAUCGAUUCGACUAUCGUACAAUCGUCAAUAAAUUUUUAAAGCUAGCUUAUUAUCGAAAAUUUCGAAAUAUAGUUUGAAAAUGCCUAUUUUGACGUCCCGUAACAUUUGCUGCGAUUAGUUGUUGCACGCACUGUUAACGACGUGCAAUACUAUGCCACGAGUACUUGAAAAUGAUAUUAAGAAUGUAGUAUUUCGAUUUCGUUUGAUAUCCCAUAAUGAGCCUGAAAAUAAAUACAAAAACAUAAAUUAAAAAAUAAUAAAAAAAUAAAAUUUUUUUAGCAAACCUCCAUGCACGGAGGUUAAACUUCCAUGCACGAAGGUUUAUGCGUGCGGGGAGUUCCAACACCAAUAUGCACUUCUUCUUUUUUUUACUUUUAUUUGUAGUACAUUUUUUUAUUAAUAUUUAAUUUUAAAAAAUUAAAUAUAUCUAAAUAUUUACUUAAAAAUGUUGAAAUUAAUAUUUUUUACCUAUAAGUAACUUUUACAAUUAUAAUUUUUUAUUACUUUUAAAUAACUUGAAGUGAUUUGUUUACUUAUAAGUAAUUUUUUACAUUCUAGUUAGUUUAAUCUUUUUAUUAAUAUUUAAUUUUAAAAACUAAAUAUAUCUAAAUAUUUGUACUUAAAAAAUUUUAAGUUCACAUUUUUUUUUUUAUAUAAGUAGCUUUUGCAAUUAUAAGAGAAUGAGGGAUUAAUAUUUUUUUUAACCUAUAAAUAGCUUUUACAAUUAUAAGUUUUUUUUAUUUUAAAUAACUUGAAGUGUUUUUUUACUUAUAAGUAAUUUUUUAUCUUUUAGAUAGUGUAAUCUCUUCUUUUACUUUAAAUAAUUUAACCGGUUUGGGAACUGAUUUGGCAAGAAAAAUUCUAUUCAAAAAUACUGUAGAAAUUUUGUCACAUGCCAUUUGAGUGUAAUGUCACGUCCACUGCAAUAUUUCUCCCUUACUUUGAAUAUAUAUAUAUAUAUUCACUCCGUGCAUGGAGAAAUUUUUUUACGUCAUACCACAUAAUUUUUUUAAGCAAAAUGAUGUAUUGAGAAAAUUAUUGCGAAAAAAUAAUAAAUAGUAAUAAAAUAAUUGAUUUUUUUGAAGAAAAACGAUUUAUAUGCAUUUUUUAACACAUACGUUUAAUGUCCGUUUAACUAUUUUCGAUGUUAAUUUACAUCACUCGAUGUGUUUAUGAUAUAUUUCUCGAAAUAAGUUUCGAGAGAAUGUAAAAGAUUUAUUGAUUCGACUAUCGUAUAGUGGUCGAUGAAUUUUUAGAGUUAGCUUAUUAUCGAAAAUUUUGAAAUACAGUUUGAAAAUGCCUAUUUUGACGUCCCGUUACAUUUGCUACGAUUAGCCGUUUCACGCACCGUUAACGACGUACAAUACUAUGUCGCGAGUACUUUAAUAUGAUAUUAAGAAUGUAAUAUUUCGAUUUCGUUUGAUAUCUCGUAAUGAACCUGAAAAUGAACACAAAAACAUAAGUUAAAAAAAAUGACGCAACAUGUAAUAAACCUUCCUCGUGCACGGAGGUUGGAGGAUCAUGUCCUCCGUGCACGUACCAAUUCAAUUAUUACUGAUCAUUAACCAGUUGGACCUAAACGACGCCGUUUGGGAAAAGAACGAACAAAAUGCGAGACUCGGCUUUUGGUUACCCAUUUUCUCCACAGCUUAACCCUAAGGGUGUGUUUGAUUACAUUUAUUUUCUAUGGAAAAUAUCAGUUUUCUACCCAAAUUCCUACUUUGAGUGUUUGAUUGCUAUUUUUUUCUAUGGAAAACAUUUUUCAACUUUUGAAAAUAUGCCUAAUUUUCCUUGUUUUUAAGGAAAAUAUUUUCCUUGGGUAGAGGUGAUUUUUAUUUUCCACAAAAAAUGAAAAAUAUUUUCUUUUCUAUGUGAUAUUUUCCAUGUCAAUCAAACACACUCUAAUUGUUCUCUCUCUCUCUAGCGAUCGGCACCAUUGUAGCAAGAAAUUCUGGAAAACCUGAAGCAACUGAGACAUAUACCUGUAAGUAAAAUCAUCACUACUUCGAUUUCUUUCUCUUCUGUAUAUUGCUUCUAAUUUGUUGAGUUGUAUUGUUCAAUAUAUGCUUAGUUUUCAAAUUUUUUUUUUUUUAAUAGCUUGAACUUUGAAGAGUUCAAACCCAAAUACGUAAAGUCAUGUUUCAAGGGGUGGUUAGGUUUAGGGUGUUGUGUAUAUGUUUUUCAAUUUAUGUAGCUGUGGUAUUGAAUAUGAGAUUUCUUGUCCAAUUUGCCUUUUUUUUUUGUUCUCCCUUUUCCUUCUUCUAAGAGGUCGAACCCAAAAUACCUAAAGUCUAUUAUUUUCAUGUUAUUAUUAUUAUUAUUUUUUUUUUUUAAUUUCUGCAGCCGUCAUGUUGAAUAUGAGAUUUUUUGUUCAAUCUGUGUUUUUUUCCUCAUUUUUUGUAAGAAACUGAACUGAAAAGACUUAUAAUUUGAUCUUCCCAUGCUUGGCUCUUUGAUUAUAUUUAACUUUAAGAAGGAGAACAAAAUGUUUCAAGUCGGAUAUUUCAUUAAAUACCCAAAUGCAAAUUCCGAAAAAGGUUAUCAUUGCUUUUCACUUGCUGCAAUUGAUACACAUGAGUGCUUAAUUUGAUGUUUGUGAUUGACAGAUUUUGAUGAAUACUGUACUACCAGAUGCUCCCAUGUUUAAACCUCAAUUUUGUCCUCAAGGUUUAUUCUCCCACCAUUAGUUAUUUCUUAGUUUUUGUAUUUUUAUUUAUUUGAAAGUUCUUAUAGAAGUUAAGUUUGCCAAUCUUGUUCAACAACAUUCCCAAAAUUGUUCCUUGUACUCCUGCUUCUCCCCCUUUGUAUAUAUUUACGAUAUAUGAAACCACCAAUUAUUUACUUUGAUCUUUUUUUUUCUGUAGACUAGAAGAAACCUAUUUGUAUUCGCAGAAAUGCCUUUGGCAAUCAAUAUUGUGCCAUUGAUUUAAUCAUAAAAGGAUCUGAAAAACUUAGAAUGGUAUUUGUUUAGUUCACUUUUUGGUAGUUAUUGGAAGAAAAUUUACCAUAUCUUUGGACAAACCAUUCUUUACAUGUUUCUUCUGUUCAUUCUCUGUUUAGUCCCAGAGCCAGAAAAUGGGGAGAGACCCAUGGAAGUACUGGAUAUCUAUGACUUUAAAGGACCUGGUGUUGCCCUUGCCAUGUAUAAUGUUCAUCAAGUUUGUCUUCACACAACUCGCUUGCAUAUUGAAAUUUUUCUUAUGGCACUUUUAUAUUCUUUUGCCUCAUCAUCUGGAAUUUUUAUGAAAAUUUUUCAGUCUAUUCAAGCAUUUGCAGAAUCAUCAAUGGCAAUGGCAUUUGCAAAAAAUGGCGUCUUUUCUUGAGCACAAAGAGUACAAUUCUUAAGAAGUAUGAUGGCUGUGAUUUCUUUCGGAAAACCUUGGUCAAUUGUUAUAAUAUUAAUAAAAUGAAGUAUGUCUGUAUACUAACAUUUACAUCAAUAUUUCACUAUUUCAGGUUCACAGAUAUAUUUUAGGAGGUACAUGACGAAGUGGAAGGAAUAAUCUGAAGAACAUUCACUAAGGUUGCUUUUGUAUCUUUGAUGUAUAGAACCUUAACGUGCCCAUUCACAUUGUUUUCUAAAACAUACAUGUUUCCUCAAGACAUGAGCAUCAGUUGAUCGAUGACAUGGUGCCGUACACCGUGAAGAGUGAUGUUGGAUACAUUUAGGCCUGUAAGAAUUACAAUGGAGAUCCUAUAUAAAUCAAGACAUAAAAAAAUAGAUUAAUGUGACUACUUUUUAUGUGAUUUUCAAUAUUUGAACUAAUUCUGUAAGUCAGUAGUUUUUCUGGUGAUAGUGUUUGAGUUUUCGUGUAUAUUUUAUGGUUAAACCGCUAUGCUCGAACUGUUCCAGAUAAAGGAGGAUGAAAAAAUUGGAUUUCCUGUUCAGAAUUUGACCAAAGAGUAUGUCACCUUCUAUGAGGAUGUCGCCCAAAUUUUGAUCAAGGUAGCAAACAAGAGGGUGUGAAAGUUAUAUAUUUUGAGUUUGCCUUCACUGCACUCGUAUUGGUGUUUAUGUUAUGUGCCAUAUCAAUAUAUGCUUUCAGCAAUUCUCCUCUAUAUUUUUUAGGAUAACUUAAUGCCAUACAGAGUGUCAAAUAUAAAGGUUAAAGCAACAAUUAUAAAUUCAAAGAGCUCAAGAUUCCACAUUAUAUUUACAUCCUUAAUCGAGUCCUGAUGCAAGGUAACAUAAGCAAAUGGCUAUUGUUUCAGUUAUUUCUAAAAAUUGUUUAAUUUUAUUUAGUGUAGCAAUCUUCCAUUUUUUACCACAUGGACAAACACACUUCUUUCACAGUUUUCUUCUUUUAAUCUAAAGUUUUCCUCUAUAUUCAUGUCAUUUAAGUUAUAUAAUAAGGAAAACUACGUGAAUAUAUUGUUAAUAUAUUUUUUCUUUCAUCCAAGGACAACAAACCUUUGAGGUAUUAUCUUUGAAGUGAAAUCUCGAAAAUUUAUCAAUUUUCUUUAAUCGAAAUCAUUUUAGUCCUUGUUUGAUUUCCACUAUUUUUAAAAUAUAUUUUUUGCUCUCUUUUUUUCAACCACAUAUUUUUCAAUAAAAUAAUAUUACACAACUCAAAACUUUUCUUUAUUUUUUAACUACACAUUCUCCAUCAAUCUACUAUUUCAAAAUCCAUUAUUAGCCAAAAAUGGGGCUCAAUCAUGCACUUCGUCCUUAUCUAUCAGUUAUCCACUGGUACUGAAUUGUCAGCAACACUUCGUAGCAUUCAGAACCCCAUAUUAAAAAUGCAUAUUCCAUUUUUUCAUAUAACCUCCAAUGUUAUGUUCUUUGCUCCCACAUAAGAAAAAGUUGCAUUUAUGAGACUUAAAUUUCUUGGACUUGUUUUCCUUCUAUGCUUCCAUAUCACUUCCUCCAAUCAAGCAUUUCCCGUACUUAAAUUUAAUGCCAACUUCACUUUACCCGGCACAACCUAAUUAAGUUCUUAAAUGAGUAGUAAAUAUUCUUACCAGAUUAUGAAGAUGCUUAAAGCUUCUUUAAUUGUGAAAUGCAUCUGUUCAAAAACUCUUCAAUUCUUAUAUGAACAAAUUAUUAAUACACAUGACUUAUUGCUUUGAUUUCAGGAAGUAUUGCUUGGUGGAGUCAAUUUCAAAUAUUAUAAUCCUCACAAAUGGAUAGUGUUAUGUCAAAGUUUUUACAUAUGCAGAAGCUUUGCCAAUAAAACGCUACAAGCAUGGUGGACAUUUCCUCGUGCUGAAAAUAGUGUACCAAAAUCAGGUAUGAUAUCAAAACUUGAUAUUGUAAAAUGAAAAAAAAAAGAAAAGAGAAAAGAUUGACAGAAUCACAUCCUUGUUAAACUCAAGUCUUAAUAUCUCAUUUUUACAAUUGGAAUGAGUCUCACCAGAAUAGUCAACGUUAGGAGGUAAAGUGGUCUAGAAAAUCUAUACAUGAGGUCACAGAGGCUAGCUUUACAAGAUUUCGGCAUUGUUGAUUCAUGUAAAGAAUUUAGGACAAAUAUCACCGAAAUUUGUGCUGCUGUGAUUAUAAGAAAUAAAAAUUCAAUAAUGGAAGUGAAAUUUUUAACAUAAGAAUAUCUUAUUGAUAGCUAAACAAUGUCAGAAAUUAUUAAAUGGAUGGAUUUUAUUCGUUGAUUUCAUUAGGAUGAGAAGAGUAGCUUCUACAUUGCAAUUUUUAUUAAUCGUGAAUCUCAUUGUCAGAACAUUUGCUCUCUCGUAACACGAUAGAACUUAUAAGUUGUUGUGUGUUACUCUGUUCAAGUGGCUGGCAUGUUGAUAAUGAAACUCUGUGUCUCUGCAAGUCUACUUCUGAAUAAAUGGUAAUUUCUUUCUUUUUCGUUUUUCAUUUUUUUUGUAUUCUUUUGGUGGGUAGGGAGAAGCUUCUUUGGUUUUGCAUGUACAGUUAGUAAGUAGCUAUCCAGAAGUUCAUUUGGCCUCAUUUUACUUCAUAUUUUGGCACCUGUACAUUAAAUUUUGUUUUUGAUAACAUUUGACGUGCAUGCUACAAUUUGACUUGCUAAGAGUAUCGGACUUUGGUGUUUCUUUUGUUACUUUCUUUUAGUACAGCUCUGGGAUUGAGCUAGUGUGACUGCAAUGGUAUAAUUAUUGCAUGUUUAAUUGUUGUACAUGUAUGUAUUAGCUAAUAAUUUUUGCUUGAUAGCAAGCGCAAUCAUGCUUGGUGUACAAUCAUUUUUACAACAUUGUUGACAACAUGCCAUGGGUCACGUUGUCAUUGGAUAAUUUAAAAAAUAAUUUAUAUUUCCUACCAACACUUUUAUGACACAUACAACAUCGUCAACAAUGUUGUCAAAAAUCAUUGUACAAAUGGCAUUAUCCUAGCAAGAAACCCAAGGCAUACGGUGAUGCAAAUAAUGGGCAUAAGCCAUUAGCAUAUGGAGAAAAGCCAAGGAAGGCAGCAAACGUUCCUUUUGAUAUUUCCUUACUUGAUAAGUUGCUGUCAGCUUUCUUCCCUUCAUUUCUCUUCCUAAAAAAUAAUUUGUUAUUUGUACUCCUCAUACAUGUGGAAUUCAUGGAUCUUAGGAUAAUCCCAACGCCUAAAAUAUUCGUUAAUGACUUUUGCAUUCCCUAGGCUAAAUCUCACUGGUUUUGUUGAAGAUAUCUAUAUAUAUGUAGAUGAAUAAUACUAUUUUUUCGAGUGUAGAUGAUUUCCUUACGACAGUAGAAUUUGUUGCUCAAUUCUACACUAAUGGUCAUUAGUUGCUUUCUUGCCAUUUAUGCUUGUUUUCUUAUUAUAUUUCAUUUCGGGUUUAAUUUUAAUUUAGUGAUAUUAUGGUACAUGGUGUUUGGCAUACUGUGGCUAAGUUCUCAUAUUUAGGUACAUUUGGAUUCAUUAACAAUCUUUUGCAUGGCUUCUUUAAAACUUAGCCAAAGAUGAUGUUGCAUGGUUGAAGUGGCAAGGUUUUCAUAUUUAGGUAGAAUCAUUUUUGUAGCUUGUAACCAAAAUGGUUAAAGUAGGACAAAAGCUUUUACUUAAUGUUUCAUUAUGAUACAUGGAUUGAAAUUUAGAUCUAUCCUAUAACCUCUAUAACUGCAGAUAAUGUAUGUAUUAGAUAGUUUUCUCUUAUAAUUAAAUAUAUAUUAAAUUCUUUUGUCAAAGCAAUUAGUUACAAGGUGUAAGAAAUAUUAAUUUUGUAACAUAGAAUGGAGUUAAUUCGUGAAGUUUAUCAGUUAUUAAGUACUAUUAUUUUACAACACGUUCAUUUUAAGAGAGUUGAUGUUACUUGAGAAAUUGAAGGAAUGCAUUUGUUGCGCCAAAAGGGGAUAAAGAGUGAAUAGACAGAGGUAUUCUUUGACCUAACGAAAGAACUGAAAAAUACCAUACAUGGUGUUUGAUUAAUGAAGUGCUUUCUCUGUGUUGUGAUAUAUCUUAUUGUCUGAUGCAGGCAAUAAGAUCACUAGGGAAAUGAGAGCUUUCCAAAAUACCAUAGAAUCUUGAAAGAAAUUCAAGUUUGAUUACUUCAAGUUUGUUAGUUUCUAUUUUUUGUUGUCAAUCUUCAAAUUGUUUGUUUUCUCUUUUCAGAAAAUUUAACAAACCGUUCCCAAAAUACCAGAAAAUUUCGACAAAAAUUGGACUCCGAGGACCUCGAGAAUCUUCCUUUAUUAUUUUUCUGUGUAUUUUUUGUUGAAUUAUCUUCGUAUCUACUCUGAAGUUUUCGUUCUUUUCCGUCUAUGUUUGAAGUUCUUUGCAAGGAAAGAAAAGAUCCACGUACAAAUUGAAGAGUAUCAAAAUAAGGUAUGUCGAUUUCAUAUUUGCCUUUUUUUUUUCUUUUUUUCAAAUGACUCAUUCUCACUGUCUGUUAUCUGUUUGUAUUUUAUUUGAUUUCUCUAUUUCAUUUUAUUGCUUUUUGUUGGUUGUUUAACCUAUUCAGCGUUCGUCGCAACUUGUACAAAUAAACCAUAACAAGAAUAUUGUACUUGUAAAUAGGUAAUAUUAUUUCAUUUUUUAGUUAGUAAUUAUGAAUAGGGAGAGGAGAAAACGAUUAAACUAUUCACAUUCUCCUCUGUGAUCCCUAACUACAAAGGACUGAUGACUCUAUCGAGAAGCAAAAGUAGCAAAUUCAGAAGGAAAGAAUUGAAUCAAAUUGCCAUUAAUGUUUUUUUGGUAAUAAAUGAAUUAAAUUUCGGUUAUUUUGUUAAUUAAUUUAGUGUUGAUUGAUUUUUUAUUUUUAUUUUUUUUACCUUAUUUUAUCUUUAAAUACAUAUGCAAUCAUUUGUGCCAAAAGACAAAAGUGAAAAUUGAUGGUUUAUUUAUUUAUUUUUUAUUUUUUAAAUGGGUUUGCAUUGUGUUAGAAAUGGGAAGGAUUUUGACACCAAACCGUUUGAUUAUGGAGAAAAGAUAAUAAGUUAAGAAAGAACGGGAAGUUAUUUAAAAAAUUUUAGUUUUUUCAUAUUAUGUAGGAGAUUGGAUUUCUAUUUUUCUGGCAGAAUUUUUUUCAAUUGUCCAAAUUCAUUUGUCAAUGAGGUAAUUGCUAUUUCAUUAUAGAUUUUUUAAUCAAUUUUCAUCUAAGGAUUUGGUUCUAUGGUAUCUCAAAUCCAUGCAUUCGCUGCAUUGUUCUAGCCAGUAAUUCUUAGCCAAAGAGAAUAAACAUUCUAUAACUGUUUAUGAUGAAUAUGAAAUUCACUCAUUUGCUUACGAGCUGCAUUAUUUAGAAAUAGAUUUUUUUUCCUCUCUCAUUUUCCCUUCAAAACUCCAUUUUCUCCCCUCUUUUCCUUUUUUUGGAUGGAAAUUUUUUUAAUGUAAUUGUCCUUUUCAGACUUAGAAUCUGAUAUAAUCAUUUUCUUAUAUCUUCGAAAGACAAUCAGGUAUGACUUUUAGAUUUCCUUUUGUAAAAAUCUUAUGUUGCAAUGCUAUUGGAAUAUCAAUGAAAGAGAAUUUUUCUAAUACCCUUUUUUUCUUUUUUAUGGAGAUUGUAUAUUCACCCAAUGGCUAUUCUUUCGAUUAUUUUUUAAAAUUUUUUUUGUGUUAAGGUUGCAAUUUUUUUUGCCUUUUGGAAAUCACUUAAUGGGGUUGUCAGUCUCUUUUCUUGAUUUAAAUAUCUCUCAGGACUUAAUUUGAAGACAUGCAUUAUGUGAGAACAUGUGAAGGAAGUGAUUAUAUUUUAAUGUAGGGUUUUGAAGAAGUUCAAAGACAAGAUAUCUGAGUUCCAGGUAAAUUAGAUGCACGAUAUAAUGGAAAGGUUUGAAUUUCUUCCAAUUCUUCUUUCCAUUUCUCAUUAUCUCUUAAUAAUAAUUUUCUAUAGGCUUUAAGACAAAACAUCCAUCGAGAGUAUCGUGAAAGUUGUCGAGAGGCUUGUAUUCACAGGUUUAGCCCUUAUUAUAUGAAAUGAACCUGUGCAACUCUGUGUAAUAGGUUCCUUUCUCUUUAUUCAAUUAACAAUUUCCUUUUUCAUGAACCUCAGUGACGGAAAGCCAAGCUAAUGAAGAGGUAAAACCUGCAACCACGUUUUUAUUCUAAUAAUUUAGAAUGUCAUGGACAUGUUUCUCAUUGCUGAAAUGUUUUGCCGCAGACAAUUGAUAAUUGAUCAGGACUGGGGAUAGUGAACAAAUCCUUAUGACAUUGUUGUUAUGUGUUAAUUGUCUCAAUGGCAUAUUUCUAUUUACAUAUCAAUAUUAAGGAAGUUAGGACUAUUGGAAUGCUACAUGUCGCAACUUAUAAGCUCAAAUUAAUAAGCAAGUAUGAAAAUAAAGCUUAAUAUCUCAUGGCUGAAAAUAAUCGUUUAUUAGAUUCACGUAUUAUAAUUUUCUGGAUGUAUUCAUCUGUUGUUUUGGUUCCAUUAAGCAUGUGACUUCGGGAUUGCCUCCUCUAAAAUUUGUUCACAUCAAAGAGCAUUCCAUGUUUUAUUGUUGUUUAUUUUUGAAACUUUAACUAAUUCAACUAUGUAAUUAUGGCCCCAUUUGAUCUAUGUACAAGGUUCUAAGAAAUUAUAUAAUUGCAACUAUUGGAUUGUCAAAAGCUUCCACAUGUUGAGCUCGUUUCAAUUUUUCAGUAGAAUUUGAAUUGUAUAAAUGUUGUCUUUAGCAUUCCUCUCAAAACUUUUUUUUUUUUUUUUUUUUUUUUUUUUUUUUUUUUUUUUUUUUUUAUGUUUCAUGUAUUGCUUUUUCUUAAGAGUUCUUUAGUUUUACUAGCUUCUUUUUUAAUACAUUGGUCCUAAAUUGGUUUCUACAAUUUCCUUUGUAACAGGCAAGCUCAGUUACUGGCACCACCAUUUACCAUGUCCCACCACAAAAGUAAUUGUCAAAGUGAUUAGGCGAGUGAUGACCUGAGCAGGAACACGAGGCAAUGACUUUUGAUUUCACAACAAAAUUAUGGAACAUUGAUUUGAUUACAUGUUAGCUGUUUCAAAUAACUGAAAUAAAAAUGAAUGUUAGUUUCACUAGAAUCCUAAUUUCUAUCUAAUUGUAUGGACUCCAAAUUUACUUAUAGACUGAUAAUUAUGUUCUUUGUGAACUCUAUUUAGUAUUUUCUAUGAAUGUGUAUAUGGAAAUUUUAUAAUAUACAUUUUCCCGUUAACCCUUAACAUUCGAUACACUAACAUUACCUUCAAAAUUACAAAGCCUGUGCAUUGCGCGGGCGUAAGACUAGUAUAUAUAUGUCCAAAAAGGUCUGUAUACAUGCCUGUGUUGUGUAUAUAUACAAUUUCCUAAAAUUAGGCAGUAAUUUGGAUUUCUAUUUUAAUGAUCAUUGAACAAAUUAGUAUCUUGUUGGAUUGAUGAUUUAAUAGUAGAUUUCACGUUUUACUCUUUAUCUUUUUAAUCUUAGAACUUUUAUUUACAUAUAGGGUUUUCCAACAACAAUAAGAAAUAAAUUAAUUUAAUGGAGUAAGGUUACGAGUUCAUAUUGAAAGAGUGAGUUUUAACGAAGUUUCUAAAUAAAUGGUAAUGAAUUAGGAUUUUGGAACGUUCACUUCGUGGAUGGUUAGGAACAUCUCCCAUUGUCAUUUGAAAACUAUAUUGCUAGGAUUCAAGGUUAGUAUACCUCACAUUGUCUUCAUGUGCAUAUUUAAUUAUUAAAUGUAUAAAUGUGUUACUUAAAUUUGUUAUUAUGUGAUCUUGAUAUUUAAUUAUUUCAUUUUAUGUUAUUAAUGCUUUUUUAUGACAUAUUCAUACACAUCAAUGUAUCCAUAAGCAUACAAGAAGUUCCAAGAAAAAAUGAAAGUUUCCAAAUGUUAAUGAGGCAAGGAAUGUUUUUAAAGAUAUAUAUCUCGAAUAUUUUCUUACGAGGUGUAUAUCUAUGCCAUGAAGGGUGUGAGUGGGGAACCGGCACACUCGACCAAUGUUCAAUGAAAUGUUAAUGUUAUUCAUUUUGCGGUACUAUUGGUAGGACUCGAUUGUGUUCCAAAUAAUAAAUGUCCACUGCAUUUUGAUUGGUUAGGCGAUACACCAAGUGAGCUCACGACGUCAAUGUUAAUUUUUUUUUUUAAAAAAAUGAAUGAAAGAGGAUACAUAUUGAGGAAUGAUUUUAUCUUAAAAUAAUUCAUGUGCAUAUUAUAAGCAUAUAUCAUAUGCAUGAGAUUUGCUUCCUAAGCGUUCGCUCAUUUCACGUUAUUCCUCCCAAUUUUUAGAUAAUGAAGGCAACAAUUCAAGACGAUUACUUGUGGUGCAAUGGAUUGAGUACUAAUAUAUUCAAAAAUCGACUUCUUUUAGAAUAUAAAGUUAACAUUUAAUUUUUUUAUUUUUUAAAUUUAAGUGUAAAAGUUUUCUACAAGUUACGCUCAUAAACGAAGUUGAUAAUGUUCAUUAUAUCAAAGAAAAAUUCCGUUGCUUCCGCGUUUAUAAUUUUAAGAGAGAACUUUUAGCACCAUAUCCUAAGACAUCAAGGAUGUCUAGGAUCCAGGCCCCCCAUCCCCCUACCUCUUCCCCAACAAAUUUGCGGCUAGGAAGAAGGAAGGGUUGAACCCUUCCCUGUUAUACUAUACUCGACGAUGGCUCCAACCUAGUUGCCCUAGAACCCUAAAACCUUAGAGCUUAACCCACUUUCUUGCCUCAGUUCUAUCCUCUGCUUUUAGGGGCUCGUAUGAAUAAAAUUAUUAAUACUUUAUAUCUAGAUUUGGGGGUGUUAUACUUUGUCUGCAAAGAGAUUGCAUGGAGAAUUGAUUUGAUUAUUAUUGAAAAUGUUUUUAAUUUGGGGAUCAUAAGAAAUUUAAAAAAAGUGAUAUCCCUACUAUAUAAAAAGGGGAAUGUGAGAGCACUGUAGAAAGUAAUAGUGUCUUAAUCCAUCUUUACUGUAGCAUUUUUGUUUUUUUUUUUCAGUUAGGGGCAAAAAACGAUGCCGUUUGUUUGAUAUAUAUUUUAUUUUAUUGUACACUACCUCCAAAUUUACUGUAACACGCAAUUUCCAUUCCUCCCCCACUCCGAUAUAGAUAUAUAUAGUAGAGAUAUAAGAAAAAUAUCACUUUUAUAUUAAAAAAAAAAAGAUAGAUAUAAUAUGCGACAGAAUUUUUUUUUUAUAACAUAUUACUUGUAAGGGUAAAAAUUGAAGAGAAAAGAAUUAAAGAGAAUUUUAAAUUGAAAAAAAAAAUUAUAACGUAAAACUACACAACAAAAAAAAAGUAAGUAAUCUCUCUGUGCACGGAGCAAAAGCCUCCGUGCACAGAGACAUUAGUCUCCAUGCAUGGAGACAGUGUCUCUGUGCACGAAGGGAAACAGAAAAAAAAAAUUAGCUGAAACCUCCGUGCACGGAGGCACUGUCUCCGUGCAUGGAGACUCGUCUCCAUGUAUGAAGACAAAAUUUAUAAUUUUUUUUAAAGUAAUUUUUCUUUUUAUCAAUUUAUUUAAUUUUCUUUUUUUAUUCUUUUCUCUUUUAAAUAAAACUUAAUUUUUCAAUUUUAACAAAAUAAUAUUUAUAUAUAUUUUUUUAAAUUUUAGUAAUUUUUUUAUUUUGUUUAUUUUAUAUUUUUUUAAAAUUAUUUAAAAUUUUAUUUUUUUCCCAAGUGGGGAGCAAAAACUACGCCCGUUCAUAGAGUGCAUCGAUUUUUUUUUUGUAGUUUUUUUUGGGCCUUCGUGCACGGACUCUUCGUUUGGGUCUAUUAAUCCAAUUUAACUAUGCAUUAUGUCAUUUUUUAUUUUCCAUUUUGUUUAUGUCAAACAAAUGUUCUUCCACACAUCAUGCCACUAGCAUUAAAAAAAUAAUAAUAAUUUUAGUAAAUAUAAACUGCCACGAGCAAAAAAAAUAAAAAUAAAAACUCUUCUCCGUACAAUGCGGAGAGAUGGCAAACCAUGUGUGUAGAGUUGGCAAACUCUCUGUACAAUGAGAAGUAAAAAAAAAAUUACAAAUUUUUUUUAUUACAAAUAACAUAAAAAAAUCAUUUUUAUCUUCAACAAAAAAACACAUUUAAAAAUUAGCAAUUUUAUAAUCACUUUUUUUUUAUUCCCGAAAAUACAAUUAUAAAAAUAAAAACAAUAUUGAAUUACAAAAACCAAUAUCUGCCAAAUACUGUAUCUAAAGACAAUGUGUAAAUACGGUAUGCUGUAAAUACGGUAUGAUGCAAAUAUGGUAUACUGUAUAUAUGGUAUGAUACAAAUAUGAUAUGCUGUAAAUACGGUAUGAUGCAAAUACGGUAUGAUGCAAAUACAGUAUGCUGUAAAUACAGUAUGAUGUAAAUACGGUAUGCUGUAAAAACGGUGUACUGCAUAUACGGUAUGAUGCAGAUACAGUAUGCUGCAUAUACGGUACGCUGUAAAUACAAUAUGUUACAUAUACGAUAUAUAUAAUGCAUAUACGAUAUGAAUGAAUCCGGUUUCGUCCACUACAAUAAAUGCAGCCUACCGUAUUUGUAGGCAACUUACUGUAUAUGCUACCUACUGUAUGUGCAGUUUAUCGUAUAUAUCGAUUUUUGCAUUUACAAAUACCGAGAGUGCAGAACAUCAUACAUUCACGUAUCAAACCGAAUGUCAGAAAAAAUUUUCAGAUUUUUAUUUUUUCAAUAUAAGCAUAAAAUAAAUAUUAAAAUAUAUGAAGGAUAAAAUAUAAAACGCAUAUAAAUAUGCAAGUCGAUUUAUAAUUAUGCAUUGGCGCACAUUAUACAUUUGAAAUUUCUUAUGUCGGUGCAAAAUAAUUUUGAGGUCAUUCUAGAGCAAAUUAAACCACUGCAAUGUCUAUACUAGAAAUACAAUUGUGCAAAUUAAUAUGAAUUAAAUCUACAUUACAUUAGACUUGGAUUUAUUUAUAACAAAUGUUGGUGAUUAGUCUAAAGACAAUAUAUGCAAAUACGAUAUGCUAUAAUACUAUAUGUUAUAGUUAAGAUAUAACAUACUAUACGUAUAUGUUAUAAUACAAUGUUUAGUAUAAUAUAAUGAGAAAUUAUUGCUGUACAAAUUUUUUUUUGUUAUAUUACAGCAUUAUGCAUAGUACAAUAUAUAACUUACCGUAUAUGCUCUAAUACAAUCUGUGCGGUCAUGCAGCGACUUUUUAUUUUUUUUAAAUUUAAUCAUGCAACCUAAUAUUUGUUUAGUUUGUUAUUUUAUUAAUUAAAAAUAUAUAUUAAAUCUAAUAAUAAAAUAUAAUUACAAGAAUAAGUUUAAUUUCAAUAUAAUACAAAAACAAAUCACAAAGAAAUAAUCAUUGCUAACAACAAAAGAAUCUAAAAAAAAUGAAGAAGAUAAAAACGAAAAAAGUAAAAUUUGUGAAAAGAAGAAAAUGAAAGCAUGAUGCCAAAAAAUUUGGCAUUAUUGUUUGAGUGAGAAAUAUUUUAUUGAUACAUAAAAGACUUUUGCAGUCACCAGAUUAAAAGUAUAGAUUUAUUGUGUUGUGAAUAUUUUUUUUUAAAUAAUCGUAGUAAAUCUUCUUAUUACGAUAAUAAAAUUACAAUAAUUUUUUUUUUUUUACAAAUAAUAUAAAAAAAACCAUUUCUAUCUUCAAGAAAAAACACAUUUAAAAAUUAGCAAUUUCAUAAUUACAUUUUUUAAAAAUUCCCCGAAAUAAAAUUAUAAAAAAAAAUAUUGAAUUACAAAAACCAAUAUCUGCCACAUACGGUAUCUAAAGACAAUAUGUGCAAAUACGGUAUGCUGUAAAUACGCUGUGUUGCAUAUACGGUGUACUGUAAAUACGGUAUGAUGCAAAUACAGUAUGCUGUAAAUACGAUCUGAUACAAAUACAGUAUGAUGUAAAUACGAUAUGCUGCAUAUAUGGUAAGCUGCAAAUACGGUAUGCGUAAAUACGUUAUGUAGCAUAUAUGAUAUGUAAAAUGCAUAUACGGUAUGAAUGAAUCCAGUUUCGUCCACUACAAUAAAUUUCAAUACCGUAUAUGCUGUCUGCCGUAUUUGCAACUUACAGUAUAUGUAGUCUACCGUAUUUGUAGGCAACUUACCGUAUAUGCUGCCUACUGUAUUGCAGCUUAUCGUAUAUACUGAUUUUUGCACUUACAAAUACCGAGAAUGCAAAACACCAUACAUUCACUUACCAAACCGAAUGUUAGAAAAAAAAUUCAGAUUUUUAUUUUUUCAACAUAAGUUUAAAAUAAAUAUUAAAAUAUAUGAAAGACAAAAUAUAAAACGCAUAUGAAUAUGCAAGUCGAUUUAUAAUUUUAUGCUCAAUCUUCAAUUUUUCAAUAUUGAAUUACACAAAAUUUAGAAAUAUAAUCUUCACAUUCAAUUCAAUCAUAUCAACACUAUCAAAGAAUACAGACAAAAUAGUUUGUAUAACAUUGUAUAUUUUUUAUUUAAGUAUGAAAUAUACAAGUAUAUUUUUUUAGAUAACACAAUACUGUUACAAUUGUAAACAUAAUUUGCAAUCAUUUUCUUAUAUCAUGAAAAUAUUUCUAAAUAUUACUUCAAAAGCUUUCCAAAAAACUAAAAUUCAUAUGCUAAUAAAAAUAUGAUAAAUACAAAAUUCGUGCAACGCACGUGACAACGACUAACACUACAACAAAACCAUGAUUUCGCGACAAGAAUUUUUGCGACAUACAAAAAGUUGUUGCAAUAAAUGACUUAACGCGACACAUUUUUAAAGUUUGUCACGAAGAUUGUGAUGAAAAAAAUAUGUACCAAAAACUAUAAGACGACAUAAGAAGUUGUCGUGAAAUAUGAGAUGUUGCGACAAAUAAUAAAGAAUGUCGCCGAAAAUAUGAGGGAAGCAAGGCGCCAAAAUAUUUUUGGUGGGAAAUUUAUGGCGACAAACCUUUUUUUCUUGCUACAAAAUGUUUGUGAUGCAAUAGGGUCUGUUUUUGGCGAUAAAAGAAAUCUGUUGCUAAAAAUUCUAUAGUUGGAGGAAAAAAGGGCUACAAGAAAAUAACUUUUUUGCAGCGGACAAAAAAUAUUGUAGUAUAUUUUUUACAAUGCUCACCCAUAUACAUAGAGUCUAAUAUUCUUGUAGAGUUGAAGGAUACUGCAACAUGCAAUGCAUGCCGCAAAAGCCAUCAAAUGUACGUUGUUGUAAAGUUUUUACGAUGUAUCUUAUCCGUUGAUUUUAUUUUAUCUUGUAACAUUCUUUGCUGAUUGUCUUAACCCUUUUUUUUCUAACAUAAUUUUUUUUUGUAAUAAGUGUUUGUUUUUUCGUCCGGCUAAAUUUUAAUGUGUUGUUGGAAUUACUAAAAAACAUUUUUCCAGAAGAUAUUAGAUUACCAACUUCAACAUAUGAUGCCACGAAAAUGCUAAGUGAAUUGGGCUUAGGUUACGAGACUAUUCAUGCAUGCAAGUAUGAUUGUGUAUUAUUUUGGAAAGAGCAUGAAUUUGCCACUAGGUGCCCANNNNNNNNNNNNNNNNNNNNNNNNNNNNNNNNNNNNNNNNNNNNNNNNNNNNNNNNNNNNNNNNNNNNNNNNNNNNNNNNNNNNNNNNNNNNNNNNNNNNNNNNNNNNNNNNNNNNNNNNNNNNNNNNNNNNNNNNNNNNNNNNNNNNNNNNNNNNNNNNNNNNNNNNNNNNNNNNNNNNNNNNNNNNNNNNNNNNNNNNNNNNNNNNNNNNNNNNNNAAUAAAUUUAACUACGAGCACAACUUGACACAUAAAUAAAAGUUCAUUGUCACAAAAUACUAUCGUAAUAAUAUUCUAUGUCAUAAAAUAAAAUGUGUGACGUAUAUAAAUAAUCACGAAAUAAAUUAGGCAACAACUAUACUUGUUGCACAAAUGAUGGUGCAAUAGACUAUUAGUGUUGCGAAAUAAAUUUAAAAACAAACAUCACUCGUUAUAUAAGAUAUUGUACUACAAAUAUUGAAUAUAUUAAAAUACAUUAUGCGACAUAUCAAAUACAUUGUAAAACAUAUUUUACAACAAACAUUACUUGUUAUUAAAAAUAUAUUACUACGGGCAUGUGUUGUCACAAGAUAAAAUAGGUAGCAAAAGUUACACCUUUAAAAGAAUAUUUGCAACAAAUAUGUUUCUCGUAAAAAAUUUAUAGGAAUAAUUGUUGCAACAAAAUACAGUGUCGCCUUUUUAUUUUUUCGCGACAUAUACGCAUCGCGAGGACAUUAUAGUUACAAAUAUUGUGUUGCUGUUUCAUAGUUUUCGCGGCAAAUAAAUAAUGUUGCGAUUUUGUUAGUGCGAUGAAUAGUCAAAAGUAGCCGCAAAAUAUAUUCGGUUACUCUACAUUCGCGACAAACAUAUUUCUCGUAAAAACUUUAUUGGAAUAUUCGUUGCGACAAACGGACUUGUCGCCCUUUAAAUUUUUUGCGACAUAUAUACAUUGCGACGACAUUAUGGCUACAAAUAUUGUGUCGCCAUUUCGUAUUUUCUGCGUCACACAAAUAGUGUUGUGAUUUUGUUAAUGCAAUGAAUUGUUGAAAGGUGUCGCUAAACACAUUCCGCGACUCAUAUAGAGCGACAAAACCCGCAACAAACGUAUUAGCGUCGCUAAAUUACUUUUGCGACUAAAUCUCAUUUUUUGCGACAACAUUUUUUUGUCGCGAAAUCGGUUAUUUUUUGUAGUGUAAUAUGAAGAAAAGGGCAAAUGACUAACCUAUUCAAUGUAGUGAAGUGGCUCUUGUAUUCAAUGUUCACAUGCCCAAGAUGGGUUCAAUUCCCAACAUUGUGAAAUUAAAUUUUCCUCCAAUUUUCGGGGCGAGUUUGAGGUGGAAACCUUGUUCCCUUGUAGUGUCCCUACACGAGAUAAGAACUCUUUUCCUAGCCGGGCCAGCCUACCCUAAUUCCUCGAUUAAUCAAGAAUUUUCUGUUAUUUAGGAUAGUCCUUGUUGGCAUCAAGACAAUCGAAAAUAAUUGUCAUCCUAACCUAAAAUAUCAUUUUUGAAUGUUGAGAUCCGAAACCAUAUUAAUUCAAAGGUUAUCUAGCACAAAUCUAAAAUUUCUCAUAUUGAAUAGAAAUUCACGUGCCCACCUAUAAACAAAACAAUUGUAGAAGAAAAAUCAAGAAAAUAUAAAGAAUAUCGCAAAAUUCACUUAAAGGCCACUGCCUCCCGCUACUGGGCAAAUCUCCCGAACCGAAUCGAACCGAACCCGACGGUUCUUCUCAAGUUAAAUACCCGAACGGGUAUCUGAAUUAAAAAUCGAUGGGUACGAUUCGGUUCUCGGUUUUAGACCAAGAACCGAAGAACCGAAUAAGAACCGAAUAUUCCUAAUUUUUAUUUUUUUAUAUUGAAUAAAUCAAAUUAUUUUAAUUUUUUCUAAACAAAUUAACAAAUUAGGUGAUUAAUUGAUACUUUAUCUCCUAAGCCUUAGCCUAGCAAGCUUGACCUAACCCAACCAAUUUCUAAAUCCAAUUUUUUGGCCCAAUUAUUUGUUUCAUUUCUAUUUUUUUAAUUUUUAGCCCAAGUGUCAUUUUUAGUUUUUAUUCUUCCAUUUUUUAGCCCAACAUCCAAGUGAUCCAACCCACUAGUGACUAACCCUAAAUAAAUUACACACAUUAUCACCUACACAUAAAACAUCUGACAUUCCAAAACUCAAAUAGAUGUAUAGAACCUCCGGCACCGAGUUCGAAGCUAUGACCUCCGAGCUCCGAUGACGACCUUCGACCGUUGAUUAUUUGAAUAAGGUAGUGUGUAAGCUUCCCUAUAUGUGAUUGGUAAAUUAAUCUUGUUGGAAAACUUGUUAUAUACAUGUCAAAUUGGAUUACGUUAAUUUAUAAAAUUACGAUUAAAUAUGUUAUUAGUUGUAUUUAUGUAGUGUGGUUAUAAAUGUUAAAAAUUUUAAUUAUAGUACAGAACCGAACAAAACUGAAUCCGAACGGUUCCAUAAUUAUAUUUGGACCCGACGGUUCUAUUUUCUAAAUACCCAAAAUUUUUGGUUCGGUUCUCUUUAAAACCGAACUGAACCGACCCACGCCCAGACCUACCCACUACCCUUUAUCAAUGGGACCAGGUCUGGGGUAGAUGAUGAUGAUAUGCUUUCCUUUUAUUUUCUUUCUUUCCUUCCUUCCUUCCUCUUUUUAUUUUUUUUAUUAAAGUGGACUUAACGACACUGUCAAGAAAUGAAGUUUGAGGCAUAAGUGCAUAAGGAGUUAAAGAUUGAGGAUGUGCUCACAAUUUUCCAAUAUUAGAAAGAAAAUUACCAAAACACAUUUUGCCUAGAAUUAGGCUAGUUGUACACCAUGGUAGUUUGAAACUUUUGAAGCGUCAAAAUCAAGAUCAUUAAUUUGAAUAAGUAUUGUUAAAGUCAAUGUAAAAUUGUUUGUCACAUCAAAGAGUACAAACUAGUUGUGAACCAUGGUGUAAGUGUAGCAAAACUAUCUUGUUUAUGCCAUUUUCUUGACUACCGUUAAGAAAAAUUCUUUUUCAGUGUUGAAAUGUGACAAGACAUUGUAGGAACUAUAUGGUCCACCAUGUGAACUCCACUGAUUGUGCCCCAUGAGAGUUUACUUACGGACUGCUCUAAGCCCAACAUGAUAAAUAUACUACAUUGUGUAAUAAAUUUACUUAUUUUAAGAAAUAUAAAUUUUUAAGUAACUUUCGUUACUUAAAAUUAUUUUCAUAGAUAGAUAACUUUAAACACAACAAAAGAGCAUUUCCUCUUGGCUCAUGAGAAAGACCAAUGGUUUUAGCUUUUCGUCUGGCUAAACAAAUCUAUAAAAAUAUGAGAUCAGUUAGGCCCUUAUUAAGCCGAGUUACGAACAAAUUUUUUUUUUUUUCAAAAUUAGUUUUAAAAUAAAUAAAAUUUAUCUUUUGUAUAUAGGUGGUAGUGGACCAUGAGCCUCUACCUAAGUCCAAGUGGUGUGAUCUCGAGCCUUGGCGGCUAGGUGCACAUUUAUUUUUCUAGUUUUGAAUCAUCCGUAUAGUAAUUAAUUCACAUGCAGAUGCUUAGUUAUAUGCGGACAAGAUGAUCCUCCAUUAAUUUACACAAAUGGAACGAUUCCAACCAUUCAAAACCUGUGCUAUUUGAUGAUGAUAUUAAAUGGUGCUAAAAAAUGUCAUUUCAUAUGUGAAUCUAUUCAUAGAUCUUAUCUACACAACUAACACAUCAUAAUCAAUGACUGUCAUUACAAUAUUGCGUGACAAAUUAUCGAACUUUCACAUAACAUUAUUUAGGAAAUCUUUCUUUUGACUUUAUGUUUCAUUGUAAUAAUAUAAAGAUCUCAUGAAUCCAUUUCGAAAAUAGAACAUGACUUCAAUUCAAUUUGGCAAUUUAUACUAAUCUAUCUUUUAAUUUGAGGAAUUUCCUUUAUAUUUUCUUGCUUAACAUAAAUAUACUUUGCAUUUUUAAUUUCCAGCCUAUUUCAGUAUUUUAAUUUUGUGAUUGUCAUCAACAAUGAAACGAAUACUAGUUUUAUUGAAACAAUCUUUCAUGCCUAAUUAAUUUAAUCCUUGAGCAAUAAAAAUCAUAUUUCUUUUGGAAUUUAUGGUUGGAAUGUGAAAUAAGAAUCACCCGAAAAAUAAAAAUAAAAUCAAUUUAAGAAAUCAAGAUCGUUACUGGAUGUUUACAUGUAAAUUUAAUCAAUAAAUAAAAAAUAUCUAAAAUUUACCCAAAUUCGAUAAUUAAUUCUUAAAUUAGAUAUGAAUAUCGAAAUUUCAGUCUUUUGAAUUGUGAAAUUUCAAUUUUGAUUCCAAUAAUUUAAUGCUUCCAAGUUUCAAGCCUUCUAUUCAUCAAAAUCAAGAUUACACUAGUGUGUGGACAUCUUCUUUUAAUUACACCAAAAAUUAAAUUAUAGACCUUAGAAAAAUCACUUCAAUCCAUAUAAACUUUUGGUAAAAGUUUAAAAUGUCUACUCAAUAAAUCUUAAUGUCUCUUAUGAUUUUUAUAGUGCUAUGUUGAUUUCUAAAGGAAGUACUAUUUCAUGUUUGACAAUACAUCAUUUUCACAACUAACACCAACAAUUUUAUUUAAUUUCUAAAUUAAAAAAGGAGAUGCUAUUUACAUCCACCAUUAUUAUAUUUAUCUACUUUCAAAAAGAAAAUUAUAUUAUACUUUUAACCUUAUGUAAAUUUACUUAAAUAUCAUUAUAAAAUCAAAUAAAAAUAUAUUAGUCUAAAUUUAUCUACUAAUAUUUAUUUUCAUUAAAUUCUUCUGGACUUUUUAUAUUCUUUUAAAUUUAUGUUUAAAUAAAAUUCUAAUAUUUAUAAAAUAUCCUCUUCGACUAUAGUCAAAACAACAAUGAAAGACACAUCAUAAGGGCAAAUGCAUAUAGACAUAACAAUAUAUGAAAAAAGAAUUUGAAAAAGUAGGAUUGCCUUUCAUUGUAAGCAUAAUGAAUUUAGUAUGUGAACAAUUCUUAAUUUUUGUUUGGAUUUUUGAUAAUAUGCAUUUUAAACUCAAGUUGUAUCAGUAAGAAAUUUUAUUACAAAUUAUUUUAGUUUCCUGUUGAGAUUAUCAUUUUUUCUCUAAAUUUUUUGAAUUAAAAAUAUUGAUAGCUAUAUUUUCUACUGGGAUUAGUAAAACAAGAAUUUGAGUUUCCUGCAGGGAUUAUCUCUUUCUUUUUUUCCCCUUUCUUUCUUUCCCCUUUCUUUCUUUCUUUCUUGAUUUUCUUAAAUUUAAAGCAAUGGUGAUUGAUCUAUUGGUAUUAUAGGGGUUUAUGUAAUCACAUCUUAUAAUUCUUGAUUUAUAUAAUUAAUUACAAACACGUCCUUUAACUCUUAUUUUAUCCUUCAUUGGAAAAGGGCAUUGUGGUAAAAUGUUAUAAAUUAUAUAAUGAUUACUGGGAAAAAAAGGACCUACCUACAGUAAUACAACAGUCAAAUUUUGGAUUAAAAUCAUGGCAAAAUCCAUCCUAGACCAAUGCAUAGUGUUUAAUUCUGUGGAUUUAUAAGGGCAAUUUUGAAAUAUAGUGCUUGUUUGGUAGGGAAUUUUGAUAAUAUAUAUAUGUUCCGUUUGAGAGUGAUUUUUCACCCCAAAAAUAUGAUUUUUUUAUUGUUAUUUUACUAUUCCAACCAUAAUUUUUUACUUCUUUUUUCACAGGUGGCUUCCACUUUUUUCGUAAGGAUUAAAAAAUCAAUUUUCAAAAUCACUACUGAAUAUGCCUAUAGAGUGUAAUAAAUAUAUAUCUAAUAAUGAGAGAGUAAAUAGCGGCUCUAUAAAAACUAUGACUCUUUGAACGAACAUAUAUUAUUGAAUGACAAAUAAAGUACUAUAAGUUACAAGAUUAUUCCAAAAAAUGUGAGACUCUAGUUGCACAAUUUGAAUAAAAUUCCAGCAACAGUGACAUUAACUUUGAAAGGGACUCAAUUUUUUUUUUUUUUUUUUUCAUAACUCUGUGAGGUGACACACUUUUUUAUCCUUAAUUUCAACGACACUUAAAAUAAUUCAUGACAUAUAUUUUUAUAUAUCAUACAAUGUCAACCUUAAUGUAUGCAUAGUUGAUAAAAUAUACAAAUAGCAUUUUCCUUUGAAUAAAUGCGUAAAUAAAUAUUUUCCAAAUAAUUAUUCCAAAAAGGAUUAGUCAAAAUAAAUUGAGAUUGUGGUUGCACGAUUUUGGAUGUUUGGACUUCCUGAAUAAUUGUAAAAAUGCUAAGUUAAUUCGAAGAGCUUUGCUGGGCCACACAAUCCAUUGUUAUUGAUCAGUUUCACUGUUGCCUUCAUCGUGUUCUUUGACCCCACCAAGUUGAUUAAUUGAACCAAUGAAAUUUCUGUGUUCAUUGACCCCACCAUUUUGUAUAAUUGAACCCAACCACUGUUGGGUUCAAUUAUUGAUCAGUUUGCUGGGCCAGAUGGAUGCUUGGGUUCAAUUAUUGAUCAGAGACAAUCCAUUGUUAUUGAUCAGUUUCACUGUUGCGAUCAUCGUGUUCUUUGACCCCACCAUGUUGAUUAAUUGAAACCAAUGAAAUUUCUCCGUGUUCAUUGACCCCACCAUUUUGUAUAAUUGAACCCAACCACUGUUGGGUUCAAUUAUUGAUCAGUUUGCGGGGCCACACAAUCUAUUGUUAUUGAUCAGUUUCACUGUUGCCUUCAUCGUGUUCUUUGACCCCACCAUGUUGAUUAAUUGAACCAAUGAAAUUUCUCCGUGUUCAUUGACCCCACCAUGUUGUAUAAUUGAACCCAACCACCAGCAGACGACUUUCAUAUAUACAUAAUACCAGUCAAUCUCACUUGCAUUCAUCCCCCUUAUAUCUUGGCUCUUGCUUCCUGUCUUACGAAAAAGAUAACAAUGGCUAUCGUCGAAGUUUUUCUAGGUGCAAUUCUCACUGUUUUGCUUGAAAAGCUGGCCUCUGGUGAGCUACUGAAAUUUCUGCGUCAUGUAGGAAUCGACGCCCAGCUGGUAGAAUUGAAGACAACUUUGAUGAGGAUCCAGGCUGUGCUUACUGAUGCUGAAAACAAGCAAACAACGGACAAACAUGUGAAAGAGUGGCUAAAUGAUCUGGAAGAUUUGGCUCAUGAUCUUGAAGACUUAGUGGAUGAGUUGAAUACUGAAGCUUUGCAGCGCAAAUUAAAGGAAAAUAAAGGCAGCACCAGUAAGGUAAAAAAGCUCGUCCCCACUUGUUGUACUAAUCUUUCUUUCACUGAUUUCAUGUCUGAUCGUGGGAUUGCUUCCAAGCUAAGAGAGAUUAGUGGCCGGUUGAAAGUUCUGGAAGAACAGAAAAAAAUUCUCGAUUUGGUGGAAAAUGUAAGGGGAAGGUCUUAUAGAAGAUUGCCAACAACUUCGCUUGUGGUAGAAUCGAAAGUUUAUGGAAGAGAGAAUGACAAGGAGGAAAUACUGAAAAUCUUAUUUGGUGUUGAAUCAAACGAUAGUCAAAUAUCCGUGAUUCCAAUUGUGGGCAUGGGAGGUAUCGGCAAAACAACUCUAGUCCAACUUGUGUAUAAUGAUGAAAGAUUGAAGGACAAGUUUGAUCUUAAGGGAUGGGCUUGCGUUUCAGAUGAAUUUGAUGCUGUAAGAGUAACAAAAAACAUUCUUGAGUCAGUUUCUUCUGGUGGAAAGUGUGACUAUGAAAAUUUUGACACGCUUCAGAACAAACUAAAGGAGAUCCUUUCAAACAAGAAAUUUCUAGUAGUUUUAGAUGAUAUUUGGAAUGAAAAUUACGAAGAUUGGGAGAUCCUAAGCCGUCCUUUUCUUUCUGGAAAACCUGGAAGCACAAUCAUCAUUACCACUCGACAAGAAAGGGUGGCCAAAAUCAUGUCUGGAAUUCCAGCAUACAAUCUGGAUCUGUUAUCAGAGGGCGAUGCUUUAUCAUUGCUAGCUCAACAUGCAUUUGGAGCUAAAACUUUUGACGGUCAUCCAGAUUUAAUAGAGAUUGGUAAGUCUAUGGUAAGCAGAUGUAAGAUGUUGCCCCUAGCAGUAAAGGCCCUCGGGGGGCUUCUUCGCAUCAUGGCAGUUGGUCCUGAAGAUUGGGAAGAGGUGCUGAAAAGUGGGAUCUGGAUGAAUGAAGAAAAGAGUGAAAUUCUUCCUGCUCUAAAACUGAGUUAUCACCAUCUUCCUCCGGAAUUGAAAAGAUGCUUUGCUUACUGUGCUCUCUUUCCCAAGGACUAUGAAUUUGACAAGUUCCAACUAGUGUACUUUUGGAUGGCUGAAGGUCUUUUGCAGGAAACAAAGAAAGAUAAGUUAAUUGAAGAUGUAGGUAGUGAAUAUUUUGAUGAACUAUUGGCUAGAUCAUUCUUCCAACAAUCAAGUGCCAAUGCUUCACGCUUUGUGAUGCACGACCUCUUUAACGAUCUAGCUAUGUCUGUUGCUGGUGAUAAAUGUUUGAGGAUGGAUGAUGCACUGCAGGAGAUUUCUGUAAAGGUCCGUCACUUGUCAUUCAAGCGCAGUUGGUAUGAAACUUAUCCUAGAUUUAACUUUCUUGACAAAGUUCAAAAGUUGAGAACUUUUUUGCCACUACCUGUUGAGUCAUUUGGUUACUUAUCCCAAAGAAUUUUGCAUCACCUAUUCACGAAUUCAUACUGCUUAAGAGUGCUAUCCUUGAAUGGUUAUGCCAUAUAUGAGUUGCCAGAUUCUAUUGGUGAUUUAAGACAUUUAAGAUACCUGGGCCUAGCUGACACUGGACUGAGGUGGUUGCCUGAAUCUGUGUGCACUCUUAUCAAUUUACAAGUGUUGAUUCUAAGUGGUUGUUGGAGCCUUACCAAAUUACCCACAAGCAUGGAAAAUCUUGUUAAACUUCGGUAUCUGGACAUUUCUCGUACUUCCAAUUUACAUGAGAUGCCUCGGGGAAUUGGUCAACUAACAAGUUUGCGAACGUUAACUAAGAUGACUGCAAGUAAAAAUAAUGGAAUGAGUUUAAAGGAGUUGGGCAAUCUAUCAUUUCUACAAGGUAAUAUUUCUAUUGAGGAAUUGCAAAAUGUUGUGAAUGUUCAAGAAGCAGUGGAAGCAAGGCUAAUGGAUAAGCCAAACCUCAACGGAUUAACGUUGGAAUGGAGCGCAGGCUUUGAUGAUACUCGAAAUAAAAUUUUAGAAUUGAAUGUGUUUAAUGCAUUAAAGCCCCAUAAGAACUUAUCAACACUUGAAAUCAAGUAUCACGGGGGUGAGAAUUUCUCUAAUUGGAUUGAAGAUUCAGCAUUUUUUAAGUUAGCAAGGAUAAGCUUUGAAAAUUGUAAAAAUUGCACGACUUUGCCACCUUUAGGGCAACUACCUUUGCUAAGAGACUUAAGCAUUCAAGGCAUUGAUCAAGUAAAAGUGAUUGGACCUGAAUUUUAUGGAAAUAGAGGCCAUGGAGAAUUACCUUUUCCAUCACUCAUUAAUCUGACUUUUAGUGGCAUGUCUAACUGGGAGGAAUGGGUUGGAAUAGGAGGUGUUAUCCAACUUCCUAAGCUAUGCUCAUUGAUUAUAACUGAUUGUUCAAAAUUGGUCAGUCUUCCAAAUCUUUUACUGUCAUCCUUACGUGACAUAAAUGCUUCUGGGUGUAAUGAGGUGGUGCUAAAUCAUAUGCAGAAUUUGAAAUCUUUAACCAGCAUACAAUUGUCUAGAAUUGUUGGAUUAACUUCAAUUAUCAAAGCAUUUGAACAAUUUCCUUUUACACUUAAAAGUGUUAAAGUUGGUGAAUGCCACAACCUUAAGACUCUAUGGUCAGGUGAUAGUACUGCACGAGACCUAGUCGACCUACGACACGUGGAUAUUGACAGUUGUCCUCAGCUAUUUUCCCUUAAAGAGAUUGAUGUUCUUCCCGAUCUUAGGAGACUUUGUAUAAGAAAUUGUGGAGCUCUGGAGUUGUUGCCUAAUAAAAUAUCUUGUCUUGAGAAUUUGUUUAUUGAAAAUUGUCCAUUGGUAAGGACGAUGAUGAAGCUACAGGAUUGCAGCCUCUCGCUUGAUUAUCUAAAUAUUACUCGUGUGAAUUUGAAUUUGGCAAAUUUACUAGGCUCUGGCUCCAAUUACCAAAGUCUCACUGACCUACACAUAAGGUCUUGUGAUGGUCUAGAAUUGUUUCCCAAUGGAGGCUUGCCCACACCAAAUUUAAAACGACUGUGGAUAAGAGAGUGUCAACAUCUCAAGUCCUUACCUGAUCGGAUGGAUCUACUUUCGUCCCUUUCGUCACUGUGGAUAAAUAAGUGUCAACAUCUCAAGUCCUUACCUGAUCGGAUGGAUCUACUAUCGUCCCUUUCGUCCCUGGAUGUGUCUUCUUGUGCUUCAUUAAUGGAACUCUUUCCCCAAGAGAAUAUUCCUCCAAAUCUGUCUAGCCUUGAAAUCAGAAAUUGCGGAAAACUAAAGCCCCCGGGGGAG